CCGCCGCAAGACCGUCACCGCCAUGGACGUCGUCUACGCCCUCAAGCGCCAGGGACGCACCCUCUACGGCUUCGGCGGCUAGGCUCGUCCUCGCCCCCCUCCAAAUUCCGAUGUGCUUAUCCGCCUGUGCGCAGGAGUCUUGCUGUCGAGAAAACUUAGCUGAAAUGAAUUCCCCAUGUUUAUCUCUGAUGUUUCUAAGUAGGAUUAGAUGUAUCGUGAAACGAAGCUGGUCGCACCUGAAGUUUGAAUCCAAUCUUGUGUCUACGCAAAUAUUGUGGCUGUGGUUUUGUUGUGAUUUUUACUGCUGCGCCGUUGCAAUUGUGGUGUGUCGGUUGUUCCUUUGCAAGAUUUGGUUGAUAGUACUGAAGUACAGAAUGAAAUUUCCCGAGUUCAGUCUGCAUCUCAGACAUUGUAGAUUUGCCAUUCUUGAACGGGUCUACGACGUGAACUAAUGACUGAAUCAUGUAGUCCGUGUCAGUAACCAGGAAAGACCAUUUGCUAUAUUUCUUCUUAUUUUCUGUGACUGUGGAAAUGUUCACAGUGGUAUGUUGAAACAUUAGCAGCAAUACCAUUUCUUACUAGCUUAUCAGCAUAUACCACUGUGAUGUUCUAGAAUAAGAGAGUUUACUUCAUCUUCAAACCUGGGAACAUCAGUUGCUUACUUGAUGCCCUUACAGCAGUGCGUUAGAGCCAGGGCCAGAGCCAGCAAAAGCCUGUAUUAGUAGGUUUAUUUUUCAAUCAUGAGGGGAGGUGUCAAGUAGCGAGCAAUAACCGCACUGUCGGUCGAUGGUGCUUUUUCGGAGGCGGAUGGAUCAGCAGCAGCGGGGAUGGUGCUGAGACGAAGUGACGGUAGCGUCAUCUUUGCAGCGUGUCGGUGUAUUUUCAACUGCAAUGACGCCCUAGAAGCUGAACUACAUGCUCGAAUGCAAGGGAUGGCACUUGCUAUUGAGCACGGUGAGACUGAUUCGUCAGAAGCUUUCAUGGCAUUGAGAGGGGACAAUCUUCGGUAUUCUGCUUAUGGACAUUUGGUGGCUGAGAUUCAGCGGCACAUGGGUGUAAGAGAGUUUAUUCCAUCGAAAAUUAAGCGUGAACAAAACAGGGUAGCAGAUCGAUUGGCUUUGUAUAGUCGUAGGGAGAGUACUACUGCUGUAUGGCUAGGUAGAGGUCCACCUUGCGUGGAGGAACUAUUGCCUCUUGAUUGUAACCUUGUGAUUCUGGAAUAAAAUCUCUUUUACCCUCGCAAAAAAAAAGUAGCGAGCAAUGACCUGUGAAUCCUAGAAUCCUAAAAAAGUUAACUCCGGUAAGCAAUGGAAAUGGGAGGACUAGUGAUGCGUUGGGUCAAGUGUCUCCUGAGUUAUCUUCAGAUAUCCAAAAUGGUUCAGAUGAAGAAUACUCCCUCCGAUCUAGUUUGUGCUUAGAAGACACGUUACAAAGUACAAAUCAAUCAUUCUGAAGAACAGCAAUGCAGCAAGCAUAGGAAGUUGGAUUGAUAUCCACAGCGAAUUAGUGACCGCUCUUGUCCAUUAGACAUAUUAUAGGAUUUCAAUACAUUCUUUCUAGAAGCAGCGAGGCAAAUGCCAUGUAGUGUGUGAGGGCGAAGAUAAGAGCAUCUCCAGCCAUGCUUCCAACGGCCCCCUCCCCCCUCCCCCCCACCCCCUUUUUUGUCGCCGCCGCCAAAAAUUCAGCCAAGAACCUGGUGCGCUGGGGGGCGCCUGGGGGCGUCGGGAAACAUAUUUUAGCGCGAACAGGAAUGGGCGCGCCGAGUCAGUGACUCGCCGCCUUCGUCAUCCUCAUCGCCUCAGUUCCCACGGGAAUCAAUGCCAAGGCUGCCGCACUGCCGUGCCGGUCAACCUUCCAUUGAUGCCUCACAGGCGGCGAACUGAAGGCGCCGCGUCGCGUGUCCCGUCUGCUCCCGCCACGCGGUACCCUAGCGGGCAGCCUCUCACCGCCCAUCCUCGGCUAUAAAACCCGACCUCAUUGGUGAACGCCACAACUCACCACCGACGCCCCUCUCACCACAACUCGCCCCCUCUGGCCACCGAAGCCCCUCUCCCCCGCUCUUCCCCGCCGACGAGCAAUGACCGAGCGUUACCCAGGCGACAUCGCGGCGGUGAACGACUUUGGCCGACGCCAUCUACGCGAGGACGAGGCACGCCUCCUCUACGAGGCCCACUACCCGGCGCCCUCGGACAUGCGGGUGCCGGGCUCGUGGAGGCUGAGCGCCGAUGGCGUCCCGGUGCCCCCGGUGCCAACCGGUGCAAAACGGUGCGCCAAGAUAGCGCGCCUCCGCUCGUCGCUGUCGGAGGAGAAGCGAAACGAGCCGAGGUACGCCUCCCACAGACACACGUUGUGGACGAUGUACUUCGACCACCGCCACGCCGAUCAGGUCGCCUCCACAAACGGCGUCCUGCCCCGCGGCCGCCUCAUAUCCGACGGGCGGCGCGAAUUGUGGGGCGUGCCCGACCGCACCCUCAAAGUUGUCCUCGACCACAUCGAGGCCGGAUACACGUCGUGCCUCGAGUACCCGACGCCCCUGUCCUUCGCUCACUGCCGCGGUAGUUCCUGGAAGCCGCGGCGAAUGGAGAUGGCAACCUCCUCGUCGUCGGGCUCCGUUGUCUUUCCUUCGGGUCGCCGGUGCUCCGCCCCGUCAAGUCAGAGCCGCAGGAGACGCCACUUGGGCGCCGCGGGUGCGGCGUCCUCGUCAUCAACGAGGGCGGCCGCCCCUCCCCUCAUUCCUACCGCCUUGUCCGGCCGAAGACCGAGCCAGGGUUGCUCCCCAUGAAGAAGGAGCACGAGGGCAUGGCCGCCGACGAUGAGACCGCCCUUAAGUGGGCGAAGGCGGACUACUUCCGCGAGCAGAUGGAGCGCCAACACUGGGCCUACGAGGAGAUCAAAGCUCGACGCCGCGGACGCGACGAGGGCGUCAUCGUCGUCCUCGACAGCGACGACGAGGACGCGCCCGGGCCGUCCAACCCUCCGCGCGUCGGUGACCUUGGCCAAGGGUGCAAUAGGGACGGCGGCGGCGCCGGCGGGAUGCAGGGCGACGGCGACGAUGACGACGACGAUGGCUACUACACCCGGUUCUACGGGCUCCUCGACAUGUAGAAGGCGGGCGGCGGUAGCGGCGUAGUAGGGCUAGGCAUAGUUGUUUUUAAAUCAUGUUUUUUGUUUUUUGUACAAAUUUGAAUGAAAUCACCGAGUUUGGAUGGAUUCUGUGUCGUGUUUGUGCCGAUUUGAGGGCGACCUGGGGGCGGCGGCUGGGAUCACGUUCGCCCCCACGCCGGUUUGGCCCCAGGAGGCAAUUUUUCGGCGUCUUGGGGAGGGGGGGGGGUCGAACGGCUGGAGAUGCUCUAACACGCAGUUCUUCCAUGCCAGUGCCUCGCAUCGCCGGCGCUGCAAUGCCGUUUGCGUCCUAGAUGUUGAUGAAGGAAAUAUGUCCUAGAGGCAAUAAUAAAGUUGUUAUUUUAUAUUUCCUUAUACAUGAUAAAGGUUUAUUAUUCAUGCUAGAAUUGUACUAAUCGGAAACUUAAAUACAUGUGUGAAUACAUAAACAAAUACCAUGUCUCUAGUAAGCCUCUACUAGACUAGCUCGUUGAUCAAAGAUGGUUAAGGUUUCCUAACCAUGGACAUGUGUUGUCAUUUAAUAACGAAAUCACAUCAUUAGGAGAGUGAUGUGAUGGACAAGACCCAUCCGUUAGCUUAAUAUAAUGAUCGUUCAAUUUAAUUGCUAUUGCUUUUUUCAUGUCAAAUACAUAUUCCUUCGACUAUGAGAUUAUGCAACUCCCGGAUACCGGAGGAAUGCCUUGUGAAAGAACAUGUGGUGCCCCCAUGUUUGGUUUUAGGUAAUUAAUGACAAUCUCUAUGGACUAAUGGUUGCCUUGAUUUAUAUUUGAAGGGUUUAUCCUUAGGUUUUUCUUGAAGUCCAUGUGUUGGUUUCAAGGAGUUUAUGAGUUGACCAAGGUGCUAUUAAGGAAUUAUCCAAAGGUUGGUCAUGUGAGUGUUGAGCUUAUUUCAAGCAUGUCUUGAAGAAGAAGAUUGUGUGAUUAUUCAUGUUUACCUUCAAGACAUCAUCCAAAUGAAGAGAGUUGGAAAGAUUCAAGGUUGAUCAAGACUAAGUCAAGAGUGAAUCAAGUUGAUCAACUCACAAAGCGUAGAAGAUGUAUCGAGAGGGACCAAGUGAUCCAUGGUAUGGUAAGAAUUGUCCAUUGCACUUUGUGUACUAACCCAUGGUCUAUUUGAGAGUUCUGUGUGGGGUUAGGUAUGUGUCCAUGGGCUUGCGUCAAGAGGAAGAUAUCAUACAACCCAUGGAAAGGAUGACAUCAAGUGGUGAUCGUCAUCAAGAUUGCCGUGUGCAAGUUCAAGUGGAGCAUCACGAAGAGAUCAAGUUCUUGAAUCUUACCAUCCAUUGUGGUGUCAAUGGACUUGUGAAGAUGUGCCGAAGAGUGGCUCACCCAUAGUGGACUAUGGGGAAGCAAUCAUCUAGUCUUCAUCGAGCCAACGCAAUCAAGAAAUGUGGUCCAACUUGAGGGAGUCAAGAUCAUCAUCAUCUAGCUUAGGUGGACCAUGUGCAAGGCUGUAAGUGCAUCUAGUGCCACCCCUAGUUGGUUUUGGAGUAUUGACAACAAACCUGGUUGAGAGACUAAUGUGUUUGUGAGAAUUGCAGGAUAACACAGGCAGUAGUCCCUCAUUGAUUCAGUUUACCUACCGGAAAUGACCCCUAAAAAUGUGUGAAGACAUUGAAGACAAUGGUGGUCUGUGAAGCUAUUCACGUUGAAUACUAUGACACGAGAAGACAUUGAGUGAAGACUAUGGAGCGCGAAGACUUAGUUGUUUCGUUGUUUCCUUUUCUUCUGUGUUGAGUCAUAGGAACCACCACACUGUUAAGUGAGGUCCAAGUGAACAAAGUCAGAGUAACUGAAGUGAUGCUCAACCAAAUCCUAUGUCUUCGAGCGAAGACAAUGAGUGCAAAUCUUAUCCAGAGUCGGAUAAGUCAGCUUUACUUGUAGCCCAAGUCAAGCUGCCGCGUGUGUUUGAAAUCUGACCAUUGUGACAUGUGUCAGUUCCUUAGCGACCCAGGGUCAUUUUGGACAAAUCAGGUUGGGUUGCCAAAUGGCUAUAAAUAGCCCACCCCCUACACCAUAAAUUGGUGGCUGCUACACGACUUUUGUCGUUUUGAGAACAACCCACCUCCUAAGCUUUUGAGAGAGAAUCCUUGCAAGGACAAAGCCCAAACCACCCAGAGCUCAAAGAGAGUUUGGCAUCACUGAAGUCCUUCUGUCCACGUGAUCUGAAGACUUGUUACACUUGAGGAUUGUGAAUCCUCCAGCCAGUUAGGCGUCGCGUCUGAGCAUCCAAGAGCCAUUGUGGAUUGCCGGUGAACGAAGUCUGUGAAGGUUUGGAAGUCUACCUUGAAGACUUACCAGAGUGAUUGGGAGGGGACUAGGUGUCCUUAGCUCAAGGGGAAUAAGGUGAAGACGCGGUCUUCUGAGUUGAAUCUCAACCUCCCUAACCAGACGUACAGUUGUCACAGCAACUGGAACUGGUCGAACAAAUCCCUGUCCUCCUGAAGCUACUGGUUCUAUCUGUCACUUCCCUCUACUUACAGUUUGUCUUCGUGAAGUCAUUGCCUGCUUGCAUUAUCUGUUUGACUUCACUAUGUGACUACCUAUUCUGAUUGGCUUCAUUCUAUCUUCCAUCCUGAUCUUUACUACCUAGCUGCUAUUAGUCUCCGUGCUUUCACUUCAUUGAAUACUUGACUAUGGCUUGUCUAGUGUAGUCUACCUUCCGCUGCAUACGAAUAGUGUUGUUUCUAUUGUUUGUCUUUGAAACUUCCAUGUUUUGAAGACUUUCAUAAAAAUCGCCUAUUCACCCCCCCUCUAGUCGAUAACUAGCCCUUUCAAUUGGUAUCAAAGCAAGGUACUCCCUUGUUCUGUGUGAUUCGGUUUAACCACCUGGAGUUUUAGCUAUGUCGACUGGAGGGAUAAUCAAAGUCUCCGCUACGUGCCCCAUCUUUGAUGGCACUGAGUAUUCCUACUGGAAGAAUAGGAUGCACAUGCAUCUUGAAGCCAUUGAUGUCGACCUGUGGUACGUCGUCAAGAAUAGCGUUCCCAAGACUGGUGAAGGUGUCACCCCUGCUGAUGUCAAGAAGUUCAUUCAACUAGACUCUACAGCCAAGAACAUCACCUGUGGUCAUCUGACCAAAGGACAAUAUGGUUGUGUGAGUGCUCUGGAAACGUCAAAGCUAGUCUGGGACUGGCUCUCCAAGGUCAAUGAAGGCGUCUCCACUCAGCGAGAUCAACGGAUCAGUACUCUCCGCAACCUCUUCAACCGCUUCAAGAGACAUGACAACGAGAAUGUCCAGCUUACAUUUGAUCGCCUCACUGAUAUCACAAAUGAGCUCCAAGCAUUCGGCACCACUGAGAUCACGAAGCAUGAAAUAGUGAAGACACUACUGAGAUCUGUGGACAACUCAUUUGACACCUUAGCCCUGAUGAUACAAGAAUUCCCUGACUUCAAGACACUCGAUCCGUCUGACAUACUCGAGAGGCUCAACACACAUGAGUACCAGCUAUCUAAGAAACGAGAUAUCUAUGGCCCCAACUAUGGCCGAACUCGCGCUUUGAAGGCAAAGGCUGCUGCUUCCUCAUCUGAAGAAGAAUCUGACUGCAGUUCUGGUGAUCCUAAAGACAUUGGAAAGGAGCUUGCCAUGCUUGUGAAGAAGCUCCAGAAAUUCACCAAGAAGAAAGGCUUCAGAAAGUCUUCACGAUCCAUCUCAAGGAAUGAUGAAGCUUCUGACCACAAGAAGAGAACCUACCACAAGUGCAAGAAACCUGGUCACUACAUCUCUGAGUGUCCACAGUGGGACAAUGAGAAGAAGAAGAAGAAGAGCAAAGAAUAUGAUUCUGAUGACAAGAAGAAGAAGAAAUCUUCCAAGUCUUCUUCCAAGUCUUCAUCACACAAGAAGAGCUCAUCUGGCAAGGCCCAUGCUUUUGUUGGCAAGGAAAUGGAUUCAGAGGAGGAGUCUGCUUCUGAGGAAACGGAGGUGCAGUCUGAGGAAGAGUCUGACUCUGGUGUUGCGAGUCUGGCUCUAGCUACAGCCUACGUCGCCAAGUCCAUCUUCAACACUGAAGACAAUGGCUCCAUCACCAACACUGAUGAUAAUGACAAGGAUGACUCACCUCCCACCUACUGCUUCAUGGCACGUGGUGCCAAGGUAAAAUCACGCGAUGCUUACUUUCAAACAUCUAGUGAAGAUGACUCUGAUGGUGAAUCCAAACCUAGUUACAAAACACUUGCUAAAAUUGCAACUGAACAACAGAAAGCUAUGGAACAUACUUAAAAACUGUUAGACAAAAGCGAUGACCUGUUGGAUGCAGAAAUGACCAAGUCUCAGUCCUUAAUUGAAGAUAUCAAAAAUCUUCAUGUUAAGUACCAGGAACUUGAAGGUCGACAUGAAUCGCUCUCAACUUCUCAUGAAAAGCUUUCCUAUGAUUAUCUUCAAAGGAAGCAGGAACUUGAGAAAUUGAGAUCGGCUCAUGAAGAUCUUCGAAAGGAUCGAGUCACUUCGCGCUCAAUAGAUCAGUCCCGCUCAGGAAGGAUUUGAACCACCAUGCCUAAAAUGCAUUGAGCGUGAUAACACUACCUCUGUUGCUGAAUGUUCUACUGCUACUCCUGUUGCAAUAUCUUCAACUGCUGAUGUGGUAACUGACCCCUCUGUUGAGGAUACCACUACUAUUGCUAAUGAGAAUGCCAGGUUGAAGACACUGCUUGAGACAGGGAUGUACAAAAGUCUCAAAGGUCAUCAAACAUUAUGUGAUGUCCUCAAAAAGCAGAUUCUGAACCGAAACCCUAGGAAAGAGGGUGUUGGGUUCGAGAGGAAAAUGAAUGUUGAUGGGUCCUACUGGAAGCCUGAGCAGUACCCCAAAACCACAUGUGUUGCUGCGAAGGAACCUUCAGUAGAUCCAUCCACCUUAUCUGGUUUCACUUGUGCUAACCCCAUUAUCAUUGAUGAAUCCUUUGAUGCAAACUAUAAACUAUUUAAGAAUCAGAAUGGUGAAGUGUUUGCCAGGUAUAUUGGUACUAACUGCAGGAAUGGACCACCUAUGAAGAAGAUAUGGGUACCUAAAAGUUGUCUUGAGAAUCUUCCAGUGAAUGUCAUCAUGACACCACCUGUGAAGAAGACAAACCCCAUACCAAAGGCUUCAUAUGGUCCUAAAGCUUCAUACAGACCGUGGACUCAUCCGAGUCACCCUAACGUCAAUGUUUUGCAGGGAAAUCAUACUCAGACCCAUGAAUAUGAGCGUGUUUCAUUAAACCGCUAUGUUCAUAGAACUAAGAACUUUUCUGCUUAUUCAUAUGAGUAUUAUUCACCUCCUGCAAGGCUAUUUACUAGGGCUCCAAAGCCGAAAUUCUCAGAUGCUGCACUUAGACUCACUGCUUCUAAGCCACCCCUAAAAAUGUGGGUGGUUAAGAAAACUUAACUCCCUUUUGCAGGGAAAGGUCUCCAUCCGGAAAACUAAGGCGUCCAAAACAGAUGCUGGGGACCUUAAACAUCUUGUGGGGCGCAAGAUAAAAUUCCCAAAUGGCUAUGACACCUCGUACUUUAGAAUGGAUUAUGGACAGUGGAUGCACUAAUCACAUGACUGGCGAUUGAAGUCUUCUGAUGGAUUCAACGCUACAUCCAUCAAACAAAAGUCACAUCACAUUUGUUGACACCGGUAAAAGCAUGGUAUUGGGUCUAUGUAGAGUUGCAAUAUCAAGGGAUCAACACAUGGAUAAAGUGAUGCUUGUUGAAUCCCUUGGUUUCAACUUAAUGUCUGUCUCAAUGCUUUGUGACCUAAACAUGAUUGUGCUAUUUGGAAAAUAUCGAUGCCUUGUGCUAAUGGAAUCUGACAAGUCUCUAGUAUUUGAAGGAUAUCAGAAAGAUGAUCUGUAUAUGGUAGAUUUCUCAGCAGGACCACAGAUGGCCGUAUGUCUUCUAGCAAAAGCUUUAGAGUGCUGGCUUUGGCAUCGAAGGCUAGGGCAUGCUGGCAUGAGGAACUUGCACACUCUCGCGAAGAAGAAGCAUGUCGUGGGUAUCGAAGGCGUCAAGUUAAAAAAGGAUCAUCUAUGUGGUGCCUGCGAAGCUGGAAAGAUGACCAGGGCCAAGCAUCCCUCGAAGACAAUCAUGACUACAUCUCAACCUUUCGAGAUGCUACACAUGGACUUAUUUGGCCCUACUCACUACUCUACUCUCAAUGCUACUGCUUGUCUCUAUGGCUUCGUCAUUGUUGAUGAUUACUAUUGAUAUACUUGGGUGCAUAUAAUCCUCUACAAGACUGAAGUGCAGGAUGUCUUCAAAUGCUUCGCAAAUCGUGCCAUGACGAACUAUGGCAUCAAGAUCAAGCACAUCAGAAGCGACAACAGCAAUGAGUUCAAGAACACCAGCCUCGACCUGUAUCUGCAUACCCUGGGUAUUACUCAUGAGUUCUCUGCUCCUUACACACCUCAGCAGAAUGGCAUCACAGAGCGCAAGAACAUGACUCUUAUUGAGAUGGCCCGAACGAUGCUUGAUGAGUACAAGACUCCACAGAAGUUCUGGCUUGAAGCCAUUGAUACUGCAUGCCACGUCAUCAAUCGUGUUUAUCUUCACAAGCUUCUGAAGAAAACAUCCUAUGAGCUCCUAACUGGUAAGAAGCCGAAUGUAAGGUACUUCAGAGUAUUUGGUGCUAAGUGCUGGAUCAAGGAUCCACAUCACACUUCAAAAUUUGCACCGAAAGCACAUGAAGGUUUUAUGCUUGGUUACGGAAAGGAUUCGCACUCCUACAGAGUCUUCAACCUCUUUCACUAUAAAGUGGUUGAAACUGUAGAUGUGCGGUUCGAUGAGACUAAUGGCUCGCAAAGAGAGCACCUGCCAAAUGUGCUAGAUGAAGUACCUCCAAGUGAAUCUAUCAAGCAGAUGGGAAUUGGAGAUAUCAUACCUUUUGAGAAUCAAAGUGAAGAGGAGCUUAUCAUUUCUGCACCUAAUCAACCUGAAGACAAUGCUCAGCCUGAAGACAAUCCCCCAAAUGAUGACAUUGAUCAGCAAGAGCAAAAUCCUCGUCCUGUUCAUCCUCGUGUUGCAAAUGAAGUUCAGAUUGAGAAGAUAAUUGAUAGCUUGAAUGCACCUGGUCCACUCACUCAUUCAAAAGCAACUCAAAGAGCAACAUAGCUAACCAAUUUCUGUGGGUAUUUUGCAUUCGUCUCAAUCUCUGAACCGAAGAAAGUUGAUGAAGCCUUCAUGGAACCUGAAUGGAUUCAAGCUAUGCAAGAAGAGCUUCAAUAGUUCGAGCUGAGUAAUGUGUGGGAAUUGGUCAAGCGUCCUGAUCCUCGGAAGCACAAUAUCAUUGGCACCAAGUGGAUAUAUCGCAACAAGCAAGAUGAGCAUGGUCAAGUGGUCAGAAACAAAGCUCGUCUCGUUGCACAAGGUUACACUCAAGUGGAAGGAAUUGACUUUGAUGAAACAUUUGCUCCGGUGGCAAGGCUUGAAGCCAUUCGCAUACUGCUUGCCUAUGCAAAUCAUCACAACAUCCUUCUGUAUCAAAUGGAUGUGAAGAGUGCUUUUCUCAAUGGAAUGAUAGAAGAAGAAGUAUAUGUCGCACAAUCUCCUGGCUUUGAAGAUCCAAAACAUCCUGAUAUGGUAUGCAAGCUCAACAAGGCACUGUAUGGCCUCAAACAAGCCCCUCGUGCUUGGUAUGAUACGCUCAAAGACUUCCUGAAGAGUAAAGGCUUCAAACCUGGUUCACUAGAUCCUACACUCUUCACGAAGACAUAUGAUGGUGAACUGUUUGUGUGCCAAAUCUAUGUGGAUGACAUUAUCUUCGGCUGCACCAACAAGAAAUACAGUGAUGAGUUUGGUCACAUGAUGCAAGAGCAAUAUCAGAUGUCCAUGAUGGGUGAGCUGAAGUUCUUUCUGGGUCUCCAAAUCCGUCAGCAACACAAUGACAUCUUCAUAUCUCAAGAAAAAUACCUCAAAGAUUGCCUGAAGAAGUUUGGAAUGCAAGACUGCAAAGGAUACACGACGCCAAUGCCAACCAAAAGUCAUUUGGGUCCCGACGACAAUGGUAAAGAGUUCAAUCAAAAGGUACACUGCUCCAUGAUUGAUUCUUUGCUUUAUUUAUGUGCAUCUAGGCCAGAUAUAAUGCUUAGUGUUUGCACAUGUGCCCGAUUCCAAGCGGCACUAAAGGAAUCGCAUCACUUAGUUGUGAAGCGAAUCUUUAAUAUUUGGCUUACACCCCAACACUAGGAUUAUGGUAUCCAAAGGGCUCAGAGUUUGAUCUAGUUGGAUUCUCAGAUGCUGAUUAUGCUGGUGACAAGGUUGAUCGCAAGUCCACAUCAGGCACAUGUCACUUUAUAGGAUGAUCACUUGUCUGUUGGUCUUCAAAGAAGCAGAACUGUGUAUCUCUCUCCACUGCUGAAUCUGAAUACAUUGCUGCGGGGUCUUGCUGUGGUCAGCUUCUUUGGAUGAAGCAAACUCUCAAGGACUAUGGUAUACACCUGAAGAAUGUGCCACUCUACUGCGACAAUGAGAGUGCCAUCAAGAUUGCAAACAACCCAGUUCAACACUCGAAGACAAAGCACAUUGAGAUUCGUCAUCACUUUCUCAGAGAUCAUGUUAUGAAGGAAGAUAUUGAUAUCAUUCACGUCAACACUGAAGAGCAAUUGGCUGAUAUCUUCACAAAGCCCUUGGAUGAGAAAAGGUUUUGCAAGUUGCGGUGUGAGCUAAAUAUCUUGGAAUCCUCAAAUGUCCUGUGAACUGGACACACAUCCUAACACUUAUGCAUUUUGAUGACUUAGAUGUGCAACACACAAAGUAACGUAUAUCUUCAAUCAAUGAAGACAUACACUCUAAGUGUGAAUACAUUAAUGCGGAAUUUGACUUCGGAGCGCCACAAUAAUUGUGCACCGUGUCUGGGUCUAAUACUUCCUAUACGGCGGGUAACACCACCACUAAACUUUUGUUUUGAAGUGUUUCCCUUGGCGUUAUAUUUGCGAAGCUUUCAUCUUGAUUUAUCUUCAUCGUGUUGAUUUGAUCUUAUGCUAGGUAUAUACAUAUUUGUGUUCUGUCCUCUACAGCAUUCACUUAUAGCUAUGACUUCGUACUGAAUCUUUUGAUCUAAGUGAAUGUGAUCAGACCCUAACCUAUCUAUGCUUCUACCUCAACUCUAUCUAUCCAAAUCAUAUGCAUUCUAUUGAAAACUGUCGAUUGUCUUCACUGAACCUUGUCAGCCGAAGUCAAUCUGACAAACAUUUAUAUCUGUUUUUAAUGCUAUAUCCUUACUGCCUGAAAACAGGAGAAUUCGGAACGACCACCCCAACAAUCCAGGCAUGCGUGGGAACAUGGAACAACUUCCAAGGUGUUGCAUGCUUGCCACGUGCCCUUCAGAUGUGAACCGCUAGGGGCACCUGCGUAAUUGCACUGUGCCAUCUCUUUCCUUAUAAAUACCCGUCACAUCUCCGUCAAAUAUUCUUCUUCCACCUCGCCACCUCUCGCAAACCCUAGCGUCUCCGCUAGCUCUCGACGACGCCGGCGACGAAGCGCUUAGCUGUCGCAACUUCUCCGACGCUGUCCUCACACCGACCGUGGACCUUGUCCUCUUCGCCGUCGCCAUAGGUGUCCUUUGUCACCAAGUUAGGGCACGGAAGAUUGAACUGCUCGGCCUCCAACUUCGCUCCAUCUAGCAGUUCUUUGUGUGGUAAUUAAAAUUCACCUUUUACGGUCUUUUCGAUCUGAUAGAUUCAUCCUUCUUUACCAAAAGUGGUUUCUAGAUCUCCAAAGCUGAAUCUAUCUCUUUGUGCAUCUCAUACUAUGCCUAGUCUAUUCACUUAUGCUUCUCUACAAGUUAGAUUCCUCACUUGUACUUAUUCUUGGAUUCGUACAAAUUUGGAACCAACUUUCAUCAAAUAAGUGAAUGUCUUCGCGCUAUGAGGUCAAUGUCUUCAAACUGAUUUAUCUUCAAAAUCUUCUGAGAAUGCAUAUGACCUCUUCCCCUUCCCUCGCACCACUAAUGCUAUCACAUGUACAUGUCCGUGGGAGAAUCCCUUGGUUCUUAUAGUCUGCAUUCGUUUGCAGAAUUCUUACAGAGUCACAUCAAUUCUCUCGAAGCCAGUUCUUGUCUGACCAGCCGUCGGAAGCCUUAGCAAGUACUGAAGCCUUUCAGGUUAAGCUUCAUGGCCACUGAGAAGUCAGCAAGAAAGGGUGCCAGACAGCGCCAUGGGAACACCUCCAAGGAUUUGCCUCCAGAUUUGCAUGAAUUGUACAAAACAGACCCAGAGGAAACCUAUGGAGGACGCAAGAAUCGAAUCCAAUGGAUUCGAAGAUAUUGGGCAGAGGAAUGGUUCAAGUACCGAUUCGUCACGGCUGAGUAUGCUGAGAAGAAUGCCAUCAAGCAGACCCGGGGAGAUAUUGUAUACAAAAAUCUUCAACCCUAGUCCCGUUCUGAAGCCAUUCAACGAGAAUUCUAUCCGUGCAUGGUUCGUGGACCGCAGCCAGAGAACGCUGACCCUUCUUCUUUGCUGUGGUGCCGUGAAGACCAUCUGUUCAAGCGCAAGUUUCAGUUCACCAAAGACUCUGCUACAAAGAACAAGAAGGCAUUAGGACUUGACUUCAACCAUGGUCCUUCUUCACCUCGGGAAGAUGGCACCUAUGAAGCCAAUGAAAAUAGGAUUGGCCCCUUCUACAACCUCGCCGGCCUCAUCACACACAUUGCCGUCCAAGGUGCAAACAUGUAUCAUUCUGGUGAUGAUGCUGAUUCUGAUGAUGCACCAGCUCCACCUCCUCAGCCACCGAAGCAAAAGAAAGCUAAGGCUUCAAAACCAACUGCUGCACCAAAAGCUUCUUGAGUGAAGCCAUUGACAACUGCCCCUCCCGCUCCAAGUAACACCUCUGAAGAUCUCUCUCGCAUCUCCAAGAAGCGCGAGAAGCCACAGAAGAAAACUGUUCAGAGAUCCAGUCAAGCACUAACACCAGCUGCCGUUCUGAGGAACGAAUCUGAAGCCAUUGAUCUAUCUUCAGAUGAGGAGUUUGGUAACGGUGCUCUUGAGAAACUGAUAAAGAGCAAGCAAGAUGCGGAGAUCUUCAAUGAUCUGCCCCUCUUCAAUGUGAACAUUUUGGACAAUUUCAUUGAUGAGUGGUUUGACAAUCAAGAUCUCAGUUUUGAUGAUCUUCAGCUCCCCAUUGGCAUCAGCGUCGCCUUCCAAUGCGCAAUUGCUCCUGAGCUGGCUCUGGCUCAGUGAAUUGUUGAAUUGAAGAACAAGAUUGACUUUGAGAAAGAGCAGUUCAAGAAACAUGUGGCCAAGCUUAGUGUGGCUGAUGUUCAGAAAUUCAAGCUGAUGCUGAAUGAUCUCAAGGAGGCGUUUCGUAAGAAACGCAAACAAGCCAAAGGUUCAAGAGGGCGCAUGAAGAAUCUUGGUGCCAAGUGUGUUCAAGCUUACAAUGAAGCUGAGAAGCACAAGGCACUUGGGCGUCCAGGCAUUGACCCCAAGAUGGCUGCCAAGAAGAAGAAGUCUACUGUGGCCCCAACUGAAGCUCCAAGGUCGGAAGAACCUCACAUUGUCUUCCCAGCCAGGAUGACAAGCUCGAAGCCCCACAAUGGUUUCAGAACAGAAGAAAAUCAAGGCUGCUGAAGCCGAAGCCACAAAGCGAAAAAUCAAGAACACCACUGAUGAUGCACCCCCCCAAGAAGAGAGAUCGGGCUGCUCCCAAAGAGCCCCUUGUUGUUGAGCCCAUUGCUUUUGCUCAUCCUGCAUCUGAAAAUCAAGAGCGUCAGUUGAUAGUUCAUGAGUCUGCUUCCACAGAGGCUCCUGAAGCUCAAGAAAUUCCAGUUGUUGACCCCAUCGCGACUGAAGACAUUGGUCCUCAAGACAAUGUCGAAGAUGAUGAAGUCCUUCCUCAGAUUGAGCACCCAACGAUAUCAUCGCCUGUUCUCACGAACAACGAGCUCAUUAGUAUUGGUCGUCCUUUGACACCAAUCUCUCAAGAUGCCUCAUGGGCUGAUCACCACCAACCAGCAACUCUGAGUCAAGAUUCACCGUGUACACCCCGUCCUCCACCAGCGCAAGUCACCAGCCCAUUGGUGAAUAAUGAUAAUUACAUGGAGACCACACCCUCGCCAAAGGCGUCGCCCGUGUUUCAACGGCUUCGCAAAGGCCUAAGGCCAUCUGUCUCCAUGACUACCAUCACAGAAGAAGACUCAAAUCAGUCCAGCUCAGUGGCACGUCAAGUGUUCCCUGAAGAUAAUCCUUCUAUUGCGGUUCCUGUGUUAGAAGCUAAUGCUUCUGAAGCGAUUCCGGCUGUAACAGCCGAUGAAAGACAAGAAUAAGAGCGUGUUGCUACUCCCCCUACCACCCAAGAAGUUGUUAUCGAGGAGAACGUGUCUGUGCCUGACCCUCCAGCUACUCAAGUGGAGGUUGAGAAUCCUGAGGCGGCCACCAAAAACACCACUGAAGCCAAUGACGUUGUCAUGGCUGAAGAUAAUGUGGCGCCUGCAGUCAACACUGUGGAUGAAGCCAAUGAUGUACCUGCCACUAAUGUGCAGCCUGACGCCAUUGCAAAUGCAUCUGCUCCUGUCCCGCCUCCAAGGCCUCAUACCAUUGAGCAAGCAUUCUAUCAAGGCGACCUGGUCACACUGAGAUGGCCAAUUCUGGUUCCUCCGCCUGCUCCCAAACCUCAGUUUGAUUAUCAUGUGGAGCACAGGCCUCAGGUUCAGAAGCCAAAGCCCAGAUUGCCACGGUUUCCAGGUACUGCAUCUGCACCAGGCUCAUUCAAUGUCAACAGCUUCAUUGCACACAACACCUUCUUCGAUAAAGACAAGAACCCAUAUUCCAAGCCAAGAAUAUCAUCUGAUCGGUUCUGGAGUUAUCAGCAGCACAGCUACUACUCCCGCGUUCUAUACAAUCAAGGGCACAUAUUUCCUCAUAUGCGCCUGGAUUCUGAAGCCAUUGCUGGCCUGCCCUGCUUAGAAGAAGCACUUGACUGUUUCCGAGAUGCAGGCCUGCUCCAGUUUGGCACUGAUAAGGAGCAUUGGAAUGAAGAGCUUCUGCUACAAUUUUAUGCAACUCUCCACAUUCGCGGCUACAACAGGGAUCCAAAGAUAUGGGUCCUUGAGUGGAUGACAGGCAAUGUCCAUCAUGAAGCCAAAGCUUUUGAUCUCAUUGAGCUUACCAACCUGUCCACUCCAGGUGAACUCUAUGAACCUGGUUGUCAGCUUCACCGUGAUGCAUUGGAAAGCAUCUUUCAGAAGCCAGAGCCCAACAUGAGUCAAAUGCUGAGCAUGAUGAAGCCACUGCCACAGGAUGCCGAAUAUCCCAAGGAAUUCUUUGUUGAAGACCUAGAGUAUCUGCCCCACACCAUCUAUCACAUCAUUAGGCGUACUCUAUGGCCCAUCAAAGGGCAUUCCUCCUCAGCAAAGCUUGAAGGUGCAAUGAAGACAUUGGUCUUCUACAUUCUCAAUGGAAAAAGCUUCAAUGCUUAGGAUUUCUUCAUUCGUCAGUUUGCUGCAUCUGGCUCUGAAAUCUUUGGUCUGAAAUUUUAUGCUCCAUGGGUUAUGCGUCUGAUUAAGCUUCACUCUGCCGUUGACUAUCAUCCCUCUACACGCAACCAUCUCAUAUUUCUACCAGAGGUUGAUAUGUCCAUUGAAGCCAUUUACCCAGAGCCUGCGAAGGAAGCACUAUAUCUUCACAAUGCAGAUCGUCAGAGCUUUUCCUAGCAUGUUGAAGCUGUUCAGGUUGCUUCUCGUGUUUAUCCUCUGGCUGGCAACACUCGCCGUGCACGCACUGAAGCCACAGAAAGCACUAUUGAUCCAAGACCUCGGAAGUGAUCUCGUGUGCUAAAUGACCGAGAGCUUCUCGUGGCCUUGCAUCAGAAACACGACAAGCAUCACUACUGGCUCAAACGUCAAAUGCAAAGCCUCUUGGUGGAUGUCAAUCGCAUUCACAACCUUGCCAAAUGCCUUUGUCACUCAUGAAACCUGUCGGAGGUCAUGGAAGAGUCUGACCUUGCUUAGUGCUGAAGCUGAUCUUCAAGACGAUGACUUCACCGAGAGAUUCAAGUUCGACUCCACUCCUCCAAGGAAUGAUGUCUUGCGUCGAACCCCGUCUCUUGAAGAUUCAGAGUACUCCUCCUCCGCAGCUGCCGUAAAUGCCAGAGUCCUUGAUGAUGCCGAUGAUGCUACUUCACCACCGCCACCUUCGGCAUGUAUCGACACUGCACCAAGUUCUUCUGCACCACCAAACCUCAAUGACGACCCUGGUGCUUCACGUACUCCUCAUGGGAACGAUUAGCGACUAUGUCUUCAAACCUUUUUGGUCCUUACUGACAAAAGGGGGAGAAGCAUAUGUUGAUAGUCUUCAAGCGGGUCCAUAUGGGUGGUUUCUAUACUUUUGCCUAGUGUUUACAACUCUCGUUUUUUUAUACAUUUGAUUCUUUGAGUUGUAACACUUAAACUUGAUGGUCGUCUGCUACUUUUUCUGCUAUUUUGUGAUGCGACGAUAAAUUCCGCAUGUGCGAUGAUAAAUCCCGCAUGAAGUCAUUUCAUAGACGUCCAUUUUUCAUUAUGCAUGUCAUUAUUCUUGUAUAUCUGUUCAUGCAUGAUGUAUUGUCUUCAUAUGGUGAAGAUGAUCUCCACAAGUAGAACCUGCCAUGUGCAUUUGCAUUCCAACGCAACAUUAAUAUGCACAUCUUCAGGGGGAGCCUGUUUGCCACCUAUGAAGACAAUAUCUUAAUCCUUUACAAUUUCACAUACUUUUAUCCCCGUUGAAAACUUCAACCAGUUUGUCAUCAAUCACCAAAAAGGGGGAGAUUGUAAGUGCAUCUAGUGCCACCCCUAGUUGGUUUUGGAGUAUUGACGACAAACCUGGUUGAGGGACUAAUGUGUUUGUGAGAAUUGCAGGAUAACACAAGUAGUAGUCCCUCAUUGAUUCGGUUUACCUACCGAAAAUGACCCCUAAAAAUGUGUGAAGACAUUGAAGACAAUGGUGGUCUGUGAAGCUAUUCACGUUGAAGACUAUGACACGAGAAGACAUUGAGUGAAGACUAUGGAGCGCGAAGACUUAGUUUUUGUUGUUGUUUCCUUUUCUUCUGUGUUGAGUCAUAGGAACCACCGCACUGUUAAGUGGGGUCCAAGUGAACAAAGUCAGAGUGACUGAAGUGAUGCUCAACCAAAUCCUAUGUCUUCGAGCGAAGACAAUGAGUGCAAAUCUUAUCCAAAGUCGGAUAAGUUAGCUUUACUUGUAGCCCAAGUCAAGCUGCCGCGUGUGUUUGAAAUUUGACCGUUGCGACACGUAUCAGUUCCUUACUGACCCAGGGUCAUUUCGGACAAAUCAGGUCGGGUUGCCCAGUGGCUAUAAAUAGCCCACCCCCUACACCAUAAAUUGGUGGCUGCUCAGAGUUAGUACACGACUUUCGUCGUUUUGAGAGCAACCGACCUCCGAAGCUUUUGAGAGAGAAUCCUUGCGAGGACAAAGCCCAAACCACCGAGAGCCAAAAGAGAGUUUGGCAUCACUGAAGUCCUUCUGUCCGCGUGAUCUGAAGACUUGUUACACUUGAGGACUGUGAAUCCUCUAGCCGGUUAGGCGUCGCGUUCUGAGCAUCCAAGAGCCAUUGUGGAUUGCCGGUGAACGAAGUCUAUGAAGGUUUGGAAGUCUACCUUGAAGACUUACCAGAGUGAUUGGGCGGGGACUAGGUGUCCUUAGCUCAAGGGGAAUAAGGUGAAGACGCGGUCUUCUGAGUUGAAUCUCAGCCUCCCUAACUAGACGUACAGUUGUCACAACAACUGGAACUGGUUGAACAAAUCCCUGUCCUCCUGAAGCUAUUGGUUCUAUCUCUCACUUCCCUCUACUUACAGUUUGUCUUCGUGAAGUCAUUGCCUGCUUGCAUUAUCUCUUGGACUUCACUGUGUGACUACCUGUUCUGAUUGGCUUCAUACUAUCUUCCAUCCUGAUCUUUACUAUGUAGCUGCUAUUAGUCUUCGUGCUUUCACUUCAUUGAAUACUUGACUAUGGCUUGUCUAGUGUAGUCUACCUUCCGCUGCAUACGAAUAGUGUUGUUUCUAUUGUUUGUCUUUGAAACUUCCAUGUUUUGAAGACUUUCAUAAAAAUCGCCUAUUCACCCCCACUCUAGUCGAUAACUAGCCAUUUCAAAGUCAAAGGUUUUCCCUUGAUAGGUUUUCUAUUUUACCGGUCUCGUGGUGGUAGUUGCGAGACCGGGUUAUAGGAUCGUUUGCUGUACUAUCAAGGGGGGCUCUCAACUUGGUAGCUUGAUUGUAUCGUUACUAGAGAUCUCAAACCAUUGCAUCCUUGCAUCAUGUUUAUUGGUUCUUGUUUAUUUCUCUUUCUGAGUCUUAGAGCUCAUGGUCAUCUUGAUGACAAGCUUGAGUUCAUCGAAAACGGAGUUCGCAUGCGUCUUCUAUGAUGUUUUCGGUGUUGGAGGUUUUACCGGUCUUAUCCGAGUAAGGGUUCUCACCAUUUUCUUAUGGGACUUUUCUCAUUUGCUUCUUGUUGAUAUUUCUACCAAUAUUGUGUUAGCCCAUGUCAUUAGCUUUCCAACAAACUUGGUUUCGUAGAAUUCGGAGUCCGUUUGCAAAAGUUGUGGCUGUUUUGGUAAAGGCUGCAGCGGUACUACCGUGACUAGAGCGGAUGUAAUUUUUUACUACCGCUCCAGAGCGGUACUACCACGGCUCCUGAGUGAUAGUACCGCUCCAGAGCAGUACUACCGCAGCUCCUAAGCGGUAGUACUGCUCUGGACCAAAAUCUCGUAUUUUGCUCAGCGGAGGUAGGCACGUAAGUAUUUUUUUAGUACCGCUCGCAAGCUGUAGUACCGCUACCAUUUGUGGUAGUACCGUGAGGUCGAGCGGUAGUACCGUGAGGACGAGCGGUAGUACCGUGAGGACGAGCGGUAGUACCGCUCCGGCGGUUCUACUGGCCUUUUGCCUCCUCGCUAUUGUUUUUCAAAGGGGUACUACCGCCCUAGCGGUAGUACCGCUCUGUGCGGGCUGUGAGCAUAACGGUUGGAUUUUUCCCCACCUAUAAAAGGGGGUCUUCUUCCCCAUUGAACCUUAUCCUUUGAGCUCGUGUUCUUCCCCCAUUGUUGACCUUCUUCGAGCUUGCUAACUCUCAAUCCCUCCAUGGAUUUCUUGCUAGUUUUUGAGGGAAAAGAGAGAGAGGAGAUCUAGAUCCACAUUUCCACCAAUCACUUUCUCCUCUAUGUGAGGGGAACCCCUUGUAUCUAGAUCUUGGAGUUCUUGGUGUUCUCCUUCUUGUUCAUCCUCUCAUCUUCCUCCCUAGCAUUAGUUGCUCCGGUGGGAUUUGAGAGAGAAGGAUUUGGGCACUCCGUGUGCCCUUGCCAUUGCAUUUGGUGCAUCGGUUUGAGUUCUCCACGUGAUACAUGGAAGUUACAAGUUGAGAAGCUUAUUACUCUUGGGUGCUUGGUACCCUUGAGCUUGUUACUCUUGGGUGUUUGGACACCCUAGAACUUGUUCCUCUUGGGUGCCUUGGCGCCCUAGACGGUUGGUGUUGUUCGGAGCUCAAUCAUUGUGGUGUAAAGCUCCGGGCAAGCGUCGGGGUCUCCAAUUAGGUUGUGGAGAUCGCCCCGAGCAAUUUGACUGGUACCGGUGACCGCCCCCAAGGGUUGCCAAUGUGUACGGGUUCGGUGACCGCCCCCAAGGGUCACCAUUUGUACGGGUUCGGUGACCGCCCUCAAGGGUCCCUUAGUGGAAUCACGACAUCUUGCAUUGUGCGAGGGCGUGAGGAGAUUACGGUGUCCCUAGUGGCUUCUUGGGGAGUAUUGUGCCUUCACACCGCUCCAAACGGAGAUUAGCAUCCACAAGGGUGUGAACUUAGGGAUACAUCGUCGUCUCCGCGUGCCUCGGUUAUCUCUUUCCCGAGCCAUUUACUUAUGCACUUUACUUUGUGAUAGCCAUAUUGUUCUUUGUCAUAUAUCUUGCUAUCACAUAGUUGCUUAUCUUGCUUAGCAUAAUUUGUUGGUGCACAUAGGUGAGCCUAGUUGUUUUAGGUUUUGUGCUUGACAAAUUAACCGCUAGGUUUAUUGCGCAUUUGUUCAAGCCUAAACCAUAAUUAUUUUAAAGCUUCUAUUCACCCCCCUCUAGGCGAUAUCCUCGAUCUUUCAAUUGGUAUCAGAGCCUCGUCCCUCUUUAUUAGGCUUUACCGCCUAGAGAGUAAAGAUGUCUACUAGGGGAUUAGGAUUCUGUGACACUCUUAGUUUCGAUCGCACAAAUUUUGAUGUUUGGGUAAUUCGCAUGCUUAAUCUCUUUAGGGUCAUGGACCCAAAUUUAGAGCGAAUUGUAGAUAUGGGUUUUUUCACCUCCAAAGGAUACCCAAAGAUUAUCUUUAGAGGAUGAGAAAAACUCUUAUCUCAAUGCUCAAGCUUCUAAUGUGCUUUUCGAUGCUUUGAGCAAUGUAGUUAUAUUUCAACUCAUGCCGUUCCGAGAUGCUCAUGAGUUGUGGACGAAGCUUCAAGAUAAAUAUGGUGUGUCCAAGAUUUGCGGGGAUGAUUGUUCUCCCUCCACCUCCAGUCGUAUAGUCUUCUCAACUUCUUCUACUUCACCUACAUGUGGUUUGUCACAAGGUAAUUGUAUGGUGAGUAGUGUUGGUCAUUGCAAUGAUGAUAAUAUGCUUAUUGUGGAUGAUCAUUCAUCACUAUAUUAUUGCGAUGCUCCUUCUUUGGGCUUUAACACUUCAAGCACUCCAAAUGUUUCACAUGCUUGUGUUGAUAGUCCCUGCAUAUCAUGUAGAAAUUACUUGACUAAAUCUCAUGAUAAUAUGCUUGCUAUGCCUUGUUUCCAUGAUAAAAAUGCAUCUAUUUCCUCGAAUUGUUGUGCUAACAAUGUAUAGGAAACCCAACACUCCAUGGAACAAGAUGUGGUGUUUAAUGGUACCUCAAGGGAUCCUACAUCAUCAUCUAUUGCUUUUUGCCUUAUGGCUAAGGCGUCAAAGGCAUCUCCUACUUUGUACCCCAAUAUGUCUCUUUAUGAUGAUGUUGAUGCUAAUGAUGAUGCGGAUAAUGAUGAAGAGAAUGAUAAUGUUGCCUCCUUGAAAACUAAGGGGGAAAUGAUUUUUAAAGCCCUUCAUAAAAAUAAAAUUGCUUGUUCCAACUUCAUGGAAAUAAUGUCCAUUGCCAUUGAUGUCAAGAAAUACAUUGAGGAGUUGUAAUCUCAUCUAGAGGAGCAUGAGGUCACCAUUGAGAAUAUGGAAGCUCAUGAGCGUGAUUACGCAAAUGAGAUCGCGGAGCUAUCUCAAGCUCUUGAACAUGAACAAACCACCUCCGAAUCUCUUGAGGAGACUUUUGCUCUAAAGUUAUCUAGAGUGAGGGAAUCUCAUGAUAGAGCUCUUGAGGUGGCCAAUGAUUUCAAAACUAGAAAUGCUAAGUUUGAAGUUGCUCAUGCUAGACUCCUUGAGGACUUUGAGCACCUCGAAAAUGGCUCUAGGGUCAUUAAGAGUGAGCUCAUCGAACUCACCGAGUCUCAUGCUCAACUUAAAGCUUCUUAUUUAAAAGACUUGCCAAGUUGUCUUCUCCUCUUGUUGUUAAUGAUGAUGCUUGUGCUACUAACUCUAUCUCUUGUGAAGCAUCCAUAUUUAAGGAGAAUGUUGAGCUAAGGGCACAACUUGAGUUGCUAUCUAGCAAUUAUGGGAUGUCAUGUGAAGCUCACAAGCUCUCAUGAUGAUCUUCUAGUAUCCCAUAAUGUGCUAACGAUAGCUCAUGAGGCCAUGCUUGCUAAGGUAACAUCUAGUGAGCCUCAUGUGGAUACUAGCACUACUUUUAGUCAAAAUGCUAUAUUGUCUUGUGCUAGUCCUCGUGAUUCAUCCAUGCAUAACAUUGGUACAUCUUGUGAUGAAUUGCUUUCCUUGCCUUGUUUCUCUAACGAUGAAGCUUAUACCUCCUCUAGUGCUUGUGUUGAGACUAACCAUGUAGAUGAAAUCAAAGAACUCAAGGCCCAAGUCACUUCUUUGAAGAAAGACUUGGAAAAGUGUCAUGAAGGGAAGGCCACACUCAACAAUAUCUUGAGUGUGCAAAAAUCCCCCAAUGACAAAGGUGGAAUUGGAUUCAACUCCAAUAAGAAGAAGAAGUCCAAGAGCAACAAGAAGAAGGGCCAAAAACAAGUCAAGAAUUUGGCCAAGAUCAUUUGCUUCAAGUGCAAAAUUGAAGGGCAUCAUGUUAGAUCUUGCUCAUUGAAGAAGAAGGCCAUUAGUGACAAGAAACAAGGGAAGCGUCCACAAGUUCAAUCUCAUGCUUAACCACAAGUUGAAGAAAGGCCUCUUCCCAAGAAAACUCAAGCUAAUUAUUCUCAAGUUGAGAAAUUAAGUGAGAAGAAAGUGAAGAGUAGAUGUUGCUACCUAUGUCGUGAGAAAGGUUACCUUGCUUCAUCAUGCACUAGUGGUAACUUAUCCAACCCAACUAUUAUUGAUGAUAUCUAUUCUCUUGGGAAGGAUAAGGUUGGCAAUGUAUUUGCCAAAGUUGUUAGUACUCAAAGUGGUGUCAAGAUAAGGACCAUUUGGGUAGCCAAGCCUAUUGUGACUAACCUCUUAGGACCCAACUUGGUUGGGGACCAACUAGCUCAAACUUGAUCAAUAGGUGUUGUUGGAGGGCAUUGGAGACCUGGCUACAUUAUGAAGAAUUAAGGGGACUUCAUCACUCUUAUUGUCUCAAGCCGAGUCAAUUGAAUCAUCAAGUCUAUAUCUUAUAUCCAAUGUGCCUCCUUGCGGUAACUUGUACUUAAAUUUCUUACAUCGAAAGUUACUUGCCCCCUUGCAUGUUUUGGUUUUGUUCCUUGCAUGUGUUUGUAUAUGAUGUGUCUCCAAAUUGCCUUUGUGUAUGUUGGUUUGCACAUCAUGUACUUGUGUGUCGCUCAUUGAGCCUUAGUGCAUCUUGGUUGUAUCUUAGUUGGCUCUUGUGAGAGAUUAAUGGAAUAUCCCAUUAUGGGGGAGUGAUGUGCUUUGUGCACUUUGCAAUCCUAUAAAUGUGUGUACAUGAGGAAUACCAUCUAGUAUUGAUAUUACAAGAUUAUCUAGUCGCUAUGUGGUAUGUCUUCUCAUGAUAAAUUCAAAUUCUAAAUUGUCCAUUAAUUAUCUCUUGUUGGAUCAUUAUUUUGCCUCUUGUUUAUCUUUAAUUGGUAUCACAUUAUGGGGGAGUAAUAUGCUACGUGUAUAUUAUUAGCCUAGAAAAUGUGUACAUUUGAGAUAUUGUCAUCUAGAAUUGAUAUUGUAAAUUAUCUUGUUCCUAGGUGGCAUGUUAGCUCUACAAGUUGCAAUUUGCUUGUGUUUGGUGUGAAAAUGCUAUCGGAUAUCCUUGAUAUCUACCACCGGGAAUUAUUUCCAAAUACUUCUUGUGUUCUGACAAUUGGUACUCACUUAUGUGUGGUCGAAAUUAUUGAUCAUCUUCACGUUGGCGUUUGCUUUUUAUUUGCCUUAUCUCUUGCCAAGUUUGUGUCAACUCCCAUUGUCUUCCAUGCCACUUGAGGAUCUUGUUGUUUUCUUGAUCUUGUCUAGUGUUUUCCUUGAUAUAGUGAACGUGGUGAUCCUACCUUGUGCAUUUUGUAUUCAAAUGCAAAUUCUCUAUAAUGCACAACUCGUGGGGGAGCUAUCAUAUUUUCUAUAAAACACUAAACUUGUGAUCCAUUUUAAGUGUGUGUUGGUGGAUGGCAAGCCGUUUCUUUUUGGUACUUGUGCCAUCAUGAAACUUUGUAGAGAGCUUGGUUUGUUUGGAACCAUCCCCUCUUUUAGGAGUUUGAUAUCAUUUUGUGGGUUCCAAUGGAUAUCUCAUUCCUUGAUGUAUCUUUUAACGAUAUCUUCCAAGUGAUGAUUUCUCCAUUUGGUAUUCUUUUCACUUGGUAUUUCCUUGUAUUUUGGUAUCGGUUCUUGAAAUUCUUGAGCAUGGAUAUUAAAUUCAUGUAGUUUCCUUGGCAUGCUUUCUCUCUUUGACCCAAUAUAUAGGGGAAACUCCACCAAAUCUCAAAUUUGAUGGGAUGUGCAUGAAUUUCAUUUCCAUAUAUAUAUAUAUAUAUAUAUAUAUAUAUAUAUAUAUAUAUAUAUGCACAUAUUUAUGUGGAGUUUGUCCUAUGUAUUGUUGGUGUUUCUAACUAUUUGGUCCCAAUGAGUACCAUUUUGUUUGUGUUGUUGUUCUAGGAAAAAUUGGAGAUGCAUUGGAUGCUCGGCUCACUCACAAGGAAGGUAUUGUCACCAUGUGCUUAUUGGAGUCAAGCUAGGAUGAUCAAUGAACUACUUUCUACUUUCAUUUGGUAUCUUCUACAUCAUUCCAAUGCUAUCUUGGUAACAAGUAUCAUCAUCUACUUAAUGCACACAUUUCUUGCAUCAACCUUGUAUAGGUUGUAUCAUGGCAUGUUAGUCAUUCUUUCUUGUGUUACUUGUUUCCUUUCUCAAAGCAUCCCAACAAUGAUCUCUUGUUGCUAGUUGUGAUGUCUUUGAUGUUCGUGUGGUAGGAAUUCAUUUGUAUACAAUAAGACCAUAUCUAGCCUUGUGCUAUGCUUUCAAGCAAAUAUCUUAUUGGUAUAUUUAUGACUUCCUUGUGGAUAUCUUAUUCUUUCCUUUUGUAACUAUUUCGUGUGUACCUCCUUAUUUGUGGAUUGAUAUCAUGCAUCAUGAUUUUCAUCUACCUAGAAUCUUAUACACUUGAGAGAAGUUGCAUAUCUAGAUGAUAUCCUUUCUUUCACGUCCACCUUGUCUUUCUUUUGUUUUUUUUCUUUGGUGGCUCCGUGAAAGCUUUUGCCUUGAGUGUGUGUCUUAUCUCGUUACAUCUUGAUGCGCUCUUGUGUGGUGAAGAUUUUUUUCCUCAUGCUUAUCUCUACGAGACUUUUGCCAUCUUAAUUGGUAUCCCUCGACUUGAUGAGGCUUUCAUCUUCUAUCUUCACCAUGGGUUGUAACAAGUGUUGGUUAUUCAUUUUGCAUUUUUAGUGUGCUUGUGAACCCUUUUGAUUGGUGUGUGUGGGGAGGACAUGUCAUGCACCUUGUAUCUCCACUAUCCAAGACUAUAUUGAUGCUUAAUGCUCAUCCGUACAUUAGUCUUCUCAAGUGCUUUGCCAUGACUCAUACACAUCAUUUUGGUUGAGCCUUCUCUUAAGUUGUCUCUUUUAUAUAUUGCUCAACCAUUUGUUUGUUGCUUGUGCUAGGCUUUGUUUCCUACCUGCCCGCUUGUGCUUGUUGUGAGCUUCUAUUGAUCUUGGGGGACUGAUGAUCCUAUUUUGUGCUCGUUGUAUCCAAUUACAAAACUAAAUUGUGCACAAAUCAUGGGGAGCUUCUCUAGUUUCUCUAGAACACUCCUUUGCUCAUAUCAUAAUAUCUUUUAUUCAUGUGGCAUGUAGGAUCAUUGGCCUAGUUGGUUCAUUUGGUAUCUUUUGAUAGUUUGCUUCCAUUGGUAUCCUUUGAUUGCUUGAUUUCUCAUUCUCUCUAUGUUAUGUCUUUGUGGCAUAUCAUUAUUUUGCAAUCUUUGAGCCUCAAUAUAGUUUGUCUUCCUCCAAGUAUAUGCGUAUUGCAUUCCACUCUCUUGUUGAGAAAUACACAAUUUAUGGAGGAACACAAUUUAUAUUGGCCUUCUAAGCGUUUCGCCCAUUUUGGAAAUCGAUGCCAAUGGGGGAGAAGUUUCAGAGAGUUGUGUGAGGAAGUUUAGAGAGUUGUUUCCUCUCUUAUUGCUUUGGUUUUUGUUCCUAAGCUUGUGCAUCUCAUGCGCAUACAUUAUUUUUGCAUGGUAUGGUGAUGUAUUAUUCCUUAUAUAAACUCUCUUGAAAGUGAUUGUCAUCAAUUACCAAAAUGGGGGAGAUUGAAAGAACAUGCGGUGCCCCCAUGUUUGGUUUUGGUAAUUAAUGACAAUCUCCAUGGACUAAUGGUUGCCUUGAGUUAUAUUUGAAGGGUUUGUCCUCAGGCUUUUCUUGAAGUCCAUGUGUUGGUUUCAAGGAGUUUAUGAGUUGACCAAGGUGCUAUUAAGGAAUUAUCCAAAGAUUGGUCAUGUGAGUGUUGAGCUUAUUGCAAGCAUGUCUUGAAGAAGAAGAUUGUGUGAUCAUUCAUGUUUACCUUCAAGACAUCAUCCAAAUGAAGAGAGUUGGAAAGAUUCAAGGUUGAUCAAGACUAAGUCAAGAGUGAAUCAAGUUGAUCAACUCACAAAGCAUAGAAGAUGUACCGAGAGGGACCAAGUGAUCCCAUGGUAUGGUAAGAAUUGUCCAUUGCACUUUGUGUACUAACCCAUGGUCUAUGUGAGAGUUCUGUGUGGGGUUAGGUACGUGUCCAUAGGUGUCGGUGUCCUGGACCAGGGGGUACUCACCACGUCGUCUCCCGAUCAGUUGAAUUGGGCCGAGGACCCCCAUGGCCGUAUACUCAUGGGCCAGUUCAGACAGUUGCCGCAUACAAGGAAGAUUCUACAAGACUUGGCGAUCAAGACAAGGACUCCUCCCCCACCUACGUAUUCGGCUAGAACUCUUGUUAUCCUAGGCCUCUGGUACAUUAUAUAAACCGAGGCCAGGCUAGUUGAUAGAUUAUGACAUUACUCAUCAGACCUCCAGGGUUUAGACCACAACAUAUGAUCUCAAGGUAGAUCAAUCUUGUAACCCCUAUACUCAUUAUAGUCAAUCAAGCAACAUGUAGGGUAUUAUCUCAUGAAGAGAGCCCGAAGCUGGGUAAAAUCCCGUGUUCAUGUUACCAUUGAUCCUAAGACGCAUAGCUUGGGACCCCCUACCCGAUAUCCGCCGGUUUCGACACCGACAUUAGUGCUUUCAUUGAGAGUUCCGUUGUGUGAUCGGUGAAAGGAUCAAUGGCUCGACUGCAGGUCAACUGCGAUGUCGAUUUCUUCGUCACCAGCUCGACUGGUCACCUUGGCUUGACCGAGGACUGCGCCCUACCUCCGACCGUCAUGUUCGGAUGAGGGUCUUCAUCAACAUCAACUCCGAUCUCUAUCAAGAUCAUGGAGGAGUCAUCCAUGGAGCUCGGGGGCUAAACAUCAAUAUUGUCCUCGGGCGGCCGUGCUGUUUUUCUGGACAACAAACUCGUAUCCACCGCCACCGCCUCCUCGAGUGUCGCCUAAACGAUUUCUUCGGUGGAAUUAUGCGUAAUUAAGUCUACAACAACCCUGCAAAAAUUUCGUCGAGUUCCAAUAGAGGAAUCUCCGGCAAUCUCCGAUAUACCGGAGCCCUGUUGAAUCUGGAUGAGAAUCCGGACGAGUUUUGAGCGGGGUGUCCAGCAUCUAGCUCGGACGUCCUUUAGAAGAUCCAACCGUUGAUCGGCUGCAGAAUUCCCAUAUCUACCACCUGCCAAAAAAUCAGCUCGAUCCGACCGUCCAAACUCCGGGAACCUUCCGAUUAGUGAAUCACUUUUUUGAUCUGUUUUCUGCGCGAGAAUGAAUCCGACCCGAGUUCAUCUCCUUCAUGAACAGGAUUUCGGACAUCCUUUUUGAAGGACGUUUUCCUAUGGGGUAUUGUGUUUUAUUCUCAAACACAUCCCAUUAAUAUUAAAAGUAUAUUUACAAUAAGAUCUUCACUGUCACGCCGGUGUCAAACCGGCCCGACAACAUCACUCCACGGCGGCCAACCUACGCUAGACACGUCGUUGCUUUGUUGAGUCGAACUUAACUUCUUAGGAUCAUCAUCUCGGCCAGCCGAACAAUAGUUCGGCAUCACGAAAGAUAAAUUGUCACCAACAUCGCCGCCCCACGGAUUACACGGAGCGGGCACACCGGCAUCGCCGCACGGUCACUUCAUCAAGCCAGCAUUGACUACGUCACACGCUACGACCUGCAUCGGCAUGCCCGAACCAUUGCUUCAUCGAGCCGAUGUCCACCACGCCGAACUACUUUAACACCUCGGCUAACACUUCUCCUCACCGACCUGCUCUGUCUUCUCGCCUGGACUGGGGGCUUCUCAUCCCUUCAUCAACUUAUUUCGAAGACUUCGACGUCACCGGCCGACCAGCUUCAUCAUAGUAGCUGGGCCACGGGCUUUUGCCUUGGUGAGCCAACCUUUGCCAACUUCGCCAUGUCGUCGCUUUAUCGCCCAUCAGGCAAUGGGUGUGUGGAUCGAUUCCCAAUUUUGGGAGUCGCUUUUCUUCAAAAUGCUACAACAAACAAACCAGGUGCUAUUAAUCCUAACAAUUUUUGUUUGUUGGGUUUAUUUUUCUUAAGGAAUUAUUACUCUGGUUUGUUCCAUCAUCUGUACACAGGUCUAUCAAAUGGCGGCCACAUUAAAAAUGGUUGCAUGGUGGUUCGGUCAAUUUCCGUACAUAGUUCGGCAAACGCCGUAUCCGGAGCCCGGACCGCCCUGCAAGUUUAGGCUUUUGUCACUCCUUCACUACGUCGCGCUGACGCCCUGCAUCAACAUUGGCUCCAGCGCCAGGCCACAUCUCUUUAAAUAAAUUAUUUUUUGCGUAAAGCAAUUAAGCAAGGAUUAUAUAUAUAUUAUUAUUUCCUGGACCGCACUGUUUUAUGUGUGCAGGUAAUUGAUUUUGACUGCGUUAUGCGGUCACUACUCCGAAGUGCCGAACUCCUUGCUUGGACACCUCGGGCCUGGGGCUAGGACCUCCGUCGCAGAUCAAUGGGCGUCUUUGUCCCGCUACAAGCCUGAACCGCGUCAUCAACACCGAACACAUUAACCAGCUAAGUUGCUUUCAUGCUCAAAAACUUUCAGUUUUAAAAUUUUGUUCGGUUUGACCAAGCAUUAACUUUUUGGCACGAAGUUGUUUGUGACAAAGUUCCUUGUCAAAACUUUGUUUGUGACACACAAAUUCAAAUACCCCGUUUACUUGGGGGCUCCCUUGCUGGAGCUUUUCCUCUUGCAUAUGAUUAUACUUGUACGGCUUCCUUCCUUGUUCAUGUAUUACGCCACAAUAUGCACCAUAUUGACGUAAGUGAUUUGCAAGCUGGGUUGCCUUGCUCCUGUGUUUGCCCCUACGUUCCCGAUUGUUCGGCUAGGGAGUAAAGGGAGCACCUCUGCGAUUGUCAUGAUCGGGUCACCCGAGCCGGACCUCAGACUGGGUGAAGCCGAAAGCUAGCACUCUUACUGUUUUCAAUAAUGGUCGGCACACAACGGAACUCAUGAGUAUAAAAAAUCUAUUGCACAAGUCUCAUAGUGAGCAACCGAAGAAAGGUAUCGGUGGGGGUACUAUUUUCUUUGAAGAUGCUUCUUACACUUCGUCGGUAAUAUAGCAUAAGUUCCCUGAGCGCGCUUUGUCUGUUACAGCCUUAUGGCCUGAUUGCCUGGUUAUCGGAAACAUCGUCGAUAUUCUCGACAGGUGGAGUACAUAACACUUUUCGGUCCUUGACCGAAGAGGGAGAAGCCGACGGUCGGUUAAGACGCAUAUAAAGUUCGGGUGAACACAAAUAUGAUAUAAGUACUUUGGUACAUAGAUUCAUUAUACAUAAAAUUCUUUUACCCAAGUCACUCGGGGGCUCUUAAAUUUAUGUGAGCUGUUUUAUAAUAAGCGUUCCUCUUUCUAGUCGCUGCAAAGUCUUUUUUCUAUCACUCCUUUUUUCGACGGAGUGUGUGGUCAAUAGACGGGGAGCCUAAGUACUCCGCCUUCGGGAUAGGAGGUUGAAGCCGUAGGCUGGCCCGCUUGAAGUCUUGAGAUAGGAUGUGUCAUGUUAAAGCACGAUAGAAGCACAUUUUUUUUCUAAGACCAAUUUUCGGAUUGGCACUGAACACUUGAUCUUGUUCGGACGUCAAGUUUUUACUGACGUUUCUUGGUUUUCCAAGUUUAUGGCACUUUUAAACUAUUUGUGUGUUUUCUGCAUAAGUCUCGCUGUGCAAUGCCGGACACCUUUAGAGAUUCGACAAAAUUUCUCGGAUAUUGCUAUAUAUGCAUCAGUUUCGAAUUUUGUCUUCGGUCAAUAGUUGGGUUGACCGGCUCCUGUUCUUGCCUCCUAUGUUCCGCUUUUGUUCGGCUAGGUGUGCAAAGGGAGAACCACUGCGAUUGUGCUUCCAGCUCGCAUGGUUAAGCACCUCAGUGGAGAAAGCCGAAAACUGACUGUCACAAUAAGCGUAAACUGGUCAGUGGUCCGAUGACUGUAUUAAAUGACGGGCCGUUCGUAACAUUGGCCGAAGUGUUUACGGCUUGACCUCGGCUGUCGCCGAACACUAACCGGGGGGCUACUUGCUGGCCUCCCAACUUUAAGCUCCUAUGACUAAGUGAAAGUUAUAAAGCCCGCAUAUCUGAUUGCCUCGUUUCCGCUAAACACAACCGCCUUCGGGCACCAAGACGUCGGCUAAGGGUUGUUUUUUUAUUUUGGAAACACCCUACGUAGCAUCUACAAGGGGGUCGAAGCCGAUGAUGGGCCACUUUCAGAUUAUAAAUGGUCGCAACUAAAGUAAAAAUUUGGGUUCAUUUAGACCACAGAGUUUGGAAGCUUUCCCCGAACUAAAUCCUCAGUAUUUUCCUCCCACAUUGAUCGGAGCUGAGGUUUCAUGAUCAUGCUUAGCAUGACAACCCAAAGAAAGGAACUGAUAGCGGGAUUAUUUUCUUUAGAUGCUGUUUCUUAUGUUAAACAAUAAUAUAACAUGUCUCUCUGUGUACCUUUGUUUGUAAAACCGUAUGGCCGGAUUGCCUUGUUUGCCGUAUAUCUUUGCCCUCAUAAAGGCUUUAUAAAGUGGGAUAAACACUCCUCGGCUACUGGCCGAGGAGGUUGAAGCCGAUGGUCGGUCAACAAAAUUUUGUACAAUGCGGAUCUGAGCAUUGAUGAUGUAAAGUACUUGGAUACAUAGAAUCAUUACACAUAAUUUGUGAUUGUACUUUGGACAUCGAUCCUUCAUUCGGCCACCCGUGCCCACAUUAAGGCUCGGGGGCUACUGGGCUUCAUGCUUAUUAUUUACAAAUGUUAAAGGGAUACAUCGAUCCCCUGAUCUGGUGUCGCCACCCGACCAGUGUCUCGGGGGCUACUGCAUUGACAAUCCAAUGCAGAAAACUUAAAGUGCAAUAUAGUUUUCGAGGAGAUUAUUAUCAUCAGGUUGGUCGGCCGCACCCAACCUGAGUCUUGAGGACUUUGCACACCGCGUUUCUAUUCCUAAGUAUGCUGCCGAGCUGGGAAUUGAUCCUCAGGGUGAUUUUUAUGAAUCGACCCGAGUCUCGGGGGCUACUAGGGUCAGCGGUCUGAGUUUUUCCUUUAGGUGCAUUCCGGAUAUUAGGCCAACACGCACGUUGAGGGCUACUGGCUAUACAUCUCGACAGAGAUUACAUUGCAUAAUUCAGAAUUAAAUUCAUAAAAAUCAGCCCAUGGCCGAGGUGGUGCACCACCUCGGAUACAAUCCGGCGUUGGUGCUCGACUACAAUAGACACCCCAGAAGCAGUCCGGCAUAAAGCUCGGACGCUAGUGGCUGGCUCCGUUGAGGGCAUUUCCGGCAUUAAGCUCGGCUGGGCUCCUUCAACUUUUUUGACCCAAGAUGAUCUAUGACAUCUUGAAUACAGUCCGGCGUUGGAGCUUGGACACAAUCUGGCAUUGGAGCUCGGAUACAUUCCUGUGUUAGAGCUCGGAAGCAGUCCGACGUUGGUACUUGGGUGCAAAAGAUACCUCAAAUGCAAUCCAGUGUUGGAUCUCGGAUGCAAGAGGACACUGCCGCUCGGGAACAACUUCAAACUCGAGGUGUGGCAUUAAAAAUAACAAGGCAUUGAUAAAGGCCGUAAACUUAAAGCGGCUCCUCAGAUACCCGACGUGCAAACUCUUUGGAUGCACUUUGGCGAUCCUCAAGAUCGAAGAUAAGAAGAUUUGUUGAACCAGUUUUCAAGACCGACGACCGAAGAUGAAGAACAGUUCGGAAGAAUCGAGGAGCGUCCCCAACUUGAAGACCGGUUCAGGGGGCUACUGUUGGUGUCCUGGACCAGGGGGUACUCACCACGUCGUCUCCCGAUCAGUUGGAUUGGGCCGAGGACCCCCAUGGCCGUAUACUCAUGGGCCAGUUCGGACAGUUGCCGCAUAUAAGGAAGAUUCUACAAGACUUGGUGAUCAAGACAAGGACUCCUCCCCCCACCGGCGUAUUCGGCUAGGACUCUUGUUAUCCUAGGCCUCUGGUACAUUAUAUAAACCGAGUCCAGGAUAGUCGAUAGAUUAUGACAUUACUCAUCAUACCUCCAGGGUUUAGACCACAACAUAUGAUCUCGAGGUAGAUCAACUCUUGUAACCCCUAUACUCAUUAUAGUCAAUCAAGCAGCAUGUAGGGUAUUAUCUCAUCAAGAGAGCCCGAAGCUGGGUAAAAUCCCGUGUUCAUGUUACCAUUGAUCCUAAGACGCACAGCUUGGGACCCCCUACCCGAGAUCCACCGGUUUUGACACCGACAAUGGGCUUGCGUCAAGAGGAAGAUAUCAUACAACCCAUGGAAAGGAUGACAUCAAGUGGUGAUCAUCAUCAAGAUUGCUGUGUGCAAUUUGAAGUGGAGCAUCAUGAAGAGAUCAAGUGCUUGAAUCUUGCCAUCCAUUGUCCUGUCAAUGGACUUGUGAAGAUGUGUCGAAGAGUGGCUCACCCAUAGUGGACUAUGGGGGAGCAAUCAUCUAGUCUUCAUCGAGCCAACACAAUCAAGAAAGGUGGUCCAACUUGAGGGAGUCAAGAUCGUCAUCAUCUAGCUCAAGUAGACCAUGUGCAAGGCAAAGGAUUUCCCUUGAUAGGUUUUCUAUUUUACCGGUCUCGUGGUGGUAGUUGCAAGACCGGGUUAUAGGAUCGUUUGCCGUACUAUCAAGGGGGGAUCUCAAGUCUGUAGCUUGAUCGUAUCGUUAGUAGAGAUCUCAAACCAUUGCAUCCUUGCAUCAUGUUUCUUGGUUCUUGUUUAGUUCUCUUUGUGAGUCUUAGAGCUUAUGGUCAUCUUGAUGACAAGCUUGAGUUCAUUGAAAACGGAGUUCGCAUGCGUCUUCUAUGAUGUUUUCGGUGUUGGAGGUUUUACAGGUCUUAUCCGAGGAAGGGUUCUCACCAUUUUCUUAUGGGACUUUUCUCAUUUGCUUCUUAUUGAUAUUUAUAUCAAUAUUGUGUUAGCCCAUGUCAUUGGCUUUCCAACAAACAUGGUUUCGUUGAAUUUGGAGUCCGUUUGCAAAAGUUGUGGCUGUUUUGGUAAAAGCUGCAGCGGUACUACCGCGACUAGAGCGGAUGUAAUUUUUUACUACCGCUCCAGAGCGGUACUACCGUGGCUCCUGAGUGGUAGUACCGCUCCAGAGUAGUACUACCGCGGCUCCUAAGCGGUAGUACUGCUCCGGACCAAAAUCUCGUGUUUUGCUUAGUGGAGGUAGGCACGAAAGUAUUUUUUUAGUACCGCUCGCAAGCAGUAGUACCGCUACCAUUUGCGGUAGUAUCGUGAGGACCAGCGGUAGUACCGCCCCGGCGGUUCUAAUGGCCUUUUGUCUCCUCGCUGUUGUUUUUCAAAGGGGUAUUACCGCCCUAGCGGUAGUACCGCUCUGUGCGGGCUAUGAGCACAACGGUUGGAUUUCCCCCCACCUAUAAAAGGGGUUUUUCUUCCCCAUUGAACCUUAUCCUUUGAGCUCGUGUUCUUCCCCCAUUGUUGACCUUCUUAAAGCUAGCUAACUCUCAAUACCUCCAUGGAUUCUUGCUAGUUUUUGAGGGAAAAUAGAGAGGAGAUCUAGAUCCACAUUUCCAUCAAUCACUUUCUCCUCUAUGUGAGGGGAACCCCUUGGAUCUAGAUCUUGGAGUUCUUGGUGUUCUCCUUCUUGUUCUUCCUCUCAUCUUCCUCCCUAGCAUUAGUUGCUUCGGUGGGAUUUGAGAAAGAAGGAUUUGGGCACUCCGUGUGCCCUUACCAUUGCAUUUGGUGCAUCGGUUUGAGUUCUCCACGUGAUACGUGGAAGUUACAAGUUGAGAAGCUUAUUACUCUUGGGUGCUUGGUACCCGGCGUAUUUGGCUAGGACUCUUGUUAUGCUAGGCCUCUGGUACAUUAUAUAAACCGAGGCCAGACUAGUCGAUAGAUUAUGACAUUACUCAUCAUACCUCCAGGGUUUAGACCAUAACAUAUGAUCUCGAGGUAGAUCAACUCUUGUAACCCCUAUACUCAUUAUAGUCAAUCAAGCAACAUGUAGGGUAUUAUCUCAUCAAGAGAGCCCGAAGCUGGGUAAAAUCCCGUGUUCAUGUUACCAUUGAUCCUAAGACGCACAGCUUGGGACCCCCUACCCGAGAUCCACCGGUUUUGACACCGACAAUGGGCUUGCGUCAAGAGGAAGAUAUCAUACAACCCAUGGAAAGGAUGACAUCAAGUGGUGAUCGUCAUCAAGAUUGCCGUGUGCAAUUUGAAGUGGAGCAUCAUGAAGAGAUCAAGUGCUUGAAUCUUGCCAUCCAUUGUCGUGUCAAUGGACUUGUGAAGAUGUGUCGAAGAGUGGCUCACCCAUAGUGGACUAUGGGGGAGCAAUCAUCUAGUCUUCAUCGAGCCAACGCAAUCAAGAAAGGUGGUCCAACUUGAGGGAGUCAAGAUCGUCAUCAUCUAGCUCAAGUAGACCAUGUGCAAGGCAAAGGAUUUCCCUUGAUAGGUUUUCUAUUUUACCGGUCUCGUGGUGGUAGUUGCAAGACCGGGUUAUAGGAUCGUUUGCCGUACUAUCAAGGGGGGAUCUCAAGUCUGUAGCUUGAUCGUAUCGUUAGUAGAGAUCUCAAACCAUUGCAACCUUGCAUCAUGUUUCUUGGUUCUUGUUUAGUUCUCUUUGUGAGUCUUAGAGCUUAUGGUCAUCUUGAUGACAAGCUUGAGUUCAUUGAAAACGGAGUUCGCAUGCGUCUUCUAUGAUGUUUUCGGUGUUGGAGGUUUUACAGGUCUUAUCCGAGGAAGGGUUCUCACCAUUUUCUUAUGGGACUUUUCUCAUUUGCUUCUUAUUGAUAUUUAUAUCAAUAUUGUGUUAGCCCAUGUCAUUAGCUUUCCAACAAACAUGGUUUCGUUGAAUUUGGAGUCCGUUUGCAAAAGUUGUGGCUGUUUUGGUAAAGGCUGCAGCGGUACUACCGCGACUAGAGCGGAUGUAAUUUUUUACUACCGCUCCAGAGCGGUACUACCGUGGCUCCUGAGUGGUAGUACCGCUCCAGAGUAGUACUACCGCGUCUCCUAAGCGGUAGUACUGCUCCGGACCAAAAUCUCAUGUUUUGCUUAGUGGAGGUAGGCACGAAAGUAUUUUUUUUAGUACCGCUCGCAAGCAGUAGUACCGCUACCAUUUGCGGUAGUAUCGUGAGGACCAGCGGUAGUACCGCCCCGGCGGUUCUAAUGGCCUUUUGUCUCCUCGCUGUUGUUUUUCAAAGGGGUACUACCGCCCUAGCGGUAGUACCGCUCUGUGCGGGCUAUGAGCACAACGGUUGGAUUUCCCCCCACCUAUAAAAGGGGGUUUUCUUCCCCAUUGAACCUUAUCCUUUGAGCUCGUGUUCUUCCCCCAUUGUUGACCUUCUUAAAGCUAGCUAACUCUCAAUACCUCCAUGGAUUCUUGCUAGUUUUUGAGGGAAAAUAGAGAGGAGAUCUAGAUCCACAUUUCCAUCAAUCACUUUCUCCUCUAUGUGAGGGGAACCCCUUGGAUCUAGAUCUUGGAGUUCUUGGUGUUCUCCUUCUUGUUCUUCCUCUCAUCUUCCUCCCUAGCAUUAGUUGCUUCGGUGGGAUUUGAGAAAGAAGGAUUUGGGCACUCCGUGUGCCCUUGCCAUUGCAUUUGGUGCAUCGGUUUGAGUUCUCCACGUGAUACGUGGAAGUUACAAGUUGAGAAGCUUAUUACUCUUGGGUGCUUGGUACCCGGCGUAUUUGGCUAGGACUCUUGUUAUGCUAGGCCUCUGGUACAUUAUAUAAACCGAGGCCAGACUAGUCGAUAGAUUAUGACAUUACUCAUCGUACCUCCAGGGUUUAGACCAUAACAUAUGAUCUCGAGGUAGAUCAACUCUUGUAACCCCUAUACUCAUUAUAGUCAAUCAAGCAACAUGUAGGGUAUUAUCUCAUCAAGAGAGCCCGAAGCUGGGUAAAAUCCCGUGUUCAUGUUACCAUUGAUCCUAAGAUGCACAGCUUGGGACCCCCUACCCGAGAUCUACCGGUUUUGACACCGACAAUGGGCUUGCGUCAAGAGGAAGAUAUCAUACAACCCAUGGAAAGGAUGACAUCAAGUGGUGAUCGUCAUCAAGAUUGCCGUGUGCAAUUUGAAGUGGAGCAUCAUGAAGAGAUCAAGUGCUUGAAUCUUGCCAUCCAUUGUCGUGUCAAUGGACUUGUGAAGAUGUGUCGAAGAGUGGCUCACCCAUAGUGGAAUAUGGGGGAGCAAUCAUCUAGUCUUCAUCGAGCCAACGCAAUCAAGAAAGGUGGUCCAACUUGAGGGAGUCAAGAUCGUCAUCAUCUAGCUCAAGUAUACCAUGUGCGAGGCAAAGGAUUUCCCUUGAUAGGUUUUCUAUUUUACCGGUCUCGUGGUGGUAGUUGCAAGACCGGGUUAUAGGAUCGUUUGCCGUACUAUCAAGGGGGGAUCUCAAGUCUGUAGCUUGAUCGUAUCGUUAGUAGAGAUCUCAAACCAUUGCAUCCUUGCAUCAUGUUUCUUGGUUCUUGUUUAGUUCUCUUUGUGAGUCUUAGAGCUUAUGGUCAUCUUGAUGACAAGCUUGAGUUCAUUGAAAACGGAGUUCGCAUGCGUCUUCAUGAUGUUUUCGGUGUUGGAGGUUUUACAGGUCUUAUCCGAGGAAGGGUUCUCACCAUUUUCUUAUGGGACUUUUCUCAUUUGCUUCUUAUUGAUAUUUAUAUCAAUAUUGUGUUAUCCCAUGUCAUUAGCUUUCCAACAAACAUGGUUUCGUUGAAUUUGGAGUCCGUUUGCAAAAGUUGUGGCUGUUUUGGUAAAGGCUGCAGCGGUACUACCGUGACUAGAGCGGAUGUAAUUUUUUCUACCGCUCCAGAGCGGUACUACCGUGGCUCCUGAGUGGUAUUACCGCUCCAUAGUAGUACUACCGCGGCUCCUAAGCGGUAGUACUGCUCCGGACCAAAAUCUCGUGUUUUGCUUAGUGGAGGUAGGCACGAAAGUAUUUUUUUAGUACCGCUCGCAAGCAGUAGUACCGCUACCAUUUGCGGUAGUAUCGUGAGGACCAGCGGUAGUACCGCCCCGGCGGUUCUAAUGGCCUUUUGUCUCCUCGCUGUUGUUUUUCAAAGGGGUACUACCGCCCUAGCGGUAGUACCGCUCUGUGUGGGCUAUGAGCACAACGGUUGGAUUUCCCCCCACCUAUAAAAGGGGGUUUUCUUCCCCAUUGAACCUUAUCCUUUGAGCUCGUGUUCUUCCCCCAUUGUUGACCUUCUUAAAGCUAGCUAACUCUCAAUACCUCCAUGGAUUCUUGCUAGUUUUUGAGGGAAAAUAGAGAGGAGAUCUAGAUCCACAUUUCCAUCAAUCACUUUCUCCUCUAUGUGAGGGGAACCCCUUGGAUCUAGAUCUUGGAGUUCUUGGUGUUCUCCUUCUUGUUCUUCCUCUCAUCUUCCUCCCUAGCAUUAGUUGCUUCGGUGGGAUUUGAGAAAGAAGGAUUUGGGCACUCCGUGUGCCCUUGCCAUUGCAUUUGGUGCAUCGGUUUGAGUUCUCCACGUGAUACGUGGAAGUUACAAGUUGAGAAGCUUAUUACUCUUGGGUGCUUGGUACCCUUGAGCUUGUUACUCUUGGGUGUUUGGACACCCUAGAGCUUGUUCCUCUUGGGUGCCUUGGCGCCCUAGACGGUUGGUGUUGUUCGGAGCUCAAUCAUUGUGGUGUAAAGCUCUGGGCAAGCGUCGGGGUCUCCAAUUAGGUUGUGGAGAUCACCCCGAGCAAUUUGACGGGUACCGGUGACUGCCCCCAAGGGUUGCCAAAGUGUACGAGUUCGGUGACCGCCCCCAAGGGUCACCAUUUGUACGGGUUCGGUGACUGCCCUCAAGGGUCCCUUAGUGGAAUCACGACAUCUUGCAUUGUGUGAGGGCGUGAGGAGAUUACGGUGGCCCUAGUGGCUUCUUGGGGAGCAUUGUGCCUCCACACCGCUCCAAACGGAGAUUAGCAUCCGCAAGGGUGUGAACUUCGGGAUACAUCGUCGUCUCCGCGUGCUUCGGUUAUCUCUUACCCGAGCCCUUUACUUAUGCACUUUACUUUGUGAUAGCCAUAUUGUUCUUUGUCAUAUAUGUUGCUAUCACAUAGUGGCUUAUAUUGCUGAGCAUAAGUUGUUGGUGCACAUAGGUGAGCCUAGUUGUUUUAGGUUUUGUGCUUGACAAAUUAACCACUAGGUUUAUUCCACAUUUGUUCAAGCCUAAACCGUAAUUAUUUUAAAGCGCCUAUUCACCCCCCCUUCUAGGCGACAUCCUCGAUCUUUCACCUUGUGUUCUAUCAAACCUCACAACGCAACUGGGUUAUUAUAAAGAUGCUCUACAGGCAUCUCCGAAGGUGUUUGUUGAGUUGGCAUAGAUCAAGAUUAGGAUUUGUCACUCCGAGUAUCAAAGAGGUAUCUCUAGGCCCUUUCGUUAAUACACAUUAUAAGCUUGCAAGCAAACCACUAAGGAAUUAGUCAUGAGAUGAUGUAUUACGGAACGAUUAAAGAGACUUGCCAGUAACGGCAUUGAACUAGGUAUGAAGAUACCGAUGAUAUAAUCUCGGGCAAGUAACAUACCGAUGGACAAAGGGAAUUACGUAUGUUGUCAUAACGGUUCGACCGAUAAAGAUCUUCGUAGAAUAUGUAGGAGCCAAUAUGGGCAUCCUGGUUCCGCUAUUGGUUAUUGACUGGAGAGGUGUCUCGGUCAUCCCUACAUAGUUCUCGAACCCGUAGGGUCCGCACGCUUAACGUUUAAUGACGAUAUAGUAUUAUAUGAGUUAUGUGAUUAAGUGACCGCAUAUUGUUCUAAGUCCCGGAUGAGAUAACGGACAUGAUGAGUAGUCUCGAAAUGGUCGAGAGGUAAAUAUUGAUAUACAGGACGAUGGUAUUCGGACACCGAAAGUGUUUCGGGGGGUACCAGGUACUUAUCGGGCCACCAGAAGGGGUUCCGGGCACCCCCGGCAAAAGAUAUGGGCCUUAUGGGCCAAGAGGGGAAACACACCAGCCACAAGGGGAUGGUGCGCUCCCCAUAUGGGCUGGCCUAGGAGGAGAAGGAAAGAGGGGAAGGGAAAGGAAAGAGUGGAAUAGGAUUCCCCCUUCUUCCCUCUCCCCCCUUUUUCCUUCCCCAUCGGUUAUAUAUGGCAGGGGGCGCGCGGCUUGUGAGGGACUCGAAGUAGGAUUCCUCCUACUUGGGCGCCUCCUAUGGCUGCUCCUCCCUCCCUCCCACCUAUAUUUGUGAAAGGGGGCGCCUAGCACACACCAGACAUUUGCCUAGCCAUGUGUGGCGCCCCCUCCACCGUUUACUACCUCGGUCAUAUUUACGUAGUGCUUAGGCGAAGCUCUGCGGAGAUCACUUCACCAUCAGAGUCACCACGCCGUCGUGCUGCCGGAACUCAUCUACUACCUCGAUGUUUUGCUGGAUCAAGAAGGCGAGGGACGUCAUCGAGCUGAACGUGUGCAGAACUCGGAGGUGCCGUACGUUCGGUACUCGAUCGGUGGAUCUCGAAGACAGUUUGAGUACAUCAAUCGCGUUGUGAAACGCUUUCUCUUACGGUCUACGUGGGUACGUAGACACACUUUCCCCUCUCGUUGCUAUGCAUCUCCAUGGAUAGAUCAUUGCGUGUGCGCAUUUUUUUUAUUUUCCUAUGCAACGAUUCCCAACAGUGGUAUCAGAGCCAGGUCUAUGCAUAGAUGAUAUGCACGAGUAGAACACAAAGAAGUUGUAGGCGGUGAUGUUCACACUGCUUACCACCAAUAUCUUAUUUUUAUUUGGCGGGCUUGCGGGAUGAAGCAGCCUGAACCAACCUUACAUGUCCACGCACAUGAGACCGGUUCCACCGACUGACAUGCAACUAGUUUUGCAUAAAGGUGGCUGGCGGGUGUCUGUUUCUCCUACUUUAGUUGAAUAAAAUUUGACUGCGGCUGGUCCUUGAAGAAGGUUAAAACAGCAAACUUAAUAAAUCUCCAUUGUAGUUUUUGCCGUAGGUAAGAACGGUUCUUGCUAGAAACCCGUAGCAGCCACGUAAAACUUGCAACAACAGAGUAGAUGACGUCUAACUUGUCUUUGCAGGGUAUGUUGUGAUGUGAUAUGGUCAAGACAUGAUGUGAUAUACGUUAUUGUAUGAGAUGAUCAUGUUUUGUAAUUUAUCAACAACUGGUAGGAGCCUUAUGGUUGUCUCUUUAUUGUAUGAAAUGAAAACGACAUGUAAUUGCUUUACUUUAUCGCUAUGCAUUAGCAAUAGUUGUAGAAGCAAUAGUUGGUGAGACGACCACGACGCAAUGAUGGAGAUCAAGGUGUCGAGCCGGUGACGAUGGAGAUCAUGACGAUGCUUUGGAGAUGGAGAUCAAAAGCACGAGAUGAUGAUGGCCAUAUCAUGUCACAUAUUUUGAUUGCAUGUGAUGUUUAUCUUUUAUGCAUCUUAUUUUGCUUAGAACGAUGGUAGCAUUAUAAGAUGAUCCCUUCACUAAAUUUCAAGAUAUAAGUGUCCCCCCGAGUAUGCACCGUUGUGAAAGUUCGUCGUUACGAGACACCACGUGAUGAUCGGGUGUGAUAGACUCUACGUUCACAUACAACGGGUGUAAGAUAGUUUUUCACGUGCAGAAUACUUGGGUUAAACUUGACGAGUACAGACAUGGCCUCAGAACACAGGAGACCGAAAGGUCGAACAUGAGUCAUAUAGUAGAUAUGAUCAACAUAGAGAUGUUCACCAUUGAUGACUACCCCAUCUCACGUGAUGAUCGGACAUGGGUUAGUUGAUUUGCAAAUUAUGUUGUAGAUCAAUAGCUCGCAUUGUAGCUCCCCUAUUUUUUGAUAUGUUCCUAGAGAAAAAUAAGUCGAAAGAUGAUAGUAGCAAUAACGCAAACUGGUUCCGUGAUCUGAGGAUUAUCCUUAUUGCUGCACAGACGAAUUAUGUCCUUAAUGCACCGCUAGGUGACAGACAUAUUGCAGGAGCAGAUGCAGAUGUUAUGAACGUUUGGCAAGCUUGAUAUGAUGACUACUUAAUAGUUUAGUGCACCAUGUUUUACGGCUUAGAACUAGGACUUAAAAAAUGUUUGGAAUGCCAUGGAGCAUAUGAGAUGUUCCAAGAGCUAAAAUUGGUAUUUCAAACUCAUGCUUGUGUCGGGAGGUAUGAGACCUCGUACAAGUACUUGCCUACAAGAUGGAGGAGAAUAGCUCAGCCAGUGAGCAUGUGCUCAGAAUGUCUGGGUACUGCAAUCGCUUGAAUCAAGUGGGAGUUAAUCUUCCAGAUAAGAUAGUGAUUGAUAGAUUUCUCUAGUCACUAUCACCAAGCUACUAGAACUUCGUGAUGACUUAUAAUAUGAAAGGGAUGACAAAAACGAUUCUCGAGCUCUUCGCGAUGCUGAAAUCGGCGAAGGUAGAAAUCAAGAAAGAACAUCAAGUGUUGAUGGUUAAACAAGACCACUAGUUUCAAGAAAAAGGGCAAGGGAAAGAAAGGGAACUUCAAGAAGAAUGUCAAGCAAGUUGCCACUCCCGUGAAGAAGCCCAAAACUGAACCCAAGCCUGAAACUGGGUGCUUCUACUGCAAAGGAAAUGGUCAUUGAAGUGGAACUGCCCCAAAUACUAGGCGGAUAAGAAGGAUGGUAAAGUGCACAAAGAUAUAUUUGAUAUACAUGUUAUUGAUGUGUACUUUACUAGUGUUCAUAGUAACCCCUGCGUAUUUGAUACCGGUUCAGUUGCUAAGAUUAGUAACUUGAAACAGGAGUUGUAGAAUAAACGAAGACUAGUUAAGGACGAGGUGACGAUGUGUGCUGGAAGUGAUUCCAAGGUUGAUACGAUCACCAUCGCACACCCCCUCUACCUUCGGGAUUAGUGUUGAACCUAAAUAAAUGUCAUUUGGUGUUUGCAUUUAGCAUGUAUAUGAAUAGAUCAUGUUUAUUGCAAUACGGUUAUUCAUUUAAGUUAGAGAAUAAUUAUUGUUCUGUUUAAAUGAAUAAAACCUUCGAUGGUCAUACACCGAAUGUGAAUGGUUUAUUGAAUCUAGAUCGUAGUGAUACACAUAUUCAUAAUAUUGAUGCCAAAAUAUGCAAAGUUAAUAAUGAUAGUGAAACAUACUUGUGGCACUGCCGUUUAGGUCAUAUUGGUGUAAAACGCAUGAAGAAACUCCAUAAGGACGGACUUUUGGAAUCACUUGAUUAUGAAUCAUUUGAUACUUGCAAACCAUGCUUCAUGAGCAAGAUGACUAAACUUCGUUCUUUAGAACAAUGGAGCGAGCUAAUGACUUAUUGGAAAUAAUACAUACCGAUGUAUGAGAUCCGAUGAGUGUUCAAGCACGCGACGGGUAUCAUUAUUUUCCAACCUUCAGAGAUGAUUUGAGUAGGUAUGGGUAUAUCUACUUAAUGAAACACAAGUCUGAAACAUUUGAAAAUUUAAAAGAAUUUUAGAGUGAAGUAUCAUAGUAACAAGAAAAUAAAGUUUCUAAGAUCUGAUCGCGGAAGCGAAUAAUUGAGUUACGAGUUUGGACUUCAUUCAAAACAAUGUGGAAUUGUUUCACAACUCAUGCCACCUGGAACACCACAGCGUAAUGGUGUGUCCAAAUGUCGUAACCGUACUUUAUUGGAUAUGGUGCGUUCUAUGAUGUCUCUUACCGAUUUACCACUAUCGUUUUGGGGUUGUGCAUUAGAGACAGCCACAUUCACGUUAAAUAGGGCACCAUCUAAAUCUGUUGAGACGUUAGUGUAUGAAUUAUGGUUUGGCAAGAAACCUAAGAUGUCAUUUCUUAAAGUUUGGGUUGCGACACUUAUGUCAAAAGGCUUCAGCCUGAUAAUCUCGAACCCAAAUCAGAGAAGUGCGUCUUCAUAGGAUACCCUAAGGAAAUAAUUGGGUACACCUUCUACCACAGAUCCAAAGGCAAGAUCCUUGUUGCUAAGAAUGGAUCCUUUCUAGAGAAGGAGUUUCUCUCGAAAGAAGUGAGUGGGAGGAAAGUAGAACUUGAUGAGGUAAUUGUACCUUCUCUCGAAUUGGAUAGUAGCACAUCAGAGAAAACUGUUCUCGUGAUCUACACCAAUGAGAGAGGAAGCUAAUGAUGAUGAUCAUAAAACUUCAGACCAAGUUACUACUAAACUUCAUAGGUUGACCAGAGCAUGAUCUGCACCAGAGUGGUACGGUAGUCCUGUCUUGGAAGUCAUGUUACUAGACCAAGACGAACUUACGAACUAUGAAGAAGCUAUGAUGAGCCUAGAUUCCGACAGAUGGCUUGAGGCCAUGAAAUCUGAGAUAGGAUCCAUGUAUGAGAACAAAGUAUGGACUUUGGUGGACUUACCCAAUGAUCGGCAAGCCAUAGAGAAUAAAUGGAUCUUCAAGAAGAGGACAUAUGCUAAUGGUAAUGUCACCAUCUACAAAGCUCGACUUGUUGCGAAAGGUUUUCGACAAGUUGAAGGAGUUGACUAUGAUGAUACCUUCUCACCUGUAGUGAUGCUUAAGUCAGUCCGAAUCAUGUUAGAAAUUGUCGUAUUUCAUAAUUAUGAAAUCUGCCAAAUGGAUAUCAAAACUGAAUUCCUUAAUGGAUUUCUUAAAUAAGAGUUAUAUAUGAUGCAACCAGAAGGUUUUUUGGAUCCUAAAGGUGCUAAUAAAGUGUGCAAACUCCAACGAUCCAUCUAUGGACUGGUGCAAGCAUCUCGGAGUUGGAAUAUAUGCUUUGAUGAGGUGAUCAAAGCAUAUGGUUUUAUACAGACUUAUGGUGAAGCCUGUAUUUACAAGAAAGUGAGUGGGAGCUCUGUAGCAUUUAUGAUAUUAUAUGUGGAUGAUAUAUUGUUGAUCGGAAUUGAUAUAGAAUUUCUAGAUAGCAUAAAAGGAUACUUGAAUAAGAAUUUUUCAAUGAAAGACCUCGGUGAAGCUGCUUAUAUAUUGGGCAUCAAGAUCUAUAGAGAUAGAUCAAGACGCUUGAGAGGACUUUCACAAAGCACAUACCUUGAUAAAGUUCUGAAGAAGUUCAAAGUGGAUCAGUCAAAGAAAGGGUUCUUGCUUGUGUUACAAGGUGUGAAGUUGAGUAAGACUGAAAACCCGACCACAACAGAAUAUAUAUACAGAGAAUGAAAGUCAUUCCCUAUGCCUUAGUCGUAGGUUCUAUAAAGUAUGCCAUGCUGUGUACUAGACCUGUUGUGUGCCUAGCCAUGAGUUUGGCAAGGGGGUACAAUGGUGAUCCAGGAGUAGAUUUCUGGACAGCGGUCAAAAUUAUCCUUAGGUACCUAAAGAGGACUAAGGAAAUGUUUCUCUGUUAUGGAGGUGAUAAAAAGUAGAUCUCUCGACAGCGGUCAAUUCUCUUAUACUAUAUACUAUGCUUCUUAAUUUUUAAGGCCUCACAAUUAAUUGAGGUAUUCAAUUUAGAACUAGGUCAACUGAUUUUGACCGGGUCUACAAUUUCCUAAACUCUCCCAUUCAAUUCUUUUAAUACACUUUUUCCUUAGUCUUGGGAGGUCAACUACAAGUUCUCUGUGCGGUCUGCAUAUGCCGCCAGGUUUUGGGGUAGAGAAGUAAUACCCAGGGCGGACCUGACUUGGAAGUCGCGGGCCCCCUCGCAAUGCCGAUUCUUUACUUGGUUGGCUCUAUGAAAUAUAUGUUGGACUUCGGAUUGUCUCGUUGGAGAGGGCUACCACACCAAGAAGCAUGCCCCCUCCGUGAUCAAUAAGAGGAAACUAUAAACAACGUACUACUUACAUGUGUGUUUGCCAGGACGAUGUGGACGGUGAUUUGUGAGGCUUUGGGCAGAUUGGAGUGGACACUAACCCCAAAGGAUCCACUCAAAUCAUGGUUAUGCAACAAGCGGGGGCCCAACAAUAUGAGCAAGAAAGAUCUUCACACCCUUUUUGUGUUGGAAAUAUGUCCUAGAAGCAAUAAUAAAUUUGUUAUUAUAAUAUUUCCUUGUUCAUUAUAAUUGUUUAUUAUCCAUGCUAGAAUUGUAUUGAUCAGAAACUCAGAUACAUGUGUGGAUACAUAGACAACAACGUGUCCCUAGUAAGCCUCUACCGGACUAGCUCGUUGAUCAAAGAUGGCUAUGGUUUCCUAGCCAUGGACAUGAGUUGUCAUUUGAUAACGGGAUCACAUCAUUAGCCGAAUGAUGUGAUGUACAAGACCAAACUAUAAAUGUAGCAUAUGAUCGUAUCAAGUUUAUUUCUAUUGUUUUCUACAUGUCAAGUAUAUAUGUUCCUAUGACCAUGAGAUCAUGCAACUACUGACACUGGAGGAAUACCUUGUGUGUACCAAAUGUCGCAACGUAACUGGGUGACUAUAAAGGUGCUCUACAGGUACCUCCGAGGGUGUCUGUUGAGUUGGCAUGGAUCAAGGCUGGGAUUUGUCACUCCGUAUGACGGAGCUCUGGGCCCUCUCAGUAAUACAACAUCACAAGAAGCUUGCAAGGAAUGUAAUAAUGAGUUAGCCACGAGAUCUUGUAUUACGGAAUGAGUAAAGAGACUUGCCGGUAACGAGAUUGAACUAGGUAUGGAGAUACCCAUGAUCGAGUCUCGGGCAAGUAACAUACCGAUAGACAAAGGGAACUGCAUACGAGAUUAGAUGAAUCCUUGGCAUCGAGGUUCGACCAAUAAUAUCUUCAUAGAAUAUGUAGGAACCAUUAUGGGCAUCUAGGUCCCGCUAUUGGCUAUUGACCGUAUAGGUGUGUCGGUCAUGUCUUCAUAGUUCUCGAACCCGCAGGGUCUACACACUUAACGUUUGUUGACGAUAUAAGUAUAGUUGAGUCAUUAUGGUGGUUAUCGAAGGUUGUUUGGAGUCCCGGAUGAGAUCUUGGACGUGAGGGGAACUUCAGAAUGGUCCGGAGGUGAAUAUUGAUAUAUUGGACGAAGGGUAUUGGAGUCCGCAAUUAUUCCGGGGGUACCUGGUGAUGACCAGCAUGACCGAAAGGGGUUUUGGGGGGCCCCGACAAGUGUUGAGGGGCCUCAUGGGCCAAGGGGAGGGGUCAAACCAGCCCACUAAGGGGCUAUGCGCCCCCUUCACCCCUUCCCACGUUGCCAGAGGAGGUGGGGGCGCCACCCUAGGGUUCCCACCCCUUUGGCUUGGGGGCCAAGUCUCCUAAGGGGGAAACCCAUCUAGGGUUUCCCUCUAGUGGCCGCCGACCCUAGAUGGGAUCCCCUAGGGGAUCCCCCUCUCCCCCUCUCCCCAUAUAUACAUAGAGGUAGAGAGAGGGCAGCCGUACGCAUAUAUGCCAUGGCACUGCCCUCCCUCUCCCUUGUAGCCAUCUUCCUUUCUGUAGUGCUUAGCGAAGCUCUACUGAGAUUCCACCACCACCAUCGCCACCACGCCGCUGUGCUGCCGGAGGACUCGAGCUACUACUUCACCAUCACUCACUGGAUCGAGGAGAUGAGGGCGUCAUCAAGCCGUACAUGUGUUGAACGCGGAGGUGUCGUCCAUUCGGCACUUGGAUCGGAGUUUGCGGGACGGAUCGUGAAGAACAUCAACCGCGUUUCUUAACGCUUCCGCUUAGCGAUCUACAAGGGUAUGUAGAUGCAAUCUCUCCUCUCGAAGAUGGUCAUCUCCUAGAUUCAUCUUGGUGAGCGGAGGAAAUUUUUUGUUUCCCAUGCAACGUUCCCUCACAGUGGCAUCAUGAGCUAGGUCCAUGCGUAGAUAACAUCACAAGUAGAACACAAAGGAGUUUGUGGGUGUUGAUAUUCAAAUUGGUUCCUUCCUUGGUAUUUUCUUGAUUCGACAGUAUUGUGGGAUGAAGCGGCCCGGACCAACCUUACAUGUCCACGUACAUGAGAUAGGUUCCAUCGACAGACAUGUGACUUUGUUGCAUAAAGAUGGCCGACGGGUGUCUGUCUCUCCCACCUUAGUUGAAUCGGAUUCGACAAAGGCAGUCCUUGUAGAAGGUUAAAUGGCAACUUUCAUAUCACCAUUGUGGCUUUGCGUAGGUAAGAAUCGUUCUUGCUAGAUACCCAUAGCAGCCACGUAAAACAUGCAACAACAAUUAGAGGAUGUCUAACUUGUUUUUGCAGGGUAUGUUGUGAUAUGAUAUGGCCAAAGACAUGAUGAGAUAUAUUUGAUGUAUGAGAUGAUCAUGUUUGUAAUAGUUUAUAUCGACUUGCAUGUCGAUGCAUACGACAACCGGCGGGAGCCAUAGGGUUGUCUUUAAUUAUUGUAUGACCUAUGUGUCAAUCAUUAAGCGCUAUGUAAUGCUUUACUUUAUCGCUGAGCAGUAGCAAUAGUAGUAUAAGCAUGGUUGGCGUGACAACCUCGACGGUGACAUGAUGAUGGAGAUCAUGGUGUCAUGCUGGUGACAAUGGAGAUCAUGCCGGUGCUUUGGAGAUGGAGAUCAAAAGCACAAGUUGAUGGCCAUAUCAUGUCACUUAUGAUUUGCUUGUGAUGUUAAUCCUUUUAUGCAUCUUAUUUUGCUUAGGACGACGGUAGCAUUAUAAGGUGAUCCCUCACUAAAAUUUCAAGAUAAAAUUGUGUUCUCCCCAAGUGUGCACCGUUGCGGAAGUACGUUGUUUUGAAGCACCACAUGAUGAUCCGGUGUGAUAGACUCUACAUUCACAUACAAUGGGUGCAAGCCAUUUUUGCACAUGUGGAACACUUGGGUUAAACUUGACGAGCCUAGCAUGUACAGACAUGGCCUCAGAACAUAAGAGACCGAAAUGCCGAACAUGAGUCAUAUAGUAGAUAUGAUCAACAUGGAGAUGUUGACCGUUGAAACCACCUCAUCUCACAUGAUGAUUGGACUUUGGUUGGUGAAUUUAGAUGAUGUUACACUCGGACGACCGGAGGGAUGUCGAUUUGAGUGGGAGUUCUUAAGUAAUAUGAUUAGUUGAACUCAUUAUCAUGAACAUAGUCUAAAUUGUCUUUGCAAAUUAUGUUGUAGAUCAAUAGCUCGUGCUAUAGCUCCCUGUUUUAAUACGUUCCUAGAGAAAGACUAAGUUGAAAGAUAUUGUAAGAAAUUAUGCGGACUAGGGCCGUAGUCUAAGGAUUGUCCUCACUGCUGCACAGAAGUCUUAUGUCCUUGACGCACUACUCGGUGUGCCAACCUCUCUAGCGUCAUCUAUGGAUGUUGUGAACAUUUUGCAGACACGUUUAGAAUCGGGGCUCGAAAGACGUUUUUGAACGCCAUGGAACAUAUGUGAUGUUCCAAGAGUUGAAAUUGGUAUUUCAGGCUCAUGCCUGUGUUGGGAGGUAUGAGACCUCCGACAAGUUCUUUGCCUACAAGAUGGAGGAGAAUAACUCAGCUAGUGAGCAUGUGCUCAGAAUGUCUGGGUACUACAAUUGCUUGAAUCAAGUGGGAGUUAAUCUUCUAGAUAAGAUAGUGAUUGACAGAGUUCUCCAGACACUAUCACCAAGCUACUGGAACUUCGUGAUGAACUAUAACAUGCAAGGGAUGGAGAUGAUCCCAGAGCUGUUCGCGGUAGGCCACGAAGGUAGAAAUCAAGAAGGAUCAUCAAGUGUUGAUGGUUUACAAGACCACUAGUUUCAAUAAGGGCAAGGGCAUGAAGAGAAACUUCAUGAAUGGCAAGCCAGUUGCUGCUCCAGUGAAGUAACCCAAGGUUGAACCCAAACCUGAGACUAAGUGCUUCUAUUGUAAGGGGAACGGUCACUGGUAGCGGAGCUACCCCAAAUACUUGGUAGAUAAGAAAGCUGGCAACCUCAACAAAAGUAUAUUUAAUAUACAUGUUAUUGAUGUGUACCUUACUAGUACUCCUAGUAGCACCUGUGUAUUAGAUACCGGUUCAGUUGCUAAUAUUGGUAACUGAAAACAAAAGCUGUGGAAUAAACGGAGACUAGCUAAGGGCGAGGUGACGAUGUGUGUUGGAAGUGUUUGAAAGGUUGAUGUGAUCACCAUCACACGCUCCCUCUACCUUCGAGAUUAGUGUUGAACCUAGAUAAAUGUUAUUUGGUGUCUGCGUUGAGGCAUGAACACAAUUAUAUUGUGUUUAUUACAAUAAAGUUAUUCAUUUAAGUCAGAUAAUAAUGGUUAUUCUAUUUACAUGAAUAAUACCUUCUAUGAUCAUACACCCAAGGUGAAUGGUUUGUUUAAUCUCGAUCGUAGUGAUACACAUGUUCAUAAUAUUAAUGCCAAAAGAUGCAAAGUUAAUAAUGAUAGUACCACAUACUUGUGGCACUGCCGCUUAGGUCAUAUUGGUGUAAAGCGCAUGAAGAAACUCCACGCUGAUGGACUUUGGGAGUCACUUGAUUUUGAAUCACUUGACACAUGCGAACCAUGCCUUAUGGGCAAGAUGACUAAAACCCCGUUUUCUGGUACAUUGGAACGGGCAAGUGACUUGUUAGAAAUCAUACAUGCUGAUGUGUGUGGUCCGAUGAGUGUUGAUGCGUGCGGUGGAUAUCAUUAUUUCCUCACCUUCACCGAUGAUUUGAGUAGAUAUGGGUAUGUUUACUUAAUGAAGUAUAAGUCUGAAACAUUUGAAAAGUUCAAGCAAUUUCAGAGUGAAGUUGAGAAUCAUCGUAAAAAGAAGACUAAAUUCCUAUGAUCCAAUAUAACGGGAGAAUAUCUGAGUUAUGAGUUUGGCAAUCACUUAAGACAAUGUGGAAUUAUUUCACAGUUGACGCCACCUUGAACACCACAGUGUAAUGGUGUGUCCGAACGACGUGGUCAUACCUUAUCAGAUAUGGUGCAUUCUAUGAUGUCUCUUGCCGAUCUACCACUAUUGUUUUGGGGUUAUGCAUUAGCGACAACCACAUUCACUUUAAAUAGGGAACCAUCUAAGUCCGUGGAGAUGACACCGUAUGAACUGUGGUUUGGCAAGAAACCUAAGUUGUCGUUUCUUAAGGUUUGGGGCUGCAACACUUAUGUGAAAAGGCUUGAGCCUGAUAAGCUUCAACCCAAAGCGGACAAAUGCAUUUUCAUAGGAUACCCAAAGGAGAAGAUUGGGUAUACCUUCUAUCUCAGAUAUGAGGGCAAAGUGUUUGUCGCUAAGAACGGGUCCUUUCUUGAGAAAGUGUUUUUCUUGAAAGAAUUGAGUGGGAGGAAGAUAGAACUUGAUGAGGUUGUUGAACCAUUACUUCAACCAGAGAGUAGCGCAUCAAAGAAAGAUGUCUCUGUGGCACCUACGUCAGUUGAAGAGGAAGCUAGUGAUGAUGAUCAUGAAGCUUUGGAUCAAGUUAAUAUCGAACCUUGUAGGUCGACAAGGGUACGUACAACUUCUAAGUGGCAUGGUAACCCUGUCUUAGAGGUCAUGUUGUUGGACAACAGCGAACCUACGAGCUAUGGAGAGGCGAUGGUGGGCCGAAUCCCAACAAAUGGCUAGGAGCCUUGAAAUCCGAGAUAGGAUCCAUGUAUGAGAACAAAGUAUGGACUUUGAUGGACUCGUGUGAUGAUUGGCAAGCCAUUGAGAAUAAAUGGAUCUUUGAGAAGAAGACAUACGUUAAUGAUAAUGUCACCAUUUAUGAAGCUCGACUUGUCACAAAGAAGUUUCCGACAAGUUCAAGGAGUUGACUAUGAUGAGACUUUCUCACUCAUAGCGAUGCUAAAGUUUGUUGGAGUUAUGUUAGCGGUUGCUGCAUUUUCAUUUACGAAAUCUAGCAGAUGGAUGUCAAAACAAAGUUUCCUUGACGGUUUUCGUGAGGAAAGGUUGUAUGUAUACAACCAGAAGGUUUUGUUGAUCCUAAGGAUGCUAAAAGGUAUGCAAGCUCCAUCGAUCCUUCUAUGGACUGGAGCAAGCAUCUCGGAGUUGGAACAUACGCUUUGAUGAGGUGAUCAAAGCUUUUGGUUAUAUUCAAAGUUUGCAAGAAACUUGUAUUCACAAGGAAGUGAGUGGGAGCACUACAACAUUUCUGAUAAGUAUAUGUGGCUGACAUAUUGUUGAUCAGAAAUGAUGUAGAAUUUCUAGAAAGCAUAAAGGGUUGUUUGAAAUGAGUUUUUCAAAGGAAGACCUGGGUAAGUCUGCUUACAUAUUGGGCAACAAGAUCUAUACAGAUAGAUCAAGAUGCCCGAUAAGACUUUCAUAGAGCACAUACCUUGACAUGAUUUUGAAGGAGUUCAAAAUGGAUCAGUGAAAGAAGGAGUUCUUGCUUGAGUUGUAAGGUGUGAGGUUGAGUAAGACUCAAAGAUCGACCACGACAGAAGAAAGAGAAAGGACGAAGGGUCGUCCCCUAUGCCUUAGCCAUAGUCUCUAUACGGUAUGCCAUGCUAUGUACCCCACCGGAGGUGUGCCUUGCCACGUGUCUAGCAAGGUGGUACAAGAGUGAUCGAGGAGUGGAUCACCGGGCAAUGGUCAAAAUUAUCCUAGGAGGAAUAAGGAAAUGUUUCUUGGUUAUGGAGGUGAUAAAGAGUUUAGCGUAAAGGGUUACAUCGAUGCAAGCUUUAACACCUGUCUGGAUGACUCUGAGUAGCAAACCGGAUACACAUAGUGGAGCAGCCAUUUGGAAUAGAUCCAAGUGGAGCUUGGUAGCAGCAUCUACAUUAUGACAUAGAGAUUUGCUAAGCACACACAGAUCUGAAUGUUGCAGACCUGUUGACUAAAACCUCUCUCACAAGCAUAACAUGAUCAAACCCUAUAACUCAUUGAGUGUUAAUCACAUGGUGAUGUAAACUAGAUUAUUGACUCUAGUAAACUCUUUGGGUGUUCGUCACAUGGCGAUGUGAACUAUGAGUGUUAAUCACAUGGAGAUGUGAACUAGAUUAUUGACUCUAGUGCAAGUGGGAGACUGUUGGAAAUAUGCCCUAGAGGUAAUAAUAAAUUGGUUAUUAUCAUAUUUCCUUGUUCAUGAUAAUCGUUUAUUAUCCAUGCUAGAAUUGUAUUGAUCGGAAACUCAGAUACAUGUGUGGAUACAUAGACAACAACGUGUCCCUAGUAAGCCUCUACCGGACUAGCUCGUUGUUCAAAGAUGGCUAUGGUUUCCUAGCCAUGUGCUACCUCUUGAGCACUACGUUGGUUUUCCCUUGAAGAGGAAAGGGUGAUGCAGCAAAGUAGCGUAAGUAUUUCCCUUAGUUUUUGAGAACCAAGGUAUCAAUCCAGUAGGAGGCUACACGCAAGUCCCUCGUACCUACACAAACAAACAAGAACCUCGCAACCAACGCGAUAAAGGGGUUGUCAAUCCCUUCACGGCCACUUGCGAAAGUGAGAUCUGAUAGAGAUAACAAGAUAAGAUAAAUAUUUUUGGUAUUUUUAUGAUAUAGAUUGAAAACUAAAGAUUGCAAAAUAAAUUAGAUCGGAAACUUAUAUGAUAGAAAAUAGACCCAGGGGCCAUAGGUUUCACUAGUGGGUUCUCUCAAGAUAGCAUAAGUGUUACGGUGGGUAAACAUAUUACUGUCGAGCAAUUGAUAGAAAAGUGCAUAGUUAUGAGAAUAUCUAGGCAUGAUCAUGUAUAUAGGCAUCACUUCUGCGACAAGUAGAUCGAAACGAUUCUGCAUCUAGUACUAUUACUCCACACAUCGACCGCUAUCCAGCAUGCAUCCAGAGUAUUAAGUUCAUAAGAACAGAGUAACACAUUAGGCAAGAUGACAUGAUGUAGAGGGAUAAACUCAAGCAAUAUGAUAUAAACCCCAUCUUUUUAUCCUCGAUGUCAACAAAUAUGUGCCUUGCUGCCCCUGCUGUCACUGGGAAAGGACACCGCAAGAUUGAAUCCAAAGCUAAGCACUUCUCCCAUUGCAAGAAAGAUCAAUGUAGUAGGCCAAACCAAAAUGAUAAUUCAAAGAGACUUGCAAAGAUAACCAAUUAUACAUAAAAGAAUUAAGAGGAGAUUCAAAUAUUUAUCAUAGAUAAACUUGAUCAUAAACCCACAAUUCAUCGGAGCUUGACAAACACACCGCAAAAAGAGUUACAUUGAAUAGAUCUCCAAGAAGAUCGAGGAGAACAUUGUAUUGAGAUUCAAAGAGAGAGAAGAAGCCAUCUAGCUAAUAACUAUGGACCCGAAGGUCUGUGGUAAACUACUCACAACUCACCGGAGAGUCUUUGACGUUGAUGUAGAAGCCCUACAUUAUCAAUUCCCCCUACGUCGGAGCGCCGAAAAAGGCUCCAAGAUGGGAUCUCACGGGUACAGAAUGUUGCGGCGGUGGAAAUAGGGUUUUAUGGUGCUCCCUGAUGUUUUCAAGGUAUGCAAGUAUAUAUAGGCGAAGGAAGUCGGUCAGGGGAGCCACGAGGGGCCCACGAGGGUGGGGGCCGCACCCACCCCCCUAGGGCGCGCCCUGGACCCUUGUGGUCGCCUCGUUUACUUCUUGACGUCCACUCCAAGAACCUGGAUUGUGUUUGUUCCAAAAAGAUCUCUCCCGAAGGUUUCAUUCCGUUUGGACUCCAUUUGAUAUUCCUUUUCUUCGAAACACUGAAAUAGGCAAAAAAACAGCAAUUUGAGCUGGGCCUCCAGUUAAUAGGUUAGUCCAAAAAAUGAUAUAAAAGUGUAUAGUAAAUUCCAUAAACAUCCAAAACGGGUAAUAUAAUAGCAUGGAACAAUCAAAAAUUAUAGAUACGUUGAAGAUGUAUCAAGCAUCCCCAAGCUUAAUUCAUGCUCGUCCUCGAGUAGGUAAAUGAUAAAAACAGAAAUUUUGAUGUGGAAUGCUACCUAGCAUAUUUCUCAAUGUAAUUUUCUUUAUUGUGGCAUGAAUGUUCAGGUCCAAAUGAUUCAAGAUAAAAGUUCAUAUUAACAUAAAAAUAGUAAUAGUUCAAGCAUACUAACAAGUAAUCAUGUCUUAUCAAAAUAACAUAGCCAAAGAAAGCUUAUCCCUACAGAAUCAUAUAGUUAGGCUAUGCUUCAUUUUCUUCACACAAAAUACUCCUAUCAUGCACAACCCCGGUUUCAGCCAAGCAAUUGGUUCAUAAUUUUUAACGCGCUUCAGCUUUUUUAACUCUCACGCAAUACAUGAGCGUAAGCCAUGGAUAUAGCACUAUGGGUGGAAUAGAAUAUGAUGAUGGAGGUUGUGUGGAGAAGAAAAAAAAGGAGAAAAUCUCACAUUGAAGAGGCUAAUCAACGGGCUAUGGAGAUGCCCAUCAAUUGAUGUCAACAUGCGGAGUAGGGAUUGCCAUGCAACAGAUGAACUAGAGCUAUAAAUGUAUGAAAGCUCAAAAAAAGAAACUAAGUGGGUGUGCAUCCAACUCGCUUGCUCACGAAGACCUAGGGCAUUUUGAGGAAGCCCAUCAUUGGAAUAUACAACCAAGUUCUGUAAUGAAAAAUUCCCACUAGUAUAUGAAAGUGACAACAUAGGAGACUCUCUAUCAUGAAGUUCAUGGUGCUACUUUGAAGCACAAGUGUGGAAAAAGGAUAGUAAAAUUGUCCCUUCUCUCUUUUUCUCUCAUUUUUUUGGUGGCCUUCUUUGGCCUCCUUUCUUUUUAUUUGGGCUUCUUUGGCCUCUUUUAUUUUUCAUAAAGUCCAAAGUCUCAUCCCAGCCUGUGGGGGAAUCAUAGUCUCCAUCAUCCUUUCCUCACUUGGGACAAUGCUCUAAUAAUGAAGAUAAUCACACUUUUAUUUAUUUACAACUCAAGAAUUACAACUCAAUACUUAGAACAAAAUAUGACUCUAUGUGAAUGCCUCCGGCGGUGUACUGGGAUAUGCAAUGAAUCAAGUGACAUGUAUGAGAGAAUUAUGAAGGUGGCCUUGCCACAAAUACGAUGUCAACUACAUGGUGGAACAUGUCAUAAUAACGGAACGGUGGAAGGUUGCAUGGCAGUAUAUCUCGGAAUGGCUAUGGAAAUGCCAUAAUAGGUAGGUAUGGUGGCUGUUUUGAGGAAGAUAUAAGGAGAUUUAUGUGUGAUAGAGCGUAUCGUAUCACGGGGUUUGGAUGCACCGGCGAAGUUUGCACCAACUCUCAAGGUGAGAAAGGGUAAUGCACGGUACCGUAGAGGCUAGCAAUGAUGGAAGGGUAAGAGUGCGUAUAAUCCAUGGACUCACAUUAGUCAUAAAGAAAUCAUAUACUUAUUGCAAAAGUUAUUUAGCCCUCGAAGGAAAGUACUACUACGCAUGCUCCAAGGGGAAGGGUUGGUAGGAGUUAACCAUCGCGCGAUCCCGACCUCCACUCACAAGGAAGGCAAUCAAAGAGCACCCCAUGCUACAAAUUUGUUACACAACUUUUACCAUACGUGCAUGCUACGGGACUUGCCAACUUUUAAAACAAGUAUUUCUCAAUUUCAUAAUUACCCAACUAGCAUGACUCUAACAUUACCACCUUUAUAUCUCUAAACAAUUAUCAAGCAUCAAAUUGAUCAUAGCAUCCAAUGCACUUUAUAUGAUAGUUUUAUUAUACCCAACUUGGAUGCCCAUCAUAUUAGGACCAAUUUUAUAACCAUAGCAAAUACCAAUGCUGUUCGAAAAUACUCUAAAAAUAAUAUAAGUGAAGCAUGAGAGAUCAACAAUUUCUACAAAAUAAAACCACCGCCGUGCUCUAAAAAGAUAUAAGUGAAGCACUAGUGCAAAAUUUUCUAGCUCAAAAGAUAUAAGUGAAGCACAUAGAGUAUUCUAAUAAAUUCCGAUUCAUGUGUGUCUCUACCAAAAGGUGUGUACAGCAAGGAUGACUAAAAUCAAAGACUCAUAUCAUACAAGACGCUCCAAGGAAAACACAUAUCAUGUGGUGAAUAAAAAUAUAGCUCCAAGUAAAGUUACCGAUAGACGAAGACGAAAGAGGGGAUGCCUUCCGAGGCAUCCCCAAGCUUAGGCUUUUAGUUGUACUUGAAUUACCUUGGGGUGCCUUGGGCACCCCCAAGCUUAGGAUCUUGCCACUCCUUAUUCCAUAGUCCAUCAAAUCUUUACCCAAAACUUGAAAACUACAGAACACAAAACUCAACGGAAAAUCUCAUUAGCUCCGUUAGUGCAAGAAACCAAAACACCACUUUAAGGUACUGUAAUGAACUCAUUAUUUAUUUAUAUUGGUGUUAAAACUACUGUAUUACAACUUCACUAUGGUUCAUACCCCCUGAUACUAGCCAUAGAUUCAUCAAAAUAAGCAAACAACACACGAAAAACAGAAUCUGUCAAAAAUAGAACAGUCUGUUGUAAUCUGUAACUUUAGAAUACUUAUGGAACUCUAAAAUCCUACAAAAAUAGGAAGUCCUACGAAAUUUGUCUAUUGAUCUACUUCAAAAAGAAUCAACUAAAAAUAACGUUUAUGUGAUUUAAUAAAAUUAUUCUCGUGCAUGCAAAAGUUUCUGUUUUUCAGCAAGAUCAAAUUAGCUAACACCGUAGGUUAUCCUAUAGGUUCUACUUGGCACAAACACUAACUAAAACAUAAAACCACAUAUAAAAAGAAGCUAGAUGAAUUAUUUAUUACUAAACAGGAGCAAAAAGCAAGGAACAAAAAUAAAAUUGGGCUGCCUGCCAACAUGCGCUAUCGUUUAACGCCCCUAGCUAGGCAUAAAAGCGAGAAUAGAUCUAAGUAUUGCCAUCUUUGGUAUUCAAUUCAUAAGUGGCUCGCAUAAUAGAUUCAUAAGGUAAUUUGAUUUUAUUUCUAGGAAAGUUUUCCAUGCCUUUUCUUAAUGGAAAUUGGAAUCUAAUAUUUCCUUCCUUCAUAUCAAUAAUUGCACCAAUCGUUCUAAGGAAAGGUCUACCAACAAUAAUAGGACAUGAAAGAUUGCAAUCUAUAUCAAGAACAAUAAAAUCUACGAGCACAUAAUUCCUAUUUGCAACAAUAAUAAGAUCAUUAAUCCUUCCCAUAGGUUUCUUAAUAGUGGAAUCCGCAAGGUGCAAGUUUAAAGAGCAAUCAUCAAAAUCACGGAAACCUAACACAUCACACAAAGUUUUUGGAAUCGUGGAAACACUAGCACCCAAAUCACACAAAGCAUAGCAUUCAUGAUCUUUUAUUUUAAUUUUAGUAGUAGGUUCCCACUGAUCAUAAAGUUUUCUAGGCAUAGAAACUUCCAAUUCAAGUUUUUUCUUCACAAGAUUGCAUCAAAGCAUCAACGAUAUGUUUGGUAAAAGCUUUAUUUUGACUAUAAGCAUGAGGAGAAUUUAACAUGGAUUGCAACAAGGAAAUACAAGCUAUUAAAGAGAACUUAUCAUAAUUAAAUUCCUUGAAAUCCAAAAUAGUGGGUUCAUUGCUAUGUAAAGUUUUGACCUCUCCAAUCCCACUUUUACCAAAUGUAGCAUCAAGAUCUAAAAACUCUGAAUCAUUGGGAUGCCUUUUAACUAAAGUUGACUCAUCUCCAGUCCCAUUAUUAUCAAGAUUCAUAUUGCAAAACAAAGAUUUAAUAGGGGACACCUCAAUCACUUUUAUAUCUUCAUCAUUAUUAUCAUGAAAACUAGAAGAACAUGCUUUUACAAAGCAACCUUUCUUAGCACGCAUUCUAGUGGUUCUUUCUUUGCACUCAUCAAUGGAAAUUCUCAUGCCUUUGAGAGACUCAUUGAUAUCAUGCUUAGGUGGAAUAGAUCUAAGUUUCAAAGAAUCAACAUCAAGAGAAAUUCUAUCCACGUUCCUAGCCAACUCAUCAAUCUUAGGCAAUCUUUCUUCAAGCAAAGCAUUGAAAUUCUUUUGAGAGAUCAUAAAUUCUUUAACACUAAUCUCAAAAUCAGAGGGCAUCUUAUUAAAAUUUCCAUAAGAGUUGUUGUAGGAAUUACCAUAAUUAUUAGAGGAAUUACUAGGAAACGACCUAGGAUUAAAGUUUCCUCUAUACGCGUUGUUACCAAAAUUAUUCCUACCAACAAAAUUCACAUCCAUAGAUUCAUUAUUAUUAUCAAUCAAAGUAGACAAAGGCAUAUCAUUAGGAUCAAUAGGAGCACUCCUAUUAGCAAACAAUUUCAUAAGUUCAUCCAUCUCUCCACUCAAAACAUUAAUCUCUUCUAUCGCAUGAACUUCUUUAAUAGUAGAUCUUUCGGUGUGCCAUUGAGAAUAAUUAACCAUAAUAUUAUCUAGGAGUUUAGUAGCUUCUCCUAAAGUGAUUUCCAUAAAAGUGCCUCCCAUGGCCGAAUCUAAAAGAUUUAUAGAAGCACAAUUCAAUCCGGCAUAAAAGUUUUGUAUGAUCAUCCAUAAAUUUAAUCCAUGUGUAGGGCAACUGCGAAUCAUUAAUUUCAUCCUCUCCCAAGAUUGUGCAACAUGCUCAUGAUCAAGCUGCUUAAAAUUCAUAAUAUCGUUUCUAAGAGAGAUGGUCUUAGCGGGAGGAAAAUACUAAGAGAUAAAAGCAUCUUUGCACUUAUUCCAUGAAUCAAUACUAUUUUUAGGCAAAGAUGAAAACCAAGUUUUAGCACGAUCUCUAAGCGAAAACGGAAAUAACUUCUAUUUAACAAUAUCAUUAUCCAUGUCUUUCUUCUUUUGCAUAUCACACAAAUCAACAAAGUUGUCCAAAUCAGUAGCGGCAUAUUCACUAGGAAGGCCGGAGAAUUGAUCUUUCAUGACAAGAUUCAACAAAGCAUCAUUGAUUUCGCAAGGUUCAGCAUCAUUAAGAGGAGCAAUGAGAGUUCUAAGGAAAUCAUUAUUGUUGGUAUUGGAAAAGUCACACAAUUUAGUAUUACCUUGAGCCAUCGUGACAAGCAAUCCAACACACAAGCACACAAGAGGCACGCAAAAAAGAGGCGAACAGGAAAGCAAGGGCGAAUAAAACGGCAAGGGUGAAGUGGGGGAGAGGAAAACGAGAGGCAAAUGGAAAAUAAUGUAAUGCGAGGGAGAAGAGUUUAUGAUGGGUACUUGGUAUGUCUUAACUUGAGCGAAGACCUCCCCGGCAACGGUGCUAGAAAUCCUUCUUGCUACCUCUUGAGCACUGCGUUGGUUUUCCCUUGAAGAGGAAAGGGUGAUGCAGCAAAGUAGCGUAAGUAUUUCCCUCAGUUUUUGAGAAUCAAGGUAUCAAUCCAGUAGGAGGCUACACGCAAGUCCCUUGUACCUACACAAACAAACAAGAACCUCGCAACCAAUGUGAUAAAGGGGUUGUCAAUCCCUUCAUGGCCACUUGCGAAAGUGAGAUCUGAUAGAGAUAACAUAAAUAUUUUUGGUAUUUUGAUGAUAUAGAUUGAAAAGUAAAGAUUGCGAAAUAAAGUAGAUCGGAAACUUAUAUGAUAGAAAAUAGACCCGGGGGCCAUAGGUUUCACUAGUGGCUUCUCUCAAGAUAGCAUAAGUAUUACAGUGGGUAAACAAAUUACUGCCGAGCAAUUGAUAGAAAAGUGCAUAGUUAUGAGAAUAUCUAGGCAUGAUCAUGUAUAUAGGCAUCACGUCUGCGACAAGUAGAUCGAAACGAUUCUGCAUCUAUAGCAUGCAUCUAGAGUAUUAAGUUCAUAAGAACAGAGUAACGCAUUAGGCAAGAUGACAUGAUGUAGAGGGAUAAACUCAAGCAAUAUGAUAUAAACCCCAUCUUUUUAUCCUCGAUGGCAACAAUACAAUACGUGCCUUGCUGCCCCUGCUGUCACUAGGAAAGGACACCCCAAGAUUGAACCCAAAGCUAAGCACUUCUCCCAUUGCAAGAAAGAUCAAUCUAGUAGGCCAAACCAAACUGAUAAUUCGAAGAGACUUGCAAAGAUAACCAAUCAUACAUAAAAGAAUUCAGAGGAGAUUCAAAUAUUUCUCAUAGAUAAACUUGAUCAUAAACCCACAAUUCAUCGGAUCUCGACAAACACACCGCAAAAAGAGUUACAUCGAAUAGAUAUCCAAGAAGAUCGAGGCGAACAUUGUAUUGAGAUUCAAAGAGAGAGAAGAAGCCAUCUAGCUAAUAACAAUGGACCCAAAGGUCUGUGGUAUACUACUCACAACUCAUCGGAGAGGCUUUGGCGUUGAUGUAGAAGCCCUCCGUGAUCGAUUCCCCCUCCGGCGGAGCGCCGGAAAAGGCUCCAAGAUGGGAUCUCACGGGUACAGAAGAUUGCGGCAGUGGAAAUAGGGUUUGGUGGUGCUCCCUGAUGUUUUCAGGGUAUGCAAGUAUAUAUAUGCGAAGGAAGUCGGUCAGGGGAGCCAAGAGGGGCACAUGAGGGUGGGGGCGUGCCCUAGACCCUCGUGGCCGCUUUGUUUACUUCUUGACGUCCACUCCAAGUCUCUUGGAUUGCGUUUGUUCCAAAAAGAUCUCUCCCAAAGGUUUCAUUCCGUUUGGACUCCAUUUGAUAUUCCUUUUCUUCGAAACACUGAAAUAGGCAAAAAACAUCAAUUUGGGCUGGGCCUCCGGUUAAUAGGUUAGUCCAAAAAUGAUAUAAAAGUGUAUAGUAAAGCCCAUAAACAUCCCAAACGGGUAAUAUAAUAGCAUGGAAUAACCAAAAAUUAUAGAUACAUUGGAGACGUAUCACCAUGGACAUGAGUUGUCAUUUGAUAACGGGAUCACAUCAUUAGGAGAAUGAUGUGAUGAACAAGACCCAAACUAUAAACGUAGCAUAUGAUCGUAUCAAGUUUAUUGCUAUCAUUUUCUGCAUGUCAAGUAUAUAUGUUCCUAUGACCAUGAGAUCAUGCAACUCACUGACACCGGAGGAAUACCUUGUGUGUACCAAACGUUGCAACGUAACUGGGUGACUAUAAAGGUGCUCUACAGGUAUCUCCGAGGGUGUCUGGGGAGUUGGCAUGGAUCAAGACUGGGAUUUGUCACUCUGUAUGACGGAGAGGUAUCUCUAGGCCCUCUUGGUAAUACAACAUCACAAGAAGCUUGCAAGCAAUGUGACUAAUGAUUUAGCCACGGGAUUUUGUAUUACAGAACAAGUAAAGAGACUUGCCGGUAACGAGAUUGAACUAGGUAAGGAUAUACUGACGAUCGAAUCUCGGGCAAGUAACAUACUGAUAGACAAAGGGAACUGCAUACGGGGUUAGCUGAAUCCUUGGUAUCGAGGUUUGACCGAUAAGAUCUUCGUAGAAUGUGUCGGAACCAUUAUGGGCAUCCAGGUCCCGCUAUUGGUUAUUGAUCGUAGAGGUGUCUCUGUCAUGUCUGCAUAGUUCUCUAACCUGGAGGGUCUACACACUUAACGUUUGGUGACGAUAUAAGUAUAGUUGAGUCAUUAUGGUGGUUACCGAAGGUUGUUCGGAGUCCCGGAUGAGAUCUCAGACAUGACGAGGAACUUUGGAAUGGUUCGCAAGCAAAGAUCGAUAUAUUGGAUGAAGGGUAUUGGAGUCCGGAAUUGUUCUGGGGGUACGUGGUGAUGACCAGCAUGACCGAAAGGGGUUUCGCGGGGCCUCGACAAGUGUUGGGUGAUACAUCUCCAACGUAUCUAUAAUUUUUGAUUGUUCCAUGCUGUUAUAUUAUCAUUCUUGUAUGUUUUAAAAUCAUUUUGUAGUCAUUUUAUAUCAUUUUUGGGUACUAACCUACUGACAUAGUGCCCAGUGCUAGUUAUUGUUUUCUGCAUGUUUUUUACAUCGCAGGAAAUCAAUACCAAACGGAGUCCAAACGCAGCGAAACUUUUUGAGGAUUUUUUUGGGCCAGAAGACAUCCAAUGGGCCAGGAAAGCACCUAGGGGGGGGGUGCUUCGAGGGGAGCACAACCCACCAGGGCAUGCCUGGAGGCCCAAGCGCGCCCAGGUGGGUUGUGCCCACCUCGGGUGCCCCGUGAACCGCCUCUUUGCUCUAUAAAUACCCCAAUAUUUCAGAAACCCUAGGGGAGUCGACGAAAAUCAAUUCCAGCCAUCGUAGAUUCCAGAAACACCAGAUCCAAUCUAGACACCAUCUCGGAGGGGUGCAUCAUGUCCAUUGGUGCCUCUUCGAUGAUGCGCGAGUAGUUCUUUCUAGACCUACGAGUCCGUAGUUAGUAGCUAGAUGGCUUCCUCUCUCUCUUGAUUAUCAAUACAAUGGUCUCUUGGAGAUCCAUAUGAUGUAAGUCUUUUGCGGUGUGUUUGUUGGGAUCCGAUGACUUUGAGUUUAUGAUCAAAUCUAUGUAUUUAUCCAUGAAAGUUAUUUGAGUCUUCUUUGAUCUCUUAUAUGCGUGAUUGAUUAUAGCCUCGUAUUUCUUCUCCGAUAUUUGGGUUUUGUUUGGCCAACUUGAUCUAUUUAUCUUGCAAUGGGAAGAGAUGCUUUGUGAUGGGUUUGAUCUUACGGUGCUUGAUCCCAGUGACAGAAAGGGAAAUGUCACAUAUGUAUCGUUGCUAUUAAGGAUAACAAGAUGGGAUCUAUUUCUACAUAAAUAGAUCAUGUCUACAUCAUGUCAUCGUUCUUAUUGCAUUACUCCAUUUCUCCAUGAACUUAAUACACUAGAUGCAUGCUGGAUAGCGGUCGAUGUGGUAGAUGCAGGUAGUAGUAGAUGCAGGUAGGAGUCGGUCUACUAAUCUUGGACGUGAUGCCUAUAUAAUGAUCAUUGCCUGGAUAUUGUCAUGAUUAUUUGAAGUUCUAUCAAUUGCCCAACAGUAAUUGUUUUCCCACCGUUUGCUAUUUUUCUCGAGAGAAGCCACUAGUGAAACCUACGGCCCCCGGGUCUCUUUUGAUCAUGUUUGCCUUUGCGAUAUAUUUUCCUUUGCAUUUAUUUUCAUAUCUAUUAAACCAAAAAUACAAAAAUACCUUGCCGCAAUUUAUUUUUUCUGUGAUUUAUUUAUCCUAUUUACCACUUUUAUCUCACGUUAUUUGCCUAUCUUGAGGCGCCGUACCCGAAAGGGAUUGACAACCCCUUUAACACGUCGGGUUGCGAGUAUUUGUUAUUUGUGUGCAGGUGCCUUUUAUGUGGUGGUCUCAUCACUGAGGGAAAUACCUAUUGUCUCUAUACUACAUCAUCCUUUCCUCUUUGGGGAAAUACCAACGUAGUUCUAGCAGACAUCAAAAGGAAUUUCUGGCGCUGUUGCCGGGGAGGAUCUUCAACAUCAACCAGGUUCCUUAUGACAAAUAUCAUCUCCUCGUGAUUUACAUUAUUUUCCGUUUGCCUCUCGUUUUCCUCUCCCCCACUUCACAAAUUUGCCGUUUUAUUCGCCCUCUUUUUCGUUCGCCUUUUUCUUGUCAGAUCUCUUGUUUGCUUGUGUGACCAUGUGUCUUCUAUUGGCUUGCAUCUUUGCUUGUUAAAAAUCUAUUGAUAUGGAUCCUCAUCCACUAGCUAAUAUUUUUAAGAGAUCUAAUUAUGUUGAACCAGUUGCUAGUGAUUUGAGUGCACUUGAUUAUCGCUAUGAAGUUUUGCUUGAAAUUCGUGAAUCUGGAAAUUGUGAUGAAGUGCUUAAAGAAGAAAUUUAUGAAAUGAUUCAUGAUAGCUCCUUGAAUGAAAAGCAUGAUUGCAAUGGCGUGACUAUAAAUUCUAUUAAUAUCAAUUGUGCCAAUGUUAUGCAAAACCCCAUGCUUAGGGAUGCUAAUGUUUCUAUGUCCACUAAUUAUUGUAAUGAUCAUGAUUGGGGUGAUUCUUCUUAUGAUCUUGAAAAUUUAUUUAAGCCUCAUGAUGAAUAUGCUAUUGAUAAUAAUUGUCGGUGUACAGAAGUAGGGGUUCUACUUUGUACCCCUUUACCUGUGCACGGGCAGCCAGAGCCACGGCCACGGCCACACUUAGCAGGGCAGGUAUGGGAAGCCAAAGCCACCAGACGAUCAAAGUUUAGGACCUUGAAGUAUGUCUAGAGCGCGCGGGGGNNNNNNNNNNNNNNNNNNNNNNNNNNNNNNNNNNNNNNNNNNNNNNNNNNNNNNNNNNNNNNNNNNNNNNNNNNNNNNNNNNNNNNNNNNNNNNNNNNNNNNNNNNNNNNNNNNNNNNNNNNNNNNNNNNNNNNNNNNNNNNNNNNNNNNNNNNNNNNNNNNNNNNNNNNNNNNNNNNNNNNNNNNNNNNNNNNNNNNNNNNAUUAGACUACUUGACCAAUUAAAAACUUAACCUUUUCCCAAUUUUAGAGUUUGACAGAUUUUAGCAUCUUUGGACAAGUCAAGCAAUCAUCACACAAAUUAAGCAAGCAUGCAAAGAGUAUAUAGGCAGCGGAAAUUAAAGCAUGCAACUUGCAAGAAAGUAAAGGGAAGGGUUUGGAGGAUUCAAACGAAGUUGGAGACACGGAUGUUUUUGGUGUGGUUCCGAUAGGUGGUGCUAUCGUACAUCCACGUCGAUGGAGACUUCAACCCACGAAGGGUAAUGGUUGCGUGAGUCCACGGAGGGCUCCACCCACGAAGGGUCCACGAAGAAGCAACCUUGUCUAUCCCACCAUGGCCGUCGCCCACGAAGGACUUGCCUCACUAGCGGUAGAUCUUCACGAAGUAGGCGAUCUCCUUGCGCUUACAAACUCCUUGGUUCAACUCCACAAUCUUUGUCGGAGGCUCCCAAGUGACACCUAGCCAAUCUAGGAGACACCACUCUCCAAGAAGUAACAAAUGGUGCGUUGAUGAUGAACUCCUUGCUCUUGUGCUUCAAAUGAUAGUCUCCCCAACAGUCAACUCUCUCUCAUAGGAUUUGGAUCUGGUGGAAAGAAGAUUUGAGUGGAAAGCAACUUGGGGAAGGCUAGAGAUCAAGAUUCAUAUGGUAGGAAUGGAAUAUCUUGGCCUCAACACAUGAGUAGGUGGUUCUCUCUCAGGACUGGUAAGUUGGAAGUGUAGGUUUGUUCUGAUGGCUCUCUCCAUGAGUGAAGAGGAGGUGGAGGGGUAUAUAUAGCCUCCACACAAAAUCUAACCGUUACACACAAUUUAUCAAUCUUGGUGGGACCGAAUCAAUAAACUCGGUCAGACCGAUUUAGUAAACUUAGUGACCGUUAGGAUUUUUGGUGGGACCGAAACGCAACUCGGUGAGACCGAUAUGGUUAGGGUUAGGGCAUAACGUAAUCUCGGUGAGACUGAUUACACAAACUUGGUAUGACCGAUUUUGGUAAUUAGCUAACCAGAGAGUUGGUCAGGUAAGCUCGGUGGGACCGAUUUGCUCUUUUCGGUGAGAUCGAAAUGUUACAGAAGGGAAACAGAGAGUUUACAUUGCAAUCUCGGUGGGACCGAUCGCUCACUUCGGUUAGACCGAAACGUUACAAAGGGAAACAGAGAGAUUACAAUCCCAUCUCGGUGAGACCGAGAUCCUCAUCGGUGAGACCGAUUUGCCUAGGGUUUGUGGCAGUGGCUAUGACAUCUGAACUCGGUGGCGCCGGAUAGAAAGAAUCGGUGAGACCGAUUUUGGCUUUGGGUUUAGGUCAUAUGUGGAUGUGAGAAAAUAGUUGAGGGUUUUGGAGCAUAUCACUAAGCACAUGAAGCAAGAGGCUCAUUAAGCAACACCUCAUCCCUCCUUGAUAGUAUUGGCUUUUCCUAUAGACUCAAUGUGAUCUUGGAUCACUGAAAUAUAAAAUGAAGAGUCUUGAGCUUUUGAGCUUGAGCCAAUCCUUUGUCCUUGAUAUUUUGAGGGAUCCACUUUCAUCAUCCAUGCCAUGCCAUUCAUUGAGCUUUCCUGAAAUAUAUGUCUUGGAAUAGCAUUAGCUCAAUGAGCUAUAUGUUGUUAUGAAUUACCAAAACCACCUAGGGAUAGUUGCACUUUCAAUCUCCCCCUUUUUGGUAAUUGAUGACAACAUAUAGAUCAAAGCUUCGACAUAUGAUAAUAAGAUUGAAAAACAUCGUCGCUUUGAGAAGUAUGUGAUAAGCAAGAGCUCCCCCUAAAUUUGUGCAUUGUUUAAGAUUUGCUUUGGACUGCAAAUGCACAAGGAAUUAGGCUCAUGGGUUACUCUUCCAUGUCACAUACAUCUUGGUGGAGCGCUCAAAAUAAUAAAGAUUGAAUACAUGCACUCAUCACCAAGCAAAGUGAAUGAUCAUAUAAGGAUAAGUAAGAUAAUAACAUAUAAUCAAGCAUAAGUGUAGCUUAUGAUCAAACACAUGAUCAUCAAUGUCUCAUAGGUAAUGCAUAGUAUCUCAAGCAAUCAAAAGCAAACAAGUUUAACCAAGAAGACAAGAGAGAACAAAAAAUAGCAAGUCUCUCUCUCGAAGCCUAUGAUCUAUACAUUUUUCUCCCCCUUUGGAAACAAGUUACCAAAAAGUUCAUAGAAAAUGCAUAGUGCUAGAUCGUCUCUCAGGCUUGGUCUUCAGUUGGUGGUGUAGAGAUGGCUCCUUGGACGAAGACUUCAGUUGAUGUAGAGGGAGCUGGAGGAGUUGGUGCUGGAGCUGGUUGCCCUGGAGCUGUAGGAGCUGUAGCUGGUGCAGAUGAUGUAGCUCUUGUGUUUGACACAGGCACUGUAGCUGACCUUUGAGCUCUAGGCACUCUGGCAAAUGCAUCUGUGGUUGUCUUGCCCUUCCUCUCCUGCAUGUCAUCCUGCAGCUUCUCCACAACUGACUGAAUCUCAGUUACUUUGACAUCAAGAUCAUAGAAUUUUUGUUCCAUGAUCCUUUCCAGGCUCUCCUGGUUUUGAGUUAGGGUGGCCAACCCCUUCUCAAUCCUCAGUGUUGAUGCUAUCAAGUAACCAAGCUGCUCCUGUUUGUUCUUCAAGAAAUACUCAGAUGCCUCCUCUUGAGUUGGCAUCUUGUCAGCCUUCUCUUUCCUUGCUUUCUCUUUCUUCUCUUGAGCUUGCACUGAUGAUGGAUCAUUCUCAUUCAUGAAAAUUUGAUUGUCCUCAAAGUCUGGAUAGAGAGGAAAAUGUUCCUUAUCCAACUGAUACUUUCCUGUGCCCAUCUUUGAGUUAAUCAACUCCUGAAUCUGUGGGGCAUAUCCACAACUUCUCUUCUGAUCUGCUGCAGUCCUCUUAAUGGUUUCUACCAUAAGGCUCAUGACCUUGAAUUUUUGGGGCACAUAAAAAAUGUGAAGCAUGUUAAUUGCAUGCCCUCUUAUCAUGUUGUGGUCACCUGAUUUGGGAAAAAGAGUGUGCCUUAAGAUCCAAUUGAUCGUAGGCAGCCCUGAUAGAAGAAAAUGGACUGACCCAAAUGAGAAAGUCUCAAGGGCUUUGUCUGGGAUCUCUUUGUACAUAUGUGACAUAUAAUUGUGUCCCAUCUUCUUCUUGGCAUAUAUAUCCAAAUCAUCUUCACUCUCUUUUGGGGCAUUGAUCAGAUUUGCCCAUUCCUCUAUGGUUGACUGAUAUCUUGUUCCUUCAUACAUCCAAACUAUCCUGCCAUCUGGAUAGAAGUGUGCUAUGGAGUAGAAUUGCAUAAUGAGUUCAUCAUUCCAGUUGGUGAGCUUCUGCCCAACAAAGUCUUCAACUCCACAAGCAAUGAAACUAUCUUGCACUCCAGGAUAGUGUUCUUCAUUUUCCUUUAUGUAGGUCUAGUCGACCCAUCUCAUAUCACACACUAUAGGCUUCUUGUCCAACAAGAUUGUCUCAUAGAAGUCCUACUGCUCCUUGUGUGGAACCUGUAAUCUACAACAGUCCUUCUCCUGGUGGCAUAUGGAUCAGACAAUCUCCAUAGCCUCAACCCUGAGUCUUUCCUGAUCUUCAUGUUCUCAGCCACAGGAUGAGCAUCAUUGCGGUCUGGAAUCUUGGGUUUGAGCUUUCUUAGGACCUGCCCUUCUUCAUCUUCCUCAGCAGCAAUCUCAGGCAUUGGGGCCUUGUUCUUCUCAGCUGCUGAUAUACUCCUGGUAUUUCUCUUUGGUGCAAUUUUGGGCUUGGGGGUAGCUUUGGGUGCUUCUUUGGGCUUUGAUGUUGCAGCCCCUGGCUUUAUUGUAUCACCCAUAAGCUUCUGUGCCUUUGGUGCUGGUGCAGCAACCUCUUCUUCCUCUUCCAUCAUGGAAGGUUGACCAAGAACUCUGGCCAUGGUCUUCUUGACCCUUUCCUUCCUUUUCUUUCCUUCUACAGCUGGCUCUUCAGGCAUCUCAGGUACUUGAGUUGAUCCUCUGGCUUUAUACAUUGGCUGUCUCCCUGCUGGCCUUUUGAUCUUCAUGCCUGGCUUUACUGCAGUUGAACUGAGCACCUUCUUGAGCACUACCUUCUUGGAAGUAGCCUCAUCUUCUACUGCCACAUAGUCCUCAUCCUCUGAGUCUGAGGUUCUCUUCCUUCUAGAUCUUGUGGCUGCUUUGGGCAAGUUGCUUGGAGUGCUUUUGCUCCCUUCAUCUGAAGUACUUGAGGGACUAGUGCCCUCACUCAUGUGAAUCUGCUCUUCUUCCCUGUUCUGACUGUCACUAAGGUCUGACAUGCUGCAAAUCACUGACUGCUGACCCUGUGAAUAGUUAUAGUUGAGACAGAGUGGAUGAGCAUCACAAAAUGCAGAGAUUUUUGCAAAAGAAUGAUUUAAAAACUUAGUUUUAGUUUCCACAUAAAGCAUUUCGGAUCUACCGAUUUUCAAACUCGGUGAUACCGAAGCAGUUUUGGAACCUAAACUAGUGAUCCCAGUCAGACCGAGUUACAGUUCGGUGGCACCAAGACUGCUAGGGUUUCACAAAGUUCUAAAAUCGGUCACACUAAUUUGUAAUUCUCGGUCAGACCGAGACUUACUAGUGCAAUGGUGUUAGCCAAAUCGGUGGGACCGAGUUUUUCAACUCGGUGGGUCCGAGAUGGUUUCGGCGGAAACCUAGCCCUAAAUUUUCGAAUCACAUCUAUUCUAAGGAUCACAUUGGCUGGAUAGGAGUGUUUCAAUCGUGGCAAGAUGCAUUACAACACAAUGUGCUGAUAAUCAGAUGAGGAAAGCACUAUGAUUGAGUUCAUACCCUAGUUCGGCGGUGAACUCGCUACGACGGCAACGGCGGAGAAGAAAUCCGUUGACGGCGGUAGAGACCAGCGAUAGGAGGCGGCUGGCGACGAAGUCGACGAUCCGUAGACCUAGUAGGCAGAGCGAGCUACGCGUGGGCGAAGGGGUUUGGAGGAAUUUCCAAAUUUUUGCCCGUGUCUAUAUAUAGCCCGACACUGUCGGUGUGACCGAGUUGAACAACUCGGUGGCACCGAGAUGCAUAACUGUUAACAGUUACAGCAACUCGGUGUGACCAAAAAGUUCAUAUUGGUUGCACCGAGAUGGAAAGCUUAGAUCGACUUAGUGAUCCCGGUGGGACCGAAAUGGAGGAAUCGGUCAGACCGAGAAUCACAAAGAAGUUUUGGAAGUUUAAGUCUAUGACGAAUCGGGGAUCCAAGUGCUCCUCACACAGAGUGGUUCGAAUCUGACUUGAUCAAAUUUUGUGAUGUAGCAUGAAUAGAGUUUGAGACGAGAAAAGCAUAGAUAGCUAGAGAAGGUUCUUAGGCAUUCUUGUCCAUCCACUUGGUCAAAGAAAAGGAAACCAAUCAAUCAAACAACAGGUGGAUGUCCUCGAAUGAGUAAAAUAUGCAACCAACAUGCUCACACAAUAAAGUGACAAAUUAGAUAUGUGGCAAAGCAUGCACAACCAAUUCUAGCAUCUAUCAAACAAUUGGCGAUGACUAGGUCAUCUAUAUAUGAGUAUAUUGCCUUAGGAGUCAAAUGAAAACAUUUGAUCAUAGGUCAUACUCAUCGUUUAAGCUCAAGUGGGGUUACCACUUUUACAUAAUGCAUUGAUGUGUUCACAUCAUUAGAGUUGCUUUGACUCAAUUCUUAGAGUUAAGCUCCCCCUAGAUGUGAGUUCCCCCCUUAGAGGGAUGAACUAACCUUGGGUUUUGUCGAUGAUGACUUCAUGUAGGUGUUGAAGAUGUGGAUGCUCAAUGUUGAUGUAGAUCUUUUGGAGCAAUCCUUUGGAGUGAGUUGCACUUUCAAUACCUACACGGGUUAGUCCCACAAGGAACAAAACAAGAAUAUCCAUAGACAUAGAGUGAUGCACACACAAGAUGAUGUCCAUGAAAUCAUUUGGUUACCUUGUCCCUUGCCUUACCAAUAUGAGGGUUUGUGACUCCUUGAACUAGUGCAAGAUGUGGAGGUUGAUUGCACUUGUUCUUGCCAUAAAGAUAUGAGUGAAGAAUGUUGGCGGAGUCACCCUCAAGAACUCUCUAGUUCUUCUUCUUUGGGAUCCACAUCAUCUUGAUGGGAAUCCUUGGAGUUGUAGUUGUACUUGAUGAAGUAGAAUUUGACGUAGUCUUGGGAACCCACUUGACCAAGGCCUUAGGUGCUUCUUGAAAUGCAUCAAUCUCCUCUUGAAGCUUGUCCUUGCCUUUAUGGUCUUGUGGUGGAAGAUCAUCUUGAGCUUGUGUUCCCUUGAAAGAAGUAGGAUCAUACUUCUCUUGUUGAGGAACAAACUCCGUCUUGGGGUAUUGAUCUUCUUCCCACUCAACUCCAUUGGCAUUGAACUUUCGUUCAAAACCAACACCUUGAUUCUUCCGGUGCCUUCCUUGCUUGCGUACAAUUUCAACGAAUUGCUUACUCCCGACAAGGCUCUUGUAUACACCUUUCUCUAUAAUUCCCUUCAAUAAGCUAUUUUCUUGCUCAAGUGUAACUUGGCUAAGAGAAUCAUUAGUGGAAUCAAGAGAACUACUAGAAGCAACAAUAUUGGAUUUAGCAUAGUUAUUGUUACUACUAGAGGAAGAAUCUUUCUUGCUCUUGUUACUAGACUUGACUUGAGGCAUGUAAGUAGAUAAGAGUAAACGCUUGGCAAUAUAAGAAGAACUUUUCUUGCGAAGAUCAUCAUUGAUUGCCUUUAAGAACUCAUGCUCUUUCUCAAGAUUGAGCUUUUCAAAGCGUAACUUCUCAUGAGCCCUUAAAAGUUCUCGAUGAUUUUCGAAGAUAGUUUCAUGAGCUAACUUAAGAGUGUUUAGUUCUUUAGUUAGAAGCUCAAUCUUCUCCUUAUCAUUGUCAUUCGUUUUAUCUUGUUUAGCAUGAUUAAUUGAUGUUUCAUCAUAGUAUUCAUCACUAGAGUUGUCAAUAAGUAAAUCAUCAUCACCUAGCAAGUCAUCUUCAUCACUAUUGAAAUCAACAUACUCGGGAUGUGUUACCUUUGGACCUUUGGCCAUGAAGCAUCUUCCAAUUCCUUCAUUUGGUGAGUCAAAUAUGUCGUAGGAGUUAGUUGACACAAGUUCUAGACCGGCAACACCUUCAUCUUGAGUAUGUUCAGAGUCGAAGUGAUAGCUUCUUUUGGAGUGAUGUUCUGAUUCGGAACUGGAUUCCCAUUCAUCAACAUGAGCUUGAUGUCUUUGUUUUGUGUAGCUCUUUGAUGACUUGUCCUUCCUUUCCGAAUAUUUGCUUCUCUGUGAGGGUCUUCGUUCAUAACGAUCAUCUCUACUCCUUCUCUCUCUUGGUGGUGAUUCUUCUCUUCUACUUCUUCUUUUUGGAGAAUCUUCUCUUCUUUUGUAGGGUGCCGUACACUCAUUGGAAUAGUGUCCGGGUCUCCCACAAUUGUAGCAGUUGCGCUCUCGACUGGAAGAUCUUUUGUCAUUGUAGGACCUUGACUUAGAGCUUCUUUCUUUGCUUCUACUCUUGUAGAAUUUGUUGAAAUUUUUCACCAUUGAGCUCAAUUCUUCAUUGAAGGUUUGUUUCUCACUUGAUGAUGUGGGGGCUUCACAUGAGGCUUUGUAACCACCACUUGACUUGUUGUGAAGUUCCUCCUUAUCCUUGAGUGACAUCUCAUGAGCAACAAUUCUACCAAUGACCUCCGUUGGCUUGAGAUUCUUGUAAUUGGGCAUCAUUUGAAUCAAUGUGCACACGGUAUCAUAUUUUCCAUCCAAUGCUCUUAGGAUCUUCUUGAUGAUGAAUCUGUUGGUCAUUUCUUCACUCCCUAAGCCGGCAAUCUCAUUUGUGAUAAGAGCAAGCCUAGAGUACAUUUCAGCGACACCUUCACCAUCCUUCAUUUUGAACUUGUCAAGCUGACUUUGGAGCACAUCCAACUUGGAUUCCUUGACGGAGUCGGUACCUUCAUGCAUAUCAAUCAAAGUGUCCCAAAUUUCCUUUGCAUUCUCAAGACGGGUGAUUUGUUGAAUUCUUCAGGGCACAAUCCGUUGAAGAUGAUAUCACAAGCUUGAGCGUUGUAUUGCAACAUCUUCAAUUCUUCUGCAUUAGCUUCACGGUUCGGCUCUCUCCCAUCAAAGAAAUCACCUUGCAAGCCAAUACAAAUAAUAUCCCAAACGGUGGGCUUAUGUCCGAGAAUAUGCAUUUUCAUCUUAUGCUUCCAACUAGCAAAAUUAGUUUCAUCAAAGUAAGGACCUCUACGGUGAUAAUUUCCCUCGCUAGACGCCAUACUCUCCUAGGUUGUGAAACCAAGGCUAUGAUCACCAAAAGCUAUGGAAAUACAAGCAAAUGGAGACCAAGGCUCUGAUACCACUUGUAGGACCUUGAAGUAUGUCUAGAGGGGGGGGGGUGAUUAGACUACUUGACCAAUUAAAAACUUAACCUUUUCCCAAUUUUAGAGUUUGACAGAUUUUAGCAUCUUUGGACAAGUCAAGCAAUCAUCACACAAAUCAAGCAAGCAUGCAAAGAGUAUAUAGGUAGCGCAAAUUAAAGCAUGAAACUUGCAAGAAAGUAAAGGGAAGGGUUUGGAGGAUUCAAACGCAGUUGGAGACACAGAUGUUUUUGGCGUGGUUCCGAUAGGUGGUGCUAUCGUACAUCCACGUUGAUGGAGACUUCAACCCACGAAGGGUAACGGUUGCGCGAGUCCACGGAGGGCUCCACCCACGAAGGGUCCACAAAGAAGCAACCUUGUCUAUCCCACCAUGGCCGUCGCCCAUGAAGGACUUGCCUCACUAGCGGUAGAUCUUCACGAAGUAGGCGAUCUCCUUGCGCUUACAAACUCCUUGGUUCAACUCCACAAUCUUUGUCGGAGGCUCCCAAGUGACACCUAGCCAAUCUAGGAGACACCACUCUCCAAGAAGUAAUAAAUGGUGCGUUGAUGAUGAACUCCUUGCUCUUGUGCUUCAAAUGAUAGUCUCCCCAACACUCAACUCUCUCUCAUAGGAUUUGGAUCUGGUGGAAAGAAGAUUUGAGUGAAAAGCAACUUGGGGAAGGCUAGAGAUCAAGAUUCAUAUGGUAGGAAUGGAAUAUCUUGGCCUCAACACAUGAGUAGGUGGUUCUCUCUCAGAACUGGUAAGUUGGAAGUGUAGGUUUGUUCUGAUGGCUCUCUCCACGAAUGAAGAGGAGGUGGAGGGUUAUAUAUAGCCUCCACACAAAAUCUAACCGUUACACACAGUUUACCAAUCUUGGUGGGACCGAAUCAAUAAACUCGGUCAGACCGAUUUAGUAAACCUAGUGACCGUUAGGAUUUUUGGUGGGACCGAAACGCAACUCGGUGAGACCGAUAUGGUUGGGGUUAGGGCAUAACGUAAUCUCGGUGAGACCGAUUACACAAACUUGGUAGGACUGAUUUUGGUAAUUAGCUAACCAGAGAGUUGGUCAGGUAAACUCGGUGGGACCGAUUUGCUCUUUUCGGUGAGACCGAAAUGUUACAAAAGGGAAACAGAGAGUUUACAUUGCAAUCUCGGUGGGACCGAUCGCUCACUUCUGUUAGACCGAAACGUUAUGAAGGGAAACAGAGAAAUUACAAUCCCAUCUCGGUGAGACCGAGAUCCUUAUCGGUGAGACCGAUUUGCCUAGGGUUUGUGGCAGUGGCUAUGACAUCUGAACUCGGCGGCGCCGGAUAGAAAGAAUCGGUGAGACCGAUUUUGGCUUUAGGUUUAGGUCAUAUGUGGAUGUGAGAAAAUAGUUGAGGGUUUUGGAGCAUAUCACUAAGCACAUGAAGCAAGAGGCUCAUUAAGCAACACCUCAUCCCUCCUUGGUAGUAUUGGCUUUUCCUAUAGACUCAAUGUGAUCUUGGAUCACUGAAAUAUAAUAUGAAGAGUCUUGAGCUUUUGAGCUUGAGCCAAUCCUUUGUCCUUGAUAUUUUGAGGGAUCCACUUUCAUCAUCCAUGCCAUGCCAUUCAUUGAGCUUUCCUGAAAUAUAUGUCUUGGAAUAGCAUUAGCUCAAUGAGCUAUAUGUUGUUAUGAAUUACCAAAACCACCUAGGGAUAGUUGCACUUUCACAAAGGAACGCCAAGACAGAGACACGAAGAGAAAGAGGGUGAGGUGGACUCCCCCGGCAAGACCCUUGCCGGGGCGGCCUCCACGGCCCCGGCAAGGACCUUGCCGGGGCAGCUUGCCCAAACCCAGCGGAGCGCGCCACCCUUGAGCCCGAGGUUUGCAAUACCAACAAACACAUUGGAACCAAGGCUCGGGAGGCGCCUCCAUGGUGGCAUGCAGAUCUUUGUGAAGAUCAUUAACACACAAUAUCAGGUAAGGACCAGAAGACGAGACCUCCGGCAUCAUCCUUGCCGGGGACGACCACAGUGCCACGGCAAGACCCUGGCCGCCCCCCGCCCCGGCAAGACCCUUGCCGAGGAAAUAAGUGAGGCCACGGCCAGGCCCACAUGCGUCAAGACCCCACCGCCGUUCCCAUGCAGCUGCCAGCCCAGCCAGGCAGGCGGGCACCUGCGUGGCGACGUGCGGUUUCGAGGCCAACUCAGCAAGCACCUGCGUUGUGGCAUGCAGAUCUUCAUGAAGACGCUGCUACCGUGCCACCUCAGCAGCAUGCCAGCCUACAUGGCGCUGCCCGCCCCGCUGGCCUGGGCGCGUGUCGAAGCAGGGCAAGGCGGCACCUCAGAGGCGCAUUUAAUGCGUAUUGUCCCAUAAUGGCAAGCGAUAAAGAUAACUACUGAACCAUUUCCACCUCCUGUCACUAUAAAAAAAGACACAUCCAUGACAUUUUGGGCCAAACGAAUUUUUUUCUGUCAUACUUAUGAGACUUCUAUGAUGAUAAUUGUGAAAAAACCCGGUAUCAUCAUAGAUGUGGUGGGCUCCUACUUCUAUGACAAAAAAUCAUGACAGAAAAUGGGCUUUUCGUCCUGGGCGGGCCGGAGACGCAGCUGCAUGACAUUCUUUGGUCCAUCCAUGACGGAAAAAACCGUGGUAGAAGAGAGGGCGAGGAAAAUAUCGGGGUGUUCCCGGUUAUAGUGGGUGGUCGGGGCCGAGCGAUGCACCUCCUCUCUCGUACACGUACGCACGUGGGUGCGAGGCAUUGUGCUGUAACUUAACCCGAGCAAGGCGUUCACCUAUACUGAACCCGAGCGAUUGCACUGCAGGCUACGCGUUACUGAACCCGAGCAAUCGAUCGAUGCAUGGCUGUUAACUGAACCCGAUCGAGCGAUUCCUUCGCUACUGCUGCUACCUGGAGCCGAUCGAUGCUGCCUCUNNNNNNNNNNNNNNNNNNNNNNNNNNNNNNNNNNNNNNNNNNNNNNNNNNNNNNNNNNNNNNNNNNNNNNNNNNNNNNNNNNNNNNNNNNNNNNNNNNNNNNNNNNNNNNNNNNNNNNNNNNNNNNNNNNNNNNNNNNNNNNNNNNNNNNNNNNNNNNNNNNNNNNNNNNNNNNNNNNNNNNNNNNNNNNNNNNNNNNNNNNNNNNNNNNNNNNNNNNNNNNNNNNNNNNNNNNNNNNNNNNGAACAGGAUCCCAUGGUGUUGCCUCUGGAUGAACAUGACCCCGAUCAAUCGAGCCGGUUGGGGCUGGAUGAACAGGACCCCGUGGAGGGUUGGAUGAACAGGACGACCCCGUGGAGGGCUGGAUGAAUAGUAGAUAGUGGAGGGGUGGAUGAACAGUAGCCCGUGGAGGGGUGGUUGAACAGGAGCCCGUGGAGAGGGGUGGUUGAAUAGUAGCCGGUGGAGUAGCGCGCGGUGGAGACUGGAUGAACAUGAGCCCGUGGAUGAACAGUCAUAGGUGGAGGCUAGAAUAGGUCGACGGUGGAUGAACAGUAGCCCGCGGAGGCUGGAGGAGGUCGACGGUUGAGAUGAACAGUAUCCCGUGGAGUCCCGUUUUGCGGUACGCCACACCCCUCCCGAUGAACAGGACCCCCGUUUCGAACGUAGCGCUCCAACACAAGUCCGUUUCCUCCAUUUUGCGGUACGCCACACCCCUCCCGAUCAGCAGGACCCCAUUUCGACCGUAGGAGGUCCAACACAAGUCCGUUUCCUCUGUUUUGCAGUAUGCCAGACCCCUCCCGAUGAACAGGAUCCCGUUUCAAAUGUGGCCGGUCGAACACAAGGCCGUUUCCUCCGUUGUGCGGUACGCUAGGCCUCGUUUCCAUCGCCUAUUCCGUCCAAGCCCUCCCGAUGAACACUGUUGGCGUCUUGGGAACGGGGGUCCCCAGACUUGCCUGCAUGCAGCCUGCAGCAUGGCUCAACCAGUGGCCCAGUACGGCCCGUCAUCAUGAACAGACGCUCAAGACCCUCGCGAUGGGCCAAGACUCGUGGGGCGGACGGUGCAAGGCCUCGUCAGGGGCGGCCUCACCAGGCAGGCUCGCGAGGAGGCGGAGAGAUCAAGGCAAGGGGUACCUCGCGAGGUGCUCAUGACGCAAGCCAUGACGAUCAAGACCAGGCGGGCGCCAGCCUGCGCAGUGUCGUCGUUUCCUCUUUGGUGCAAAGGGGGCAAGCGCAGGCGCGGAGUACCGAGGCAUCAGGCAAAGGUUUCCAUAUUGGUGCAACGAGACCAAGACCAGCAGAGCGGCAGGAUGGAGGUCACCGUGGAGCCCAAGACGGCGUCAUCACCAGUGUCUUUGGCAGUCGAAGACCACCUUUAGUCAGGAUAGCUUGUACUAGCUGUCCCCUUUCAAAAUGGCCGUUGCUGGCUCCCUUCCCGCUCAAUAUUUGGGAAGAGGACCUGGGCCUCUAUAAAUAGAGAUAGCCACCACAGUAGAAGACGAGUUAAGUUCAUCCACAUACGACCACCACAAGAACACCUCUCGCGAGGCUGUUCUUCCUCUGUAUUGUUCAUCAUCAGCCCAAGAGGCAAUCCACCACACCACACACGGGAGUAGGGUAUUACACCACAACGGUGGCCCGAAUCUGUAUAAAUCUUGUGUCUCUUGUGUUGUUCAUCGUGUUAGCUUAGAUUCGCGGCGAGGUUUUGGGACGUGAAUCAGUAGGGAGAAGAUCUUUGUGCGCACCCCAGAGUUUGAACCUUAAGGGUUUUGUCGGAACCCGAUAUCCAACAUUUGGCGCGCCAGGUAGGGUUGCGCCGGAGCUCUCCCUUCCGUCGACCCGCUCUCCACCAACACCGCGCCUCGCCCUCAUGGCGGACAACGCGCCACCGGCUCCGGCCGCCGACACUAGCGCUGGGGCCAGGGGGCUCCGAGGCUUGGCCCCCACCUUACGGCAGGUGUUGUGGCCGCACAAGUUCAAGCCAGGGAUGCCGCCGCGCUACGACGGUGCGGCGGACCAGCUGGCUUUCCUGCUGGCAUAUGAAGAGGCUGUCGUCAAGGCCGGAGGCGACGACAAGGUCAUGGCCAACUAGUUUCCGAUGGCCCUCACCGGCGUGCCACGCGUUUGGCUGCUCCACCUGCCAACAUCUUAUGUGGCCUCCUGGGAGGAGCUGCACAAGCUCUUCCUCACCCACUACGCUGUGCCGGUGCCCCCGGUCCUUGCAGCUUUCCUGGGCGGCUCACAGGCGCCACCUUUGAGCUGCCACGUCAAGCCGUUCGUCCGCCAGAUCAGCGCCGCCCUCACGCGGCAGGGAGCUCCUCCGGGUUGGGCGGCACCCAAGGCUGACCUGACCUUCAACUCUGAUGAUCACCCCGUCAACAUCGCCUGCUCGGGUGCGCUCCCAAUGCUUUGCAUGCCCACCAUCUGCCAGGUGGUGUUGGAUAUCGGGUUUCGGCAAAACCCUUAAGGUUCAAACUCUGGGUUGCGCACGAAGAUCUUCCCCCUACCGAUCCACGUCCCAACGCCUCACUGAGAAUCUAAGCUAAACGGUGAACAACAUGAGGGACACAAGAUUUAUACUGGUUCGGGCCACCGUUGUGGUGUAAUACCCUACUCCAGUGUGUGCUGUGGUGGAUUGCCUCAGGGGCUGAUGAUGAAUAGUACAAGGGAAGAACAGCCUCGCGAGAGGUGUUCUUGUGGUGGUGAUUUGAGAAGGAUUCGAUCCGCUCUCGAUGGCUCUAGAUCAGAUCCUGAUGAUAUGUCCCUCUACUAUGGUGGUUAGCCCUAUUUAUAGAGGCCCUGGUCCUCUUCCCAAAUAUUGAGCGGAAAGGGCGCCAACAAUGACCAUUUUGAAGGGGAACAUCUAGUACAAGUUAUCCUGAUUAAAGUUGGUCUUCGGCUACCAAAGGCACUAGUGAUGACACCGUCUUGGGCUCCACGGUGACCUCCGUCCUGCCGCUCUGCUGGUCUUGGUCUCAUUGCACCGAAAUGGUAACCUUUGCUUGAUGCCUCAGUACUCCGCGCCUUUGCUUGCCCCCUUUGCACCAAAGACGAAAGAAGGAGACUGCGCAGGCCGGCGCCCGCCUGGUCUUGGUCGUCAUGGCUUGCGUCACGAGCACCUCGCGAGGUAUCCCUGCCUUGAUCUCUCCGCCUCCUCGCAAGCCUUCCUGGUGAGGCCGCUCCUGAGGAAGUCUUUCGUCGUCCGCCCCGCGAGGCUUGGCCCCUCGUGAGGGUCUUGAGCUCGAGUUGAUGAAGAUGGGCAGUACUGGGCCACCACUUGAGCCACGCCGCAGGCCGCAGGCAGGCUAGUUUGGGGACCCCCGUUCCCAGAACACCGACAGUAGCCCCCGGGCCGAAGGCGCGCUCAGACUUGGCUUAGCAGAGAAGAGAAAGGGCAAGUGCGGAGUGCCGUGGGCCCCACAGCCUGCAGCCUUGGUCGUCGUGUGGUGGUUGAUUGGACGUGGGCGUCCCCGCUUCCCCACGCUGCCUCGGCAACUGCCCGACUUGACAAGUCCCUGCACGCAAAAAUGAGUCAUGAUUACCUGCGAUCAUGGAGGCCAACGGUUGGCCUCCUCUGGGCUAUAAAUGCGAGGGGGGGGGCAAGCCACCACAGUCCAUCUCUUCCUACUCCGCUCCUUCUUCCUUGCUCCUCCCCAUCUGCUUGCUGUGUCCCAUGGCGCCUACGAAGAGGUUCUCAGCUGUAGAGAAGGGGAAGGCUCGCCAGGAAGGGCCUAGCUCUCCUCCACCCAAGCGCGGCCGAGGCCGUCCCCGCAAGCACCCCACAACUACUGCAGUGGCCGCCUGUGGUCGUGGCGGAGGUCUUUCGUGCGGUGAAGGUCGCUCGAUUUGCGGGGGAAGACGCGUCGUGGCUACACGGCCUCCCCGCCUGCGCUUUCACUCGGCAGAGGUGCUAUCGGAGUUUGUCGUUUGGUCGGCGGAUCUGACCGCAACUGGCUUCAGCUCCCACGCUUCUUCACCGGCAAACUACCGGCAGGUGCCACUGGUGGGCUCUGGCUUCAGGCGGACGGCUGCAGCAGCAGAGCCUCCUGGGUCGCGGUGGAGGUCUCCGUCGCCGGGAACGUGGCCUUGGCUCGCGGCUGGCAGACGUUUUCCCGCGCGCGUGGCCUGGGCCGGCGGUGCACCCUGCAUUUCAAGUUUGAUGGUGAUGCCACCCUCUACGUGAGGGUGUUCGUAGAGGACAACCGCCGUGUCGGGUGCUGCCCUGAAGAUGAUGACGACUGUCGGUGUCAAAACCAGCGGAUCUCGGGUAGUGGGUCCCGAUCUAUGCGUCUUAGGCUGAUGGUAACAGGAAGCAAGGGACACAAUGUUUACCCAGGUUGGGGCCCUCUCGAUGGAGGUAAAACCCUACUUCCUGCUUGAUUAAUAUUGAAGAUAUGAGUAGUACAAGAGUAGAUCUACCACGAGAUCGUAGAGGCUAAACUCCUAAGAGCUAGCCUAUGAUGGUAUGAUUGUAAUUGUGAUCGGCCUUCUAAGGACCAUCCUCUCCGGUUUAUAUGGACACCAGAGAGGGCUAGGGUUUACAUGGAGUCGGUUACAAGGAAGGAAAUACAAUAUCCGGAUCGCCAAGCUUGUCUUCCACACAAAGGAUAGUCCUAUCUGGACACGGGCCGAAGUCUUGAGUCUUGUAUCUUCACACUUCAAAAGUCCGGACGGUGUAUACAGUCCGGCUGUCCGGAUACCCCCCUAUCCAGGACUUGGAAGUGCUAGUUAUCGACUAGAGGGGGGAAUAGGCGAUCUUUAUCAUCGUCUUCAAAACAUGGAAGUUUCGAAGACAAACAAUAGAAAUGACCUAAUUGAUAUGCAAUGGAGGAUAAACUACAACAAGCAAGCCAUAGUCAAGUAUGCAAUAAUGUGAACGUACAAAGACUAAUAGCAGCUAGGUAGUAAGGAUCAGGAUGGAAGAUAGUACGAAGCCAAUCAAUGAAAGUAGUCAAGCAACAAAGUCAAACCGAUAAGACAAAUAAGCAAUGACUUCACGAAGACAAACUCAAAGUAAAGGAGGGAAGGGAUAGAACCAGUCACUUGUUGAAGACACAAGAUUUUUUGGACCAGUUCCAGUUGUUGUGACAACUGUACGUCUGGUUAGGGAGGCUGAGAUUCAACUCAGAAGACCGUGUCUUCACCUUAUUCCCCUUGAGCUAAGGACACACAGUCCUCGCCCAAUCACUCUGGUAAGUCUUCAAGGUAGACUUCCAAACCUUCACAGACUUUGUUCACCGGCAAUCCACAAUGACUCUUGGAUGCUCAGAACACGACGCCUAACCGGCUGGAGGAUACACAGUCCUCAAGUGUAAUAAGUCUUCAGGUCACACAGACAGAAAGACUUCAGUGAUGCCUAACACUCUUUGGUCUGGGUGUUUGGGCUUUGUCCUCGCAAGGAUUUCUCUCUCAAAGGCUUCGAGGUGGGUUGCUCUCAAAACGACAAAAGCCGCAAACUAACUCUGAGCAGCCACCAAUUUAUGGUGUAGGGGGUGGGCUAUUUAUAGCCACAAGGCAACCCGACCUGAUAUGUCUGAAAUGACCCUGGGUCACUAAGGAACUGACACGUGUUCCAACGGUCAGAUUUCAAACACACACGGCAACUUUACUUGGGCUACAAGCAAAGCUGACUCAUCCAGCUCUGGAUAAGAUUUGCUCUCAUUGUCUUUGCUCGAAGAUAUAGGAUUUGGGUUGAGCAUCACUUCAGUCACUCUGACUUUGUUCACUUGGACCCCACUUAACAGUACGGUGGUUCCUAUGACUCAACAAAGAAGAAAAGGAAACAACGAAACAACUCAAUCUUCGCGCUCCAUAGUCUUCACUCAAUGUCUUCUCAUGUCAUAGUCUUCAGUGUGAUUAUCUUCACACACCACCAUUGUCUUCAAUGUCUUCAUACGUUUUUAGGGUUCAUCUCCGGUAGGUAAACCGAAUCAAUGAGGGACACUUCCUGCGUUAUCCUGCAAUUCUCACAAACGCAUUAGUCCCUCAACCAACUUUGUCGUCAAUACUCCAAAACCAACUAGGGGUGGCACUAGAUGCACUUACAAUCUCCCCCUUUUUGGUGAUUGAUGACAAACUGGUUGAAGUUUUCAACGGGAAAGAAGUAUGUGAAAUUGUAAAGGGUAGGGUAUUGUCUUCAUAAGUGGCAAGGGCUCCCCCUGAAGAUGUGCAUAUAAAUAAUUUGCUUUUGGAAUGCAAAUGCACAUGGCAGGUUGUACUUUUGGAGAUCCUCUUCAACUUAUGAAGAUAAUUCAUCAUGCACGAAAUGAUAUAACUAAGAGAAUGACAUGCAUAAUGAAAAAUGGAUGUCUGCAGAAUGAUCUAAGUGCGGAAGUUAUCAUCGCACGUGGAAACGCAAAUAAGUAGCAGACGACCAUCAAGUUUAAGUGUUACAACUCAAAAAAAACAAAGUGUAUCAAAUGCAAGAGUUGUAAGCACUAGGCAAAAAUAUAAAGCAACUGCCCUUAUGAACCCGCUUGAAGACUAUCAACUCAUAUGCUUCUCCCCCUUUUGUCAGUAAUGACCAAAAAGGUUUGAAGACAUAGAGCAUCUACUCGUCCUCAUGAGGAGUAGGUGAAGCAGUAGGGUUGUCGUUGUUGUUUGGCGGUGCAGACGAACUUGGUGCAGUGUCGAUGCGUGCAGAAGUAGGGGGUGGUGAUGUAGCAUCAUCUUCAUCAUCGAUCAUAUUUGCAUGCAUAGUUGCCGCGGAGGAAGAAUAGUCAUAGUCUUCAAGAGAUGGAGUUCUUCGUAGGACAUCAUUCUGUGGAGGAGUGGAGUCAAACUUGAAUCUUUCAGUGAAGCCAUCGUCUUGAAGAUCUGCUUCAGCACUGAGCAGGGUCAAACUCUUCCAUGAUCGCCGACAAGUUUCGUGAGUGACAAAUGCAUUCUUGGUGGCAAGGUUUCGAAUGCGAUUUACAUCCACCAAGAGGCUUUACAUUUGACGCUUGAGCCAAAAAUGAUGCUUAUCUUGUUUCUGAUGCAGGGCCACUAGAAGUUCUCGGUCAUUUAGGACCCGAGAGCGCUUCCGAGGCCUUUGAGCAAUUGUGCUCUCAGUAGCUUCAGUUGGCGCAUGAUGAGGUAGACGAGUGUUUCCAGCCAUUGGAUAGACACGAGUUACGACUUGGACUCCUUCCAUAGGCUGAGUCAAGCUUUGGUGUUCAGCAUUUUGAAGACUAAGAGGCUUCUUGGCAGGUUCAGGGUAUAUGGCUUCAACUGACAUAUCAACCUCUGGUAGAAAGAUCACAUGAUUGCGAGCAGAGGGUUGAUAGUUGAUAGCAGAAUGUUGCUUGAUAAGGCGCAUGACCCAUGGAGCAUAGAAUUUCAGUCCGAAAAGGUCAGAUCCAGAUGCAGCCAGUUGCCGAAGGAAGAAAUCUUGUGCAUUGAAGCUGAUGCCAUUGAGGAUGUAAAAGACCAAUGUCUUCAUGGCUCCUUCAAGUUUUUCAGCUGAUGAAUGUCCUUUGAUCGGCCAUAGAGUCCGCCUGAUGAUGUGAUAUAUGGUGCGCGGCAGAUACUCAAGGUCAUCAACAAAGAACUCCUUUGGAUAUUCAACAUCAUGUGGCAAAGGCUUCAUCAUGCUCAACAUCUGGCUCAAGUUUGGUUCUGGUUUAUGGAAGAUGCUCUCCAGUGCAUUGUGGUGGUUUUGACAACCAGGUUCAUAUAGCUCUCUGGGAGUGGAUAGACCUGUAAGCUCAAUGAUGUCAAGAGCUUUGGCUUCAUGAUGAACAUUUCCUGUCAUCCACUCGAGAACCCAUGUCUUUGUAUCUCUGUUGUAACCGCGAAUGUGGAGCGUAGCAUAGAAUUGAAGCGGUAGUUCUUCAUUCCAAUGUUCUUUGUCUAUCACAAAGCUGAGCAGACCAGCAUCACAAAAGCAGUCAAGUGCUUCUUCUAAGCAUGGUAGUCCAGCAAUGGCUUCAGUGUCGAGGCGCAUAUGAGGGAAAAUGCGCCCUUGAUCAUACAGAACACAGGAGUAAUAGCUUCGUUGCUGAUGACUCCAGAAACGAUCUGAUGAUAUUCUUGGCCUUGUGUAUGGGUUCUUUGAGCUGUCAAAGAACGUGUUGUGGCUUUUGAAGCCAUUUGCAUUGAAGGACCCGACAGAUGUGGCAGUACCAGGAAACCUUGGCAGUCUUGGCUUUGGCUUCUGGACCUGAGGCCUAUGCUCAAUGUGAUAGUCAAACUGAGGACCAGAGAUAUUAGGCGGAGGGACCAAAACAGGCCAUCUUACUGUGAUUAGCUCGCCAUGGUUGUAUGCUUGCUCAAUUGUAUAGGGCCUUGGUGGCGGAACAGGAGCAGUGGCAGCAACAGUGGCUUCGGGCUGCACAUCAGAAGCUUCAGGAGCAUUUUCAGCAUUGACUUCUGGCACGGUGCUUGGGACAGGCUCCACAUUAGCUUCAGCCAUGACUAUGUCAUUGGCUUCAUUGGUGUUGGUGGUGGCAGCCUCAAGGUUUUCGACCUCCACUUGAUGAGCUGGAGGGUCAGGCACAGACACGUUCACUUCAUGAACAGCUUCUUUAGGAAUGGGGGGAGUAGGGACACGUUCUUCUUGAAGUUCGUCAUCGGUUGAUGCAGUCGGAUUGUCUUCAGCCGCUGGGGCUUCAGACAUAGAGUCAUUCACAGUUGGAGUGGCUUCUGAAAAUACUUGACGUGCAACAGGUUGAUGGUGCACUUCUCCUUCAGGAACGCUCGGAAGAGGGACUUGAGGCCUUGGUCCUUUGCGAAGCCUUUGUAAUACAGGCGACGCCUUUGGAGAUGGAGUAGGCAGGUCCUCAUCCUCUUCAACUUGCAUGGAUGGUGUGACUUGUUGUUGUUGGGGAGUACUGGGGGAGUCUUGUUGUUGCGAGCGAUCAUCCCAUGAUGCAUCCUGAGCAAUUGGCGCCAGAGGACGACCAAUGCUGAUGAUUUCGCUGUUCAUAUGAACAGGCGAUGAUACCACAUUGUAUUCAAUUUGAGGAAGAACUUCAUCAUCUUCAACAUUGUCAUGGUGACCAAUGUCUUCAGCAGUGAUGGGAUCAACUGCUGGAAUCUCUUCAGCUUCAGGAGCCUCUGUGGAAGCAGGCUCAUGAACAGUCAUUCGUAGUUCUUGGGUUGCAGAUGCAGGACGAACCACUGAGAUGGGUUCAACAACAAGGGGCUCUGUGCGAGCAGCCCGAUUUUUCUUGGUCUUGCGCUUCUUCUUGGAGGGAGCUGCAUCAGAGGCUUCUGAGGUUUUCCGUUUUCUGGCUUCAGCCUCUGUAGCCCUCGUCUUCUUCUGUUCUGAAGCGGUUGACGUGACUUUUGGCUUCGAGCCAGUCAUGCUGCUUGGGAAGACAAUGCGAGGUUCAUCUUGCCUUGAAGGUGCAGAUUGGAUAGUCGAUUUCUUCUUCUUUGCAGCCAUCCUGGGGUCGAUGCCAGGACAACCAAGAGCCUUGCGCUUCUUUGCCUCAUUGUAGGCAAGCACACACUUGUCAGCCAGACCCUUCAUGCGCUCUCUAGAGCCUCGAGCUUCUUCAUGCUUCUUGAGAAAGGCUUCUUUGAGCUCGUGCAGCAUGAUCUUGAAGUUUUUGACAUCUUGCACGUUGAGCGUGGCCACAUGCUUUUUGAACUGAGCCUUUUCAUAUUCAAUCUUGUGCUUCAGUUCGACGAUGCGCUGAGCAAUAGCUAGCUCAGAAGCAAUGGCGCCAUUGAAGGCGACGCUGAGGCCAAUGGGAAGUUGCAAGUCAUCAAAGCUGAGAUUUGGUGUGUCAAACCACUCAUCAAUGAAGUUAUGGAUGAUUUCCACGUCAAAGGGAGGCAAGUUGUUGAAGAUCUCAGCUUCUUCCUUGCUCUUGAUCAGUUGCUCAAGAGCAUCAUCUGCAAGAUCGUCAUCGCUGGACAGAUCAAUGUGCUCUUCACGCAGAAUGGCAGCAGGAGUCAGAGUCUGAUCAGUACUCUUGAUGAUUUUCUUUUUCUUCUCCUUCUUCUUGGAGAUGCGUGAAAAAUCUUCAGACUGCACACUGUCUUCAGGAGGUGCAGUGGCCAGUGGCUUCACACGAGAAGCUUUUGGAGGUGCAGCUGAUGUUGAAGCCUUAAUUUUCUUUGGCUUCUGCGGCCUUGGAGGAGGAGAUGGGGCUUCAUCAGAAUUAGCAUCAUUAUCAGAAUGAUCCACUUUAGCACCUUGUACCAAGACGUAUGAGAUUAGGCCAUCAAGGUUUGAAAAUGGGCCGAUUCUAUUUUCUUCCGCUUCACGUGUGCCAUCAUCACGGGGAGCAGAGGGACCAGGAUUGAAGUCUAAUCCCCUUGACUUCUUGUUCUCCUUUGUCGAGGCCUUUGCAUACUGGAAGUUGCGCUUGAAGAGAUUGUCGUCACGACACUAGAGCAAUGAUGAUGGGUCGGCAUCUUCAGGCUGUGGUCCACGGACCAUACAGGGAUAGAAUUCUUGUGCAAUGGCUUCAGCUUUGUUCUUGGGGGGAAGGCCUCGAUAGAGAAUAUCACCCCAAGGACUCUUGAUAGCAUUCUUCUCAGCGUACUCUAGGGUCACGAACUUGUACUUGAACCAUUGUUCAGCCCAAUAGCGCCGAAUCCAUUGGAUUCGUGUCUUGCGCUGAUUAUAAUCCUCUUCGGGAUCUGUCUUGUAAAGUUCUGCAAGAUCAUCAGGCAGAUCCUUUGAUGUUCCCCCUCGACACUGUCUGCCACCCUUCCUUACAGAUUUCUCCGUAGCCAUGAACUUCAAACUGAAUGGUUUCAAUAUGUUCAAAGGCUUCAGAGGCUUUCGCUUGCGGGUCAGACAGGAACUGGCUUCGGGAGAUUCAAUGUGUUGUUGUAAGAAUUCUGCAAACGAAUGCAGACUAUGAGAACCUAGGGAUUCUCCCACGGACAUGUACCUGUGACAGCAUUAGAGAUGCGAGGGAAGGGGAAGAGGUCAUAUGUAUGCUCAGAAGAUUUUGAAGAUAAAUCAGUUUGAAGACAUUGACCUCAUGUUGCGAAGACAUUCACUUAUAUGUUGAGAGUCGGUUCCAGAUUUGUACGAAUCCGUGAAUAAGUACAAGUGAGGAAUCUAACUAGAUAUGAAGCUUAAGUGAAUAUACUAGGCAGUAUGAAAUGCAGACAUAAUACAUCUAACUUUGUAUAGACAGAAGCCAAUUUUGGUAAAUUGGAUGAAUCAUUGAGGAUCAAAAAGCUGGUAAAAAUAGAGUUAUAUUUACCACACGAUGAACUGCUAGAUGGGAUGAAUAGGAGACCGAGCAGUUCAAUCCACCGUGCCCUAACUUGGCGACGGAGGACACCUACGGCAGCGGCGGAGAGGACGAUGCCCGCGGCCGGUGUGAGGGCGGCGUCGAAGAAGUCGCGGCAGCUAAGCGCUUCGUCGCCCGCGUCGUCGAGAGCUAGUGGUGGCGCUAGGGUUUUGAUGAGGUGGAGAGGUGGAAGAAGGUUUUCUCGACCGCAGGGGGCACAUAUAUGUAAGAAGGUGUGCGGCACAGCGCCAUUACGCAGGUGCCCCUACCUGUUCACAUCUGAGGAACACGUGGCAAACAUGCAACAUACUCAGAGUUGUCCCACGUUCCCACGCCCGCCAAGUUUGUCGGAUGGACGUUCCGGCUUCUCCGAAUUUCAGUCAAUAAGGAUGAAUCAUUUAAUAGACUUAAUGUUUGUCUCUGUGUCUUCUGCUAACAAGGAUGCAGAGAAGACAUUCGACAGUUUCAAUAGAAUGCAUAUGAUUUGGACAGAUAGAGUUUGAGAUAGUAAGCAUAGAGAGAUUAGGGCCCGAUCACAUUCACUUAGUUCAAAAGAUUCAACAAUGAAGACAUAGCUAUAAGUGAAUGCUGUAGAGGACAGAAUACUAGUAUAUAUAUAUAUAUAUAUAUAUAUAUAUAUAUAUAUAUAUAUAUAUAUAUAUAUAUAUAUAUAUGAAAAAGCAAUCAAAUUAACAUAGUGAAGUGAAUCAUGAAGAUUAGUUGAAAUUUUGAAGUCAAAUCAAAUGCGAAGAUAUUCAACAAUAACGCCAUGAGUGAAACACUUCAAACCAAGAAAUUUGGUGGUGGCGUUACCCACCGUAUAGGAAGUAUUAGACCCAGACACGGCGCACAAUUAUCGUGGCGCUCCGAAGUCAAAUUCCAUGUUAAUGUAUUCACACUCAGAAUGUAAGUCUUCAUUGAUUGAAGAUAUACUUUACUUCGUGUGUUGCACAUCUAAGUCAUCAACAUGCAUAAGUGUUAGGAUGUGUGCCUGAUCACAGGACAUUUGAGGAUUCCAAGAUAUUUAGCUCACACCGUAACUUGCAAAACCUUUUCUCAUCCAAGGGCUUUGUGAAGAUAUCUGCCAGUUGCUCUUCAGUGUUGACGUGAAUGAUGUCAAUAUCUUUCUUCAUGAAAUGAUCUCUGAGAAAGUGAUGACGAAUUUCAAUGUGCUUUGUCUUCGAGUGUUGAACUGGAUUGUUGGCAAUCUUGAUGGCGCUUUCGUUGUCGCAGAAGAGAGGUACUUGUUUCAGAUUGACGCCAUAGUCCUUGAGAGUUUGCUUCAUCCACAGAAGCUGAGCACAACAAGAUCCAGCAGCAAUGUAUUCAGAUUCUGCAGUUGAGAGUGAUACACAGUUUUGCUUCUUUGAAGACCAACAGACAAGUGAUCGUCCCAGAAAGUGACAUGUUCCUGAUGUAGACUUGUGAUCCACCUUGUCACCAGCAUAAUCAGCAUCCGAGAAUCCAACCAGAUCAAAUCUUGAGCCCUUUGGAUACCAUAAUCCGAGUGUCGGGGUGUAAGCCAAAUAUCUAAGAAUUCGCUUCACAGCUAAGUGAUGCGAUUCCUUAUGUGCCGCUUGGAAUCGAGCACACAUGCAAACACUAAGCACAAUAUCUGGCCUAGAUGCACAUAGGUAAAGUAACGAACCAAUCAUGGAGCGGUAUACCUUUUGAUCGAACUCUUUACCAUUGUCGUCGGGACCAAGAUGAUGUUUGGCUUGCAUUGGCGUCGUGUAGCCUUUGCAAUCUUGCAUGGCGAACUUCUUCAGACAGUCUUUGAGAUAUUUUUCUUGAGAUAUGAAAAUGCCAUUCCUUUGUUGACUAAUUUGAAGACCAAGGAAGAACUUCAGCUCACCCAUCAUGGACAUCUGAUAUUGCUCUUGCAUCAUGUAUCCAAACUCAUCACUAUACUUCUGGUUGGUGCAGACGAAGAUUAUGUCAUCCACAUAUAUUUGGCAUACAAACAGUUCACCAUCAUAUGUCUUCGUGAAGAGUGUCGGAUCGAGGGAUCCUGGUUUGAAGCCUUUGCUCUUCAGGAAGUCUUUGACUGUAUCAUACCAAGCGCGAGGAGCUUGUUUGAGGCCAUACAGUGCUUUGUUUAGUUUGCACACCAUAUCAGGAUGUUUUGGAUCUUCAAAGCCAGGUGGUUGAGCAACGUACACUUCUUCUUCAAUCUUGCCAUUGAGGAAAGCACUCUUCACAUCCAUUUGAUAUAGCAAGAUGUUGUGGUGAUUAGCAUAGGCUAGCAGGAUGUGAAUAGCUUCAAGCCUAGCCACCGGAGCAAAUGUUUCAUCAAAGUCAAUUCCUUCAACUUGAGUAUAUCCUUGAGCCACAAGACGUGCUUUGUUUCUGACGACUUGACCAUGCUCAUCUUGUUUGUUCCGAUAUAUCCAUUUAGUGCCAAUAAUGUUAUGUUUGCGAGGGUCAGGGCGCUUGACAAGUUCCCAAACAUUAUUCAGUUUGAACUGUUGAAGUUCUUCUUGCAUGGCUUGAAUCCAUUCAGGUUCCAUAAAGGCUUCAGCAACUUUCUUGGGUUCAGAUAUUGAUACAAAUGAAAAAUGCCCACAGAAAUUUGCUAACUGUGUUGCUCUUGAGAGACUAAGUGGACCAGGUGCAUUGAUGCUGUCAAUUAUCUUCUCAAUUUGUACUUCAUUUGCAACACGAGGAUGAACUAGACGAAGCCCUUGCUCAUGCUGAUCAUUGUCAUCAUUGGGAGGAUUGUCUUCGGUCUGAGCAUUGUCUUCAGGUUGGUUUGGUGCAUAAAUGAUAAUUUCCUCUUCAGGCAGUGCUUCAGAGGGCAUGAUUUCACCAGUUCCCAUCAGCUUGAUGGAUUCGCUGGAAGGAGCUUCAUCUAAUGUGCUUGGCAGGAGCUCUCGUUGUGAACCAUUGGUUUCAUCAAAUCGCACGUCCACAGUUUCAACGAUUUUGUAGUGGAAGAGGUUGAAGACUCUGUAAGAGUGCGAAUCCUUUCCAUAACCGAGCAUGAAGCCUUCGUGAGCUUUGGGUUUGAAUUUUGACUUGUGAUGGGGAUCCUUGAUCUAGCACCUAGCACCAAAGACUCUGAAGUAGCUGACAUUUGGCUUCUUUCCAGUAAGGAGCUCAUAGGAUGUUUUGCCCAGAAGCUUGUGGAUGUAAACACGGUUGAUGAUGUGACAAGCUGUAUCAAUAGCUUUGGGCCAGAACUUUCUUGGUGUCUUGUAUUCAUCAAGCAUUGUUCGAGCCAUCUCAAUGAGGGUUCUGUUCUUGCGCUCUACAAUGCCAUUUUGCUGAGGUGUGUAUGGGGCAGAGAACUCAUGAGUGAUUCCCAUUGUAUCCAGAUAAAGAUCAAGCCUGGUGUUCUUGAAUUCAGUGCCGUUAUCACUUCUGAUAUGCUUGAUCUUGACGCCAUAGUUGUUCAUUGCUCGAUUGGCGAAUCGUCUGAAGACAUCUUGUACUUCAGUCUUGUAGAGAAUUAUGUGCACCCAUGUAUAUCUUGAGUAGUCAUCAACAAUGAUGAAGCCAUAGAGACACGCUGUUGUUGUGAGGGUAGAUUAGUGAGUAGGGCCACAUAAGUCCAUGUGCAAUAGCUCGAAGGGUUGAGAUGUCGUCAUGAUUGUCCGAGGGGUGCUUGGCCCUCGUCAUCUUUCCAGCUUCGCAGGCACCACACAAAUGGUCUUUCUUGAACUUGACACCUUCGAUGCCUAUGACAUGCUUCUUCUUGACGAGUGUGUGUAAGUUCCUCAUGCCAGCAUGCCCUAGCCUUCGAUGCCAGAGCCAGCAUUCUGAAGCUUUUGCAAGAAGACAUACGGCAAGCUGUGGACCUGCUGAGAAAUCUACCAUGUAUAGAUCACCUUUCCUGUACCCUUCGAAGACUAGAGACUUGUCAGAUUCCAUUAGUACAAGGCAACGAUAUUUUCCGAAUAUCACAAUCAUGUUUAAGUCACAAAGCAUUGAGACAGACAUUAAGUUGAGUCCAAGGGAUUCAACAAGCAUCACUUUAUCCAUGUGUUGAUCCUUUGAGAUUGCAACUCUACCUAGACCCAAUACCUUGCCUUUACCAGUGUCAGCAAAUGUGAUUUGGCUCUUGUCGGAUGGACGUAAGGUUGAGUCCAUGAGAAGACUUCGAUCACCAGUCAUAUGAUUAGUGCAUCUGCUGUCCAUAAUCCAUUCUGAAGCAUGAGGUGUCAUACCCUACAGUGCAGUUAGGAGGAUAGGCUUCACAAGGUAUGUUGUGAAGCAUAAGCAUUUGACGCACACUAGGAUUAUCACAGCAUAGAUGAAUGUUAGAACACACAGUAUGACAGGUAAACGAUUCAUAUGUGGAAUACAUAGUGAGUCAUUUUAUCAUGCGUCCCUUUGUGUUUUAGGUCCCCAGCAAUAAUAUCGGACGCCUUUGAUUGCUGGCUGGAGACCAUAUUCUGCAAAAGAGAGUUAAUUCUUCUUCACCACCCACAUAUUCAGGGGUGGUUUAGAAGCAAUGAGUCUAAGUGCAGCAUCUGAGAAUUUCGGCUUUGAAGCCCUAGCAAAUAGCCUUGCAGGAGAUGAAUGAUACUCAUAUGAAUAAGCAGAAAAGUUUUUAGUCCUAUGAACAUGGCGGUUUGAGGACACAUGUUCGUAUUCAUAAGUUUGAUUACGAUUUCCCUCUAAAACAUUGGCGUUAGGGUGACUCAGGUGAGUCCUGUAUUCGUAUGAAGCCGUUGGACCAUAUGAUGCCUUUGGUCUAGGGUUUGUCUUCUUCCCAGGUGGUGUCAUGAUGACAUUCACUGGAAGAUUCUCAAGACAACUUUUGGGAACCCAGAUCUUCUUCAUAGGUGGUCAAUUCCUGCAGUUAGUACCAAUAUACCUGGCAAACACUUCACCAUUCUGAUUUUUGAACAGUUUAUAGUUUGCAUCAAAGGAUUCAUCAAUGAUAAUAGGAUUUGCACAGGUAAAGCCAGAUAAAGUGGAUGGAUCCACUGAAGGUUCCUUUGCAGCAACCCAUGUGGUUUUGGGAUACUGCUUAGGCUUCCAGUAGGAACCAUCAGCAUUCAUUUCCCUCUCGAACCCAACACCCUCUUUCCUAGUGUUUCGGUUCAGAAUCUGCUUUUCGAGGACAUCACAAAGUGUCUGAUGUCCUUUCAGACUUUUAUACAUCCCUGUUUCAAGCAGUGUCUUCAACCUAGCAUUUUCAUCAUCAAUAGUAGUGGUAUCCUCAGCAGAGGGGUUAGUUUCCACAUCAGUAGUUGAAGACAAAGCAACAGUAGCAGCCUUUGAACAUUCAGCAACAGAGGUAGUGUUAUUACGCUCAAUGCAUUUUAAACAUGGUGGUUCAAAUCCAUUCUGUGUAAUGCUGAUUUGUUGAGCAAGUAAUGAAUCACGCUCCUUCCGAAGAUCUCCAUAAUCCACCCUUAUCUUUUCGAGAUCAAGCUUUCUUUGAAGACAUUUAGAAGAAAGUUUCUCAUGAUCAGACAAGAGAGCAUUAUGUUGAUCUUGAAGGGCGUCAAACUUGGAAUGAAGUCUUUGAAGACUCUCCGCCAAUGCUUUUGACUGAUCCAUUUCUUCGCCCAACAUAUCAUCGCUCUUACUAAGCAUGUUUUGAACCUUUACCAAAGCUCUUUGUUGUUUAGUGGCAAGGGAAGCAAGUUUGACAUAGCUGGGGCCAAAUUCAUCACCUGAUUCAUCAUCACUAGUUUUAGAGAGGUAGCAUUCAGUUACCUUAGCACCCCCUGCCAUGAGGCAUGGUGAAGAUGAGGACGAUUCAGGUGGAAAGGUCAUCUCCUUAAGAGACUCCUUGUAAUCAUCAAGCCAAGGAUCAUGACAAUUAAGAUGACCUUCAUAGACCUCAGAAAGCCGGUCCCAGAUUAGCUUCGCGUGAUUGAGGUGCAUGACGUUCCUGAACUGAUUUCGGGACAGAUAGGAGCUGAUGACAUCCUUCGCUGUGAGGUUCAGUAGAGUGUACUUGCGAAUGUCAUCAGCCUCUGCCAUCUUGCAUAGAUCGGUUAGACCAAUCUCAGUGACGGUCCACAGUUUGCUAUUCAUAGCCAUGAGUCAUUUCUUCAUCAUGGCCUUCCAUCGUGGAUACUCAUGACCGUCAAAAGUGGGGAAAGAUACAUUCCUCAAUCCUGCAGUCGACAUAGCUAAACUCCAGGUGGUUAAACCGAAUCACACAGAACAAGGGAGUACCUUGCUCUGAUACCAAUUGAAGGUGCUAGUUAUCGACUAGAGGGGGGGGGUGAAUAGGCGAUUUUUAUCAACGUCUUCAAAACGUGGAAGUUUCGAAGACAAACAAUAGAAAUGACCUAAUUGAUAUGCAGCGGAAGAUAAACUACAACAAGCAAGCCAUAGUCAAGUAUGCAAUAAUGUGAACGUACAAAGACUAAUAGCAGCUAGGUAGUAAGGAUCAGGAUGGAAGAUCGUAUGAAGCCAAUCAAUGAAAGUAGUCAAGCAAUGAAGUCAAACAGAUAAGACAAAUAAGCAAUGACUUCACGAAGACAAACUCAAAGUAAAGGAGGGAAGGGAUAGAACCAGUCACUUGUUGAAGACACAUGAUUUGUUGGACCAGUUCCAGUUGCUGUGACAACUGUACGUCUGGUUAGGGAGGCUGAGAUUCAACUCAGAAGACCGCGUCUUCACCUUAUUCCCCUAGAGCUAAGGACACACAGUCCUCGCCCAAUCACUCUGGUAAGUCUUCAAGGUAGACUUCCGAACCUUGACAGACUUCGUUCACCGGCAAUCCACAAUGACUCUUGGAUGCUCAGAACGCGACGCCUAACCGGCUGGAGGAUACACAGUCCUCAAGUGUAAUAAGUCUUCAGGUCACACAGACAGAAAGACUCCAGUGAUGCCUAACACUCUUUGGCUCUGGGUGUUUGGGCUUUGUCCUCGCAAGGAUUUCUCUCUCAAAGGCUUCAAGGUGGGUUGCUCUCAAAACGACAAAAGCCGUAAACUAACUCUGAGCAGCCACCAAUUUAUGGUGUAGGGGGUGGGCUAUUUAUAGCCACAAGGCAACCUGGCCUGUUAUGUCCGAAAUGACCCUGGGUCACUAAGGAACUGACACGUGUUCCAACGGUCAGAUUUCAAACACACACGACAACUUUACUUGGGCUACAAGCAAAGCUGACUCAUCCAGCUCUGGAUAAGAUUUGCUCUCAUUGUCUUUGCUCGAAGAUAUAGGAUUUGGGUUGAGCAUCACUUCAGUCACUCUGACUUUGUUCACUUGGACCCCACUUAACAGUACGAUGGUUCCUAUGACUCAACAAAGAAGAAAAGGAAACAACGAAACAACUCAAUCUUCGCGCUCCAUAGUCUUCACUCAAUGUCUUCUCAUGUCAUAGUCUUCAGUGUGAUUAUCUUCACACACCACCAUUGUCUUCAAUGUCUUCAUACGUUUUUAGGGGUCAUCUUCGGUAGGUAAAUCGAAUCAAUGAGGGACACUUCCUGCGUUAUCCUGCAAUUCUCACAAACGCAUUAGUCCCUCAACCAACUUUGUCGUCAAUACUCCAAAACCAACUAGGGGUGGCACUAGAUGCACUUACAGGACUCCCUCAGUAGCCCCUGAACCAGGCUUCAAUGACGAUGAAUCCGGCGCGCAGUCUUGUCUUCGGCAUUGCAAGGCGCGUUCCUUCUCCGAAUACUCCAAUGUACCCAUCACGACGAACAGUGUCCGGCAUCCCAUCAAUGUUGUACUCCUUGGCUUUAGUGCUUCAAUAAUGACCAUUUCCACGUGUCGAGCGAAUGUGAGGAGUCGAGGCAUUUUUGCAUUUGCCACCCUCGGUCCUUCGGGCUAACCGUCUAUUUGAAGAGACUGGGAUUCCAAGAUCCAAACCUCACUCUCCCUCCUUGAGCAAGCAUCCAACAGAGCGCCUGGAAGAAAACAUUCCAACAUGGCUGGUCGUCGCAGCUCUUCUGCUCGCUCCCCUUGCCCCAAGCCGGGGGACUAGGGAGAGUGUUCAGUUUCUCAUAGCCGUUUGAUAAAGUUACAAACCCAAGGGCUCCUCCCGCGGGCGUUCAUGGUCCCUGUCCGAGCCGGGGUGGCCACCUAUAACGGCGAACAAGCGAAGAGAUCUCCCAAUCCAUCUCCAGAGGAGAGAAUAUGCCUCAUUCCGCAUCUAUUAAGGGGCGUCGGGUUCCCUAUUCAUCCAUUCCUUUGCAGGCUCCUGGAGUUCUACGGCCUCCAGUUGCACAACUUUACCCCAGCCUCCGUACUACAUAUAGCAGGGUAUGUCGCCCUUUGUGAGCUAUUUCUAGGUUGCGAUGCUCAUUUCGGAUUGUGGAAGAAGCUGUUCUGCCUUGUCCCACACAACCAGGGAGAUCCCUAUGUCAAGUGGGCGGGGCUGAAGUAUGGCGUAUCGCUGAGACCGAAUACCUAUCCGGCACUCCCAAGAAGGCACCAGAUAACUGAGCUUCAGAGUGGUUUUAUAUUGAUGACGCUCCCCUUCCGGAUCCAGUCUGGACAGGACUCCCCAAGUUCAGUAACACUUCGCCGAGGGCACGUCUAAGCUGGCACCCCCGAGGUCCCCAAGAAGAGGAUUCCAGGGAAAUACAUUUCCUAAUGAGUAGGAUAAAGUUACUGGCCAAAUCUGGACUGACGAUAGUCGAGGUCAUGGAAAUAUGCAUAAUGCGGGGAGUGCAACCGCUUCAAUAUCGGGGAAAUCCCAUGUGGCAUUACAACAGGACAGACGAUGCCACCCGCUGCGGCCGUAAGGGUUCGGACUCCGCCACUGCGCUGGCAAGGAUAUUGUUCGAUCUAUACAAAGGAGAAGAGGAAGACUUCCUUCAUAUCAAACCGCGAGACGGAUUCUCCAUGUACAAUCCCCCAAACUAGGUAAGUCGUCAUUUAUGUUCUCGCUUAACUUAUCGUGGUGUUCUUUGCUAAGGUUACCUACCUUGAUGUUUCCAAGCAGGAAUUGAGGAGGGCCGUAGAAGGAAUCUCCGGCCCUUCCCUGCAGCCAGAGGACCCUGAAAGGGCCCUGGACCCAGGACUCGAAGAAGACCCGGAUGCGGCCGUGGAGCUUGUCGAUGGGAUAUUUUAUCGGGUGUGCCGUGACGGUGCGUCAGUGGCUAUUACUGCUGAUUAUCCUGGACUGCUACCUUCGUCGCAUGUAAGCCAAGCCGAAAACUCGAUCCUCCUAAGAGGAUUCUUUCUUGAUGUCAUGCUUUAUCCCUGAUGCGUUGUGUUUUUGCAGAAACGACGCUCGGAGCACAGGGCUGAGCCCCUAGGGACCCGUCAGCCACAGGCGUCCGGAUUGGGUAGGCUCAAGAGGAAGGCGGUUAGGGCCGACACUCCUCUACAGAGGUAAGGAAACAACCUGUCAUGUAAUUAUUGCUACUUGAAGUGUAACAACACCCUUUACAUCCUAGCAGGAAGAGGGGUAUCCAGACUAUAUCCGGGGAUCCUGCCAACCACGCCUCCACUAGUCGGGCUCCAAAACCAACUACGAGAGAGGAGGAGGACGUAGGGCCCAUGCCGCAUAGUCCUCCGACAGAGGAUGCGAAUAUGCUUUUGGCCACAAACUCCGAAGUCAAAAUGGCAAUGGGGAUGGGUAUCUCCGGGGGGAACUCCACCAUCACCGCCCCGAUCCCCGCCAGUCCCCGGCCCCGCUAGCCCUGAGAAGCUUCGCGGGAGGGGGGAAACGCCCCCCAUCCCCGACAAUGGCGGGUACCCGUCCCCCGGCGGGGACUCCACGGGGAGCGUAACGCGCCGGCGUCUUCUCCUUGCCCAGUUGAUCUCAAUGCAAAGACGCCACCUCCUCGCAACCGUCGCUCUCGACGCCCAUCGCCGUCGUCGACGAAUCGCACCGUUCACUGUUGCGGCCUUGAGGUGGAGGACAGGAGGAGAACUAGAGGAGGAGGCAAGGAGGAGAAGUAGGUGAGAGCCAUGGGGCCAGACGGGAAGGAUGCGCCGCCCACUGCCGGCCGCCGCCGGUGGUGGUCUGACAGUCAAGGCCGAGCUCGAUCUGGGAAGUGAGAACUGGGAGAGGAACAAGAGGGAGGCGGCUGCGCUGUGAGUAAGAGGAGCGAGCGAGAGGAGGUCCGCGUGUGUUGGGCUCCUAGGUGCGUCCGUGCAUGUUAGUUAGGUUAGGCCAAGUGUGUUGGGCUCGUCUUGGGCCAUGGCUGAAUGGCUGGCUGCUGCUAGGUUGGCCUGCUAUUUGGAAGGAGGUCCCACAUGUCAGUCGUUGGCGGGUAUCCAUGGAGGCUCCACGGGGCGAAUUUGUCCCCCAUCCCCGCCCCGUUAUGCUAUCGGGUACCCGCCAAGCAAUCCCCAUGGAGGCAAUUUGUCCCCCGUCCCCGGUUCUUAGCGGGUAUAUCCCCGCGGGUACCCGCCUCCACGGGCAAAACUGCCAUCUUGAAUCCAAAGUGGAGAGCGCCAUGAAUCACCGGCGCCGGAGCACCGUGCUUCGGAACAACAUCUUUUCCGAAGAGGCCUUUAAUGCCUUCAAUUCGGCAGACGCAUACAUCCGAGCUGCUCAAGGCGGGCUUGCCCAAGCGACGAACCAGUAUACCAAAGAUAUACGGGUAAGAAAUUGUGAUAAGUAUGUAUAACAGUAGCCCCUGAGACUUGAAAUGGUAGGAACAACAGUUUUAAGUAUCAAUUUAUGCGCAUGUUCUUGUAGAUAAGAAUGAGCAAUUGUCUCGGGAGCUAGAAGAGUGCAAGACCCAAAUAAGGGCCACAGUUGCCAAGCUAGAGGAAUCCCAGAAGGCCUCAUACGGUAAUCAUUUAUCUCGAUUGUACAAAAAUGUACCAGUUAGCAACUGGCUGGCAUGAAAAACAGAAAAUUCUGUAGAUAACCCCGGAGUGAAUCCGAAGGGCGAGAGAGAUGACAAGUCGCAUCUCCAGAGGCAACUAAAGGCUGGCGAGUGCAUACUCACGCAAGUGCGGCAGGAGAAGAACAAUCUUGAAGAUGCCAAUGUCCGGCUGGACAUAGAGUUAAAAGACGUUCACGCCGAGCUGGCGGACUCCGUAAAGGAGAAUAAAAGGCUUCGACGCGGCAUUUAUGGUGACUGCCUAGACGAACUGUAUAAUAGUUCGGUGAGGAAGUGUAUUGAAAGAAUUUUUUUUGUAGGAAUGUUAACGGGUCGCCCUGAGGAGGAUACGCCCUCAUCUAUAGGUGAUGUACUGCAACAACUUUCAUAGUUGCACGAGCGAGCUCGGCGGGUGAUGCACGUCGUUGCUCAGGCCUUGUGGCCAUCAAGCCCCCUGCCAAGUGGCAUAGGGGAGCUUGUGGACCUGCUUCAAGGAGCCCGACGGCGCUUCCGGCUGUGGAAGAUAUCAGCAUGCCGGCAAGGUGCAAGAGAAGCUUGGGCAAUGGUGAAGACGCGGUACACCAAGCUGGACCCAAACCAUAUGGCCGAGGUAGGACCGGCGGGGCCCGAUGGGCAAGAAAUCCCCGUAAGUCUGGUAUAUGACCAGGUAGUGUUGGCCGCUAAGUAUUCUCAACAGGAUUGUAAACUAGAUAGCCUGCUGGAUGGCAUAGAGGAGGAAUAUAGUCAGUCCAAGUGACUGUGUAAUUUAAGGGCAUAAGUAGCCCCUAGCCGGAUUAAAAUCAUUUGUCAUGGCAGACCUUUUCGCUUCAGCCCCCGGGUCCUAUAGUCCGGGGUGUGUCCAAAUACCCGCUCAGUUAUACAAAACUGGGGUAUGCGUGGAGACCAGGCGUAGAGGUCAUAAGUGCUUGAAUAGACAAGUGCCCAACUAGUUAUGUUAUAUUACAUGGAUAGUAAGAAACAUCUUCCAGGGAGAAUAGUUUCGUUAGGGUUUCCUUUCCCUGGGGGUGCAUGCGGCAAAGCAUAUGCCCGGACUGCGGACAAAGGCGCAGGAUACAAAACUUCUGGGAUUUAUGUUGUGAAAAACCAAAACAUCUUUUGUUCAUCGACCGAAUAUUCUCUUAAGGAAACUAGCUUUCGGCUUCACCCAGUCUGAGGUACACAUCCGGCUCAACCGGCAGUAACAAUCGCAUAGGUGCUCCCCUUAUGCCCUAGACGAAUUAACGGGAACGUAGGGCAUAAACACAGGAGCCAGGCAACCCAGCUUGGCCACGUCUUAAGUCAUACCGAUGCAUAUAAUGGUGAAGAAAAGGCACACAUAAAAAGAAACUCAUGUGUGAUGGGCAAAAAGCCUUCAGAGUAAUUUAUAUUUAGCUUCCGUAUAGGAAGCCCCCCGGUAUUGUUUACACACAUAGUGCAGCCGGAAUAAGCCGGGAGUCUGUACUGUAUGAAAUACUUUGUGUGAAGAGAAAAGGAUCGAGAGAGGAAGAGGGAGGGAGCAUAAAUAAAAAGGAGGAGGUGAAGAGACAAACACCGAGUUCGGUGCUAGGCGUAGAAUCUCCGGAGUCUGGCCGCGUUCCAUGGGUUCGGCUCGAGUCUGUUAUCGGAUACAUUACGUAAGCGAUACACUCCUCCGGUGAGAACUUGGUCGAUGGCGAAGGGGCCUUCCCACUUGGGUUUGAGCUUGUCCUUCUUCUUCUCCGGUAAGCGUAGAACGAGUUCGCUAAUAUUAUAAGUUUUGGCUCGUACUUCUCUACUUUGGUAUCGUCGAUCCUGUUGCUGAUAGAAUGCGGAACGGGCCUUAGCGACAUCGCGCUCCUCUAGGGCGUCCAAGUAAUCCUGCCGAUCUAACUCGGCUUCCUUUUCUUCGUACAUGCGUAUGCAUGGCGAAUCAUGUAUUAUGUCGCAAGGUAAUAUUGCUUCCGCACCGUACACCAUAAAAAUGGUGUAUAUCCAGUGGUGCGAUUCGGCGUGGUCCGCAGCCCCCAGAGUAUGGAGUUGAGCUCCUUGACCCAAUGAGUAUCCGACUCUGUCAAGGAUCGCACUAGUCUAGGUUUAAUGCCACUCAUGAUGAGACCGUUUACCCGUUUUACCUGGCCAUUUGUUUGAGGAUGGUAUACAGAAGCAUAGUCGAGCGUGAUGCCCACUUUGCCGCACCAAGAUUUCACCUCAUAGGCUGUGAAGUUUGAGCCAUUAUCGGUGAUGAUGCUGUGGGGGACACCGUGUCGGUGUACGACCCCGGAUAUAAAGUCGAUUACUGGUCCGGAUUCGGCCGUUUUCACUGGUUUGGCUUCUAGCCAUUUGGUGAACUUAUCUACCAUGACCAAUAGGUAUUUUUUCUUGUGGUUUCCCCCUUUAAGGGGUCCGACCAUAUCCAGCCCCCAGACCGCGAAGGGCCAAGUUAUGGGGAUUGUUUGGAGAGCGGUAGGGGGCAUAUGACUCUGAUUGGCAAAGAGGUGGCAACCGACGCAAUGUUGGACAAGGUCCUGUGCGUCUGCUCGGGCCGUCGGCCAAUAGAAGCAUGUACAGAAGGCCUUGCUGAUUAGUGCUCGAGCUGCAGCGUGGUGCCCACCCAGUCCGGCAUGGAUUUCAGCCAAGAGCUGCCGCCCUUCCUCUUCGGAGAUGCACCUUUGAAGCACUCCGGUCGCACUUUUCUUAUAGAGUUCCCCUUCGUGGACUUUGUAAGCUUUGGAACGCCGGACAAUGCAGCAUGCUUCAUUUUGGUCUUCGGGGAGCUCCUGCCUAUUUAGGUAGGCCAAGAAGGUUCAAUCCACGGGGCGACAACGACCAUUAUUUCGUGGGCUGACGUUGUUAUUUCGGUGGUAGAGCCUCCGAUUAUGUCUAUUAGUUUGGAAUCUGGGGAUGUAUUCGGAUCUGUGCUGGUAUUGCCGGACUCCCCUUCCCAUACCACGGAUGGCUUGAACAGCCUUUCCAGGAAUAUGUUAGGUGGGACAGGGUCUCGUUUAGCACCGAUGUGAGCAAGUACAUUUGCUGCUUGAUUGUUUUCUCGAGCCACAUGGUGAAAUUCGAGCCCCUCGAACUGAGCUAACAUUUUAAGGACGACACUACGGUAGGCCACCAUUUUCGGAUCCUUGGCGUCAAAGUCUCCAUUUAUUUGGGAUAUUGCAAGGUUUGAAUCCCCGCGCACCUCUAGGCGUUGAAUGCCCAUAGAGACUGCCAUCCGAAGACCGUGCAACAGAGCCUCAUAUUCGGUUGCAUUGUUGGAGUCUAUGUAUAAUAUCUGUAGGACGUAUUGGACCGUGUCUCCGGUGGGAGAUGUCAGGACUACACCUGCUCACAAUUUGUCCAACAUUUUAGAGUCGUCGAAGUGCAUGAUCCAAUUAGAGUAUGCGCCAUACUCUUUAGGGAGUUCGUUUUCCGUCCAUUCGGCAACAAAGUCAGCUAAUACUUGCGACUUGAUAGCCUGCCGAGGCUUGUAUAUUAUGUCGAACGAAAGGAGCUCAAUGGACCAUUUAGCGAUCCGGCCCGUGGCAUCACGGUUAUUUUAUAUAUCAUUUAGUGGUACCUCGGAGGCCACCGUAAUUGAACACUCUUGGAAAUAGUGUCGUAGCUUUUGGGAUGCCAUGAAGACCACGUAUGCUAUUUUUUGAUAGUGUAGGUAUCGGGAUUUUGAUGGGGUGAGGAACAUGGAUACGUAGUAAACCGGCUUCUGUAGCGGGAAUUUGUAUCCGUCAACCUCUCAUUCGACGACGAGUACUGCGCUUACAACUUGAUGUGUUGCAGCUAUGUAUAGCAGCAUAGGUUCGCCGAUAUUUGGCGCUGUUAGGACUGGACUAUUGGCCAAUAAAGUCUUUAUUUCAUCGAGUCCGGCCGAGGCUGCAUCCGUCCACACGAAGUGUUCGGUGCGCCAAAGAAGGCGAUAAAGAGGCAAUGCCUUUUCUCCUAACCUGGAGAUAAAGCGGCUCAAAGCAGCCGCGCAUCCAGCUAGUUUCUGGAUGUGUUUGAGGUCUGUUGGUAUAGCCAACUGCGACAAAGCUCGGAUUUUUGCCGGAUUAGCUUCAAUUCCUCUAUUGGAAACGAUGAAGCCCAUCAGUUUUCCAGAGGGGACGCUGAAAACGCAUUUCUCCGGAUUCAGUUUGAUGUCGUAUGUUCAUAGGUUGUCGAACAUAAGCCUCAAGUCAUCUAUUAGGGUUUCGACGUGUCUUGUUUUUAUGACGACAUUGUCCACGUAUGCCUCCACUGUUUUGCCGUUUUGCUUUUCCAGGCAUGUUUGAAUCAUGCGUUGAUAGGUUGCACCGGCAUUCUUGAGCCCGAAAGGCAUAGUGUUGAAGCAGAAAGGGCCAUAUGGCGUUAUGAAAGCUGUAGUAGCUUGGUCGGACUCUGCCAUCUUUAUUUGAUGGUAUCCAGAGUAUGCAUCAAGGAAACAUAGCGAGUCAUGUCCUGCAGUGGCAUCGAUGAUUUGAUCGAUGCGAGGGAGGGGAAAGGGAUCCUUGGGGCAAGCCUUGUUAAGGUCUUUGAAGUCGACGCGCAGGUGCUAGGAUUUGUCCUUCUUUGGUACCAUUACCAAGUUCGCCAGCCAAUUCGGAUGUUUGAUAUGUCUGAUGAAUCCGGCCUCAUAUAGCUUGGCUAGAUCCUCCCCCAUGGCUUGUCGUUUAGGCCUGAAAAAUCGCCUUAGGGUAUGUUUGACGGGUUUGUAUCCCUUUAGCAUGUUAAGGCUGUGUUCGGCCAAUUCGUGCAGGAUGCCUAGCAUGUCCAAUGGGUGCCAGGAAAAAAAUGUCCCAAUUCCCACGUAAGAAUUCUCGCAGUGUGGCGUCCAUAGUGGGGCCUAACUGUGUCCCGAUGGAGGCUGUCUUCAUGGGGUCCGUAGGGUGGACUUGGAAUUUGACUAUCUCAUCUGCUGGCUUAGACGAGGUGGACUUGGGUCGUUUGUCGAGUAUCAUGUCAUUCUUGUCCAUGGUGGCGCGCAGCGUUGUUAAUUCUUCCGCUGCUAGGGCUUCGGACAGUGCCUCCAAGGCUAGUGCUGCGGUUUUGUUUUCAGCGCGGAGUGCGACGUCCGGAUCACUAGCUAGAGUGAUGAUUCCAUUGGGUCCGGGCAUUUUAAGCUUCAUGUACCCAUAAUGGGGUAUAGCUUGAAAGCUUGCAAACGCGUCCCGCCCUAGAAGGGUGUGGUAUCCGCUGCUAAAAGGGGCCACUUGGAACACGAUUUCUUCGGACCUAUAAUUCUCUGGGGUGCCGAAUACCACAUCAAGUGUGAUUUUCCCCGUGCACCGCGCCUCCCGACUAGGCAUAAUUCCCCUGAAGGUUGUGCCGCUUUGCUCAAUGCGGCCUUUAUUAAUUUCCAUUUUCUUGAGUGUUUCUUCAUAGAUCAAGUUUAAUCCGCUCCCGCCGUCCAUGAGGACUUUAGUGAGCCGACAGUCGUCCACUAUUGGACUAAGGACCAAAGCGGCUGGUGCCCGGGCGGUCCGAAAUUGGGGCUUGUCACUGGCAUUGAAAGUUAUAGCAGUGUCGUUCCAUGGAUUUACUUUUGCCACAUGGCAGAUUUUAGCAGAGCUUCGAUGGGCUCACUUGCGCCUAUUGUUUGAGGCGAAAGUCUCGAAGACCGUUAGUACCGUAUUGUGUUCCUUGGCGGGAUGCUGUUCAUCUUUGUGGCUCUCGAGGAGAUCCUCGCCACUCUUAGCUACUUGCCGAAGUAUCCAACAUGCCCUAAGGCUAUGGGUUGGUAUUGCGUCUGGCGUACUGUGAAGCUUACAUGGCCCAUUGAGCCAUCCUUCCAAUAUGGUUCCACGCCCUGGGGCGGGUUUUGGUUUCUUGGGAAUUGAAUUGGUCGAUUUAUGGGAGUUCGGUCGUUUAGUUCGGACCAAGGUUCUGGUGAGGGCCGUACUAUCCCAAAUUCUGUUUGGGUUUUCUAGGCUCUUUCCAUCAAACAUUACUUCUGUACGAUAGAAGCUAAGUCCGCAAAGUGUGCUAUGUCAUGGCGGCUUAUAGCAUUAAGGAGUCCUUUGUUUGUGCAGUUUUUGCAGAAAAGUGAGACUACGUCCUCCUCAUGGCAGUCCUCGACCUUGUGAAGCGCAAGGAGGAAUCUGGCCCAGUAAUGGUGUACCAUCGCCAGGGGCUCUUGCCUGAUGCGGGAGAGACGGUUUAAGUCCCAGCGAGCAUCGUUGGCCGAAUCCGGAUCUUGAUCUGAUCUGACACCCGAGGCACGGAAGGUUCCGAGCCCGGCAGUUCGAGGUCCGGAGUAUCACCCAAUCUCUUUGGCCCGAUGCCCGACUCUAAGUCCGGGACUCGGGUCAUGUCUUGCUUUGAGUAGGUGUCCGGCUUACUGAGUUCGGUGAUCCGGACAUAAUCCGUCCUCAAAGUUGAGGGGCGAUCCGUGUGUGGUUCCUCCACUACCGCUAUCUCAUGGGUGGCCGGCGGGGAUUUGAUGUCCCUCUGGUCGGGUUUAAGCCCAAUCCGGUCAUAGUCCAUAGCGACUCCCAAAGCGGCGAUGUGAUCCAGGAGCUCAUUAAGAGAGGAGAUCUCUACCGGAUCCAUUUGUUCGGCAAGCUCCGAAUUGAUGCGAAGGCUAUGCGUGAUGACCCGAGAGGCCAUCGUUGGCGCGACAGCCAAUGGGGCGGCCAUAAUGAAGCCGCCAAGUCGGAGGGUCUGGCCCACAGCCAGCGUUCCUCCAGAGAUGAUGUCGUCCUUGACAACAAAACGAGCCAUCGAGCCUUGCAGUGACGACACAGAGGAACUCUCAAUGAAAGCACCAAUGUCGGUGUCAAAACCGGCGGAUCUCGGGUAGGGGGUCCCGAUCUGUGCGUCUUAGGCUGAUGGUAAUAGGAAGCAAGGGACACAAUGUUUUUCCAGGUUCGGGCCCUCUCAAUGGAGGUAAAACCCUACUUCCUGCUUGAUUAAUAUUGAAGAUAUGAGUAGUACAAGAGUAGAUCUACCACGAGAUCGUAGAGGCUAAACCCUAAGAGCUAGCCUAUGAUGGUAUGAUUGUAAUUGUGAUCGGCCUUCUAAGGACCAUCCUCUCCGGUUUAUAUAGACACUGGAGAGGGCUAGGGUUUACAUGGAGUCGGUUACAAGGAAGGAAAUACAAUAUCCGGAUCGCCAAGCUUGUCUUCCACGCAAAGGAGAGUCCCAUCCGGACACGGGCCGAAGUCUUGAGUCUUGUAUCUUCACGCUUCAAUAGUCCGGAUGGUGUAUACAGUCCGGCUGUCCGGAUACCCCCUUAUCCAGGACUCCCUCAACAGCGACCGGGUGCUUAGCCUCGGCGACGGCCAUGACGAAGACGAAGGUGGGCCCGUGCCUGGAGGCAUUUGUAGCUUGCCAAGCUUCAGCGGCUCCCCCUCUGAUGACAGCUCCUCCAGUGGCGGUCAUGAUCAACCACCGCGCCGCCGCGCUCGCUUCGAGGGGGGUAGCGGGUCAUCCCGCCAUCGUGCCUCGGUGAAGAGUGAGGAUUGAUUGAGCUCCGGAGGGCGGUGCGAAUCCCCCUCCACGAGCCGUCGCCAGGCAGGCCACGUUUAUUUUGUUUUUCUCCUUUUCCUGCAUAGAGAGAGAGAGAAGUGUGGAGCCCCGCGGGGGCAUGCUGGACUGUUGCCUUUAAUUAUUAUGCUAUUCCAUUAUUUCCAUGCCGUGCUACGGUAUUGUGUGCUCAUGNNNNNNNNNNNNNNNNNNNNNNNNNNNNNNNNNNNNNNNNNNNNNNNNNNNNNNNNNNNNNNNNNNNNNNNNNNNNNNNNNNNNNNNNNNNNNNNNNNNNNNNNNNNNNNNNNNNNNNNNNNNNNNNNNNNNNNNNNNNNNNNNNNNNNNNNNNNNNNNNNNNNNNNNNNNNNNNNNNNNNNNNNNNNNNNNNNNNNNNNNNNNNNNNNNNNNNNNNNNNNNNNNNNNNNNNNNNNNNNNNNNNNNNNNNNNNNNNNNNNNNNNNNNNNNNNNNNNNNNNNNNNNNNNNNNGUAGGAACAACUCAGCUCGGGGGGGGGGGGGGCUCGCUGCAGUCUUCGCCUCCUCACGAGGCUCCUGCUUGAGGCCUCGUCGAGCGUCUUGAGGCCUGCAAAAAUUAACUGGAUGGAUAGCUUUUGAACCCAUGUCGUGAGGGUGACUGGCCCAGGUCCUACAUUCAUGUCGCGAUGCCCGUGGGGCAUGGACCGGGAGGAGCGCUCCCGCUUUGAACUUGAGUAGGGAAGACUCACGAAAUUAGGUCAGAAGAUACUCGCGAGGGCGCCCGCGGAGUCCCCUCGUGAGGCUUGCGGAAGAGAAGUCGAGUCAGGCGAGCAACAAAAACAGAGAAUCACGGGCCGGGGACAGCAAACAACACCAAAAGCAACUCCAAUAAAGUUUCGAACAAGGGUGAACAAGCCAACUACAGAAAGCAAAUGAAAAGCCGCGUCUAGCGCCUAAUCUAGUCUUUGACGUCUUCUACCAGUGCGGAGCUAAGUGCUGCCACUGGGCAUGGGUGGGAGCCCUCGAGGCCCGAGGGCAGCACUCCGGAGACUCCGGGGCGUGUACAGCCCCAACUCAUUAUUACGUGAGAGUGUCACGGGUGGCGAGCUUCACAUUCAUUGGCCUUCUUCACAAGCACCGGGCCUUUUCUCGGGGCGAUGAGCUUCACAGGCACUGGGCCUUCUUCACAGGCACCAGGCCUUACUUCAAGGGUAAAAUCCCCGGAGGUGCUGAAUGUUCCACGCAUUCGGGAUGGGCACCCCCUCCUGGGUCUCCAAGCGCGCGGCGCUAGGUCUAGAAACAUGAACAACCUUGAAUGGGCCCUCGACAUGUGCGAGAGCUUGUGCAUCCCUUCCCUGGAGAGCACCCGCUUGAGCACGAGGUCACCUACCUCGAGAGUCCUGGGGCGGAUGUUGCGGCAAUGGUACCGUUGCAGUGCCUGCUGGUAUCUUGCCACCCGAAGCACGGCCUCCCGAUGGUGUUCCUCCCCCAGCACGAGAUCCAUCCCCCACAUGGCGUCCUGCCGCGCUUCGUCAAACGCCAGGACCCGCACGGAGCGACGCCUGACCUCAUGAGGGAGGACCACCUCUGCUCCGCAUACGAGGAAGUACGGGGUUUCGCCGGUUGACUUGGUAGCGGUCGUGCGGAUGGACCACAACACGGACUGGAGCUCGUCAUACCAGCCCCUGCCACAGGCCUCCAGCUUCUUCUUGAAGGUCCUGGUUUUGAGGCCUUUCAGGACCUCCGCGUUGGCACAUUCGGCCUGGCCGUUUCUCCGAGGGUGUGCCACCGAAGCGUAUCAUAUCUGCGUUCCAAGGUUAGCCCAAUAUGUUUUGAAGAGAUUGCUGGUGAACUGCAAACCGUUGUCAGUGAUGAUGCGAUUAGGCACCCCGAACCGGCUCACGAGGCCCUUGAUGAACUUGACUGCUGAACCAGCUGGGAUGGUGCGGACAACUUCCACCUCUGCCCACUUGGUGAACUUGUCAAUGGCGACGUAGAGGUAGCGAUAGCCCCCUGGCGCCCGGGGAAACGGGCCCAAAAUGUCCAGCCCCCAAACCGCGAACGACCAUGAGAGUGGAAUUGUCUGCAAGCCCUGAGCCGACUGAUGAAUCUGCUUGGCGUGGAAUUGACAGGCUUCAUUGAGUGCUGUUGGCCAAUAAAAUCCGCCGUGAAACGCCGUGCCGACGAGGGUCCCUGAAGACGAGUGGUGCCCAUAGUCUCCAUCGUGAAUGUCUGCCAGCAACUCUUUCCCCUUGCUCCGUGGAGAUGCAACGUAGGGAAACAUCAUUUGGCCGCUUCCGGUAGAGCUCUCCGUCUUGGACGCAGUAGGCCGUGGCCUGACAUGCCACGCGUUCUGCGUCCUCCUCCUUCUCUGGCAGAGUCCCUUGCAUCAGGUAAUCCUUGAGUUCUGCAGUCCAACAUCCCUCUUGAGGCUCCAGCGCCAGGAGCAAGUGUGCUCCUGAGGUCGGGCCUCAGGCCGGAGCUCCCGAGGAAGGUGGUUGAGGGAGUUCCUCCCGAGGCUGUGCUGCACUUGAUAGUGGCAGUGCUACUGAGGGCCUGAAGAGUCAUUCCUCAAAGACGCCGGGCUCUUGAGGCAGUUGCCUGGACGCCCUCAUGGUGAUGUCAUCAGCCUCUUGAUUGGUGCCGAGUGGCACAUGCUACAACUCCAACCCCCAGAACUGCUUUUCCAUUCUGCGGACGUCCGCGAGAUACACUUCCAUGUGCUCGUCCUUCGGCUCGUACACCUUGUUGGAGAAGUUGACGAGGAGCUGUGAAUCACCCUUGAUGAUGAGGCGCUUUACCCCCGAGGCCGAUGCGGCCUUCAAGCCUGCUAUCAGGCCCUCGUAUUCUGCUAUGUUGUUGGAGACCUUCUCUCCAUGCUGGAAACAGAGCUGUACGGCAUAAUAGAGCUUGUCCUGAGAGGGAGAUAUAAGCACUGCGCCAGCCCCCGGGCCAUGUCGCGAGAACGCUCCAUUGAAGUACAUGACCCAGCCGUCCGACGCCUCACUUCCUGGGGAAAGUGACCGAUCUUCGCCUGCCUCGAGCCCUAGCGCCUCUAUCCAAUCUGCCACAAAAUCUGCAAGUGCGACUCCUUUGACGACCCUUGUCAUGUUGAAUUCCAACUGAAACGCUUGCAACUCGAUGUUCCAUUCGGCGACCCUUCCCGCUGAGUUGGGACUCUUGAGUACCCUUCCCAAUGGAUAUGCCGAGACGACCUUGAUGGGGUGACCUUGAAAGUAGUGUCAUAGCUUGCGCGAGGCCACUAAUAGAGCGAGCAAGAGCUUCUGAGGCAUGGGGUAUCGUGCCCUCGCAUCCCGCAGCACCAUGCUAACGAAAUACACUGGGUGGUCGACGAGCGUUGGCGUGCUGGUGAGGUCGGUGCCCUCUAAGGGGUCAGGCGCCUCCUAAGACGACGGAGCCCCCAGCCCCUGGCUGCCUGGUGCGGCCUCUUCGGCCCUGGGGGCGUCCCCCUGUUGAGGCUGGCAUCCAUCUGCUGCGGCCGUGGUCUUCGCGAGGCCUUCUUGGUUUUGCGCUGCCGUGGCCGGGGCCGUGGCCGAUCGUGGUGCAGCUUUGACCUGGUGCUCCUCCCGUACUGCCACUAGAGCUGCACUGGCGGAGUAGGGUGUGGCGGCAAGGUAGAGCACCAAGGUCUCCCGAGGGCAUGGAGCCACCAUCACUGGAGGGUUGGUCAGGUACUUCUUGAGGUCUUGGAACGCUUUGUCGACCUCUUGAGUUCAUUCGAAUGGACCCUUCUUCUUCAUCAGCUUGAAAAAGGGCAGGGCACGUUCCCCCAGCUUGGAGAUGAAGCGCCCUAACGCGGUUACUCGCCCAGUGAGCUUCUGCAUUUCCUUGAGGGUUUGCGGCGGACUCAUGUCUUUGGCUGCCUUGACCUUCUCCGGGUUAGCCUCUAUACCUCUGUGGGACACAAGGAAGCCCAGAAGCUUGCCAGAAGGAACACCGAACAUGCACUUCUCCGGGUUGAGCCGCAGGUCCACCUCGCGAAGGCUCGCGAAGGUUUCUUCCAGGUCCUGAAUUAGGGUUUUGGCCUCUCGAGACUUCACCACGAUGUCGUCGACGUAUGCCUCGGUGUUUCCCCCGGGUUGCCGGCCCAAGGCGAUAUGCAUCGGCCGCUGAAAGGUUGCGCCUACAUUGCACAACCCGAACGACAUGCAGGUGUAGUAGUACACCAUGCACGGGGUCAGGAAGGCCGUUUUCUCCACGUCUUCUACCACCAUCUUGAUUUGGUGAUAGGCAGAGAAGGCAUCCAGGAAGCACAGCAUGUCGCACUCGGCGGUGGAAUCACGAACUGGUAAAUGCGAGGGAGCGGGAACGGGUCUUGAGGGCAGGCUUUGUUGAGGUUGGUGAAGUCAACGCACAUGCGCUCCUUUCCCCCCUACUUUGGCACAACAACAGGGUUGGCCAGCCAUUCAGGAUAGCGAACUUCGCGAAUGACACCCGCAGCUUCAAGCUUACGGGUUUCUUGGAUGAUGAAGGCCUGCUUCUCGGUGGACUGUCGCCUAGCCUUCUGCUUCACGGGGCGCACGUUGGGGCACACGUUCAGAUGAUGCUCAAUCACCUCCCUUGGAACCCCCGCUAGCUCCUUGGGUACCCACGCGAACACCUCCUUGUGCAAAUUCAAGUGGAGCAUCACAAAGAGCAAGUGCUUGAAUCUUGCCAUCCAUUGUGGUGUCAAUGGACUUGUGAAGAUGUGCCGAAGAGUGGCUCGCCCAUAGUGGACUAUGGGGGAGCAAUCAUCUAGUCUUCAUCGAGCCAACGCAAUCAAGAAAGGUGGUCCAACUUGAGGGAGUCAAGAUCGUCAUCAUCUAGCUCAAGUGGACCAUGUGCAAGGCAAAGGAUUUCCCUUGAUAGGUUUUCUAUUUUACCGGUCUCAUGGUGGUAGUUGCGAGACCAGGUUAUAGGAUCGUUUGCGUACUAUCAAGGGGAGCUCUCAAGUUGGUAGCUUGAUCGUAUCGUUAGUAGAGAUCUCAAACCAUUGCAUCGUUGCAUCAUGUUUCUUGGUUCUUGUUUAGUUCUCUUUGUGAGUCUUAGAGCUUAUGGUCAUCUUUAUGACAAGCUUGAGUUCAUUGAAAACGGAGUUCGCAUGCGUCUUCUAUGAUGUCUUCGGUGUUAGAGGUUUUACCGGUCUUAUCCGAGGAAGGGUUCUCACCAUUUUAUUAUGGGCCUUUUCUCAUUUGCUUCUUAUUGAUAUUUCUAUCAAUAUUGUGUUAGCCCAUGUUGUUAGCUUUCCAACAAACUUGGUUUCAUUGAAUUCGGAGUCUGUUUGCAAAAGUUGUGGCUGUUUUGGUAAAGGUCGCAGCGGUACUACCGCAACUAGAGCGGAUGUAAUUUUUUACUACCACUCCAGAGCGGUACUACCGCGGCUCGUGAGCGGUAGUACCACUCCAGAGUAGUACUACCGCGGCUCCUAAGUGGUAGUACCACUCCGGACCAAAAUCUCGUGUUUUGCUCAGCGGAGGUAGGCACGGAAGUAUUUUUUUAGUACCACUCGCAAGCAGUAGUACCGCUACCAUUUGCGGUAGUACCGUGAGGUCGAGUGGUAGUACCGUGAGGAUGAGCGAUAGUACCACCCCGGCGGUUCUAAUGGCCUUUUGCCUCCUCGCUGUUGUUUUUCAAAGGGGUACUACCGCCCUAGCGGUAGUACCGCUCCUUGGAGCGGUAGUACCGCUCUGUGCGGGCUAUGAGCAUAACGGUUGGAUUUUUCCCAACUUAUAAAAGGGGGUCUUCUUCCCCAUUGAACCUUAUCCUUUGAGCUCGUGUUCUUCCCCCAUUUUUGACCUUCUUCGAUCUAGCUAACUCUCAAUCCCUCCAUGGAUUCUUGCUAGUUUUUGAGGGAAAAGAGAGAGGAGAUCUGGAUCCACAUUUCCACCAAUCACUUUCUCCUCUAUGUGAGGGGAACCCCGUUGAUCUAGAUCUUGGAGUUCUUGGUGUUCUCCUUCUUGUUCUUCCUCUCAUCUUCCUCCCUAGCAUUAGUUGCUUCAGUGGGAUUUGAGAGAGAAGGAUUUGGGCACUCCGUGUGCCCUUGCCAUUGCAUUUGGUGCAUCGGUUUGAGUUCUCCACGUGAUACGUGGAAGGUACAAGUUGAGAAGCUUAUUACUCUUGGUUGCUUGGAACCCUUGAGCUUCUUACUCUUGGGUGUUUGGACACCCUAGAGCUUGUUCCUGUUGGUUGCCUUGGUACCCUAGACGGUUGGUGUUGUUAGGAGCUCAAUCAUUGUGGUGUAAAGCUCCGGGCAAGCGUCGGGGUCUCCAAUUAGGUUGUGGAGAUUGCCCCGAGCAAUUUGACGGGUACCGGUGACCGCCCCCAAGGGUUGCCAGAGUGUACGGGUUCGGUGACCGCCCCCAAGGGUCACCAUUUGUACGGGUUCGGUGACUGCCCUCAAGGGUCCCUUAGUGGAAUCACGACAUCUUGCAUUGUGCGAGGGCGUGAGGAGAUUACAGUGGCCCUAGUGGCUUCUUGGGGAGCAUUGUGCCUCCACACCGCUCCAAAUGGAGAUUAGCAUCCGCAAGGGUGUGAACUUUGGGAUACAUCGUCGUCUCUGCGUGCCUCGGUUAUCUCUUACCCGAGCCCUUUACUUAUGCACUUUACUUUGUGAUAGCCAUAUUGUUCUUUGUCAUAUAUCUUGCUAUCACAUAGUGGCUUAUAUUGCUUAGCAUACGUUGUUGGUGCACACAUGUGAGCCUAGUUGUUUUAGGUUUUGUGCUUGACAAAUUAAUCACUAGGUUUAUUCCACAUUUGUUCAAGCCUAAACCGUAAUUAUUUUAAAGCGCCUAUUGACCCCCCCUCUAGGCGACAUCCUUGAUCUUUCACCUUGUGUGCUAUCAAACCUCAAAACAUAACUGGGUUAUUAUAAAGAUGCUCUACAGGCAUCUCCGAAGGUGUUUGUUGAGUUGUCAUAGAUCAAGAUUAGGAUUUGUCACUCCGAGUAUCGGAGAGGUAUCUCUAGGCCCUUUCGGUAAUACACAUCAUAAGAUUGCAAGCAAACUACUAAGGAGUUAGUCAUGAGAUGAUGUAUUACGAAACGAUUAAAGAGACCUGCCGGUAACGACAUUGAACUAGGUUUGAAGAUAUCGAUGAUAGAAUCUCGGGCAAGUAACAUACUGAUGGACAAAGGGAAUUACGUAUGUUGUCAUAACGGUUCGACCGAUAAAGAUCUUCGUAGAAUAUGUAGGAGCCAAUAUGGGCAUCCUGGUUCCACUAUUGGUUAUUGACCAGAGAGGUGUCUCGGUCAUGUCUACAUAGUUCUCGAACCCGUAGGGUCCGCAUGCUUAACAUUCGAUGACGAUGUAGUAUUAUAUGAGUUAUGUGAUUAAGUGACCGCAUAUUGUUCGAAGUCCCGGAUGAGAUCACGGACAUGGCGAGUAGUCUCGAAAUGGUCGAGAGGUAAAGAUUGAUAUACAGGAUGAUGGUAUUCGAACACCAGAAGUGUUUCGGGGGGUACCAGGUACUUAUCGGGUCACCGGAAGGGGUUCCGGGCACCCCCGGCAAAAGAUAUGGGCCUUAUGGGCCAAGAGGGGAAACACACCAGCCACAAGGGGAUGGUGCGCUCCCCAUAUGGGCCGGCCUAGGAGGAGAAGGAAAGAGGGGAAGGGAAAGGAAAGAGUGGAAUAGGAUUCCCCCUUCCUUCCCUCUCCUCCCUUUUCCCUUCCCCAUCGGUUAUAUAUGGCAGGGGGGCGCGCGGCUUGUGAGGGACUCGAAGUAGGGUUCCUCCUACUUGGGCGCCUCCUAUGGCUGCUCCUCCCUCCCUCCCACCUAUAUAUAUUUGUGAAAGGGGGCGCCUAGCACACAUCAGACAAUUUCCUAGCUGUGUGCGGUGCCCCCUCCACCGUUUACUACAUCGGUCAUAUUUACAUAGUGCUUAGGCGAAGCCCUGCGGAGAUCACUUCACCAUCACAGUCACCACGCCGUCGUGCUACCGGAACUCAUCUACUACCUCGAUGUUUUGCUGGAUCAAGAAGGCGAGGGAUGUCAUCGAGCUGAACGUGUGCCGAACUCGGAGGUGCCGUACGUUUGGUACUCGACCGGUGGAUCACAAAGAAAGUUUGACUACAUCAAUCGCGUUGUGAAACGCUUUUGCUUACGGUCUACGAGGGUACGUAGACACACUUUCCCCUCUCGUUGCUAUGCAUCUCCAUGGAUAGAUAAUUGCGUAUGCGUAGAUUUUUUUGUUUUCCUAUGCAAUGAUUCCCAACAGUGGUAUCAGAGCCAUGUCUAUGCAUAGAUGAUAUGCACGAGUAGAACACAAAGAAGUUGUAGGCGGUGAUGUUCACACUGCUUACCACCAAUAUCUUAUUUUGAUCCGGCAGCAUUGCAAGAUGAAGCGGCCUGGACCAACCUUACAUGUCCACACACAUGAGACCGGUUCCACCGACUAACAUGCAACUAGUUUUGCAUAAAGGUGGCCGGCGGGUGUCUAUUUCUCCUACUUUAGUUGAAUCGAAUUUGACUACGGCCGGUCCUUGAAGAAGGUUAAAACAGCAAACUUGAUAAAUCUCCAUUGUAGUAUUUGCCAUAGGUAAGAACGGUUCUUGCUAGAAACCCGUAGCAGCCACGUAAAACUUGCAACAACAAAGUUGAUGACGUCUAACUUGUUUUUGCAGGGUAUGUUGUGAUGUGAUAUGGUCAAGACAUGAUGUGAUAUACGUUAUUGUAUGAGAUGAUCAUGUUUUGUAAUUUAUCAACAACCGGUAGGAGCCUUAUGGUUGUCUCUUUAUUGUAUGAAAUGAAAACGACAUGUAAUUGCUUUACUUUAUCGCUAUGCGUUAGCAAUAGUUGUAGAAGCAAUAGUUGGUGAGACGACCACGAUGCAAUGAUGGAGAUCAAGGUGUCGAGCUGGUGACGAUGGAGAUCAUAACGAUGCUUUGGAGAUGGAGAUCAAAAGGACGAGAUGAUGAUGGCCAUAUCAUGUCACAUAUUUUGAUUGCAUGUGAUGUUUAUCUUUUAUGCAUCUUAUUUUGCUUAGAACGACGGUAGCAUUAUAAGAUGAUCCCUUCACUAAAUUUCAAGAUAUAAGUGUUCUCCCUGAGUAUGCACCGUUGCGAAAGUUCAUCAUUUCGAGACACCACGUGAUGAUCGGGUGUGAUAGACUCUACGUUCACAUACAACGGGUGUAAGAUAGUUUUGCACGUGCAGAAUACUUGGGUUAAACUUCACGAGUAUAGACAUGGCCUCGGAACACAGGAGACCGAAAGGUCGAACUGUUGGGGAACGUUGCAGAAAAUUAAAAUUUUUCCUACGGUUUCACCAAGAUCCAUCUAUGAGUUCAUCUAAGAAACGAAUCAAGGGAGAUAGUUUGCAUCUACAUACCACUUGUAGAUCGCGUGCGGAAGCUAGCAAGGUGAUGAUGGAGUCGUACUCGAACGUGAUUCGAAUCACCGAUGACCAAGUGCUGAACGGACAGCACCUCCGUGUUCAACACACGUACGGGACGGGAGACGUCUCCUCCUUCUUGAUCCAGCAAGGGGGAAGGAGAGGUUGAGGAAGACAGCUCCACCGGCAGCACGACGGCGUGGUGAUGGUGGAGAGGCAGUACUCCGACAGGGCUUCGCCAAGCACACAACGGAGGAGGAGAGGUGUUGGGGAGGGGAGGGCUGCGCCUUGGAGGGUGGUACGGCUGCCCUCCCCUCACCCCUCUAUUUAUAGGGGGAAGGGAGAAGGGGGCCGGCCCCNNNNNNNNNNNNNNNNNNNNNNNNNNNNNNNNNNNNNNNNNNNNNNNNNNNNNNNNNNNNNNNNNNNNNNNNNNNNNNNNNNNNNNNNNNNNNNNNNNNNNNNNNNNNNNNNNNNNNGCGGCGGCCUAGGGGAGAGGGGAGAGGGUGGCUUGCCCCCCAAGCCAAGGGGGCGCCCCCUCUAGGGUUCCCCCCUCAACCCUAGGCGCAUGGGCCCAAGGGAGGGGGUGCGGCCAGCCCACCAGGGGCUGGCUCCCUGCCCCACGCAGCCCAUGUGCCCCCCCGGGAGGGGUGGCCCCUCCCGGUGGACCCCCGGAACCCUUCCGGUGGCCCCGGUACAAUACCGGUAUGACCCCGAAACUUCCCGGUGUCUGUUUGACAACUUCCUAUAUAUAAAUCUUUACCUCCGGACCCUUCCGGAUCUCCUCGUGACGUCCAGGAUCCCAUCCGGGACUCCGAACAACAUUCGGUAGUCACAUACUAGUCUUCCUAAUAACCCUAGCGUCACCGAACCUUAAGUGUGUAGACCCUACGGGUUCGGGAGACAUGCAGACAUGACCAAGACGCUCUCAGUCAAUAACCAACAGUGGGAUCUGGAUACCCAUGAUGGCUCCCACAUGCUCCUCGAUGUUGUCAUCGGAUGAACCACGAUGUCGAGGAUUCGAUCAAACCCUGUAUGCAAUUCCCUUUGUCAAUCGGUACGUUACUUGCCCGAGACUCGAUCGCCAGUAUCCCAAUACCUUGUUCAGUCUCGUUACCGGCAAGUCACUUUACUCGUACCGUAAUGCAUGAAUAAAAGACAUUUAUCAUGAACAUUGAAAUAUAAUAAUACUUUUAUUAUUGCCUCUAGGGCAUAUUUCCAACAGUCUCCCACUUGCACUAGAGUCACCAAUCUAGUUACAUUGUGAUGAAUCGAACACCCAUAGAGUUCUGGUGUUGAUCAUGUUUUGCACGCGAGAGAGGUUUAGUCAGCGGAUCUGCGACAUUCAGAUCCGUGUGUACUUUGCAAAUCUCUAUGUCUCCAUCUUGAACAUUUUCACGGAUGGAGUUGAAACGACGCUUGAUGUGCCUGGUCUUCUUGUGAAACCUGGGCUCCUUGGCGAGGGCAAUAGCUCCAGUGUUGUCACAGAAGAGUUUGAUCGGCCCCGACGCAUUGGGUAUGACUCCUAGGUCGGUGAUGAACUCCUUCACCCAAAUCGCUUCAUGCGCUGCCUCCGAGGCUGCCAUGUACUCCGCUUCACACGUAGAUCCCGCCACGACGCUCUGCUUGCAGCUACACCAGCUUACUGCUCCACCAUUCAACAUAUACACGUAUCCGGUUUGUGACUUAGAGUCAUCCAGAUCUGAGUUGAAGCUAGCGUCGACGUAACCCUUUACGACGAGCUCUUCGUCUCCUCCAUAAACGAGCAACAUGUCCUUCGUCCUUUUCAGGUACUUCAGGAUAUUCUUGACCGCUGUCCAGUGUUCCUUGCCGGGAUUACUUUGGUAUCUUGCUACCAAACUUACGGCAAGGUUUACAUCGGGUCUGGUACACAGCAUGGCAUACAUAAUAGAUCCUAUGGCUGAAGCAUAGGGGAUGACACUCAUCUCUUCUUUAUCUUUUGCCGUGGUCGGUGACUGAGCCGAGCUCAGUCUCACACCUUGUAACAUAGGCAAGAACCCCUUCUUGGACUGAUCCAUUUUGAACCUCUUCAAAAUCUUAUCAAGGUAUGUGCUUUGUGAAAGACCUAUGAGGCGUCUCGAUCUAUCUCUAUAGAUCUUAAUGCCUAAUAUAUAAGCAGCUUCUCCAAGGUCCUUCAUUGAAAAACACUUAUUCAAGUAGGCCUUAAUGCUGUCCAGAAAUUCUAUAUUAUUUCCCAUCAAGAGUAUGUCAUCUACAUAUAAUAUGAGAAAUGCUACAGAGCUCCCACUCACUUUCUUGUAAACGCAGGCUUCUCCAUAAGUCUGCAUAAACCCAAACGCUUUGAUCAUCUCAUCAAAGCGAAUGUUCCAACUCCGAGAUGCUUGCACUAGUCCAUAAAUGGAUCGCUGGAGCUUGCACACUUUGUUAGCGUUCCGAGGAUCGACAAAACCUUCCGGCUGCAUCAUAUACAGUUCUUCCUUAAGAUGCCCGUUAAGGAAUGCCGUUUUGACGUCCAUUUGCCAUAUCUCAUAAUCAUAGUAUGCGGCAAUUUCUAACAUGAUUCGGACGGACUUCAGCUUCGCUACGGGAGAGAAAGUCUCGUCGUAGUCAAUCCCUUGAACUUGUCGAUAACCCUUAGCGACAAGUCGAGCCUUAUAGAUUGUAACAUUACCAUCCGCGUCCGUCUUCUUCUUAAAGAUCCAUUUGUUUUCUAUCGCUCGCCGAUCAUCGGGCAAGUCUGUCAAAGUCCAUACUUUGUUUUCAUACAUGGAUUCUAUCUCGGAUUUCAUGGCUUCAAGCCAUUUGUUGGAAUCCGGGCCCGCCAUCGCUUCUUCAUAGUUCGAAGGUUCAUUGUUGUCUAACAACAUGAUUUCCAGGACAGGGUUGCCGUACCACUCUGGUGCGGAACGUGUCCUUGUGGACCUACGAAGUUCAGCAGUAACUUGAUCCGAAGUACCUUGAUCAUCAUCAUUGUUUUCCUCUUCAGUUGGCGUGGGCAUCACAGGAACGGUUUCCUGCGCUGCGCCACUUUCCCGCUCAAGAGGUAGUACUUCAUCGAGUUCUACUUUCCUCCCACUUACUUCUUUCGAGAGAAACUCUUUUUCCAGAAAGCAUCCGUUCUUGGCAACAAAGAUCUUGCCUUCGGAUCUUAAGUAGAAGGUAUACCCGACAGUUUCCUUAGGGUAUCCUAUGAAUACGCAUUUUUCCGACUUGGGUUCGAGCUUUUCAGGUUGAAGUUUUUUGACAUAAGCAUCGCAUCCCCAAACUUUUAGAAACGACAGCUUAGGUUUCUUUCCAAACCAUAAUUCAUACGGUGUCGUCUCAACAGAUUUAGACGGUGCCCUAUUUAAAGUGAAUGUAGCUGUCUCUAGAGCGUAUCCCCAAAAUGAUAGCGGUAAAUCGGUAAGAGACAUCAUAGACCGCACCAUAUCCAAUAGAGUGCGAUUACGACGUUCGGACACACCGUUUCGCUGAGGUGUUCCAGGCGGCGUGAGUUGUGAAACGAUUCCACAUUUCCUUAAGUGUGUACCAAAUUCGUGACUUAAGUAUUCUCCUCCACGAUCUGAUCGUAAGAAUUUUAUCUUUCGGUCACGUUGAUUCUCUACCUCAUUCUGAAAUUCCUUGAACUUUUCAAAGGUCUCAGACUUGUGUUUCAUUAAGUAGACAUACCCAUAUCUACUCAAGUCAUCAGUGAGAGUGAGAACAUAACAAUAUCCUCCGCGAGCCUCAACGCUCAUUGGACCGCACACAUCGGUAUGUAUGAUUUCCAACAAGUUGGUUGCUCGCUCCAUUGUUCCGUAGAACGGAGUCUUGGUCAUUUUGCCCAAAAGGCAUGGUUCGCACGUGUCAAACGAUUCAUAAUCAAGAGACUCUAAAAGUCCAUCGGCAUGGAGCUUCUUCAUGCGCUUGACACCAAUGUGACCAAGGCGGCAGUGCCACAAGUAUGUGGGACUAUCGUUAUCAACUUUAAAUCUUUUGGCAUCUACACUAUGAACAUGUGUAAUAUUACGCUCGAGAUUCAUUAAGAAUAAACCAUUGACCAUCGGAGCAUGACCAUAAAACAUAUCUCUCAUAUAAAUCGAACAACCAUUAUUCUCAGACUUAAAUGAGUAGCCAUCUCGUAUUAAACGAGAUCCAGAUACAAUGUUCAUGCUCAAACUUGGCACUAAAUAACAAUUAUUAAGGUUCAAAACUAAUCCCGUAGGUAAAUGUAGAGGCAGCGUGCCGACGGCGAUCACAUCGACUCUGGAACCAUUCCCGACGUGCAUCGUCACCUCGUCCUUCGCCAGUCUCCGUUUAUUCCGCAGCUCCUGCUGUGAGUUACAAAUAUGAGCAACGGCACCGGUAUCAAAUACCCAGGAGUUACUACGAGUACUGGUAAGGUACACAUCAAUCACAUGUAUAUCAAAUAUACCUUUGGUGUUGCCGGCCUUCUUAUCCGCUAAGUAUUUGGGGCAGUUCCGCUUCCAGUGACCCUUCCCCUUACAAUAAAAGCACUCAGUCUCAGGCUUGGGUCCAUUCUUUGACUUCUUCCCGGUAACUGGCUUACCAGGCGCGGCAACAUCUUUGCCGUCCUUCUUGAAGUUCUUCUUACCCUUGCCCUUCUUGAACUUAGUGGUCUUAUUGACCAUCAACACUUGAUGUUCUUUCUUGAUUUCAGCCUCUGCUGACUUCAGCAUCGAGAACACUUCAGGAAUGGUCUUUUCCAUCCCCUGCAUGUUGUAGUUCAUCACAAAGCUCUUGUAGCUUGGUGGGAGCGACUGGAGGAUUCUGUCAAUGACCGCCUCAUCUGGGAGGUUAAUGUUCAGCUGGGUCAUACGGUUGUGCAACCCAGACAUCUUCAGGAUGUGCUCACUGACAGAACUGUUUUCCUCCAUCUUACAGCUGUAGAACUUGUCGGAGACAUCAUAUCUCUCAACCCAGGCAUGAGCUUGAAAAACUAGUUUCAGCUCUUCGAACAUCUCAUAUGCUCCGUGGUGCUCAAAAUGCUUUUGGAGCCCCGGUUCUAAGCUAUAAAGCAUGCCGCACUGAACGAGGGAGUAAUCAUCAGCACGAGACUGCCAAGCAUUCAUAAUGUCUUGGUUCUCUGGGACGGGAGCGUCACCUAGCGGUCCUUCUAGGACAUAUUGUUUCCUGGCAGCUAUGAGGAUGAUCCUCAGAUUCCGGACCCAGUCCGUAUAGUUGCUGCCAUCAUCUUUCAGCUUGGUUUUCUCUAGGAACGCGUUGAAGUUCAUGUUGACAUUAGCGUUGGCCAUUGAUCUACAAGACAUAUUUGCAAAGGUUUUAGACUAAGUUCAUGAUAAUAAAGUUCUAAUCAAAUUAUGAACUCCCACUUAGAUUAGACAUCCCUCUAGUCAUCUAAGUGUUACACGAUCCGAGUCGACUAGCCCGUGUCCGAUCAUCACAUGAGACGGACUAGUCAUCGUCGGUGAACAUUCUCAUGUUGAUCGUAUCUUCCAUACGAUUCGUGUUCGACCUUUCGGUCUCCGUGUUCCGAGGCCAUGUCUGCACAUGCUAGGCUCGUCAAGUUAACCCUAAGUGUUUUCGCUGUGUAAAACUGUCUUACACCCGUUGUAUGUGAACGUAAGAAUCCAUCACACCCGAUCAUCACGUGGUGCUUAGAAGCGACGAACUGUAGCAACGGUGCACAGUUAGGGGAGAACACUUCUUGAAAUUUUGUAAGGGAUCAUCUUAUUUACUACCGUCGUCCUAAGUAAACAAGAUGCAUAAACAUAAUAAACAUCACAUGCAAUUAUAUAGUUGUGACAUGAUAUGGCCAAUAUCAUAUAGCUCCAUUGAUCUUCAUCUUCGGGGCUCCAUGAUCAUCUUGUCACCGGCUUGACACCAUGAUCUCCAUCAUCAUGAUCUCCAUCAUCGUGUCUUCAUGAAGUUGUCACGCCAACGACUACUUCUACUUCUAUGACUAACGUUUAGCAAUAAAGUAAAGUAGUUUACAUGGCGUUAUUCAAUGACACGCAGGUCAUACAAAAAAUAAAGACAACUCCUGUGGCUCCUGCCGGUUGUCAUACUCAUCGACAUGCAAGUCGUGAAUCCUAUUACAAAGAACAUGAUCUCAUACAUCACAAUUCAUCAUUCAUCACAACUUCGGGCCAUAUCACAUCACAUGAUCAAUCGCUGCAAAAACAAGUUAGACGUCCUCUAAUUGUUGUUGCAUCUUUUACGUGGCUGCAAUUGGGUUCUAGCAAGAACGUUUUCUUACCUACGAAUCACCACAACGUGAUUUUGUCAACUUCUAUUUACCCUUCAUAAGGGCCCUGUUCAUCGAUUCCGCUCCAACUAAAGUGGGAGAGACAGACACCCGCCAGCCACCUUAUGCAACUAGUGCAUGUCAGUCGGUGGAACCGGUCUCACGUAAGCGUACGUGUAAGGUUGGUCCGGGCCGCUUCAUCCCACAAUACCGUUGAGCAAGAAAAGACUAGUAGAGGCAAGUAAGAUGACAAAAUCCACGCCCACAACAAAAUUGUGUUCUACUCGUGCAAAGAGAACUACGCAUAGACCUAGCUCAUGAUGCCACUGUUGGGGAACGUUGCAGAAAAUUAAAAUUUUUCCUACGGUUUCACCAAGAUCCAUCUAUGAGUUCAUCUAAGCAACGAGUCAAGGGAGAGAGUUUGCAUCUACAUACCACUUGUAGAUCGCGUGCGGAAGCUAGCAAGGUGAUGAUGGAGUCGUACUCGAACGUGAUUCGAAUCACCGAUGACCAAGUGCUGAACGGACAACACCUCCGCGUUCAACACACGUACGGGACGGGAGACGUCUCCUCCUUCUUGAUACAGCAAGGGGGAAGGAGAGGUUGAGGAAGACAGCUCCACCAGCAGCACGACGACGUGGUGAUGGUGGAGAGGCAGUACUCCGACAGGGCUUCGCCAAGCACACAACGGAGGAGGAGAGGUGUUGGGGAGGGGAGGGCUGCGCCUUGGAGGGUGGUACAGCUGCCCUCCCCUCACCCCUCUAUUUAUAGGGGGAAGGGAGAAGGGGGCCGGCCCCCUAGAACCCAUCUAGGGGGGGGGCGCGGCGGCCUAGGGGAGAGGGGAGAGGGUGGCUUGCCCCCCAAGCCAAGGGGCGCCCCCUCUAGGGUUCCCCCCUCAACCCUAGGCGCAUGGGCCCAAGGGAGGGGGUGCGGCCAGCCCACCAGGGGCUGGCUCCCUGCCCCACGCAGCCCAUGUGGCCCCCCGGGAGGGGUGGCCCCUCCCGGUGGACCCCCGGAACCCUUCCGGUGGCCCCGGUACAAUACCGGUAUGACCCCGAAACUUCCCGGUGUCUGUUUGACAACUUCCCAUAUAUAAAUCUUUACCUCCGGACCCUUCCGGAUCUCCUCGUGACGUCCAGGAUCCCAUCCGGGACUCCGAACAACAUUCGGUAGUCACAUACUAGUCUUCCUAAUAACCCUAGCGUCACCGAACCUUAAGUGUGUAGACCCUACGGGUUCGGGAGACAUGCAGACAUGACCGAGACGCUCUCAGUCAAUAACCAACAGCGGGAUCUGGAUACCCAUGAUGGAUCCCACAUGCUCCUCGAUGUUGUCAUCGGAUGAACCACGAUGUCGAGGAUUCGAUCAAACCCUGUAUGCAAUUCCCUUUGUCAAUCGGUACGUUACUUGCCCGAGACUCGAUCGCCGGUAUCCCAAUACCUUGUUCAGUCUCGUUACCGGCAAGUCACUUUACUCGUACCGUAAUGCCUGAUCCCGUGUCCAACACCUUGGUCACAUUGAGCUCAUUAUGAUGAUGCAUUACCGAGUGGGCCCAGAGAUACCUCUCCGUCAUACGGAGUGACAAAUCCCAGUCUCAACCCAACAGCUACUUUCGGAGAUACCUGUAAUGCACCUUUAUAGUCACCCAGUUACGUUGUGACGUUUGAUACACCCAAGGCACUCUUACGGUAUCCGGGAGUUACACGAUCUCAUGGUCGGAGGAAGAGAUACUUGACACUGGCAAAGCUCUAGCAAAACGAACUACACGAUCUUUUAUGCUAUGCUUAGGAUUGGGUCUUGUCCAUCACAUCAUUCUCCUAAUGAUGUGAUCCCGUUAUCAACGACAUCCAAUGUCCAUAGUCAGGAAACCAUGACUAUCUGUUGAUCACAACGAGCUGGUCCACUAGAGGCUCACCAGGGACAUAUUGUGGUCUAAGUAUUCACACGUGUAUUACGAUUUCCGGAUAAUACAGUUAUAGCAUGAAUAAAAGACAUUUAUCAUGAACAUUGAAAUAUAAUAAUACUUUUAUUAUUGCCUCUAGGGCAUAUUUCCAACACGAACAUGAGUCAUAUAGUAGAUAUGAACAUAGAGAUGUUCACCAUUGAUGACUACCCCAUCUCACGUGAUGAUCGGACAUGGGUUAGUUGAUUUGGAUCAUGUAUCACUUAGAUAACCCGAGGGAUGUUAAUUUAAGUGGGAGUUCAUUAGUAAUUUGAUUAAUUGAACUUAAAUUUAUCAUGAACUUAGUCCUGCUAGUAUUUGCAAAUUAUCUUGUAGAUCAAUAGCUCGCGUUGUAGCUCCCCUAUUUUUUGAUAUGUUCCUAGAGAAAAAUAAGUCAAAAGAUGAUAGUAGCAAUAACGCAAACUGGUUCUAUGAUGUGAGGAUUAUCCUCAUUACUGCAUAGACGAAUUAUGUCCUUAAUGCACCGCUAGGUGACAGACCUAUUGCAGGAGCAGAUGCAGACGUUAUGAACAUUUGGCAAGCUUGAUAUGAUGACUACUUAAUAGUUUAGUGCACCAUGCUUUACGGCUUAGAACUAGGACUUAAAAAAUGUUUGGAACGCCAUGGAGCAUAUGACAUGUUCCAAGAGCUGAAAUUGGUAUUUCAGACUCAUGCUCGUGUCGGGAGGUAUGAGACCUCGGACAAGUACUUGCCUACAAGAUGGAGGAGAAUAGCUCAGUCAGUGAGCAUGUGCUCAGAAUGCCUGGGUACUACAAUCGCUUGAAUCAAGUGGGAGUUAAUCUUCCAGAUAAGAUAGUGUUUGAUAGAGUUCUCUAGUCACUAUCACCAAGCUACUAGAACUUCGUGAUGAAUUAUAAUAUGCAAGGGAUGACAAAAACGAUUCCCGAGCUUUUCGCGAUGCUGAAAUCGGCGAAGGUAGAAAUCAAGAAAGAACAUCAAGUGUUGAUGGUUAAACAAGACCACUAGUUUCAAGAAAAAGGGCAAGGGAAAGAAAGGGAACUUCAAGAAGAAUGUCAAGCAAGUUGCCACUCCCGUGAAGAAGCCCGAAACUGAACCCAAGCCUGAAACUGGGUGCUUCUACUGCAAAGGAAAUGGUCAUUGAAGUGGAACUGCCCCAAAUACUAGGCGGAUAAGAAGGAUGGUAAAGUGAACAAAGAUAUAUUUGAUAUACAUGUUAUUGAUGUGUACUUUACUAGUGUUCGUAGUAACCCCUGGGUAUUGGAUACCAGUUCAGUUGCUAAGAUUAGUAACUCGAAACAGGAGUUGCAGAAUAAACAAAGACCAGUUAAGGGUGAGGUGACGAUCUGUGGUGGAAGUGAUUCCAAGGUUGAUACGAUCACCAUCGCACACCCCCUCUACCUUCGGGAUUAGUGUUGAACCUAAAUAAAUGUUAUUUGGUGUUUGCAUUGUGCAUGAAUAUGAUUAGAUCAUGUUUAUUGCAAUACAAUUAUUCAUUUAAGUCAAAGAAUAAUUGUUGUUCUGUUUGAAUGAAUAAAACCUUCUAUGGUCAUACACCGAAUGUGAAUGGUUUAUUGAAUCUCGAUCAUAGUGAUACACAUAUUCAUAAUAUUGACGCCAAAAUAUGCAAUGUUAAUAAUGAUAGUGCAACAUACUCUUGGCACUGCCGUUUAGUUCAUAUUGGUGUAAAACGCAUGAAGAAACUCCAUACGGAUGGACUUUUGGAAUCACUUGAUUAUGAAUCAUUUGAUACUUGCAAACCAUGCUUCAUGAGCAAGAUGACUAAACUUCGUUCUUCAGAACAAUGGAGCGAGCUAAUGACUUAUUGGAAGUAAUACAUACCGAUGUAUGAGAUCCGAUGAGUGUUCAAGCACGCGACGGGUAUCAUUAUUUUCGACCUUCAUAGAUGAUUUGGGUAGGUAUGGGUAUAUCUACUUAAUGAAACACAAGUCUGAAACAUUUGAAAAGUUCAAAGAAUUUUAGAGUGAAGUAUCAUAGUAACAAGAAAAUAAAGUUUCUACAAUCUGAUCGCGGAAGCGAAUAAUUGAGUUACGAGUUUGGACUUCAUUCAAAACAAUGUGGAAUUGUUUCACAACUCAUGCCACCUGGAACACCACAGCGUAAUGGUGUGUCCAAACGUCGUAACCGUACUUUAUUGGAUAUGGUGCGUUAUAUGAUGUCUCUUACCGAUUUACCACCAUCGUUUUGGGGUUGUGCGUUAGAGACAGCCACAUUCACAUUAAAUAGGGCACCAUUUAAAUCCGUUGAGACGUCACUGUAUGAACUAUGGUUUGGCAAGAAACCUAAGAUGUCGUUUCUUAAAGUUUGGGUUGCGACGCUUAUGUCAAAAGGCUUCAGCCUGAUAAUCUCGAACCCAAAUUAGAGAAGUGCGUCUUCAUAGGAUACCCUAAGGAAAUAAUUGGGUAGACCUUCUACCACAGAUCUGAACGUAAGAUCCUUGUUGCUAAGAAUGGAUCCUUUCUAGAGAAGGAGUUUCUCUUGAAAGAAGUGAGUGGGAGGAAAGUAGAACUUGAUGAGGUAAUUGUACCUUCUCUCGAAUUGGAUAGUAGCACAUCAGAGAAAACUGUUCGCAUGAUCUACACCAACUAGAGAGGAAGCUAAUGAUGAUGAUCAUAAAACUUUAGACCAAGUUACUACUAAACUUCAUAGGUUGACCAGAGCAUGAUCUGCACUAGAGUGGUAUGGUAGUCCUGUCUUGGAAGUCAUGUUACUAGACCAAGACGAACCUACGAACUAUGAAGAAGCUAUGAUGAGCCUAGAUUCCAACAGAUGGCUUGAGGCCAUGAAAUCUAAGAUAGGAUCCAUGUAUGAGAACAAAGUAUGGACUUUGGUGGACUUGCCCGAUGAUCGGCAAGCCAUAGAGAAUAAAUGGAUCUUCAAGAAGAGGACGUAUGCUAAUGGUAAUGUCACCAUCUACAAAGCUCAACUUGUUGCGAAAGGUUUUCGACAAGUUGAAGGAGUUGACUACAAUGAUACCUUCUCACCUGUAGUGAUGCUUAAGUCAGUCCGAAUCAUGUUAGAAAUUAUCAUAUUUCAUAAUUAUGAAAUCUGGCAAAUGGACAUCAAAACUGAAUUCCUUAAUGGAUUUCUUAAAGAAGAGUUGUAUAUGAUGCAACCAGAAGGUUUUGUGGAUCCUAAAGGUGCUAACAAAGUGUGACAACUCCAACGAUCCAUCUAGGGACUGGUGCAAGCAUCUCGGAGUUGGAAUAUACGCUUUGAUGAGGUGAUCAAAGCAUAUGGUUUUAUACAGACUUAUGGUGAAGCCUGUAUUUACAAGAAAGUGAGUGGGAGCUCUGUAGCAUUUAUGAUAUUAUAUGUGGAUGACAUAUUGUUGAUCGGAAUUGAUAUAGAACUUCUAGAUAGCAUAAAAGGAUACUUGAAUAAGAAUUUUUCAAUGAAAGACAUCGGUGAAGCUACUUAUAUAUUGGGCAUCAAGAUCUAUAGAGAUAGAUCAAGACGCUUGAGAGGACUUUCACAAAGCACAUACCUUGAUAAAUUUCUGAAGAAGUUCAAAGUGGAUCAGUCAAAGAAAGGGUUCUUGCUUGUGUUACAAGGUGUGAAGUUGAGUAAGACUCAAAACCCGACCACGGCAGAAUAUACAUAUAGAGAAUGAAAGUCAUUCCCAAUGCCUUAGUCGUAGGUUCUAUAAAGUAUGCCAUGCUGUGUACCAGACCUGUUGUGUGCCUUGCCAUGAGUUUGGCAAGGGGGUACAAUAGUGAUCCAGGAGUAGAUCUCUGGACAGCGGACAAAAUUAUCCUUAGGUACCUAAAGAGGAGUAAGGAAAUGUUUCUCGGUUAUGGAGGUGAUAAAAAGUAGAUCUCUCGACAGCGGUCAAUUCUCUUAUACUAUACACUAUGCUUCUUAAUUUUUAAGGCCUCACAAUUAAUUGAGGUAUUCAAUUUAGAACUAGGUCAACCAAUUUUGACCGGGUCUACAAUUUCUCAAACUCUCCCAUUCAAUUCUUUUAAUACGCUUUUUCCUUAGUCUUGGGAGGUCAACGACAAGUUCUCUGUGUGGUCUGCAUAUGCCGCCAGGUUUUGGGGUAGAAAAGUAAUACCCAGGGCAGACCUGACUUGGAAGUCGCGGGCCCCCUCGCAAUGCCGAUUCUUUACUUGGUUGGCUCUAUGAAAUAUAUGUUGGACUUCGGAUCGUCUCGCUGGAGAGGGCUACCACACCAAGAAGCAUGCCCCCUCCGUGAUCAAAAAGAGGAAACUAUAAACCAUGUACUACUUACAUGUGUGUUUGCCAGGAUGAUGUGGACGGUGAUUUGUGAGGCUUUGGGCAGAUUGGAGUGGACACUAACCCCAAAGGAUUCACUCAAAGCAUGGUUAUGCAGCAAGCGGGGGCCCAACAAUAUGAGCGAGAAAGAUCUUCACACCCUUUUUGUGUUGGAAAUAUGCCCUAGAGGCAAUAAUAAAUUUGUUAUUAUAAUAUUUCCUUGUUCAUGAUAAUUGUUUAUCAUCCAUGCUAGAAUUGUAUUGAUCAGAAACUCAGAUACAUGUGUGGAUACAUAAACAACAAUGUGUCCCUUGUAAGCCUCUACCGGACUAGCUCGUUGAUCAUAGAUGGCUAUGGUUUCCUAGCCAUGGACAUGAGUUGUCAUUUGAUAACGGGAUCACAUCAUUAGGCGAAUGAUGUGAUGGACAAGACCCAAACUAUAAACGUAGCAUAUGAUUGUAUCAAGUUUAUUUCUAUUGUUUUCUGCAUGUCAAGUAUAUAUGUUCCUAUGACCACGAGAUCAUGCAACUCACUGACACCGGAGGAAUACCUUGUGUGUACCAAAUGUCGCAACGUAACUGGGUGACUAUAAAGGUGCUCUACAGGUACCUCCGAGGGUGUUUGUUUAGUUGGCAUGGAUCAAGGCUGGGAUUUGUCACUCCGUAUGAUGGAGAGGUAUCUCUGGGCCCACUCAGUAAUACAACAUCACAAGAAGCUUGCAAGGAAUGUAAUAAUGAGUUAGCCACGGGAUCUUGUAUUACAGAAUGAGUAAAGAUACUUGCCGGUAACGAGAUUGAACUGGGUAUGGAGAUACCCAUGAUCGAGUCUCGGGCAAGUAACAUACCGAUAGACAAAGGGAACUGCAUACGGGAUUAGAUGAAUCCUUGGCAUUGAGGUUCGACCAAUAAUAUCUUCAUAGAAUAUGUAGGAACCAUUAUGGGCAUCCAGGUCCCGCUAUUGGCUAUUGACCGUAUAGGUGUCUCGGUCAUGUCUUCAUAGUUCUCGAACCCGCAGGGUCUACACACUUAACGUUUGUUGACGAUAUAAGUAUAGUUGAGUCAUUAUGGUGGUUAUCGAAGGUUGUUCGGAGUCUCGGAUGAGAUCUUGGACGUGACGGGGAACUCCGGAAUGGUCCGAAGGUGAAGAUUAAUAUAUUGGACGAAGGGUAUUGGAGUCCACAAUUGUUCCGGGGGUAUCUGGUGAUGACCAGCAUGACCGAAAGGGGUUUUGGGGGGCCCCGACAAGUGUUGAGGGGCCUCAUGGGCCAAGGGGAGGGGUCAAACCAGCCCACUAAUGGGUUGUGCGCCCCCUUCACCCCUUCCCACAUUGCUAGAGGAGGUGGGGGCGCCACCCUAGGGUUCCCACCCAUUUGGCUUGGGGGCCAAGUCUCCUAAGGGGGAAACCCAUCUAGGGUUUCCCUCUAGUGGCCGCCGACCCUAGAUGGGAUCUCCUAGGGGAUCCCACCUCUCCCCCCUUCCCCCUAUAUAUAUAGAGAGAGAGAGGUAGAGAGAGGGUUGCCAUACGCAUAUAUGCCACGACACUACCCUCGCUCUCCCUUGUAGCCAUCUUCCUCUGUGUAGUGCUUAGCGAAGCCCUGCUGAGAUUCCACCACCACCACCGCCACCACGCCAUCGUGCUGCCGGAGGACUCGAGCUACUACUUCACCAUCACUCAUUGGAUCAAGGAGAUGAAGGCAUCAUCAAGCCAUACAUGUGUUGAACGCGGAGGUGUCCUCCAUUCGGCACUUGGAUCGGAGUUCGCGGGAAGGAUCGUGAUUGGAUCGUGAAGAACAUCAACCGCGUUUCUUAACGUUUCCGCAUAGCGAUCUACAAGGGUAUGUAGAUGCAAUCUCUCCUCUCGAAGAUGGUCAUAUCCUAGAUUCAUCUUGGUGAGCGUAGGAAAUUUUUUGUUUCCCAUGCAACAUUCCCCAACAGUGGCAUCAUGAGCUAGGUCCAUGCAUAGAUGACAUCACAAGUAGAACACAAAGGAGUUUGUGGGCAUUGAUAUUCAAAUUGGUUCCUUCCUUGGUAUUUUCUUGACUCGACAGUAUUGUGGGAUGAAGCGGUCUGGACCAACCUUACAUGUCCACGUACAUGAGACAGGUUCCAUCGACAGACAUGUGACUUUGUUGCAUAAAGAUGGCUGGCGGGUGUCUGUCUCUCCCACCUUAGUUGAAUCGGAUUCGACAAAGGCAGUCCUUGUAGAAGGUUAAAUGGCAACUUUCAUAUCACCAUUGUGGCUUUGCGUAGGUAAGAAUCUUUCUUGCUAGAUACCCAUAGCAGCCUCGUAAAACAUGCAACAACAAUUAGAGGAUGUCUAACUUGUUUUUGCAGUGUAUGUUGUGAUAUGAUAUGUCCAAAGACAUGAUGAGAUAUAUUUGAUGUAUGAGAUGAUCAUGUUUGUAAUAGUUUAUAUCAACUUGCAUGUCCAUGCAUUCGACAACCGACGGGAGCCAUAGGGUUGUCUUUAAUUAUUGUAUGACCUAUGUGUCAAUUAUUAAGCGCUAUGUAAUGCUUUACUUUAUCGCUAAGCAGUAGCAAUAGUAGUAUAAGCAUGGUUGGCGUGACAACCUCGACGGUGACAUGAUGAUGGAGAUCAUGGUGUCAUGCCGGUGACAAUGGAGAUCAUGCCGGUGCUUUGGAGAUGGAGAUCAAAAGCACAAGUUGAUGGCCAUAUCAUGUCACUUAUGAUUUGCUUGUGAUGUUAAUCCUUUUAUGCAUCUUAUUUUGCUUAGGAUGACGGUAGCAUUAUAAGGUGAUCCCUCACUAAAAUUUCAAGAUAAAAUUGUGUUCUCCCCAAGUGUGCACUGUUGCGGAAGUACGUCGUUUCGAAGCACCACGUGAUGAUCGGGUGUGAUAGACUCUACAUUCAUAUACAAUGGGUGCAACCGUGCAAGCCAGUUUUGCACAUGUGGAACACUUGGGUUAAACUUGAUGAGCCUAGCAUGUAUAUAUAUGGCCUCAUAACACAAGAGACCGAAAGGCCGAACAUGAGUCAUAUAUUAGAUAUGAUCAACAUGGAGAUGUUGACCAUUGAAACCACCUCAUCUCACGUGAUGAUCGGACUUUGGUUGGUGAAUUUGGAUCAUGUUACACUCGAAUGACCGGAGGGAUGUCGAUUUGAGUGGGAGUUCUUAAGUAAUAUGAUUAGUUGAACUCAUUAUCAUGAACAUAGUCUAAAUUGUCUUUGCAAAUUAUGUUGUAGAUCAAUAGCUCGCGCUAUAGCUCCCUGUUUUAAUACGUUCCUAGAGAAAGACUAAGUUGAAAGAUAUUGUAAGAAAUUAUGCGUACUAGGGCCAUAGUCUGAGGAUUGUCCUCACUGCUGGACAGAAGCCUUAUGUCCUUGACGCACUGCUCGGUGUGCCAACCCCUCUAGCGUCAUCUAUGGAUGUUGUGAACAUCUGGCAGACAUGUUUAGAUGACUACUUGAUAGUUCAGUGCGCCAUGCUUUAUAGCUUAUAAUCGGGGCUUGAAAGACGUUUUUGAACGCCAUGGAUCAUAUGUGAUGUUCCAAGAGUUGAAAUUGGUAUUUCAGGCUCAUGCCUGUGUUGGAAGGGUAUCAGAAUCGCGAUUCUGUUAUACGAUUCUACGACUUUACGAUCCAAACUAACCCCUCUGAUUCUACGAUUUUACUUCAUAGAAUCUACGUUUCUACGAUCCUGAUAGUGAAGAUUCUACGAUUUGCGAUCCUACCAUCGGAGCUCCGAUCCGAUUCAAAAUCACGAUUUUGACAACCUUAUGAGACCUCUGACAAGUUCUUUGCCUACAAGAUGGAGGAUAAUAACUCAGCUAGUGAGCAUGUGCUCGAAAUGUCUGGGUACUACAAUCGCUUGAAUCAAGUGGGAGUUAAUCUUCUAGAUAAGAUAGUGAUUGACAGAGUUCUCCAGACACUAUCACCAAGCUACUGGAACUACGUGAUGAACUAUAACAUGCAAGGGAUGGAGAUGAUCCCAGAGCUGUUCGCGGUAGGCCACGAAGGUAGAAAUCAAGAAGGAUCAUCAAGUGUUGAUGGUUUACAAGACCACUAGUUUCAAUAAGGGCAAGGGCAUGAAGAGAAACUUCAUGAAUGGCAAGCCAGUUGCUGAUCUAGUGAAGUAACCCAAGGUUGAACCCAAACCUGAGACUAAGCGCUUCUAUUGUAAGGGGAACGGUCACUGGUAGCGGAGCUAGCCCAAAUACUUGGUAGAUAAGAAAGCUGGCAACCUUAACAAAAGUAUAUUUAAUAUACAUGUUAUUGAUGUGUACCUUACUAGUACUCCUAGUAGCACCUGGGUAUUAGAUACCGGUUCAGUUGCUAAUUUUGGUAACUCAAAAUAAAAGCUGCGGAAUAAAUAGAGACUAGCUAAGGGCGAGGUGAUGAUGUGUGUUGGAAGUGUUUCCAAGGUUGAUGUGAUCACCAUCGCACGCUCCCUCUACCUUCGAGAUUAGUGUUGAGCCUAGAUAAAUGUUAUUUGGUGUCUGCGUUGAGGCAUGAACACAAUUAUAUUGUGUUUAUUACAAUAUGGUUAUUCAUUUAAGUCAGAGAAUAAUGGUUAUUCUAUUUACAUGAAUAAUACCUUCUAUGGUCAUACACCCAAGGUGAAUGGUUUGUUUAAUCUCGAUCGUAGCGAUACACAUGUUCAUAAUAUUAAUGCCAAAAGAUGCAAAGUUAAUAAUGAUAGUACCACAUACUUGUGGCACUGCCGCUUAGGUCAUAUUGGUGUAAAGCGCAUGAAGAAACUCCACGCUGAUGGACUUUUGGAGUCACUUGAUUUUGAAUCACUUGACACAUGCGAACCAUGCCUUAUGGGCAAGAUGACUAAAACCCCUUGUCUGGUACAUUGGAACGGGCAAGUGACUUGUUAGAAAUCAUACAUGCUGAUGUGUGUGGUUCGAUGAGUGUUGACGCAUGUGGUGGAUAUCGUUAUUUCCUCACCUUCACUGAUGAUUUGAGUAGAUAUGGGUAUGUUUACUUAAUGAAGCAUAAGUCUGAAACAUUUGAAAAGUUCAAGAAAUUUCAGAGUGAAGUUGAGAAUCAUUGUAAAAAGAAGAUUAAAUUCCUAUGAUCCAAUAUAAGGGGAGAAUAUCUGAGUUAUGAGUUUGGCAAUCACUUAAGACAAUGUGGAAUUGUUUCACAGUUGACGCCACCUGGAACACCAUAGUGUAAUGGUGUGUCCGAACGACGUGAUCAUACCUUAUCGGAUAUGGUGCGUUCUAUGAUGUCUCUUGCCGAUCUACCACUAUUGUUUUGGGGUUAUGCAUUAGCGACAACCACAUUUACUUUAAAUAGGGAAGCAUCUAAGUCUGUGGAGAUGACAUCGUAUGAAUUGUGCUUUAGCAAGAAACCUAAGUUGUCAUUUCUUAAGGUUUGGGGCUGCGACACUUAUGUGAAAAGGCUUGAGCCUGAUAAGCUUGAACCCAAAGCGGACAAAUGCAUUUUCAUAGGAUACCCAAAGGAGAAUAUUGAGUAUACCUUCUAUCUCGGAUAUGAGGGCAAAUUGUUUGUCGCUAAGAACGGGUCAUUUCUUGAGAAAGUGUUUUUCUUGAAAGAAUUGAGUGGGAGGAAGAUAGAACUUGAUGAGGUUGUUGAACCAUUACUUCAACCAGAGAGUAUCGCAGCAAAGAAAGAUGUCUCUGUGGCACCUACAUCAGUUAAAGAGGAAGCUAGUGAUGAUGAUCAUGAAGCUUCAGAUCAAGUUACUAUCGAACCGUGUAGGUCGACAAGGGUACGUACAACUUUUGAGUGGCACGGUAACCCUGUCUUAGAGGUCAUGUUGUUGGACAACGGUGAACCUACGACCUAUGGAGAAGCGAUGGUGGGCCCGGCUCCCAACAAAUGGCUAGGAGCCUUGAAAUCCGAGAUUGGAUCCAUGUAUGAGAACAAUGUAUGGACUUUGAUGGACUCGUGCGAUGAUUAGCAAGCCAUUGAGAAUAAAUGGAUCUUUGAGAAGAAGACAUAUGUUGAUGGUAAUGUCACCAUUUAUGAAGCUCGACUUGUCACAAAGAAGUUUCUAACAAGUUCAAGGAGUUCACUAUGAUGAGACUUUCUCACUCAUAGCGAUGCUAAAGUCUGUUGGAGUUAUGUUAGUAGUUGCUGCAUUUUCAUUUACGAAAUCUAGCAGAUGGAUGUCAAAACAAAGUUUCCUUGACGGUUUUCGUGAGGAAAGGUUGUAUGUAUACAACCAGAAGGUUUUGUUAAUCCUAAGGAUGCUAAAAGGUAUGCAAGCUCCAUCGAUCCUUCUAUGGACUGGAGAAAGCAUCUCGGAGUUGGAACAUACGCUUUGAUGAGGUGAUCAAAGCUUUUGGUUAUAUUCAAAGUUUGCAAGAAACUUGUAUUCACAAGAAAGUGAGUGGGAGCACUACAACAUUUCAGAUAAGUAUAUGUGGCUGACAUAUUGUUGAUCAGAAAUGAUGUAGAAUUUCUGGAAAGCAUAAAGGGUUAUUUGAAAUGAGUUUUUCAAAGGAAGACCUGGGUAAGUCUGCUUACAUAUUGGGCAACAAGAUCUAUAGAGAUAGAUCAAGACGCGUGAUAAGACUUUCAUAGAGCACAUACCUUGACAUGAUUUUGAAGGAGUUCAAAAUGGAUUAGUGAAAGAAGGAGUUCUUGCCUGAGUUGUAAGGUGUGAAGUUGAGUAAGACUCAAAGCUCGACUACGGCAGAAGAAAGAGAAAGGACGAAGGGUCGUCCCCUAUGCCUUAGCCAUAGUCUCUAUACGGUAUGCCAUGCUAUGUACCCCACCUGAGGUGUGCCUUGCCAUGUGUCUGGCAAGGUGGUAGAAGAGUGAUCAAGGAGUGGAUCACCGGAUAAUGGUCAAAAUUAUCCUAGGAGGAAUAAGGAAAUGUUUCUUGGUUAUGGAGGUGAUAAAGAGUUUGGCGUAAAGGGUUACGUCGAUGCAAGCUUUAACACCUAUCUGGAUGACUCUGAGUAGCAAACCAGAUACAUAUAGUGGAGCAGCCAUUCGGAAUAGCUCCAAGUGGAGCUUGGUAGCAGCAUCUACAAUAUGACAUAGAGAUUUGCGAAGUACACACAGAUCUGAAUGUUGCAGACCCGUUGACUAAAACCUCUCUCACAAGCAUAACAUGAUCAAACCCUAUAACUCAUUGAGUGUUAAUCACAUGGUGACGUGAACUAGAUUAUUGACUCUAGUAAACUCUUUGUGUGUUCGUCACAUGGCGAUGUGAACUAUGAGUGUUAAUCACAAGGCGAUGUGAACUAGAUUAUUGACUCUAGUGCAAGUGGGAGACUAUUGGAAAUAUGCCCUAGAGGUAAUAAUAAAUUGGUUAUUAUCAUAUUUCCUUGUUCAUGAUAAUCGUUUAUUAUCCAUGCUAGAAUUGUAUUGAUCGGAAACUCAGAUACAUGUGUGGAUACAUAGACAACAACGUGUCCCUAGUAAGCCUCUACCGGACUAGCUCGUUGUUCAAAGAUGGCUAUGGUUUCCUAGCCAUGUGCUACCUCUUGAGCACUGCAUUCGUUUUCCCUUGAAGAGGAAAGGGUGAUGCAGCAAAGUAGUGUAAGUAUUUCCCUCAGUUUUUGAGAGCCAAGGUAUCAAUCCAGUAGGAGGCUACACGCAAGUCCCUCGUACCUACAAAAAUAAACAAGAACCUCGCAACCAACGCGAUAAAGGGGUUGUCAAUCCCUUCACGACCACUUGCGAAAGUGAGAUCUGAUAGAGAUAAUAAGAUAAGAUAAAUAUUUUUGGUAUUUUUAUGAUAUAGAUUGAAAAGUAAAGAUUGCAAAAUAAAUUAGAUCGGAAACUUAUAUGAUAGAAAAUAGACCCAGUGGCCAUAGGUUUCACUAGUGGCUUCUCUCAAGAUAGCAUAAGUAUUACGGUGGGUAAACAAAUUACUGUUGAGCAAUUGAUAGAAAAGUGCAUAUUUAUGAGAAUAUCUAGGCAUGAUCAUGUAUAUAGGCAUCACGUCCGCGACAAGUAGAUCGAAAUGAUUCUGCAUCUACUACUAUUACUCCACACAUCGACCGCUAUCCAUCAUGCAUCUAGAGUAUUAAGUUCAUAAGAACAAAGUAACGCAUUAGGCAAGAUGACAUGAUGUAGAGGGAUAAACUUAAGCAAUAUGAUAUAAAACCCAUCUUUUUAUCCUCGAUGGCAACAAUACAAUACGUUCCUUGCUGCCCCUGCUAUCACUGGGAAAGGACACCACAAGAUUGAAUCCAAAGCUCAGCACUUCUCCCAUUGCAAGAAAGAUCAAUCUAGUAGGCCAAACCAAACUGAUAAUUCGAAGAGACUUGCAAAGAUAACCAAUCAUAUAUAAAAGAAUUGAGAGGAGAUUCAAAUAUUUCUCAUAGAUAAACUUGAUCAUAAACCCACAAUUCAUCGGAUCUCGACAAACACACCGCGAAAAGAGUUACAUCGAAUAGAUAUCCAAGAAGAUCGAGGAGAACAUUGUAUUGAGAUUCAAAGAGAGAGAAAAAGCUAUCUAGCUAAUAACUAUGGACCUGAAGGUCUGUGGUAAGCUACUCACAACUCAUCGGAGAGUCUUUGGCGUUGAUGUAGAAGCCCUACAUGAUUGAUUUCCCCUAUGGUGGAGUGCCGGAAGAGGCUCCAAGAUGGGAUCUCACGGGGACAGAAUGUUGCGGUGGUGGAAAUAGGGUUUUAUGGUGCUCCCUGAUGUUUUUUGGGUAUGCAAGUAUAUAUAGGUGAAGGAAGUCGGUCAAGGGAGCCACGAGGGGCCCACGAGGGUGGGGGCACGCCCACCCCCCUAGGGCGCGCCCUGGACCCUCGUGGCUGCCUCAUUUACUUCUUGACGUCCACUCCAAGUCUCCUGGAUUGCGUUUGUUCCAAAAAGAUCUCUCCCGAAGGUUUCAUUCCAUUUGGACUCCGUUUGAUAUUCCUUUUCUUCGAAACACUGAAAUAGGCAAAAAAACAACAACAAUUUGAGUUGGUCCUCCGGUUAAUAAGUUAGUCCCAAAAAUGAUAUAGAAGUGUAUAGUAAAGCCCAUAAACAUCCAAAACGGGUAAUAUAAUAGCAUGGAACAAUCAAAAAUUAUAGAUACGUUGGAGAUGUAUCAAGCAUCCCCAAGCUUAAUUCCUGCUCGUCCUCGAGUAGGUAAAUGAUAAAAACAGAAAUUUUGAUGUGGAAUGCUACCUAGCAUAUUUCUUAAUGUAAUUUUCUUUAUUGUGGCAUGAAUGUUCAGGUCCAAAUGAUUCAAGAUAAAAGUUCAUAUUAACAUAAAAAUAGUAAUAGUUCAAGCAUACUAACAAGUAAUCAUGUCUUAUCAAAAUAACAUAGCCGAAGAAAGCUUCUCCCUAAAAAAUCAUAUAGUUAGGCUAUGCUUCAUUUUCGUCACACAAAAUACUCCUAUCAUGCACAACCCCGGUUUCAGCCAAGCAAUUGGUUCAUAAUUUUUAAUGCGCUUCAGCUUUUUUAACUCUCACGCAAUACAUGAGCGUAAGCCAUGGAUAUAGGACUAUGGGUGGAAUAGAACAAGAUGAUGGAGGUUGUGUGGAGAAGACAAAAAAGGAGAAAAUCUCACAUUGACGAGGCUAAUCAACGGGCUAUGGAGAUGCCCAUCAAUUGAUGUCAACAUGAGGAGUAGGGAUUGCCAUGCAACGGAUGCACUAGAGCUAUAAAUGUAUGAAAGCUCAACAAAAGAAACUAAGUGGGUGUGCAUCCAACUCACUUUCUCAUGAAGACCUAGGGCAUUUUGAGGAAGCCUAUCAUUGGAAUAUGACUCUAAUAAUGAAGAUCAUCACACUUUUAUUUAUUUACAACUCAAGAAUUACAACUCAAUACUUAGAACAAAAUAUGACUCUAUGUGAAUGCCUCCGAUGGUGUACUGGGAUAUGCAAUGAAUCAAGUGACAUGUAUGAGAGAAUUAUGAAGGUGGCCUUGCCACAAAUACGAUGUCAACUACAUGAUGAAACAUGUCAUAAUUACGGAACGGUGGAAGGUUGCAUGGCAAUAUAUCACGGAAUGGCUAUGGAAAUGCCAUAAUAGGUAGAUAUGGUGGCUGUUUUUAGGAAGAUAUAAGGAGGUUUAUGUGUUAUAGAGCGUAUCGUAUCACGGGGUUUGGAUGCACCGGCAAAGUUUUCACCAACUCUCAAGGUGAGAAAGGGUAAUGCACGGUACUGUAGAGGCUAGCAAUGAUGGAAGGGUAAGAGUGCGUAUAAUCCAUGGACUCACAUUAGUCAUAAAGAACUCAUAUAAUUAUUGCAAAAGUUAUUUAGCCCUUGAAGCAAAGUACUACUACGCAUGCUCCUAGGGGAAGGGUUGGUAGGAGUUAACCAUCGCGCGAUCCCGACCUCCACUCACAAGGAAGGCAAUCAAAGAGCACCCCGUGCUACAAAUUUGUUACACAACUUUAACCAUACGUGCAUGCUACGGGACUUGCCAACUUUAAAACAAGUAUUUAUCAAUUUCAUAAUUACCCAACUAGCAUGAUUCUAACAUUACCAACUUUAUAUCUCAAAACAAUUAUCAAGCAUCAAAUUGAUCAUAGCAUCCAAUGCACUUUAUAUGAUAGUUUUUAUUAUACCCAACUUGGAUGCCCAUCAUACUAGGACCAAUUUUAUAACCAUAGUAAAUACCAUGCGGUUCUAAAAGACUCUCAAAAUAAUAUAAGUGAAGCAUGAGAGAUCAACAAUUUCUACAAAAUAAAACCAUCGCCGUGCUCUAAAAAGAUAUAAGUGAAGCACUAGAGCAAAAUUGUCUAGCUCAAAAGAUAUAAUUGAAGCACAUAGAGUAUUAUAAUAAAUUUAGAUUCAUGUGUGUCUCUCCCAAAAGGUGUGUACAGAAAGGAUGACUAAAAUCAAAUACUCAUAUCAUACAAGACGCUCCAAGGAAAACACAUAUCACGUGGUGAAUAAAAAUAUAGCUCCAAGUAAAGUUACUGAUAGACGAAGAUGAAAGAGGGGAUGCCUUCCGGGGCAUCCCCAAGCUUAGGCUUUUGAUUGUCCUUGAAUUACCUUGGGGUGCCUUGGGCAUCCCCAAGCUUAGGCUCUUGCCACUCCUUAUUCCAUAGUCCAACAAAUCUUUACCAAAAACUUGAAAACUUCAGAACACAAAACUCAACAGAAAAUCUCAUAAGCUCCGUUAGUGCAAGAAAGCAAACCACCACUUUAAGGUACUGUAAUGAACUCAUUAUUUAUUUAUAUUGGUGUUAAACCUACUGUAUUCCAACUUCACUAUGGUUCAUACCCCCCGAUACUAGCCAUAGAUUCAUCAAAAUAAGCAAACAUCACACGAAAAACAGAAUAUGUCAAAAACAGAACAGUCUGUUGUAAUCUGUAACUUUAGAAUACUUCUGGAACUCUAAAAAUCCUACCAAAAUAGGAAGUCCUAGGAAAUUUUUCUAUUGAUUUACUACAAAAAGAAUCAACUAAAAAUAACGUUUAUGUGAUUUAUUAACAUUAUUCUCGUGCAUGCAAAAGUUUCUGUUUUUCAGCAAGAUCAAAUUAACUAACACCGUAGGUUGUCCUAUAGGUUCUACUUGGCACAAACACUAACUAAAACAUAAAACCACAUCUAAAAUAAGCUAGAUGAAUUAUUUAUUACUAAACAGGAGCAAAAAUCAAGGAACAAAAAUAAAAUUGGGCUGCCUCCCAACAUGCGCUAUCGUUUAACGCCCCUACCUAGGCAUAAAAGCGAGAAUAGAUCUAAGUAUUGCCAUCUUUGGUAUUCAAUUCAUAAGUGGCUCGCAUAAUAGAUUCAUAAGGUAAUUUGACUUUCUUUCUAGGAAAGUUUUCCAUGACUUUUCUUAAUGGAAAUUGGAAUCUAAUAUUUCCUUCCUUCAUAUCAAUAAUUGCACCAAUCGUUCUAAGGAAAGGUCUACCAACAAUAAUAGGACAUGAAAGAUUGCAAUCUAUAUCAAGAACGAUAAAAUCUACGAGCACAUAAUUCCUAUUUGCAACAAUAAGAAGAUCAUUAGUCCUUCCCAUAGGUUUCUUAAUAGUGAAUCCGCAAGGUGCAAGUUUAAAGAGCAAUCAUCAAAAUCACAGAAACCUAACACAUCACAGAAAGUUUUUGGAAUUGUGGAAACACUAGCACCCAAAUCACACAAAGCAUAGCAUUCAUGAUCUUUAAUUUUAAUUUUAUUAGUAGGUUCACACUCAUCAUAAAGUUUUCUAGGCAUAGAAACUUCCAGUUCAAGUUUUUUCUUCAUAAGAUUGCAUCAAAGCAUCAACAAUAUGUUUGGUAAAAGCUUUAUUUUGACUAUAAGCAUGAUGAGAAUUUAACACGGAUUGCAACAAGAAAAUACAAUCUAUUAAAGAGAACUUAUCAUAAUUAAAUUCCUUGAAAUCCAAAAUAGUGGGUUCAUUGCUAUGUAAAGUUUUGACCUCUCCAAUCCCACUUUUACCAAAUUGAGCAUCAAGAUCUAAAAACUCUGAAUCAUUGGGACGCCUUUUAACUAAAGUUGACACAUCUCCAGUCCCAUUAUUAUCAAGAUUCAUAUUGCAAAACAAAUAUUUAAUAGGGUACACCUCAAUCACUUUUAGAUCUUCAUCAUUAUUAUCAUAAAAACUAGAAGAACAUGCUUUUACAAAGCAAUCUUUCUUAGCACACAUUCUAGUGGUUCUUUAUUUGCACUCAUCAAUGGAAAUUCUCAUGGCUUUGAGGGACUCAUUGAUAUCAUGCUUAGGUGGAAUAGAUCUAAGUUUCAAAGAAUCAACAUCAAGAGAAAUUCUAUCCACGUUCCUAGCCAGCUCAUCAAUCUUAGGCAAUCUUUCUUCAAGCAAAGCAUUGAAAUUAUUUUGAGAGAUCAUAAAUUCUUUAACACUAAUCUCAAAAUCAGAGGGCAUCUUAUUAAAAUUUCCAUAAGAGUUGUUGUAGGAAUUACCAUAAUUAUUAGAGGAAUUACUAGGAAACGGCCUAGGAUUAAAGUUUCCUCUAUACGCAUUGUUACCAAAAUUAUUCCUACCAACAAAAUUCACAUCCAUAGAUUCAUUAUUAUUAUCAAUCAAAGUAGACAAAGGCAUAUCAUUAGAUCAAAAGGAGCACUCCUAUUAGCAAACAAUUUCAUAAGUUCAUCCAUCUUUCCACUCAAAACAUUAAUCUCUUCUAUCACAUGAACUUCUUUAAUAGUAGAUCUUUUGGUGUGCCAUUGAGAAUAAUUAACCAUGAUAUUAUCUAGGAGUUUAGUAGCUUCUCCUAAAGUGAUUUCCAUAAAAGUGCCUCCCGCGGCCGAAUCUAAAAGAUUUAUAUAAGCAAAAUUCAAUACGGCAUAAAAGUUUUGUAUGAUCAUCCAUAAAUUUAAUCCAUGUGUAGGGCAACUGCGAAUCAUUAAUUUCAUCCUCUCCCAAGAUUGUGCAACAUGCUCAUGAUCAAGUUGCUUAAAUUUCAUAAUAUCGCUUCUAAGAGAGAUGAUCUUAGCGGGAGGAAAAUACUUAGAGAUAAUCUUUGCACUUAUUCCAUGAAUUAAUACUAUUUUUAGGCAAAGACGAAAACCAAGUUUUAGCACGAUCUCUAAGCGAAAACAGAAAUAACUUCAAUUUAACAAUAUCAUUAUCCAUGUCUUUCUUCUUUUGCAUAUCACACAAAUCAACAAAGUUGUUUAAAUGAGUAGCAGCAUAUUCACUAGGAAGGUUGGAGAAUUGAUCUUUCAUGACAAGAUUCAACAAAGCAUAAUUGAUUUCGCAAGAUUCAACAUCGUUAAGAGGAGCAAUCAGAGUGCUAAGGAAAUCAUUAUUGUUGGUAUUGGAAAAGUCGCACAAUUUAGUAUUAUCUUGAGCCAUCGUGACAAGCAAUCCAACACACAAGCACACAACAGGCAAGUGAAAAAGAGGCGAACGGGAAAGAGAGGGCGAAUAAAAUGGCAAGGGUGAAGUAGGGGAGAGGAAAACGAGAGGCAAAUGGAAAAUAAUGUAAUGCGAGGGAGAAGAGUUUGUGAUGGGUACUUGGUAUGUCUUGACUUGAGCGAAGACCUCCCCGGCAAUGGCGCCAGAAAUCCUUCUUGCUACCUCUUGAGCAUUGCGUUGGUUUUCCCUUGAAGAGGAAAGGGUGAUGCAACUAAGUAGCAUAAGUAUUUCCCUCAGUUUUUGAGAACCAAGGUAUCAGUCCAGUAGAAGGCUACACGCAAGUCCCUUGUACCUACACAAAAAAAAACAAGAACCUCGCAACCAACGCGAUAAAGGGGUUGUCAAUCCCUUCACGGCCACUUGCGAAAGUGAGAUCUGAUAGAGAUAAUAAGAUAAGAUAAUUUUUUUUGGUAUUUUUAUGAUAUAGAUUGAAAAGUAAAGAUUGCGAAAUAAAGUAGAUCGGAAACUUAUAUGAUAGAAAAUAGACCCGGGGGCCAUAGGUUUCACUAGUGGCCUCUCUCAAAAUAGCAUAAUUAUUAUGGUGGGUAAACAAAUUACAGUCGAGCAAUUGAUAGAAAAGUGCAUAGUUAUGAGAAUAUCUAGGCAUGAUCAUGUAUAUAGGCAUCACGUCCGCGACAAGUAGAUUGAAAUGAUUCUGCAUCUACUACUAUUACUCCACACAUCGACCGCUAUCCAGCAUGCAUCUAGAGUAUUAAGUUCAUAAGAACAGAGUAACACAUUAGGCAAGAUGACAUGAUGUAGAGGAAUAAACUCAAGCAAUAUGAUAUAGACCCCAUCUUUUAUCCUCGAUGGCAACAAAACAAUACGUGCCUUGCUGCCCCUGCUGUCACUAGGAAAGGACACCCCAAGAUUGAACCCAAAUCUAAGCACUUCUCCCAUUGCAAGAAAGAUCAAUCUAGUAGGCCAAACCAAACUGAUAAUUCGAAGCUACUUGCAAAGAUAACCAAUCAUACAUAAAAGAAUUCAGAGGAGAUUCAAAUAUUUCUCAUAGAUAAACUUGAUCAUAAACCCACAAUUCAUCGGAUCUCUACAAACACACCGCAAAAUGAGUUACAUCGAAUAGAUAUCCAAGAAGAUCGAGGAGAACAUUGUAUUGAGAUUCAAAGAGAGAGAAGAAGCCAUCUAGAUAAUAACUAUGGACCCGAAGGUCUGUGGUAAACUACUCACAAUUCAUCGGAGAGGCUUUGGCAUUGAUAUAGUAGCCCUCCAUCGGUCAGGGGAGCCACGAGGGGCCCAUGAGGGUGGGGGGCGCGCCCACCCACCUAGGGAGCGCCCUGGACCCUCGUGGCCGAUUCGUUUACUUCUUGACGUCCACUCUAAGGCUCUUACAUUGCGUUUGUUCCAAAAAGAUCUCUCCCAAAGGUUUCAUUCCGUUUGGACUCCGUUUGAUAUUCCUUUUCUUCGAAACACUGAAAUAGUCAAAAAACAACAAUUUCGGUUGGGCCUCCGGUUAAUAGGUUAGUCCCAAAAAUGAUAUAAAAGUGUAUAGUAAAGCCCAUAAACAUCCCAAACGGGUAAUAUAAUAGCAUGGAAUAAUCAAAAACUAUAGAUACGUUGGAGACGUAUCACCAUGGACGUGAGUUGUCAUUUGAUAACGGGAUCACAUCAUUAGGAGUAUGAUGUGAUGAACAAGACCCAAACUAUAAACAUAGCAUAUGAUUGUAUGAAGUUUAUUGCUAUCGUUUUCUGCAUCUCAAGUAUAUAUGUUCCUAUGACCAUGAGAUCAUGCAACUCACUGACACCAGAGGAAUACCUUGUGUGUACCAAACGUCGCAACAUAACUGGGUGACUAUAAAGGUGCUCUACAGGUAUCUCCGAGGGUGUCUAGUGAGUUGGCAUGGAUCAAGACUGGGAUUUGUCACUCCAUAUGACGGAGAGGUAUCUCUAGGCCCUCUUGGUAAUACAACAUCACAAGAAGCUUGCAAGCAACGUGACUAAUGAUUCCUCCUACUUGGGCGCCUCCUAUGGCUGCUCCUCUCUCCCUCCCACCUAUAUAUAUUUGUGAAAGGGGGCGCCUAGCACACACCAGACAAUUUCCUAGCCGUGUGCGGCGCCCCCUCCACUGUUUACUACCUCGGUCAUAUUUACGUAGUGCUUAGUCGAAGCCCUGCGGAGAUCACUUCACCAUCACAGUCACCACGCCGUCGUGCUACCGGAACUCAUCUACUACCUCGAUGUUUUGCUGGAUCAAGAAGGCGAGGGACGUCAUCGAGCUGAACGUGUGCCAAACUCGGAGGUGCCGUACGUCUGGUACUCGACCGGUGGAUCGCAAAGAAAGUUUGACUACAUCAAUCGCGUUGUGAAACGCUUUCGCUUACGGUCUACGAGGGUACAUAGACACACUUUCCCCUCUCGUUGCUAUGCAUCUCCAUGGAUAGAUCAUUGCGUGCGCGUAGAUUUUUUUGUUUUCCUAUGCAAUGAUUCCCAACAGUGGUAUCAGAGCCAUGUCUAUGCAUAGAUGAUAUGCAUGAGUAGAACACAAAGAAGUUGUAGGCGGUGAUGUUCACACUGCUUACCACCAAUAUCUUAUUUUGAUUUGGCAGCAUUGCGGGAUGAAGCGGCCUAGACCAACCUUACAUGUCCACACACAUGAGACCGGUUCCACCGACUGACAUGCAACUAGUUUUGCAUAAAGGUGGCCGGCGGGUGUCUGUUUCUCCUACUUUAGUUGAUCGAAUUUGACUGCGGCCGGUCCUUGAAGAAGGUUAAAACAGCAAACUUGAUAAAUCUCCAUUGUAGUUUUUGCCAUAGGUAAGAACGGUUCUUGCUAGAAACCCGUAGCAGCCACGUAAAACUUGCAACAACAAAGUUGAUGACGUCUAACUUGUUUUUGCAGGGUAUGUUGUGAUGUGAUAUGGUCAAGACAUGAUGUGAUAUACAUUAUUGUAUGAGAUGAUCAUGUUUUGUAAUUUAUCAACAACCGGUAGGAUCCUUAUGGUUGUCUCUUUAUUGUAUGAAAUUAAAACGACAUGUAAUUGCUUUACUUUAUCGCUAUGCGUUAGCAAUAGUUGUAGAAGCAAUAGUUGGUGAGACGACCACGACGCAAUGAUGGAGAUCAAGGUGUCGAGCUGGUAACGAUGGAGAUCAUGAUGAUGCUUUGGAGAUGGAGAUCAAAAGCACGAGAUGAUGAUGGCCUUAUCAUGUCACAUAUUUUGAUUGCAUGUGAUGUUUAUCUUUUAUGCAUCUUAUUUUGCUUAGAACGACGGUAGCAUUAUAAGAUGAUCCCUUCACUAAAUUUCAAGAUAUAAGUGUUCUCCCCGAGUAUGCAUCGUUGCGAAAGUUCAUCAUUUCGAGACACCACGUGAUGAUCGGGUGUGAUAGACUCUACGUUCACAUACAACGGGUGUAAGAUAGUUUUGCACGUGCAGAAUACUUGGGUUAAACUUCACGAGUACAAACAUGGCCUCGGAACACAGGAGACCGAAAGGUAGAACAUGAGUCAUAUAGUAGAUAUGAACAUAGAGAUGUUCACCAUUGAUGACUACCCCAUCUCACGUGAUGAUCAGACAUGGGUUAGUUGAUUUGGAUCAUGUAUCACUUAGAUAACCCGAGGGAUGUUAAUUUAAGUGGGAGUUCAUUAGUAAUUUGAUUAAUUGAACUUAAAUUUAUCAUGAACUUAGUCCUGAUAGUAUUUGCAAAUUAUCUUGUAGAUCAAUAGCUCGCGUUGUAGCUCCCCUAUUUUUCGAUAUGUUCCUAGAGAAAAAUAAGUCAAAAGAUGAUAGUAGCAAUAACGCGAACUGGUUCCGUGAUCUGAGGAUUAUCCUCAUUGCUGCAUAGACGAAUUAUGUCCUUAAUGCACCGCUAGGUGACAGACCUAUUGCAGGAGCAGAUGCAGAUGUUAUGAACGUUUGGCAAGCUUGAUAUGAUGACUACUUAAUAGUUUAGUGUGCCAUGCUUUACGGCUUAGAACUAGGACUUAAAAAAUGUUUGGAACGCCAUGGAGCAUAUGAGAUGUUCCAAGAGCUGAAAUUGGUAUUUCAGACUCAUGCUCGUGUCGGGAGGUAUGAGACCUCGGGCAAGUACUUGCCUACAAGAUGGAGGAGAAUAGCUCAGUCAGUGAGCAUGUGCUUAGAGUGCCUGGGUACUACAAUCGCUUGAAUCAAGUGGGAGUUAAUCUUCCAGAUAAGAUAGUGUUUGAUAGAGUUCUCUAGUCACUAUCACCAAGCUACUAGAACUUCGUGAUGAAUUAUAAUAUGCAAGGGAUGACAAAAACAAUUCCCGAGCUCUUCGUGAUGCUGAAAUCGGCGAAGGUAGAAAUCAAGAAAGAACAUCAAGUGUUGAUGGUUAAACAAGACCACUAGUUUCAAGAAAAAGGGCAAGGGAAAGAAAGGGAACUUCAAGAAGAAUGUCAAGCAAGUUGCCACUCCCGUGAAGAAGCCCAAAACUGAACCCAAGCCUGAAACUGGGUGCUUCUACUACAAAGGAAAUGGUCAUUGAAGUGGAACUGCCCCAAAUACUAGGCGGAUAAGAAGGAUGGUAAAGUGAACAAAGAUAUAUUUGAUAUACAUGUUAUUGAUGUGUACUUUACUAGUGUUCGUAGUAACCCCUUGGUAUUGGAUACCAGUUCAGUUGCUAAGAUUAGUAACUCGAAACAGGAGUUGCAGAAUAAACAAAGACCAGUUAAGGGUGAGGUGACGAUGUGUGGUGGAAGUGAUUCCAAGGUUGAUACGAUCACCAUCGCACACCCCCUCUACCUUCAGGAUUAGUGUUGAACCUAAAUAAAUGUUAUUUGGUGUUUGCAUGGUGCAUGAAUAUGAUUAGAUCAUGUUUAUUGCAAUACGACUAUUCAUUUAAGUCAGAGAAUAAUUGUUGUUCUGUUUAAAUGAAUAAAACCUUCUAUGGUCAUACACCGAAUGCGAAUGGUUUAUUGAAUCUCGAUCAUAGUGAUACACAUAUUCAUAAUAUUGAUGCCAAAAUAUGCAAUGUUAAUAAUGAUAGUGCAACAUACUCUUGGCACUGCCGUUUAGUUCAUAUUGGUGUAAAACGCAUGAAGAAACUCCAUACGGAUGGACUUUUGGAAUCACUUGAUUAUGAAUCAUUUGAUACUUGCAAACCAUGCUUCAUGAGCAAGAUGACUAAACUUCGUUCUUCAGAACAAUGGAGCGAGCUAAUGACUUAUUGGAAGUAAUACAUACCGAUGUAUGAGAUCCGAUGAGUGUUCAAGCACGCGACGGGUAUCAUUAUUUUCCGACCUUCAUAGAUGAUUUGAGUAGGUAUGGGUAUAUCUACUUAAUGAAACACAAGUCUGAAACAUUUGAAAAGUUCAAAGAAUUUUAGAGUGAAGUAUCAUAGUAACAAGAAAAUAAAGUUUCUACGAUCUGAUCGCGGAAGCGAAUAAUUGAGUUACGAGUUUGGACUUCAUUCAAAACAAUGUGGAAUUGUUUCACAACUCAUGCCACCUGGAACACCACAGCGUAAUGGUGUGUCCAAACGUCGUAACCGUACUUUAUUGGAUAUGGUGCAUUAUAUGAUGUCUCUUACCGAUUUACCACUAUCGUUUUGGGGUUGUGCAUUAGAGACAACCGCAUUCACAUUAAAUAGGGCACCAUUUAAAUCCGUUGAGACGUCACUGUAUGAACUAUGGUUUGGCAAGAAACCUAAGAUGUCGUUUCUUAAAGUUUGGGUUGCGACGCUUAUGUCAAAAGGCUUCAGCCUGAUAAUCUCGAACCCAAAUCAGAGAAGUGCGUCUUCAUAGGAUACCCUAAGGAAAUAAUUGGGUACACCUACUACCACAGAUCUGAAGGUAAUAUCCUUGUUGCUAAGAAUGGAUCCUUUCUAGAGAAGGAGUUUCUCUUGAAAGAAGUGAGUGGGAGGAAAGUAGAACUUGAUGAGGUAAUUGUACCUUCUCUCGAAUUGGAUAGUAGCACAUCAGAGAAAACUGUUCCCAUGAUCUACACCAACUAGAGAGGAAGCUAAUGAUGAUGAUCAUAAAACUUUAUACCAAGUUACUACUAAACUUCAUAGGUUGACCAGAGCAUGAUCUGCACUAGAGUGGUACGGUAGUCCUGUCUUGGAAGUCAUGUUACUAGACCAAGACGAACCUAGAUUCCAAUAGAUGGCUUGAGGCCAUGAAAUCUGAGAUAGGAUCCAUGUAUGAGAACAAAGUAUGGACUUUGGUGGACUUGCCCGAUGAUCGGCAAGCCAUAAAGAAUAAAUGGAUCUUCAAGAAGAGGACAUAUGCUAAUGGUAAUGUCACCAUCUACAAAGCUCGACUUGUUGCGAAAGGUUUUCAACAAGUUGAAGGAGUUGACUACAAUGAUACCUUCUCACCCGUAGUGAUGCUUAAGUCAGUCCGAAUCAUGUUAGAAAUUGUCGUAUUUCAUAAUUAUGAAAUCUGGCAAAUGGACAUCAAAACUGAAUUCCUUAAUGGAUUUCUUAAAGAAGAGUUGUAUAUGAUGCAACCAGAAGGUUUUGUGGAUCCUAAAGGUGCUAACAAAGUGUGCAAACUCCAACGAUCCAUCUAUGGACUGGUGCAAGCAUCUCGGAGUUGGAAUAUACGCUUUGAUGAGGUGAUCAAAGCAUAUGGUUUUAUACAGACUUAUGGUGAAGCCUGUAUUUACAAGAAAGUGAGUGGGAGCUCUGUAGCAUUUAUGAUAUUAUAUGUGGAUGACAUAUUGUUGAUCGGAAUUGAUAUAGAACUUCUAGAUAGCAUAAAAGGAUACUUGAAUAAGAAUUUUUCAAUGAAAGACGUUGGUGAAGCUACUUAUAUUGGGCAUCAAGAUCUAUAGAGAUAGAUCAAGACGCUUGAGAGGACUUUCACAAAGCACAUACCUUGAUAAAUUUCUGAAGAAGUUCAAAGUGGAUCAGUCAAAGAAAGGGUUCUUGCUUGUGUUACAAGGUGUGAAGUUGAGUAAGACUCAAAACCCGACCACGGCAGAAUAUACAUAUAGAGAAUGAAAGUCAUUCCCAAUGCCUUAGUCGUAGGUUCUAUAAAGUAUGCCAUGCUGUGUACCAGACCUGUUGUGUGCCUUGCCAUGAGUUUGGCAAGGGGGUACAAUAGUGAUCCAGGAGUAGAUCUCUGGACAGCGGACAAAAUUAUCCUUAGGUACCUAAAGAGGAGUAAGGAAAUGUUUCUCGGUUAUGGAGGUGAUAAAAAGUAGAUCUCUCGACAGCGGUCAAUUCUCUUAUACUAUACACUAUGCUUCUUAAUUUUUAAGGCCUCACAAUUAAUUGAGGUAUUCAAUUUAGAACUAGGUCAACCGAUUUUGACCAGGUCUACAAUUUCUCAAACUCUCCCAUUCAAUUCUUUUAAUACGCUUUUUCCUUAGUCUUGGGAGGUCAACGACAAGUUCUCUGUGUGGUCUGCAUAUGCCGCCAGGUUUUGGGGUAGAAAAGUAAUACCCAGGGCAGACCUGACUUGGAAGUCGCGGGCCCCCUUGCAAUGCCGAUUCUUUACUUGGUUGGCUCUAUGAAAUAUAUGUUGGACUUCGGAUCGUCUCGCUGGAGAGGGCUACCACACUAAGAAGCAUGCCCCCUCCGUGAUCAAAAAGAGGAAACUAUAAACCACGUACUACUUACAUGUGUGUUUGCCAGGAUGAUGUGGACGGUGAUUUGUGAGGCUUUGGGCAGAUUGGAGUGGACACUAACCCCAAAGGAUUCACUCAAAGCAUGGUUAUGCAGCAAGCGGGGGCCCAACAAUAUGAGCAAGAAAGAUCUUCACACCCUUUUUGUGUUGGAAAUAUGCCCUAGAGGCAAUAAUAAAUUUGUUAUUAUAAUAUUUCCUUGUUCAUGAUAAUUGUUUAUUAUCCAUGCUAGAAUUGUAUUGAUCAGAAACUCAGAUACAUGUGUGGAUACAUAACAACAACGUGUCCCUUGUAAGCCUCUACCGGACUAGCUCGUUGAUCAUAGAUGACUAUGGUUUCCUAGCCAUGGACAUGAGUUGUCAUUUGAUAAUGGGAUCACAUCAUUAGGCGAAUGAUGUGAUGGACAAGACCCAAACUAUAAACGUAGCAUAUGAUUGUAUCAAGUUUAUUUCUAUUGUUUUCUGCAUGUCAAGUAUAUAUGUUCCUAUGACCACGAGAUCAUGCAACUCACUGACACCGGAGGAAUACCUUGUGUGUACCAAAUGUCGCAACGUAACUGGGUGACUAUAAAGGUGCUCUACAGGUACCUUCGAGGGUGUCUGUUUAGUUGGCAUGGAUCAAGGCUAGGAUUUGUCACUCCGUAUGACGGAGAGGUAUCUCUAGGCCCACUCAGUAAUACAACAUCACAAGAAGCUUGCAAGGAAUGUAAUAAUGAGUUAGCCAUGGGAUCUUGUAUUACGGAAUGAGUAAAGAUACUUGCCAGUAACGAGAUUGAACUAGGUAUGGAGAUACCCAUGAUCGAGUCUCGGGCAAGUAACAUACAGAUAGACAAAGGGAACUGCAUACGGGAUUAGAUGAAUCCUUGGCAUCAAGGUUCGACCAAUAAUAUCUUCAUAGAAUAUGUAGGAACCAUUAUGGGCAUCCAGGUCCCGCUAUUGGCUAUUGACCGUAUAGGUGUCUCGGUCAUGUCUUCAUAGUUCUCGAACCCGCAGGGUCUACACACUUAACGUUUGUUGAUGAUAUAAGUAUAGUUGAGUCAUUAUGGUGGUUAUGAAGGUUUUUCGGAGUCCCGGAUGAGAUCUUGGACGUGACGGGGAACACCGGAAUGGUUCGAAGGUGAAGAUUAAUAUAUUGGACGAAGGGUAUUGGAGUCCACAAUUGUUCCGGGGGUACCUGGUGAUGACCAGCAUGACCGAAAGGGGUUUUGGGGGGGCCCGACAAGUGUUGAGGGGCCUCAUGGGCCAAGGGGAGGGGUCAAACCAGCCCACUAAGGGGUUGUGCGCCCCCUUCACCCCUUCCCACGUUGCUAGAGGAGGUGGGGGCGCCACCCUAGGGUUCCCACCCCUUUGGCUUGGGGGCCAAGUCUCCUAUGGGGGAAACCCAUCUAGGGUUUCCCUCUAGUGGCCGCUGACCCUAGAUGGGAUCCCCUAGGGGAUCCCACCUCUCCCCCUUCCCCCUGUAUAUAUAGAGAGAGAGGUAGAGAGAGGGCUGCCAUAUGCAUAUAUGCCACGACACUGCCCUCCCUCUCCCUUGUAGCCAUCUUCCUCUGUGUAGUGCUUAGCGAAGCUCUGUUGAGAUUCCACCACCACCACCGCCACCAUGCCGUCGUGCUGCCGGAGGACUCGAGCUACUACUUCACCAUCACUCAUUGGAUCGAGGAUAUGAAGGCGUCAUAAAGCCAUACAUGUGUUGAACGCGGAGGUGUCGUCUAUUCGGCACUUGGAUCGGAGUUCGCGAGAAGGAUCGUGAUUGGAUCAUGAAGAACAUCAACCGCGUUUCUUAAUGCUUCCGCAUAGCGAUCUACAAGGGUAUGUAGAUGCAAUCUCUCCUCUCGAAGAUGGUCAUAUCCUAGAUUCAUCUUGGUGAGCGUAGGAAAUUUUUUGUUUCCCAUGCAACAUUCCCCAACAGUGGCAUCAUAAGCUAGGUCCAUGCAUAGAUGACAUCACAAGUAGAACACAAAGGAGUUUGUGGGCGUUGAUAUUCAAAUUGGUUCCUUCCUUGGUAUUUUCUUGAUUCGACUGUAUUGUGGGAUGAAGCGGCCCGGACCAACCUUACAUGUCCACGUACAUGAGACAGGUUCCAUCGACAGACAUGUGACUUUGUUGCAUAAAGAUGGCUGACGGGUGUCUGUCUCUCCCACCUUAGUUGAAUCGGAUUCGACAAAGGCAGUCCUUGUAGAAGGUUAAAUGGCAACUUUCAUAUCACCAUUGUGGCUUUGCGUAGGUAAGAAUCGUUCUUGCUAGAUACCCAUAGCAGCCACGUAAAACAUGCAACAACAAUUAGAGGAUGUCUAACUUGUUUUUGCAGUGUAUGUUGUGAUAUGAUAUGGCCAAAGACAUGAUGAGAUAUAUUUGAUGUAUGAGAUGAUCAUGUUUGUAAUAGUUUAUAUCGACUUGCAUGUUCAUGCAUACGACAACCGACGGGAGCCAUAGGGUUGUCUUUAAUUAUUGUAUGACCUAUGUGUCAAUUAUUAAGCACUAUGUAAUGCUUUACUUUAUCGCUGAGCAGUAGCAAUAGUAGUAUAAGCCUGGUUGGCGUGACAACCGCGACGGUGACAUGAUGAUGGAGAUCAUGGUGUCAUGCCGGUGACAAUGGAGAUCAUGCCGGUGCUUUGGAGAUGGAGAUCAAAAGCACAAGUUGAUGGCCAUAUCAUGUCACUUAUGAUUUGCUUGUGAUGUUAAUCCUUUUAUGCAUCUUAUUUUGCUUAGGACGACGGUAGCAUUAUAAGGUGAUCCCUCACUAAAAUUUCAAGAUAAAAUUGUGUUCUCCCCAAGUGUGCACUGUUGCGGAAGUACGUCGUUUCAAAGCACCACGUGAUGAUCGGGUGUGAUAGACUCUACAUUCACAUACAAUGGGUGCAACCGUGCAAGCCAGUUUUGCACAUGUGGAACACUUGGGUUAAACUUGACGAGCCUAGCAUGUACAGAUAUGGCCUCAUAACAUAAGAGACCAAAAGGCCGAACAUGAGUCAUAUAUUAGAUAUGAUCAACAUGGAGAUGUUGACCAUUGAAACCACCUCAUCUCAUGUGAUGAUCGGACUUUGGUUGGUGAAUUUGGAUCAUGUUACACUCGGAUGACCGGAGGGAUGUCGAUUUGAGUGGGAGUUCUUAAGUAAUAUGAUUAGUUGAACUCAUUAUCAUGAACAUAGUCUAAAUUGUCUUUGCAAAUUAUGUUGUAGAUCAAUAGCUUGCGCUAUAGCUCCCUGUUUUAAUACGUUCCUAGAGAAAGACUAAGUUGAAAGAUAUUGUAAGAAAUUAUGCGGACUAGGGCCAUAGUCUGAGGAUUGUCCUCACUGCUGCAUAGAAGCCUUAUGUCCUUGACGCACUGCUCGGUGUGCCAACCCCUCUAGCGUCAUCUAUGGAUGUUGUGAACAUCCGGCAGACACGUUUAGAUGACUACUUGAUAGUUCAGUGCGCCAUGCUUUACAACAUAGAAUCGGGGCACGGAAGACGUUUUUGAAUGCCAUGGAACAUAUGUGAUGUUCCAAGAGUUGAAAUUGGUAUUUCAGGAUCAUGCCUGUGUUGGGAGGAAUGAGACCUCUGACAAGUUCUUUGCCUACAAGAUGGAGGAUAAUAACUCAGCUAGUGAGCAUGUGCUCAGAAUGUCUGGGUACUACAAUUGCUUGAAUCAAGUGGGAGUUAAUCUUCUAGAUAAGAUAGUGAUUGACAGAGUUCUCCAGACACUAUCACCAAGCUACUGGAACUUCGUGAUGAACUAUAACAUGCAAGGGAUGGAGAUUAUCCCAGAGCUGUUCGCGGUAGGCCACGAAGGUACAAAUCAAGAAGGAUCAUCAAGUGUUGAUGGUUUACAAGACCACUAGUUUCAAUAAGGGCAAGGGCAUGAAGAGAAACUUCAUGAAUGGCAAGCCAGUUGCUGAUCCAGUGAAGUAACCCAAGGUUGAACCCAAACCUAAGGCUAAGUGCUUCUAUUGUAAGGGGAACAGUCACUGGUAGCGGAGCUACCCCAAAUACUUGGUAGAUAAGAAAGCUGGCAACCUCAACAAAAGUAUAUUUAAUAUACAUGUUAUUGAUGUGUACCUUACUAGUACUCCUAGUAGCACCUGGGUAUUAGAUACCGGUUCAGUUGCUAAUUUUGGUAACUCAAAACAAAAUCUGCGGAAUAAACGGAGACUAGCUAAGGGCGAGGUGACCAUGUGUGUUGGAAGUGUUUCCAAGGUUGAUGUGAUCACCAUCGCACGCUCCCUCUACCUUCGAGAUUAGUGUUGAACCUAGAUAAAUGUUAUUUGGUGUCUGCGUUGAGGCAUGAACACAAUUAUAUUUUGUUUAUUACAAUAUGGUUAUUCAUUUAAGUCAGAGAAUAAUGGUUAUUCUAUUUACAUGAAUAAUACCUUCUAUGGUCAUACACCCAAGGUGAAUGGUUUGUUUAAUCUCGAUCGUAGCGAUACACAUGUUCAUAAUAUUAAUGCCAAAAGAUGCAAAGUUAAUAAUGAUAGUACCACAUACUUGUGGCACUGCCGCUUAGGUCAUAUUGGUGUAAAGCGCAUGAAGAAACUCCACGCUGAUGGACUUUUGGAGUCACUUGAUUUUGAAUCACUUGACACAUGCGAACCCUGCCUUAUGGGCAAGAUGACUAAAACCCCAUUGUCUGGUACAUUGGAACGGGCAAGUGACUUGUUAGAAAUCAUACAUGCUGAUGUGUGUGGUCCAAUGAGUGUUGACGCAUGCGGUGGAUAUCGUUAUUUCCUCACCUUCACUGAUGAUUUGAGUAGAUAUGGGUAUGUUUACUUAAUGAAGCAUAAGUCUGAAACAUUUGAAAAGUUCAAGAAAUUUCAGAGUGAAGUUGAGAAUCAUCGUAAAAAGAAGAUUAAAUUCCUAUGAUCCAAUAUAAGGGGAGAAUAUCUGAGUUAUGAGUUUGGCAAUCACUUAAGACAAUGUGGAAUUGUUUCACAGUUGACGCCACCUGGAACACCAUAGUGUAAUGGUGUGUCCGAACGACGUGACCAUACCUUAUCGGAUAUGGUGCGUUCUAUGAUGUCUGUUGCCGAUCUACCACUAUUGUUUUGGGGUUAUGCAUUAGCGACAACCACAUUUACUUUAAAUAGGGAACCAUCUAAGUCCGUGGAGAUGACACUGUAUGAAUUGUGGUUUGGCAAGAAACCUAAGUUGUCAUUUCUUAAGGUUUGGGGCUGCGACACUUAUGUGAAAAGGCUUGAGCCUGAUAAGCUUGAACCCAAAGCGGACAAAUGCAUUUUCAUAGGAUACCCAAAGGAGAAGAUUGGGUAUACCUUCUAUCUCAGAUAUGAGGGCAAAUUGUUUGUCGCUAAGAACGGGUCAUUUCUUGAGAAAGUGUUUUUCUUGAAAGAAUUGAGUGGGAGGAAGAUAGAACUUGAUGAGGUUGUUGAACCAUUACUUCAACCAGAGAGUAGCGCAGCAAAGAAAGAUGUCUCUGUGGCACCUACGCCGGUUAAAGAGGAAGCUAGUGAUGAUGAUCAUGAAGCUUCAGAUCAAGUUACUGGCGAACCGUGUAGGUCGACAAGGGUACGUACAGCUUCUGAGUGGCACGGUAACCCUGUCUUAGAGGUCAUGUUGUUGGACAACGGUGAACCUAUGACCUAUGGAGAAGCGAUGGUGGGCCCGACUCCCAACAAAUGGCUAGGAGCCUUGAAAUCCGAGAUAGGAUCCAUGUAUGAGAACAAAGUAUGGACUUUGAUGGACUCGUGCGAUGAUUAGCAAGCCAUUGAGAAUAAAUGGAUCUUUGAGAAGAAGACAUAUGUUGAUGGUAAUGUCACCAUUUAUGAAGCUCGACUUGUCACAAAGAAGUUUCCGACAAGUUCAAGGAGUUGACUAUGAUGAGACUUUCUCACUCAUAGCGAUGCUAAAGUCUGUUGGAGUUAUGUUAGUAGUUGUUGCAUUUUCAUUUACGAAAUCUAGCAGAUGGAUGUCAAAACAAAGUUUCCUUGACGGUUUUCGUGAGGAAAGGUUGCAAGCUCCAUUGAUCCUUCUAUGGACUGGAGCAAGCAUCUCAGAGUUGGAACAUACGCUUUGAUGAGGUGAUCAAAGCUUUUGGUUAUAUUCAAAGUUUGCAAGAAACUUGUAUUCACAAGAAAGUGAGUGGGAGCACUACAACAUUUCAGAUAAGUAUUUGUGGCUGUCAUAUUGUUGAUCAGAAAUGAUGUAGAAUUUCUGGAAAGCAUAAAGGGUUGUUUGAAAUGAGUUUUUCAAAGGAAGACCUGGGUAAGUCUGCUUACAUAUUGGGCAACAAGAUCUAUAGAGAUAGAUCAAGACGCCUGAUAAGACUUUCAUAGAGCACAUACCUUGACAUGAUUUUGAAGGAGUUCAAAAUGGAUUAGUGAAAGAAGGAGUUCUUGCCUGAGUUUUAAGGUGUGAAGUUGAGUAAGACUCAAAGAUCGACCACGGCAGAAGAAAGAGAAAGGACGAAGGGUCGUCCCCUAUGCCUUAGCCGUAGUCUCUAUAUGGUAUGCCAUGCUAUGUACCCCACCUGAGGUGUGCCUUGCCACGUGUCUGGCAAGGUGGUAGAAGAGUGAUCGAGGAGUGGAUCGCCGGACAAUGGUCAAAAUUAUCCUAGGAGGAAUAAGGAAAUGUUUCUUGGUUAUGGAGGUGAUAAAGAGUUUGGCGUAAAGGGUUACGUCGAUGCAAGCUUUAACACCUAUCUGGAUGACUCUGAGUAGCAAACCAGAUACAUAUAGUGGAGCAGCCAUUUGGAAUAGCUACAAGUGGAGCUUGGUAGCAGCAUCUACAAUAUGACAUAGAGAUUUGCGAAGUACACACAUAUCUGAAUGUUGCAGACCCGUUGACAAAAACCUCUCUCACAAGCAUAACAUGAUCAAACCCUAUAACUCAUUGAGUGUUAAUCACAUGGUGAUGUGAACUAGAUUAUUGACUCUAGUAAACUCUUUGUGUGUUCGUCACAUGGCGAUGUGAACUAUGAGUGUUAAUCACAAGGCGAUGUGAACUAGAUUAUUGACUCUAGUGCAAGUGGGAGACUAUUGGAAAUAUGCCCUAGAGGUAAUAAUAAAUUGGUUAUUAUCAUAUUUCCUUGUUCAUGAUAAUCGUUUAUUAUCCAUGCUAGAAUUGUAUUGAUCGGAAACUCAGAUACAUGUGUGGAUACAUAGACAACAACGUGUCCCUAGUACGCCUCUACCGGACUAGCUCGUUGUUCAAAGAUGGGUAUGGUUUCCUAGCCAUGUGCUACCUCUUGAGCACUGCGUUGGUUUUCCCUUGAAGAGGAAAGGGUGAUGCAGCAAAGUAGUGUAAGUAUUUCCCCUCAGUUUUUGAGAGCCAAGGUAUCAAUCCAGUAGGAGGCUACACGCAAGUCCCUCGUACCUACACAAAUAAACAAGAACCUCGCAACCAACACGAUAAAGGGGUUGUCAAUCCCUUCACGGCCACUUGCGAAAGUGAGAUCUGAUAGAGAUAAUAAGAUAAGAUAAAUAUUUUUGGUAUUUUUAUGAUAUAGAUUGAAAAGUAAAGAUGGCAAAAUAAAUUAGAUUGGAAACUUAUAUGAUAGAAAAUAGACCAAGUGGCCAUAGGUUUCACUAGUGGCUUCUCUCAAGAUAGCAUAAGUAUUACGGUGGGUAAACAAAUUACUGUUGAGCAAUUGAUAGAAAAAUGCAUAGUUAUGAGAAUAUCUAGGCACAAUCAUGUAUAUAGGCAUCACGUCCGCGACAAGUAGAUCGAAAUGAUUCUGUAUCUACUACUAUUACUCCACACAUCGAUCGCUAUCCAUCAUGCAUCUAGAGUAUUAAGUUCAUAAGAACAAAGUUAACGCAUUAGGCAAGAUGACAUGAUGUAGAGGGAUAAACUCAAGCAAUAUGAUAUAAACCCCAUCUUUUUAUCCUCGAUGGCAACAAUACAAUACAUGCCUUGCUGCCCCUGCUGUCACUGGGAAAGGACACCACAAGAUUGAAUCCAAAGCUAAGCACUUCUCCCAUUGCAAGAAAGAUCAAUCUAGUAGGCCAAACCAAACUGAUAAUUCGAAGAGACUUGCAAAGAUAACCAAUCAUACAUAAAAGAAUUCAGAGGAGAUUCAAAUAUUUCUCAUAGAUAAACUUGAUCAUAAACCCACAAUUCAUCGGAUCUCGACAAACACACCGCGAAAAGAGUUACAUCGAAUAGAUAUCCAAGAAGAUCGAGGAGAACAUAGUAUUGAGAUUCAAAGAGAGAGAAAAAGCCAUCUAGCUAAUAACUAUGGACCUGAAGGUCUAUGGUAAACUACUCACAACUCAUCGCAGAGUCUUUGGCGUUGAUGUAGAAGCCCUACAUGAUUGAUUCCCCCUAUGGCGGAGUGCCAGAAAAGGCUCCAAGAUGGGAUCUCAUGGGGACAGAAUGUUGCGGCGGUGGAAAUAGGGUUUUAUGGUGCUCCCUGAUGUUUUCUGGGUAUGCAAGUAUAUAUAGGCGAACGAAGUCGGUCAAGGGAGCCACGAGGGGCCCACGAGGGUGGGGACACGCCCACCCCCCUAGGGCAAGCCCUGGACCCUCGUGGCCGCCUUGUUUACUUCUUGACGUCCACUCCAAGUCUCCUGGAUUGCGUUUGUUCCAAAAAGAUCUCUCCCGAAGGUUUCAUUCCAUUUGGACUCCGUUUGAUAUUCCUUUUCUUUGAAACACUGAAAUAGGCAAAAAAACAACAACAAUUUGAGUUGGUCCUCCGGUUAAUAAGUUAGUCCCAAAAAUGAUAUAAAAGUGUAUAGUAAAGCCCAUAAACAUCCAAAACGGGUAAUAUAAUAUCAUGGAACAAUCAAAAAUUAUAGAUACGUUGGAGACGUAUCAAGCAUCCCCAAGCUUAAUUCAUGCUCGUCCUCGAGUAGGUAAAUGAUAAAAACAGAAAUUUUGAUGUGGAAUGCUACCUAGCAUAUUUCUUAAUGUAAUUUUCUUUAUUGUGGCAUGAAUGUUCAGGUCCAAAUGAUUCAAGAUAAAAGUUCAUAUUAACAUAAAAAUAGUAAUAGUUCAAGCAUACUAACAAGUUAUCAUGUCUUAUCAAAAUAUCAUAGCCGAAGAAAGCUUAUCCCUAAAAAAUCAUAUAGUUAGGCUAUGCUUCAUUUUCGUCACACAAAAUACUCCUAUCAUGCACAACCCCGGUUUCAGCCAAGCAAUUGGUUCAUAAUUUUUAACGCGCUUCAGCUUUUUUAACUCUCACGCAAUACAUGAGCGUAAGCCAUGGAUAUAGGACUGUGGGUGGAAUAGAACAAGAUGAUGGAGGUUGUGUGGAGAAGACAAAAAAGGAGAAAAUCUCACAUUGACGAGGCUAAUCAACGGGCUAUGGAGAUGCCCAUCAAUUGAUGUCAACAUGAGGAGUAGGGAUUGCCAUGCAACGAAUGCACUAGAGCUAUAAAUGUAUGAAAGCUCAACAAAAGAAACUAAGUGGGUGUGCAUCCAACUAGCUUUCUCAUGAAGACCUAGGGCAUUUUGAGGAAGCCUAUCAUUGGAAUAUGACUCUAAUAAUGAAGAUCAUCACACUUUUAUUUAUUUACAACUCAAGAAUUACAACUCAAUACUUAGAACAAAAUAUGACUCUAUGUGAAUGCCUCCAGCGGUGUACCGGGAUAUGCAAUGAAUCAAGUGACAUGUAUGAGAGAAUUAUGAAGGUGGCCUUGCCACAAAUACGAUGUCAACUACAUGGUGGAACAUGUCAUAAUAACGGAACGGUGGAAGGUUGCAUGGCAGUAUAUCACGGAAUGGCUAUGGAAAUGCCAUAAUAGGUAGAUAUGGUGGCUGUUUUUAGGAAGAUAUAAGGAGGUUUAUGUGUGAUAGAGCGUAUCGUAUCACGGGGUUUGGAUGCACCGGCAAAGUUUGCACCAACUCUCAAGGUGAGAAAGGGUAAUUCACGGUACCGUAGAGGCUAGCAAUGAUGGAAGGGUAAGAGUGCGUAUAAUCCAUGGACUCACAUUAGUCAUAAAGAACUCAUAUAAUUAUUGAAAAAGUUAUUUAGCCCUUGAAGCAAAGUACUACUACGCAUGCUCCUAGGGGAAGGGUUGGUAGGAGUUAACCAUCGCGCGAUCCCGACCUCCACUCACAAGGAAGGCAAUCAAAGAGCACCCCGUGCUACAAAUUUGUUACACAACUUUAACCAUACGUGCAUGCUACGAGACUUGCCAACUUUAAAACAAGUAUUUCUCAAUUUCAUAAUUACCCAACUAGCAUGACUCUAACAUUACCACCUUUAUAUCUCAAAACAAUUAUCAAGCAUCAAAUUGAUCAUAGCAUCCAAUGCACUUUAUAUGAUAGUUUUUAUUAUACCCAACUUGGAUGCCCAUCAUACUAGGACCAAUUUUAUAACCAUAGUAAAUACCAUGCUGUUCUAAAAGACUCUCAAAAUAAUAUAAGUGAAGCAUGAGAGAUCAACAAUUUCUACAAAAUAAAACCAUCGCCGUGCUCUAAAAAGAUAUAAGUGAAGCACUAGAGCAAAAUUGUCUAGCUCAAAAGAUAUAAUUGAAGCAUAUAGAGUAUUAUAAUAAAUUCAGAUUCAUGUGUGUCUCUCCCAAAAGGUGUGUACAGCAAGGAUGACUAAAAUCAAAUACUCAUAUCAUACAAGACGCUCCAAGGAAAACACAUAUCAUGUGGUGAAUAAAAAUAUAGCUCCAAGUAAAGUUACCGAUAGACGAAGACGAAAGAGGGGAUGCCUUCCAGGGCAUCCCCAAGCUUAGGCUUUUGGUUGUCCUUGAAUUACCUUGGGGUGCCUUGGGCAUCCCCAAGCUUAGGCUCUUGCCACGCCUUAUUCCAUAGUCCAACAAAUCUGUACCCAAAACUUGAAAACUUCAGAACACAAAACUCAAUAGAAAAUCUCAUAAGCUCCGUUAGUGCAAGAAAGCAAACAACCACUUUAAGGUACUGUAAUGAACUCAUUAUUUAUUUAUAUCGGUGUUAAACCUACUGUAUUCCAACUUCACUAUGGUUCAUACCCCCCGAUACUAGCCAUAGAUUCAUCAAAAUAAGCAAACAUCGCACGAAAAACAGAAUAUGUCAAAACCAGAACAGUCUGUUGUAAUCUGUAACUUUAGAAUACUUCUGGAACUCUAAAAAUCCUACAAAAAUAGGAAGUCCUAGGAAAUUUUUCUAUUGAUCUACUACAAAAAGAAUCAACUAAAAUAACGUUUAUGUGAUUUAUUAACAUUAUUCUCGUGCAUGCAAAAGUUUCUGUUUUUCAGCAAGAUCAAAUUAACUAACACCGUAGGUUGUCCUAUAGGUUCUACUUGGCACAAACACUAAUUAAAACAUAAAACCACAUCUAAAAAUAAGCUAGAUGAAUUAUUUAUUACUAAACAGGAGCAAAAAGCAAGGAACAAAAAUAAAAUUGGGCUGCCUCCCAACAUGCGCUAUCGUUUAACGCCCCUACCUAGCCAUAAAAGCGAGAAUAGAUCUAAGUAUUGUCAUCUUUGGUAUUCAAUUCAUAAGUGGCUCGCAUAAUAGAUUCAUAAGGUAAUUUGAUUUUCUUUCUAGGAAAUUUUCCAUGCCUUUUCUUAAUGGAAAUUGGAAUCUAAUAUUUCCUUCCUUCAUAUCAAUAAUUGCACCAAUCGUUCUAAGGAAAGGUCUACCAACAAUAAUAGGACAUGAAAGAUUGCAAUCUAUAUCAAGAACGAUAAAAUCUACGAGCACAUAGUUCCUAUUUGCAACAAUAAGAAGAUCAUUAGUCCUUCCCAUAGGUUUCUUAAUAGUGGAAUCCGCAAGGUGCAAGUUUAAAGAGCAAUCAUCAAAAUCACAGAAACCUAACACAUCACAGAAAGUUUUUGGAAUCAUAGAAACACUAGCACCCAAAUCACACAAAGCAUAGCAUUCAUGAUCUUUAAUUUUAAUUUCAGUAUUAGGUUCCCACUCAUCAUAAAGUUUUCUAGGCAUAGAAACUUCCAGUUCAAGUUUUUUCUUCAUAAGAUUGCAUCAAAGCAUCAAUGAUAUGUUUGGUAAAAGCUUUAUUUUGACUAUAAGCUUGAUGAGAAUUUAACACGGAUUGCAACAAGAAAAUACAAUCUAUUAAAGAGAACUUAUCAUAAUUAAAUUCCUUGAAAUCCAAAAUAGUGGGUUCAUUGCUAUGUAAAGUUUUGACCUCUCCAAUCCCACUUUUAUCGAAUUUAGCAUCAAGAUCUAAAAACUUCGAAUCAUUGGGACGCCUUUUAACUAAAGUUGACUCAUCUCCAGUCCCAUUACUAUCAAGAUUCAUAUUGCAAAACAAAGAUUUAAUAGGGGACACCUCAAUCACUUUUAGAUCUUCAUCAUUAUUAUCAUAAGAACUAGAAGAACAUGCUUUUACAAAGCAAUCUUUCUUAGCACACAUUCUAGUGGUUCUUUCUUUGCACUCAUCAUUGGAAAUUCUCAUGGCUUUGAGAGACUCAUUGAUAUCAUGCUUAGGUGGAAUAGAUCUAAGUUUCAAAGAAUCAACAUCAAGAGAAAUUCUAUCCACGUUCCUAGCCAGCUCAUCAAUCUUUCUUCAAGCAAAGCAUUGAAAUUAUUUUGAGAGAUCAUAAAUUCUUUAACACUAAUCUCAAAAUCAUAGGACAUCUUAUUAAAAUUUCCAUAAGAGUUGUUGUAGGAAUUACCAUAAUUAUUAGAGGAAUUACUAGGAAACGGCCUAGGAUUAAAGUUUCCUCUAUACGCGUUGUUACCAAAAUUAUUCCUACCAACAAAAUUCACAUCCAUAGAUUCAUUAUUAUUAUCAAUCAAAGUAGACAAAGGCAUAUCAUUAGAUCAAUAGGAGCACUCCUAUUAGCAAACAAUUUCAUAAGUUCAUCCAUCUUUCUACUCAAAACAUUAAUCUCUUCUAUCACAUGAACUUCUUUUAAUAGUAGAUCUUUCGGUGUGCCAUUGAGAAUAAUUAACCAUAAUAUUAUCUAGGAGUUUAGUAGCUUCUCCUAAAGAGAUUUCCAUAAAAGUGCCUCCCGCGACCGAAUCUAAAAGAUUUAUAGAAGCAAAAUUCAAUCCGGCAUAAAAGUUUGUAUGAUCAUCCAUAAAUUUAAUCCAUGUGUAGGGCAACUGCGAAUCAUUAAUUUCAUCCUCUCCCAAGAUUAUGCAACAUGCUCAUGAUCAAGUUGCUUAAAAUUCAUAAUAUCGUUUCUAAGAGAGAUGAUCUUAGCGGGAGGAAAAUACUUAGAGAUAAUCUUUGCACUUAUUCCAUGAAUUAAUACUAUUUUUAGGCAAAGAUGAAAACCAAGUUUUAGCACGAUCUCUAAGCGAAAACAGAAAUAACUUCAAUUUAACAAUAUCAUUAUCCAUGUCUUUCUUCUUUUGCAUAUCACACAAAUCAACAAAGUUGUUUAAAUGAGUAGCAGCAUAUUCACUAGGAAGGUCGGAGAAUUGAUCUUUCAUGACAAGAUUCAACAAAGCAUAAUUGAUUUCGCAAGAUUCGACAUCAUUAAGAGGAGCAAUCAGAAUGCUAAGGAAAUCAUUAUUGUUGGUAUUGGAAAAGUCGCACAAUUUAGUAUUAUCUUGAGCCAUCGUGACAAGCAAUCCAACACACAAGCACACAAGAGGCAAGCGAAAAAGAGGCGAACGGGAAAGAGAGGGCGAAUAAAAUGGCAAGGGUGAAGUGGGGGAGAGGAAAACGAGAGGUAAAUGGCAAAUAAUGUAAUGCGAGGGAGAAGAGUUUGUGAUGGGUACUUGGUAUGUCUUGACUUGAGCGAAGACCUCCCCGGCAACGGCGCCAGAAAUCCUUCUUGCUACCUCUUGAGCACCACGUUGGUUUUCCCUUGAAGAGGAAAGGGUGAUGCAACAAAGUAGCGUAAGUAUUUCCCUCAGUUUUUGAGAACCAAGGUAUCAAUCCAGUAGGAGGCUACACGCAAGUCCCUUGUACCUACACAAAAAAAAACAAGAACCUCGCAACCAACGCGAUAAAGGGGUUGUCAAUCCCUUCACGGCCACUUGCGAAAGUGAGAUCUGAUAGAGAUAAUAAGAUAAGAUAAAUAUUUUUGGUAUUUUUAUGAUAUAGAUUGAAAAGUAAAGAUUGCGAAAUAAAGUAGAUCGGAAACUUAUAUGAUAGAAAAUAGACCCGGGGGCCAUAGGUUUCACUAGUGGCUUCUCUCAAGAUAGCAUAAUUAUUAUGGUGGGUAAACAAAUUACUGUCGAGCAAUUGAUAGAAAAGUGCAUAGUUAUGAGAAUAUCUAGGCAUGAUCAUGUAUAUAGGCAUCACGUCCGCGACAAGUAGAUUGAAACGAUUCUGCAUCUACUACUAUUACUCCACACAUCGACCGCUAUCCAGCAUGCAUCUAGAGUAUUAAGUUCAUAAGAACAGAGUAACGCAUUAGGCAAGAUGACAUGAUGUAGAGGAAUAAACUCAAGCAAUAUGAUAUAAACCCCAUAUUUUUAUCCUCGAUGGCAACAAAAUGAUACGUGCCUUGCUGCCCCUGCUGUCACUAGGAAAGGACACCCCAAGAUUGAACCCAAAUCUAAGCACUUGUCCCAUUGCAAGAAAGAUCAAUCUAGUAGGCCAAACGAAACUGAUAAUUCGAAGCGACUUGCAAAGAUAACCAAUCAUACAUAAAAGAAUUCAAAGGAGAUUCAAAUAUUUCUCAUAGAUAAACUUGAUCAUAAACCCACAAUUCAUCGAAUCUCUACAAACACACCGCAAAAAGAGUUACAUCGAAUAGAUAUCCAAGAAGAUCGAGGAGAACAUUGUAUUGAGAUUCAAAGAGAGAGAAGAAGCCAUUUAGAUAAUAACUAUGGACCCGAAGGUCUGUGGUAAACUACUCACAACUCAUUGGAGAGGCUUUGGCAUUGAUAUAGUAGCCCUCCAUCAGUCAGGGGAGCCACGAGGGGCCCAUGAGGGUGGGGGCGCGCCCACCCACCUAGGGCGCGCCCUGGACCCUCGUGGCCGCUUCGUUUACUUCUUGACGUCCACUCCAAGGCUCUUACAUUGCGUUUGUUCCAAAAAGAUCUCUCCCGAAGGUUUCAUUCCAUUUGGACUCCGUUUGAUAUUCCUUUUCUUUGAAACACUGAAAUAAUCAAAAUACAACAAUUUGGGCUGGGCCUCCGGUUAAUAGGUUAGUCCCAAAAAUGAUAUAAAAGUGUAUAGUAAAGCCCAUAAACACCCCAAACGGGUAAUAUAAUAGCAUGGAAUAAUCAAAAAUUAUAGAUACGUUGGAGACGUAUCACCAUGGACGUGAGUUGUCAUUUGAUAACGGGAUCACAUCAUUAGGAGAAUGAUGUGAUGAACAAGACCCAAACUAUAAACAUAGCAUAUGAUUGUAUGAAGUUUAUUGCUAUCGUUUUCUGCAUCUCAAGUAUAUAUGUUCCUAUGACCAUGAGAUCAUGCAACUCACUGACACCAGAGGAAUACCUUGUGUGUACCAAACGUUGUAACGUAACUGGGUGACUAUAAAGGUGCUCUACAGGUAUCUCCGAGGGUGUCUAGUGAGUUAGCAUGGAUCAAGACUGGGAUUUGUCACUCCGUAUGACGGAGAGGUAUCUCUAGGCCCUCUUGGUAAUACAACAUCACAAGAAGCUUGCAAGCAAUGUGAAUAAUGAUUUAGCCACGGGACCUUGUAUUACAGAACGAGUAAAGAGACUUGCCGGUAACGAGAUUGAACUAGGUAAGGAGAUACCGACGAUCGAAUCUCGGGCAAGUAACAUACUGAUAGACAAAGGGAACUGCAUAUGGGAUUAGCUAAAUCCUUGGUAUCGAGCUUUGACCAAUAAGAUUUUCGUAGAAUGUGUAGGAACCAUUAUGGGCAUCCAGGUCCCACUAUUGGUUAUUGAUUGUAGAGGUGUCUCGGUCAUGUCUGCAUAGUUCUCUAACCCGGAGGGUCUACACACUUAACGUUUGGUGACGAUAUAAGUAUAGUUGAGUCAUUAUGGUGGUUACCGAAGGUUGUUUGGAGUCCCAGAUGAGAUCUUGGUCUUGACGAGGAACUCCGGAAUGGUUCGCAGGCAAAGAUCGAUAUAUUGGAUGAAGGGUAUUGGAGUCCAGAAUUGUUCCGGGGGUACCUGGUGAUGACCAGCAUGACCGAAAGGGGUUUAGCGGGGCCCCAACAAGUGUUGGGUGAUACAUCUCCAACGUAUCUAUAAUUUUUGAUUGUUCCAUGCUGUUAUAUUAUCAUUCUUGUAUGUUUUAAAAUCAUUUUGUAGUCAUUUUAUAUCAUUUUUGGGUACUAACCUAUUGACAUAGUGCCUAGUGCUAGUUGUUGUUUUCUGCAUGUUUUCUACAUCGCAGGAAAUCAAUACCAAACCGAGUCCAAACACAGUGAAACUUUUUGAGGAUUUUUUUGGGCCAGAAGACAUCCAAUGGGCUAGGAAAGCACCUGGGGGGUGCUCCGAGGGGAGCACAACCCACCAGGGCGUGCCUGGAGGCCCAAGCGCGCCCAGGUGGGUUGUGCCCACCUCGGGUGCCCCGUGAACCGCCUCUUUGCUCUAUAAAUACCCCAAUAUUUCAGAAACCCUAGGGGAGUCGACGAAAAUCAAUUCCAGCCACCACAGAUUCCAGAAACACCAGAUCCAAUCUAGACACCAUCUCGGAGGGGUGCAUCAUGUCCAUUGUUGCCUCUCCGAUGAUGCGUGAGUAGUUCUUUCUAGACCUAUGGGUCCGUAGUUAGUAGCUAGAUGGCUUCCUCUCUCUCUCUCUUGAUUUUCAAUACAAUGGUCUCUUGGAGAUCCAUAUGAUGUAAGUCUUUUGCGGUGUGUUUGUUGGGAUCCGAGAACUUUGAGUUUAUGAUCAAAUCUAUGUUUUUAUCCAUGAAAGUUAUUUGAGUCUUCUUUGAUCUCUUAUAUGCGUGAUUUAUUAUAGCCUCGUAUUUCUUCUCCGAUAUUUGGGUUUUGUUUGGCCAACUUGAUCUAUUUAUCUUGCAAUGGGAAGAGGUGAUUUGUGAUGGGUUCGAUCUUUGUGUGACCAUGUGUCUUCUAUUGGCUAGCAUCUUUGCUUGUUAAAAAUCUAUUGAUAUGGAUCCUCAUCCACUAGCUAAUAUUUUUGAGAGAUCUAGUUAUGUUGAACCAGUUGCUAGUGAUUUGAGUGCACUUGAUUAUCGCUAUGAAGUUUUGCUUGAAAUUCAUGAAUCUGAAAAUUGUGAUGAAGUGCUUAAAGAAGAAAUUUAUGAAGUGAUUCAUGAUAGCUCCUUGAAUAAAAAGCAUUAUUGCAAUGGUGUUACUAUAAAUUCUAUUAAUGUCAAUUGUGCCAAUGUUAUGCAAAACCCCAAGCUUGGGGAUGCUAAUGUUUCUAUGUCCACUAAUUAUUGUAAUGAUCAUGAUUGAGGUGAUUCUUCUUAUGAUCUUGAAAAUUUAUUUAAGCCUCAUGAUGAAUAUGCUAUUGAUAAUAAUUGUCGGUGUACAGAAGUAGGGGUUCUACUUUGUACCCCUUUACCUGUGCAUGGGCAGCCAGAGCCACGGCCACGGCCACACUUAGCAGGGCAUGUAUGGGAAGCCGAAGCCACCAGAAGAUCAAAGGAAUGCCAAGACAGAGACACGAAGAGAAAGAGGGUGAGGUGGACUCCCCCGGCAAGACCCUUGCCGGGGCGGCCUCCACAGCCCCGGCAAGGACCUUGCCGGGGCAGCUUGCCCAACCCCAGCGGAGCACCACCCUUGAGCCCGAGGUUUCCAAUACAAACAAACACAUUGGAACCAAGGCUCACGAGGCGCCUCCAUGGUGGCAUGCAGAUCUUUGUGAAGAUCAUUAACACAUAAUAUCAGGUAAGGACCAGAAGACGAGACCUCCGGCAACAUCCUUGCCUGGGAUGACCGCAGUGCCACGGCAAGACCCUUGCCGCCCCCCGGCAAUACCCUUGCCGAGGACAUUAGCAAGGCCACAGCCAGCCCGCACGCUUCAAGACCCCAUCGCCGUUCCCAUGCAGCUGCCAGCCCAGCCAGGCAGGCAGGCACCUACGUGGCGACGUGCGGUCCCGAGGCCAACUAGGCAAGCACGUGCGUUGUGGCAUGCAGAUCUUCGUGAAGACGCUGCCACCGCGCCACCUCAGCAGCCUGCCAGCCUACAUGGCUCUGCCCGCCCCAUUGGCAUGGGAGUGUGUCGAAGCAGGGCAAGGCGGCGAUAAAGCAGGGGGACACCUCAGAGGUGCAUUUAACGCGUCUUGUCCCGUAAUAGAAAGUGAUAAACAUAGCUACUAUACCCUUUCCACCUCCUAUCACUACAAAAAAAAGACACAUCGAUGACAUUUUGGGCCGAACGAAUUUUUUUCUAUCAUACUUAUGACACUUCUAUGACGAUAAUUGUGACAAAACCCGGUAUCAUCAUAGAUGUGGUGGGCUCCUACAUCUAUGACAAAAAAUCAUGACAGAAAAUGGGCUUUUCGUCCUGGGCGGGCCGGAGACACAGCUACAUGACAUUCUUUGGGCCGUCCAUGACGAAAAAACCGUGGUAGAAGAGAGGGCGAGGAAAAUAUCAGGGUGUUCCCGGUUACGUUGGGUGGUCGGGGCCGAGCGAUGCGCGAUUCUCUCGUACACGUACGCAUGUGGGUGCGAGGCGUUGGGCUAUAACUGAACCCGAGCAAGGCGUUCACCUAUACGGAACCCAAGCGAUUGCACUGCAGGCUACGCGUUACUGAACCCGAGCGAUCGAUCGAUGCAUCGCUGUUAACUGAACCCAAUCGAGCGAUUCCUUCGCUACUACUGCUAAGUGGAGCCNNNNNNNNNNNNNNNNNNNNNNNNNNNNNNNNNNNNNNNNNNNNNNNNNNNNNNNNNNNNNNNNNNNNNNNNNNNNNNNNNNNNNNNNNNNNNNNNNNNNNNNNNNNNNNNNNNNNNNNNNNNNNNNNNNNNNNNNNNNNNNNNNNNNNNNNNNNNNNNNNNNNNNNNNNNNNNNNNNNNNNNNNNNNNNNNNNNNNNNNNNNNNNNNNNNNNNNNNNNNNNNNNNNNNNNNNNNNNNNNNNNNNNNNNNNNNNNNNNNNNNNNNNNNNNNNNNNNNNNNNNNNNNNNNNNNNNNNNNNNNNNNNNNNNNNNNNNNNNNNNNNNNNNNNNNNNNNNNNNNNNNNNNNNNNNNNNNNNNNNNNNNNNNNNNNNNNNNGAUGAACAGGACCCCGUGGUGUUGCCUCUGGAUGAACAGGACCCCGAUCAAUCGAGUAGGUUGGGGCUGGAUGAACAGGACCCCGUGGAGGGUUGGAUGAACAGACGACCCCGUGGAGGGCUAGAUGAACAGUAGAUGGUGGAGGGGUGGAUGAACAGUAGCCCGUGGUGGGGUGGUUGAACAGGAGCCCGUGGAGAGGGGUGGUUGAAUAGUAGUCGAUGGAGUAGCGCGCGGUGGAGGCUGGAUGAACAUGAGCCCGUGGAUGAACAGUCGUAGGUGGAGGCUGGAGGAGGUCGACGGUGGAUGAACAGUAGCCCGUGGAGGCUGGAGGAGGUCGACGGUGGAGAUGAACAGUAUCCCGAGGAGUCCCGUUUUGCGGUACGCCACACCCCUCCCAGUGAACAGGACCCCUGUUUCGACCGUAGUGCUCCAACACAAGUCCGUUUCCUCCAUUUUGCGGUACGCCACACCCCUCCUGAUCAGCAGGACCCCGUUUCGACCGUAGGAGGUCCAACACAAGUCCGUUUCCUCUGUUUUGCAGUACGCCAGACCCCUCCCGAUGAACAGAAUCCCGUUUCAAACGUGGCCGGUCAAACACAAGGCUGUUUCCUCCGUUGUGCGGUACGCCAGGCCUCGUUUCCAUCGCCUAUUCCGUCCAAGCCCUCCCGAUGAACACUGUCGGCGUCCUGGGAACGAGGGUCCCCAGACUUGCCUGCAUGCGGCCUGCAACGUGGCUCAACUAGUGGCCCAGUACGGCCCGUCUUCAUCAACAAAUGCUCAAGACCCUCGCGAUGGGCCAAGACUUGCAGGGCGGACGGUGCAAGGCCUCCUUAGGGGCGGCCUCAGCAGGCAGGCUCGCGAGGAGGCGGAAAGAUCAAGGCAAGGGGUACCUCGCGAGGUGCUCAUGACGCAAGCCAUGAUGAUCAAGACCAGGCGGGCGCCAGCCUGCGCAGUGUCCUUGUUUCCUCUUUGGUGCAAAGGGGGCAAGCGCAGGCGCGGAGUACCGAGGCAUCAGGCAAAGGUUUCCAUAUUGGUGCAACGAGACCAAGACCAGCAGAGCGGUAGGAUGUAGGUCACCGUGGAGCCCAAGACGGCGUCAUCACCAGUGUCUUUGGCAGUCGAAGACCACCUUUAGUCCGGAUAGCUUGUACUAGCUGUCCCCUUUCAAAAUGGCCGUUGCUGGCUCCCUUCCCGCUCAAUAUUUGGGAAGAGGACCUGGGCCUCUAUAAAUAGAGAUAGCCACCACAGUAGAAGACGAGUUAAGUUCAUCCACAUACGACCACCACAAGAACACCUCUCGCGAGGCUGUUCUUCCUCUGUAUUGUUCAUUAUCAGCCCAAGAGGCAAUCCACCACACCACACACAGGAGUAGGGUAUUACACCACAACGGUGGCCCGAACCUGUAUAAAUCUUGUGUCUCUUGUGUUGUUCAUCAUGUUAACUUAGAUUUGCGGCGAGGUUUUGGGACGUGAAUCAGUAGGGAGAAGAUCUUUGUGCGCACCCCAGAGUUCGAACCUUAAGGGUUUUGUCGGAACCCGAUCUCCAACAUUUGGCGCGCCAGGUAGGGGUGCGCCGGAGCUUUCCCUUUCGUCGACCCGCUCUCCACCAACACCGCGCCUCGCCCUCAUGGCGGACAAUGCGCCACCGGCUCCGGCGGCUGACGCAAGCGCUGGGGCCAAGGGGCUCCGAGGCUUGGCCCCCGCCUUGCGGCAGGUGUAGUGGCUACACAAGUUCAAGCCAGAGAUGCCGCUGCGCUACAACGGCGCGGCAGACCCGCUGGCUUUCCUGCUGGCAUAUGAAGAGGCCGUCCUCAAGGCCGGAGGCGACGACAAGGUCAUGGCCAACUAGUUUCCGAUGGCCCUCACCGGCAUGCCGCGCGUUUGGCUGCUCCACCUGCCAACAUCUUCUGUGGCCUCCUGGGAGGAGCUGGGCAACCUCUUCCUCACCCACUAAGCUGCGCCGCCGCCCCCGGUCGCUGCAGCUUUCCUGGGCGGCUUGCAGGCGCCACCUUUGAGCCACCACGUCAAGCCAUUCGUCCGCCAGAUCGGCGCUGCCCUCACGCGGCAGGGAGCUCCUCCGGUUUGGGUGGCACCCAAGGCCAACCUGACCUUCAACUCGGAUGAUCACCCCGUCAACAUUGCCUACUCGGGUGUGCUCCCAAUGCUUUGCACACCCACCAUCUGCCAGGUGGUGUCGGAUAUCGGGUUUCGGCAAAACCCUUAAGGUUCGAACUCUGGGGUGCGCGCGAAGAUCUUCCCCCUACCGAUCCAUGUCCCAACGCCUCGCUGAGAAUCUAAGCUAAAUGAUGAACAACACGAGGGACACAAGAUUUAUAAUGGUUCGGGCCACCGUUGUGGUUUAAUACCCUACUCCAGUGUGUGGUGUGGUGGAUUGCCUCAGGGGCUGAUGAUGAAUAGUACAAGGGAAGAACAUCCUCGCGAGAGGUGUUCUUGUGGUGGUGAUUUGAGAAGGAUUCGAUCCGCUCUCGAUGGCUCUGGAUCAGAUCCUGAUGAUAUGUCCCUCUACUAUGGUGGCUAGCCCUAUUUAUAGAGGCCCUAGUCCUCUUCCCAAAUAUUGAGCGGAAUGGGUGCCAACAACGGCCAUUUUGAAGCGGAACAUCUAGUACAAGUUAUCCUGACUAAAGUUGGUCUUCGGCUGCCAAAGGCACUGGCGAUGACGCCGUCUUGGGCUCCACGGUGACCUCCGUCCUGCCGCUCUACUGGUCUUGGUCUCGUUGCACCGAAAUGGUAACCUUUGCUUGAUGCCUCGGUACUCCACGCCUGUGCUUUCCCCCUUUGCACCAAAGAGGAAAUAAGGACACUGCGCAGGCCGGCGCCCGCCUGGUCUUGGUCGUCAUGGCUUGCGCCACAAGCACCUCGUGAGGUAUCCCUUCCUUGAUCUCUCCGCCUCCUCGUGAGCCUGCCUAGUGAGGCCGCUCCUGAGGAAAUCUUUCAUCGUCCACCCCGCGAGGGUCUUGAGCUCGAGUUGAUGAAGAUGGGCCGUACUGGGCCACCACUUGAGCCACGCCGCAGGCUGCAGGCAGGCAAGUUUGGGGACCCCCGUUCCCAGAACGCCAACAGUAGCCCCCGGGCCCAAGGCGCGCUUGGACUUGGCUUAGCAGAGAAGCGAAAGGGCAAGUGCGGAGUGCCGUGGGCCCCACAACCUGCGGCCUUGGUCACCAUGUGGCGGUUGAUUGGACGUGGACGUCCCCGCUUCCCCAUGCUGCCUCAGCAACUGCCCGACUUGACAAGUCCCUGCAUGCAAAAAUGAGUCAUGAUUACCUGCGACCGUGGAGCCCGACGGUUGGCCUCCUUUGGGCUAUAAAUGCGAGGGGGGGCGCGAGCCCUCGCAGUCCAUCUCUUCCUACUCCGCUCCUUCUUCCUUGCUCCUCCCCCAUCUGCUUGUUGUGUCCCAUGGCGCCUACGAAGAGGUUCUCGGCCUUAGAGAAGGGGAAGGCUCACCAGGAAGGGCCUGGCUCUCCUCCGCCCAAGUGCGGUCGAGGCCGUUCCCGCAAGCACCCCGCGACUCCCGCAGUGGCCGCCCGUGGUCGCGGCGGAGGUCUUUCGCGCGGUGAAGGUCACUCGAUUGGCGGGGGAAGACGCGUCGUGGCUGCGUGGCCUCCCCGCCCGCGCUUUCACUCGGCAGAGGUGCUGCCGAAGUUUGUCGUUUGGUCGGCGGAUCCGACCAGCAACUGGCUUCAGCUCCCGCGCUUCUUCGCCGGCGAACUACCGGCAGGUGCCACUGGUGGGCUCUGGCUUCAGGCGGACGGCUACUGCAGCAGAGCCUCCUGGGUCGCGGUGGAGGUCUCCGUCGCCGGGAACGUGGCCUUGGCUCGCGGCUGGCAGACGUUUGCCCGCGCGCGUGGCCUGGGCCGAUGGUGCACCCUGCAUUUCAAGUUUGACGGUGACGCCACCCUCUACGUGAGGGUGUUCGGAGAGGACGGCCGCCGUGUCGGGUUCUGCCCUAAAGAUGAUGACGGCUGUCGGUGUCAAAACCGGCAGAUCUCGGGUAGGGGGUCCCGAUCUGUGCGUCUUAGGCUGAUGGUAACAGGAAGCAAGGGACACAAUGUUUACCCAGGUUCGGGCCCUCUCGAUGGAGGUAAAACCCUACUUCCUGCUUGAUUAAUAUUGAAGAUAUGAGUAGUACAAGAGUAGAUCUACCACAAGAUCGUAGAGGCUAAACCCUAAGAGCUAGCCUAUGAUGGUAUGAUUGUAAUUGUGAUCGGCCUUCUAAGGACCAUCCUCUCCGGUUUAUAUAGACAGCGGAGAGGGUUAGGGUAUACAUGGAGUCGGUUACAAGGAAGGAAAUACAAUAUCCGGAUCGCCAAGCUUGUCUUCCACGCAAAGGAGAGUACCAUCCGGACACGGGCCAAAGUCUUGAGUCUUGUAUCUUCACGCUUCAAUAGUCCGGACUGUGUAUACAGUCCGGCUGUCCGGAUACCCCCUUAUCCAGGACUCCCUCAGUAGCCCCUGAACCAGGCUUCAAUGACGAUGAGUCCGACGCAUAGUCUUGUCUUCGGCAUUGCUAGGCGAGUUCCUUCUCCGAAUACUCCAAUGUACCCAUCACGACUAACAGUGUCUGGCAUCCCAUCAAUGUUGUACUCCUCGGCUUCAGUGCUUUAAUAAUGACCAUUUCCACGUGUCGAGCGAAUGCGAGGAGUCGAAGCAUUUUUGGAUUUGCCACCCUCGGUCCUUCGGGCUAACCGUCUAUUUGAAGAGACGGAGAUUCCCAGAUCCAAACCUCACUCUCUCUCCUUGAGAAAGCAUCCAACAGAGCGCCCGGAAGAAACCAUUCCAACAUGGCCGGUCGUUGCAGCUCUUCUGCUCUCUCCCCUUGCCCCAAGCAGGGGGACUGGGGAGAGUGUUCAGUUUCUCAUAGCCAUUUGAUAAAGUUACAAACCCAAGGGCUCCUCCCGCCGGUGUUCAUGGUCCCUGUUCGAGCCGGGGUGCCACCUAUAACGGCGGAGAACAAGCGGAGAGAUCUCCCAAUCCAUCUCCAGAGGAGCGAAUAUGCCUCAUUCCGCAUCUGUUAAGGGGUGUCGGGUUCCCUAUUCAUCCAUUCCUUCACGGGCUCCUGGAGUUCUACGGCCUCCAGUUGCACAACUUUACCCCAGCCUCCGUACUACAUAUAGCAGGGUAUGUCGCCCUUUGUGAGCUAUUUCUAGGUUGCGAGGCUCAUUUCAGAUUGUGGAAGAAGUUGUUCUGCCUUGUCCCCCGCAACCAGGGAGAAUCCCUAUGUCAAGUGGGCGGGGCCGAAGUAUGGCGUAUCGCUGAGACCAGAUACCUAUCCGACACUCCCAAGAAGGCACCAGAUAAGUGGGCUUCAGAGUGGUUUUAUAUUGAUGAUGCUCCCCUUCCUGAUCCAGUCCGGACAUGACUCCCCAAGUUCAGUAACACCCCGCCGAGGGCACGUCUAAGCUGGCGCCCCCGAGGCCCCCAAGAAGAGGAUUCCUAGGAAAUACAUUUCCUGAUGAAGUUACUGGCCAAAUCCGGACUGACGAUAGUCGAGGUCAUGGCAAUAUGCAUAAUGAGGGGAGUGCAACCACUUCAAUAUCGGGGCAAUCCCAUGUGGCAUUACAACGGGACAGAUGAUGCCACCCGUUGCGGCCGUAAGGGUCCGGACUCCGCCACUGCGCUGGCAAGGAUAUUGUCCGAUCUAUACAAAGGAGAAGAGGAAGACUUCCUUCAUAUCAAACCGCGAGACGGAUUCUCCAUGUACAAUCCCCCAAACUGGGUAAGUUGUCAUUUAUGUUCUCGCUUCACUUAUCGUGGCGUUCUUUGCUAAGGUUACCUGCCUCGAUGUUUCCAAGCAGGAACUGAGGAGGGCUGUAGAAGGAAUCUCCAGCCCUUCCCCGCAGCCAGAGGACCCUGAAAGGGCCCUAGACCCAGGACUCGAAGAAGACCCGGAUGCGGCCGUGGAGCUUGUCAACGGGAUAUUUUAUCGGGCGAGCCGUGACGGCACCUCAGUGGCUAUUACUGCUGAUUAACCUAGACUGCUACCUUCGUCGCGUGUAAGCCAAGCCGAAAACUCGAUCCUCCUAAGAGGAUUCUUUCCUAAUGUCACGCUUUAUCCCUGAUGCAUCAUGUUUUGCAGAAACGACGCUCAGAGCGCAGGGCUAAGCCCCUAGGGACCCGUCAGCCACAGGCGUCCGGAUUGGGUAGGCUCAAGAGGAAGGCGGUUAGGGCCGACAUGCCUAUACAGAGGUAAGGAAACAACUUGUCAUGUAAUUAUUGCUACUUCAAGUGUAACAACGCCCUUUACAUCCUGGCAGGAAGAGGGGUAUCCGGACUAUAUCCGGGGAUCCUGCCAACCACGCCUCCACUAGUCGGGCUCCAGAACCAACUUUGAGAGAGGAGGCGGACGUAGGGCCCAUGCCGCAUAGUCCUCCGACAGAGGAUGCGUAUAUGCUUUCGGCCACAAACUCCGAAGUGGAGAGUGCCAUGAAUCACCGGCGCCGGAGGGCCGUGCUUCGAAACAACAUCUUUUUCGAAGAGGCCUUUAAUGCCUUCAAUUCGGCAGACGCAUACAUCCGAGCUGCUCAAGGCGGGCUUGCCCAAGCGACGAACCAGUAUACCAAAGAUGUACGGGUAAGAAAUUGUGAUAAGUAUGUAUAGCAGUAGCCCGUGAGACUUGAAACGGUUGGAACAACAGUUUUAAGUAUCAAUUUGUGCGCAGGUUCUUGUAGAUAAGAAUGAGCAAUUGUCUCGGGAGCUAGAAGAGUGCAAGACCCAACUAAGGGCCACAGUUGCCAAGCUAGAGGAAUCCCAGAAGGCCUCAUACGGCAAUCAUUUAUCUCGAUUGUACGAAAAUGUACCAGAUAGCAACUAGCUGGCAUGACAAACAAGAAAUUCUAUAGAUAACCCCGGUGUGAAUCCGGAGGGCGAGAGAGAUGACGAGUCGCAUCUCCAGAGGCAACUAAAGGCUGGCAAGCGCAUACUCACGCAAGUGCGGCAGGAGAAGAACAAUCUUCAAGAUGCCAAUGUCCGGCUGGACAUAGAGUUAAAAGACGUCCGCGCCCAGCUGGCGGACUCCGUAAAGGAGAAUAAAAGGCUUUGACGCGGCAUUUAUGGUGAGUUCCUAGACGAACUGUAUGACAGUUCGGCGAGGAAGUGUAUUGAAAGAAUUUUUCUUGUAGGAAUGUUAACGGGUCACCCUCAUCUACAGGUGAUGUACUGCAAGAACUUUCACAGUUGCACGAGCGAGCUCGGCGGGUGAUGCACGUCGUUGCUCAGGCCUUGUGGCCAUCAAGCCCCCUGCCAAGUGGCAUAGGGGAGCUUGUGGACCUGCUUCAAGGAGCCCGACGGCGCUUCCGGCUGUGGAAGAUAUCAGCAUGCCGGCAAGGUGCAAGAGAAGCUUGGGCAAUGGUGAAGACGCGCUACACCAAGCUGGUCCCAAACCAUAUGGCUGAAGUAGGACCGGCGGGGCCCGAUGGGCAAGAAACCCCCGUAAGUCUGGUAUAUGACCAGGUAGUGUUGGCCGCUAAGUAUUCUCAACAGGAUUGUAAACUAGAUAGCCUGUUGGAUGGCAUAGAGGAGGAAUAUAGUCAGUCCAAGUGACCGUGUAAUUUAAGGGCAUAAGUAGCCCCUAGCCGGAUUAAAAUCAUUUGUCAUGGCAGACCUUUUCGCUUCAACCCCCGGGUCCUAUAGUCCGGGAUGUGUCCGAAUACCUGCUCAGUUAUACAAAAACGGGGUAUGCGUGGAGACCAGGCGUAGAGGUCAUAAGUGCUUGAACAGACAAGUACCCAACUAGUUAUGUUAUAUUACAUGGAUAGUAAGAAACAUCUUCCAGGGAGAAUAGUUCCGUUAGGGGUUCCUUUCCCUGGGGGUGCAUGCGGCAAAGCACAUGCCCGGACUGCGGACAAAGGCGCAGGAUACAAAUCUUCUGGGGAUUUAUGUUAUGAAAAACAAAAACAUCUUUUGUUCCCGGCCGAAUAUUCUCUUAAGGAAACUAGCUUUCGGCUUCACCCAGUCUGAGGUACACAUCCGGCUCAACCGACAGUAACAAUCGCAGAGGUGCUCCCCUUAUGCCCUAGCCGAAUUAACGGGAACGUAGGGCAUAAACACAGGAGCCAGGCAACCCAGCUUGGCCAUGUCUUAAGUCAUAUCGAUGCAUAUAAUGGUGAAGAAAAGGCACACAUAAAAAGAAACUCAUAUGUGAUGGGCAAAAAUCCUUUAGAGUAAUUUAUAUUUAGCUUCCGUAUAGGAAGCCCCCAGGUAUUGUUUACACACAUAGUGUGGCCGGAAUAAUCCGGGAGUCCGUACUGUAUGAAAUACUUUGUGUGAAGAGAAAAGGAUCGAGAGAGGACGAGGGAGGGAGCAUAAAUGAAAGGAGGAGGUGAAGAGACAAACACUGAGUUCGGCGCUAGGCGUAGAAUCUCCGGAGUCUGGCCGCGUUCCAUGGGUUCGGCUCGAGUCUGUUAUCAGAUGCAUUACAUAAGCGGUACGCUCCUCCGGUGAAAACUUGGUCAAUGACGAAGAGGCCUUCCCACUUGGGUUUGAGCUUGUCCUUCUUCUUCUCCAGUAAGCGUAGAACGAGUUCGCCAAUAUUAUAAGUUUUGGCCCGUACUUCUCUGCUUUGGUAUCGUCGAGCCUGUUGCUGAUAGAAUGCGGAACAGGCCUUAGCGACAUCGCGCUCCUCCUCCAGGGCAUCCAAGUUAUCCUGCCAAUCUAACUCGGCUUCCGUUUCUUCGUACAUGCGUAUGCGUGGCGAAUCAUGUAUUAUGUCGCAAGGUAAUACUGCUUCUGCACCAUACACCAUAAAAAAUGGUGUAUAUAUGGUGGUGCAAUUCGGCGUGGUCCGCAGCCCCCAGAGUACGGAGUCGAGCUCCUCGACCCAAUGAGUAUCCGACUCUGUCAAGGUUUGCACUAGUCUGGGUUUAAUGCCACUAAUGAUGAGACCGUUUGCCCGUUCGACCUGGCCAUUUGUUUGAGGAUGGUAUAGGGAAGCAUAGUCGAGCUUGAUGGCCAUUUUGCCGCGCCAAGAUUUCACCUCAUCGGCCGUGAAGUUUGCGCCAUUAUCGGUGAUGAUGCUGUGGGGGACACCUUAUCGGUGUACGACCCCGGAUAUAAAGUCGAUUACUGGUCCGGAUUCGACCAUUUUCACUGGUUUGGCUUCUAUCCAUUUGGUGAACUUAUCUACCAUGACUAAUAGGUAUUUUUUCUUGUGGCUUCCCCCUUUAAGGGGUUCGACCAUAUCCAGCCCCCAGACCGCGAAGGGACAAGUUAUGGGGAUAGUUUGGAGAGCGGUAGGGGGCAUAUGACUCUGAUUGGCAAAGAGCUGGCAACCGACGCAAUGUUGGACGAGGUCCUAUGCGUCUUCUCGGGCCGUCGGCCAACAGAAGCCUGUACAGAAGGCCUUGCUGACUAGUGAUCGAGCCGCGGCGUGGUGCCCGCCUAGUCCGGCAUGGAUUUUAGCCAAGAGCUGUCGCCCUUCCUCUCCGGAGAUGCACCUUUGAAGCACUCCGGUUCCACUUUUCUUAUAGAGUUCCCCUUCAUGGACUUUAUAAGCUUUGGAACGCCGGACAAUGCAGCGUGCUUCAUUUUGGUCUUCGAGGAGCUCCUGCCUAUUUAGGUAGGCCAAGAAGGGUUCAGUCCACGGGGCGAUGACGACCAUUAUUUCAUGGGCCGACGUUGUUAUUUCGGUGGUAGAGCCUCCGAUUAUGUCUGUUAGUUCAGAAUCUGGGGAUGUAUUCGGAUCCGUGCUGGUAUUGCCGGACUCUCCUUCCCAUACCACGGAUGGCUUGAACAACCUUUCCAGGAAUAUGUUAGGUGGGAAAGGGUCGCGUUUAGCGCCGAUGCGAGCAAGUACAUCUGCCACUUGAUUGUUUUCUCGAGCCACAUGGUGAAAUUUGAGCCCCUCGAACCGAGGUGACAUUUUAAGGAUGGCAUUACGGCAGGCCACCAUUUUCGAAUCCUUGGCAUCAAAGUCUCUGUUUAUUUGGGAUAUUGCAAGGUUUGAAUCCCCGCGCACCUCUAGGCAUUGAAUGCCCAUAGAGACUGCCAUCCGAAGAUCGUGCAACAAAGCCUCAUAUUCGGCUGUAUUGUUGGAGUCUGUGUAUAAUAUUUGGAGGACAUAUUGGACCGUGUCUCUGGUGGGAGACGUCAGGACUACGCCUGCUCCCAAUACGGCCAGCAUUUUAGAGCCGUCAAAGUGCAUGAUCCAGUUAGAGUAUGCGUCGUACUCUUUAGGGAGUUCGGCUUCCGUCCAUUCGGCGACAAAUUCAGCUAAUACUUGCGACUUGAUAGCCCGCCGAGGCUUGUCUAUUAUGUCAAACGGAAGGAGCUCAAUGGCCCAUUUAGCGAUCCGGCCCGUGGCAUCACGGUUAUUUAUUAUAUCGUUUAGUAGUACCUCAGAGGACACCAUAAUCGAACACUCUUGGAAAUAGUGUCGUAGCUUUCGGGAUGCCAUGAAGACCGCGUAUGCUAUUUUUUGAUAGUGUGGGUAUCGGGAUUUGCAUGGGGUGAGGACCAUGGAUACAUAGUAAAUCGGCUUCUGUAGAGGUAAUUUGUAUCUGUCAUCCUCUCGUUCAACGACGAGUACUGCGCUUACAACUUGAUGUGUUGCAGCUAUGUACAACAGCAUAGGUUCGCCGAUAUUUGCCGCUGUUAGGACUGGAUUUUUGGCCAAUAAGGUCUUUAUUUCAUCGAGUCCGGCCGCGGCUGCAUCCGUCCACAUGAAGUGUUCGGUGCGGCGAAGAAGGCGGUAAAGAGACAAUGCCUUUUCUCCUAACUUGGAGAUAAAGCGGCUCAAAGCAGCCAUGCAUCCAGCUAGUUUCUGGAUGUGUUUGAGGUCUGUUGGUAUAGCCAACUGCGACAAAGCUCAGAUUUUUGCCGGAUUAACUUCAAUUCCUCUAUUGGAAACAAUGAAGCCAAACAGUUUUCCAGAGGGGACGCCGAAAACGCAUUUCUCGGAUUCAGCUUGAUGUCGUAUGUUCGUAGGUUGUCGAACGUAAGCCUCAAGUCAUCUAUUAGGGUUUCGACGUGUCUUGUUUUUAUGACAACGCCGUCCAUGUAUGCCUCCACUGUUCUGCCGAUUUGCUUUUCCAGGCAUGUUUGAAUCAUGCGUUGAUAGGUUGCGCCGGCAUUCUUGAGCCCGAAAGGCAUAGUGUUGAAGCAGAAAGGGCCAUAUGGUGUUAUGAAAGCUGUAGCAGCUUGGUCGGACUCUGCCAUCUUUAUUUGAUGGUAUCCAGAGUAUGCGUCGAGGAAACACAGCGAGUCGUGUCCUGCUGUGACAUCGAUGAUUUGAUCGAUGCGAGGGAGGGGAAAGGGAUCCUUGGGGCAAGCAUUGUUAAGGUCUUUGAAGUCGACGCACAGGCGCCACGAUUUGUCCUUCUUUGGUACCAUUACCAAGUUCGCCAGCCAAUCCGGAUGUUUGAUAUCUCUGAUGAAUCCGGCCUCAAGUAGCUUGGCUAGAUCCUCCCCCAUGGCUUGUCGUUUAGGCUCUGAAAAUUGCCUUAGGGUCUGUUUGACGGGUUUGUAUCCCUUUAGUAUGUUGAGGUUGUGUUCGGCCAAUUCGCGCGGGAUGCCUGGCAUGUCCAGUGGGUGCCAGGCAAAAAUGUCCCAAUUCGCGCGUAAGAAGUCUCGCAGUGCAGCGUCCAUAGUGGGGCCUAACUGUGUCCCGAUGGAGGCUGUCUUCGUGGGGUCCGUAGGGUGGACUUGGAAUUUGACAAUCUCAUCUGCGGGCUUAAACAAGGUGGACUUGGGUUGUUUGUCGAGUAUCACGUCGUUCCUGUCCACGGUGGCACGCAACAUUGAUAAUUCUUCCACUGCUAGGGCUUCGGAUAGUGCCUCCAAGGCUAGUGCUGCGGAUUUGUUUUCGGCACGGAGUGCGACGUCCGGAUCACUAGCUAGAGUGAUGAUUCCAUUGGGUCCGGGCAUUUUAAGCUUCAUGUACCCGUAAUGGGGUAUAGCUUGGAAGCUUGCAAACGCGUCCUGCCCUAGAAGGGCGUGGUAUCCGCUGCUGAAAGGGGCCACAUGGAACACGAUUUCUUCGGACCUGUAAUUCUCUGGGGUGCCGAAUACCACAUCAAGUGUGAUUUUCCCCACGCAUCGCGCCUCCCGACUAGGGAUAAUUCCCCUGAAGGUUGUGCCGCUUUGCUCAAUGCGGCCUUUAUCAAUUUCCAUUUUCUUGAGUGUUUCUUCGUAGAUCAAGUUUAAUCCGCUCCAGCCGCCCAUGAGCACUUUAGUGAGCCGACAGCUGUCCACUAUUGGACUAAGGACCAAAGCGGCUGGUGCCCGGGCAGUCCGGAAUUGGGGCUCGUCACUGGCACUGAAAGUUAUAGCAGUGUCGUUCCACGGAUUUACUUUUUCCACAUGGCAGAUUUCAGCAGAGCUUUGAUGGGCUCGCUUGCGCCUAUUGUUUGAGGUGAAAGUCUCGAACACCGUUAGUACCGUAUUGUGUUCCUUGGCGGGAUGCUGUUCGGCUUUAUGGCUCUCGAGGAGAUCCUCGCCACUCUUAGCUACUUGCCGGAGUAUCCAACAUGCCCUAAGGCUAUGGGUUGGUAUUGCGUCCGGCGUACUGUGAAGCUUACAUGGCCCAUUGAGCCAUCCUUCCAAUAUGGUUCCACGCCCUGGGGCGGGUUUUGGUUUCUUGGGAAUUGAAUUGGUCGAUUUGCGAGAGUUCGGUCGUUUAGUUCGGACCAAGGUUCUGGUGAGGGCCGUACUAUCCCAAAAUUCGGUUUGGGUUUUCCAGGUGCUUUCCAUCGAACUGUACUUCUGUACGAUAGUCACUAAGUCCGCAAAGUGUGCUAUGUCACGACGGCUUAUAGCAUUAAGGAAUCCUUUGUUUGUGCGGUUUUUUUAGAAAAGUGAGACUACAUCCUCCUCAUGGCAGUCCUCGACCUUGUUAAGCGCAAGGAGGAAUCUGGCCCAGUAAUGGUGUACCAUCUCCAGGGGCUCUUGCCUGAUGCGGGAGAGACGGUUUAAGUCCCAGCGAGCAUCGUUGGCCGAAUCCGGAUCUUGAUCCGAUCUGACACCCGGGGGCACGAAAGGUUUCGAGCCCGGCAGUUCGAGGUCCGGAGUAUCACCCAAUCUCUUUGGCCCGAUGCUUGACUCUAAGUCCGGGACUCGGGUCAUGUCUUCAUUUGAGUAGGUGUCCGGCUUACUGAGUUCGGUGAUCCGGACAUAAUCCGUCCUCAAAGUUGAGGGGUGAUCCGUGUGUGGUUCCUCCACUACCGCUAUCUCAUGGGUGGCCGGCAGGGAUAUGAUGUCCCUAUGGUCGGGUUUAAGCCCAAUCCGUAGCGACUCCCAAAGCGGCGAUGCGAUCCAGGAGAUCAUUAAGAGAGGAGAGCUCUACCGGAUCCAUCUGUUCGGCAAGCUCCGAAUUGAUGCGAAGGCUAUGCGUGAUGACCCGAGAGGCCAUUCUUGGUGCGACAGCCAAUGGGACGGCCAUAAUGAAGCCGCCAAGUCAGAGGGUCUGGCCCACAGCCAGCGUUCCUCCAGAGAUGAUGUCGUCCUUGACAACGAAUUGAGCCAUCGAGCCUUGCAGCGACGACACAGAGGAACUCUCAAUGAAAGCACCAAUGUCGGUGUCAAAACCGGCGGAUCUCGGGUAGGCGGUCCCGAUCUGUGCAUCUUAGGCUGAUGGUAACAGGAAGAAAGGGACACAAUGUUUACCCAGGUUCGGGCCCUCUCGAUGGAGGUAAAACCCUACUUCCUGCUUGAUUAAUAUUGAAGAUAUGAGUAGUACAAGAGUAGACCUACCACGAGAUCGUAGAGGCUAAACCCUAAGAGCUAGCCUAUGAUGGCAUGAUUGUAAUUGUGAUCGGCCUUCUAAGGACCAUCCUCUCAGGUUUAUAUAGACACUGGAGAGGGCUAGGGUUUACAUGGAGUCGGUUACAAGGAAGGAAAUACAAUAUCCGGAUCGCCAAGCUUGUCUUCCACGCAAAGGAGAGUCCCAUCCGGACACGGGCCGAAGUCUUGAGUCUUGUAUCUUCACGCUUCAAUAGUCCGGACGGUGUAUACAGUCCGGCUGUCCGGAUACCCCCUUAUCCAGGACUCCCUCAACAGCGAGCGGGUGCUUAGCCUCGGCGACGUCCGUGACGAAGACAAAGGCGGGCCCGUGCCUGGAGGCGUUCGCAGAUCACCAAGCUUCAGCGGCUCCCCCUCUGAUGACAGCUCCUCCAGCGGCGGUCGUGAUCAACCACCGCAGCGCCGCACUCGCUUCGAGGGGUGUAGCGGGUCAUCCCGCCAUCACACAUCGAUGAAGAGUGAGGAGGGGUCUGAUUGAGCUCUGGAGGGCGGUGUGAACCCCCCUCCACGUGCCGUCGCCAGGCAGGCCGCAUUUAUUUUGUUUUUCCCCUUGCUAGAUUGUUGCCUUUAAUUAAUAUGCUAUUCCAUUAUUUCCAUGCUGUGCUACGGUACUGUGUGCUCAUGCGUAGGAACANNNNNNNNNNNNNNNNNNNNNNNNNNNNNNNNNNNNNNNNNNNNNNNNNNNNNNNNNNNNNNNNNNNNNNNNNNNNNNNNNNNNNNNNNNNNNNNNNNNNNNNNNNNNNNNNNNNNNNNNNNNNNNNNNNNNNNNNNNNNNNNNNNNNNNNNNNNNNNNNNNNNNNNNNNNNNNNNNNNNNNNNNNNNNNNNNNNNNNNNNNNNNNNNNNNNNNNNNNNNNNNNNNNNNNNNNNNNNNNNNNNNNNNNNNNAGUCUUCGCCUCCUCGUGAGGCUCCUGCCUGAAGCCUCGUCGAGCGUCUUGAGGCUUGCAAAAAUUAACUGGACAGAUAGCUUUUGAACCCUUGUCGUGAGGGUGACUGGCCCAGGUCCUACAUUCGUGUCGCGAUUCCCGUGGGGCAUGGACUAGGAGGAGCGCUCCCGCUGUGAACUUGAGUAGGGAAGCCUCACGAAAUUAGGUCAGAAGAUACUCGCGAGGGUGCCCACGCAGCCCCCUCGCGAGGCUUGCGGAAGAGAAGUCGAGUCAGGUGAGCAACAAAAACAGAGAAUCACGGGCCGGGGACAGCAAACAACACCAAAAGCAACUCCAAUAAAGUUUCGAACAAGGGUGAACAAGCCAACUGCAGAAAGCAAAUGAAAAGCCGCGUCCAGCGCCUAAUCUAGUCUUUGACGUCUUCUCACCAGCGCGGAGCUAAGUGCUGCCACUGGGCGUGGGCGGGAACCCCCGAGCCCAAGGGCGGCACUCCGGAGACUCCAGGGCGUGUACAUCCCCAACUCGUUAUUACGUGAGAGUGUCAUGGGCGGCGAGCUUCACAGGCAUUGGCCUUCUUCACAGGCACCGGGCCUUUUCUCGGGGCGAUGAGCUUCACAGGAACUGGGCCUUCUUCAUAGGCACCGGCCUUACUUCAAGGGUAAAAUCUCCGGAGGUGCUGAAUGUUCCACGCGUUCGGGAUGGGCACCCCCUCCUGUGUCUCCAAGCGCGCGGCGCCAGGUCUGGAAACAUGAACAACCUUGAACGGGCCCUCCCACAUGGGUGAGAGCUUGUGCAUCCCUUCCCUGGAGAGCACCCGCCUGAGCACGAGGUCACCUACCUCGACAGUCCUGGCGUGGAUGUUGCGGCAAUGGUACCGUUGCAGUGCCUGCUGGUAUCUUGCCGCCCGAAGUGCGGCCUCCCGGCGGUGUUCCCCCCUAGCACGAGAUCCAUCCCCCACAUGGCGUCCUGCCGCGCUUCGUCAAACACCAGGACCCGCGAAGAGCGACGCCUGACCUCAUGAGGGAGGACCGCCUCUGCUCCGUAGAUGAGGAAGAACGGGGUUUCGCCGGUUGACUUGGUAGCGGUCGUGCGGAUGGACUACAACACGGGCUGGAGCUCGUCGUACCAGCCCCUGCCGCAGGCCUCCAGCUUCUUCUUUAAGGUCCUGGUUUUGAGGCCUUUUAGGACCUCCACGUUGGCACGUUUGGCCUUGCCGUUGCUCCGAGGGUGUGCCACCGAAGCGUAGCAUAUCUGCGUUCCAAGGUUAGCACAAUAUGUUUUGAAGAGAUUGCUGGUGAACUGCGAACCGUUGUCGGUGAUGAUGCGAUUAGGCACCUCGAACCGGCUCACAAGGCCCUUGAUGAACUUGACUGCUAACCAGCUGGGAUGGUGCUGACAACUUCCACCUCUGCCCACUUGGUGAACUUGUCAAUGGCGACGUAGAGGUAGCGAUAGCCCCCUGGCGCCUGGGGAAACGGGCCCAAAAUGUCUAGCCCCCAAAUCACGAACGACCAUGAGAGUGGAAUGUUCUGCAGGCCCUGAGCCGACUGAUGAGUCUGCUUGGCGUGGAAUUGACAGGCUUCAUUGAGUGCUGUAGGCCAAUAAAAUCCGCUACAAAAUGCCUUGUCGACGAGGGUCCGUGAAGACGAGUGGUGACCACAGUCUCCAUCGUGAAUGUCUGCCAGCAACUCUUUCCCCUUGCUCUGUGGAGAUGCAACAUAGGGAAACAUCAUUUGGCCGCUUCUAGUAGAGCUCUCCGUCUUGGACACAGUAGGCCAUGGCCUGCCGCGCCACACGUUCUGCGUCCUCCUCCUUCUCUGGUAGAGUCCCUUGCAUUAGGUAAUCCUUGAGUUCUGCAGUCCAACAUCCCUCUUGAGGCUCCAGCGCCAGGAGCAAGCGUGCUCCUGAGAUCGGGCCACAGGACGGAGCUCCUGAGGCAGGUGGUUGAGGGAGUUCCUCCCGAGGCUGUGCUGCAAUUGAUAGUGGCAGUGCUACUGAGGGCUUGAAGAGUUGUUCCUUAAAGACGCCGGGAUCUUGAGGCAGUUGCCUGGACGCCCUCCUGGUGAUGUCAUCAGCCUCUUGAUUGGUGCCGCGUGGCACAUGCUGCAACUCCAACCCCCAGAACUGCUUUUCCAUUCUGCGGACGUCCGCAAGAUACGCUUCCAUGUGCUCGUCCUUCGGCUCAUACACCUUGUUGGAGAAGUUGACGAGGAGCUGUGAAUCACCCUUGAUGAUGAGGCGCUUUACCCCCAAGGCCGAUGCGGCCUUCAAGCCUGCUAUCAGGCCCUCAUAUUCUGCUAUGUUGUUGGAGACCUUCUCUCCAUGCUGGAAACAGAGCUGUACGGCAUAAUAGAGCUUGUCCUGAGUGGAGAUAUAAGUACUGCGCCAGCCCCCAGGCCAUGUCGCGAGAACGCUCCGUUGAAGUACAUGACCUAGCCGUCCGGCGCCUCACUUCCUGGGGAAAGUGACCGAUCUUCGCCUGCCUCGAGCCCUAGCGCCUCUAUCCAUUCUGCCACAAAAUCUGCAAGUGUGGCUCCUUUGACGACCCUCGUCGUGUUGAAUUCCAAUUGAAAUGCUUGCAACUCGAUGUUCCAUUCGGCGACCCUACCCGCUGAGUUGGGACUCCUGAGUACCCUUUCCAAUGGAUAUACCGAGACGACCUUGAUGGGGUGACCUUGAAAGUAGUGUCAUAUCUUGCGCGAGGCCACUAAUAGAGCGAGCAAGAGCUUCUGAGGCAUGGGGUAUCGUGCCCUCACAUCCCACAGCACCGUGCUAACAAAAUACACUGGGUGCUCGACGAGGGUAGGCGUGCUGGUGAGGUCGGUGCCCUCUGAGGGGUCAGGCGCCUCCUGAGAUGAUGGAGCCCCCAGCCCCUGGCUGCCUAGUGUGGCCUCUUCGGCCCUGGGGGCGUCCCCCUGUUGAGGCUGGCAUCCAUCUGCUGCGGCUGUGGGCUUCACAAGGCCUUCUUGGUUUUGCGCUGCCGUGGCCGGGGCCGUGGCCGAUCGUGGCGUAGCUUUGACCUAGUGCUCCUCUUGUACUGCCACUAGAGCUGCACUGGCAAAGUAGGGUGUGCCAGCGAGGUAGAGCACCAAGGGCUCCCGAGGGCAUGGAGACACCAUCACCGGAGGGUUGGUCAGGUACUUCCUGAGGUCUUCGAACACUUUGUCAGCCUCUUGAGUACAUUCGAAUGGACCCUUCUUCUUCAUCAGCUUGAAAAAGGGCAUGGCAUGUUCCCCUAGCUUGGAGAUGAAGCGCCCUAACGCGGUUACUCGCCCAGUGAGCUUAUGCAUUUCCCUGAGGGUUUGCGGCGGACUCAUGUCUUCGACUGCCUUGACCUUCUCUGGGUUAGCCUCUAUACAUCUGUGGGACAGAAGGAAGCCCAGAAGCUUGUCAGAAGGAACACCGAACAUGCACUUCUCCGGGUUGAGCCGCAGGUCCACCUCGCGAAGGCUCGCGAAGGUUUCUUCCAGGUCCUGAAUCAGGGUUUUGGCCUCCCGAGACUUCACCAUGAUGUCGUCGACGUAUGCCUCAGCGUUUCUCCCGAGUUGCCGGCCCAAGGCGAUAUGCAUCAGCCGCUGAAAGGUUGCGCCUGCGUUGCACAACCCAAACGGCAUGCAGGUGUAGUAUUACACCCCGCACGGGGUCAGGAAGGCCGUUUUCUCCACGUCUUCUACCACCAUCUUGAUUUGGUGAUAGCCAGAGAAGGCAUCCAGGAAGCACAACAUGUCGCACUCGGCGGUGGAAUCGACGAUCUGGUNNNNNNNNNNNNNNNNNNNNNNNNNNNNNNNNNNNNNNNNNNNNNNNNNNNNNNNNNNNNNNNNNNNNNNNNNNNNNNNNNNNNNNNNNNNNNNNNNNNNNNNNNNNNNNNNNNNNNNNNNNNNNNNNNNNNNNNNNNNNNNNNNNNNNNNNNNNNNNNNNNNNNNNNNNNNNNNNNNNNNNNNNNNNNNNNNNNNNNNNNNNNNNNNNNNNNNNNNNNNNNNNNNNNNNNNNNNNNNNNNNNNNNNNNNNNNNNNNNNNNNNNNNNNNNNNNNNNNNNNNNNNNNNNNNNNNNNNNNNNNNNNNCAGGGUUGGCCAGCCAUUCUGGAUAGCGAACUUUGCAAAUGACACCCGCAGCUUCAAGCUUACGGGUUUCUUGGACGAUGAAGGCCUGCUUCUCGGUGGACUGCCGCCUUGCCUUCUGCUUCACGGGGCGCACAUUGGGGCACACGUUCAGAUGAUGCUCAAGCACCUCCCUUGGAACCCCCGCUAGCUUCUUGGGUUCCCACGCGAACACCUCCUUGUGCAAGUUCAAGUGGAGCAUCACAAAGAGAUCAAGUGCUUGAAUCUUGCCAUCCAUUGUGGUGUCAAUGGACUUGUGAAGAUGUACCGAAGAGUGGCUCACCCAUAGUGGACUAUGGGGGAGCAAUCAUCUAGUCUUCAUCGAGCCAACACAAUCAAGAAAGGUGGUCCAACUUGAGGGAGUCAAGAUCGUCAUCAUCUAGCUCAAGUGGACCAUGUGCAAGGCAAAGGUUUUCCCUUGAUAGGUUUUCUAUUUUACCGGUCUCGUGGUGGUAGUUGCGAGACCGGGUUAUAGGAUCGUUUGUCGUACUAUCAAGGGGGGCUCUCAAGUUGGUAGCUUGCUCGUAUCGUUAGUAUAGAUCUCAAACCAUUCCAUCCUAGCAUCAUGUUUCUUGGUUCUUGUUUAGUUCUCUUUGUGAGUCUUAUAGCUUAUGGUCAUCUUGAUGACAAGCUUGAGUUCAUUGAAAACGGAGUUCGCAUGCGUCUUCUAUGAUGUUUUCGGUGUUAGAGGUUUUACCGGUCUUAUCCGUGGAAGGGUUCUCACCAUUUUCUUAUCGGCCUUUUCUCAUUUGCUUCUUAUUGAUAUUUCUAUCAAUAUUGUGUUAUCCCAUUUCGUUAGCUUUCCAACAAACUUGGUUUCAUUGAAUUCGGAGUCUGUUUGCAAAUGUUGUGGCUGCUUUGGUAAAGGCCGCAGCGGUACUACCGCGACUAGAGCGGAUGUAAUUUUUUACUACCGCUCUAGAGCAGUAGUACCGCUCCAGAGUAGUACUACCUCGGCUCCUAAGCGGUAGUACCGCUCCGGACCAAAAUCUCGUGUUUUUCUCAGCGGAGGUAGGCACAGAAGUAUUUUUUUAGUACCGCUCGCAAGCAGUAGUACCGCUACCAUUUGCGGUAGUACCGUGAGGUCGAGCGGUAGUACCGUGAGGGGUACUACCGCCCUAGUGAUAGUACCGCUCCUUGGAACGAUAGUACCGCUCUGUGCGGGCUAUGAGCAUAACGGUUGAAUUUUUCCCCACCUAUAAAAGGGGGUCUUCUUCCCCAUUGAACCUUAUCCUUUGAGCCCGUGUUCUUCCCCCAUUGUUGACCUUCUUCGAUCUAGAUAACUCUCAAUCCCUCCAUGGAUUCUUGCUAGUUUUUGAGGGAAAAGAGAGAGGAGAUCUAGAUCCACAUUUCCACCAAUCACUUUCUCCUCUAUGUGAGGGGAACCCCUUUGAUUUAGAUCUUGGAGUUCUUGGUGUUCUCCUUCUUGUUCUUCCUCUCAUCUUCCUCCCUAGCAUUAGUUGCUUCGGUGGGAUUUGAGAGAGAAGGAUUUGGGCACUCCGUGUGCCCUUGUCAUUGCAUUUGGUGCAUCGGUUUGAGUUCUCCACGUGAUACGUGGAAGUUACAAGUUGAGAAGCUUAUUACUCUUGGGUGCUUGGUACCCUUGAGCUUGUUACUCUUGGGUGUUUGGACACCCUAGAGCUUGUUCCUCUUGGGUGCCUUGGCGCCCUAGACGAUUGGUGUUGUUCGGAGCUCAAUCAUUGUGGUGUAAAGCUCUAGGCAAGCGUCGGGGUCUCCAAUUAGGUUGUGGAGAUUGCCCCGAGCAAUUUGACGGGUACCGGUGACCGCCCCCAAGGGUUGCCAAAGUGUACGGGUUCGGUGACCGCCCCCAAGGGUCACCAUUUGUACGAGUUCGGGGACCGCCCUCAAGGGUCCCUUAGUGGAAUCACGACAUCUUGCAUUGUGCGAGGGCGUGAGGAGAUAAUGGUGGCCCUAGUGGCUUCUUGGGGAGCAUUGUGCCUCCACACCGCUCCAAAGGGAGAUUAGCAUCCGCAAGGGUGUGAACUUCGGGAUACAUCGUCGUCUCCGCGUGCCUCGGUUAUGUGUUACCCGAGCCCUUUACUUAUGCACUUUACUUUGUGAUAGCCAUAUUGUUCUUUGUCAUAUAUCUUGCUAUCACAUAGUGGCUUAUAUUGCUUAGCAUAAGUUGUUGGUGCACAUAGGUGAGCCUAGUUGUUUUAGGUUUUGUGCUUGACAAAUUAACCGCUAGGUUAAUUCCGCAUUUGUUCAAGCCUAAACCAUAAUUAUUUUAGACUGCUUAUUCACCCCCCCUCUAGGCGACAUCCUUGAUCUUUCACCUUGUGUGCUAUCAAACCUCACAACGUAACUGGGUUAUUAUAAAGAUGCUCUACAGGCAUCUCCGAAGGUGUUUGUCGAGUUGGCCUAGAUCAAGAUUAGGAUUUGUCACUCCGAGUAUCAGAGAGGUAUCUCUAGGCCCUUUCGAUAAUACACAUCAUAAGCUUGCAAGCAAACUACUAAGGUGUUAGUCAUGAGAUGAUGUAUUAUGGAACGAUUAAAGAGACUUGCCGGUAACGAAUUGAACUAGGUAUGAAGAUACCGAUGAUAGAAUCUCGGGCAAGUAACAUAUUGAUGGACAAAGGGAAUUACGUAUGUUGUCAUAACGGUUCGACCGAUAAAGAUCUUCGUAGAAUAUGUAGGAGCCAAUAUGGGCAUCCUGGUUCCGCUAUUGGUUAUUGACUGGAGAGGUGUCUUUGUCAUGUCUACAUAGUUCUCGAACCCGUAGGGUCCGCACGCUUAACGUUCGAUGACGAUAUAGUAUUAUAUGAGUUAUGUGAUUAAGUGACCGCAUAUUGUUCGAAGUCCCGGAUGAGAUUACGGACAUGGCGAGUAGUCUCGAAAUGGUCGAGAGGUAAAGAUUGAUAUACAGGACGAUGGUAUUCAAACACCGGAAGUGUUUCGGGGGGUACCAGGUACUUAUCGGGUCACCGAAAGGGGUUCCGGGCACCCCCGGCAAAAGAUAUGGGCCUUAUGGGCCAAGAGGGGAAACACACCAGCCACAAGGGGAUGUUGCGCUCCCCAUAUGGGCCGGCCUAGGAGGAGAAGGAAAGAGGGGAAGGGAAAGGAAAGAGUGGAAUAGGAUUCCCCCUUCCUUCCCUCUCCCCCUUUUUCCUUCCCCAUCGGUUAGAUAUGGCAGGGGGCGCGCGGCUUGUGAGGGACUCGAAGUAGGAUUCCUCCUACUUGGGCCCCUCCUAUGGAUGCUCCUACCUCCCUCCCACCUAUAUAUAUAUAUUUGUGAAAGGGGGCGCCUAGCACACACCAGACAAUUUCCUAGCCGUGUGCGGUGCCCCCUCCACCGUUUACUACCUCGGUCAUAUUUACGUAGUGCUUAGGCGAAGACCUGUGGAGAUCACUUCACCAUCACAGUCACCACGCCGUCGUGCUGCCGGAACUCAUCUACUACCUCGAUGUUUUGAUGGAUCAAGAAGGCGAGGGACGUCAUCGAGCUGAACGUGUGCAGAACUCAGAGGUGUCGUAUGUUCGGUACUCGAUCGGUGGAUCACAAAGAAAGUUUGACUACAUCAAUCGCGUUGUGAAACGCUUUUGCUUACGGUCUACGAGGGUACAUAGACACACUUUCCCCUCUCGUUGCUAUGCAUCUCCAUGGAUAGAUCAUUGCGUGUGCGUAGAUUUUUUUUUGUUUUCCUAUGCAACGUUUCCCAAUAGUGGUAUUAGAGCCAGGUCUAUGCAUAGAUGAUAUGCAUGAGUAGAACACAAAGAAGUUGUAGGCGGUGAUGUUCACACUACUUACCACCAAUAUCUUACUUUGAGUCGGCGGCAUUGCGGGAUGAAGCGGCCUGGACCAACCUUACAUGUCCACGCAUGUAUGACCGGUUCCACCGACUGACAUGCAACUAGUUUUUCAUAAAGGUGGUCGGUGGGUGUCUGUUUCUCCUACUUUAGUUGAAUCUAAUUUAAAUGUGGCCGGUCCUUGAAGAAGGUUAAAACAGCAAACUUGAUAAAUCUCCAUUGUAGUUUUUGCCGUAGGUAAGAACGGCUCUUGCUAGAAACCCGUAGCAGCCACGUAAAACUUGCAACAACAAAGUAGAUGACGUCUAACUUGUUUUUGCAGGGUAUGUUGUGAUGUGAUAUGGUCAAGACAUGAUGUGAUAUACGUUAUUGUAUGAGAUGAUCAUGUUUUGUAAUUUAUCAACAACCGGUAGGAGCCUUAUGGUAGUCUCUUUAUUAAAUGAAAUGAAAACGACAUGUAAUUGCUUUACUUUAUCGCUAUGCGCUAGCAAUAGUUGUAGAACCAAUAGUUGGUGAGACGACCACGACGCAAUGAUGGAGAUCAAGGUGUCGAGCUGGUGACGAUGGAGAUCAUGAUGAUGCUUUGGAGAUGGAGAUCAAAAGCAUGAGAUGAUGAUGGACAUAUCAUGUCACAUAUUUUGAUUGCAUGUGAUGUUUAUCUUUUAUGCAUCUUAUUUUUCUUAGAACGACGGUAGCAUUAUAAGAUGAUCCCUCCACUAAAUCUCAAAAUAUAAGUGUUCUCCCCGAGUAUGCACCAUUGCGAAAGUUCAUCGUUUCGAGACACCAUGUGAUGACCAGGUGUGAUAGACACUACAUUCACAUACAACAGGUGUAAGAUAGUUUUGCACGUGCAGAAUACUUGGGUUAAACUUGACGAGUACAGACAUGGCCUCGGAACACAGGAGACCGAAAGUUCGAACAUGAGUCAUAUAGUAGAUAUGAUCAACAUAGAGAUGUUCACCAUUGAUGACUACCACAUCUCACGUGAUGAUCGGACACGGGUUAGUUGAUUUGGAUCAUGUAUCACUUAGAUAACCCAAUGUAUGUUAAUUUAAGUGGGAGUUCAUUAGUAAUUUGAUUAAUUGAACUUAAAUUUAUCAUGAACUUAGUCCUGAUAGUAUUUGCAAAUUAUCUUGUAGAUCAAUAUCUCGCGUUGUAGCUCCCCUAUUUUUCGAUAUGUUCCUAGAGAAAAAUAAGUCGAAAGAUGAUAGUAGCAAUAACGCGAACUGGUUCCAUGAUCUAAGGAUUAUCCUCAUUGCUGCAUAGACAAAUUAUGUCCUUAAUGCACCGCUAGGUGACAGACCUAUUGCAGGAGCAGAUGCAGACGUUAUGAACGUUUUGCAAGCUUGAUAUGAUGACUACUUAAUAGUUUAGUGAUCCAUGCAUUACGGCUUAGAACUAGGACUUAAAAAAUGUUUGGAACGCCAUGGAGCAUAUGAGAUGUUUCAAGAGCUGAAAUUGGCAUUUCAGACUCAUGCUCGUGUCGGGAGGUAUGAGACCUCGGACAAGUACUUGCCUACAAGAUGGAGGAGAAUAGCUCAGCCGGUGAGCAUGUGCUCAGAAUGUCUGGGUACUACAAUCGCUUGAAUCAAGUGGGAGUUAAUCUUCCAGAUAAGAUAGUGAUUGAUAGAGUUCUCUAGUCACUAUCACCAAGCUACUAGAACUUCGUGAUGAAUUAUAAUAUGAAAGGGAUGAUAAAAACGAUUCCCAAGCUCUUCACGAUGCUGAAAUCAGCGAAGGUAGAAAUCGAGAAAGAACAUCAAGUGUUGAUGGUUAAACAAGACCACUAGUUUCAAGAAAAAGGGCAAGGGAAAGAAAGGGAACUUCAAGAAGAAUGUCAAGCAAGUUGCCACUCCAGUGAAGAAGCCCAAAACUGAACCUAAGCCUGAAACUGGGUGCUUCUACUGCAAAGGAAAUGGUCAUUGAAGUGGAACUGCCCCAAAUACUAGGAGGAUAAGAAGGAUGGUAAAGUGAACAAAGAUAUAUUUGAUAUACAUGUUAUUGAUGUGUACUUUACUAGUGUUCGUAGUAACCCCUGGGUAUUGGAUACCGGUUCAGUUGCUAAGAUUAGUAACUCGAAACAGGAGUUGCAGAAUAAACAAAGACCAGUUAAGGGUGAGGUGACGAUGUGUGGUGGAAGUGAUUCCAAGGUUGAUACGAUCACCAUCGCACACCCCCUCUACCUUCGGGAUUAGUGUUGAACCUAAAUAAAUGUUAUUUGGUGUUUGCAUUGAGCAUGAAUAUGAUUAGAUCAUGUUUAUUGCAAUAUGGUUAUUCAUUUAAGUUAGAGAAUAAUUGUUGAUCUGUUUAAAUGAAUAAAACCUUCUAUGGUCAUACACCGAAUGUGAAUGGUUUAUUGAAUCUCGAUCGUAGUGAUACACAUAUUCAUAAUAUUGAUGCCAAAAUAUGUAAAGUUAAUAAUGAUAGUGCAACAUACCUGUGGCACUGCCGUUUAGGUCAUAUUGGUGUAAAACGCAUGAAGAAACUCCAUACGGAUGAACUUUUGGAAUCACUUGAUUAUGAAUCAUUUGAUACUUGCAAACCAUGCUUCAUGAGCAAGAUGACUAAACUUCGUUCUUCAGAACAAUGGAGCGAGCUAAUGACUUAUUGGAAACAAUACAUACAGAUGUAUGAGAUUCGAUGAGUGUUCAAGCACGGGACGGGUAUCAUUAUUUUUCGACCUUCAGAGAUGAUUUGAGUAGGUAUGGGUAUAUCUACUUAAUGAAACACAACUCUGAAACAUUUGAAAAGUUCAAAGAAUUUUAGAGUGAAGUAUCAUGGUAACAAGAAAAUAAAGUUUCUACGAUCUGAUCGCGGAAGCGAAUAAUUGAGUGACGAGUUUGGACUUCAUUCAAAACAAUGUGGAAUUGUUUCACAACUCAUGCCACCUGGAACACCACAGCGUAAUGGUGUGUCCAAACGUCAUAACCAUACUUUAUUGGAUAUGGUGCAUUCUAUGAUGUCUCUUACCGAUUUACCACUAUCGUUUUUGGGUUGUGCAUUAGAGACAGCCGCAUUCACAUUAAAUAGGGCACCAUCUAAAUCCAUUGAGACGUCACUAUAUGAACUAUGGUUUGGCAAGAAACCUAAGAUGUCAUUUCUUAAAGUUUGGGUUGCGACGCUUAUGUCAAAAGGCUUCAGCCUGAUAAUCUCGAACCCAAAUUAGAGAAGUGCGCCUUCAUAGGAUACCCUAAGGAAAUAAUUGGGUACACCUUCUACCACAGAUCCGGAGGUAAGAUCCUUGUUGCUAAGAAUGGAUCCUUUCUAGAGAAGGAGUUUAUCUCGAAAGAAGUGAGCGGGAGGAAAGUAGAACUUGAUGAGGUAAUUGUACCUUCUCUAGAAUUGGAUAGUAGCACAUCAGAGAAAAUUGUUCCCGUGAUCUACACCAACUAGAGAGGAAGAUAAUGAUGAUGAUUGAGGGAGUCUUGGAUUAGGGGAUGUCCGGAUGGCCGGACUAUGACCUUUGGCCGGACUCCCGGACUAUGAAGAUACAAGAUUGAACACUCCAUCCUGUGUCCGGAUGGGACUUUCCUUGGCGUGGAAGGCAAGCUUGGCGAUAUGAUAUGAAGAUCUCCUCCCAUUGUAACCGACUCUGUGUAACCCUAGCCCUCUCCGGUGUCUAUAUAAACCAGAGAGUUUUAGUCCGUAGGACGAACAACAAUCAUACCAUAGGCUAGCUUCUAGGGUUUAGCCUAUCUGAUCUCGUGGUAGAUCCACUCUUGUACUACCCAUAUCAUCAAUAUUAAUCAAGCAGGAGUAGGGUUUUACCUCCAUCGAGAGGGCCCAAACCUGGGUAAAAACAACGUGUCUCUUGUCUCCUGUUACCAUCCGCCUAGACGCACAAUUCGGGACCCCCUACCCGAGAUCCGCCGGUCUUGACACCGACAUUGGUGCUUUCAUUGAGAGUUCCUCUAUGUCGUCACCUUUAGGCCCGAUGGCUUCUUCAAUCAUCAAUCACGACGCGGUCCAGGGUGAGACCUUUCUCCCCGGACAGAUCUUCGUAUUCGGCGGCUUCGCCCUGCGGGCCAACUCGCUUGGCCAUCUGGAGCAGAUCGAAAGCUACGCCCCUGGCCAUCAGGUCAGGUUCAGAAGUUUAAACUACAUGGCCGACAUCCGCGGGGACUUGAUCUUCGAUGGACUCGAGCCACGGCCGAGCACGCCGCACUGUCACGAUGGGCAUGAUUUAGCUCUGCCGCCGGACAACGCCCAGAGCGUCGCUCAGGUGCCCGCUCUGACCAUUAGCUCGGAGCCGGCUAUGCUAGUCAGGGAUGGACGGUUGGACGCCACCCAGGGAGCCGCAAUCUCUACGGCGAUAGAGCCGUAUACCAGCCUAGUCCUUUGCAGGGCCCGUGACUCCAAGGUGCUGGACUCCGCUCCGGGCUCCGUAUAUUCUGCACCUCUUCCGAUCAAACCCAAUUGGGCUUCGAUCAUGGAGUUCACCGCCACGGACGUCUUUCAGCACUCGCCCUUUGGUGAUAUCCUGAAUUCACUAAAGUCAGCAUGGUUGGGAUGCGGACGACGAAGAAAUUUGAAACCCACCCACCACCCACUUGGUAGCCACUGUCGACGAUCUAACCGACAUGCUCGACUUCGACUCCGAAGGCAUCGGCGGUAUGGACGCCGAUAAAGGAGACGAACAAGAACCAGCACCUAUAGGGCACUGGAAAGCCACCUCAACAUACGAUGUAUACAUGGUGGGCACACCUAACAGAAAUGACAACGAGGAUCAAAAGGGCGCAACCAGGGAUCGCUCCCUCGAAAAACAAUCAAAGCGGCGGCGUAAGCGCAAGGCCAAGCCCCACCUCGACAAAGACCCAGCCAUAGAGCAGGGUGAAUCAACGGAAGACGAACAUGCCAUCGAGCAAUCUUCCAAACAGGGCGGACAAUCCGAACAACCCAUCCCCGGGAAAGAUAAUAGUCCGGACGACCUCACCCCGGACAAAUUGCUGGAACAUCAGAACCUCCACCAAAGGCUCGUUGCCACUGCACGUAGCCUGAAAAAGCAGAAGCGGAGGCUCAAAACAGCAGAAGAUGCACUCAGGAUUAGAUGGGGAAAAGUACUCAAUACUGCACACAAGUACGGCAACAGUCGUCACACAAAGAGCUAUCCGAAGCGGAAACUACUACCGGAAUUUGAUGAAGAGGCCAUAAAGCCCCCACAGUCAAAAAAUUAGGAAGCCACAAGGUCGGAUAGACGACCCCACGAUCGAUCUCAAGCAACAAAGGGCGCCACACUCAAUACGGUGCGAUCCAUUCAAGAAUUCGCAUCAAAAAACUGGCCCAACCAUAUCCAUCUAUGGGCCAAGAAAGCAAGGUCCAGUGAGCAAUGCAAUGCAAAAAAUAUCCGGACAUCGCGGCACACCUAAAUACAGGGGCGCCGCACAUCCCCUAUGUUUUACCGAUGAGGUGCUGGAUCAAGAAUUUCCAGCGGGAUUCAAGCCCGUAAACAUAGAAGCAUACGACGGAACAACAGACCCUGGAGUCUGGAUCGAGGAUUACAUCCUCCACAUACACAUGGCCAGAGGAGAUGACCUCCAUGCCAUAAAAUACUUACCCCUUAAGCUCAAAGGGCCAGCCCGGCAUUGGCUUAAAAGCCUUCCCGAAAACACCAUGGGAAGUUGGGAAGCGCUCAAGGAUGCUUUCUGGGCAAAUUUUCAAGGGACCUAUGGCCGACCUCCGGAUGUAGAUGAUCUGAGUCAUCUAACUCAGCAGCCCGAAGAGUCCGGCCGGAAACUCUGGAACAGGUUCCUUACUAAAAAGAAUCAGAUAGUCGACCGUCCGGACGCCGAGGCCCUAGCAGCUUUCAAACAUAGCGUCUGAGACGAAUGGCUCGCCAGACACCUCGGCCAAGAAAAGCCAAGAACAAUGGCCGCAUUAACAAGCCUCAUGACCCGCUUUUGUGCAGGAGAGGAUAGCUGGUUGGCAAGAAGCAGCACCAGCGACCCGAAUACAUCCGAACCCAGAGAUGGGAACGGGAAACCGCGCUGUAACAAAGAACCACGCCGGAUCAAGGACAACAGCCCGAUGAGCACGGCAGUAAAUGCCGAAUUCAAAAGCUCUCGGCAAAAUCAGAAAAAGCCGCCCCCAAAGAUGAUAGGGAUGAGCUAUCCAACCUCAACAAAAUCUUGGACAAAAUAUGUCAAAUCCACAGUACUCCUGGGAGACCUGCAAACCAUACCCACAGAGAUUGUUGGGUCUUCAAGCAGUCCGGCAAACUCAACGCCGAACACAAGGGGCUCGACACACCAAGCGAGGAUGACGACGCACCCCACAAGCAGAACACCGGAGAACAAAAGAAGUUCCCACAAGAAGUCAAGACAGUAAAUUCACUUCAGAUGACAAAAGGGAAAAACAGAACGGCGCUUACGAAGACACGCGCCGUACGGCCAGCCCCAGAGGAGCACCGCCACUAGUUGUUACAACCAAUCACCUUUGAUCAUCAGGAUUACUCCAGAGGAGCCUGGAACGCAGGCUGGACUGCCUUGGUCAUGAAUCUGAUUAUUAACGGACUCCAAUUUACAAAAGUCCUUAUGGACGGCGACAGUGACUUGAACAUGUUAUAUCAGGACACAAUCCGCAAACUAGGGGUAAACCCAGCUAUAAUCCGCCAUGGCAACGCUUCCUUUCAAGGAGUCACGCCGGGUCCAGAUACCCAAAGUAUGGGUUCCCUUUCGUUAGAAGUCACGUUCGGCUCACCCGACAACUUCCAAAGCGAAAAGCUAAAAUUCCACAUCGCCCCAUUCGUAAGUCGCUAUCAAGCACUACUGGGACGUGACGCUUUCGCCCGCUUUAACGCAAUACCACAUUAUGCAUCCCUUACACUUAAAAUGCCCGGUCCACGAGGCAUCAUUUCAUUACAGGGGAAUAUAAAUUGACCCCCAAAGUACGGGCAAAGGUGCGGCCGCCUGGACAGCCGCCCACUAAUCCAGCCCUACUAUCCCGGACACGACUCGACGAGUCCGGUGUAAACAUGCUUAAUAGCCGCAUAACCCCGUACAAGGGGCUCCGCGUGUUCACGCCCGGAGACAAUACGGCUCAAUUCUUGCUCCAACUAUAUUUUGUUUAUUUUAAUAUAGAUUUCUCGCACGCUUAUUUUUUACUAAGUUCCUCUCUUUCGCAGACAAACAUCGUGCUACGCCCGUCCAGGAUACGGCACAAUGGAGACACAGGCGCAGACGUGCAGCAGGGACCCGUUUCAAGGAUUCUUUUCAGAUUAAGACCCUGCGUAAACCUUUUUUACUGUCUCUUGUUGACAACAUCCCCCGGUUUUCGCUAUAACCAAGGAGGAGGCUGGAGUCUUGGCAUGUGGCCGCGCCAGAAUUUUUGCGCGUACCUGGACACCAGGGGCUUUUUUACCAAGGGCUCUAUUUCGGCCCGUCUUCAUAAAGACCGAAUACCUUAGGGAGUGUUCGGCGUCGCGAGUUUGGCCCUAUAUGCAUCAGCUUCGAAUCAUGUCUUUGGUCAAAUGUUGGGUUUGCCCGGCUCUUGUGUUUUGCUGCCUUACGUUCUGUUAUAUCGGCUAACGCGGCACCAGGAGAACUACUGCGAUUGUGCCCCGGUUCGGCCAGGCGAGCACCUCAGUAGAGAAAGCCGAAAACUAACUGUCAUGAUAUAGCGAGAGACUGGUCAACCACUCGAUGACUUUUAGAAUCUUUAGGAUUCCUCCGCAUUAACGAAGGGCCGCUUCCCGGUCAGGCACACUCGCGCCCCAAAUUCGGGUGAGCGCGGUGCCCCUAGGGGCUAUUCAGUAGCCCCACUGUCAAACUCCUAUGGUUAAGUGAAAGUGAUAAAGCAUUAUAGUACGGUUGCCUAGUUCGCCGCGCCACCACCUCCUUUAUAGGACCAAGAUGUUGGAUUAAGUGUGAAAAGGCGCCUUUUUGCAAACACCCCCGCAUUCUAUGCAUGGGGGCUGAAGCCAAUGACUGCCAUCUUUCAGGUUAUAUACAUAUAUAUACAUUAAACGGCCGCACAUGAGGCAUCAUAAUUCUUGCAAGCACAAGUAUAAAAAGCCUUUAUAUAAUAUCAAAAUAUUCGUUUUACAAUAGUACACGCUAUUCGAACACAACAUCCUUCGAGCAAUGCGACUCUAUUAAACGAGCGCCAUGAAGAACUUCCUCAAAGUAGUGGUUGGCAAGUACUCGGCUUUCGUCCGAAUCCCGGGAUGCAACAACACUGGCCUUCAUAUCCGCACAGUAUGCUUUGACACGGGCAAGAGCCAUCUGUGCGCACUCUAUGCAUGCCGACCUCUUCAUUGCAUCAGCAUGCGGCACCGAACCAAGGAACUGCUGCACAAAGCCAAAAUAACUCUUCGGCUCCGGCUUCUCCGGCCACAGACGACUUGCGACAUACCUCAUGGCGAGUCCGGAUAACCUCUUCAGCUCCGCCCAGGCGGCCAAACGGUCGGAUACCGAAAGUGGGCGUUCUGGAUAGUGGAACUGCGACCAAAAAAGAUCUUCCAAUCCAUGGUCACCUCGGCCGCGGAAGUGUUCGGUCGCGUCCGCCGCACUAGCUGCCAAAUCCAGAUAAGUGUUUUCCGCACUCCACUGCCGGUCUAACAGAGCAUACUUGGGAUCUCUGAACUUCAUCCGCAGCAUAUAGGGCUUUCCAGACGUGAUAUCUCCGGCCUGACGCAGCUCCUCCUUCAUAGCUCUCAUUGCAGAGCGAGUAUCCUUGGCUUCGGCAGUGAUCUUUUCAAGGUCCUUCUGAGCCGCCCUAUCUUCUUGUUCAAGAAAUUUACAGCGGUCGGUAGCAUCCUUCAAUUUUAUGGCCAUCUCGGCUAUUACCUUCUUGCUCUGGCAGUGAGCAGCCUGUUCGGCUUUUAGCUCUUCAGCCGCUUUAACGGCAGCCGCAUCACUUCUCCUUGCUUGUUCCUUGGCUCGGGCAAGUUCCACCCGAAGGUUCUCCACGGCAGCAACACCAUCUAUAUUAAGCACAUAUAUAUAAGGCCCGAGCAUCGAACUCCUAUUACCAGGUGUCUUUGGAACAUACCUUGUGCCUCGUCUAGCCGCUUAUUUACAAGCGCGAUGUCGGCAUCUGCUACGUCAAGUUGCCGCUUUAGCUCGGCCGAUUCAUCAGUCUGGCUAGCCACCGAAAGCUUCGCCACCUUCAUGGAAAAGGCGACAUAUUAUACCUGGGGUUAUGAUCCUAUGUGCGCCGUCACUCUUGACGACACACAGAGUCUCAGGGGCUACUAUUUAUACAUGUCGCAUUUAAUAUGCGGCUCUACCAAAAGGUACAACUUUUUGCGUACCUCAAAGCCUGUUAGUAAACUCCUGGCAGCCUCGUACAAUCCGCUUUCCAUGGAUGAAAUCCUUCCAAUCACCGUAUUCAUCAACAUACGGUGUUCUUCUGAGAUGGACGCCCUCCCAAGCAGAUCCUUCAGCCCCUCCGACUGCGCACCAGAGGGUGCCGGACUAGCCUGACGACCUUUUCCAGGGUCCGGACUUGGGAAAACCCUCCGAGAUGACACCUCGGGGUCGCCUGCCUCGUGAGACGGUGCAACAAGGGGAGGCGUUUCGCUCUCUAUCAUCUCCGAACGAAGAUCCCCUGAAGAUGAGCUCUGCUGAGAAGGGUUGAGAUCCGAACUGCAAGGUAAUGUUUCGGUUAUCUUCCUCAGAAAUAGAAAAGUGGUGUCAUUCAUUAUGGAACCCCUCCCUUCACUUACGUCUCGGGGGAGAGCGGGUCCCCUUUAGGGGGUGAUUCGGCCGGGGCGUUCUCCGGUGCCGAACCCUCUGGCGAAGAUUUCUUCCCCCGUUUUGAGGCCAUCACCUCUGGGUCUUCAGAGGCAGUCCUUUUCUUUUCCUGGUCGGGCGAAUUUUCGAUUCUUCCCUUCCUAACAGCCUCCUUCAUGGAGGCGGUAGCUCCUUGGUUCCCCCCUUCGCCUUCCGCCAAAAGCGUGACCUCCAGCAUCCUGGUUAGCAUGGGAUUCGGCGCGGUCUCGGGCGGGGGCUGGACAGCUGAUAAGCUUUGCCUUCACUAUCCACUCCUGUUCAAAGGACAACUCUAUUAAGGGUAAUUUUGUGAUGAAAAUACGGAUGGUGUGUCGAAAUACGGGGCUACUAACCUUAGCAUCCGGGCAAUUGCAGCUCAGACCUGCGUCCUCGGACAAAUCCGGACACCUUGCUUGUGAUUCAAAGAACAAUUUGUACAUCUCCACGGGUGUCACACCCAUGAAAUGUUGGAGGACUCACGGUCCCUCCGGAUUAAAUUCCCACAGGCGGAGAGGUCGACGUUUGCAGGGCAGUGUGUGGCGAAUCAGCACAACUUGCGCCACUACGGUCAAAUUGAUAUCUCUUUCUAGAAGAUCUUGAAUGCGGUCCUGCAGCAAGGGCACGUCUUUGGGCGGCCCCCAGAUAAGUCCUUCAUUAACCCAUGACGCUAGCCGUGGUGGGGGACCCAAGCGAAAAGUAGGUGGCGCCACCCAUGUGGGGCCCCUGGGGGCUGUGAUGUAAAACCAGUCCCAUUGCCAUAAGCCGAACUCCUCUUGAAAAGAGCCCUCGGGCCAUGGAGCGCCGGUCAUCUUGCUUAUUAUAGCUCCUCCGCACUAAGCUUGCUGCCCCUCGAUCAUCUUCGGUUCCACCUUGAAGGUUCUUAGCCACAAUCCGAAGUGAGGACUAAUAUGGAGGAAGGCCUCACACACGACAAUGAAUGAUGAGAUUUGGAGGAUGGACUCCGGAGCUAAGUCGUGGAACUCCAGCCCGUAAUAAAACAUAAGCCCCCUCACGAAGGGAUCAAUCGGGAAGCCUAGCCCCCGAAGGAAGUGAGAUGCGAACACCACGCUCUCACCGGGCUGGGGAGUGGGAAUGGCCUGCCCUUGAGCAGACAGCCUAUGCGAGAUUUUGCCGGUUAGAUACCUGACAUCUCUCAGCUUUCGCACAUCUUCUUCCGUAAUGGAGGAAGGCAUCCACCGGCCUUGAAGGUCGGAGCCGGACAUCAUCGAAGGUCCGAAGCGCCUAAAAACUAGAGCUUUGGGUGUUGGAACUCGAAGCAAGGGGCGGAUUCGAUUGGGUUGAGAAAAAGGGAGUCGAGCCUUGGUCUCUUUAUAAAGGAGUUGAAUACCAAGAGCCCUCCCCGUAACCGUUUGAGACUCGCUUUCAAUUAGGGAGUCAUACCAAAGACACGGUUGGGUUACCCACGCUCGUAUUGAUGAGAAUCCCGGAAUAAGGGGACACGAUCUCUGCUUUGACAAGACGUGCCAAGGAAACCGCCUCGCUAAACGUGCUGAGGUAGAACAGUAAAACGAUUCGAAUAAAGGCCUGGCCGUGAUGUGAUGUCACGCUGCGGAAUAUGUCAGCAGAUUAGAUUUGUGCAAAUAUUAUUCUCUCUACGGUGGCAUGUGGAACUUAUUUUGCAGAGCCGGACACUAUCCUUGUGUUCAACAUCUUCUAUGAAAUAUUCGAAGGAGGAACCCGUCUUGCAAUGCCUUAGACAAUUUGCGCGCCGGACUCGUCGUCAUUGAAGCCUUGUUCAGGGGCUAUUGAGGGAGUCCUGGAUUAGGGGGUGUCCGGAUGGCCGGACUAUGACCUUUGGCCGGACUCCCGGACUAUGAAGAUACAAGACCGUGUCCGGAUGGGACUUUCCUUGGCGUGGAAGGCAAGCUUGGCAAUACAAUAUGAAGAUAUCCUCCCAUUGUAACCGACUAUGUGUAACCCUAGCCCUCUCCGGUGUGUAUAUAAACCGAAGAGUUUUAGUCCAUAGGACGAACAACAAUCAUACCAUAGGCUAGCUUCUAGGGUUUAGCCUCUCUGAUCUCGUCGUAGAUCCACUCUUGUACUACCCAUAUCAUCAAUAUUAAUCAAGAAGGAGUAGGGUUUUACCUCCAUCAAGAGGGCCCGAACCUGGGUAAAAACAUCGUGUCCCUUGUCUCCUGUUACCAUCCGCCUAGACGCACAGUUUGGGACCCCCUACCUGAGAUCCGCCGGUUUUGACACCGACAAUGAUCAUAAAACUUCAGACCAAGUUACUACUAAACUUCAUAGGUUGACCAGAGCAUGAUCUUCACUAGAGUGGUACGGUAGUCCUGUCUUGGAAGUCAUGUUACUAGACCAAGACAAACCUACAAACUAUGAAGAAGCUAUGAUGAGCCUAGAUUCCGAUAGAUGGCUUGAGGCCAUGAAAUCUGAGAUAGGAUCCAUGUAUGAGAACAAAGUAUGGACUUUGGUGGACUUGCCCGAUGAUCGGAAAGCCAUAGAGAAUAAAUGGAUCUUCAAGAAGAGGACAUAUGCUAAUGGUAAUGUCACCAUCUACAAAGCUCGACUUUUGCGAAAGGUUUUCGACAAGUUGAAGGAGUUGACUAUGAUGAUACCUUCUCACCCGUAGUGAUGCUUAAGUCAGUCCGAAUAAUGUUAGAAAUUGUCGUAUUUCACAAUUAUGAAAUCUGGCAAAUCGAUAUCAAAACUGAUUUCCUUAAUGGAUUUCUUAAAGAAGAGUUGUAUAUGAUGCAACCAGAAGGUUUUGUGGAUCAUAAAGGUGCUAACAAAGUGCGCAAACUCCAACGAUCCAUCUAUGGACUGGUGCAAGCAUCUCGGAGUUGGAAUAUACGCUUUGAUGAGGUGAUCAAAGCAUAUGGUUUUAUACAGACUUAUGGUGAAGCCUGUAUUUAUAAGAAAGUGAGUGGGAGCUCUGUAGCAUUUAUGAUAUUAUAUGUGGAUGACAUAUUGUUGAUUGGAAUUGAUAUAGAACUUCUAGAUAGCAUAAAACGAUACUUGAAUAAGAAUUUUUCAAUGAAAGACAUCGGUGAAGCUACUUAUAUAUUGGGCAUCAAGAUCUAUAGAGAUAGAUCAAGACGCUUGAGAGGACUUUCACAAAGCACAUACCUUGAUAAAGUUCUGAAGAAGUUCAAAGUGGACCAGUCAAAGAAAGGGUUGUUGCUUGUGUUACAAGGUGUGAAGUUGAGUAAGACUCAAAACCCAACCACGGCAGAAUAUAUAUACAGAGAAUGAAAGUCAUUCCCUAUGCCUUAGUCGUAGGUUCUAUAAAGUAUGCCAUGCUGUGUACCAGACCUGUUGUGUGCCUUGCCAUGAGUUUGGCAAGGGGGUACAAUAGUGAUCCAGGAGUAGAUCUCUGGACAGCGGUCAAAAUUAUCCUUAGGUACCUAAAGAGGACUAAGGAAAUGUUUCUCGGUUAUGGAGGUGAUAAAAAGUAUAUCUCUCGACAGCGGUCAAUUCUCUUAUACUAUACACUAUGCUUCUUAAUUUUUAAGGCCUCACAAUUAAUUGAGGUAUUCAAUUUAGAACUAUGUCAACUGAUUUUGACCGGGUCUACAAUUUCUCAAACUCUCCCAUUCAAUUCUUUUAAUACACUUUUAACUUAGUCUUGGGAGGUCAACGACAAGUUCUCUGUGUGGUCUGCAUAUGCCGCCAUGUUUUGGGGUAGAGAAGUAAUACCCAGGGCGGACCUGACUUGGAAGUCGCGGGACCCCUCGCAAUGCCAAUUCUUUACUUGGUUGGCUCUAUGAAAUAUAUGUUGGACUUUGGAUCGUCUUGCUGGAGAGGGCUACCUCAUCAAGAAGCAUGCCCCCUCCGUGAUCAAUAAGAGGAAACUAUAAACCACGUACUACUUACAUGUGUGUUUGCCAGGAUGAUGUGGACGGUGAUUUGUGAGGCUUUGGGCAGAUUGGAGUGGACACUAACCCCAAAGGAUUCACUCAAAUCAUGGUUAUGCAGAAAGCGGGGGCCGAACAAUAUGAGCAAGAAAGAUCUUCACACCCUUUUUGUGUUGGAAAUAUGCCCUAGAGGCAAUAAUAAAUUUGUUAUUAUAAUAUUUCCUUGUUCAUGAUAAUUGUUUAUUAUCCAUGCUAGAAUUGUAUUUAUCAGAAACUCAGAUACAUGUGUGGAUACAUAGACAACAACGUGUCCCUUGUAAGCCUCUACCGGACUAGCUCGUUGAUCAAAGAUGGCUAUGGUUUCCUAGCCAUGGACAUGAGUUGUCAUUUGAUAACAGGAUCACAUCAUUAGGCAAAUGAUGUGAUGGACAAGACCCAAACUAUAAACGUAGCAUAUGAUCGUAUCAAGUUUAUUUCUAUUGUUUUCUGCAUGUCAAGUAUAUAUGUUCCUAUGACCAUGAGAUCAUGCAACUCACUGACACCGGAGGAAUACCUUGUGUGUACCAAAUGUCGCAAUGUAACUGGGUGACUAUAAAGGUGCUCUACAGGUACCUCCGAGGGUUUCUGUUGAGUUGGCAUGCAUCAAGGCUGGGAUUUGUCACUCCGUAUGACGGAGAGGUAUCUCUGGGCCCUCUCAGUAAUACAACAUCACAAGAAGCUUACAAGGAAUGUAAUAAUGAGUUAGCCACGGGAUCUUGUAUUACGGAAUGAGUAAAGAGACUUGCCGAUAACGAGAUUGAACUAGGUAUGGAGAUACCCAUGAUCGAGUCUCGGGCAAGUAACGUACCGAUAGACAAAGGGAACUGCAUACGGGAUUAGAUUAAUCCUUGGCAUCGAGGUUCAACCAAUAAUAUCUUCAUAGAAUAUGUAGGAACCAUUAUGGGCAUCCAAGUCCCGCUAUUGGCUAUUGACCAUAUAGGUGUCUCGGUCAUGUCUUCAUAGUUCUCGAACCCGCAGGGUCUACACACUUAAUGUUUGUUGACGAUAUAAGUAUAGUUGAGUCAUUAUGGUGGUUAUCGAAGGUUGUUCGGAGUCCCGGAUGAGAUCUUGGACGUGAUGGGGAACUCCAGAAUGGUCCAGAGGUGAAGAUAGAUAUAUUGGACGAAGGGUAUUGGAGUCCGCAAUUGUUCCGGGGGUACCUGGUGAUGACCAGCAUGACCGAAAGGGGUUUUGGGGGGCCCCGACAAGUGUUGAGGGGCCUCUUGGGCCAAGGGGAGGGGUCAAACCAGCCCACUAAGGGGUUGUGCGGCCCCUUCACCCCUUCCCACAUUUCCAGAGGAGGUGGGGCGCCACCCUAGGGUUCCCACCCCUUUGGCUUGGGGGCCAAGUCUCCUAAGGGGGAAACCCAUCUAGGGUUUCCCUCUAGUGGCCGCCGACCCUAGAUGGGAUCCCUUAGGGGAUCCCCCUCUCCCCCUUCCCCCUAUAUAUAUAGAGAGAGAUGUAGAGAGAGGGCAGCCAUACGCAUAUAUGCCACGGCACUGCCCUCCCUCUCCCUUGUAGCCAUCUUCCUCUCUAUAGUGCUUAGCGAAGCUCUGCUGAGAUUCCACCACCACCACUACCACCACGCCGCUGUGCUACCGGAGGACUCAAGCUACUACUUCACCAUCGUGCACUGAUCGAGGAGAUGAAGGCGUCAUCAAGCCAUACAUGUGUUGAACACGGAGGUGUCGUCUAUUCAGCACUUGGAUCGGAGUUCGCGGGACGGAUCGUGAUUGGAUCGUGAAGAACAUCAACCUCGUUUCUUAACGCUUCCGCAUAGCGAUCUACAAGGGUAUGUAGAUGCAAUCUCUCCUCUUGAAGAUGGUCAUCUCCUAGAUUCAUCUUGGUGAGCGUAGGAAAUUUUUUGUUUCCCAUGCAACGUUCCCCAAUAGUGGCAUCAUGAGCUAGGUCCAUGCGUAGAUGACAUCACAAGUAGAACACAAAGGAGUUUGUGGGCGUUGAUAUUCAAAUUGGUUCCUUCCUUGGUAUUUUCUUGAUUCGACAGCAUUGUGGGAUGAAGCGGCCCGGACAAACCUUACAUGUCCACGUACAUGAGACAGGUUCCAUCGACAGACAUGUGACUUUGUUGCAUAAAGAUGGUUGACGGAUGUCUUUCUCUCCCACCUUAGUUGAAUCGGAUUCGACAAAGGCAGUCCUUGUAGAAGGUUAAAUGGCAACUUUCAUAUCACCAUUGUGGCUUUGCGUAGGUAAGAAUCGUUCUUGCUAGAUACCCAUAGCAGCCACGUAAAACAUACAACAACAAUUAGAGGAUGUCUAACUUGUUUUUGUAGGGUAUGUUGUGAUAUUAUAUGGCCAAAGACAUGAUGAGAUAUAUUUGAUGUAUGAGAUGAUCAUGUUUGUAAUAGUUUAUAUCGACUUGCAUGUUGAUGCAUACGAUAACCGACGGGAGCCAUAGGGUUGUCUUUAAUUAUUGUAUGACCUAUGUGUCAAUUAUUAAGCGCUAUGUAAUGCUUUACUUUAUCGCUGAGCAGUAGCAAUAGUAGUAUAAGCAUGGUUGGCGUGACAACCUCGACGGUGACAUGAUGAUGGAGAUCAUGGUGUCAUGCCGGUGACAAUGGAGAUCAUACCGGUGCUUUGGAGAUGGAGAUCAAAAGCACAAGUUGAUGGCCAUAUCAUGUCACUUAUGAUUUGCUUGUGAUGUUAAUCCUUUUAUGCAUCUUAUUUUGCUUAGGACGACGGUAGCAUUAUAAGGUGAUUCCUCACUAAAAUUUCAAGAUAAUAUUGUGUUCUCCCCAAGUGUGCACCGUUGCUGAAGUACGUCGUUUCGAAGCACCACGUGAUGAUCGGGUGUGAUAGACUCUACAUUCACAUACAAUGGGUGCAACCGUGCAAGCCAGUUUUGCACAUGUGGAACACUUGGGUUAAACUUGAUGAGCCUAGCAUGUAGAGACAUGGCCUCAGAACACAAGAGACCGAAAGGCCGAACAUGAGUCAUAUAUUAUAUAUGAUCAACAUGGAGAUGUUGACCAUUGAAACCACCUCAUCUCACGUGAUGAUCAGACUUUGGUUGGUGAAUUUGGAUCAUGUUACAGUCGGAUGAUCGGAGGGAUGUCAAUUUGAGUGGGAGUUCUUAAGUAAUAUGAUUAGUUGAACUCAUUAUCAUGAACAUAGUGUAAAUUGUCUUUGCAAAUUAUGUUGUAGAUCAAUAGCUCGUGCUAUAGCUCCCUGUUUUAAUACGUUCCUCGAGAAAGACUAAGUUGAAAGAUAUUGUAAGAAAUUAUGCGGACUAGGGCCGUAGUCUAAGGAUUGUCCUCACUGCUGCACAGAAGCCUUAUGUCCUUGAUGCACUGCUCGGUGUGCCAACCCCUCUAGCGUCAUCUAUGGAUGUUGUGAACAUCUGGUAGACACAUUUAGAUGACUACUUGAUAGUUCAGUGCGCCAUGCUUUACACCUUAGAAUCGGGGCUCGAAAGAUGUUUUUGAACGCCAUGGAACAUAUGUGAUGUUCCAGGAGUUGAAAUUGGUAUUUCAGGCUCAUGCCUGUGUUGGGAGGUAUGAGACCUCUGACAAGUUCUUUGCCUACAAGAUGGAGGAUAAUAACUCAGCUAGUGAGCAUGUGCUCAGAAUGUCUAGGUACUACAAUCCCUUGAAUCAAGUGGGAGUUAUUCUUCUAGAUAAGAUAGUGAUUGACAGAGUUCUCCAGACACUAUCAUCAAGCUACUGGAACUUCCUGAUGAACUAUAACAUGCAAGGGAUGGAGAUGAUCCCAGAGCUGUUCGCGGUAGACCAUGAAGGUAGAAAUCAAGAAGGAUCAUCAAGUGUUGAUGGUUUACAAGACCACUAGUUUCAAUAAGGGCAAGGGCAUGAAGAGAAAGUUCAUGAAUGGCAAGCCGGUUGCUGCUCCAGCGAAGUAACCCAAGGUUGAACCCAAACCUGAGACUAAGUGCUUCUAUUGUAAGGGGAACGGUCACUGGUAGCGGAGCUACCCCAAAUACUUGGUAGAUAAGAAAGCUGGCAACCUCAACAAAAGUAUAUUUAAUAUACUUGUUAUUGAUGUGUACCGUACUAGUACUCCUAGUAGCACCUGGGUAUUAGAUACCGGUUCAGUUGCUAAUAUUGGUAACUCAAAACAAAAGCUGCUGAAUAAAUAGAGACUAGCUAAGGGUGAGGUGACGAUGUGUGUUGGAAGUGUUUCCAAGGUUGAUGUGAUCACCAUCGCACGCUCCCUCUACCUUCGAGAUUAGUGUUGAACCUAGAUAAAUGUUAUUUGGUGUCUGCGUUGAGGCAUGAACACAAUUAUAUUGUGUUUAUUACAAUACGGUUAUUCAUUUAAGUCAGAGAAUAAUGGUUAUUCUAUUUACAUGAAUAAUACCUUCUAUGGUCAUACACCCAAGGUGAAUGGUUUGUUUAAUCUCGAUCGUAGCGAUACACAUGUUCAUAAUAUUAAUGCCAAAAGAUGAAAGUUAAUAAUGAUAGUACCACAUACUUGUGGCACUGCCGCUUAGGUCAUAUUGGUGUAAAGCGCAUGAAGAAACUCCACGCUGAUAGACUUUUGGAGUCACUUGAUUCUGAAUCACUUGACACAUGCGAACCAUGCCUUAUGGGCAAGAUGACUAAAACCCUGUUUUCUGGUACAUUGGAACGGGCAAGUGACUUGUUAGAAAUCAUACAUGCUGAUGUGUGUGGUCCGAUGAGUGUUGACACGUGCGGUGGAUAUCGUUAUUUCCUCACCUUCACUGAUGAUUUGAGUAGAUAUGGGUAUGUUUACUUAAUGAAGCAUAAGUCUGAAACAUUUGAAAAGUUCAAGAAAUUUCAGAGUGAAGUUGAGAAUCAUCGUAAAAAGAAGGUUAAAUCCCUAUGAUCCUAUAUAAGGGGAGAAUAUCUGAGUUAUGAGUUUGGCAAUCACUUAAGACAAUGUGGAAUUGUUUCACAGUUGACGCCACCUGGAACACCACAGUGUAAUGGUGUGUCCGAACGACGUGAUCAUACCUUAUAGAUAUGGUGCGUUCUAUGAUGUCUCUUGCCGAUCUACCACUAUUGUUUUGGGGUUAUGCAUUAGCGACAGCCACAUUCACUUUAAAUAGGGAACCAUCUAAGUCCAUGGAGAUGACACCGUAUGAACUGUGGUUUGGCAAGAAACCUAAGUUGUCAUUUCUUAAGGUUUGGGUCUGCGACACUUAUGUGAAAAGGCUUGAUCCUGAUAAGCUUGAACCCAAAGCGACCAAAUGCAUUUUCAUAGGAUACCCAAAGGAUAAGAUUGGUUAUACCUUCUAUCUCAGAUAUGAGGGCAAAGUGUUUGUCGCUAAGAACGGGUCAUUUCUUGAGAAAGUGUUUUUCUUGAAAGAAUUGAGUGGGAGGAAGAUAGAACUUGAUGAGGUUGUUGAACCAUUACUUCAACCAGAGAGUAGCGCAGCAAAGAAAGAUGUCUCUGUGGCACCUACGUCAGUUAAAGAGGAAGCUAGUGAUGAUGAUCAUGAAGCUUCGGAUCAAGUUACUGUUGAACCUUGUAGGUCGACAAGGGUACGUACAGCUUCUGAGUGGCACGGUAACCCUGUCUUAGAGGUCAUGUUGUUGGACAACGGUGAACCUACGAGCUAUGGAGAAGCGAUGGUGGGCCCGGCUCCCAACAAAUGGCUAGGAGCCUUGAAAUCUGAGAUAGGAUCCAUGUAUGAGAACAAAGUAUGGAUUUUGAUGGACUCGUGCGAUGAUUGGCAAGCCAUUGAGAAUAAAUGGAUCUUUGAGAAGAAGACAUACGUUGAUGGUAAUGUCACCAUUUAUGAAGCUCGACUUGUCGCAAAGAAGUUUCUGACAAGUUCAAGGAGUUGACUAUGAUGAGACUUUCUCACUCAUAGCGAUGCUAAAGUCUGUUGGAGUUAUGUUAGUAGUUGCUGCACUUUCAUUUACGAAAUCUAGCAGAUGGAUGUCAAAACAAAGUUUCCUUGACGGUUUUCGUGAGGAAAGGUUGUAUGUAUACAUCCAGAAGGUUUUGUUGAUCCUAAGGAUGCUAAAAGGUAUGCAAGCUCCAUCGAUCCUUCUAUGGACUGGAGCAAGCAUCUCGGAGUUGGAACAUACGCUUUGAUGAGGUGAUCAAAGCUUUUGGUUAUAUUAAAAGUUUGCAAGAAACUUGUAUUCACAAGAAAGUGAGUGGGAGCACUACAACAUUUCUGAUAAGUAUAUGUGGCUGACAUAUUGUUGAUCAGAAAUGAUGUAGAAUUUCUGGAAAGCAUAAAGGGUUGUUUGAAAUGAGUUUUUCAAAGGAAGACCUGGGUAAGUCUGCUUACAUAUUGGGCAACAAGAUCUAUAGAGAUAGAUCAAGACGCCUGAUAAGACUUUCAUAGAGCACAUACCUUGACAUGAUUUUGAAGGAGUUCAAAAUGGAUCAGUGAAAGAAGGAGUUCUUGCCUGAGUUGUAAGGUGUGAAGUUGAGUAAGACUCAAAGAUCGACCACGGCAGAAGAAAGAGAAAGGACGAAGGGUCGUCCCCUAUGCCUUAGCCAUAGUCUCUAUACGGUAUGCCAUGCUAUGUACCCCACCUGAGGUGUGCCUUGCCACGUGUCUGGCAAGGUGGUACAAGAGUGAUCGAGGAGUGGAUCACCAGACAAUGGUCAAAAUUAUCCUAGGAGGAAUAAGGAAAUGUUUCUUGGUUAUGGAGGUGAUAAAGAGUUUGGCGUAAAGGGUUACGUCGAUGCAAGCUUUAAAAACUAUCUGGAUGACUCUGAGUAGCAAACCGGAUACAUAUAGUGGAGCAGCCAUUUGGAAUAGCUCCAAGUGGAGCUUGGUAGCAGCAUCUACAAUAUGACAUAGAGAUUUGCGAAGUACACACAGAACUGAAUGUUGCAGACCCGUUGACUAAAACCUCUCUCACAAGCAUAACAUGAUCAAACCCUAUAACUCAUUGAGUGUUAAUCACAUGGUCAUGUGAACUAGAUUAUUGACUCUAGUAAACUCUUUGUGUGUUCGGCACAUGGCGAUGUGAACUGUGAGUCUUAAUCACAUGGCGAUGUGAACUAGAUUAUUGACUCUAGUGCAAGUGGGAGACUGUUGGAAAUAUGCCCUAGAGGUAAUAAUAAAUUGGUUAUUAUCAUAUUUCCUUGUUCAUGAUAAUCGUUUAUUAUCCAUGCUAGAAUUGUAUUGAUCGGAAACUCAGAUACAUGUGUGGAUACAUAGACAACAACGUGUCCCUAGUAAGCCUCUACCGGACUAGCUCAUUGUUCAAAGAUGGCUAUGGUUUCCUAGCCAUGUGCUACCUCUUGAGCACUGCAUUGGUUUUCACUUGAAGAGGAAAGGGUGAUGCAGCAAAGUAGCGUAAGUAUUUCCCUUGGUUUUUGAGAACCAAGGUAUCAAUCCAGUAGGAGGCUACACACAAGUCCCUCGUACCUACACAAACAAACAAGAACCUCGCAACCAACGCGAUAAAGGGGUUGUCAAUCCCUUCACGGCCACUUGCGAAAGUGAGAUCUGAUAGAGAUAAUAAGAUAAGAUAAAUAUUUUUGGUAUUUUUAUGAUAUAGAUUGAAAAGUAAAGAUUGCAAAAUAAAUUAGAUCGGAAACUUAUAUGAUAGAAAAUAGACCCAGGGGCCAUAGGUUUCACUAGUGGAUUCUCUCAAGAUAGCAUAAGUAUUACGGUGGGUGAACAAAUUACUGUCAAGCAAUUGAUAGAAAAGUGCAUAGUUAUGAGAAUAUCUAGGCAUGAUCAUGUAUAUAGGCAUCACGUCCGCGACAAGCAGAUCAAAACGAUUAUGCAUCUACUACUAUUACUCCACACAUCGACCGCUAUCCAUCAUGCAUCUAGAGUAUUAAGUUCAUAUGAACAGAGUAACGCAUUAGGCAAGAUGACAUGAUGUAGAGGGAUAAACUCAAGCAAUAUGAUAUAAACCCCAUCUUUUUAUCCUCGAUGGCAACAAUACAAUACGUGCCUUGCUGCCUCUGCUAUCACUGGGAAAGGACACCGCAAGAUUGAAUCCAAAGCUAAGCACUUCUCCCAUUGCAAGAAAGAUCAAUCUAGUAGGCCAAACCAAACUAAUAAUUUGAAGAGACUUGCAAAGAUAACCAAUCAGAGGAGAUUCAAAUAUUUCUCAUAGAUAAACUUGAUCAUAAACCCACAAUUCAUCGGAUCUCGACAAACACACCGCAAAAAGAGUUACAUCGAAUAUAUAUCCAAGAAGAUCGAGGAGAACAUUGUAUUGAGAUUCAAAGUGAGAGAAGAAGCCAUCUAGCUAAUAACUAUGGACCCGAAGGUCUGUGGUAAACUACUCACAACUCAUCGGAGAGUCUUUGCGUUGAUGUAGAAGCCCUCCAUGAUCGAUUCCCCCUACGGUGGAGCGCCGGAAAAGGCUCCAAGAUGGGAUCUCACGGGGACAGAAUGUUGCGGUAGUGGAAAUAGGGUUUUAUGGUGCUCCCGGAUGUAUUCAGGGUAUGCAAGUAUAUAUAGGCGAAGGAAGUCGGUCAAGGGAUCCACGAGGGGCCCACAAGGGUGGGGGCGCGCCCACCCCCCUAGGACGCGCCCUGGACCCUCGUGCCCACCUCGUUUACUUCUUGACGUCCACUCCAAGUCUCCUGGAUUGCGUUUGUUCAAAAAAUAUCUCUCCCGAAGGUUUCAUUCCAUUUGGACUCCGUUUGAUAUUCCUUUUCUUCGAAACACUGAAAUAGGCAAAAAAACAGCAAUUUGGGCUGGUCCUCCGGUUAAUAGGUUAGUCCCAAAAAUGAUAUAAAAGUGUAUAGUAAAGCCCAUAAACAUCCGAAACGGGUAAUAUAAUAGCAUGGAACAAUAAAAAAUUAUAGAUACGUUGGAUACAUAUCAAGCAUACCCAAGCUUAAUUCCUGCUCGUCCUCGAGUAGGUAAAUGAUAAAAACAGAAAUUUUGAUGUGGAAUGCUACCUAGCAUAUUUCUCAAUGUAAUUUUCUUUAUUGUGGCAUGAAUGUACAGGUCCAAAUGAUUCAAGAUAAAAGUUCAUAUUAACAUAAAAAUAGUAAUAGUUCAAGCAUACUAACAAGUAAUCAUGUCUUACCAAAAUAAUAUAGCCAAAGAAAGCUUAUCCCUACAAAAUCAUAUAGUUAGGCUAUGCUUCAUUUUCAUCACACAAAAUACUCCUAUCAUGCACAACCCCGGUUUCAGCCAAGCAAUUGGUUCAUAAUUUUUAACGCGCUUCAGCUUUUUUAACUCUCACGCAAUACAUGAGCGUAAGCCAUGGAUAUAGGACUAUGGGUGGAAUAGAAUAUGAUGAUGGAGGUUGUGUGGAGAAGACAAAAAAGGAUAAAAUCUCACAUUGACGAGGCUAAUCAACGGGCUAUGGAGAUGCCCAUCAAUUGAUGUCAACAUGAGGAGUAGGGAUUGCCAUACAAUGGAUGCACUAGAGCUAUAAAUGUAUGAAAGCUCAACAAAAGAAACUAAGUGGGUGUGCAUCCAACUCGCUUUCUCACGAAGACCUAGGGCAUUUUGAGGAAGCCUAUCAUUGGAAUAUGACUCUAAUAAUGAAGAUCAUCACACUUUUAUUUAUUUACAACUCAAGAAUUACAACUCAAUACUUAGAACAAAAUAUGACUCUAUGUGAAUGCCUCCAGCGGUGUACCGGGAUAUGCAAUGAAUCAAGUGACAUGUAUGAGAGAAUUAUGAAGGUGGCCUUGCCACAAAUACGAUGUCAACUACAUGAUGGAACAUGUCAUAAUAACGGAAUGGUGGAAGGUUGCAUGACAAUAUAUCUCGGAAUGGCUAUGGAAAUGCCAUAAUAGGUAGGUAUGGUGGCUGUUUUGAGGAAGAUAUAAGGAGGUUUAUGUGUGAUAGAGCUUAUCGUAUCACGGGGUUUGGAUGCACCGGCGAAGUUUGCACCAACUCUCAAGGUGAGAAAGGGUAAUGCACGGUACCGUAGAGGCUAGCAAUGAUGGAAGGGUAAGAGUGUGUAUAAUCCAUGGACUCACAUUAGUCAUAAAGAACUCAUAUAAUUAUUGCAAAAGUUAUUUAUCCCUCGAAGCAACGUACUACUAUGCAUGCUCCUAGGGGAAUGGUUGGUAGGAGUUAACCAUCGCGCGAUCCCGACCUCCACUCACAAGGAAGGCAAUCAAAGAGCACCCCAUGCUACAAAUUUGUUACAUAAAUUUUACCAUACGUGCAUGCUACGGGACUUGCCAACUUUAAAACAAGUAUUUCUCAAUUUCAUAAUUACCCAACUAGCAUGACUCUAAAUUACCACCUUUAUAUCUCAAAAAAAUUAUCAAGCAUCAAAUUGAUCAUAGCAUCCAAUGCACUUUAUGUGAUAGUUUUUAUUAUACCCAACUUGGAUGCCCAUCAUACUAGGACCAAUUUUAUAACCAUAGCAAAUACCAUGCUGUUCUAAAAGACUCUCAAAAUAAUAUAAGUGAAGCAUGAGAGAUCAACAAUUUCUACAAAAUAAAACCAUCGCCGUGCUCUAAAAAUAUAUAAGUGAAGCACUAGAGCAAAAUUGUCUAGCUCAAAAGAUAUAAGUGAAGCACAUAGAGUAUUCUAAUAAAUUCUGAUUCAUGUGUGUAUCUCCCAAAAGGUGUGUACAUCAAGGAUGACUAAAAUCAAAUACUCAUAUCAUACAAGACGCUCCAAGGAAAACACAUAUUAUGUGAUGAAUAAAAAUAUAGCUCCAAGUAAAGUUACCGAUAGACGAAGACGAAAGAGGGGAUGCCUUCCGGGGCAUCCCCAAGCUUAGGCUUUUGGUUGUCCUUGAAUUACCUUGGGGUGCCUUGGGCAUCCCCAAGCUUAGGCUCUUGCCACUCCUUAUUCCAUAGUCCAUCAAAUCUUUACCCAAAACUUGAAAACUUCAGAACACAAAACUCAACAGAAAAUCUCAUAAGCUCCGUUAGUGCAAGAAACCAAACCACCACUUUAAGGUAAUGUAAUGAACUCAUUAUUUAUUUAUAUUGGUGUUAAACCUACUUUAUUCCAACUUCACUAUGGUUCAUACCCCCCGAUACUAGCCAUAGAUUCAUCAAAAUAAGCAAACAACACACGAAAAACAGAAUCUGUCAAAAACAGAAUAGUCUGUUCUAAUCUGUAACUUUAGAAUACUUAUGGAACUCUAAAAAUCCUACCAAAAUAGGAAGUCCUAGGAAAUUUGUCUAUUGAUCUACUGCAAAAAGAAUCAACUAAAAAUAACGUUUAUGUGAUUUAUUAACAUUAUUCUCGUGCAUGCAAAAGUUUCUGUUUUUCAGCAAGAUCAAAUUAACUAACACCGUAGGUUGUCCUAUAGGUUCUACUUGGCACAAACACUAAUUAAAACAUAAAACCACAUCUAAAAAGAAGCUAGAUGAAUUAUUUAUUACUAAACAGGAGCAAAAAGCAAGGAACAAAAAUAAAAUUGGGCUGCCUCCCAACAUGCGCUAUCGUUUAACGCCCCUAGCUAGGCAUAAAAGCGAGAAUAGAUCUAAGUAUUGCCAUCUUUGGUAUUCAAUUCAUAAGUGGCUCGCAUAAUAGAUUCAUAAGGUAAUUUGAUUUUCUUUCUAGGAAAUUUUUCCAUGCCCUUUCUUAAUGGAAAUUGGAAUCUAAUAUUUCCUUCCUUCAUAUCAAUAAUUGCACCAAUCGUUCUAAGGAAAGGUCUACCAACAAUAAUAGGACAUGAAAGAUUGCAAUCUAUAUCAAGAACGAUAAAAUCUACGGGCACAUAAUUCCUAUUUGCAACAAUAAGAAUAUCAUUAAUCCUUCACAUAGGUUUCUUAAUAGUGGAAUCCGCAAGGUGCAAGUUUAAAGAGCAAUCAUCAAAAUCGCAGAAACCUAACACAUCACACAAAGUUUUUGGAAUCGUGGAAACACUAGUACCCAAAUCACACAAAGCAUAGCAUUCAUGAUCUUUAAUUUUAAUUUUAGUAGUAGGUUCCCACUCAUCAUAAAGUUUUCUAGGCAUAGAAACUUCCGGUUCAAGUUUCUUCUUCAUAAGAUUGCAUCAAAGCAUCAACGAUAUGUUUGGUAAAAGCUUUAUUUUGACUAUAAGCAUGAGGAGAAUUUAACACGGAUUGCAACAAGGAAAUACAAUCUAUUAAAGAGAACUUGUCAUAAUUAAAUUCCUUGAAAUCCAAAAUAGUGGGUUCAUUGCUAUGUAAAGUUUUGACCUCUCCAAUCCCACUUUUACCAAAUUUAGCAUCAAGAUCUAAAAACUAAAUGCAAUUCACUGACACCGGAGGAAUACCUUGUGUGUACCAAACGUCGCAACAUAACUGGGUGACUAUAAAGGUGCUCUACAUGUAUCUCCGAGGGUGUCUGGUGAGUUGGCAUGGAUCAAGACUGGGAUUUGUCACUCCGUAUGACGGAGAGGUAUCUCUAGGCCCUCUUGGUAAUACAACAUCACAAGAAGCUUGCAAGCAAUGUGACUAAUGAUUUAGCCACGGGAUCUUGUAUUACAGAACGAGUAAAGAGACUUGCCGGUAACGAGAUUGAACUAGGUAAGGAGAUAUCGACGAUCGAAUCUCGGGCAAGUAACAUACUGAUAGACAAAGGGAACUUCAUACGGGAUUAGCUGAAUCCUUGGUCCCACUAUUGGUUAUUGAUCGUAGAGGUGUCUCGGUCAUGUCUGCAUAGUUCUCUAACCCGGAGGGUCUACACACUUAACGUUUGGUGACGAUAUAAGUAUAGUUGAGUCAUUAUGGUGGUUACCGAAGGUUGUUCGGAGUCCUGGAUGAGAUCUUGGACAUGACGAGGAACUCCGGAAUGGUUCGCAGGCAAAGAUCGAUAUAUUGGAUGAAGGAUAUUGGAGUCCGGAAUUGUUCCGGGGGUACCUGGUGAUGACCAGCAUGACCGAAAGAGGUUUCGCGGGGCCCCGACAAGUGUUGGGUGAUACAUCUCCAACAUAUCUAUAAUUUUUGAUUGUUCCAUGCUGUUAUAUUAUCAUUCUUGUAUGUUUUAAAAUCAUUUUGUAGUCAUUUUAUAUCAUUUUUGGGUACUAACCUAUUGACAUAGUGCCCAGUGCUAGUUGCUGUUUUCUGCAUGUUUUUUUACAUCGCAGGAAAUCAAUACCAAACGAAGUCCAAACACAGCGAAACUUUUUGAGGAUUUUUUUGGGCCAGAAGACAUCCAAUGGGCCAGGAAAGCACCUGGGGGUGCUCUGAGGGGAGCACAACCCACCAGGGCGUGCCUGGAGGCCCAAGCGCGCCCAGGUGGGUUGUGCCCACCUCGGGUGCCCCGUGAACCGCCUCUUUGCUCUAUAAAUACCCCAAUAUUUUAGAAAUCCUAGGGGAGUCAAUGAAAAUCAAUUCCAGCCACCGCAGAUUCCAGAAACACCAGAUCCAAUCUAGACACCAUCUCGGAGGGGUGCAUCAUGUCCAUUGUUGCCUCUCCGAUGAUGCGUGAGUAGUUCUUUCUAGACCUAUGGGUCCGUAGUUAGUAGCUAGAUGGCUUCCUCUCUCUCUCUUGAUUAUCAAUAAAAUGGUCUCUUGGAGAUCCAUAUGAUGUAAGUUUUUUGCGGUGUGUUUGUUGGGAUCCGAUGAACUUUUAGUUUAUGAUCAAAUCUAUGUUUUUAUCCAUGAAAGUUAUUUGAGUCUUCUUUGAUCUCUUAUAUGCAUGAUUGAUUAUAGCCUCGUAUUUCUUCUCCGAUAUUUGGGUUUUUUUGGCCAACUUGAUCUAUUUAUCUUGCAAUGGGAAGAGGUGCUUUGUGAUGGGUUCGAUCUUACUGUGCUUGAUCCCAGUGACAGAAAGGGAAAUGACACAUAUGUAUCAUUGCUAUUAAGGAUAACAAGAUGGGAUCUAUUUCUACAUAAAUAGAUCUUGUCUACAUCAUGUCAUCGUUCUUAUUGCAUUACUCCAUUUCUCCAUGAACUUAAUACACUAGAUGCAUGCUGGAUAGCGGUCGAUGUGUGGAGUAAUAGUAGUAGAUGCAGGCAGGAGUCGGUCUACUAAUCUUGGACGUGAUGCCUAUAUAAUGAUCAUUACUUGGAUAUCGUCAUGAUUAUUUGAAGUUCUAUCAAUUGGCCAACAGUAAUUGUUUUCCCACCGUUUGCUAUUUUUCCCGAGAGAAGCCACUAGUGAAACCUAUGGCCCCCAGGUCUCUUUUGAUCAUGUUUGCCUUUGCGAUAUAUUUUCCUUUGCAUUUAUUUUCAUAUCUAUUAAACCAAAAUACAAAAAAUAGCUUGCUGCAAUUUAUUUGUUCCGUGAUCUAUUUAUCCUAUUUACCACUUUUAUCUCACGUUAUUUGCCUAUCUUGAGGCGUCGUACCCGAAAGGGAUUGACAACCCCUUUAACACGUCGGGUUGCGAGUAUUUGUUAUUUGUGUGCAGGUGCCUUUUACGUGGUGGUCUCAUCACUGAGGGAAAUACCUAUUGUCUCUAUACUGCAUCAUCCCUUCCUCUUUGGGGAAAUACCAACGUAGUUCUAGCACACAUCAAAAGGAAUUUAUGGCGCUGUUGCCGGGGAGGAUCUUCAACAUCAACCAGGUUCCUUAUCACAAAUCUCAUCUCCUCGCGAUUUACAUUAUUUGCCAUUUGCCUCUCGUUUCCUCUCUCCACUUCACAAAUUUGCCGUUUUAUUCGCCCUCUUUUUCGCUCGCCUUUUUCUUGUCAGAUCUCUUGUUUGCUUGUGUGACCAUGUGUCUUCUAUUGGCUUGCAUCUUUGCUUGUUAAAAAUCUAUUGAUAUGGAUCCUCAUCCACUAGCUAAUAUUUUUGAGAGAUCUAAUUAUGUUGAACCAGUUGCUAGUGAUUUGAGUGCACUUGAUUAUCUCUAUGAAGUUUUGCUUGAAAUUCGUGAAUCUGAAAAUUGUGAUGAAGUGCUUAAAGAAGAAAUUUAUGAAGUGAUUCACGAUAGCUCCUUGAAUAAAAAGCAUGAUUGCAAUGGCGUUAGUAUAAAUUCUAUUAAUGUCAAUUGUGCCAAUGUUAUGCAAAACCCCAAGCUUGGGGAUGCUAAUGUUUCUAUGUCCACUAAUUAUUGUAAUGAUCAUGAUUGGGGUGAUUCUUCUUAUGAUCUUGAAAAUUUAUUUAAGCCUCAUGAUGAAUAUGCUAUUGAUAAUAAUUGUCAGUGUACAGAAGUAGGGGUUCUACUUUGUACCCCUUUACCUAUGCACGGGCAGCCAGAGCCACGGCCACGGCCACACUUAGCAGGGCAAGUAUGGGAAGCCGAAGCCACCAGAUGAUCAAAGGAACGCCAAGACAGAGACACGAAGAGAAGGAGGGUGAGGUGGACUCCCCCGGCAAGACCCUUGCUGGGGUGGCCUCCACGGCCCUGGCAAGGACCUUGCCGGGGACAGCUUGCCAAACCCUAGUGGAGCGCCACCCUUGAGCCCGAGGUUUCCAAUACCAACAAACACAUUGGAACCAAGGCGCGGGAGGUGCCUCCAUGGUGGCAUGCAGAUCUUUGUGAAGAUCAUUAACACACAAUAUCAGGUAAGGACCAGAAGACGAGACCUCCGGCAACAUCCUUGCUGGGACGACCGCAGUGCCAUGGCAAGACCCUUGCCCCCCCGGCAAGACCCUUGCCGAGGACAUCAGCAAGGCCACGGCCAGGCCCACACGCGUCAAGACCCCACCGCCGUUCACAUGCAGCUGCCAGCCCAGCCAGGCAGGCGGGCACCUGUGUGGCGACGUGCCGUCCCGAGGCCAACUCAGCAAGCACCUGCGUUGUGGCAUGCAGAUCUUCGUGAAGACGCUGCCACCGCGCCACCUCAGCUGCCUGCCAGCCUACAUGGCGCUACCCACCCCGCUGGCCUGCGCGCGUGUCGAAGCAGGGCAAGGCGGUGAUAAAACAGGGGGACACCUCAGAGGUGCAUUUAAUGCAUCUUGUCCCGUAAUGGCAAGUGAUAAACAUAGCUACUGCACCCUUUCCACCUCCUGUCACUACAAAAGAAAGACACAUCCAUGACAUUUUGGGCCGAACGAAUUUUUUCUGUCAUACUUAUGACACUUCUAUGAAGAUAAUUGUGACAAAACCUGGUAUCAUCACAGAUGUGGUGGGCUCCUACUUCUAUGACAAAAAAUCAUGACAAAAAUGGGCUUUUUGUCCUGGGCGGGCCGGAGACGCGGCUGCAUGACAUUCUUUGGGCCGUCCAUGACGGAAAAAAUCGUGGUAGAAGAGAGGGCGAGGAAAAUAUCGGGGUGUUCCCGGUUACGAUGGGUGGUCGGGGCCGAGCGAUGCGCGUUUCUCUCGUACAUGUAUGCACGUGGGUGCGAGGCGUUGGGCUGUAACUGAACCCGAGCAAGGCGUUCACCUAUACUGAACCCGAGCAAGGCGUUCACCUAUACUGAACCCGAGCGAUUGCACUGCAGACUACGCGUUACUGAACCCGAGCGAUCGAUCGAUGCAUGGCUCUUAACUGAACCCGAUCGAGCGGUUCCUUCACUACUGCUGCUAACUAGAGCCGAUCGAUGCUGCCUCUGGAUGAACAGUGAGUAUUGCGAGGGGGGUGGAUGAACAGUGAGCGAUGGGGGUGGAGGAACAAGACCCCGUGGUGUUGCCUCUAGAUGAACAGGACCCUGAUCGAUCGAGCCGGUUGGGGCUGGAUGAACCGGACCCCGUGGAGGGUUGGAUGAACAGGAGGACCCCGUGGAGGGUUGGAUGAACAGUAGAUGGUGGAGGGGUGGAUGAACAGUAGCCCGUGGAGGGGUGGUUGAACAGGAGCCCGUGGAGAGGGGUGGUUGAAUAGUAGCUGGUGGAGUAGCGCGCAGUGGAGGCUGGAUGAACAGGAGCCUGUGGAUGAACAGUCGUAGGUGGAGGCUGGAGGAGGUCGACGGUGGACGAACAGUAGCCCGUGGAGGCUGGAGGAGGUCGACGGUGGAGAUGAACAGUAUCCCAUGGAGUCCCUUUUGCGGUACCCCACACCCCUCCCAAUGAACAGGACCCCCGUUUCGACCAUAGUGCUCCAACACAAGUCCGUUUCCUCCGUUUUGUGGGACGCCACACCCCUCCCGAUCAGCAAGACCCCGUUUCGACUUUAGGAGGUCCAACACAAGUCCGUUUCCUCUGUUUUGCAGUACGCCAGACCCCUCCUGAUGAACAGGACCCCGUUUCAAACGUGGACGGUCGAACACAAGGCCGUUUCCUCCAUUGUGCGGUACGCCAGGCCUCGUUUCCAUCACCUGUUCCAUCCAAGCCCUCCCGAUGAACACUGUUGGCGUCCUGGAAACGGGGGUCCCCAUACUUGCCUGCAUGUGGCCUGCAGUGUAGCUCAACUAGUGGCCCAGUACGGCCCGUCUUCAUCAACAAACGCUCAAGACCCUCGCGAUGGGCCAAGCCUCAUGGGGUGGACGGUGCAAGGCCUCCUUAGGGGCGGCCUCACCAGGCAGGCUCGCGAGGAGGCAGAGAGAUCAAGGCAAGGGGUACCUCGCGAGGUGCUCAUGAUGCAAGCCAUGAAGAUCAAGACCAGGCGGGCGCCAGCCUGCGCAGUGUCCUCAUUUCCCCUUUGGUGCAAAGGGGGCAAGCGCAGGCACGGAGUACCGAGGCAUCAGGCAAAGGUUUCCAUAUUGGUGCAACGAGACCAAGACCAACAGAGCGGCGGGACGGAGGUCACCGUGGAGCCCAAGACAGCAUCAUCACCAGUGUCUUUGGCAGUCGAAGACCACCUUUAGUCCGGAUAGCUUGUACUAGUUGUCCCCUUUCAAAAUGGCCGUUGUUGGCUCUCUUCCCGUUCAAUAUUUGGGAAGAGGACCUGGGCCUCUAUAAAUAGAGAUAGCUACAACAAUAGAAGACGGGUUAAGUUCAUCCACAUACGACCACCACAAGAACACCUCUCGCGAGGCUGUUCUUCCUCUGUAUUGUUCAUCAUCAGCCCAAGAGGCAAUCCACCACACCACACACAGGAGUAGGGUAUUACACCACAACGGUGGCCCAAACCUGUAUAAAUCUUGUGUCUGUUGUGUUGUUCAUCGUGUUAGCUUAGAUUCGCGGCGAGGUUUUGGGACGUGAAUCGGUAGGGAGAAGAUCUUCGUGCGCACCCCAGAGUUCGAACCUUAAGGGUUUUGCCGGAACCCGAUAUCCAACAUUUGGCGCGCCAGGUAGGGGUGCGCCAGAGCUCUCCCUUCCAUUGACCCGCUCUCCACCAACACUGCGCCUCGCCCUGAUAGUGAACAACACGCCACCGGCUCCGGUGGCCAACACUAGCGCGGGGGGCAGGGGGCUCCGAGCCUUGGCCCCCGCCUUGCGACAGGUGUAGUGGCCGCACAAGUUCAAGCCAGAGAUGCCGCCGCGCUACGACAAUGCGGUGGACCCGCUGGCUUUCCUGCUGGCAUAUGAAGAGGCCGUCCUCAAGGCCGGAGGCGACGACAAGGUCAUGGCCAACUGGUUUCCGAUGGCCCUCACCAGCGUCCCACGUGUUUGGCUGCUCCACUUGCCAACAUCUUCUAUGGCCUCGUGGGAGGAGCUGCGCAACAUCUUCCUCACCCACUACGUUGCGCCGGCGCCCCCGGUCGUCGUAGCUCUCCUGGGCGGCUUGCAGGCGCCACCUUCCAGCCGCCACGUCAAGCCAUUCGUCCGCCAGAUCGGCACCGCCCUCACACGGGAGGGAGCUCCUCCGGGUUGGGCGGCACCCAAGGCUGACCUGACCUUCAACUCGGACGAUCACCCCGUCAACAUCGCUUGCUCGGGUGCGCUCCCAAUGCUUUGCACACCCACCAUCUGCCAGGUUAUGUCGGAUAUCGGGUUCCGGCAAAACCCUUAAGGUUCGAACUCUGGGGUGCGUGUGAAGAUAUUCCCCCUACCGAUCCACGUCCCAACGCCUCGCUGAGAAUCUAAGAUAAACGAUGAACAACACGAGGGACACAAGAUUUAUACUGGUUCGGGCCACCGUUGUGGUGUAAUACCCUACUCCAGUGUGUGGUGUGGUGGAUUACCUCAGGGGCUGAUGAUGAAUAGUACAAGGGAAGAACAGCCUCGCGAGAGGUGUUCUUGUGGUGGUGAUUUGAGAAGGAUUCGAUCCGCUCUCAAUGGCUCUGGAUCAGAUCCUGAUGAUAUGUCCCUCUACUGUGGUGGCUAGCCCUAUUUAUAGAGGCCCUGGUCCUCUUCCCAAAUAUUGAGCAGGAAGGGCGCCAACAAUGGCCAUUUUGAAGGGGAACAUCUAGUACAAGUUAUCCUGACUAAAGUUGGUCUUCGGCUGCCAAAGGCACUGGCGAUGACGCCGUCUUGGGCUCCACGGUGACCUCCGUCCUGCCGCUCUGUGGUCUUGGUCUAGUUGUACCAAAAUGGUAACCUUUGCUUGAUGCCUCAGUACUCCGUGCCUGCGCUUGCCCCCUUUGCACCAAAGAGGAAACAAGGACACUGCGUAGGCCGGCGCCCGCCUGGCACCCGCCUGGUCUUGGUCAUCAUAUCUUGCGUCACGAGCACCUCGUGAGGUACCCCUGCCUUGAUCUCUUCACCUCCUCGCAAGCCUGCCUGGUGAGGCUGCUCCUGAGGAAGCCUUUCGUCGUCCGCCCCGUGAUGCUUGGCCCCUCGCGAGGGUCUUGAGCUUGAGUUGAUAAAGAUGGGCCGUACUGGGCCACCACUUGAGCCACACCGCAGGCCGCAGGCAGGCAAGUCUGGGGACCCCCAUUCCCAAAACGCCGACAGUAGCCCCCGGGCCCAAGGCACGCUCGGACUUGGCUUAGCAGAGAAGCGAAAGGGCAAGUGCGAAGCAUCGGGGGCCCCACAGCCUGCGGCCUUGGUCACCGCGGGGCGGUUGAUUGGACGUGGGCGUCCCUGCUUCCCCACGCUGCCUCGGCAACUGCCCGACUUGAGAAGUCCCUGCAUGCAAAAAUGAGUCAUGAUUACCUGCGAUCGUGGCUGCCGACGAUUGGCCUCCUCUAGGCUAUAAAUGCGAGGGGGGCACGAGCCCCCGCAGUCCAUCUCUUCCUACUCCGCUCCUUCUUCCUUGCUCCUCCCCCAUCUGCUUGCUAUGUCCCAUGGCGCCUACGAAGAGGUUCUCGGCCGUAGAGAAGGGGAAGGCUCGCCAGGAAGGACCUGGCUCUCCUCCGCCCAAGCGCGGCCGAGGCCAUCCCCGCAAGCACCCCGCGACUCCCGCAUUGGCCGCCCAUGGUCGCGGAGGUCUUUUGCAUGGUGAAGGUCGCUCGAUUGGCGGGGGAAGAUGCGCCCUGGCUGCGCGGCCUCCCCACCCACGCUUUCACUCGGCUAAGGUGCUGCCAGAGUUUGUCGUUUGGUUGGCGGAUCCGACCGGCAAUUGGAUUCAGCUCCCGCUCUUCUUCGCUGGCGAACUGCCGGCAGGUGCCACUGGUGGGCUCUGGCUUCAGGCGGACGGCUACUGCAGCAGAGCCUCCUGGGUCACGGUGGAGGUCUCCGUCGCUGGGAACGUGGCCUUGGCUCGCGGCUCGCAGAGGUUUGCCCGCGCGCGUGACCUGGGCCGGCAACGCACCCUGCAUUUCAAGUUUGACGGUGAUGCCACCCUCUACGUGAGGGUGUUCGGAGAGGACGUCCGUCGUGUCGGGUGCUACCCUGAAGAUGAUUAUGGAGACUGGGUGCUUAGCCUCGGCGACGGCCGUGAUGAAGACGAAGGCGGGCCCAUUCCUGGAGGCAUUCGUAGCUCGCCAAGCUUCAGCGGCUCCACCUCUGAUGACAGCUCCUCCAGCAGCGGUCGUGAUCAACCACCGCGCCGCAGCGCUCGCUUUGAGGGGGGUAGCGGGUCAUCCCGUCGUCGCGCCUCGGUGAAGCGUGAGGAGGGGUCUGAUUGAGCUCGGGAGGGCGGUGUGAAUCCCCCUCCACGAGCCAUCGCCAGGCAGGCCCCGUUUAUUUUGUUUUUCUCCUUUUCCUGCAUAGAGAGAGAGAGAGAAGUGUGGAGCCCCGCGGGGGUGUGCUGGACUGUUGCCUUUAAUUAUAAUGCUAUUUCCAUUAUUUCCAUGCCAUGCUACGGUAUUGCGUGCUCAUGCGUAGGAACAACUUAGCUUGGGGGGCUCGCUGCAGUUUUCGCCUCCUCGCAAGGCUCCUGCCUGAGGCCUCGUCGAGUGUCUUGAGGCUUGCAAAAAUUAACUGGACGGAUAGCUUUUGAACCCUUGUCGCGAGGGUGACCGGCCCAGGUCCUACGUUCGUGUCGCAAUGCCCGUGGGGCAUGGACCGGGAGGAGCGCUCCCGCUGUGAACUUGAGUAGGGAAGCCUCAUGAAAUUAGGUCAGAAGAUACUCGCGAGGGCGCCCGCGCAGCCCCCUCGUGAGGCUUGCAGAAGAGAAGUCGAGUCAGGCGAGCAACAAAAAUAGAGAAUCACGGGCAGGGGACAGCAAACAACACCAAAAGUAACUCCAAUAAAGUUUUGAACAAGGGUGAACAAGCCAACUACAGAAAGCAAAUGAAAACCGCGUCCAGCACCUAAUCUAGUCUCCGACGUCUUCUCACCAGCAUGGAGCUAAGUGCUACCACUGGGCGUGGGCGGGAGCCCCCGAGGCCCGAGGGCGGCACUCCGGAGACUCCGGGGCGUGUACAUCCCCAACUCAUUAUUACGUGAGAGUGUCACGGGCGGCGAGCUUCACAGGCAUUGGCCUUCUUCACAGGCACCGGGCCUUUUCUCGGGGCGAUGAGCUUCACAGGCACUAGGCCUUCUUCACAGGCACCGGGCCUUACUUCAAGGGUAAAAUCUCCGCAGGUGCUGAAUGUUCCACGCAUUCGGGACGAGCACCCCCUCCUGGGUCUCCAAGCGCGCGGCGCCAGGUCUGGAAACAUGAACAACCUUGAACGGGCCCUCCCACAUGGGCGAGAGCUUGUGCAGCCAUUCCCUAGAGAGCACCCGCCUGAGCACGAGGUCACCUACCUCGAGAGUCCUGGGGCAGAUGUUGCGGCAAUGGUACCGUCGUAGUGCAUGUUGGUAUCUUGCCGCCCGAAGCGCGGCCUCCCGACGGUGUUCCUCCCCCAGCACAAGAUCCAUCCCCCGCAUGGCGUCCUGCCACGCUUCGUCAAACGCCAGGACCCGCGCGGAGCGACACUUGACCUCGUGAGGGAGGACAGCCUUUGCUCCGUAGACGAGGAAGAACGGGGUUUCGCCGGUUGACUUGGUAGCGGUCGUGCGGAUGGACCACAGCACGGACUGGAGCUCGUCGUACCAACCCCUGCCAUAGGCCUCCAGCUUCUUCUUGAAGGUCCUAGUUUUGAGGCCUUUCAGGACCUCCGCGUUGGCACGUUCGGCCUGGCCAUUGCUCCGAGGGUGUCCCACCAAAGCGUAGCAUAUCUGCGUUCCAAGGUUAGCACCCCGAAACGUUGUUUUGAAGAGAUUGCUGGUGAACUGCGAAACGUUGUCGGUGAUGAUGCGAUUAGGCACCCCGAACAGGCUCACGAGGCCCUUGAUGAACUUGAUUGCUGAACCAGCUGGGAUGGUGCGGACAGCUUCCACUCUGCCCACUUGGUGAACUUGUCAAUGGCGACGUAGAGGUAGCGAUAGCCCCUGGCGCCCGGGGAAAUGGGCCCAAAAUGUCCAGCCCCCAAAAUGCGAAUGGCCAUGAGAGUGGAAUGAUCUGCUUGGCAUGGAAUUGACAGGCUUCACAAGCCCUCACCAGCUCGAUUGCGUCAUUGAGUGCUGCAGGCCGAUAGAAUCCGCUAUGAAACGCCUUGCUGAUGAGGGUCUAUGAAGACGAGUGGUACCCGCAGUCUCCACCGUGAAUGUCUGCCAGCAACUCUUUCCCCUACUCCGUGGAGAUGCAACAUAGGAAAACAUCAUUUGGCCGCUUCAGGUAGAACUCUCCGUCUUGGAUGCAGUAGGCCGUGGCCUGCCGCGCCACACCUUCUACGUCCUCCUCCUUCUCUGGCAGAGUCCCUUGCAUUAGGUAAUCCUUGAGUUACGCAGUCCAACAUCCCUCUUGAGGCUCCAGCACCAGGAGCAAGCAUGCUCCUGAGGUCGGGCCACAGGCCGGAGCUCCUGAGGCAGGUGGUUGAGGGAGUUCCUCCCGAGGCUAUGCUGCACUUGAUAGUGGCGGUGCUGCUGAGAGCUUGAAGAGUCAUUCCUCGAAGACACCGGGCUCUUGAGGCAGUCACCUGGACGCCCUCCUGGUGAUGUCAUUAGCCUCUUAAUUGGUGCUGUGUGGCAUAUGCUGCAACUCCAACCCCCAGAACUUCUUUUCCAUUAUGCGGACCUCCACGAGAUACGCUUCCAUGUGUUCAUCCUUCGGCUCAUACACCUUGUUGGAGAAGUUGACGAGGAGCUGUGAAUCACCCUUGAUGAUGAGGCGCUUUACCCUCAAGGCCACUGCGGCCUUCAAGCCUGCUAUCAGGCCCUCGUAUUAUGCUAUGUUGUUGGAGACCUUCUCUCCAUGCUAGAAAUAGAGUUGUACGGUGUAAUAGAGCUUGUCCUGAGUGGGAGAUAUAAGCACUGCGCCAGCCCCCGGGCCAUGUCGCGAGAACGCUCCGUUGAAGUACAUGACCCAGCCGUCCGGCGCCUCACUUCCUGGGGAAAGUGACCGAUCUUCGCCUGCCUCGAGCCCUGGCGCCUCUGUCCAUUCUGCCACAAAAUCUGCAAGUGCGGCUCCUUUGAUGACCCUCGUCGUGCUGAAUUCCAACUGAAACGCUUGCAACUCGAUGUUCCAUUCGGCGACCCUUCCCGCUGAAUUGGGACUCCUGAGUACCCUUUCCAAUGGAUAUGCCGAGACGACCUUGAUGGGGUGACCUUGAAAGUACUGUUGUAGCUUGCGCGACGCCACUAAUAGAGCGAGCAAGAGCUUCUGAGGCAUGGGGUAUCGUGCCAUCGCAUCCCGCGGCAUCGUGCUAAUGAAAUACACUGGGUGCUCGACGAGGGUAGGCAUGCUGGUGAGGUCGGUGCCUUCUGAGGGGUCAGGCGCCUCCUAAGACGAUGGAGUCCCCAGCCCCUGGCUGCCUGGUGCGGCCUCUUCGGCCCUGGGGGCGUCCCCCUGUUGAGGCUGGCAUCCAUCUGCUGCGGUCGUGGUCUUCGCGAGGCCUUCUUAGUUUUGCACUGUCGUGGCCGGGGCUGUGGCCGAUCGUGGCGCAGCUUUGACCUGGUGCUCCUCCCGUACUGCCACUAGAGCUGUACUGGCGGAGUAGGGUGUGGCGGCGAGGUAGAGCACCAAGGGAUCUCGAGGGCAUGGAGCCACCAUCACCGGAGGGCUGGUCAGGUACUUCCUGAGGUCUUGGAACACUUUGUCGGCCUCUUGAGUCCAUUCGAAUGGACCCUUCUUCUUCAUCAGCUUGAAAAAGGGCAGGGCACGUUCCCCCAGCUUGGAGAUGAAGCGCCCCAACGCGGUUACUCGCCCAGUGAGCUUCUGCAUUUCCCUGAGGGUUUGCGGUGGACUCAUGUCUUCGACUGCCUUGACCUUCUCCGAGUUAGCCUCUAUACCUCUGUGGGACACAAGGAAGCCCAGAAGCUUGCCAGAAGGAACACCGAACACGCACUUCUCCGGGUUGAGCCGUAGGUCCACCUCGCGAAGGCUCGUGAAGGUUUCUUCCAGGUCCUGAAUCAGGGUUUUAGCCUCCCGAGACUUCACCAUGAUGUCGUUGAUGUAUGCGUCGGCGUUUCUCCAGAGUUGCCGGCCCAAGGUGAUAUGCAUCAGCCGCUGAAAGGUUGCGCCUGCAUUGCGCAACCCGAACGGCAUGCAGGUGUAGUAGUACACCCCGCACGGGGUCAGGAAGGUCAUUUUCUCCACGUCUUCUACCGCCAUCUUGAUUUGGUGAUAGCCAGAGAAGUCAUACAGGAAGCACAACAUGUCGCACUCGGCGGUGGAAUCGACGAUCUGGUAAAUGUGGGGGAGCGGGAACGGGUCUUGAGGGCAGGCUUUGUUGAGGUUGGUGAAGUCAACGCACAUGCGCUCCUCCCCCCCCUACUUUGGCACAACAACAGGGUUGGCCAGCCAUUCAGGAUAGCGAACUUCGCGAAUGACACCCGUAGCUUCAAGCUUACGGGUUUCUUGGAUGAUGAAGGCCUGCUUCUCGGUGGACUGUCGCCUUGCCUUCUGCUUCACGGGGCGCAUGUUGGGGCACACAUUCAGAUGAUGCUCAAUCACCUCCCUUGGAACCCCCGCUAGCUACUUGGGUUCCCACGCGAACUCCUCCUUGUUCGCGCGCAGGAACUUAACCAAGUCCUCUUCUUGUUCGGGCUUGAGAUUGGCACCUAUGGUGAAGGUGGCACCGGAGGAUCCAUCCUAAUCGACUGGCACUUGCUUGGUUUCUGCCUUGUCUUUGGUGAACAGCUGCUUCUUCUUGGUUAGCGCAGCCCCCUUGGCCUCGAGAGUGCCAGCGCUGGCGGGCUACGCCAUGGCGGCUGCCUUGAGGGCGAGCCUGAGUGCCCACAGGGCAUCUUUUGUAUCUCCAGACACGGUGAGGACGCCACUGCUCCCGGGCAUCUUCAUGAGGUUGUAGGUCAGGUGAGUCUCUGCCAUGAACUAGGCUAAGACAAGGUAGCCAAGGAUGGCCUUGUACGGGAGGCCGAUGGGGGCGAUGUCGAAGUCGAUCAGCUCUGUGCGGAAGUUGUCGUGGGUGCCAAAGGUCACCGGGAGGCGGAUCUGCCCCAGGGAGCCGGUGGAACUGCCUCCAGCGCUCGAGAAGGGCUUCCUAGGUUGGAGUCGCUCCAGCGGCACGUGUGCAAGUUCAAGUGGAGCAUCACGAAGAGAUCAAGUGCUUGAAUCUUGCCAUCCAUUGUGGUGUCAAUGGACUUGUGAAGAUGUGCCUAAGAGUGGCUCAACCAUACUAGACUAUGGGAGAGCAAUCAUCUAGUCUUCAUCGAGCCAACGCAAUCAAGAAAGGUGCUCCAACUUGAGGGAGUCAAGAUUGUCAUCAUAUAGCUCAAGUGGACCAUGUGCAAGGCAAAGGUUUUCCCUUGAUAGUUUUUCUAUUUUACCGGUCUCGUGGUGGUAGUUGCGAGACCGGGUUAUAGGAUCGUUUGCCAUACUAUCAAGGGGGGCUCUCAAGUUGGUAACUUGAUCGUAUCGUUAGUAGAGAUCUCAAACCAUUGCAUCCUUGCAUCAUCUUUCUUAGUUCUUGUUUAGUUCUCUUUGUGAGUCUUAUAGCUUAUGGUCAUCUAGAUGACAAGCUUGAGUUCAUUGAAAAUGGAGUUUGCAUGUGUCUUCUAUGAUGUUUUCGGUGUUAGAGGUUUUACCGGUCUUAUCCGAGGAAGGGUUCUCACCAUUUUCUUAUGGGCCUUUUCUCAUUUGCUUCUUAUUGAUAUUUCUAUCAAUAUUGUGUUAGCGCAUGUCGUUAGCUUUCCAACAAACUUGGUUUCAUUGAAUUCGGAGUCCGUUUGCAAAAGUUGUGGCUGUUUUGGUAAAGGCUGCAGCGGUACUACCGUGACUAGAGCGGAUGUAAUUUUUUACUACCGCUCCAGAGCGGUACUACCGUGGCUCCUGAGCGGUAGUACCGCUCCAGAGAAGUACUACCGCGGCUCCUAAGCAGUAGUACCGCUCCGGACCAAAAUCUCGUGUUUUGCUCAGCGGAGGUAGGCACGAAAGUAUUUUUUUAGUACCGCUACCAUUUACGGUAGUACCGUGAGGUCGAGCGGUAGUAUCGUGAGGACAAGCGGUAGUACCGCUCCGGCGGUUCUAAUGGCCUUUUGCCUCCUCGUUGUUGUUUUUCAAAGGGGUACUACCGCCCUAGCGGUAGUACCGCUCUGUGCGGGCUAUGAGCAUAAUGGUUGGAUUUUUCCCCACCUAUAAAAGGGGGUCUUCUUCCCCAUUGAACCUUAUCCUUUGAGCUCGUGUUCUUCCCCAUUGUUAACCUUCUUCGAGCUAGCAAACUCUCAAUCCCUCCAUGGAUUCUUGCUAGUUUUUGAGGGAAAAGAGACAGGAGAUCUAGAUCCACAUUUCCACCAAUCACUUUUUCCUCUAUGUGAGGGGAACCCCUUGGAUCUAGAUCUUGGAGUUCUUGGUGUUCUCCUUCUUGUUCUUCCUCUCAUCUUCCUCCCUAGCAUUAGUUGCUUCGGUGGGAUUUGAGAGAGAAGGAUUUGGGCACUCCGUGUGCCCUUGCCAUUGCAUUUGGUGCAUCGGUUUGAGUUCUCCACGUGAUACGUGGAAGUUACAAGUUAAGAAGCUUAUUACUCUUGGGUGCUUGGUACCCUUGAGCUUGUUACUCUUGUGUGUUUGGACAACCUAGAGCUUGUUCCUCUUGGGUGCCUUGGCGCCCUAGAUAUUUGGUGUUGUUCGGAGCUCAAUCAUUGUGGUGUAAAGCUCCGGGCAAGCGUCGGGGUCUCCAAUUAGGUUGUGGAGAUCGCCCCGAGCAAUUUGACGGGUACCGGUGACCACCCCCAAGGGUUGCCAAAGUAUACAGGUUCGGUGACCGCCCCCAAGGGUUAUCAUUUGUACGGGUUCGGUGACCGCCCUCAAGGGUCCCUUAGUGGAAUCACGACAUCUUGCAUUGUGCGAGGGCGUGAGGAGAUUACGGUGGCCCUAGUGGCUUCUUGGGGAGCAUUGUGCCUCCACACCACUCCAAACGGAGAUUAGCAUCCGCAAGGGUGUGAACAUCGGGAUACAUCGUCGUCUCCGUGUGCCUCGGUUAUCUCUUACCCGAGCCCUUUACUUAUGCACUUUACUUUGUGAUAGCCAUAUUGUUCUUUGUCAUAUAUCUUGCAAUCACAUGGUGGCUUAUAUUGCCUAGCAUAAGUUGUUGGUGCACAUAGGUGAACCUAGUUGUUUUAGAAUUUGUGCUUGACAAAUUAACCGCUAGGUUUAUUCCGCAUUUGUUCAAGCCUAAACCGUAAUUAUUUUAAAGCGCAUAUUCACCCCCCCCUCUAGGCAACAUCCUCGAUCUUUCACCUUCUGUGCUAUCAAACCUCAUAACGUAACUGGGUUAUUAUAAAGAUGCUCUACAGGCAUCUCCGAAGGUGUUUGUUGAGUUGGCAUAGAUCAAGAUUAGGAUUUGUCACUCCGAAUAUCAGAGAGGUAUCUCUAGGCCCUUUCGGUAAUACACGUCAUAAUCUUGCAAGCAAACUACUAAGGAGUUAGUCAUGAGAUGAUGUAUUACGGAAGGAUUAGUGACGGUAACGACAUUGAACUAGGUAUGAAGAUACCGACGAUAGAAUCUCGGGCAAGUAACAUACCGAUAGACAAAGGGAAUUACGCAUGUUGUCAUAACGGUUCGACCGAUAAAGAUCUUCGUAGAAUAUGUAGGAGCCAAUAUGGGCAUCCUGGUUCCGCUAUUGGUUAUUGACCGGAGAGGUGUCUCGGUCAUGUCUACAUAGUUCUCGAACCCGUAGGGUCCGCACGCUUAACGUUCGAUGACGAUAUAGUAUUAUAUGAGUUAUGUGAUUAAGUGACCGCAUAUUGUUCGAAGUCCCGGAUGAGAUCAGGGACAUGACGAGUAGUCUCAAAAUGGUCAAGAGGUAAAGAUUGAUAUACAAGACGAUGGUAUUCGGACACCAGAAGUGGUUCGUGGGGUACCGGGUACUUAUCGGGUCACCGGAAGGGGUUCCAGGCACCCCCGGCAAAAGAUAUGGGCCUUAUGGGACAAGAGGGAAAACACACCAGCCACAAGGGUAUGGUGCGCUCCCCAUAUGGGCCAGCCUAGGAGGAGAAGGAAAGAGGGGAAGGGAAAGGAAAGAGUGGAAUAGGAUUCCCCCUUCCUUCCCUCUCCCCCCUUUUUCCUUCCCCAUCGGUUAUAUAUGGCAGGGGGGCGCGCGGCUUGUGAGGGACUCGAAGUAGGAUUCCUCCUACUUGGGCGCCUCCUAUGGCUGCUCCUCCCUCCCUCCCACCUAUAUAUAUUUGUGAAAGCGGGCACCUAGCACACACCAGACAUUUGCCUAGCCGUGUGCGACGCCCCCUCCACCGUUUACUACCUCGGUCAUUUUACGUAGUGCUUAGGCGAAGCCCUGCGGAGAUCACUUCACCAUCAGAGUCACCACGCCGUCGUGCUGCCGGAACUCAUCUACUACCUUGAUGUUUUGCUGGAUCAAGAAGGCGAGGGACGUCAUCGAGCUGAACGUGUGCAGAACUCGGAGGUGUCGUACAUUCGGUACUCGAUCGGUGGAUCGCGAAGAAAGUUUGACUACAUCAAUCGCGUUGUGAAACGCUUUCUCUUACGGUCUACGCGGGUACGUAGACACACUUUCCCCUCUCGUUGCUAUGCAUCUCCAUGGAUAGAUCAUUGCGUGUGCGUAGAUUUUUUUUUUUGUUUUCCUAUGCAGCGAUUCCCAAUAGUGGUAUCAGAGCUAGGUCUAUGCAUAGAUGAUAUGCACGAGUAGAACACAAAGAAGUUGUAGGUGGUGAUGUUCACACUGCUUACCACCAAAAUCUUAUUUUGAUUUGGCGGCAUUGCGGGAUGAAGCGGCCUGAACCAACCUUACAUGUCCACGCACAUGAGACCGGUUCCACCGACUGACAUGCAACUACUUUUGCAUAAAGGUGGCCGGUGGGUGUCUGUUUCUCCUACUUUAAUUGAAUCAAAUUUGACUGCGGCCGGUCCUUGAAGAAGGUUAAAAAAGCAAACUUGAUAAAUCUCCAUUGUAGUUUUUGCCGUGGGUAAGAACGGUUCUUGCUAGAAACCCAUAGCAGCCACGUAAAACUUGCAACAACAAAGUAGAUGACGUCUAACUUGUUUUUGCAGGGUAUGUUGUGAUGUGAUAUGGUCAAGACAUGAUGUGAUAUACGUUAUUGUAUGAGAUGAUCAUGUUUUCUAAUUUAUCAACAACUGGUAGGAGCCUUAUGGUUGUCUCUUUAUUGUAUGAAAUGAAAACGACAUGUAAUUGCUUUACUUUAUCGCUAUGCGUUAGCAAUAGUUGUAGAAGCAAUAGUUGGUGAGACGACCACGACGCAAUGAUGGAGAUCAAGGUGUCGAGCCGGUGACGAUGGAGAUCAUGACGAUGCUUUGGAGAUGGAGAUCAAAAGCAUGAGAUGAUGAUGGCCAUAUCAUGUCACAUAUUUUGAUUGCAUGUGAUGUUUAUCUUUUAUGCAUCUUAUUUUGCUUAGAACGACGGUAGCAUUAUAAGAUGAUCCCUUCACUAAAUUUCAAGAUAUAAGUGUUCUCCCCGAGUAUGCACCAUUGCGAAAGUUCAUUGUUUUGGGAAACCACGUGAUGAUCGGGUGUGAUAGACUCUACGUUCACAUACAACAGGUGUAAGAUAGUUUUGCACGUGCAGAAUACUUGGCUUAAACUUGAUGAGUACAGACAUGGCCUCGGAACACAGGAGACCGAAAGGUCGAACAUGAGUCAUAUAGUAUAUAUGAUGAACAUAGAGAUGUUCACCAUUGAUGACUACCCCAUCUCACAUGAUGAUCGGACAUGGGUUAGUUGAUUUGGAUCAUGUAUCACUUAGAUAACCCGAGGGAUGUUAAUUUAAGUGGGAGUUCAUUAGUAAUUUUACUAAUUGAACUUAUAUUUAUCAUGAACUUAGUCCUGAUAGUAUUUGCAAAUUAUGUUGUAGAUCAAUAGAUCGCGUUGUAGCUCCCCUAUUUUUGGUAUGUUCCUAGAGAAAAAUAAGUCGAAAGAUGAUAGUAGCAAUAACACGGACUGGUUCCGUGAUCUGAGGAUUAUCCUCAUUGCUGCACAGACGAAUUAUGUCCUUAAUGCACCGCUAGGUGACAGACCUAUUGUAGGAGCAGAUGCAGACGUUAUGAACGUUUGGCUAGCUUGAUAUGUUGACUACUUAAUAGUUUAGUGCGCCAUGCUUUACGGCUUAGAACUAGGACUUAAAAAUGUUUGGAACGCCAUGGAGCAUAUGAGAUGUUUCAAGAGCUGAAAUUGGUAUUUCAGACUCAUGCUCAUGUCAGGAGGUAUGAGACCUCGGACAAGUACUUGCCUGCAAGAUGGAGGAGAAUAGCUUAGCCAGUGAGCAUGUGCUCAGAAUGUCUGGGUACUACAAUCGCUUGAAUCAAGUGGGAGUUAAUCUUCCAGAUAAGAUAGUGAUUGAUAGAGUUCUCUAGUCACUAUCACCAAGCUACUAGAACUUCGUGAUGAAUUAUAAUAUGCAAGGGAUGACAAAAACGAUUCCCGAGCUCUUCGCGAUGCUGAAAUUGGCGAAGGUAGAAAUCAAGAAAGAACAUCAAGUGUUGAUGGUUAAACAAGACCACUAGUUUCAAGAAAAAGGGCAAGGGAAAGAAAGGGAACUUCAAGGAGAAUUACAAGCAAGUUUCCACUCCCGUGAAGAAGCCCAAAACUGAACCCAAGCCUGAAAUUGGGUGCUUCUACUGCAAAGGAAAUGGUCAUUGAAGUGGAGCUGCCCCAAAUACUAGGCGGAUAAGAAGGAUUGUAAAGUGAAGAAAGAUAUAUUUGAUAUACAUGUUAUUAAUGUGUACUUUACUAGUGUUCGUAGUAACCCCUGGGUAUUUGAUACCGGUUCAGUUGCUAAGAUUAGUAACUCAAAACAGGAGUUACAGAAUAAACAAAGACUAGUUAAGGGUGAGGUGACGAUGUGUGUUGGAAGUGAUUCCAAGGUUGAUACGAUCACCAUUGCACACCCCCUCUACCUUCGGGAUUAGUGUUGAACCUAAAUAAAUCUUAUUUGGUGUUUGCAUUGAGCAUGAAUAUGAUUAGAUCAUGUUUAUUGCAAUACGGUUAUUCAUUUAAGUCAGAGAAUAAUUGUUGUUCUGUUUAAAUGAAUAAAACCUUCUAUGGUCAUACACCGAAUGUGAAUGGUUUAUUGAAUCUCAAUCGUAGUGAUACACAUAUUCAUAAUGUUGAUGCCAAAAUAUGCAAUGUUAAUAAUGAUAGUGCAGCAUACUUGUGGCACUGCCAUUUAGGUAAUAUUGGUGUUAAAAGCAUGAAGAAACUCCAUACGGAUGGACUUUUGGAAUACUUGAUUAUGAAUCAUAUGAUACUUGCAAACCAUGAUUCAUGAGCAAGAUGACUAAACUUCGUUCUUCAGAACAAUGGAGCGAGCUAUUGACUUACUGGAAAUAAUACAUACCGAUGUAUGAGAUUCGAUGAGUGUUCAAGCACGCGACGAGUAUCAUUAUUUUCCGACCUUUAGAGAUGAUUUGAGUAGGUAUGGGUAUAUCUACUUAAUGAAACACAAGUCUGAAACAUUUGAAAAGUUCAAAGAAUUUUAGAGUGAAGUAUCAUAGUAACAAGAAAAUAAAGUUUCUACGAUCUGAUUGCGGAAGCGAAUAAUUGAGUUACGAGUUUGGACUUCAUUCAAAACACUAUGGAAUUGUUUCACAACUCAUGCCACCUGGAACACCACAACGUAAUGGUGUGUCCAAACGUCGUAAUUGUACUUUAUUGGAUAUGGUGUGUUCUAUGAUGUCUCUUACCGAUUUACCACUAUCGUUUUGGGGUUGUGCAUUAGAGACAGCCGCAUUCACGUUAAAUAGGGCACCAUCUAAAUCCGUUGAGACGUCAUUGUAUGAACUAUGGUUUGGCAAGAAACCUAAGAUGUCGUUUCUUAAAGUUUGGGUUGCGACACUUAUGUCAAAAGGCUUCAGCCUGGUAAUCUCGAACCCAAAUCAGAGAAGUGCGUCUUCAUAGGAUGCCCUAAGGAAAUAAUUGGGUACACAUUCUACCACAGAUCCGAAGGCAAGAUCCUUGUUUCUAAGAAUGGAUCCUUUCUAGAGAAGGAGUUUCUCUCGAAAGAAGUGAGUGCGAGGAAAGUAGAACUUGAUGAGGUAAUUGUAACUUCUCUCGAAUUGGAUAGUAGCACAUCAGAGAAAACUGUUCCCUUGAUCUACACCAACUAGAGAGGAAGCUAAUGAUGAUGAUCAUAAAACUUCAGACCAAGUUACUACUAAACUUCAUAGGUUGACCAGAGCAUGAUCUGCACCAGAGUGGUAUGGUAGUCAUGUCUUGGAAGUCAUGUUACUAGACCAAGACGAACCUACGAACUAUGAAAACGCUAUGAUGAGCCUAGAUUCCGACAGAUGGCUUGAGGCCAUGAAAUCUGAGAUAGGAUCCAUGUAUGAGAACAAAGUAUGGACUUUGGUGGACUUGUCCGCUGAUCGGCAAGCCAUAGAGAAUAAAUGGAUCUUCAAGAAGAGGACAUAUGCUAAUGGUAAUGUCACCAUCUACAAAGCUCGACUUGUUGCGAAAGGUUUUCGACAAGUUGAAGGAGUUGACUACGAUGAUUGUUACUGAUGGUCUAAAAGAGUUGGAUGAAUCAGUUAAACAUGUGCGAGCUGCGGUUAGAUAUAUAAGAAAUGGGCCAUCUAGAAUUACAAGAUUUAAAGAACUUGCUCAGUUAGAAAAGGUGGAUUGUGAGGCAUUCUUGAGGUUGGAUGUAUGCACUAGAUGGAAUUCCACAUACCUAAUGUUAGCAACCGCAAUCAACUUUGAGAAAGUGUUUGCGAGGUAUGAGGAAGAAGAUCCACUCUAUACAUUAGAUUUAACUAGUGAGAAAGCUCCUGGUAUUCCUGUUGAUACUGAUUGGGAGAAUGCUUCGAAAAUGGCUGAAUUUCUUGGACAGUUUUAUCACCUCACUCUUAGUGUUUCUGCCACACUCCAUGUGACAGUGAAUCAAUUUGUUAUGGAUAUUGCUGAAAUUAAUGUUGUGUUGGAACAGUGGGCUGAUAGUGAUGAUAUUUUGCGCAAAACAAUGGCCAAGAAAAUGCAAGAUAAGUAUGAUAAGUAUUGGGGAUGUUGGGAUGAGGAGGUGGAGAAUGAAAGGGGGAAGGGGAAAGGAAAGAAAAAGGAAGAGGAGAAUGUGAACAUGUUUGUAUUUGCUGCAACUGUUCUUGAUCCAAGAUUCAAGCUUUCAAACUUCACAAAACUAGCAAUUGAAGAAAUGUAUGGUGAGUUAAAUGGAGGCAAAGCAUGGGAGGCGGUGAAAACAUUUAUGCAUGCUUUGUUUGAAGAGUACAAAGCUAAGUAUGCACCAAGUGAUGCAAGCAAGCAUGUGCGAGCUCCACAAUCUAAACUAACUCAAAAAAGGGAAGGAAGGAAAUUGGUGUCUCGGUUAAAUAAAAAGUUGAGAGUUGGUGAUGGUGAAGCUAGCAUGAGAAAAUCUGAAUAUGAGAAAUACCUACAUGAAGAGAAUGAAGUAAAUAGGGAUGAUUUUGACAAUCUAAAAUGGUGGAAGAACAAUGCUGCUAGAUUCCCAAUAUUGGCAAGAAUGGCCCGUGAUGUGUUGGCUGUUCCGGUAUCAACGGUUGCGUCUGAGUCGGCAUUUAGCACAAGUGGUCGCAUCUUAAAUGAAUUUAGAACCUCCCUUACACCAUUCAUGGUCCAAGCUCUUGUUUGUGCCCAAGACUGGCUAAGGGGUUCUAUUACUAUCAACAUUGAAGAAGAUGAGGAGGAAUUGUUAAGAUUGGAAAAGGGUAACAUAUUGUGAUUGUUUUCUAUGUAAUUUUCUAUAUUUCUAACUUCUUAUGCUUAUUACAUGUUUAUUUCAGUCUUUUCCAGAACUAAUUUAAGAGUUUGGUAGUACAAAUUCAUCCAAAUCGAAAGCAAGUAGUAGCAAGUCUGUUUGUAAGCCAUUUGGGGCUCAGCCAUCUUGCCACCUCCAUCCUCUACUUAAACAUUAGUGAGUUGCAAGAAAUUUUCUUCCUCUUGUUCAUGCUUUUAGGUUUCAUUUAUUUUUUCUGUAGUAGACCAACUUUGAUAUUUUCAAAUGCUGAUGUAAUGCAAUUGUCGUAUCAUUCAAAACAUGCACAACACAACCAUGUCGUUUCCUUGCAGAUUGUUAUGUCGUGUAAAUGCAAAUGUUGCUGUAAUAAACCUCAUGUGAAUGUUGUUAUGCAAAUGUUGCUUUAUGCACUUCAUGUACUUUGUUUUCCAAAUUCUAGGCAUAUGUACAUCACUAGAUUUUCUUAAUAGUAUUGUGUGGUAUCUAGUAUUCUAUUUUAACCAAAUUCUGUACUAUCUACAAAAAAUGGCAGAUUGGCUCACUUGGCUGGAACUUGGAAUGGUCAAGAUGCUCAUGUUCAUGAUGGAAAAUUGGGAGUCUUACUGUUGGCUGCUCUUCAACUUCAAGUGCAAAUCUAUUGUCAUUUAUCACUAUCAGUUUGUGUUGUUGAACACUUGAACUUGGACUUUAGUUAUGUCUAGUGCUGGACCUUGGACUACCAGUUUCUCACUCUGUGUUAUUGAACUUGGACUUGGUUAUGUAUUAUGCUAGAACUUUGGUUAUGUCUCUGAUGAACCUUGUUUAACUUUGGUUAUUGUGAUGGAACUUGGACUUGAUUGUGCAUGUUUCAAUAUUACCUUGUUUAAUUUUGGUUAUUGUGCUGGAACUUGGACUUGAUUAUGCAUGUUUCAAUAUUCUGGUAUCCUUAUAUUUGAUAUCACAUAUAUGUUCUACACAUUUUACAAAUUUGUGUUGUUAUGCUAUCAAAAAUUUUCUUUAAAAUACGCAUGUAGUCAAUAUGUUCUGAAAGCAAAAGGGCAUAUUUUGUUUAUGGUACAAAAUUCAGUUAAACCGAAAACCGAACCGAAAAAACUGGUUAACCGAAAUUUUGGUUAGUUGAUUUUUAGUGCUUAAUUCGGUUUCCACUUAUGCAAACCGAAUUCAUAAAAAAACAGAACAGCAGAAACCAAAUUUUAGGUUUCUACCGAACGCCCAGGCCUACGUGGAGGAGGAUAAAGGCCUCCACCGAGAGCACGUUGAGGCCGGCACCACCGUCGAUGAGGGUCCUAGUGACGGCCACCUGGCAGAUGGUGGGGGUGCAUAGCAUCGGGAGCGCGCCUGAGCAGGCGGUGUUGGAGGGGUGAUCGUCCAAGCUGAAGGUUAAGUUGGCAUUGGGUGCCACCCAGCUCGAGGGGGCUUCGUGGCGCUUGAAGGCGACACCGAUCUGGCAGACGAACCGCUUGACAUGGCGGCUCGAGGGUGGGGCUUGCGAGCCGCCCAGGAGAGCUGCGACGACCAGGGGCACCGGCGCAGCAUAAUGGGCGAGGAAGAGGCUGCGCAGCUCCUCCCAGGACACCACCGAAGCUGCUGGUAGGUGGAGCUGCCACAUGCGCAGGAUGCCGAUGAGGGCCAUGGGCAGCCAGUUAGCCAUGACCAUGUCGUCGCCCCCGGCCUUGAGGAUGGCCUCCUCAUACGACAGCAGGAAGGCUAGCGGAUCCGUCGCGCCGUCAUAGCACGACAGCAUGUCUGGCUUGAACUUGUUCGGCCACUGCACCUGUCGCAAGGCGGGGGCCAAGGCUCGGAGCCCCCUGGCCCAAAUGCCGGCGUCGGUAGCUGAUACAUCUCCAAUGUAUCUAUAAUUUUUUAUUGCUCCAUGCUACUUUAUCUAUUGUUUUGGACUAUACUGGGCUUUAUUUUCCACUUUUAUAUUAUUUUUGGGACUAACCUAUUAACCGGAGGCCCAGCCCAAAAUUGUUGUUUUUUGCCUAUUUCAGUGUUUCGAAGAAACGGAAUAUCAAACGGAGUCCAAACAGAAUAAAACCUUCGGGAACGUGAUUUUCUCACCGAGCGUGAUCCAGGAGACUUGGACCCUACUCCAAGAAGUGCCAGAGGCGGUCACGAGGGUGGAGGGAGCCCCCCUGGGCGCACCCCCUACCUCGUGGGCCCUCUGUUGCUCCACCAACGUACUCCUUCCUCCUAUAUAUACCUACGUACCCCCGACAGAUCAGAUGAGGAGCCAAAAACCUAAUUCCACCGCCACAACUUUCUGUAUCCAUGAGAUCCCAUCUUGGGGCCUGUUCCGGAGCUCCGCUGGAGGGGGCAUCUACCACGGAGGGCUUCUACAUCAACAUCAUAGCCCCUCCGAUGAAGUGUGAGUAGUUUACUUCAGACCUUCGGGUCCAUAGCUAGUAGCUAGAUGGCUUCUUCUCUCUUUUUGGAUCUCAAUACAAUGUUCUCCCCCUCUCUCGUGGAGAUCUAUUCGAUGUAAUCUUUUUUUUGCGGUGUGUUUGUUGAGACCGAUGAAUUGUGGAUUUAUGAUCCAGUAUUAUCUAUGGAAAAUAUUUGAACCUUCUCUGAAUUCUUUUAUGUAUGAUUGAGUUAUCUUUGCAAGUCUCUUCGAAUUAUCCUUUUUGGUUUGGCCAACUAGAUUGGUAGUUCUUGCAAUGGGAGAAGUGCUUAGCUUUGGGUUCAAUCUUGCAGUGUCCUUACCCAGUGACAGAAUGGGUUGCAAGGCACGUAUUGUAUUAUUGCCAUCAAGGAUAACAAGAUGGGGUUUUUAUCAUAUUGCACGAAUUUAUCCCUCUGCAUCAUGUCAUCUUUCUUAAGGCAUUACUCUGUUUUUAACUUAUUACUCUAGAUGCAUGCUGGAUAGCAGUCGAUGAGUGGAGUAAUAGUAGUAGAUGCAGAAUCAUUUCGAUCUACUUGUCUCGGACGUGAUGCCUAUAUACAUGAUCAUUGCCUAAAUAUACUCAUAACUAUGCUCAAUUCUGUCAAUUGGUCAACAGUAAUUUGUUCACCCACCGUAGAAUAUCUAUGCUCUUGAGAGAAGCCACUAGUGAAACCUAUGGCCCCUGGGUCUAUUCUCAUCAUAUCAAUCUCUAUCGCUUUAUUUACUUGCUUUGUUUUUACUUUGCCUUUUACUUUUCACUUUGCAUCUAUCUACCAAAAAUACCAAAAAUAUUAUUUAUCAUCUCUAUCAAAUCUCACCCUCGUAAGUGACCGUGAAGGGAUUGACAACCCCUAAUCGCGUUUGUUGCGAGUAGCUAUGGUUUUGUGUAGGUACGAGGGACUUGUGUGUGGUCUCCUACUGGAUUGAUACCUUGGUUCUCAAAAACUGAGGGAAAUACUUACGCUACUUUACUACAUCAUCCUCUCCUCUUCGGGGAAAUCCAACGCAGUGCUCAAGAGGUAGCAAGAAGAAUUUCUGGCGCCGUUGCCGGGGAGGCUCACGCAAGCAAGUCAACAAUACCAAGUACCCAUCACAAUCCCUAUCUCUUGCAUUACAUUAUUUGCCUCUCGUUUUCCUCUCCCCCACUUCACCCUUGCCGUUUUAUUCGCCCUCUCUUUCCCAAUCUCCUCCUCUCUUUCCCGUUCGCUUUUUUUCCCCGUUGCCUUCCUGUUGCUCGUGUGUUAGUUUGCUUGCUCAUCGUUAUGUCUAGUCUCAUAUCUUCUCCGUUAUCUCCCGAGAAUGAAGUUCUAAAUUUUAAGCAAAGGGAGGGAGAAAAUUUAAAAGAUGCUUGGUAUAGAAUUUGCAAUGCUCAAAAUAGAUCUACCAGGAAGCAAUCUACUUCAGUUCUUCUUCGUAAUUUUUACGUAGGUGCUAAUCCUUGGUAUAGAUAUAUCCUUGAUACCAUUACCGGAGGGAAUUUCUUGGGUAGCCAUACUUUUGAUUCUUAUAAUGCUUUAAUAGAUAUAUUUGGCUCACCACCCCUUUUGAUUAAUGGAACUACGUUAACUUUGGAGCAUGUUAUGCAAAGGCUUGAAACUAUUGAGAAUAAAGUUGCUACCAUUGAAUCAAUUAAAAAUCUUGAUAAAAAGAUCCACAAUCAAAUUACCCAAUAUGGAUCUAAGGUAGGAAUGACUUUGAAAAAAUUAAAGAAAAAGAACCCAUAGUUAAUGAGAAAAUAAAUCUAGAUUCUACAAGAAUCGAUAAACUUGAGGGUAUCAUUACCAACUUGGGACCCGCUUUUUCUUCCGUGCAAAAUACUCCAAGUUCGUCUACUAAAAAACUUAAUCUUACUUAUGUUCCUAAGAGUAAGGGUGAAUCAUCUAGUAAGGAAACCGCGGAUCUAAAAUCUGUAAGUGUUCAUCCCAAUCUUUUUGCCAUCAUUAAGGAACCAUUUGCUAUGAAUGAAUUUUUCGAUCUUGUGCCUAAAAGUUUGAUAAUCACUAGGAAGAAAGAAAAUUCUAAGAAAGAUAGAUGCCUCAUUGAAGAAUUGCCUACCAAAGAUGGAAAAACCUAGAUUUAUCCUUGCUUUUAUGCCUAGCUAGGAGCGUUAAAUGAUAGCGCUUGUUGGGAGGCAACCCAAUUUUAUUUUUGUUUUUCGUUUUUUGUUUCUGUUUAGGAAUAAAUAAUACAUCUAGCCUAUGUUUGGAUGUGAUUUUAUCUUUUAAUUAGUGUUUGUGCCAAGUAGAACCUAUAGGAUAACCCACGAUGAUAGUUGAUUUGAUUCUGCUGAAAAACAGAAACUUUGCACGCACGAAUAUAAUUUUGUUAAAUCGCAGAAACGUGCUUUUGCAUUGAUUAUUUUUGAUGAUGUUCAAUAAACAAAUUUUCCAGGACUUCCUAUUUUGGUAGAAUUUUUAGAUUUCCAGAAGUUUGCGUUAGUUACAGAUUGCUACAGACUAUUCUGUUUUUGAUAGAUUCUGUUUUACGUGUGUUGUUUGCUUACUUUGAUGAAUCUAUGGUUAGUAAAAUAGUUUAUAAUCCAUAGAGAAGUUGGAAUAUAGUAGAUUAAACACCAAUAUAAAUAAAGAAUGAGUUCAUUACAGUACCUUGAAGUAGUCUUUUCUUUUCUUUCUCUAACGGAGCUCACGAGAUUUCUGUUGAGUUUUGUGUUGUGAAGUUUUCAAGUUUUUGGUGAAUUCUUUUGAUGGAUUAUGGAACAAGGAGUGGCAAGAGCCUAAGCUUGGGGAUGCCCAUGGCACCCCCAAGAUAAUCAAAGGACACCAAAAAGUCAAAGCUUGGGGAUGCCCUGGAAGGCAUCCCCUCUUUCGUCCACUUCCAUCGGUAAUUUACUUGGAGCUAUAUAUAUUUUUAUUCACCACAUGAUAUGUGUUUUGCUUGGAGCGUCUUGUAUCAUUUGUGUCUUUGCUUGUUACUUUACCACAAUCAUCCUUGUUGUACACACCUUUUGAGAGAUCCAUACAUGAAUUGUAAUUUGUUAGAAUACUCUAUGUGCUUCACUUAUAUCUUUUGAGCUUGAUAGUUUUGCUCAUAGUGCUUCACUUAUAUCUUUUGAGCGUGAUAAUUUUUGGUCUAGUGCUUCACUUAGAUCUUUUAGAGCACGGUGGUGGAUUUGUUUUAAAGAAACUAUUGAUCUCUCAUGCUUCACUUAGAUUAUUUUGAGAGUCGUUAUUAGCAUGGUAAUUUGCUUAAAGUUAAUAUACUUGGUAUUCAAGAUAUGUGAAACUUUCUUUUGAGUGUGUUGAAUACUAAGAUAAGUUUGAUGCUUGAUAAUUGUUUUGAGAUAUGAAGGUGAUAAUAUCAAAGUGAUGCUAGUUAGCUGAUUAUGAAUUUAAAAAAUGCUUGUGUUGAAGUUUGUGAUUCCCGUAGCAUGCACGUAUGGUGAACCGCUUUGUGAUGAAGUUGGAGCACAAUUUUAUUUAUGGAUUCUCUUCCCUAUGAGUGGCGGUCGGGGACGAGCGAUGGUCUUUUCCUACCAAUCUAUCCCCCUAGGAGCAUGCGCGUAGUGCUUUCGUUUUUGAUGACUUCUAAAUUUUUGCAAUAAGUAUAUGAGUUCUUUAUGACUAAUGUUGAGUCCAUGGAUUAUACGCACUCCCAUCCUUCCAGCAUUGCUAGCCUCUCUAAUACCGCGCACUUUUCACCGGUAUCAUACACCCACCAUAUACCUUCCUCAAAACAGCCACCAUACCUACCUAUCAUGGCAUUUCCAUAGCCAUUCUAAGAUAUAUUGCCAUGCAACUUUCCACCGUUCCGUUUAUUAUGACACGCUCCAUCAUUGUCAUAUUGCUAGCAUGAUCAUGUAGUUGACAUUGUAUUUGUGGCAAGGCCACCGUUCAUAAUUCUUUCAUACAUGUCACUCAUGAUUCAUUGCAUAUCCCGGUACACCACCGGAGGCAUUCAUAUAGAGUCAUACUUUGUUCUAAGUAUCGAGUUGUAACUGUUGAGUUCUAAGAAAAAUAAAAAGUGUGAUGAUCAUCAUUAUUAGAGCAUUGUCCCAAGUGAGGAAAGGAUGAUGGAGACUAUGAUUCCCGCAUAAGUCGGGAUGAGACUUCGGACGAAAAAUAAAAAAAAGGGGUGCCAAAAAAAAGAGAAAGGCCCAAACAAAAAAAAUGAGAGAAAAAGAGAGAAGGUACAAUGCUACUAUCCUUUUACCACACUUGUGCUUCAAAGUAACACCAAGAUCUUCAUGAUAGAGAGUCUCCCAUUUUGUCACUUUCAUAUACUAGUGGGAAUUUUUCAUUAUAGAACUUGGCUUGUAUAUUCCAAUGAUGGGCUUCCUCAAAAGUGCCCAAGGUCUUCGUGAGCAAGCAAGUUGGAUGCACACCCCCUUAGUUUCUUUUGUUGAGCUUUCAUAUACUUAUAGCUCUAGUGCAUCCGUUGCAUGGCAAUCCCUACUCACUCACAUUGAUAUCUAUUGAUGGGCAUCUCCAUAGCCCGUUGAUACGCCUAGUUGAUGUGAGGCUAUCUUCUCCUUUUUGUCUUCUCCACAACCACCAUUCUAUUCCACCUAUAGUGCUAUGUCCAUGGCUCAGGCUCAUGUAUUGCGUGAAACUUGAAAGAGUUUUGAGAUUACUAAAGUAUGAAACAAUUGCUUGGCUUGUCAUCGGGGUUGUGCAUGAUUAAAUACUUUGUGUGAUGAAGAUAGAGCAACAGCCAGACUAUAUGAUUUUGUAGGGAUAACUUUCUUUAGCCAUGUUAUUUUGAGAAGACAUGAUUGCUUUGAUUAGUAUGCUUGAAGUAUUAUUACUUUUAUGUCAAUAUGAACUUUUGUCUUGAAUCUUUCGGAUCUGAAUAUUCAUGCCACAAUUAAGAAGAUUUACAUAGAAAUUAUGCCAAAGUAUCACUCCGCUUCAAAAAUUCUCUCUUUACCAUUUACCUACUCGAGGACGAGCAGGAAUUAAGCUUGGGGAUGCCUGAUACGUCUCCAACGUAUCUAUAAUUUUUUGAUUGCUCCAUGCUACUUUAUCUAUUGUUUUGGACUAUAUUGGGCUUUAUUUUCCACUUUUAUAUUAUUUUUGGGACUAACCUAUUAAUUGUAGGCCCAGCCCAGAAUUGCUAUUUUUUUGCCUAUUUCUGUGUUUCGAAGAAACGGAAUAUCAAACAGAGUCCAAACGGAAUAAAACCUUCGGGAACGUGAUUUUCUCACCGAACGUGAUCCAGGAGACUUGGACCCUACUCCAAGAAGUACCAGAGGAGGUCACGAGGGUGGAGGGCGCCCCCCCCCCCCAGGGCGUGACCCCCUACCUCGCGGGCCCUCUGUUGCUCCAACGAUGUACUCCUUCCUCCUAUAUAUACCUACGUACCCCCGACAGAUCAGAUGAGGAGCCAAAAACCUAAUUCCACCGCCGCAACUUUCUGUAUCCACGAGAUCCCAUCUUGGGGCCUGUUCCGAAGCUCCGUCGGAGGGGGCAUCUACCACGGAGGGCUUCUACAUCAACACCAUAGCCCCUCUGAUGAAGUGUGAGUAGUUUACUUCAGACCUUCGGGUCCAUAGCUAGUAGCUAGAUGGCUUCUUCUCUCUUUUUGGAUCUCAAUACAAUGUUCUCCCCCUCUCUCGUGGAGAUCUAUUCGAUGUAAUCUUCUUUUUUGCGGUGUGUUUGUUGAGACUGAUGAAUUGUGGGUUUAUGAUCUAGUAUUAUCUAUGGAAAAUAUUUGAAUCUUCCCUAAAUUCUUUUAUGUAUGAUUGAGUUAUCUUUGCAAGUCUCUUCGAAUUAUCCUUUUUGGUUUGGCCAACUAGAUUGGUAGUUCUUGCAAUGGGAGAAGUGCUUAGCUUUGGGUUCAAUCUUGCGGUGUCCUUACCCAGUGAAAGAAAGGGUUGCAAGGCACGUAUUGUAUUGUUGCCAUCGAGGAUAACAAGAUGGGGUUUUUAUCAUAUUGCAUGAAUUUAUCCCUCUACAUCAUGUCAUCUUGCUUAAGGCGUUACUCUGUUUUUAACUUAAUACUCUAGAUGCAUGCUGGAUAGCGGUCGAUGAGUGGAGUAAUAGUAGUAGAUGCAGAAUCAUUUCGAUCUACUUGUCUCGGACGUGAUGCCUAUAUACAUGAUCAUUGCCUAGAUAUACACAUAACUAUGCUCAAUUCUGUCAAUUGCUCAAUAGUAAUUUGUUCACCCACCAUAGAAUAUCUAUGCUCUUGAGAGAAGCCACUAGUGAAACCUAUGGCCCCCGGGUCUAUUCUCAUCAUAUCAAUCUCUAUCGCUUUAUUUACUUGCUUUGUUUUUACUUUGCCUUUUACUUUUCACUUUGCAUCUAUCUAUCAAAAAUACCAAAAAUAUUAUUUAUCAACUCUAUCAGAUCUCACCCUCGUAAGUGACCAUGAAGGGAUUCACAACCCCUAAUCGCAUUGGUUGCGAGUAGCUAUGGUUUUGUGUAGGUACGAGGGACUUGUGCGUGGUCUCCUACUGGAUUGAUACCUUGGUUCUCAAAAACUGAGGGAAAUACUUACGCUACUUUACUGCAUCAUCCACUCCUCAUCGAGGAAAUCCAACGCAGUGCUCAAGAGGUAGCAGUAGCCGGAGCGGGCGGCGCGUUAUCCGCCAUGAGGGUGAACCGUGGUGUUGACGGAGAGCGGGUCGACGGAACGGAGAGCUCCGGCGCACUUCUGCCUGGCACGCCAAAUGUUGGAUAUCGGGUUCCGGCAAAACCCUUAAGGUUCGAACUCUAGGGUGCGCGCGAAGAUCUUCCUCCUACCGAUCCACGUCCCAACGCCUCGCUGAGAAUUUAAGCUAAACGAUGAACAACACAAGGGACACAAGAUUUAUACUGGUUCGGGCCACCGUUGUGGUGUAAUACCCUACUCCAGUGUGUGGUGUGGUGGAUUGCCUCAGGGGCUGAUGAUGAAUAGUACAAGGGAAGAACAGCCUCGUGAGAGGUGUUCUUGUGGUGGUGAUUUGUGAAGGAUUCGAUCUGCUCUCGAUGGCUCUGGAUCAGAUCCUAAUGAGAUGUCCCUCUACUGUGGUGGCUAGCCCUAUUUAUAGAGGCCCUGGUCCUCUUCCCAAAUAUUGAGCGGGAAGGGCGCCAACAACGGCCAUUUUGAAGGGGAACAUCUAGUACAAGUUAUCCUGACUAAAGUUGGUCUUCGGCUGCCAAAGGCACUAGCGAUGACGCCGUCUUGGGCUCCAUGGUGACCUCUGUCCUGCCACUCUGCUGGUCUUGGUCUCGUUGCACCGAAAUGGUAACCUUUGCUUGAUGCCUCGGUACUCCGCGCCUAUGCUUGCCUUGACCAAAGAGGAAACAAGGACACUGCGCAGGCCGGCGCCCGCCUAGCGGCCGCCUGGUCUUGGUCGUCAUGGCUUGCGUCACGAGCACCUUGCGAGGUACCCCUGCCUUGAUCUCUCUGCCUCCUCGCGAGCCUGCAUGGUGAGGCCGCUCCUGAGGAAGCCUUUUGUCGUCCACCCCAUGAGGAUUGGCCCUUCGCGAGGGUCUUGAGCUCGAGUUGAUGAAGAUGGGCCGUAUUGGGCCACCACGUGAGCCACGCCGCAGGCUGUAGGCAGGCAAGUCUGGGGACCCCCGUUCCCAGAAUGCCGACAGGUGGCUGUUACCAGGACCCACAUCGACGGUGGUGCCGGCCUCAACGUGCUCUCGGUGGAGGCCUUCAGCCUCCUCCAUGUACCGCUGGAAUGACUCCAACCCAGCAAGCCCUUCUCGGGCGUCGGAGGCGGUUCCUCCGCCUCCCUGGGGAAGAUCCACCUCCCUAUGACCUUCGGCACCCACGAAAACUUCCGCACGGAGCUGGUCAACUUCGACAUCGCCCACAUUGGCCUCCUGCACAACACCAUCCUCGGCUACCCCUCCUUGGUCCAGUUCAUGGCAGCGACCCAUCCUGCCUACAACCUCAUGAAGAUGCCCGGGAGCAGCGGCGUCCUCACCAUAGCUGGAGACACCAAGGAUGCUCUGCUGGCGCUCAAGCUCACCUUCAAGACAGCCGCAGCAGCAUAGCCUGCCGGCACUGACACCGCCAAGGCCAAGGGGGCUGCGCCGACCAAGAAGAAACAGUUGUUCAUCCAGGACAAGGCGGAGACCAAGCAGGUACUAGUUGAUGAGGACGGAUCCUCCGGCGCCACCUUCACCAUAGGUGCCAAUCUCGACCGCGACCAGGAGGAGGCACUGGUGAAAUUCCUGCACUCGAACAAGGAAGUGUUCACAUGGGAACCCAAGCAGUUGGCGGGGGUCCGAAGGCAGGUGAUUAAGCAUCACCUGAAUGUAUGCCCCAAUGUACGCCCCGUGAAGCGGAAGGCAAGGCGGCAGUCCACCGAGAAGCAGGCCUUCAUCAUCCAAGAAACCCGCAAGCUAGAGGCAGAAGGUGUUAUUCGCAAGGUUCGCUACCCCGAAUGGCUGGCAAACCCUAUUGUUGUGCCAAAAAAGGGGGCGAAGGAGCGCAUGUGUGUCGACUUCACCAACCUCAACAAGGCAUGCCCUCAAGACCCGUUCCCGCUCCCUCGCAUCGACCAAAUCGUCGACUCCACUGCCGAGUGCGACCUUCUGUGCUUCCUGGAUGCAUUUUCUGGCUAUCACCAGAUCAAGAUGGCAGUAGAAGACGUGGAGAAGACGGCCUUCCUGACCCCAUGCAAGGUGUACCGCUACACAUGCAUGCUGUUCGGGUUGUGCAACACGGGCGCAACCUUCCAGCGGCUGAUGCACAUCGCCUUGGGCCGGCAACUCGGGGAAGAACGCUGAGGCUUAUGUCGACGACAUUGUGGUGAAGUCUCGGGAGGCGAAGACCUUGAUCCAAGACCUAGAAGAGACUUUCGCGAGCCUCCGUGAAGUGGACCUACGGCUUAACACGAAGAAGUGCGUGUUUGGCAUUCCUUUGGGCAAGCUUCUGGGCUUCCUCGUGUCCCACGGAGGGAUCGAGGCCAACCCGGAGAAGGUCAAGGCAAUCAAAGACAUGAGUCCACCGCAAACCCUCAGAGAAAUGCAGAAGCUCGCUGGACGUGUGACGGCACUGGGACGCUUCAUCUCCAAGCUGGGGGAGUGCGCCUUACCUUUCUUCAAGCUGAUGAAGAAGAAGGGCCCGUUCGAAUGGACACAGGAGGUCGACCAAGUGUUUCAAGACGUCAAGAAGUACCUGACCAGCCCUCCGGUGAUGGUGGCACCACGCUCUCUCGAGCCCUUGGUGCUCUACCUCGAUGCCACACCCUACUCCGCCAGUGCAGCUCUGGUGGCAGUUCGGGAAGAGCGCCAGCUCAAGGCUGCGUCACGACCGGCCACGGCCCCAGCCGCGGCAGCACAAGACCAAGAAGGCCUCGCGAAGACCAAGGCCUCGGCAUAUGGAGACCAGUCUGAACAGGAAGGCGCCCCUAUGGCUGAAGAGGCCGCACCAGGCAGCCAGGUGCUGGGGGCUCCGUCGACUCAGGAGGUGCCUAACCCUCCGGAGGGUACGAACCUUGUCAGCACACCCACCCUUGUUUAGCAUCCAGUGUAUUUCGUCAGCACGGUGCUGCGGGAUGCAAGGGCAUGAUACCCCAUGCCUCAGAAGCUCUUGCUUGCACUGCUGGUGGCCUUGCGUAAGCUGCGGCAUUACUUUCAAGGUCACCCCAUCAAGGUCAUCUUUGCCUACCCAUUGGAAAGGGUACUCAGGAGCCCCAACUCUGCUGGAAGGGUCGCCGAAUGGAACAUCGAGUUUCAAGCAUUUCAGUUGGAAUUCAGCACAACCAGGGUCGUCAAGGGAGCCGCACUUGCAGAUUUUGUGGCAGAAUGGACAGAAGCGCCAGGCCUCAAAGCAGGCAAGGAUUGGUCACUUUCCCCAGGAAGUGAGGCACCAGAUGGCUGGGUCAUGUACUUCGAUGGAGCAUUCUCGUGACACAGUGCGGGGGCUGGUGCAGUGCUUAUAUCCCCCACUCAGGACAAGCUCUACUACGUCGUGCAGCUCUGUUUCUAGCAUGGCGAGAAGGUCUUGAACAACAUAGCAGAAUACGAGGGACUCAUAGCAGGCUUGAAGGCCAUAGUAGCACUAGGGUUGACGCGCCUCAUCAUCAAGGGUGACUCACAGCUCCUCGUCAACUUCUCCAACAAAGUGUACAAGCCAAAGGACGAGCACAUGGAGGCUUACCUUGUGGAGGUGCGCAGGAUGGAAAAGAAGUUUUGGGGGCUGGAGUUGCAGCAUUGCCCCGCGGCACCAACCAAGAGGCUGAUGACAUCGCUAGGAGGGCGUCCAGGCGGCUUCCCCAGGAGCCUGGCAUUUCCGAGGAACGACUCUUCAAGCCUUCGGCAGCGCCUUCACUGUCAAGCAUGGCGCAACCUCAGGAGGAACUCCCUCAGCCACCUGCCACGGGAGCUCCGGCCUGUGGCCCGACCUCGGGAGCACGCUUACUCCUGGCGCUGCAGCCUCAGGAGGGAUGCUGGAUUACGGAAUUCAAGGACUACCUGAUGCGAGGGAUGCUACCAGAGAAAGAGGAGGACUCAGAACACGUGGCCCGGCAGGCCACAGCCUACUGCAUCCAAGACGGAGAGCUCUACCGGAAGCGGCCAAACGAUGUUUCCCCGCGUUGCAUCUCCAGGGAACAGGGAAAGGAGUUGCUGGCUGACAUACACGAUGGAGAUUGUGGGCACCACUCGUCAUCACAGACCCUCGUCGGCAAGGCGUUUUACAGCGGGUUCUACUGGCCCACGACACUCAACGACGCAAUUGAGCUGGUGAUGGCUUGCGAAGCCUGCCAAUUCCAUGCCAAGCAGAUCCAUCAGCCAGCUCAGGGCCUACAGACCAUCCCACUCUCAUGGCCGUUCGUGGUCUGGGGGCUGGAUAUCUUGGGCCCGUUUCCUCGAGCGCCUGGGGGCUAUCGCUACCUCUACGUCACCAUCGACAAGUUCACCAAAUGGGCGGAGGUGGAAGCCGUCCACACCAUCCCAGCUGGCUCUGCAGUCUAGUUCAUCAAGGGCCUCAUGAGCCAAUUCGGGGUCCCUAAUCGCAUCAUCACCGACAAUGGUUCGCGGUUCACCAGCAAUCUCUUCAAAACAUAUUGUGCUAACCUUGGAACGCAGAUAUGCUACGCUUUAGUGGCACACCCCCGGAGUAACGGCCAGGCCGAACGUGCCAACGCAGAGGUCCUAAAAGGCCUCAAAACCAGAACCUUCAAGAAGAAGUUGGAGGCCUGUAGCAGGGGCUGAUACGAUGAGCUCCAGACCGUGUUGUGGUCCAUCCGCACUACCGCCACCAAGUCGACUGGCGAGACCCCGUUCUUCCUCGUCUACGGAGCAGAGGUGGUCCUUGCUCACGAGGUCAAGCGUCGCUCCGCACGGGUCCUAUAGUUUGAUGAAGCGCAACAGGACGCCAUGCGGGGGGAUGGACCUCGUGCUGGGGGAGGAGCACCAUCGAGAAGCCGCACUACGAGCAGCAAGAUACAAGCAGGCGCUACUACGGUAUCAUUGCCGCAACAUCUGCCCCAGGACCCUUGAGGUAGGUGACCUCGUGCUCAGGUGGGUCCUCUCCAGGGAAGGGUUGCACAAGCUCUUGCCCAUGUGGGAGGGCCCGUUCAAGGUUGUUCAUGUUUCCAGGCCUGGCACCGCACGCUUGGAGACUCAGGAGGGGGUGCCCAUCCCAAAAGCUUGGAACAUUCAGCACCUUCGGAAGUUCUACCCUUGAAAGAAGGCCCAGUGCCUGUGAAGAAAGGCCAAGUGCCUGUGAAGAAGGCCCAGUGCGUGUGAAGCUCGCCUCCCCAAGAAAGGCCCAGUGCCUGUGAAGAAGGCCCGGUUCUUGUGAAGCUCGCCGCCCGUGACACUCUUCAUGUAAUAAUGAGUUGGGGAUGUACAUGGCCCGGAGUCUCCGGAGUGCUGCCCUUGGGCCUCGGGGGCUCCCGCCCACGCCCAGUGGCAGCACUUAGCUCCACGCUGGUGUGAAGAUGUCGAAGACUAGAUUAGGUGCCGGACGCGGUCUUUUCAUUUGGCUUCUGCAGUUGGCUUGUUCUCCCUUGUUUGAACCUUUAUUGAAGUUGCUUCUAGUGUUGUUUGCCGUCUUCUACCCCUGUUCUCUGUUUUUGGCUUUUGUUUGUCUCUCUCUCUCUUUCUCUCUCUCUCUCUCUCUCUCAACCUCGCGAGGGGGCUGCGUGGGCGCCCUCGUGAGCCCUUUCUCGCCUGGUUUUUGCGAGGCUCCCUCGUUCAAGUUCACAGCGGGAGCACCCCUCCCAGUCCGUGCCCCACGGGCAUCGCGACACCAAGCGCCGAGCCUAAGCCGGCAACCCUCGAGACCAAGGUUCGGAAACUAUUCUCCCAACUGAUCUUUGUAGAUCCUAAGACGCCUGGCGAGGCCUCGAGCGGGUACCUCGCGAGGCGAAAACUACUGCAAACGUCCCAAGCUAAGUUGUUCCUACGCGCAGGCACAUAACCGCAACACCGUAACAUAGCACAGGGAUGAUAAAUAUAGCACGAUAAUUAGGGCUCAUAGUCUGUUGCACGCCCCCAAGGGGCUCCAUACUUCUCUCUCUCUCAAUGCAGGAAAAGGAGAAAAACAAAAUGAAAACGGCGCGCGCCUUGCGACAGCUCACGAGGAGGGAUCCGCAUCGUCCUCCUGGGCUCAAUCAGACUCCGCCUUGCGCUUCACCGGGGCGCUGUGGCGGGACGACCUGCUACCGCCCCCGAAGUGGGCGCGGCGAUGGGGUGGCUGAUCGCGGCCACCGCUGGAGGAGCUGUCAGAGGAGGAGGAGCCGCUGAAGCUCGGCGAGCUGCGGACGCCACCAGGAGCGGGUUCGCCUUCACCCUCGUCGCGACAGUCGCCAAGGCCAAGCACCACGUCACCGUCAUCGUCUUCAGGGCAGCACCCAGCAUGGCGGCCAUCUUCUCCAAACACCCUCACGUACAGGGUCGUGUCUCCAUCGUACUUGAAGUGGAGGGUGCACCGCCGGCCCAGGCCACGCACGCGGGAAAACGUUUGCCAGCCCCGGGCCACGGCCACGUUCCCGACGACGGAGAUCUCCACCGUGACCCAGGAGGCCCUGCUGCAGUAGCCGUCCGCCUGCAGCCAGAGCCCGCCAGGGCGAGCAGCUGGUAAUUCGUCGGUGAAGAAGCGAGGGAGCUGGAGCCAGUUGCCGGUCGGGUUGUCCGACCACACAACAAACUCCGGCAGCACCUCCGCCGAAUGAAAGCGCGGCCGGGGAGGCCGUGCAGCCAUGACACGCCUUCCCCUACCGAGUGGGCUGCCUCGAUAUGGGCGGCCGCCACCGCGUGAAGGGCCACGACCACGAGAAUUUGCGACGGGAGUCGCGGGAUGCUUGCGGGGACAGCCGCGGCCACGCUUGGGCAGAGGAGAGCCAGGCCCUUCCUGGCGAUCCUUCCCCUUUUCCGCGGCCAAGAACCUCUUCACGGGCGCCAUGGGAUGCUACGAGCGACCGGAGCGAGGAAGGAGAAGAAGCAGGCGGGGCAAGGGGAGAUGUGCUAUGGAGGCUUUCGUCCCUCCACAUUUAUAGCCCAAAGGUGGCUAACCGUCGGCCUCCAUGAUCACAGGUAAUGAUGACUCUUUUUGCAUGAUGCAGGGACUCGUCAAAUUGGGCAGUUGCCGAGGCAGCGUGGGGAAGCGGAGACACCCACGUCCAAUCAAUCGCCACACAUCGACCAAGGCUGUAGGCUUUUGGGGCCCGCGGCGCUCCGCACUUGCCCUUUGGCUUCGCCGCUAAGCCAAGUCUGAGCGCGCCUUGGGCCCGGGGGCUACUGUCGGCGUCCUGGGAAUGGGGGUCCCCAAACUUGCCUGCCUGCGGCCUGCAGCGUGGCUCAACCAGUGGCCUAGUACGGCUAGUAUUCAUCAACAAACGCUCAAGACCCUCGCGAGGGGCCAAGCCUCGCGGGGCGGACGGCGCAAGGCCUCCUCAGGGGCGGCCUCACCAGGCAGGCUCACGACGAGGCGGAGAGAUCAAGGCAAGGGGUACCUCGUCAGGUGCUCAUGACGCAAGCCAUGAUGAUCAAGACCAGGUGGGCGCCAGCCUGUGCAGUGUCCUCGUUUCCUCUUUGGUGCAAAGGGGGCAAGCACAGGCAUGGAGUACCGAGGCAUCAGGCAAAGGUUUCCAUAUUGGAGCAACGAGACCAAGACCAGCAGAGCGGCAGGAUGGAGGUCACCAUGGAGCCCAAGACAGCGUCAUCACCAGUGCCUUUGGCAGUCGAAGACCACCUUUAGUCAGGAUAGCUUGUACUAGUUGUCCCCUUUCAAAAUGGCCGUUGUUGGCUCCCUUCCCGCUCAAUAUUUGGGAAGAGGACCAGGAACUCUAUAAAUAGAGAUAGGCACCAUAGUAGAAGGACGAGUUAAGUUCAUCCACAUACGACCACCACAAGAACACUUCUUGUGAGGCUGUUCUUCCUCUGUACUGUUCAUCAUCAGCCCCAGAGGCAAUCCACCACACCACACACAGGAGUAGGGUAUUACACCACAACGGUGGCCCGUACCUGUAUAUAUCUUGUAUCUCAUGUGUUGUUCAUCGUGUUAGCUUAGAUUCACGGCGAGGUUUUGGGACGUGAAUCGGUAGGGAGAAGAUCUUCGUGCGCACCCCAGAGUUCAAACCUUAAGGGUUUUGCCGGAACCCGUUAUCCGACAAACACGACGACGCAUUCCGUUCUGACCCAGCCGGUUGGCUCCCCAUGAACACGAUGACAAUGUCGUUUCUCCGUUCUGACCCAGCCAUGUACACGAGCCCUGGCCGUACGUAUGCGCGAGUAGGCAUUCGAGACCCCGCCCGUAUGUACGUACGUGGCCGUAUUUUCUUUCUUGCAGACGGGCCGCUGUACGUACGUGUACAUGCUACGUGCGCCCCUCUACUACGACACGUGCACGCCUCUACGUCGACCAGUAUGUACGUACACGUUCGCGACCAGAAUGACAACGCUAUGUAUGCUUGGACCAGGUGGGUCCUGACUGUCAGGCACUUCCUUGCAUGCGAAGAUGUAACUGGCAGGUCCCAGCUGUCAGGGGGGCGAAUCAUUUUUUUUGCCCGAACACACUUCCUUGCGAGCGAAGAUGUAGCUGGUGGGUCCCAGCAGUCAAGGGGAAACUUUUUUUUCGUGAAAUACAGUGGCCCGUCUGGUGGGUCCCAGCUAUCAGGUGGAGGAAUCAUUAUUUUCCGUGUAAUGAGGCACUUCCUUGCUGCGGCCGUGGACCCAUCUGUCAGCCUCUCCACGUGUAGUCUAUGUCCGAUGGAAGUCGUUCCUUUACCAUGUUGACCAUGCCUCGCCGAGAGCACCACGGUGGUGGACGACGGCGAGGCCUAGGAAGGGGACGACGUGGAGCCAGGGAAGACGCGGCAGUGGAUGCCCACGCAGAGAGGAGUACGAGGGUUCACUGGUUCGGUUGUGGUGUGAGGCUGUUGUCGCCGCGGAAUCUGGCCAGCGAUGGGAAUAGUAUGGGCGGUGAGGCCUCCGCGGUAGCACAGCCGACCACGGGAGAUAGGAGCAUGCGGCACGACCGGUGUUGCUUUUGGCGGCUGGAGCACGAAGACCAGAGGUUGAAGAAUCACUACGGCCGUUGGAUGGACAUCAUACGGUCACUGGAGCUAGAAUUGUUCAUAUUGACUAAGUUGACAAAGCCCUCUGUCCCCGUCAACUUAGUAGGCCCACAAGUCAGCCUCCCACCAUGGUGAGUCCUAGCUAGUAGGGGGAGUAUUCAUUUUUGUGCGUAAUAAGGAGGCACUUCCGGUGGGUCCGAGCUGAUAGCGGGGGGAACAUUUUUUUGCGAAAUACAGAGGCCCUUCCAGUGGGUCCCAGCUAUCAGGUGGAGGAAUCAUUGUUUUGCAAGCAAUAAGGAGGCAUUUCCAUGUGUGGGCCCCUACUGUCAGCCUCUUCCGAUGGCUGUUGUUUGUUAACCAUGUUGACUCGCCGCGCCGAGAGUACAAACGCGGUGGACGAGGGCGAGGCCCAGGAAGAGAACCACCCGGAGAAGGCAAAGCCACCGCAGCGGAUGCCCACGCUGAGGAGAGUACGAGCACUGACUGGUCGGCUGCGGGGUGAGGCUGACGUCAUCGGAAAAUAACAGGAUGUGUGGGUGGUUAGAGGGAUGGCCUGGCGGCAGCACAGCCAGCAACAGGAGGAGGGAGCAGGCAGUCCCGUCGGCGCUGGUUUGGGCGGCUGGAGCAGGAGAUCAGAGAUUGAAGAAGCACGGCAGCCAUUGGAUGGACAUCCAACAGUCAUUGUUUUGUGUUGACUAAGUUGCCAAAGCCUUCCGUACGCGUCAAAAAAAAUUAGGACAACGUCAUCGUCAACCUAGUAGGCCCAGAAGUCAAACUCCAAAUCCGUGGAAAACAAUAUACAACCCAUUAGCCAUUAUUUUCAAUAAUUUACAGCCCAUUUGAUAAUUCUUAAGGAUAUUUGAAGCCCAUAUUCUUUUUAUUAGCAUUACAGACCAUAUAUUCUGGGCACUUCUAAAAAAUUCAACAACAUUUUGCAUAUUUCGGUGGGGUCCGAACUCUUUUAAUCACGAAAUUUCGAGUCACGUUAAAAAUAAUUUUCAAAAAAUUAUAUCAAAAUAAAAUUCAAACAACAAUUCUCCGCAAAAAAAGAAUGAAAUUUAGAAUCUUAACUAGCAAGAUGCCCGUUCGUUGCAUGGAACAUGAAGAUGCAUUUGUAUGAGUAGUUUAUCUUGUGGGAGAAAAGAUGAUAUUUUAAUUUAAUUGCCAGUUGGCUUUGGUUUUUAUAAGAGUAGAGAGUAGAGAAAUCUGGAAAAAAUGAUAUUUUAAUGCAAUUGCCGGUUGGUUUUGGUUUAAAAUUUAUAACCCAUUUCUUACAACUUAUAGCCCAUUUUCUGGGGAAGCCCAUUUCUUACUACUUACAUCCCUCCUCGUCUUGAAAGAUUUGCAGCCCAGCAGGGUUGAGAAAAGCAAGUAGGCCUCGGUUUUGGUAUUCUCCAAAAAAAGAACUAGGCUAGCCAUUUUCAGAAAGAAAAAAUAUAUCAACUGGGCUCGUCAUGUGCUUAAUAAAAGCGUAAGCGUGGGCUAGACGGGCCACAGCCCCCGCACAGCGCGCAGUUGAGCUCCAUCUCUAAAACUAAAAAACAACUCGGCGAGCUACUCGAUCCCUGGUGUUAUCUGCUUGUUGUGUAAUUUUCUCAUUUAUUGACUACAUUGACAAUGGCAUGGGACCUAGUUGUCAAACAAUUAGGAGGAAUUAUUUUUUUGGCUUGUAAUAACGAGGCACAUGCUUGCGAAAUGCAAUGACCCUGGUGGGUCCCUACUGUCAGCCUCUCCACGUACAGUCAUCUCCUUAUUCCUCUUGGUUAUUGACCAUGUUGACAAUGCCAGAUGGCGGAAGGCACAACGAGCGAACCAAGGCGGAGAACGACGGUGAGGCCUCGAACGGGAACGAAUAGCGGCCAUGGAAGAUGCGGCAGUGUAGUGGUAGGUGGAGGGGAGUACGAGAGCAACAACAUGCAACUCAAGCAUACAAAUGGUACAAAAAGCCCAAGGAUUAAUUGUUCAUCAAAUUUUUAGACAAAACCCAGAUUGAACAUGACAAAAAGCCCAACCACUCUUUUUUGCAGUCACAAACAAAUGGAUCAGUCUGAUCCAUGAAAUCAACAUCCUAUGCAAAAAAAUUACUUCAGGAUGACUACAACUUGUUGUAAAUAGAAGCCGAGCACGUUUAGAAGCCCGUUUGUCCACCUGAAACUUAUUUUUUUGCUGUUCAACAUGCCCGUCCAUGAGAAAUCUCUUGCGGUAAAAAUUAAGCCUCAUGGACAAUAGUAACCUUACAUUCAACAUGAAGAAUGUGAUAAAGCUUCUGUUUGCCUGGUUGGAUACAUAUCGUUCCAUCGUUGUUGACCUCAAACGAAUGUCAUGAGAACUGAGAAAAUCCUGGUGCUUAUUAUGCCACCGAUUGGUUAUAUGUUUUUCUCCAUGUAGUUCUGCCUAAGUAGACAUGAAGAUUGAAAACAGUUAAGGUCUGAAAAAAGAGUAUGUCGAAAGAAUGACAGCUAAAAAGUUAAUUCUAGUACAAUAUAUACGGGCUUUCAAUGUGCAUGAAAUCAUCAUCUCUAUAUAUAAAAUCUCCAGAGAUCGAAAGCAUCGCAGCAAGCCAAUAAUUAUGUCCAGAUCAAAACUAAACAUUCUGAUAUAUAUGAUCUUGACAGAAUCCAGCAGCAUUGAUAGGCUAUCAAUGGACGAACUCUUCAUUGAGCAUAUAACAUAAUAUUAGUACCCAAAGUGUACUCCAAGAUGAUAUUAAACUUAUGCGCACAAACGAAAAAUGCAGCAUAUGAUUACAAAUGUGUAGAUGAUAAUAUAUGGUACCUGAAAAAGUGAGGAGCCAAACACCAACUCCUUGUGAUUAUUAAACGGGUCACGAAUUACACCCAAGGUCUAUAGUUUGGGCGCAGAGACGACAGUUAUUUGUGAAGGUGUAUAACAAUUAUCAAGGAGCAACCUUUGAAGUGAAGGGGCAUCUUCGAUGAUGAGCUGAUGUCCUUUAAAACAAAUUCCAAUGCUUUUAAGGUGAGGCGACUUUAUUUGGAGACAACUGAUACGGAUUUCUAUUCCCAAAACAAUCAGCAAGUGCUCCAGGGUAGGGCAACUGGAGUGGAUGAUGUUGUGCAGUGAGGCCUCCGACAGAUAAACCACCACAAGAGAAAGUUUUUUUAGUAGUGGGAGUCGAAGCAUUUGUACCAGAUCGUCUGGUAGAUGGCAGCGGGCGAAGGUGGCGGUGUGGAGAGAGGUGGAAAACUGCGAGAUGGACAACAGUGGUGUGGGCAUAAUUCUUGGUGUGUUCGUGGUAUGAAACUUUUGUGGUAAUAGUACAACUCAAACUGCUGGAGUUUUCCGAAUUCAGGGGAUGUCAUCCAAGCGUCCACCAUGCCGGGUAUGGACAGAAGGUAGCGUGUCGGGAUGCAGAAGCAUUGAACGGGGCCCUGCUGGUGAGAAGAGAUGAUGGCUCUGAGGAGAUCAAAUUCAGGUAGGGCAGAUAUCUGACGAUAGUCGAGAUUGAGGGGCGCGGUGCACCAUAGAGGGCGCCACCAAGUUGAGAGGACUUGUGUGCGGCAGCAAUCCUUGGUGGGGAGAAGCGAGAUGAUCUCCUCAAGGAUGACGUCUGGGAGAUCGCUGAUGCGGUCCACCGGAGAUUCUACUGGUUCCUCAAAUCCGGGUGAGGGGGGGGGGCUCGCCGCUUCUCCCCGCGCUACCGGGUGCGGGAUCUACAACCGGCAUCGCCGCUGGCGGGAGCCUCAUCUUCUUGGCGCUGGGGCCAUACGAAUCCAUUUUCCUUGUGGGUGUCACGCUGAGCUCACGGGUUUGAGCAGAGUAGCAAGAGACGAGCCUAGUGGCAGUGCGAGUGGGGAAGAAGGAGGGCUGGGGAUUUCUGUAGGAGUGGAAGAAGAGGAGCAAGCGUUUUCUGUACGAGUGAGGAAGAAGGUGAGCGGGAGUUUUCUGGACGACUGAGGAAGAUUGGGGAGCGGGGGGAAUUGGGGGGGGGGCGGAAGCGGGAGAGCGACUUGUUCGUGUUUAUAAGGCCCGCUGCACUAACUACUCACUUUUUCUCAAGAACCACUCUCUUCUUUUGCGUUGUUGCAUUGGAGCUGGCGCAUGGACUUGGCUGACUGGCCAUGUAAGCAGGAUGCAUGUGCCCACCGGCCACUGCAUGCGCCUGGUUUGUUACUAUGCCUAUUUAAUAGGGUGGUUAUGGAGUGAAUUAAGGAGAUUUAUUUUCUCUGUGUGCAUCCACCAAAUUAGAGGAUGCGGUACUAGAUGCAGACACUCACAUUAAACUAAGCUUCAGAAGAUACGGUAUGCAUACUAACAUUCAGAAGAACAAAAGUUCAGCAUGUUUAUGCAUCUCAAUGAUUCACCAUACUAUAACCAAUACAAAGUUGUGAGAAGCUAUGGAAAUAAAGAAAAUUGGUCGAUGCUUCUCUAAGCAAAGGGCCCCCUGUGCAUGCAUUAAUUUCCUGGGCAUGCUUGUUUCUCCUCAAUGUUGUGAGCACUUUGAGCAUGUUGGCAACUCCACAGCUAGCUAGCUGCCUCAUCUUGCAAUUGAUGCUGACACAUUUGCAGCAAACACAUGAGGCAAUAGAUAUGACUCAACAUGAGUCCAUAUUGUGCAGUUCCCCUGAAAUCAUAUUUCAUUGUCCUGAAUCUGAAAAGAUAGGAAAAUAGUACCUAUACUUAAACGGUGUUGCAAAACAGUAGCACAUAUCAAUAGCUCGGCAUGACAAAACACGAUCAUCUGGACGAAGGGGAUACUGACCUGCCUGAGAAAGAUUAUAUAUAGUUUCAUAAGUCCUUGGUUAAUUUCCAACUUUGGUUGCACUGCUUGUUUGAUCCUCCACACAUGACAUGAUCGUUCCGCACUGCAUUUAGCAAGUCAACGUAUGAAUAAGCUAAUUUCAUCUUACGGUGGUCAUUGUACCUAGUUACGAAUGUAGGAAUACCUGGAGCACCAUGAGGUUAGCUGACAGCAGGUAGAUGCAGCCAUAUAAAUUUUGUGCGGUGCUACCAAAAUUGAGGUCUAUAUCCCUCCCCGCUAUGAGAAUUCUUCUUGAAGUUGGUAGAAUGUGAUGGCUUGUUCUUUGCAUCAAACUUGCCUUUCCCGUGAGAUUUGUUCUUCUUGUUUUGGGGCUGGUUGGGCUGGAAUUUCUUCUCGUGUACCAUGUGGGCACUAUAAGCUCCCUCGACGACCCGAGCACGUGUGUCUUUUGCUCUCGCCUUCCCCUCAAAAUCAAGAGUGCUAAUGAGAUCCAAAACAAAAAACUCAUGUCUAUUGUUUUUUAGAGAAGUAGCAAAAUCGUUCCACAAAGGUGGAAGCUUGGCAAUGAUGGUCCCAGCAACAAAAUUGUCCGGCAACACACACUUAAAGUACUCAAGUUCCUUAGAGAGUGACUGUAUCUCAUGAGUCUGCUGAACAACAGAGCACUCAUCAGUCAUCUUGUAGUCACAGAAUUGCUCCAUGACGUACAACUCGUUGCCAGCAGCCGAGGGCCCAAACAUGGCCUCGAGCGCAGCCCACAUGUCUUUGCUGCUGUCAAACGACAUAUAUGAAUCCAUAUUGGAAUCGUCAAGAACACUCAGCAGGGCGGCUUUGAAGAGGGUAUCCAUGUUCUGAAAAGCUUCCUGCUGUGUAGGAUUAAGAUCGGCCUCAGGCUUACCCUUAGUGGCAUCAUAGCAGUUCAUGAUCUGAAACCAAUAUACUGCUCUUGUGCGCCACCUUUUAUAUUGCACCCCCUUAAAACUAGGCGGCUUCAAAAGCGCAGCAAAACCACUCGGAGUAAAUUGCCUAUAAUCAGGUUUUUGGAUUGGAUUGUUGAAUAUAUGAGCAAUUUACUAUGAGAUUUAAUCCGAAUCAGCAGUAAAUAGAUCAUCACAACAAUUGCAAACAUCAAAGUAAUGAUGCGGACUAAACCAGGAGGACAGAAUCACAUACUGUACAGCAGGAGUAGAACCGCUAUGGUUGAUGUUGUUACUCAUGUCGUUGAUGAAGAGGUUACCGAGGUCGGGGAAGAAGGUUGUUGUUGAGGAAGUCGUCGCUGGCAGCAGUCACAGGAGUGUGCUCCCCAAAAACCUAAUCGCCCCUCUCCCAUACAGGAUCACGAAAGGCGGGGUUCAGAGGACUGCUGUCACUUCUCACGGUGCAUGCCGGAAGGAGGGCUGGAGAAGAAUUGUGUGGCGGCGCUAAUAUCUUGAACGGUGCGAAACCAUAUGAAACCAUAUGUCAGGUUGGUCAUGCGAGUAUAAUAGUAGGCCUUUGGCCCGCAAACCCCACGUCCAAGUCAAUAAUAGCCCCACCAAGGCUUGUCUCAAAAAACCGGAGUAAUUAAGGCGUCCGUUAGUCCCUUUAGUAUAAAUACUAUAUCAUUAAUAAUGGGCCCACCUUUUGUCUCACAAAGUAUGUUGGGGCUCCUGCUACAAGCGGCUACAAGUUUACAAUCCGCUUCUCAUCUCUCUCCUCUUCUCUCUCCUUAAACUAAGCACAAAUACUAUAUUUAAAUCCUUAUAGCCUGCUUAUGUCAUCUAAUUGUAGUACUUGCUCUAAAGUUACUCUCCACUGUGUAGUCUGACAAGUCGGGCAUGCAGCAGGCGAUGCCCUCGGUCGGCGCUCCGCUUCAACUACGGAAGCGGCGAGAGGUCGCGUCGCCCUGACUUGCCAUCAAUGUGGAGCGGCGGGCUCAGUUGGCGCUGGGCGAGAAGUGCGCGCGGGAGGGGGGAGGGGUUUUUGUUGGGCCAAGAAGGUGAGAAGCCAACUUGAGAUCGGUCCGGACGGGGAAAUAUCAUGUGCUCCCAUACUUCUCAUAUGACACUAGUCUAUGUUACUACUCCCUCCUUUCCGGUUUAUAGAGAUGUUUAGAGUAACAUAGUAAUAUGUUACAGUAUAAGUUACUCCCAACUAUGACCAGCCUUGGCCUCUCCCAGUGCUCCACCAUGUAUAGAUGCUAAGCCUGCCACGUAGGAUAAAAUAUGAUGUGGCAAGUUAAUUAAGAAGAGAGAGACUAGUUUGGUGACCGCAGGAAGAAACGGUGGAAAGACAGUUUUGAGUCUAUAGCUAAUUAAAUGAAGCAAGCUUAGCAACAAUAAACUAAGCACCUAUGCAUUGAAGACUUGAGUUACUAAGCCAUUUAAUGCACUUAGCACCUCAUCUAAGCACAUCUAAGCACUUACUAGCACCCCCUUGACCAUGGACCUUGACGGUGUACGUCACCUUGUGUCUCAUAAUUUUCCUUGUCAUCAUCUGAGUCCUAGAAGAUCUCACCCACAUCAUCAUUAGGCAUGCAGCCGCCUUGAUAGACAAUGUGCACAGAAGGAGUAGAGGCGACUAGGGAUGCACCACGUCGUGGGCACUCCGUACGUGCUCGUGUGCGUGCAGCGUGCGUGUUUUUCCAUCGGUGCUAGCUCUAAGGCCGAGCAUGUGGUCGUCUUUGUCUCCGACUAGUCAUUGAGCAACGACGGCAAAGAGGGUGCUACAAGAGAUGCGUAGGCACCGUUGUGUGUGAGCUUCGCCAUAGCACGACGAACCGGACGUCGCCGCAGAUGGCGCACGCCUCCAUGCAGUCGAGUGUGUGCGCAUGCAUGUGUUAUUCACAUGCAUUCUGCGGCCGAGUGUGUGUGCAUGCACGUGUUGUGUAUGUGCGGUGUGUGCUCCAUGCUGUGCGCGUAUGUGCAUGAGUUGGAUCAGAUGGAGUUAGUGCGUUGGCUUGUGUACAUGUGUGGCUUCAUGCGUCCUGUACAUGCGUGGCUUGUUGCAUGGUUAUCAAUAUAAACUAUAAAACAUAUUCAACUUAGCAUCUUGAUGUACCGUUUCUAGUGGUUAGCGAAGAUUUCAUGUUCUUUUAUUUGUUUAUAGGUGGGUAGGCGGCAAAAAACAGGGGAAAACGUGCAAGGUUCCUUGCAGACGCUCCACCGCGAGGUUCCUUGCUUCUUCUCGGUCGUCGGGAAUCUAUGUUCUUCAACUCUUUUCUUUUAUGUGAGCUUUGUUCAUCCUUUUCCCAACACACAAGAGAUCUAGCAUCAAGGUGCACGUGUCAUGCAAGAAAAUGGAGAUAAUCAGAUAAGCAGUGCGUAAGUGAGUCGUGCACUUCGAUGGCACCUACGCAAUAUAUUUUCUCCUCGAUGGCACGUGAAUAGUGCACAUACUCAACGACGGAGCACGGGAUGGUAGCAAUGACAUGGUCAGCCCAUUUUGGAGAGAGUGCAUACUACUAAAUAACUUUUAUGUGUCCCGUCAACUUGCAGAACGACGAGAAGCUUGAUUACACCUUCUCCCUUGCCAACGCGUGCGCGGUGGCUCGCAGCACGAGGAGGAACUUUUGCUAAGUGGUGGACGUGCAGCAGUUCAUUUGGUGUCAGAUUGCCAGAAGUACUACUGUAGAACCAUUGACUUCCGGAAGAGGCGAAGAGCCAAGCGCAAGGUCACCUACUGACCUUAGGCUAGGCGUAGUGGGACUAACAUAAGUAGGGGUACCUCCUUUUGUUUAUUCUAGAAAAAACCACACACGAAUAUUAAGGUGCUGGUUAUGUAGAACAAAUUUCCUGGAGUAUGUGCUCAGCCCACCUCUAUCUCUGUUCUUGGCCAGCCAGCGGACGCGCGGAGCCCAUCGUCUGUUUGCUCAUAUGCAGUCCCACAUGUCAGUGAAAACGCAAGAGGACCCACUGAACCUGCACACAUCUUUCACCUCGACGUGCUGGUGAUGAAAAACAAAUCCAAUAAAGAUCUUCGGUGGCCGCUGUUGGAGUUACUCAAGAGUAGUAAGAUCCCAUUUACAGUUUAACCCAAGAUGCACAUCACGUCGCUUCAACUACCACUCUAUUUUCUUGCAUGACACGACCAGGAUGCUGGUUGUUCCACGUGUCGGCAAAAGGAGGAAGACCUGACCAAAUCUUCGGUUGUGCUCUCGGAUUAGACUAGUUGUGCUAACUUAAAAUUUUCAUUGUGUAGAAUGGAUGCAAGUUUUGGUAUUGGGAAGAAGAGUAUAUCGAUAUAUUGAUAGAGCACAAUUUGGUAGAUGUUCUAGCACUUUGAGCUAGCAUAGAGGCUAGAGAUGAGACUAGUGCACUUGUUGAUAGAAUAGAGGCUAGACAUGAGACUAGAUGCAAGGAAGCAACAUCUACUUCUUUACACUCGAAGAAGAAAGAAGCACGCAAGAUCGAGCCUCCAUAGAUCAACAAUGAAUGCAUCGAGAAGGCACUAAUCCAACUUACAGGAUCAAUUAUGGAAGUUGGAUAUCUUCUAAAAUGUAUUCUUGUGGUUCUUGUUUUCUUUGGUCUUGCUUGUCUAGUCAAAAUUAUCGUUGGAGUUCGUGCAAAAUGAAGGUCCGUUUGGGGUCAUGCGUUGGAGUUGGCCUUAUAAGUGGGACCGUAGUUGAGGAAACCGACUAUCGGCAAACCCCCACCUCGCCCACUGCGUGAUGGCUGAGUUAGAGAAACGACGAGGUUGAAAGAUAUUGCUCUAGCAUGGACUCCAAGAAAUAUGGUGUCAGAUGGAAGUCGUGCUGGUGGCGUGUGCCGUACUCCUGGACAUGAAUGCUUGUUCUGGCCCAUGCCACCCCACUACUCCUACUAGUUAUAUAGUACUAGUAGUAUCGAGGAUUCGAGGUGUUGGUUACGUACAGUGAACACAUUAACAUAUGGCCCACCUCACACUAUGGACAAAUUUCCUGGAGUCUGUGCUAGGUUAAAAAGUGUUCUUUUUGAGGGUGGGUGUCGUGGUAUUCUCACGGGGGGUGCAAGACGACAGAUGCUACAAGGGCUUAGUGCGAGGGUAAGACAGCUGCUGAUAGGACCGAGAGCGUGUAUGCGAGUAGCACGCGCUAGUUUACCCAGGUUCGGGGCUCUCCAGAGAGAUAAUACCCCUACUCCUGCAUGUCUGAGUACAUCUGAUGUAUCUGGUACAGAGUGCUCCUGGAGCUGUAUCUAAGGUCAGUGUCGUCGGCAUCUGACCUCGUAUAUGCAAAUGGGCACAAGUGUGUGCUUGGCCGUGGGUGGAUGGAUGAAUGGAUGUAUGUGUGAGCUAGCUAGCUAUCUUGCUAGCUAGUAUGCAUGCGUGAGAGUGAAUGGCCAAGAGGCCAUAGUGGCGCUCGUGGCCGUGAGCCUCUCUUGGAUGGAUGGAUGGAUGCUCAUAUAUAUAGUGUGGCUAGCUUACUAUCUAAGCUAAGUGGUGGCAUGGGCAAGGCAUGGUGGGGUGUCAUGCUUGUCCCCUGGGUCACUUCAUAAAUAGUGCAAGGGGACAAGUGACACUAUACAUGAUGGCUGGGGUGACACAUGAACAGUGCUCGGGUACAGCCGUCUCGUCGGUGUCUUGUCGGUGUCAGGUCGGGCUGCAGUAGGCAGCCGGCUGGUUGGCACAGUUGGAGGCCGGGUGGUCGGUGCAGUCAGCAACCGGCAGCCAGCCGGGCAGACCAGUCAGAUGGGGAGCCGGCAUGAGUGGCCGGGCAGUCGGACUGAGGGGCUUUGCUAGCCCCGAUGUCUUGAAUUAUUGUAUUGCCGUCUUCGGGGUACCCAUCGCCAAUUACCCCGACAGUAGCCCCCGAGCCUGUGAGCAACUUGGCAAAGUUGGGCGGAGGUUUUUUGGUGGGUGUUCAUGGAAGUGAUCAUGCAAAAGACAAAGUUAGUCCACGCAGAUAUAUCAAAUUAUUGCUUUUAGCAUUGCAAGUUUAUGCGGAGGGUGCCGACUUAGUUUCGUCCGAGCCCCCUUGAUCUUUUUCGUGUUCCCUCCGUUCUUUGGCUUGUGCUCUCGCUUGCCGGGCAGCCGCUCUGCGGUCAGUGGCUGAGGGUGGGCCGCGAAGUGGAGUGUACAGUACUCAAAGUCUCGGAGCAGAUUCGACCGAGCAGAUACGUGUAAAGGAAACGACCGGGUCGCCCGAACCAUUUUUCUUCCCGGACAUUUUUCGUGUGGGUGGCCUCCAGCGUUCACUCUUGCCAGCCGGACAGCCGCUCUGCGGUAUAUGACUGAGAGUGGGCCUUUGGUACCGCGCACGCUACUAAGCCAUCUGCGGGAACAAACGUCUCAGGCCAAGCAGCCAUCCUCCGGGCCAACUCUGGCUGGCCCCGGGGCGUACAGUAGUGUAACUGUAAUAAAAUGCAGAGAUGGCUCCCCGAGCAUCGCUCAGGGUUAUCCGUGCUUUCGCGGUGCAAAAAUAUGCGGGUGAGGAGCUCACAUUGAUUUUCGUGUAGUCACGGCAGAGGUCGUCGAAGACAGCUGGCGUGGCUCGGCGCUUGCGGAGCGCGCCGGUGCACCCGCUGGGUAUAGCCUUCGAGCCCCCAGGUGCUCGAAGGGGGGUCCGGCCGGUCAGGCUCGACCGGCUAGGCGUCUUGCAGCGCCCUUUUUCUUCUUUUUCUCUUCCGCCGGCUGCUGGCAGCCGGAGAAAACUCUUCUCUUGUUUGCAAUCUUCCGUGGAGGCGCGCCAGCGCACCCACUGGAUGUAGCCCUCGAGAUUCGGGCCGACUGCUGAGCAGUCGGGCCGGAUCUUUCGGCAACUACUUUGUCUUCUUCUUCGCGGGGGUGCAUCAGCGCACCCGCUGGGUGUAGCCACCGAGAUUCGGGCCAACUACUGAGCUGUCGGGCCGGAUCUCCCGACAACUACUUUAUCUUCUUGUCGAUCCGAUGCGGUUGACAUUAGUAUCUCAAAAAAAACUACUUUAUCUUCUUUCUUCUAGUCUUUGUCCGGCUGUGGGCAGCCGGACGCAUAUUUCUUUUGGUCCGGCUAAGUAGUGGGCCGUCUGGAAACGAGCAGCCGGCUCGCACUCUCUCUCUCUCUCUCUCUUUCUCUUUUUGGCGCAAGCCAGCCCCUUUUUUCUUGGGCAGCCGGGCCUGCCAAGGCGGCACAGUGCGGAGACGCAGAGCAGGUGGCCCCGAGAUGCUGCGAAGCGAGGGGAGCCGGCAGCCAGAGCAGGUGGCCCGGGCUCACGGAGCCUGCGUGGGAUAGCUGCGGGAGGCGGUCAGAGUGGCGCGAGGGUGGCCAGGCGGGGCGACGCGGCCGAACCACGGCGGAGCAGCGUGAAGGGCUGGCGGAGUGGCGAGGCGGCUUGUGGGGGACGCGGUGCCGGGUCGGGAGAGAUGGCGCAGGCAGGCGCGGCAGGAGGUAGCAUACGGAACAGGCGGGAGCCAGCCGGGCGCGCGGGAGGCGGAGUCGGCGAGGGGAGCAGCCGGCGCCGGCCGCGAGCGGAGGGAACCCGGUGCGGGCGUGCCCAGACGGAGCCAGCUGGCGGCCAGCACGAGUCGGAGGACCCGACUUGGGAACCCAGCGCGCGCAGACGGGUCCGCACUGGCGACCAGCCGGGGUCGGAGGACCCGGCUCAGGAACUCGACGAGCUGGCAGCGACGAGGGAUCGCGGCGGACGACCACGGGGAGGCGGACGAGUCGGUCAGGCAGGUGGAGCGAGUCGGAAGGUUGUGCGCACGGAGCAGGCCGCAGGCAGCAGCACAGCAGCAGCAAGCGGAGCAGCGGAUCAGCGCAUGAGGGAGGGAAGGCAGGGUGCCCCUGCACGGAGGCAGGAGGUGGUGCGGGAAACCAGGUGGGGGCCUGGCAUCGAACACGGGAGCUGCAAAGCUGCAGGGAGCCCUGGCGGGGUAGGAGCAGCGUGCGGGGGUGCGCGAGGUGGCCGGACGUGCUCGCAGGCGGGGACGGAGCAACAGCCAGGGCGAGGUGUUGUAUGGUUAUUGUACGGGCCAUGUCCGACUUGCAUCUGGCCGGUGCACAGGCAGUCUAUGGCCAUUGUAUGGGAAAUAUCUGGCUAGUGUACAGGUCGUGUCUGACCUGCAUUUGAGAAGCGUGUGGGCAAUGUAUGGCUAUUGUUGACCAUUGUUUGACUUGCAUCUAGUUUGCUUGUAUAGAUGGUAUAUGGAGGAGCUAACGCACGUUUCGGCCGGAGCAAGGCACAGCACGGAGGGGAGCAGACGCGAGCGGGGCGUGGACAGACACGGACGACCGAAGUGAGGCCCCGUGCGCAGGCGCACGCGAACGGCCGGCCGGCGUCGCAAUGGUGGCGGUGAAGAAGGCGCAACCGACGGCGAGGACGCGCCACCCCUCGCGGCCGCUCCGGGGGCGUGUCGGUGUCGAGCCCCCGAGUGCUACUGGAGAGACGGUGCGACGCCGCGGUGAUGAUGACGAAGAUGGUCCCGCCCGGACUGCGAAACCAGCAACAGCGUGGUAGCAUAGUACCACCCCACGGUGGGCGCCAACUGUCGUGGUAUUCUCACAGGGGUGUAAGACGACAGAUGCCACAAGGGCUUAGUGUGAGGGUAAAACCGUUGUUGAUAGUACCGGGAGCGGGUAUGCGAGUAGCACGCGCUAGUUUGCCCAGGUUCGGGGCUCUCUGGAGAGAUAAUACCCCUACUCCUGCAUGUCUGAGUACAUCUGAUGUAUCUGGUACAGAGUGCUCCUGGAGCUGUAUCUGAGGUCAGUGUCGUCGGCAUCUGACCUCGUAUAUGCAAAUGGGCACAAGUGUGUGUUUGGCCGUGGGUGGAUGGAUGAAUGGAUGUACGUGUGAGCUAGCUAGCUAUCUUGCUAGCUAGUAUGCAUGCGUGAGAGUGAAUGGCCAAGAGGCCAUAGUGGCGCUCGUGGCCGUGAGCCUCUCGUGGAUGGGUGGAUGGAUGCUCAUAUAUAUAGUGUGGCUAGCUUACUAUCUAAGCUAAGUGGUGGCAUGAGCAAGGCAUGGUGGGGUGUCAUGCUUGUCCCCUGGGUCACUUCAUAAAUAGUGCCAGGGGACAAGUGACACUAUACAUGAUGGCUAGGGUGACAGAUGAACAGUGCUUGGGUACAGCCAUCUCGUCGGUGUCUUGUCGGUGUCGGGUCAGGCUGCAGUCAGCAGCCGGCUGGUUGGCGCAGUCGGUAGCUGGCUGGUCGGAGCAGUCAGCAGCUGGCAGCCGGCCGGGCAGAGCAGUCGGGCGGGGAGCCGGCAGGAGCGGCUGGGCAGUCGGACUGAGGGGCUUUGCUAGCCCCGAUGUCUUGAAUUAUUGUCUUGCCGUCUUCGGGGUACCCGUCACCAAUUACCCCGACAGUGGGUGGCUGGUCUCAAGUUUAAAACUUGUUGUAUUACAUAUACAUAGACGUAGAGAUAGUGCAGCAGUUCUGAAAGUUUGAACCCAAACAUCAUAAUGCAAUUUCUACUAGACUCAUCGGAGGACCUAGGAUGAUAGGAUUCACAGCUACAGUAAAAACACCCGCCCGACGCACGAUGCAUGUGAAGCUAGUACAAAUAGUGUACUACUAUUGUUGAUUGGCCUCAUCUGAUAACCUGUUGCAAUGCACAUAAAAUUAUGUAUUCGGAAAAUAUUUUUUUGCCGUGUCGCAGCACUCACUCAGAGAAGCGACUCGAAAUCCAUUCAUAAAUUUAGUAAGUUUAUCAUAGGCAUAUCAUUUUAUUACAUACAACAGGUCAUCAACCCACAUCGACAAUGAUGAUACAUUAUAAAUACUGAAGUUUUCAUCACACAACAAAUAACAAGCAAUGAAAUGAACUUCAACUCAACCAAUCCUCAGUGUUGGAAAUGCUUGCUUUGAACCAUAAGUGAUUCUCUGGGACAGGCCAUCUAUUGUCGAUCUCGAGACCAAUGCAGGACUGAUCAUCCAGGCUGAAGCGGCCUACUAUAUCAGUACUAGGGUAGGGAACCACCGAAAUGUCCGAGGUAUAGAUACAGUUGCUUCUCAUAAAUGGUAGUAAUGUUGUGUCAACAGCAGUUGGAUCGCCUUUCACCAUCAUCGGAUAGUUUUGUCCAAGGAAGAGCGAGUUUUCUCCAAGACUAUCAAUAUUGUACCAAGGAGAAGGUGUUGGCGCUAGCACACUAGUAUCCAUCCCGAAUACCAUGCAACGAGUGUUGGAACAGGUCCGGAGAGUGCGACCAUGGGAGACAACACGUGCUCCCUCGGUAGUAACAAACUCAGUGCGAUGUAUACAGACAAGAAGAGGUGAUCCAUUGGAAUUAGUUGCCAGGCUCCACUGAGUAUAUAAGUUCUGCUCGUCCUCAUGCUCGUGAUCAUCACCAUCGUCAUCUCCCCCUUGGUUAUAAAAAUUUUCAAGUAUAGGUGGUGGAAUGUUCAUAGGACCUUGGAAACACAAGAAGAAGGUUAAUUAGUAAAGGGAAACUUGCUAACCCGCAUGCAUAUGGAUGAAACAAUUAUAAGUAUAGUGGAAGAUAAAUGUACCAAAACUACGAGGAUCCCAUUCAAAAACAGUGACAUGAGUGGUGGAAGAAAACACAAGACCCUCAUAUUGAAUUGCAUCAGAGUACACAUCCGUGUAUGGAAACUGAUUUUUGAGCAAUAUCCAUUGAGUCGAACCACAAAGGACGGCAACAAGCUUAUCGAAGAUAGCAACAACUUCAUAGUUCUUGUAAUUCCAAGAGCGGUUGGGAACUCGACAAAUUGAAAGACAGUCACCAUGAUUGUUUUUGAACGUGUGUGCAAUACUGGUGUGCUCAACCUUUGGGCAGACUGCUGAGAUUUUUCGGAGUGGAACCCGGUGACGAGUGUACACAUUCACAAGUUCACACUCGCGGUAGUACCCAAUAUAAACAACCCAAUCUCCAUUUGCGCCUGCCCAAUCAUUACCCUCAAGCGAUGGCAUCUUAACAUCAUACGUAUCAUUAUCAAGCGGCAUCAAGUUGCACAAGGCGAGGCAUCUGUCGUCCCCGCGCCAGUCAUCAGGGUCACGGCAAAGAAGAUACGGGAGAUCAAACUGCUCCUUGACCCUUGGGUUCCUUGUAAUGAUGUUAUUAGUUGAGUCGAGAAUGGUCUUGAACGAACCUGCCAGGCUAGCCGAGGUGAUGACGUUGCACCGUUCAAUGAGUUCCUCUACCACGUCAUCUUUUAGAUCGGGGCAAGAAUAACGGGGUCGUUUUCGGCAUGUUCCCUCCAUGGAGAAGACGAUCAAAUGAUGGCAAAAGGAAGGGUGAAGGCAAAUGGAGGAGGGAGGAAGAGCGUGCGACAGCAGUUCCAAAUUGAGAGGGAAAGGCAAAGAGUCGGUGGACAGUUGCUAGUUUGCCACAGUACACGAAGAGGCGCCCCGGCCUACAUGUACGUUCGGAAAUACUAGUACUAGUAGAAAAGGACUUGCCGUCGUCUCACUGACAUGUUGGAACGGGACCACAUGUCAACGAAACAUGGUGUGUAAUCUCUCAUGCAAAAUGCGAUCUGGCCGCGUUGGCCCGAGGUGUUACAUUAGUUUUUUUUUAAAGUUUGCCGCAUUAGUUAUCGUCCUUUAUUUUUUCUAACAUACAAUCUGAAUGGAUAGCUCCUGUGGUCAUCACACGUGAGCAGAUAUAUAUAGGUGGGCUAGGUGGGCAGGCGGUUGAGCAGGCGGCAACAAUCUGAGUGCUAAAAGAGUUGAUCCAAGGCUUGGUUUUGUUUGGAUUUUCCAACUAUGACCAUUGGAUAGAGUGAAUCAAUGGCUUACAUUCAAAGUUAUUCUCAUACUAUAGAAUUUUUGAUUCAGUUGUUGUGCUGCUACCGUCCAAUAUUCACGUGUGGUUGUUUCUAGAGUAAAAAAAGGGAGGUACUAGUACUUACUGUGGGAAAGGUGAGAUGAUGGUUGAUUCACUCGAGCAACUUAUUACUGUGGGAAUAUGGGAGUACCAGCGGAUUCAAGGAAUAGAGAAAUGAUGGUUGCUUCGUCCGAGCAACUUACUGUGGCGAAGGUGGGGCUCUGUGAUUUCACUGCUCACUAGUCAUUACUACUGCCGCGCAACGACCGGGGUGAAUCUUUCCCUGCAGUUGUGUUGUGCACUCAAUAAUGCUGCAUGGCAGGUGGAGCCGGAUGAAGGAUGUCCAACAUGUCGGUGAAACGAAGUUGAAUUGUUUCUGGCAUUGCUAUCAAUCCUUCAGGAUUUGUUUAUAUGUACGCAUAAUUUUAAUGAAAUUGUACUCUGAUGUUAUGAAGGUUUCAACUUUGGUUCCCGCGGGAAAAAUAAGGUUUCAACCUAGGAUUCAUGUGUCUUGCCUCAAAAUUAUCUCGUUACAACAUUCCAUCAAAUACAAAUGAAACUACCAUGGUUAAUGCAUCUCAAUGGUUCGCAGAUCAGCGCCAAUAUUCACAUCAGAACUGAAGACAAAGUUGUGAGAAGGUGUACAAAUAAAGAAAAAAAUAUAAUUGAUGGAUGAUGUUCGUAGGCAUGGCUCCAUUUCCUUGGCACAAUGUUCAUUGCUUGGCAGCUAGUUUCACCCUGCUCUGUAGCAAAAAAGAGGUGUAUGGAGGACACCACAAUCCGAUCAUUUUGUGCAGCUCCACUAAAAUCGAGCGGACCAUCCCUGUUUGCAAAGAUAUCCAGUCAGUGUGAUUACAAUAAUAGUGGAACUAGAUGAUGAAACAUAACACACAUCAAUAGAAGCCGAUCACCUCUACGAUCUCUCUUUAGGACUAACUUCUUGUUGGAGAACAUUAGGCAAGGAGUUGGAUGAGGAGGAUAGCAAAACCAAUCUCCCUUUCUGCAGUCCCACAGAAAUGUAAAAACGUUACCCGUGUGACAUUUUGGCCGAACUGCACAAAACACUCUUAAGAAAAAAGUGAUUUGUGCAGUUCACCAAAAGGUCACAAUAGCAACGAGGUGAAAAUGGGUAGCCAUGUUUGCAAAAGGAGGUAGAAAGGAACAAAUUACUGCCCAAUAACACGAGUUGAAGACACAUACGCUGACAAAAAGAAGCAUAUUCCAUGUAAUAAGGGAAAGAUAGCACAUGGUGGUUUAUCAAAAAUGGUUUGAGGACGAGAUUGCAAGAUGGAAAGUACGUCGGUCGAGAUACGAUUUAAGCAAACAACUGAAGAAGAUCCACAUGCAACAACGUGGGAAGAUGGGUAGUGGAGCAAGGCCGGAGGAAGCUGUACCUGAGGGUCGUCGGGGUGUUACUAGGAGGGUGUCAUCGGCCGGGAUCUGCCAUACUGCGGCAGCGAGCAAGUGGGUAAGGACCUACCGCGCCGGAGCUUGGUCAGAGAGAAUGACGGGUACCGCAGAUCGGGAUGUGCUACCUCAACACCGUCGAACGGAGAGACGAUGCACAUCCUCCCUUUCCGCCGGCGGACGGGAUGCAGUCGGAUCACUGACCAAUGCGGAGAGAGAGGCCACUGCCACCUUGUGUGAGAUGGUGUGAUGAGAGACAAACGCAUUAUUCCAUUUUCCCCACGGCAAUCGUUUUAUAUUCUGUAUGUGCCAUUGAGGAAUAUAUAACUUUAUUUAAUACUAACACGUCAGGUCGAACUUUGUUUCGUCUAGGCGUGGUACCCGACCCUCCUUCGAGUAAACAACCGCUACACACGUCAAAUUAUCAUGUGGGCUGCCUUUUCAUACAGAAACGAACUCCACCGUGUACCCGCGCGCGUGUGGCCGGGAACGAGACGUGAGUACAUGCGUCCUGCGUGCACCUCUUCUUUAGGUGCAGGUACGUACGUGGGUGGGUGUGAGAGAGAUGGUUUGUGCGAAACAAAGGCAAUGUGUUGAUGAUAUCUCAAACAGAAAAAUGUAACAUAUGCAAUGUGUGUGAAACGGAGUCAUGGACGUGAGAUAUCGAUAGAAUUCAAAACAGGGAUGAAGUGUGUGGCUGCGCGAUCGAUAAAGAGUGCCAUCGAAUUUAUGUUUGCCCAUCGACUAGUAUAUGUGUGGGGAAGGAGAGAGACCUAGCUAUGUAUUGCGGGAGAUCGAUCGACAUCCAUGGAUAUGUGUAGCAGAGGAAUAAGGUUGGGAGAAAGACAAAGGUAGAGCGUCGGAGGGUUGGUGGUGGAGUGGCGUCUCACAAAUGGUGGGAGAGGCCUACUAGACAAACUGAGGGUACGAGUGCAAUAUCAAUAAGAGAGGGCGGGGGAUGUCUGCCUGUCUAUGCAUGUGCAUGUGAGAGACGGGUUGGGAGGUAUGCAAGGAUGAUGAGGGGAGACGAUAUGGUUGUGGUAAGCAUACGUAACUACAUAGGAAGAUCAACCGUCGUGUGUCCGAGAAAGGGAGAGACAUAACUAGCAAGGUAAGUGUACCGGUGCGUGGGGAAAACGAAUUAUAGUUGACCUGGCUAUAUGUAGGGAGAUCAGUUCGUAUACACGCCUGCAUGUGUUAGAAGCAAAUAAGGUCCGGAGAGAUAGACAGGGGGAGAGGGGUGCGGCUAGGAGGUGGUGCGAGAGGCCUACCAUGUGGAGGGGGAGGAGUGUGCGAGUAUGAGAUCAAUGAAAAGAGGGGCAGGAGUGUGCACCUGCGUGGAACCGUAUUGGACAUAGGGGGCAUGGGCGGUGAGAAGAGAAGAGGGGAAGUAUAUAUGUGUUUGUUGUAGGCACCCUUGGCUAGAGAGGUAUAUCGGCCGGUCUAUGCCGGAAAGAAGGAGCUGGGGGCCUACACACACCGCGGGUGGACGACCUAAAGAGAAAUAACGAACGUGUGUGAUGGAGGGGGCGCUAAGGGUGGGUAAGAGGGGGGCGGGCGUGUGCAUGCACGAUAGAAAGUUAGCGCUAGCUAGCUACAAAUAGAAGAGGAUCGUGAAGGUGUAAAAGACGAACAAAUAUCAUAAUUCAUUAUAAAAAAGUGGAUACGGAUACUUGAAGAAGAUAUCAUCAUGUAGAACAUUGAUUAUAAUUUGGGCUAAUGUGUGGCUUUUGCAGCUCAGGUCUAAAUACUUGUCAUAAUGUAGGGGGCGGGGCACUAUACUUUGUGUGAUAAACACAGUGUACGUACGGAACAUGGUUUAGAUUAUGAAUAUAUAGUUAGUACAUCAAAUGUACUAUUAUUUGGAAUCAACAUCAAGUGUAUUCAAAAAAUAGAAUUCAAGUUCACGUAGUGUACAUAGUUCAUAUCUAUCUCUAUAGUAAUCAUGUGGUGUGUUAUUAAGGUAAUACACGAAUGAUGGUUGAAGUUGGCAACAAUCAUGAUUGUAGAUUCUUAUUGAAAUAGAGAAAUGAAUUCAAAUUCAGCUCGAAUUGCAGCGGUAGUAUAGACAUUUGGAAUGCACUAAAAUGUUGGUAUGAGUAGGUUACAUGCAUUAUACAGCAAGCGAAAAAAUUUAAUUGGACAUAACAUGGAUUCAUACUCCCUCCUUCCAUCUAUAUAGGGCAUAAUGAGUUUUUUAAGACCGCUGACAAGAUUAAUAGUACAUGACAUGCACAAUGUGAAAAUUAUAUCAUUGAAAGAACCUUUCAUAGACUAAUUUAAUGGUGUGCUUUGUGUAAGUUGCAUGCCAUAUAUUAUUGCUCUAAUAUUUGGUCAAAGUUAGCAUCGAAAAACGCAUUAGGCCCUAUAUAGAUGGAAGAAGGGAGUAGCUUUGAAUAGCAUUUGUAUAGUAAAACGGGGCAAGACUCUCUCUUCAUGUGGUGUGAAUAGUUUUAUUUUUUCGUUUUCUUUUUGGUUGAGGGAAGUGCGAAUUGAUUUGGUACGUACAAGUACAAUAUUACUACACGUUAGGCUUGUCCCUAAAAUUCAACCCGCGCCUUGUUAUAUCCCGAAAAUUCAGAUGUUGUUCUCCCAAAACUGGCGCCUUCACAACCCGCGCCUUGCUAUCCCAAAAUUACAGCGCGCGCGAAAACUCCCUCCAGCUGCCGAAUCCCGACAGGCAAAAUCCCCCUUCUAACCCUGAGCCGAAAGGGCCGCUAGUUCAAAUCGGUGGGGGGUACUUUUGUAACACACCCUACAUUUUGGACAAGCGCGUCCCUAAGUCAUNNNNNNNNNNNNNNNNNNNNNNNNNNNNNNNNNNNNNNNNNNNNNNNNNNNNNNNNNNNNNNNNNNNNNNNNNNNNNNNNNNNNNNNNNNNNNNNNNNNNNNNNNNNNNNNNNNNNNNNNNNNNNNNNNNNNNNNNNNNNNNNNNNNNNNNNNNNNNNNNNNNNNNNNNNNNNNNNNNNNNNNNNNNNNNNNNNNNNNNNNNNNNNNNNNNNNNNNNNNNNNNNNNNNNNNNNNNNNNNNNNNNNNNNNNNNNNNNNNNUAACCUCUCCGCUCCAGCCGCGAAACCCCACCCUCCUCCGUCCGCCACCUCACCGCUGCCCAGCCAGAGCCUCUUCCCCGAUGAUGUCGUUCACCGCAACAGCUCGACGUCCCUCGUCCACCUCCCCGGAUGAGGAUCCAUCGUCCAUCUCGUCGUCCUGCCGGUUCAACCGCCCCGUCCUCCACCUCCAAGGAGCUGCUCCAAUGAUCACCUCAUCUAUCGUGGCUGCUCCAUCCCUACAGCGCCACCUUAACCUGCUCCACCGGAACCGCAACAUCCUCACCGACUCCUCGGACGAAGCCGAGGCCUACUCGGCGCCACCAAAGAGGUCGUACACUCAUCGCAUCACACCUUCUCCUUAACUCGACCUUCCGGCGCCGACGGUGCUCCAUCCCGCACCCCCAUGGAGCGGCUACCUUGAAGCCGGCAUCGUGGGCGACAUCUCCAUGGCAGCUCUCCCCCAGUGCGAGCCCCUUCGGCGGUAGCAUCCAUACCAGCCGGAUCUGCUGCUGCUCCGGCUCUCGCUCGCUCGCUCGCGCUGCUGCUGCUGCUCCAGCUCUCACUUGAUCGCUCACUCGCCCAGCUACUGCUGCUCCGGCUCUCGCUCAAUUGCUCGUGUUGCUGCUGCUACUCUACCCCUCGCUCGUGUUGUUGCUUUGCUCUGAUUUAGCUAGACUUCAGUCGACUGAAUCGACUUUUGGGUCAGUCAAUUUUCAGGGGUUGGGGGGCUCGCCGGAGUUAAGAAAGAACCACCCGCAGCGGGGACGGGGGCUCGCCGGAGAGGUAACCCACUAUCUAUCUUAGGGUUCAGGGUGGGGGCGGGGGGGCUAGAGGGCUGGCCGGGGUGGCGGCGGACCAGCGGUGGGGAGUUGUUUCGGGGCGGCGAGGCGGCACUGGGGCCGGCGGUUCGGCUGGUGGUGGUUGGCGGCUCAGGGGGGUACAGGUUGAAUAUGAACUGCGGGCCCUCCCUAAACUACAUGUCAAGUGCCUCCUUGCUACCAUCGCGUUCAGUUUCGACAGUAGCAUUCAGAUUCCAUGGUAAAUUUUAGUUUCGACAGUUAAGUUCAGAGUCAAUAGUUUUUACCUCAUCUGUUGUAGUCAGGUGGUUUUUAGUGAUGUAAAUUUUACAUCUAUUUUACAUCAUCUAUUAGAGAUGAUGUUAGAAUCCCACUUGAUAUUGACGAUGUCUAUCUUGUGCUGCUUCAGCCUUGACGUCUUACGGCUCACUGGAGCUGCUCCAACGAUAGAACGAUCCAUCACAACAGAGUUGUGCCCUGGACGCCGUCUAUAGAUACCUCAGAUCUUCCUCCACACCUCCGACAGCCACCUCUACCUCAACUGCUUUAGCGACCAACCCAAUGAUGCUGAGGUCAACAUGGCUACGGCGAAGAGGUUGUACACUUGUUGCAACACUUAUUACUAUACAUUCAUGUCAAUCCAUUAGGGCUAUUUUUGUUCAACGAAAAAACAUAGCAAUAGGGAAUUUGCCAAUGGCACUCUACUAUUCAAUUAUUCAUGCAUUUUGUUGAAAGGAAUGAAGCAAAACAUCCACCUCGACCUACUUUUCAAAAUCCUAUGCAUGAAAACAAGACCAAGUACAUUAGUGGAAGAAUAACAUUCUAACUGUACACGCUUUCAUAUGGUUUCACUUUGUUUUGGCCAUGUUUCUUUGCAUUCCUCUGCUCUUCCAAUUCCUGUAAACCAAACUCCCAAGUUGACAAAAAUCAUAUGUUUACAAAUGCUCUAUUUACCAUCUGCAUUCUGAUACAUCCAUUUUGCAUCAUGCUUUUAUAUCGAUAUUUAUUGCAGUAUGGGCUGUUAUUACACGUUAUGUCACAAUACUUAUGGCUAUUCUCUCUUAUUUAACAAGGUUUAACAUGAAGAGGGAGAAUGUCGGCAGCUGGGAUUCUGGGCUGGAAAAGGAGCAAAUAUUGGAGACCUAUUCUGCACAGCUCCAAAAGUCCUGAAACUCCACCAAAAUCAUUUUUUGGAAUUAAUGAUAAUUAUUCAGCGGAAGAAAUACCUGAGGGGGGCCACCCACCGUCCAUGAGGGUGGGGGCACGCCCACCCUUACAGGGCGCGCCCCCUGCCUCGUGGCCACCUGGCAGCCCUCCGGUGCCCAUCUUCUGCUAUAUGAAGUAUUUUGCCCUGGAAACAAUCAUAAGCAAGCUUACGGGAUGAAACUCCACCACCACGAGGCAGAACCUUGGCGGAACCAAUCUAGGGCUCCAGCGGAGUUGUUCUGCCGGGGAAACUUCCCUCCGGGAGGGGGAAAUCAUCACCAUCGUCAUCACCAAAGAUCCUCUCAUCGGGAGGGGGUCAAUCUCCAUCAAUAUCUUCACCAGCACCAUCUCCUCUCAAACCCUAGUUCAUCUCUUCUAUCCAAUCUUUGUACCAAAACCUCAGAUUGGUACCUGUGGGUUGCUAGUAGUGUUGAUUACUCCGUGUAGUUGAUGCUAGUUGGUUUAUUUGGUGGAAGAUCAUAUGUUCAGAUCCUUAAUACAUAUUAAUACCCCUCUGAUUAUGAACAUGAAUAUGUUUUGUGAGUAGUUACGUUUGUUCCUGAGGACAUGGGUGAAGUCUUGCUAUUAGUAGUCAUGUGAAUUUGGUAUUCGUUCGAUAUUUUGAUGACAUGUAUGUUGUCUCUCCUUUAGUGGUGUUAUGUGAACGUCAACUACAUGACACUUCACCAUUAUUUGGGCCUAGAGCAAGGCAUUGGGAAGUAAUAAGUAGAUGAUGGGUUGCUAGAGUGACAGAAGCUUAAACCCUAGUUUAUGCGUUGCUUCGUAAGGGGCUGAUUUGGAUCCACUUGGUUCAUGCUAUGGUUAGGUUUACCUUAAUACUUCUUUUGUAGUUGCGGAUGCUUGCAAUAGGGGUUAAUCAUAAGUGGGAUGCUUGUCCAAGAAAGGGCAGUACCCAAGCACCGGUCCACCAAAUAUCAAAUUAUCAAAGUAAUGAACGUGAAUCAUAUGAGCGUGAUGAAAACUAGCUUGACGAUAAUUCCCAUGUGUUUUCGGGAGCGCUUUUCUCUAUAUAAGAAUUUGUCCAGGCUUGUCCUUUGCUACAAAAAGGAUUGGGCCACCUUUCUGCACUUUAUUUACUUUCAUUGCUUGUUACCCGUUACAAAUUAUCUUAUCACAAAACUAUCUGUUACCUACAAUUUCAGUGCUUGCAGAGAAUACCUUACUGAAAAUCGCUUGUCAUUUCCUUCUGCUCCUAUUUGGGUUCGACACUCUUACUUAUCGAAAGGACUACGAUAGAUCCCCUACACUUGUGGGUCAUCAAGACUCUUUUCUGGCGCCGUUGCCGGGGAGUGAAGCGCCUUUGGUGAGUGGAACUUGGUAAGGAAACAUUUAUAUAGUGUGCUGAAAUUUACCGUCACUUGUUACUAUGGAAACUAAUCCUUUAAAGGGCUUGUUCGGGGUAUCUUCACCCCGACCAGUAGAGAAAAGAGUUGCUCCUCAACCUACUGAACCUACUGAAAAUGUUUACUUUGAGAUUCCUUCGGGUAUGGUAGAGAAACUGCUAGCUAAUCCCUUUGCAGGAGAUGGAACAUUGCAUCCCGAUUUACACCUUAUCUAUGUGGAUGAAGAUUGUGGAAUAUUUAAGCUUGCAGGUAUGCCCGAUGAUGUUGUUGAUAAGAAGGUAUUCCCUUUAUCUUUUAAGGGAGACGCAUUGACAUGGUAUGGGCUAUGUGAUGAUAUGGGAUCUUGGGACUAUAAACGAUUGAAAUUGGAAUUUCACCAGAAGUUUUAUCCUAUGCAUCUUGUUCAUCAUGAUCGUAAUUAUAUAUGUAAUUUUUGGCCUCGCAAAGGAGAAAGCACCGCUGAAGCUUGGGGUAGGCUUAAGUCAAUGUUAUACUCAUGCCCCAAUCAUGAGCUCUCAAGAGAAAUGAUUAUUCAAAAAAUUAUGCUCGGUUUUCUCUCAGUGAUCGCAUCAUGCUCGAUACUUCUUGUGUCGGUUCUUAUAUGAUGAAGACUAUUGAAUUCAAGUGGGACUUAUUGGAAAGAAUUAAACGCAAGUCUGAAGAUUGUGAUUCCGACGAUGGUAAGGAGUCAGGUAUGACACCUAAGUUUGAUUGUGUUAAAUCUUUUAUGGAUACUGAUGCUUUUCGUGGAUUUAGCACUAAAUAUGGACUUGACUCUGAGAUAGUAGCUUAUUUCUAUGAAUCAUUUUCUACUCAUGUUGAUAUCCCUAAGGAGAAGUGGUUUAAAUAUAAUCCUCCCACUGAAGUAAAAGUAGUUGCACAUGUUACAGUUGAAGAAAAGACUAUCACUUAUAAUGAUCCUAUUGUUCCUACUACUUAUGUUGAGAACCCACAUUUCCCUGUUAGGAUAAAGGAUCAUGCUAAAGCUUCAACUGUGGUUCGUAAGAGUAAUACUAGAACAUAUACACCUCCUGAGCAAAUUAAAGUUGAACCUAGUAUUGCUAUGGUUAAAGAUCUCUUGGUUGAUAAUAUUGAUGGGCGUGUUAUUUAUUUAUGUGAAUAGGUUGCUAACAUUGCUAGACCCGAUGCUAAGAUACAUAGACCUGUUGUAGGCAUGCCUGUUAUUUCUGUUAAAAUAGGAUAUCAUUGUUAUCAUGGCUUGUGUGAUAUGGGUGCCAGUGCUAGUGCAAUACCUCAUUCUUUAUAUGAAGAAAUUAUGCAUGACACUGCACCUGCUGAGAUAGAAGAUAUUGAUGUUACAACUAAGCUUGCCAAUAGAGAUACUAUUUCACCAAUUGGGAUUGUUAGAGAUGUUGAAGUCUUGUGUGGGGAAGUUAAAUACCCUGCUGAUUUUCUUGUUCUUGGUUCCCCACAAGAUAGCUUUUGUCCCAUUAUUUUUGGCAGACCCUUCUUGAAUAAUGUUAAUGCUAGGAUUGAUUGCGAAAAGGAUGUUGUUACAAUUGGCUUAGGAGAUAUGUCUCAUGAGUUUAAUUUUGCUAAGUUUCGUAGACAACCCCAUGAUAAAGAAUUGCCUAGUAAGGAUGAAAUUAUUGGUCUUGCUUCUAUUGCGGUCCCUCCCACUGAUGUGUUAGAACAAUAUUUGCUAGACCAUGAAAAUGAUAUGUUUAUGAAUGAAAGAAGGGAGAUAGAUGAAGUAUGCUUUAAACAGGUUCCUAUUUUGAACACAACUUACCUGUUGAAAUCCUAGGGGAUCCCCCUCCACCCAAGGGUGAUCCCGUGUUUGAGCUUAAACCUUUACCUAAUACUCUUAAAUAUGCUUAUCUUGAUGAAAAGAAGAUAUAUCCUGUUAUUACUAAUGCUAACCUUUCAGAGCAGGAAGAGGAAAGAUUAUCGAAAACUCUGAAGAAGCACCGUGCUACUAUUGGAUAUACUCUUGAUGAUCUUAAGGGCAUUAGUCCCACUCUAUGCCAACACAAAAUAAAAUUGGAAGAAGACGCCAAACCAGUUAGAGAUCAUCAACGACGUCCAAAUCCUAAGAUGAAAGAAGUGGUAAGAAAGGAAAUACUAAAGCUCCUCGAGGCAGGUAUAAUUUAUCCCGUUGCUGAUAGUCGGUGGGUAAGCCCUGUCCAUUGUGUCCCUAAGAAGGGAGGUAUUACUGUAGUCCCUAAUGAUAAAGAUGAAUUGAUCCCGCAAAGAAUUAUUACAGGUUAUAGGAUGGUAAUUGAUUUCCGCAAAUUAAAUAAAGCUACUAAGAAAGAUCAUUACCAGUUACCUUUUAUUGAUCAAAUACUAGAAAGACAAUCCAAACAUACACAUUUCUGCUUUCUAGAUGGUUAUUCUGGUUUCACUCAAAUACCUGUGUCAGCGGACGAUCAAGCAAAGACUACUUUUACUUGCCCUUUUGGUACUUUUGCUUAUAGAUGUAUGCCUUUUUGGUUUAUGUAAUGACCUGCUACCUUUCAAAGAUGCAUGAUGGCUAUAUUCUUUGACUUUUGUGAAAAGAUUUGUGAGGUAUUCAUGGAUGAUUUCUCCGUUUAUGGGUCCUCCUUUGAUGAUUGCUUGAGCAACCUUGAUCGAGUUUUGCAGAGAUGCGAAGAUACUAGUCUUGUUUUGAAUUGGGAGAAGUGCCACUUUAUGGUUAAUGAAGGCAUUGUCUUGGGGCAUAAAAUUUUUGAAAGAGGUAUUGAAGUUGAUAAAGCUAAAGUUGAUGCAAUUGAAAAGAUGUCGUGUCCCAAGGACAUUAAAGGUAUACGAAGUUUCCUUGGUCAUGUCGGUUUUUAUAGGAGGUUCACUAAGGACUUUUCUAAAAUCUCUAGGCCUCUGACUAAUCUAUUACAAAAAGAUAUUCCUUUUGUCUUUGAUGAUGAUUGUGUAGAAGCAUUUGAAAUACUUAAGAAAGCUUUGAUUUCUGCACCUAUUGUUCAGCCACUUGAUUGGAAUUUACCCUUUGAAAUUAUGUGUGAUGCUAGUGAUUAUGCUGUAGGUGUUGUUCUAGGGCAAAGAGUCGAUAAGAAAUUAAAUGUUAUUCAAUAUGCUAGUAAAACUCUAGACACUGCCCAGAGAAAUUAUGCUACUACUGAAAAGGAAUUCUUAGCAGUUGUAUUUGCUUGUGAUAAGUUCAGACCUUAUAUUGUUGAUUCUAAAGUAACUAUUCACACUGAUCAUGCUGCUAUUAAAUAUCUUAUGGAAAAGAAAAAUGGUAAACCUAGACUUAUUAGAUGGGUUCUCUUGCUACAAGAAUUUUAUUUGCAUAUUAUUGAUGGAAAGGGAGCUGAGAACCCCAUUGCAGACAACUUGUCUAGGUUAGAGAAUGUUCUUGAUGACCCACUACCUAUUGAUGAUAGCUUUCCUAAUGAACAAUUAGCGGUCAUAAAUGCUUCUCGUACUGCUCCAUGGUAUGCUGAUUAUGCUAAUUAAAUUGUUGCUAAAUUUAUACCACCUAGUUUCACAUACCAGCAAAACAAAAAGUUUUUCUAUGAUUUAAGACAUUACUUAUGGGAUGACCCACACCUUUAUAAAGAAGGAGUAGAUGGUGUUAUUAGACGUUGUGUACCUGAGCAUGAACAGGAACAGAUCCUACGCAAGUGUCCCUCCAAGGCAUAUGGAGGACACCACACUGGAGAUACAACUGCACAUAAGGUAUUGCAAUACGGUUUUUAUUGGGCUACUCUCUUCAAAGAUGCCCGUAAGUUUGUCUUGUCUUGUAAUGAAUGUCAAAGAAUUGGUAAUAUUAGAAGACGUCAAGAAAUGCCUAUGAAUUAUUCUCUUGUUAUUGAACCAUUUGAUAUUUGGGGCUUUGAUUAUAUGGGACCGUUUCCUGCCUCUAAUGGAUAUACACAUAUUUUAGUUGUUGUUGAUUACAUUAGUAAGUGGGUAGAAGCUAUUCCAACUAGUAGUGCCGAUCAUAACACCUCUAUUAAGAUGCUUAAAGAAGUUAUUUUUUCGAGGUUUGGAGUCCCUAGGUACUUAGUGACUGAUGGUGGUUCACAUUUUAUUCAUGGUGCUUUUCGUAAAAUGCUUGCUAAGUAUGAUGUUAAUCAUAGAAUUGCAUCUCCUUAUCACCCACAGUCUAGUGGUCAAGUAGAAUUGAGUAAUAGAGAGCUCAAAUUAAUUUUGCAAAAGACUGUUAAUAGAUCUAGAAAGAAUUGGUCCAAGAAACUUGAUGAUGCAUUAUGGUCCUAUAGAACUGCAUAUAAGAAUCCUAUGGGUAUGUCUCCGUAUAAGAUGGUUUAUGGAAAAGCAUGUCACUUACCUCUCGAACAAGAACAUAAGGCAUAUUGGGCCAUUAAAGAGCUCAAUUAUGAUUUCAAACUUGCCGGUGAUAAGAGGUUAUUUGACAUUAGCUCACUUGAUGAAUGGAGAACCCAAGCCUAUGAGAAUGCCAAGUUGUUUAAAGAAGAAGUUAAAACAUGCCACGACAAAAGGAUACAAAAGCGUGAGUUUAAUGUAGGUGAUUAUGUGUUGCUAUUCAACUCUAGUUUAAGAUUUUUUGCAAGAAAACUUCUCUCUAAAUGGGAAGGCCCUUACGUUAUCGAUCAGGUCUAUCGUUCCAGUGCCAUAAAAAUCAACAACUUUGAAGGCACAAAUCCAAAGGUGGUGAACGGUCAAAAAAUCAAACAUUAUAUCUCAGGCAAUCCUAUAAAUGUUGAAACUAAUAUUAUUGAAACCGUGACCCCAGAGGAAUACAUAAGAGAUACUUUCCAGAACGUUUUAGACUCCGAAAAGGAAUAGGUAUGUGGUACGGUAAGAAAACCGACUCCAAAACAAUUCUAAUAGCAAUUUUUCUCCGUUUUGGAAUAUUUAAGAAAAUAGGAAAAUAAGAAGUAGUCUGAGAUGGACACGAGGCUUCCACGAGGGUGGAGGGUGCGCCCUACCCUACUGGGCAUGCCCCCCUGCCUCGUGGGCACCUCGUGUGUUCUCCGAACUCUGUUUUCUUGCACGAUACUUCUUUCGGUCGGUAAAAAUUCAUUAUAUAAUCUCCCGGAGGUUUUGACCACCGUAUCACGCAAAAAAUUUAUGUCUUUGUUUUGAGCUGUUUUUCUAACAGAUCUAGAGCAUCAUGACGGCACCCUCCUUCAACAAUGAAGACAAGGAUGCUUGGCUAUUGAAGAUAGAGCUGAAGAGAGAAGAACCUGAAGAGAUAUACAAGGAUGAAGGGAUCAAGGAGGCCAUGGAGGAUCAAGCUCCAGUGGCCGAAGAAGAAAACAUCCCUCAACCUCUUCCUAACCUCUUUACCCCAACUGAGAUUGAAGCUUUCAAGAUGAUUGAGUUAGCUCGCAUACAAAACAAGUAUCUCACACAGGAAAAUAUUUUGUUGAAGGAUCAUAUCGUCGCACUUAAGGGCAUUAUCCGCAAAUUGGAAGAGCUUCUGUGCUCGAUGUGCGACUAUCCAUCAUCAUCACCACCUUCUUCGUCGGCAAAGGAGACAUAAUCACAUGGGUAUGAUGGGUUGCUAGAGUGACAGAAGCUUAAACCCUAGUUUAUGUGUUGCUUCGUAAGGGGCUGAUUUGGAUCCACUUGUUUCAUGCUAUGGUUAGGUUUACCUUAAUACUUUUUUUGUAGUUGUGGAUGCUUGCAAUAGGGGUUAAUCAUAAGUGGGAUGCUUGUCCAAGAAAGGGCAGUACCCAACCACCGGUCCACCCACAUAUCAAAUUAUCAAAGUAACAAACGCGAAUCAUAUGAGCGUGAUGAAAACUAGCUUGACGAUAAUUCCCAUGUGUCCUCGGGAGCGCUUUUCUCUAUAUAAGAAUUUGUCUAGGCUUGUCCUUUGCUACAAAAAUGAUUGAGCCACCUUGCUGCACUUUAUUUACUUUCAUUGAUUGUUACCGGUUACAAAUUAUCUUAUCACAAAACUAUCUGCUACCUACAAUUUCAGUGCUUGGAGAGAAUACCUUACUGAAAACCGAUUGUCAUUUCCUUCUGCUCCUUGUUGGGUUCGACAGUCUUACUUAUCGAAAGGACUAAAUAGAUCCCCUACACUUGUGGGUCGCCACAUUCCUAUCCUAUUCCGGUGUUUUUCCUAUCCCUGCAUUUUAAGAAUCAUACAAGCCAAAUGAUCCCUUACAGAAUUACUUCAGUUACAGGUAGGUGUCGAAGGGAACUUUGUGUGGUUUGUCCUGCUCCUGCCACGACGUCGUCCACCUCACCUGAGCUGCUCCAUCGACAGAAGCAUCCACCAAACCAGACAUCAUGACUCCUGGCCGUCUUUCGCCGCCUCAGAUCUCCUUCCCUGCCGCCGGCACCCACCGCAACGGCAUCACCAUCAUCGACUCAGUAGAUGAACCUGAGGAGUACACGGGUCCAGAAGAGAGUUCGCACUCUUUUGUUUCUGCUUAUGUUAUGCAUUGCUUAAAAUUACCUACUACUUUAUCGUCCUGUUCACCUCUUGGACUCCAAGUCAGGUCCAAAUUAAUGUUCAAACUUGAGUUCUAAAUUAGUUGUGGGGCACAUAUCGAGGCAGCAAUGAAUAGUAUGUCUGUCUAAUAUCUGGUUCACCUAGGGUAUGCCUAUGUUCUUUAUCUUUGGUGGGAAACAAAUAGUAAAGUAAUCAUCAUCUGUCUUUUUAUUAAAAUUAAAGAAAUCAUCAGCCUGCUAUCAUUAUUUUUGGAUCCAUCCAUUGGUUGUUACCAUCACUCUAAAUUUCAGCAUGCUCUCCUUAUAUAAUCUCACCACAUUUUUUUGUAUGCAUGUCAGAUAUUGUACACAGUCAUGUUGAACAUGUAGAGAAAAACAGAAGAGUUUUGCGUGGCAAUACAAUGUCAUGCAGACAUCGCUCCAUGGUGGGUUCAAUGGCAAACCCUCCCCACCCCUCUCCAGAUUGUAAUCCAGAGGAGGAUAUCUGUUCUGAGGCGGAUUCAGACGCCGCUGACCACUCCUAUUUACCCCCCAAGGUGUUUGCUCUACCUUGGCAUGAUGAUGUUAGUCAUAUCAUGCAUAUGUUGCCUUGAAGUGCCUACUUUUGACAUCAUAUAUGUCAUCUGCUUAGUUUAGACAUGUUCUGCAAUGCCACAUGUUUAGUUUCUAUAUCAUAUAUGGGAAUUAUGCAGCCUCAUGUCUUUUAACCAGCCAUAACAUAUGUGAAAUGUGCAAUGCCAUCCUGUUUAACCGGGCAUCAUAUAUUUGAAUGAUAUCUUGCCCAUCCUUUUCUUCAUUACAUUUCCAUUUGUCGACAAUGUUUGUACAUUAAACUACUCUUCCUGUGAAUCAGCCAUUUGGGUGUUAGAUGGAAAAAUUGUUGGAGAUAUGCCCUAGAGGCAAUCAUGUAUGAUGAUAUUUCCUAUGUGUUUAUGAAUAAAGAUAGUCCUUGGACAUUACCAAUGAUGUGUAUCAGCAAGUACGUGACUUGUUUGUGGGAAUAUGCAUUGUAUGAUGACUGUCCUAAAAGGUCCCUAGUUGAAAGGGCUGUGUGGACGCGCAGCCGACUAGACUAGCAUAUGACACGGUCGAUGGCUUGGUCUCACUAGCCAUGGAGCAUUGGAUACUAACCGGAUAGUAUGGACUUGGAAAGGUCUGGUCGGAUUCGACGUAGUCGGAUCCGAGUCGAGAUAAGGUCCGAGUCGGACAGACCCAACUAUGAUACGCAGCGAUAUGUCAUCUGUGAGGCUCUAGUACAACAUACAUUCUAUGUCCUAAGACCUGAGCUAGCGCAUGUACUCGGGAUGGGGACAGACUUUCUUUGGGCCAACCAAACGCUACUCCGUGACUAGGUAGUUACAAAGGUAGGUUUCGGGUUUGUCCGGUCCCAUGCUGCGAGACAUGGUCGAGUAAGAUGGGAUUUUCCCCUCUGAUUGGGAGAGAUAUACUUUGGGGACCUCGUGUGAUCCGACCAAGAGAAGCAUGGACAUGCGACAAGGAUUAUGAGAUAAUCCGGAUUGUGGUCAGCAUCACUGGAAUGAGAAAGAGGUCGGGCUAGCACAACGAUGACAGUCUCGCCUUGAGCCCGACAACAUAUAUCAUGAGGCAAAGGGAACAUGAGUCUGACACGUUGUACAGGUUUGCCUAACCAGCUUCAUAGUCUGCUUGGUGGUCGGCACGCCUUGCUAGAGGCCGCUACCAACCAUGCAGGUCAGAGGUGAUCCGUACUGUGACCAAGCCGACUUGAACCUAAGGGGUCGCGCGCUUAAGGGAAGGAACCUACGAGGUCAGUUCGUAGGGCACUGGUCGGAUGUGAUCCGAACUGGACUAGGAACGUGACCGAGUAGACUUUGGGCUUUAGGGUCCAUGCGAGGCCCAAGUGUUGAGCCUACGGCGGACGACUAUAUAAAGUGGAGGUGUGGCACACUCAUGUGAUUGAUUGCUUCGGUGCUGCGACUAGGGUUUGCAUGUGUUGUGAAUAGCUACCUCCACUCGCCGCCGACUGUGUGAUCAGACCUAGCAGUCCGCCGCACGGUGUUCCUCCUGCACACACGGAUACCAUUAGAUGCGGUGCACUUGCGCCGCUCCGGCGAACUUGUACGUGGGAUCGGAUGACCGGUUGUUUGAGGGACAUCAGACGAGGAGGAGACAAUCCACACGGACGCGCUGCCUCAACUCUAAUUCCGCUGCAUGGCACUGCGCGUCUAGUGGUAAUGAAUUGUGAUCCAUCUCCCGUAGCAUGUUCCUGUUGUUCUGCGCAUAGGAAAAUUUUAAUUUGUAGUCGACGCACCCUACCAUAGAACCCAACAAAAAUCUGGAGUGAAAACAAGGCCUUCAGAGUAGACAGUGCUACCUGUCGAAGCAGAUCUCUUGUUGGGUCUCGAUAGGUCCUCAGAGAUGGAUUCAGAGACAGAUGACCAGUCAUAUUCCCCCACCGAGGUGUAUGCUCAAACUUGGCAUGGUUAUACUGCUCAUAUCAUGCAUAUGGUGUCUUGCAUUGCAUAGUUUAGACAUCAUAUACACAAUGUUCAACACCAUGUUCUUAGUUCAGACAUCAUAUCGAAUGCCCUCUGUUUAGCAUAUAAAUCACAUAUGUGAAUUAAAUGAUGCGAUCUUGAUUACUUAGAUAACAUGUAGGUGAAUUAUGUCGUGCGAUCAUGUUUAGUUAUUCAUCAUAUCUUUGAAUUAUGUAGAUAGACAUCAUAUAUGUGAAAUUGUGCCAUGUUAUCCAUUUUAGUUAAACAAUAUACAUGUCAACUAUUUCAUGCCCUAUUUUUUCCACACUAUCUAUUGCAUCUGUCUCUCAUACAAUGUCUAUACAUUCAACUAUGUUUCCUGUUUAUUGCCCAUUUGAAUUGGAGCGGGUGAUGCCAGUAUCUAGCAGACUAAAAACACGGUCUUCAAAUAAAACAGUGCUACCUCUUGAUGGAGAUAGCACCCCGGUUGUACAUGCACAAGAACCAGCCCUACCACACAUAACCCAAACUCUCGCAGAUUGUACCCCUACUGCGAUGGACAGAGAACCAGCGUCACCUAAUCUAACCCCAACCCCAGCAGAUAGUAACCCAGUUCAUGUUGACACAGCACCAUCUCCACCAUAGAGCUCCCAAACAAGAGCAGUUAGUAAGGCAGCUCCAGUGCCCAAAGGGCCAGUACUACCACGAUGAACCCCAACUCCACCAGUUAGUACACCUAUUCCUGUGGAGGAAGCACAACCAGCUAGUCGUAGUUUAGCAUCUAUCGCAUUUGAUGUUGUUAAAUCGUAUGUGCGUAUCUUCCCAUCUUGGAAAUAUUAUACUAAAGAUGAAGGAAAAUGCCAGUUGCAGGUGUUUGUCCAGGAGUUAUGUGUAAGUAAUGUUAUUCAUGGCAAUUACUUUGCUUUGUCCCAUACAUCCUACCUCCAUGAUGGUUAUAAUACAACAAUUUUUUUCCCAUUUUUCUCUAUAGAGAAGGACCAAUUUGGAAACUCAGGAUGAGGUAACAUGUGCUAAUACCUCUACUAUCUUCAAGAAUGCUUGGUGGCAGUAUUAGAAUUACCUGAAGAAAACGUACUUCACCGGCAAAGAAACUCAUCAAAUUCCCUUGUGUUCUCCUGAGACACAUUUACUGGACGAUGACUGGGAAUGCCUUGUUCUAUACUGGUCCCGAACCAAGAAUGUGGUAAGGUCUAUGAGCUCAUUUUCUAUUUUUAAGUAUUAUAUUCUUGCGUCUUACUGUACUCUGUUCAUGUAGAACAAGUUCCUAAACCUGAAGAACAAUUGUUCUAAUAUAAGAUUACAUUGCUAUCAUAGUUCAAAAAAGCGCUAGGCGUUAAUUGUGUGUUUUGCCACCGCCUUGCGCUUUACUGACCAAAGCGCAUGCUUAUGUGCAAUUAUGCACAGAUUAAGUGUAGUUAUGCGCAAUGCAUUUUGCCAACGCCUAGAGCCUAGGCACGCCUCUUUUAACUAUGAUUGCUAUCGUGCAUACUGCUUUGCUCUUGUAUCACUGUAUUUACUCAUACAAACUUACUUUUAAAUUGAAGGAUCCAAUAGAAACUCCAAUGGCACAGCAGGUAUGUUCACGCAUGUUUCUUUAACAGGUUUGCUCUUAUCAAUAGCUCUGUUGAUUUCAAUUUCAAUUGUGUAUACAGUUGACUUCUCAUAUCAUGCAUAUUACUACCAUCACAACAGAGCCAAUAGUGUUGUUGUACAUGUAGACCCAUGGUACCCAUCUAAAAUCUUGUUAUGUCAUGUAGUUUCCCAUGCUUUGUAUUCUUUCACUGCUGCUUUGUCUUGAACUGAUAUGAUUUGAACCGUGUCUCUAUUUUGAUUUGGCAAGACAAUGCAGUGACCAUAGGACAUAGAUAUAUGUUUGUUUGAUGCUUCUAUUAUGUACAAGUACUUGGCAAUAGAAGAAUUGGUAGUUUAAUCCUGUCCACCUUACUAAUUAACUGGUUCACCGAAAUGAGUUUCAUAUACUAGUACAUGCUAAACCUAUUAUGUGUCUGCUUGUUUCUUCUUUUAGAAUGCUGACAGAAUAUUGGGGAAGAGUGCCUUAUUAAGCAAUGGUAAAGGAAGUAAUGCAGAUAAGGUUCAGGAUAGUGACACAUCCUUGUUGGUCUCCAACAAAGCUGAUAAAACAGCUAAGGAAGACUAUCUUGAAGACAGUGAGACAACCCUAAAGUCCUGUCUUGGUUUAGUGUUCGAGUUACUGGCCACUACCGCUUGCACAAGCUAUUCAAACUCACUGUCUGAAUCAGUUCAGUUUCUUGAGUCUCAACUACAAGUUGAAAGACAUCGAUCAGCUGUGCUGCGUCAAGAAGCGGAAGGGCUGCGGAAGUCCCUGGAGCAUUCAGAUGCAUACUUUCUGGUGCAACAGCAAGCGUUGGAGGAUUUUAGCGCCAAACAGGACAAAGCUAAUAAGCUUGCUAAGCUUAUUGCCAGCAUGGUGGAUACCCAGGAUAACAUUUCUUGAGCUCUUCUGAAGUUGUUUCAGUUAUGCUCUUGUUUUGCUACUGCGUUUAUUUGCACUAGUGGCCAAUUUUGACGGCUAGUGUAUGUAAUAUGCUGCUUUGCUCCCUAUAUUUGCACUGGUGGCGAACUUUGCUGCCCAGUGGAUGUAAUAUGUGUAACAGUAGUAAUAGGCUAGCGUUAAUUGCUUGCUUAUUUAUUUCCUUAUUGUCUUGUUUAGUUGUUUGCUUGUAGUCACUGUUGUUCUUUUUCUGUGUUUUUCUAGUGGCCACAAUAGCCUAUUUUUGGUAACUAGGCCAAAAUAAUCAUGGCAACACAUGGACUGUUGUAACCAUGGGCCUCCUGUGGGCCGUAUGAUCCAUGGGCCUUCUACGGCGUAGGAUCCAUUGGCCUUCUAUAUGGGCCGUAGGAUCCAUGGGCCUUCUAUGGGCCGUAAGGUCCAUGGGCCUUCUACGGGCUGUAUGAUCCACGGGCCUUCUACCGGCCAUAAGAUCCAUGGGCCUUAUACGGGCCAUAGGAUCCACGGGCCUUCUAUGGGGCGUAUCAUCAUUUUGCCAAUCAUGGGUCAUACUAUUCAUGGACCAUAACGGGCCGUUAAUAGGCCGUAUUUGAUAACUCUAUGAAAACAGCCCAACGGGUUUUUUUACAUGAAAAUGGCCCAACAUAUUAGCGGUCCACAAACGGGCCGACUGUAACGACGGGCUGAAUGGCCCACAAGCAGAAAAUGACGGUAACAGGUCGUAAGUAACCGAAUGCUGCAAAUGAGCCCAAGAAUAAAUGGGCCUGAGAAAGCCGAAAGAUAACUUGGGCUGGAAACAGCCCAGUGGGAUAAUGGGCCGUUAAUGGGUAUAAAGUGAUACACUAUUUAUUACGGGCCAGUUUCACCAUGGGCCGUUAAUGGGCCAAGAGUUAAAAAGGGCCUCAUAUGGGCCGAAAGAAGUCAUGGGCCACACAUGGGACAAAAGUUAAAAUGGGCUGGAAUCAUAUUGGACAGCCCAGAUGAUGCUACUGGGCCUAAUUCGAAGAGGUCGUAACGGGCCCUGGGUUAGCGGGUUGUAAAUGGGCUAUAUGCGAACAGGCCAUUAACAGGCUUUCCGUGGGCCGGCCUGCCACCUUUUGACCAAGUCAAAUUGGCUGGCCUUUUCACAGGAAUGGGCCUUUGUUGGGUCGUGCCACGUGUUGAUGUAUCAUAGGUGCCUUGGGUCCAAUGAGUGGAUGACAUCUAUCCCAACGGUGAGCCGACACGUGUUUCCUCCAGCCAAUGAUGAUUUUACACGUGGAAAAUCCCCAUUGGUCGGGGCUGUCAACGGGUUAUCGGAUCCAAAACCGGACCCAAUAGCUUAACGGCAUUCCGUUACGGUGGAUGCCACGUGUCGGUCACCCUUGACGAAAGCACUUCUGUGACGCGCGAUUUAUCGUCAUGGAAGUGGACACUUCCGUGAUGAUAAUUUUGGUAAUGUCAUGGAACACUUCUACGACAGCACAGGUAUGACUAUCUUGAUUCUGUCAUAAAAUCAUCAUGGAUGUACAUGCAUGAUAGAAAAUGUGACCUACUGUGACAAACACGUAUCAUCACGGAAGUGUAUAUUUUUUGUAGUGUGUGUGCCACUAUGGCGCCUUCUUCAACUAUAAAAGGAGGCUUAAGGCGUACUGGAGAGGGAUUCGGCUCUUUGGGCAAGUCACGCUCGAUAGCUAGUUCAAGAACACUGAUAUACACGCCAAAGCAGGACUAGGGUAUUACACGAUCUCCGCGGCCCGAACCUGGGUAAACGAUCUUUGUGCUGGGUCUUAGACCUGCUCUUCUCACGGCCCCGCGCCCGCCGACCACAGUAGGGAUUCUUGUGAUCCCAUAGGUGUCGUUCCCACCGAUGUCUUUGCCGCGCCAGGUAGGGGGCGCAGUCGUGAGAAUCUGGUCUAGUAGCUGGUCCAGCAGUUCUUCGUCGCCAUGGUUUCCAAGAAAGGAGGCGAUCCAACAGGCAGCAUCAUCCACGGAUACAGCAAACGCUCGCGUGGCGACAGAAAAGCUAAGUCACGCAAACACUUUCCGUGAUUCUUUAUAUAUAUAUAUAUAUAUAUAUAAUCAUAUAUAUAAUCAUAUAUAUAUAUAUGAUUAUCCUCCACGGAGAUCUUUUCCUCUGUAUACAAAGCCUGUACGCAAUAGGUCCCUUCCACUAUUGGCAACGCCUUCGUUCUGUUUCGAUUCCGCUCAACAGUUCGAGCGGCUGGGUCGAGAAACGGCAUGGUAGCCUUCCGCUAUUGGCAACGCUCUUUCUCUAUCUCGAGUCCACUCGACAGCUCGAGCGGCCGCGCUGGGAACGGCAAGGUGGUUCGCCUGGCAGCACACACACCCGGCAGGCCAUUGGGGAUCCGUCCUCGAGGUGCCGCGGCAUGGGUUUACGCGCCGAAGAGCCUACCCAAUCAACGUAGGGUGGACAUACAGAGAAAGAUCAAAUUGGAAGAUAACAUGCAUAGUUUUAAGAGUACUGCAGGGUUAUAUUACAUUAAUUGUUGCUGCGGUUCUAACUAAAGAUAUGAAUUGUCUUGGUCGUGAACCUGUAGCGCAACAAGUGACGGGGUGCCUAGUCCUGGCGCUGGCCUUCGAUCCUCUCGAUCCCGUCGACGCGGCUGAUGACGGGCUUGAUACGCUCCUUGAGCGGCGCGAGGUCCACGUCCUCCCACAAGUUCUCCAGCGCGGCGUCGAAGUCGAGGUCGGGGUACCAGUAUGCCAACUUGGUGAGGACCUUGGUCAAGGCAUCCCGGCAAAGCUACCGGGCCUCAUUGGCCAGAGAGCUCGCUCUGUUAGAGCGAAACUGCUCCAAGGCUCCAAGAACACCCUCGAAGAACAGGGUCAGCCUGGCGUUGGGGCUCAUGUUAGGCUUUGGGGUGUACCUCACGUCCGACAUCCCCAUGUCAGCCAACUUCUCGGUGAUCCUGUUGGUGACGUCGACGAGGCGGCUGAUCCAAAGGUUCUCGCCUUUCACGAAGUCCUUGUGGUUGGAGGCAUCGUUCUUCCGCAGCUGUCUCUCCAUCUCCAGGAUCUUGGUCAGGGUCUCAUCCCGGGCCUUGCCCUCCAAAAGCAUCUUCUCAAGACCCUCCAGCUUCAGCUUCAGGUCUUGGAUGGACUCGUUGGCGCGAGUGAGCAGCUCGGCCUUAUCGAAGACUAUGCCCUGCGCCUGCGUCAAGGCGCAGUUGAUCGAGUCCUUCUCCUUCACCAGCUGCUCGGCCCUGGUCUUCAGGUCGUCCCGCUCCGCCUCUAGCUCCUUCACCUUGUUGCCAUGGGCCAGAGCUUGAGCAUCAAGUGCUUCUUUGUGCUUCCGCUCUAGCUCCUGGGUCCGCUGUGCGACGAGCCCCGCGACCUCGUCGUUCUUGCCGUGGAGUGUGGUGGCAAGCGCUGCCUCACGAGCUACGAGAUCCUCAUCCUGGGAGUUCGGCUCGGCCUGGCGCUGGGACCGGGCAGCCACCGUCUUGGGCGGCCUCUUCCCUCGCUGCCUCCUGGGCCUUCUUGAUGUCGGCUUGCUUUAGGAGGAGCUCCUGAAGCCGCUCGGACAGCUGGCCUUGAGUAGCCUUCAGCUCCUCGUAGGCCUGGCGGAACCAGGUAUGCGCCUCGGCAACACGCUCCCCGAGGUUUGCCUUUGCUUUGCCUGCCGCCGCCUCCCUGGACUUCACCUUGUCCAGACGGGCGCGGUGGAGCACCUGGAGUUCCUAGAUGCUGGCGCCCAUAGCCCGAAGAAGCUGCUCCUCCUGGGUGCCGCCGCCACCGGCGCUCGGCUCCUCGACAACCUUGAGCCCGGCGGCGGCGAGCACCUCGUCGUCGAACACCUCCCCCUCGGUCAGUGCCCUGGUGCCCGCCGCCCCUAGGAGGUGGACGAACAGGUCGUCACCCACCUUCAGGUACCUGCUCGAGCCAGAGGCAGCAUAGGAGGAAGGUUGAUCAUCGACCACCUCCUCCUCCUUGGCAGCGGCCUUGCCGGGCUCCCCGGCAGGCCCCUCACCGGCCCCCUUGACAGUGCCCUCGCCAGCCUCCUUGGCGGUUCCCUUGCCGGCCUCCUUGGCGGCAGCCUCCUCGGUCCCUCCGGCAGGCCCCUUGGCGGUGUCCUCGGCGACGUUCUCGGCGGCCUCCUCAGCGGCGACCUUGUUGGCCUCGGCCACGGCGUCCUGGGCAACCUUCGUGAUGAUGGUGUUGAUGUCCUCCUGGUCCGCUGGGGGGGGAUCUAGAUGCCGAAAGGAAGGGUGAGGCGAGACCAAGAUUAAGGAUCAAAAACAAAAGAUGGAAGAAAAGCAGGAACAGAAAGCAGGAGGCCUAUCUGUGCCGGGCGGAGAAGAAGUGGCCUCCUCCCCGCCAACGCCUGUUGUCGGGGCGGAGCCACCAGCGUCGGGGCCACCAGCGCCCAAGUCCACCUCCUCCUCCUCCGUGCGCAUGGGCUCGAUGCUUGGUGCCCUUGCUGGGGACGCCCCUCGGGGCGGUGUGGUUGAUGGGGACGGCGUGCUGGAGGCGGCCCUCAGUGGCUCCUCCCGCUAUCGUCCUCCUCCUGUAGCCAUGGCAAGGUUAGCGCCAAGAAGCCGUACCCCGACACGCGUUGACAAGGAGCAGAUGGUGAACUCACGCUGGGGGCUAAGCCGGGGGCUGCUGUCCGAGCUGACCUCCACCACCGGCGCAUGCAAAGCACCCGCCGGAGGCUGGUCGCCUGCCGGCGCCAUGGCCCUCUUCACCACCCUCUGGGCCAGCGUCUCCCUAUCACUGCAAAGACAAAAACAAGUCAAGGAAGGCAUCACGAAGAAUGAAGGUGGGGAAGGGCAGACACUUACUCAUCCUCCGCCUCCUCUUCCGCUGCCUUCCGCUUCCUCUUUGGGCUGAGGGACACAAGAUUAAAGACGACCCCCGUGUCGAUGUCUGCGGGAGGGGGAGAGGGGGAUGGGGUCCGGAAACACUUGGACGAAGAAGAAGCAGUCGCUUUCUUCUUUGCCAUCGUGGUCUUCGCCGCCUUCUUCGCCGUCAUGGCCCUCGUCUGGCGCACGGCCUCCCCCUGGGCCCCUUGCCACGGCCAAGUCCUCCUUGGUAGGACUGGCUCACCAGAGCUGGCCCGCUGCAGGACACACCCUCUUCUUGUGGCCGGAGGAUCAUCGGACUCGGCCUCUCCCUCGGUCGCCUCCUCGAUGAGAGGGGCCCCGGUGUUGGCGCCGCUGGCCUUCCCGGCAGCAUUCGCCCACUAGGCAAGCUCCAUCUCCUCCAUGGCCACGCCGUCCUUGUCCUCCAUGCCGCCAGCGCUGCCGGCCUCCAUGGCGAGCUGCGCCUCCGCCACCCUAGCGGCGAUGUAGUUGAUAUCCGCCUGGGUGGUCUCCACGAUGAGCAGUGGCUCCUCACGCUCGAAGUCCUCCGACAAGUUGUCAAACAACUCCUGCACCUCGCGUGCCGGGGCCUGACCCGGGACGGGUCGAGGUCGUGCGCGUUGAAGACCGGCAUCAUCUUGAGGAUGGCGGCCUGACACGUGUUGUUGCUCAGCGGGAACACGCCCGGCGGCAACCCAAAUAGGGCCCCUUGAUGGCCUUGCCGGCCUUGGCGGCCCUGCCGGUCCUCUCCAACCUGCCGUCGGCGAACACGUCGAGCUGGAAGAGCCUCUGGCAGUGAUGGUCGUGCCCCAUCACCCUGAAGUUGUGCUUCAGGCCGGGGCAGAGCCUCAUGAUGUCGGCCGCGUUUCUAAAAUCCCAGGCCGGCCUCCCCUUGUUGUGCAGCGGAGCAAUUCGGCGGCGGAUGAAGUCCGCCCCGAUCAUCUCGAGGGUGAGCCCAGCCGUGGUGAGGUGGUGGAUCCUGGCGAUGGCGAUCGAGAGCUUCGUGUCGUCGGUGUCAACAUCACUCCAGUCAUCUCCACAAAGCGUCGGGCUCCGGUGAACCUGGCAGAACUCCGGCGGAUUCUCUUCCUUGAUCUAGCACCACCGACCCCGCCACUCUUCCCACCUCUCCAUGUGGGUACCCUCCGGAUAUGUGCCCCUCCCUUGGGUCCUCGGGAUCCAGGAGAUGCUCCCGGAGAGGGCCCCCCUGGCUGGAGGCGAGGGGAAAAGUAGUGGCGGAAGAGCGUCAUGCUGGGGAGCACCCCAACAAAGCCCUCGCAAAGGUGGGCGAAGAGCGCCAUGUACGCCAUGGCGUUCGGCGUAAGGUCCAGAAGGCAGAAGCCGAAGGUGUGCAUGAUGUCGUUGAGGAAAUCGGAAAAGGGGGGGUAGAGCCGCAGGAAAAGAAAUCGAUGAAGAAUGGGUACCAAUCUGGGCCGUCCUCGCCACAGUCGGCGGGGACGAUGUGCGUGGCCGGGUGCCCCGUCGUCUCCGCCACCCACAGAGUCCUGAAGACAUCCUUGAGGUGGAACACGUCGACCGACAACGGGGAGAAGUAGGCGAACUGCGCUCGCCGUGCCACCGCUUCGUUCUCCGGUGCCUCCUUCUCCGCGACAUCUUUGGCCGCCCCCUUGCCCUUUCCCUUGCCGGUCUUGGGUGCCAUGGCGACUGGGCGAAGGCAAAGGAUCGAGAGCAAUGGGGGCGCAACAACGACGAGCAGAGGCAAGCUCGAUGAGGGAGAAGAUGGGAACGGCUGUGCCAGGACCUUGGAAAAUGCAGAGGGUAAAUGAGCAGCGCGCCUGCGGUUAUUCCUUUUUAUACGGAAGGUGCGGGCCGCCUCUUUACCAUUUACUGCAACGUGACGCAUGCGUGCAGAAUAUGCCCCAUGCAUGCCUCCCACAUCAUGCACGGCCUUGCACGUCGCGCGUUCAACACGGGUCGUGGGGAAGCACAGCAGGCGGAAAAUUACCGCGGUAAGAACUGGCCCCGCCUGCCCGCCACCAUUCUAGGCCUAGCCCAACAACGCGUCGCGCUAAUGUGUGGUCCAGGCCCGGGGGCUCCUGUCGGUGUACAGCAGUAGGGGUUCUACUUUGUACCCCUUUACCUGUGCACGGGCAGCCAGAGCCACGGCCACAGCCACACUUAGCGGGGCAGGUGUGGGAACCGAAGCCACCAGACGAUCAAAGCAAUGCCAAGACAGAGACACAAAGAGCAAGAGGGUGAGGUGGACUCCCCCGGCAAGACCCUUGCCGGGGCGGCCUCCACGGCCCCGGCAAGGACCUUGCCAGGGCAGCUUUCCCAACCCCAGCAAGCGCGCCACCCUUGAGCCCGAGGUUUCCAAUACCAACAAACACAUUGGAACAAAGGCUCGGAAGGCGCCUCCAUGGUGGCAUGCAGAUCUUUGUGAAGAUCAUUAACACAUAAUAUGAGGUAAGGACUAGAAGACGAGACCUCCGGCAACAUCCUUGCCGGGGACGACCGCAGUGCCAUGGUAAGACCCUUGCCGGGUCCCCCGGCAAGACCCUUGCCGAGGACAUCAGCGAGGCCGCGGCCAGGCCCGCACGCGUCAAUACUCCACCGCCGUUCCCAUGCAGCUGCCAGCCCAGCCAGCCAGGCGGGCACCUGCAUGGCGACGUGCGGUCCCAAGGCUAACUCAGCAAGCACCUGCCUGGUGGCAUGCAGAUCUUCGUGAAGAUGCUACCACCGUGCCACCUCAGCAGCCUUCCAGCCUACAUGGCGCUGCCCACCCCGCUAGCUUGGGCGCAUGUCAAAGUAGGGCGAGGCGGCGAUAAAGCAGGAGGACACCUCAGACGCACAUUUAAUGUGUCUUAUCCCGUAAUGGCAAGCGAUAAACAUAGCUACUGUACCCUUUCCACCUCCUGUGUGCCACUGUGGUGCCUUCUUCAACUAUAAAAAGGAGGCCCGAGGCGUACUGGAGGGGGAUUCGGCUCUUUGGGCAAGUCACGCUCGAUAGCUAGUUCAAGAACACUGAUAUACACAUCAAAGCAGGACUAGGGUAUUACGCGAUCUCCGCGGCCCGGACCUGGGUAAACGAUCUUUGUGCUGGCUCUUAGACCUGCUCUUCUCACGGCCCCGCGCCCGCCGACCACACUAGAGAUUCUUGUGAUCCCAUAGGUGUCGCUCCCACCGACAAUAAUGUUUGCAAUAAUAUUGAAAGUGGGUUUGGAAGAGCGUCAACUCUAGGUAAAAAUAAUCCCACAUAUGUGGAGAGUGUUCAAUCUCGUGAAAUUCUUGAUAAAAGUGGGCUUGGAGAGGUCAUAACUUUAUUUGAUGAUAAUCCCACUAUUUUGGAUGAGUGUUAACUUUGCAUGCAUGUGGAUCAUGAAGAGAAUAUUUUAUGUGAUAUUUAUAUUGUUGUAGAAAUUUUCAUGUCACUAAAUUACCUCUCGCUAUAUUGAGAUUGCUAUUGUUUCUUUCUUCUUCCUUGCAUAUGCUGCAUAUGUCUUGUCUUGACAAUUUGUUUACCUAUAAAAUUCCUAUGCAUAGGAAGUAUGUUAGACUUAAAUGUGUUUGGCACAUGCUACAUGAUUCUCUCUUUGUUUCAAUUAUUAUCUUUCUUGUGAGCAUCAUUGAAAUGGUAUGCCUAGCUAGGGGCGUAAAACGAUAGCGCUCAUUAGGAGGCAACCCAACUUGUAUCUUUUUGCCUUUUGGUUUCCUUUCUGGUUUCAAUAAAAUACACAAUUAUACCUCUAGUUAGAUGUGUUUUGUGGUUUUGUGCCAAGCAAGGCCUUUGGGAUGAUUUGGGUGAAAGUUGAUUUGAUCUUGCUGAAAAAUAGAAACUUACACUCAUGAAAAUAAUUUUCAUAAAUCAUAGAAAGUUUAUUUGAGUUUAUUCUUUUUGCAGAAGAUUGAUAUACAAAUUGCUCAGGUUUUCCUAAUUUCUCAAGAUUUUUGGAGUUACAUAAGUAUUCUAAAUAUCCAGAUUGCUACAGAGUGUUCUGUUUUUAACAGAUUCUGUUUUCUUUGCAUUGUGUGCUUGUUUUGAAGAUUCUAUGGUUUUCUUUGAUGAGUUUUUGCCAUAGAAAAGUUGGAAUACAGUAGAUGUAAUGCAAAAAUAAAAUAUGAAUAGGUUUGCAACAGUACUUAUAGCAGUGGUUUGCUUUCUUAUACUAACGGAUCUCACAAAGAUUUUGUUGAGUUUUGUGUGAUUGAAGUUAUCAACUUUUGGGUGAUCUUACGAUGGAUGAAGGAAUAAGGAUUAGCAAAAGGCUAAUCUUGGGGAUGUUUGAGGCACCCCAAGAUAAUAUUCAAAUAAGUAGCAAGCAACUAAGCUUGGGGAUGCCCCCGAGUGGCAUCCUCGCUUUCUUCUAACAACCAUCGGUAUUUUACUUGAAGCUAUAUUUUAUUCGUCACAUAUUAUGAGUUUCGCUUGGAGCUUCUUGUAUGAUAUGAGUCUUUGCUUGUUUUGCUUUGUGUUUUAAGUGUUGAAUCCUUGCUGAACACACAUUUUUGAGAGAGCCAAAAACUAUGCUAUGCUUGCUCCUAUGCUUCACUUAAAUUUUUAGAGCCAUGCAUUUGCUCUAGUACUUCACUUAUAUCUUUUUGAGCAUGGCGUGCUUUGUUAUUUUUGAAGAAAUGCUAUCAUGCUUCACUUUGAGUUAUUUGGGAGUUAGUAAUUUUUUUAGAAAUUCUCUCUUGCUGCACUUAGAUUAUUUUGAGAGAAAGAAAAAAAUUAUGCUCAUGUUCUUCACUUAAAUUUGUUUGAGCUUAUCAAAAGCAACAUAUGAAAAUAGUCCCAAAGUGAUAGAUAUCCGAGGAGGAUAUAACAAAAACUUUCAUGAAGAUCAUUGGACAAAAUAACUUGAUUCUUAGUAAUGGUUUUGAGAUAUGACGAUAUGAUAUGUGAGUCAUGUUGAUGAGUAAUUGUGCUUUAGUAAGAAUACUGAUGUUAAGGUUUGUGAUUCCCUAUGCAAGCUCGAAAGUCAAUAGUUAUGCAAUGAUAUUUAAAUCCUACUUAUGGUGCAUUACUCGCUGUUACUUAUGCUUAAUGCUUGGGUACGAGAUUUUUUGCUUUUUGGUUGGUCGCUUCUCAAUCUUUUUGCUAGCCUUCAUUUUGCACUAAGUGUGAUCACUACUUGUGCAUCGAAAACCCGUUAAACCAAUUUUGCGAUAUGAGUCCACUAUACCUACCUAUAUGUGGUAUUUCCAAGCCGUUCUAAGCAAAUUUGCAUGUGCCAUCUCUAAUUUUCAAAAUAAAUUUCUCUUUUGUGUGCUCUACCGCUCGUGAGGAGGUGAGAAGUGGCCAAUAUUUUCCAUGCUAGAUGUGUUAUUCUCACGAUGAGUGUUUAUUAACAUGUCAUUGCACAAGAGUACGGCAAAGGUAUUAGGGAUGCCCAGUCCGGAAAUGAAAAAUGAAUUUACUUUAUGUUGUCAAAUAAUAAAUUCCUUGGAAAGUGUUGGUAUAGAGGGCAACCAUGGAUUCGGCUAGCCAUGGAAAGUGAAAGUAAUGGUGGAAAAAGGAAUAAACUUUAUUUUCUGUUUGGGAAACGCCUAUGAUGUAUCUAGCAUGAAAAGUGUUGGGAGCCCUAAGUGGUGGGAAAAGUAUGCCUCUCAAAAAUGUUUUUAUCUCCCAAUUUAAGCUUUGAGCUCUGGCACCUCUACAAAUCCCUACUUCCCUCCGCGAAGGGCCUUUCUUUUACUUAUGCAAUUUUUAUUUUGAAUUUGAGUCUCCACCUUCUCUUAUAAAGCACCAACUAAGGGGCACUAUGAUCGUAUUUCAGCAUUGGGUGUAGCUAAUAUUCGAGUGCGUUUCAUGAAUGGAUUAAUGGUUGAGCAUAAUGGGCUAGGGAUAACUUGCUUUAGUGUUGAUAUUUUGAAAGACAUGGUUUCUUAUUGGUAUGCUUGAGUAUUAAAGUCUUCAUGACAAAACUAGACUAUUGCUUCGAAUCAUAUAAACGUCCUAAUGUCCCCUGUUCAAGAAUUCGUCCGAUUAACCAGUUAACUUGCCGAUUAAUCCCUACUCGUUGGGUCACCGAGUAGCUGAUAAACCGAUAAAUCAUCCGAUUAAUUGAUUAAAUGGCCGAUUAACUUGCCGAUUAGCCUAUUAAUCCCUUACUCGCGAGCCAAUCGAGCAGCUACCAGUUACCGAUUUCCUCAACAAUGCUAAUGUCCAUGCUAUAAAGAAAAGAAAUGUGAUGAACAUGUUAGGCAGCAUUCUACAUCAAAAAUUCUGUUUUUAUCAUUUACCUACUUGAGGACGAGCAGGAGUUAAGCUCGGGGAUGCUGAUACGUCUCCAACAUAUCUAUAAUUUUUGGUUGUUCCAUGCUAUUAUAUUAUCAUUCUUGGAUGUUUUACAAUCAUUAUAUAGUCAUUUUAUAUCAUUUUUUGUUACUAACCUAUUGACGUAGUGCCCAGUGCCAUUUGUUGUUUUCUGCAUGUUUUUUACAUCGCAGGAAAUCAAUACCAAACGGAGUUCAAACGCAUCGAAACUUUUUGAGGAUUUUUUUUGGGCCAGAAGAUAUCCAGUGGGUCAGAAAAGCACCUGGGGGUGUUCCGAGGGGAGAACAAACCACCAGGGCACGCCUGGAGGCCCAGGCGCGCCCAGGUGGGUUGUGCCCACCUCGGGUGCCCCCUGAACCGCCUCUUUGCUCUAUAAAUACCCCAAUAUUCCAAAAACCCUAGGGGGUCAACAAAAACCAAUUCCAGCCGCCGCAGAGUCCAGAAACACCAGAUCCAAUCUAGACACCAUCUCGGAGGGGUGCAUCAUGUCCAUUGGUGCCUCUCCGAUGAUGCGUGAGUAGUUCUUUCUAGACCUACAGGUCCGUAGUUAGUAGCUAGAUGGCUCUCUCUCUCUCUCUCUUGAUUAUCAAUACAGUGGUCUCUUGGAGAUCCAUAUGAUGUAAGUUGUUUUGCGGUGUGUUUGUUGGGAUCCGAUGAACUUUGAGUUUAUGAUGAGAUCCAUGUUUUUAUCCAUGAAAGUUAUUUGAGUCUUCUUUGAUCUCUGAUAUGCGUGAUUGAUUAUAGCCUCGUAUUUCUUCUCCAAUAUUUGGGUUUUGUUUGGCUAACUUGAUCUAUUUAUCUUGCAAUGGGAAGAGGUGCUUUGUGAUGGGUUCGAUCUUACGGUGCUUGAUCCCGGUGACAGAAAGGGAAACGACACGUAUGUAUCGCUGCUAUUAAGGAUAACAAGAUGGGGUCUAUUUCUACAUAAAUAGAUCUUGUCUACGUCAUGUCAUCGUUCUCAUUACUCCGUUUCUCCAUGAACUUAAUACACUAGAUGCAUGCAGGAUAGCGGUCGAUGUGUGGAGUAAUAGUAGUAGAUGCAGGCAGGAGUCGGUCUACUAAUCUUGGACGUGAUGCCUAUAUAAUGAUCAUUGCCUGGAUAUCGUCAUGAUUAUUGGAAGUUCUAUCAAUUGCCCAACAGUAAUUGUUUUCCCACCAUUUGCUAUUUUUCUCGAGAGAAGCCACUAGUGAAACCUACAGCCCCUGGGUCUCUUUUCAUCAUGUUUGCCUUUGCGAUCUAUUUUCCUUUGCAUUUAUUUUCAGAUCUAUUAAACCAAAAAUACUAAAAUACAUUGCUGCAUUUUAUUUGUUCUGGGAUCUAUUUAUCCUAUUUACCACUUUUAUCUCACGUUAUUUGCCUAUCUUGAGGUGCCAUACCCGAAAGGGAUUGACAACCCCUUUAACACGUCGGGUUGCGAGUAUUUGUUAUUUGUGUGCAGGUGCUGUUUACGUUUUGUGAGGAGGUUCUCCUACUGGUUCGCUAACCUUGGUCUCAUCACUGAGGAAAAUACCUACUGUCGCUAUACUGCAUCAUCCCUUCCUCUUUGGGGAAGUGCUGACGUAGUUCUAGCAGACAUCAUUGGGGGGGCUCAUGGGCCAAGGGGAGGGGGCAAACCAUCCCACUAAGGGGUUGUGCGCCCCCUUCACCCAUUCCCACAUUGCCAGAGGGGGUGGGGGCGCCACCCUAGGGUUCCCACCCCUUUGGCUUGGGGGCCAAGUCUCCUAAGGGGGAACCCAUCUAGGGUUUCCCUCUAAUGGCCGCCGGCCCUAGAUGGGAUCUCCUCGGGGUGCCCCCCUCUCCCCCUUCCCCCUAUAUAUAGAGAGGUAGACAUAGGGCAGCCAUACCCAUCUAUGCCACGGCGCUGCUCUCCCUCUCCCUUGUAGCCAUUUUCCUCUCUGUAGUGCUUAGCGAAGCUCUGCUAAGAUUCCACCAACACUACCGCCACCAUGCAACAUGUUGCCGGAGGACUCGAGCUACUACUUCACCAUCGCUCACUAGAUCGAGGAGGUGAAGGCGUCAUCAAGUUGUACGUGUGUUGAACACGGAGGUGUAGUCCAUUCGGCACUUGGAUUGGAGUUCGUGUGAUGGAUCAUGAUUGGAUCACGAAGACGUUCGACUACAUCAACCGCGUUUCUUAACGCUUCCGCUUAGCAAUCUACAAGGGUAUGUAGAUGCAAUCUCUCCUCUCGUAGAUGGUCAUCUCCUAUAUUGAUCUUGGUGAGCGUAGGAAAUUUUUUGUUUCCCAUGCAACGUUCCCCAACAUUUUGUGAUGCCACUUUGGGAGUUGUGAAAGCAUCGGAAUGCCAUUGUGUUUGGUGGGACAUCACCAUCGAUUGAGCUCCUACUAUGUAAAGUGAGGCUUGAACGCAUGGUGCGGUCAUCGGCAUGAGUACUAAAAGGGAACGUAGACCCUUUCUUCGGUAGACAAGAAAGGUGGGUGAGUAGUGAGGAGCAGCGUUGUAUUCAUGUUGGUGGAGUGGAGUUGAUGUAUUUAUAAACUUGGGGGAGACACUAUGCCUUUCUUCUUUAAUAUAUGAUGUGCACACUCGUGCAUAUUUGAGAAAAAAAAUUAUUCAAUUGAGGUAUUCAAUUUUGGAUUUGAUUUAUGAUUUUGACCGGUCAAACGAUUUUUCAGAUCAAUCAGCAACAACCGGCCUAUAAAAACAUAUCAAUCUCGUGCACCCUCCCACCUCCGAAAAAAAGAAGCACUAACAUAUGAUAUUGUAGCACCAAUAUAGUAGUACAUGCGAACACCGACAUAGAAAUUUCCCAUAUAAAUAUAAGUUGGUUAGCGGAUAACACAGAAUCACACCAUGAAAGGCCCACUAACCGCAUUAUAAAUAAAAAUAAACCACACUCUAUCAUCUCCCCACCUGCGAAACUAAAUAUUACAUUAUUCAAAAUAUAAGGGGUAUUAGUUUUACAGAAAGUCAAAUUUCUUUAACUUUGACCAAGUUCAAAGCAAAAAUAUCGACAUCGGCAAUAUUAAACAAAAAAUAUGGAAAUGCAUUUCCUGAUGAAUUUUAAAAUACCGACUUGAUAUUAUGGAUUUUGAUAUAUUUCUCUACAAAUUUUAUCAAACUUAAGAUGUUGGGUUUUCAGAAAAGUAAUACAUCUUAUAUUUUGAAACAAAGUGAUUAUUUUUUUGAAGAAAUCCAAGAACACCAUCGGCGCAGCAAAGCGCGCCCUACCCUUCUAGAAAGGGUUAUUUAGGAAAUGUAUGAUAGCGUAGGAUUUAUUCUACCUUGACUUAUACUCCAAGAUGACCAUGUACUCCUAUAUAUAUGCCAACGAGGCUCAAGCAAUACAAUCAACGAUUCCACCAAUCCCUCUCUAUCCCUUCUAACAUGGUAUCAGCCUAGCCGAUCCAACCCUAGCCGUUGCCCGCCGCUUCAGCACGCGCGCCGCCCACGGGGUUGUUGGCCUCCAUGACCGCCGUUGGGGGCCGCGCCGCCCGUACCUAGGGUUCGUCCACCGACCGUGUUGACUGGCUGCCCUAGAGUCUUUUUCCCGAGCCGUUGCUCCGGGUUUUUCUCUCUCCUGCAGGUUAUCUUGAUCGGUGUUUUCUUUUUGGUUUUUCAAUCUAAGAUCAGUUUGCGGUUUGCGUCGCCUGACGCCACCGUCGACACCCAUGCGCCUCUACUCCAACACCGGCGUGACCGGCCGGCUGCUUCGCCGACAUGACGGCCUCACGCGACAGGCCGCCUCUCACGACCGUCAUCCACGUGUCUGCCCGCUCAUCGCCCUGCACCGGCCAUCGCCACCCUGCUCCGGCCGGGAUCUCUCGAAUGCCCCCGGGUGCCGGUGCUUCUUUGGCAGCCACGGUGUUGGUGCUGCUUUGGCAGCCCGGGUGCCGGUGCUGACACGCUCAUCCGUGGGGUGUCCCACGUCAUCCAAUGUUGCUGGUUUCAUCUCGGACACCGCCAUCACCCCGCCUCCACCGAGCGACAUCUCUGACAUCGCACAUGAUCGACUUGAUCACCCGCUCGCCGCUGCGAUCCACCGCCAACUACGUCGCGCGCCCAACCUGACCCGUCGGUUGCGCGCACCUCCAAAGGUCCCGUGAAGAUCGUCCUUGUAGGGGAACAUUGCAAGGAAAACAAAAAAAAAUAUGCUCACGCAAGAUCUAUCCAUGGAGAUGCAUAGCAACGAGAGGGGAGAGUGUGUCUACGUACCCUUGUACACCGUAAGAGGAAGCGUUUAGUAACACGGUUGAUGUAGUCGGACUUCUUCGCGAUCCAACCGAUCAAGUGCCGAACGUACGGCACCUCCGCGUUCAGCAGGCGUUCAGCUUGGUGAUGUCCUCGCCUUCUUGAUCCUGCAAGAAGGGCGAAGUGGUAGAUAAGUUCCGGCAGCACAAUGGCGUGGUGACGGUGGUGAUGCAACUAUCUCCGUAGGGCUUCACCGAGCACAAAAAUAUGAUUGAUGGCGAACUAGAGGGAGAGGGGCGCCACACAUGGCUAGGGAAUCAUGGUGUGUGUUGCCCCUCUCCCUCCUCUCAUAUAUAUAGGCAGAGGGGGAGGGGAGGCAGCCCCUAGGGCGCCUCAAGUGGCCGGCGGCUGCCCUAGGGCGCCUACCCUGGCCAAAAAAAACCUUCCAUAUUUGUGCAUGGGGGAAGGAAAGGGGGGCUGGCUGCCUUUGGGGAGCCUCCCCCUUCCUUUCCUCCCUCUUUGGUACGUGGGCAAGGGGUGGAGGGGCGCACCAGCCCCCCUGUGGGCUGGUGUGCUUCCCCCCUUUUCGCCUACAAGGCCCACCGCUUGCCGGUGGCCCCCGGAACCCCUUCGGCACUUCGAUAAAAUACCUGGUACUUCCGAAACCUUUCUGGUGACCAAAUACUAUCGUCCUAUAUAUCUAUCUUUUCCUCCGGAUCAUUGCAAAGCUCCUCAUCAUGUCCGUGAUCUCAUCUGGGACUCCGAACAGCAUUCGGUCAUCAACUCACAUAACUCAUACAACAUUAUAUUGUCAAUGAACGUUAAGCGUGCGGACCCUACGGGUUCGAGAACUAUGUAGACAUGACCGAGACACCUCUCCGGUCAAUAACCAAUAGUGGAACCUGGGUGUCGAUAUUUGUUCCUACAUAUUCUACAAAGAUCUUUAUCGGUCAAACCAUUAUGACAACAUACGUAAUUCCCUUUGUGUGUCGGUAUGUUACUUGCCCAAGAUUCGAUCGUCGGUAUCUUCAUACCUAGUUCAAUCUCGUUACUGCCAAGUCUCUUUACUCGUUCUGUAAUACAUCAUCUCAUAACUAACUCCUUAGUCACUUUGCUUGCAAGCUUCUUAUGAUGUGUAUUACCGAGAAGGCCCGGAGACCUCUCCGGUACACGGAGUGACAAAUCCUAAUCUCGAUCCAUGCCAACUCAAAAGACACCUUCGGAGAUACCUGUAGAGCAUCUUUAUGAUCACCCAUUUACAUUGUGACGUCUGAUAGCACACAAGGUAUUCCUCCGGUAUCCGGGAGUCGCAUGAUCUCAUAGUCGAAGGAAUAUGUAUUUGACAUUAAGAAAGCAAUAGCAAUAAACUGAACGAUCAUAUGCUAAGCUAACGGAUGGGUCUUGUCCAUCACAUCAUUCUCCUAAUGAUGUGAUCCCAUUAUCAAAUGACAACUCAUGUCUAUGAUUAGGAAACUUUAACCAUCUUUUGAUCAACGAGCUAGUCUAGUACAGGCUCACUAGGGACAUGAUAUUUGUUUAUGUAUCCACACAUGUAUUUAAGUUUCCCGUCAAUAAAAUUCUAGCAUGCAUAAUAAACCUUUAUAAUGCUUAAGGAAAUGUAAUAAUAACCAUUUAAUUAUUACCUCUAUGGCAUAUUUCCAUCAAUCUCCCACUGGCACUAGAGUCAAUAAUCUAGUUCACAUUGCCAUGUGAUUAACAGCCAUAGUUCACAUCGCCAUGUGACUAACACCCAAAGAGUUCACUAGAGUCAAUAAUCUGGUUCACAUUGCCAUGUGAUUAAUACCCUAAGAGUACUAAGGUGUGAUCAUGUUUUACUUGUGAGAGAAGUUUAGUCAACGGGUCUACCACAUUCAGAUCCGUAUGUAUUUUGCAAAUUUCUAUGUCUACAAUGCUCUGCAUGGUGCUACUCUAGAUAAUUGCUCCCACUUUCAAUAUGUAUCCAGAUUGAGACUCAGAGUCAUCUGAAUCGGUGUCAAAGCUUGCAUCGACGUAACCCUUUGCGGCGAACUCUUUAUCACCUCCAUAACCAAGAAAUAUUUCCUUAGUCCUCUUAGGUAACUAAGGAUAAGUUUGACCGUUGUCCAGUGACCUAUUCCUGGAUCACUAUUGUACCCCCUUGCCAAACUCAUGGCAAGGUACACAGUAGGUCUGGUACACAGCAUGGCAUACUUUAUAGAACCUAUGGAUGAGGCAUAGGGAAUGACUUUCAUUCUCUCUCUAUCUUCUUCUGUGGUCGGGCUUAGAGUCUUACUAAACUUCACAUCUUGCAACACAGGCAAGAACCCUUUCUUAGACUGAUCCAUUUUGAACUUCUUCAAAACUUUGCCAAGGUAUGUGCUUUGUGAAAGUCCUAUUAAGCAUCUCGAUCUAUCCCUAUAGAUCUUGAUGCCGAAUGUGUAAGUAGCUUCACCGAGGUCUUUCAUUGAAAAAUUAUUUAUUCAAGUAUCCUUUUAUGCUAUCCAACAAUUUUAUAUCAUUUCCAAUCAACAAUAUGUCAUCCACAUAUAAUAUCAGAAAUGCUAUAGAGCUCCCACUCACUUUCUUGUAAAUACAGGCUUCACCAUAAGUCUGUAUAAAACCAUAUGCUUUGAUCAGCUCAUCAAAGCAUAUAUUCCAACUCCGAGAUGCUUGCACCAGUCCAUAUAUGGAUCGCUGGAGCUUGCACACUUUGUUAGCACCUUUAGGAUCGACAAAAACUUCUGGUUGCAUCAUAUACAACUCUUCUUUAAGAAACCCGUUAAGGAAUGCAGUUUUGACGUCCAUUUGCCAGAUUUCACAAUCAUAAAAUGCGGCGAUUGCUAACAUGUUUCGGACAGGAUUAAGCAUCGCUAUGGAUGAAAAAGUCUCAUCGUAGUCAACACCUUGAACUUGUCGAAAACCUUUCACGACAAGUCGAGCUUUGUAGACAGUAACAUUACCAUCAGCAUCAGUCUUCUUCUUGAAGAUCCAUUUAUUCUCAAUGGCUUGCCGAUAAUCGGGAAAGUCCACCAAAGUCCAUAAUUUGUUCUCAUACAUGGAUCCUAUCUCAGAUUUCAUGGCCUCAAGCCAUUUAUCGGAAUCUGGGUUCAUCAUAGCUUCUUCAUAGUUCAUAGGUUCGCCAUGGUCUAAUAACAUAACUUCUAGGAUAGGAUUACCAUACCACUCUGGUGCGGAUCGUGCUCUGGUCGACCUACAAGGUUCAGUAGUAACUUCAUCUAAAGUUUCAUGCUCAUUAUCAUUUGCUUCCUCUCUAGUUGGUGUAGGCAUCACGAAUAAUGGUUUUUUGUGAUGUGCUACUUUCCAAUUCAAGAGAAGGUAUGAUUACCUCAUCAAGUUUUACUUUCCUCCCACUUACUUCUUUCAAGAGAAACUCCUUCUCUAGAAAGGACCCAUUCUUUGCAACAAAUAUCUUGCCUUUGGAUCCAUGGUAGAAGGUGUACCCAAUAGUUUCCUUAGGCUAGCCUAUGAAGAUGCACUUCUCCGCCUUGGGUUCUAGCUUAUCAGGCUGAAGCCUUUUGACAUAAGCGUCGCAUCCCCAAACUCUUAAGAAACGACAGCUUAGUUUUCUUGUCAAACCAUAGUUCAUACGAUGUCGUCUCAAUGGACGGUGCCCUAUUUAAUGUGAAUGCGGUUGUCUCUAAUGCAUAACCCCAAAACACUAGUGGUAAAUUGGUAAGAGACAUCAUAGAACGCACCAUAUCUAAUAAAGUAUGGUUACGACAUUUGGACACACCAUUACGAUGUGGUGUUCCAGGUGGCGUGAGUUGUGAAAAAAUUCCACAUUGUUUUUAAAUGAAGGCCAAAAUCGUAACUCAAAUAUUUGCCUCCGUGAUCAGAUCAUAGAAACUUUAUUUUCUUGUUAUGGUGAUUCUCCUCUUCACUCUGAAAUUCUUUAAACUUUUCAAACAUUUCAAAAUUGUGUUUCAUCAAUUAGAUAUACCUAUACCUACUCAAAUCAUCUGUGAAGGUGAGAAAAUAAUGAUAGUCGCCGCGUGCUUCAACACUCAUCGGACCGCAUACAUCAGUAUGUAUUAUUUCGAGUAAGUCAUUAGCUCGCUCCAUUGUUCCGGAGAACGGAGUUUUAGUCAUCUUGCGCAUUAGGCAUGGUUUGCAAGUAUCAAAUGAUUCAUAAUCAAGUGAUCCCAAAAGGCCAUCAACAUGGAGUUUCUUCAUGCGCUUUACACCAAUAUGCCCUAAACGGCACUGCCACGAGUAUGUUGCCCUAUCAUUAUCAAUUUUGUAUCUUUUGGCAUCAAUAUUAUGAACAUGUGUAUCACUAUGAUUGAGAUUAAAUAAACCAUUUACAUUGGGUGUAUGACCAUAGAAGGUUUUAUUCAUGUAAAUAGAACAACAAUUAUUCUAUGACUUAAAUGAAUAACCAUAUUGCAAUAAACAUGAUCGAAUCAUAUUCAUGCUCAAUGCAAACACCAAAUAACAUUUAUUUAGGUUCAACACUAAUCCCGAAGGUAGAGGGAGUGUGCGAUGGUGAUCAUAUCAACCUUGGAAUCAUUUCCAACACACAUCGUCACCUCGCUCUUAACUAGUCUCUAUUUAUUCUGCAACUCCUGUUUCGAGUUACUAAUCUUAGCAACUGAACCAAUAUCAAAUACCUAGGGGCUACUACGAAUACUAGUAAGUUACACAUCAAUAACAUGUAUAUCAAAUAUACCUUUGUUCACUUUGCCAUCCUUCUUAUCUGCCAAGUAUUUGGGGCAGUUCCGCUUCUAGUGACCAUUCCCUUUGCACUAGAAGCACUUAGUUUCAGGCUUAAGUCCAGCUUUGGGCUUCUUCACGGGAGUUUUAACUUGCUUGCCAUUCUUCUUGAAGUCCCCUUUCUUUCCCUUGCCCUUUUUCUUGAAACUAGUGUCUUGUUAACCAUCAACACUUGAUGCUCUUUCUUGAUUUCUACCUUCGCCGAUUUCAGCAUCGCGGAGAGCUUGGGAAUCGUUUUCGUCAUCCCUUGCAUAUUAUAGUUCAUCACAAAGUUCUAGUAGCUUGGUGAUAGUGACUAGAUAACUCUAUCAAUCACUAUCUUAUCUGGAAGAUUAACUCCCACUUGAUUCAAGCGAUUGUAGUACCCCAAACAUACUGAGCACAUGCUCACUGGCUGAGCUAUUCUCCUCCAUCUUGUAGGCAAAUUACUUGUUAGAGGUCUCAUACCUAUCGACAUGGGCAUGAGUCUGAAAUACCAAUUUCAGCUCUUGGAACAUCUCAUAUGCUCCAUGGCGUUCAAAACGGUUUUUGAAGUCCUGGUUCUAAGCCGUAAAGCAUGGCACACUAAACUAUUAAGUAGUUAUCAUAUCAAGCUUGCCAAACGUUCAUAAUGUCUACAUCUGCUCCUGCAAUAGGUCUCUCACCUAGCGGUGCAUCAAGGACAUAAUUCUUUUGUGCGGCAAUGAGGAUAAUCCUCAGAUCACGGACCCAGUCCGCAUUAUUGCUACCAUCAUUUUUAAACUUAGUUUUCUCUAAGGACACAUCAAAAAUUAGGCUAGCUAUAUCACGAGCUAUUGAUCUACAACAUAGAUAUGCAAAAAUUAUUAAGACUAAGUUCAUGAUAAAUUAAGUUCAAUUAAUCAAAUUACUAAUGAACUCCCAGUUAAAUUAACAUCCCUCAAGUUAUCUAAGUGAUAUAUGAUCCAAAUCAACUAACCCAUGUCCAAUCAUCACGUGAGAUGGGGUGGUCAUCAGUGGUGAACAUCUCUAUUUUGAUCAUAUCUACUAUAUGACUCACGUUUGACCUUUCGGUCUCCAAUGUUCCAAUACCAUGUCUGUACAUGCUAGUCUUGUCAAGUUUAAACCAAGUACUCUGCAUGUGCAAAACUGUCUUACACCCGUUGUAUGUGAACGUAGAGUCUAUCACACCCGAUCAUCACAAGGUGCUUCGAAACGACAAACUUUAACAACGGUGCAUACUCAGGGAGAACACUUUUAUCUAGAAAUUUAGUGAAGGGGUCAUCUUAUAAUGCCACCGCCGUUCUAAGCAAAAUAAGAUGCAUAAAGGAUAAACAUCACAUGCAGUCAAAAUAUGUGACAUGAUAUGGCCAUCAUCAUCUUGUCCUUUUGAUUUCCAUAUCCAAAGCAUCAUCGUGAUCUCCAUCGUCACCGGCUCGACAUGUUGAUCUCCAUCGUUGCGUCGGGGUCAUUGAUGUUGGCUUGAACUACGUCGAUAUUUCCCCAAAGAGGAAGGGAUGAUGCAGCACAGCAACGGUAGGUAUUUCCCUUAGUGAUAAAACCAAGGUUAUCGAACCAGUAGGAGAACCAAGCAACACUACGUAAACAGUACCUGCACACAAAGAACAAAUACUUGCAACCUGAUGUGUUAAAGGGGUUGUCAAUCCCUUACGGGUAACGAUGCCAGAAAUUGGCGAGUUGAUGGGAGAAAGUUGUAAUAAAUUGAUAGAUGCAAAUAGAAGCAAAUAAAAUUCAGCAAGGUAUUUUGGGGGUUUUGGAUUAAUAGAUCUGAAAAUAAAAGCAAAUAAAAAUAGAUCUUGAAGGCAAAUAUGAUAAAGAAGAGACCCGGGGCAUAGAUUUCACUAGUGGCUUCUCUCGAGAAAAAUAGCAUACGGUGGGUAAACAAAUUACUGUUGGGCAAUUGAUAGAACUUCAAAUAAUCAUGAUAAUACCAGGCAAUGAUCAUUAUAUAGGCAGCACAUCCAAGAUUAGUAGACCGACUCCUGCCUGCAUCUACUACUAUUACUCCACACAUCGACUACUAUCUAGCAUGCAUCUAGUGUAUUAAGUUCAUGGAGAAAUGGGGUGAUGCAAUAAGAAUGAUGACAUGAUGUAGACAAGAUCUAUUUAUUUAGAAAUAGACCCCAUCUUGUUAUCCUUAAUAGCAACGAUAUAUAUGUGGCAGUUCCCCUUCUGUCACUAAGAUCAAGCAUCGUAAGAUCGAACCCAUCACAAAGCACCUCUUCCCAUGGCAAGAAAAAUUGAUCUAGUCGGCCUAACUAAACCAAAGAUUCAAAGAAGAAAUACGAGGCUACAAGUAAUCAUGCAUAUAAGAGAUCAAAAGACUCAAAUAACUAUCAUGGAUAAAAACAUAGAUCUGAUCAUAAACUCAAAGUUCAUCGGAUCCCAACAAACACACCACAAAAAGAGACACAUCAAAUAGAUCACCAAGACACCAUCGUAUUGAGAAUCAAAAGAGAGAGAGGAAGCCAUCUAGCCACUAACUAUGGACCCGAAGGUCUACAAUGAACUACUCACGCAUCAUCAGAGAGGCACCAAUGAGGAUGGUAAACCCCUCCAUGAUGGUGUCUAGAUGGAUCUGGUGGUUCUAGAACUUGCGGCAGCUCGAAUAGAUUUUUGUCGACUCCCCUGGGGUUUCUAGAAUAUUGGGGUAUUUAUGGAGCAAAGAGGCGGUACGGGAUGUGGCGGAGGUGGGCACAACCCACCUGGGCGCGCCUGGGCCCCCAGGUGUGCCCUGGUGAGUUGUGCUCCCCUCGGAGCUCCCCUCAGGUACUUUCUUGGUCCAAUAGGUGUCUUCUGGUCCGGAAAAAAACCACAAAAAUAUUCGCUGCAUUUGGACUCCAUUUGAUACUAAUUUCCUGCGAUGUAAAAAACAAGCAGAAAACAGCAACUGGCACUUGGCACUAUAUCAAUAGGUUAGUUCCAAAAAAUGAUAUAAAGUUGCUAUAAAAUGAUUGUAAAACAUCCAAGAAUGAUAGUAUAGCAGCAUGGAACAAUAAAAAAUUAUAGAUACUUUGGAGACGUAUCAGCAUCCCAAGCUUAAUUCAUGCUCGUCCUCGAGUAGGUAAAUGAUAAAAAUAGAAUUCAUGUUGUGGAAUGUUGCCUAACAUGUUCAUCACAUAUUCUUUUCUUUGUAGCAUGGACAUUUGGACUUUUAUAUGAUUCAAAGCAAUAGUCUUGUUUCGACAUGCAUACUUUAAUACUCAAGCAUAUCAACAAGCAACCAUGUCUUUCAAAAUAUCAACACUAAAGCAAGUUAUCCCUAGCCCAUUAUGAUCAAUCAUUGAUCCAUUCAUGAAACACACUCGCAUAUUAGCUACACCCAAUGCUCAAGUAUGAUCAUAGUGCCCCUUAGUUGGUGCUUUAUAAGAUAAGAUGGAGACUCAAGUAAAAAUAAAAAUUGCAUAAAGUAAAUAGAAAGGCCCUUCGUAGAGGGAAGUAGGGAUUUGUAGAUGUGCCAAAGCUCAAAGCAAAAAAAUAGAGAUAAAACAUUUUGGGUGGCAUGCUUUUCCUGUCAAUGAAAGCGAUCGAGUAGUUCCAAAUACUUUCCAUGCUAGAUAUAUCAUAGGCGGUUCCCAAACAGAAAAUAAAGUUUAUUCCUUUUUCCACCAUACUUGCACUUUCCAUGGCUAACCGUAUCCACGGGUGCCUUCCAAACGAACACUUUCCAAGGAAUUUAUUAUUUGACAACAUAAAGUAAAUUCAUUUUUCAUUUCGAUACUUGGCAUCCCUAAUACCUUUGUCGUACUCUCAUGCAAUGACAAGUGAAUAAACACUCAUCUUGAGAAUAACACAUCUAGCAUGGAAAUAUAUUAGCCACCCCCUACCGUUUCAUGAGCGGUACGAGCACACAAAAGAGAAAUUUUAUUUUGAAAAUUAGAGAUGGCACAUACAAAUUUGCUUAGAACGGCAACAGAAUAUCGCAUAUAGGCAGGUAUAGUGGACUCAUGUGGCAAAAUUUGGUUUAAAGGAUUUUGGAUGCACUAGUAGUGGUCAUACUUAGUGCAAAUGAAGGCUAGCAAAAGAUUGGGAAGCAUCCAACCAAGAAACGAAAAAUCUCAUAAGAAAGCAUUAACCAUAACUAACACCGAAUAAUGCACCACAAGUAGGAUGUAAUUUCAUUGCAUAACUAUUGACUUUCGUGCUUGCAUAGGGAAUCACAAACUUUAACACCAAUAUUCUUACUAAAGCAUAAUUACUCAUCAACAUGACUCACAUAUCACUAUCAUCAUAUCUCAAAACUAUUACAAAGAAUCAAGUUUCUUUUGUCCAAUGAUCUUCAUGAAAGUUUUUAUUAUAUCCCUCUUGAAUAUCUAUCAUUUUGGGACUAAUUUCAUAUGUGCUUUUGAUAGCUCAAACAAAUCUAAGUGAAGAACAUGAGCAUAAAAAAUUUCUUCUCUCAAAAUAAUUUAAGUGAAGCAAGAGAGAAUUUCUUAAAAAAAUUACUAACUCUCAAAUAAAUCUAAGUGAAGCAUGAGAGCAUUUCUUCAAAAAUAGUAAAGCACACCGUUCUCAAAAAGAUAUAAGUGAAGCACUAGAGCAAUUCCAUAGCUCAUAAAGAUUUAAGUGAUGCAUAAAGAGCAAUUCUAACAAGUCAUAGCAUAAUUUGGCUCCCUCAAAUAAGUGUGUCCAGAAAGGAUAGAUGACUUAAAACACAAAGCAAAACAAGCAAAGACUCAUAUCAUACAAGAUGCUCCAAGCAAAACUCAUAAUAUGUGACGAAUAAAAAUAUAGUUUCAAGUAAAAUACCGAUGGUUGUUAGAAGAAAGACGGGAUGCCACUCGGGGGCAUCCCCAAGCUUAGUUGCUUGAUACUUCUUGAAUAUUAUCUUGGGGUGCCUCAGGCAUCCGCAAGCUUAGCCUUUUGCUAAUCCUUAUUCCUUCAUCCAUCGCAAUCUCACCCAAAACUUGAAAACUUCAAUCACACAAAACUCAACAAAACCUUCGUGAGAUCCGUUAGUAUAAGAAAGCAAAUCACUACUUUAAGUACUAUUGCAAACUCAUUUAUAUUUUGUCAUUGUAUUAUAUCUACUGUAUUUUAAAUUUCCCAUGGCAAAAACUCUUCAAAGGAAACCAUAGAAUCAUCAAAACAAGCACAUAACACAACGAAAACAGAAUCUGUCAAAAAUAGAACAAUCUGUAGUAAUCAGGGAACUUCGUACACUUAUUUAACUCCAAAAAUUCUGAAAAAUUAGGAAAAAGUGGUAAAUAUGUAUAUCAAUCUUGUGUAGAAAAUUCAGAGCAAAAUCACGUUUCUGUGAUUUAUGAAAAUUAUUUUUCUAAGCACAAAAGUUUCUGUAUUUCAACAAGAUCGAAUCAACUACCCAAAUUAUCCCAAAGGCUUUGCUUGGCACAAACACUAAUUUAAACCACAAAAACACAUCUAAACAGAGGCAUAAUUGGGUAUUUUAUUGAAAACAGCAAUAAAACCAAAAAGCAAAAAUAUACAAGUUGGGUUGCCUCCCAACGAGUGCUAUCAUUUUACGCCCCUAGCUAGGCAUAAUGCAAAGAUCUAAGUGUUGUCAUCUUUGUUUCUAGAUCCAUAUGAUGCCCUCAUGAUUGAUUCAUAUGGUGGCUUAAUUCUAGUUCUAGGGAAGUGUUCCAUACCCUUCCUUAGUGGGAAUUGAAAUUUAAUAUUGCCUUCUCUUAUAUCAAUCCGGGCACCAAUAUUACAUAAAAUGGUCUACCAAGAAAAUUUGGACAAGAUGGAUUGCAAUCAAUAUCAAGAACAAUAAAAUAUAUGGGCACAUAAUUCCUAUUUGCAAGAAUAAGAACAUUAAUUCUUCCCAUAGGUUCUUCAAUAGUAGAAUCCUCCAAGUGCAAAUUUAGAGAACACUCUUCAAUAUCGGUAAGACCAAGCACAUCACAUAAAGAUUUUGGAAUUGUAGAAACACUAGCACCCAAGUCACAUAAAGCAAAACACUCAUAAUUUUUUAUCUUGACUUUGAUAGUAGGUUCCCAUUCAUCAUGUAAUUUUCUAGGAUUGAAAUCUCUAAUUCCAACUUUUCUUUUAAAGCUUUCAUCAUAGCAUCAACAUUAUGUUUAGUAAAAGCUUUAUUUUGUUCAUAAGCAUGGGGUGAAUUUAUCAUGCAUUGCAACAAAGAAAUACAACCAAUCAAAGAGGAACUAUCAUAAUUAAAGUCUUUGUAAUCCAAAAGAGUGGCCACAUCACUAGUUAAAGUUUUGACCUCUUCAAACCCACUUUUAUCAAUUUUCUCAACAAGAUUUUCACCCUCCGAAUUAUCAGGACGCCUUCUAGCUAAAGUUGACUCUUCUCUAGUCCCUUUAUCAUCAAUUUUAGUUUUUCUAAACAAAGAAUCAAUAGAAGAUACACCAAUCAUUUUGAGAUCUUCAUCACUUUUAUCUUCUAACAAGAUUGGUUUAGCGGCCAUUUGAUUUACUAGGGUAGCUUGUGCAUCGGAUAUUUUGCCUAGAAAACUUUCAGCAAAAGCAUACUUAGAUUGGACAUUGCAAACUUCUUUGCUAAUAUCAUCAAGCUGUUUAGUUAUAGCUUCGAGCACAACAAAGUGUUCCUUAAGUUCUUCGGUAAGAUAUUUAUUAUGCUCAAAUUGUGUAGUCAUAUAUUCCUUAGUACUUUUCUCAAUUUCAAGCAAAAUAUUGGGGUAAGGAACAUCAUAAUAUUUUCGUUGAGGCAUCAAGACUACGCAAACAAGAUUGCACUCAAAAUAGAUCUGACGAGAAAAAUGGCAAAUGAAAAAGGAGGACGAAUAAAACGACAAAUUUUUGUGAAGUGGGGGAGAGGAAAAUGAGAAGCAAAUGGCAAAUAAUGUAAAUUGCAAGGAGAUGAGAUUUAUGAUUAGGAACCUGGUAGAUGUUGAUGAUGUCUCCCCGGUAACGGUGCCAGAAAUUGGCACGUGGCCGGGAGACUAUCUUGACUUGAUCCUCCCCGGCAACGGUGCCAGAAAUUCCUUUUGAUGUUGGCUUGAACUACGUCAAUAUUUCCCCAAAGAGCAAGGGAUGAUGUAGCACAGCAACGGUAAGUAUUUCCCUCAGUGAUGAAACCAAUGUUAUCGAACCAGUAGGAGAACCAAGCAACACUACGUAAAUGGUACUUGCACCACUACAGAAAAAAAAGACACAUCCGUGACAUUUUGGGCCGAACAAAAAAAAAUCUGUCAUACAUAUGACACUUCUAUGACGAUAAUUGUGACAACACCCGGUAUCAUCAUAGAUGUGGUGGGCUCCUACUUCUAUGACAAAAAAUCAUGAUAGAAAAUGGGCUUUUCGUCCUGGGCGGGCCGGAGACGCAGCUGCAUGACAUUCUUUGGGCCGUCCAUGACGGAAAAAACCGUGGUAGAAGCGAGGGGGAGGAAAAUUUCAGGGAGUUGCCGGUUACGCUGGGAGGUUGGGGGCCAAGAGAUGCGCGUUUCUCUCGUACACGUGCGAGGUGUUGGCUCUAACUGCACCCGAGCGAGGCGUUGGGCUCUAACUGAACCCGAGCGAUUGCACUGCAGGCUACGCGUUACUGAACCUGAGCGAUCGAUCGAUGGCUGUUAACUGAACCCAAUGGAGCAAUUCCUUCGCUACUGCUGCUAACUGAAGCCAAUCGAUUGGAUGAACAGUGAGCGUUGCGGGGGGGUUGGAUGAACAGUGAGUGGUGGCGUUGCCUCUGGAUGAACAGGAUCCCGUGGUGUGGAGGGUUGCAUGAACAGUAGACGGUGGAGGGGUGGCCGUGGAGGGGUGGUUGAACAGGACCCCGUGGUGUGGAGGGCUGGAUGAACAGUAGAAGGUGGAGGGCUGGAUGAACUGUAGACGGUGGAGGGGUGGUUGAACAGUAGCCGGUGGAGUAGCGCGCGGUGGAGGCUGGAGGAGGUUGAUGGUAGCCCGUGGAGGCUGGAGGAGGUCGAUGGUGGAGAUGAACAGUAUCCCGUGGAGUCCCGUUUUGCGGUACGCCACACCCCUCCCGAUGAAGAGGACCCCCGUUUCGACUGUAGCACUCCAACACAAGUCCGUUUCGUCCGUUUUGCGGUACGCCACACCCCUCCCGAUCAAUAGGACCCCCGUUUCGACCGUAGGAGGUCUGUUUCCUCCGUUUUGCGGUACUCCACACCCCUCCCGAUCAACAGGACCCCCGUUUCGACCGUAGGAGGUCCGUUUCCUCCGUUUUGUUGUACGCCACACCCCUCCCGAUCAACAGGACCCCGUUCCGAACGCAGGAGGUCUGUUUCCUCUGUUGUGCGGUACGCCAGGCCUCGUUUCCAUCGCCUAUUUCGUCCAAGCCCUCCCGAUGAUACGACCAUGCAUUCCGUUCCGGCCCAGCCGGUUGGCUCUCCAUGAACACGACGACGACGUUGUUUCUCUGUUCCGACCCAGCCAUGUAUGUAUGCGCGAGUAGGCGUUCGAGACCCUGCCCGUAUGUACGUACGUGGCCGUAUUUUCUUUCUUGCAACCUCGUCGUUGUACGUACGUGUACAUGCUACGUGCGCGCCUCUACUACGACACGUGCAUGCCUCUAAUUGACCAGUAUGUACGUACACGUUCGCGACCAGAAUGACAACGCUAAGUACGCUUCGAGCAGGUGGGUCCCGACUGUUAGGCACUUCCUUGCCUGCGAAGAUGUAGCUGGUGGGUCCCAGCUGUCAGGGGGCAAAUCAUUUUUUUGCCCGGAUGCACUUCCUUGCAUGCGAAGAUGUAGCUGGUGGGUCCCAGCAGUCAGGGGGCGAAUCAUUUUUUUUGCCCGGACGCACUUCCUUGCGUGCGAAGAUGUAGCCGGUGGGUCCCAGCAGUCAGGGGGGCAAAUCGUUUUUUUCAAACGCACUUCCUUGCGUGCGAAGAAGUAGCUGGUGGGUCCCAGCAGACAGGGGGCGUUUUUUUCACGAAGUACGGUGGCCUGUCCGGUGGGUCCCCGUUGUCAGGUAGAGGAAUAAUUAUUUUGCGCGUAAUAAGGAGGCACUUCCUUGCUGCGGUCGUGGACCCAGCUGUCAGCCUCUCCACAUACAGUCCAUGUCCAAUGGAAGCCAUUCCUUGACCAUGUUGACCACGCCGCGCCGAGAGCACCAGGGCGGUGGAUGAUGGCAAGACCUAGGAAGGGGACGAUGCGGAGCCGGGGAAGAUGCAGUAGUGGAUGCCCACGCGUAGAGGAGUAUGAGGGUUCACUCAUUCGGCUGCGGUGUGAGGCUGUCGUCACCGUAGAAUAACAGGGGGUGUGGGUGCGUAGAGGGAUGGCCUGGCCAGCAGUGGGAGUAGUAGGGGGCGGUGAGGCCUCCACGGCAUCACAGCCAGCCACGAGCGGCAGGAGCAGGCGGCACGACUGGCGCUGCUUUGGGCGGCUGGUGCAAGAAGACCAGAGGUUGAAGAAGCACUAUGGCCGUUAGAUGGACAUCGUACGGUCACUGGAGCUAGAAUCGUUCAUAUAUUAACUAAAGUUGACAAAGGCCUCCGUCCCAGUCAACUUAGUAGGCCCACAAGUUAGCCUCCCACCAAGGUUGGUCCCCGCUAGCAGAGGGGUAUUCAUUUUUUGUGCGUAAUAAGGAGGCACUUCCGGUGGGUCCGAGCUGAUAGCGGGGGGGACGUUUUUUUCGCAAAAUACGGUGGCCCGUCCUAUGGGUCCCAGCAGUCAGGGGGAAACAUUUUUUUUCAUGAAAUACUGGUGGCCCGUCCGGUGGGUCCCUGCUGUCAGGUGGAGGAAUAAUUAUUUUCCGCGUAAUAAGGAGGCACUUCCUUGCGGCUGCCGUGGACCCAGCUGUCAGCCUCUCCACGUACAGUACUCUUCUGAUGGAAGUCGGUCAUUGACCACAUUGACCAUGCCGCGCCGAGAGCACCACAGCGAUGGACGACGGCGAGGCCUAGGAAGGGGACUACGCGGAGCCGGGGAAGAUGCGGUAGUGGAAGCCCGCGCAGAGAGGAGUACGAGGGUUCACCGGUUCGGUUGCGGCGUGAGGCUGCCGUUGCCGCAGAAUAACAGGGGGUGUGGGUGAGUAGAGGAUGCCCUGGCCAGUGGUGGGAGUAGUAGGGGGCGCUAAGGCCUGCGCGGCAGCACAUCCGGCCAUGGGAGGCGGGAGGCGGUCCCGUCGGCGCUGCUUUGGCGGCUGGACAAGAAGAUCAGAGAUUGAAGAAACACGACGGCCGUUGGAUUGACAUCCAACGGUUAUGUAUGGUAGAAUUGUUUGUUGACGUAGUAUAUAAUAACUAAAAAAAUCUUGCAUAUGCGUCAACUAAGCAGGCCCACAAGUCAGACCACUCCCUCUUUUUUUUAAUAAUUUAUAUAUAGCUCAUGGCAACUUCUUAUGCAAUUUAUUGCAGUCAUUUUUUUGGUUGGCCAGGGCCAAUUUCACAUAUUUCUGUGGGUUCCAAACUAUUUUUAAUACCAAAAUGUCGAGCCAGAUUUAAAGUACUUUGAAGAUAUAUUUAAAUUAGGUUAAUGCCCAGUGAAAUAGGAAUCUGAAAAUGUGAAAAAAAACAGAAAUUGUAAAGUAAUUGCCAAUUUGUCAUCUGUUUUUAUAUUUACAACCCAUUUCAUAUUACUUUCAAGAUUUGCAGGCGUCUUGAAAGAGUUGCAGCCCAUCAGGGCGUAGAAAAAUAAGUAGGCCUGGAUUGGGUAUUCUUCAGAAAAAAUAAAGUGGGCUCAUUUUCACAAAGAAAAAGUAGCUGGGUUGGUCACAUGGUGAACAUAAAAUAUAAGCAUGGGCUAGACGGGCCACAGCCCAGUUCAAACCCUGCUCUGUCUCAACAAUACCAAACAAAAAAAAUACUGCUCGAGUAUCUACGUCCUAGGUGUCAGCCGAUCUUGUGUUGUUCUCUUGUCUAUUGACUAUAUACGCUCACAAUGUCGUGGGUCCCAUAUGUCAGGAAAACACUAGGAGGAAGCAUUUUAUUUUUCCAUACGCUGAUGUGGUGGGCCCCUACUGUCAUCCUCUCCACGUACUUCUGUCGAUUCCUGUUGUUUGUUGACCAUGUUGACAACGCAAGAGGGCGGCGCCGCGGCGAGCGCACCAAAGCGCGCGGAGGAUGUCGACGUUAACGAUUUAGGAGACGGUGGGGCGGCGAUGCGUGCGCUGAGGCGCAGCCAGCCCUGGGAGGCGGAAGCAGGCGGCCCCGCCGGUGCUGGUUUGGUUUUGGCGGCUGGAGGAAGACAGGACUGAAGAAACACGACAGAUUGUAAAAGCAGCAGGAGUACUUAACAACCUUAACUGAAACCAGCAGGGGCACUUAACAACCAAAGCUGAAAGCAGUACGAGUACUUAUACAGGUUCAACCGUACAAAGCACGCCUCGAACAGUGCUACUUUGCCUACAGUUAACCAAGGGUGAGGCCGCCAAGCCCCAGGACAAGGCCCAGGCGCCACCCCGUGCAUCCACAACCUUCUGAAAGCGGCUUCAUCUCGCAACGUGGUCAAUAAACAGGAUAUUCGCUUUAGAGCCAUGGAAAAGCAUGAACAUAAUCUUCUGUCCUGUUCUCCAAGAUGGACGGGCCUUCAUUAUUUGAGACCACCCACGAAUAAGUAUCUUUUCACCUCCAAGAGGAAUUGAGUAGGUCGACAUAAACAUCAUGUUGUGACCAAGCGCAAGUCUGACCCGACCAUGGUCAGGCAUCUGUAUACGAACAAUAGAACUCGGCAGUUCCUGUUUCAAGAAGAUCACAGUUGUAAAACUAUGUAUAAGCAAUAGUUUAUGAACAACAUAUAUAACAGAAAACAGCUCGUACCAUAAGUUUCUCGACACAGUUGAACCUGUUCAACGAGUGCAGCAGUGGCACACAUAUCCCAUGUGGCCUUCCACCAUUGAAACGCCCCACAAGGACCUCAAGACGAUCAAUAAAGUGUAGGAACUUGUGGAUGUCGAUCCAGUCAGCUUCAGUGCCAUUAGUAACAGCUGAGUUAUUACAGAGUAACAAACGAGCAGACUGCUUAACUCUGAAAAAACCUACAUGUGCCACCAAUUAUAAGAAAAUAUUAGUUAGAAGUAGCAUCUUCAUGAGAGAUUCAUUGCUACUUCUAAAGUUAAAUUGUGAUUAGUUAGACAGAAUAGUUGGAUUAAGAAGUAAUCGAGGCAACAAGCAAGAACCAGAUACAAAACUAACAUGGAUGAACAAUUGGAACAACGCCGGGGGGGGAGAUCGCAGUGAAGAUGAGACCAGGUUUUGCUAUUUCCAUCAACAUUCGUGCGCCAACUUUCAGUCCGUAACACUUGAGAAAGUUUAUCCAAGUUCGGCCAUAAAAAAAGUAGCGAUCUUCUUGGUUCAUGAACCCAACUCGGAAGUAAUAUCCAUGGAUUGUCUUCACUGUGACCAUUAAACUAGUGUAUUCAGUUAUGGCAAGGCCGAGCAUCUUGAGUACAUGUGUUCUGGCAGAGCAAAUAAUACACUGCAAGAAAAAUAAUAUGAGAACACAGCAUGUUAAAACAAACUCACCCUCCCGGAUAGAGAAGAGGAUUCUAGGAACAUAUUGUGCGUGUUUCAAAAUGCUGUGGUAGGAUGAGAAGGAACAAGUGUGGCGUCUCGCCGAGGGCGCAGAAAUCUGUAGGGUACUCGCACUUUGGGCACUGCAACUGAAACACACUAGAUUCAGUAUGAAUAAAAAUGCAUCAACGGCGUCGGCUGCCAUCCUAGGAUUACCUGCGACCAAGGGACUUGGAUUUAUCGGGGAUGGAUGAAGAAUUCGUACCUGGUUCUCCAUGAGAAAACCCUAUGCAAUCGCCGAGUGGGGGUUUUCUCUGAACAAGCAGACGAGGGAGAAGGGGAUUCAGGCCCAGUGAAAUAGUGCCGCUUCGUCCGUCCAGCUUACUGCUAAAGCUGGAAAGGGGGGUUGUGAUUUGAUGGCUCAUUGAGCAUUACUGCGGAGCUAUGACCGGGCUGUGUCUACCGUGAAGUUGUGCACUCUAAUUUGUGCAUAUGGCACGUGGACCCCGUUGCUAGUUGCCCCACAUAUCAGCGAAAGGAAGUAGAAAGACAGAAGUAACUAGUUACACAUAAAUAUAUAUUUUGACAGAGAGAUACUCCCUCUGUAAAGAAAUAUACAAAUCUUUUAUAUCACAUGCUCACCUUGCUGAGAAAUAUACUCCCUCUACAACGCACGGGUAUUAUGGGGUUUCAGCUUUUUUUAUGGGGGUUCAGCUGAGAAUAUAAUACUCAGAUAGGCUCACGGUUCUGGACUUUGGGCCGCGGGCCGACCCUGCAUGUUUGGGGGCCCAUGUGUUCUACCUCAGCGCUUUUCAUAUUGCAAGCAAUCGGUACUGCGCUGGUUUUAGAUGCUGUCGCAAGGCGAAUACACAAAAUUGAAUAAAGCACGACAGCUGUUGGAAUGAAAUCGAACGACAGUUCCUAACCAGCAAUCAGAGUUGCAAUUCUAUCAACGAUAUACCAUGUGAUAAAUAAUACUGUCGUACUACUUAUACACACAGGACACUUGUUUCACCAUGCCAGAUUAUUACAUCAAAAUCCCUUGGAGGAUAGAUCAGUUCGGCAGUUGCGUGCUGCUAAUGAAGAAUUUCAAAGUUGAUUUGGACCAUCUCUCCUUGUUGAGAAAGUUCGAUUUUGACAUCAUCCCCUACAGCAAGAUAUGAUUUAGAUUUGAACCUUGACCAUCCUUUAGCAUCAAUCAUCAUGCGACCAUCCUUUGUACUUACGGUAUAUUGAGCAGGUUCAUUCACACCAAGGUUGGGCAUGGUAAGAGAAACUUGGCCGCGGUCGCCCGGAUUGUUGAACGAUUCCCUCGUUGCUCUAGGAAUUCUCUGUUUGCAAACAAGAAGACAUACCCAAACAGUUAGAUCAACACAGUGAAUCAUGUGAAACAACAUGGAAAGAAAAAAGAAUGAAGCACUUGGGCGGCCAAUGCUUACCAAGAAGGUGGACAUGUCGGUUUUUGUAAGGACUUUGGUAUAUGAAGUGGGAACUGCAGCCCAGUCUGUUGCCAGUGCAACUGCACGGGCCAGACCAAAUGCAAGUGCAAGUGUUGGUGCAGGUGCCGAAGCCGCUGCUGCUGCCGGAGAUGGUGCUCCUUGUAGAGCUGGUGCCAGUGUCGAUGCCCGAUCCUCCGGUAGAUCAGACUGAUCCGCUGACGCGGUCGGUGCCCAAUCCUCAGCUGGAUCAUACUGAGCUGUUGCCGCUGUCAGUGCUAGAGCAACUGCCGGUGCUCGAUCUGUGUGAGACAGCGGCGAUCGUGUCUGGUCUGCUAUGAUCAGCUUUUUAACUUGACUAGGAUCCGUGACCGUGGUCCAGUUUUUUUCUUCAUUUCUUUUAAACACGAGAAGGACUAAUUGUGGUGUUUUUGUUAAACCAAACUGCAGUUCAUCAUAGGGAUUCAGCUUGUACUCAGACAACAGACUGAUCCAAUUUUUUCCAGUAAUAUAAGUGAUGGACAGUGCCUUCGUUACUGACACGACAUAAGAAGUGAAACCUGCAAAAAUAGCCAUCAUAGAGCAAACCAAAUGGUUUAUUCUGUGAUGAAUGUCACAUGGCAAAACCUACAUCGUAAAAUUGCAGGAAAAGAAAGAAAACAUGACAUUAAAUCAAUAAGAUUUAGACAGUAAAUCAAUAAGAUUUACUUGAUGUGACACGAGUGAAUCCUUACCAGGAAAUCACUAUGUUGAAGUACUAAACAAAAGAUUGAUCGUCCAACUACGCGUGGCAUGCAGGGGCCCUGCCUACUCCCACAAGCAGGACAGUCCAAAGGUCGUGACAAAUCGUAUGGACCGAACAUCCAUGGGACUGGAAAUCCUGGUGGGUGCGAUAAACCCUGCAAUGCAUACAGAUAUUGGAGUGUAACCAUAAUUGCUAAACCAUCCUCAAAAAAUAUAUGAUCUGGAUACUUCAAAAUGUACAGACUGAAUUGAGUGGACAGACAUUAACAUAGACCAUUCUCAGGACUGACCACACACCAAAAGCGGCAGUACUAAUAAACAAUACAGGGUUCACAAACACAAAUCAAGUACUGAACAAUAGUACUUACUACAGACAAGCAAAGUUGCACUAAGUAAACUCUGCAGACUAUUUCUUGCCACCGACCUACGGGAUGAACCCCGCAUAACUGACUAGGCCAUGGACUUCGUGUGAGAUGUCUACAUGCACCAUCACCAUCUUGUCAACCUUGAAGAACCUAACAGAGUGGUCUUUCCACUCAUAAACAUGAUGAUGAAGACAUGCCGCAUCAGAUUUGUUGGGAAGCUUUACAAGAACCACACCCUUCAUAAUCGAAGGCACAACCAAGAAAUUGUUGUGGUCAAGUACAGCCUCAAGAACACGCCUGACAACAAUGCUACAGGAAAACACUAGUUCAGGACACAUGGCGACAAGGACACAGCAGCUGGAUAGUUCAGCAGUAGAACUCAUCAUCAGGUCUUCAAGUUCACACGGCAUGACUUUGAGAACUUCAUCUCCACCGCGGACCUGGUUCUAGUUCAAACAGAAACCAUAUUUUAUUACUACCUCCGUUUAGAAAUAUAAGAUGAUUUUCGAUAUUAUACUCCAUAUAUGACUACAUAUACGCACAGAAAUGAGUGAACAAAGACACUAGAACAUGUCUUCAAAGGCAUGAGAGAAGAGGGAUUACAUGCAAUAUCCAUAACACAAGUUACUGAGGCAAAUAUACCCUCUUAAAAGAUAGCAUUGAUGUUCAUAAAGUACUCCCUCCAUCCCAAAAUUCUUGUCUUAGAUUUGUCUAGAUACGGGUGUAUCAAGUUAAAUUUUAGUAUUAGAUACAUCCGUAUCUAGACAAAUCUAAGACAAGAAAUUUGGGACAGAGGGAGUAGUUGAAAGUAAUCUAUAAGAAAUCAGUGUCAACCUCUCGCAUGUUUUGGUCAAAAGAGGAAUUUAGAACCGUCAUUGGGCACACUAAAAUCACAUGCAAGAUCACCCAGAAAGUUGUACUACCAGUACUAGUACUGCGUGUUAGAUGAAAAAACAUGAUCAAGAUCGAGAAAAAGAUCGUCAACAAGAGACAUUACCUGGACUUGCUUAAUGACGGAUCCCGGGGAGGGAGGCUUGGACAGGGUGAUGGCUUUGAGCUUGUCUGCGGUAGUCUCGGCGGGGUGCUUGCGCUUCUUCGUACCAUGAGCCUCGAUGGUUUUGGCCAGAGCCAUAGACAUCACGUCGGCCGGUGCUCCGGCGUCCAUCCAAGAGAGGAAGCUGAGAGAGAAGAGUGAAAGGAGGAACGAGAUGAGGGAGAAGCGAAGCGAGUGGGGGUUUUCUUCAAGAGAGGAAGCUGAGAGAGAAGAGUGAAAUGAUGGUUGCUUCGUCCGUCCAACUUACUGCUGGAAAGGAGGGGUUUUGUGAUUUGAUGGCUCAUUGGGCAUUACUGCGGCGGUUCGAUCGGGGUAGUCUACCGUCACUCUACUACGGAGUAAUUUAGUGCAUGGCUGGUGGACCCAGGUGCUGGUUGUCCCACACGUCAGCGAAAGUGAGUAAUUUAGUGCAUGGCUGGAGGAGGAUCCGCACGGUAGAGCGUGUCCACUGUUUUUCAUUCUGAAGAAAAAAAUGAUUACAGCAAGCGUUUCCACUCUUACGACGGAGGAGUGCGAAACACGGCAGCCACUCGAACAUACACAGUGCUCCUACUACUAGGCAUGUGCAGUGGUUCAUACGUCAGUACUACACAAUCUUGUUGCUAGUGUAGUAAGAUAUGACGAUAACAAAUGAUGUUGUGCGCAUGUCAACUACUCCUAUAUGUAACAUAGUACUGCUUUUUCGACUGUCCGGUCGAGAAUGAACGGUGAGAUCAAUGUUAACAGAACUAGGUCCACAGCGCACGGAGAGUACGGUGCUACAGUACUCCACAAAACAUGAACCAUAUGAAGCACAUCCUAUAGUGUUAGACAGGGUGUAUGAAGGGUGCACGGGAUGGGAGCAAAAGUUCCCUUCUCAACCCACUUUUGGGUGUUUGGCAGAGUGCAUGAACCAUGAAGGGUGCAUGAGUCCACACUAGUAAGUUGACAAAAAUACACGAAGAGGAAACAACUAUAUUAAGAUGAGAAUGCAACCAAACACACCCACACGCUUUGUGCUACAGUGACUGAUCUGCACCGUCUGAGUUUGAUCCAACGGUCAUGUUGCGACGAGACAUGGACAUGCCCAUGCAGAGGGCGCCUAAACACCACCGAAGCCCCUCUACUUCUCGAGGCGCACGAAGUUGGUGAUGCAGGGUGCAACCGCCCGCAGAGCCCGCUCCCAGUCGAUGGGAGCCAGCUCGUCAAAGACGGCGUCCAAUGGCAAGAAUGGAUUCUGGUGACGGAGCCCUGAAAGGAUUCGCUCGGCAAUGGCGACGGCAGCCUGCAACCCCUCCUUGUCCAGCUCAACCCCCACCAUCACGCGGAGACGGCUCAACUCCUCGGAGAUAUAGGUGAAGAAGGACACCAGGUUAGGAAGCCGCGGCUCGUUGAAGUCGACCGGGUGGUCGAACGGGUUUAGCCCGACGGCCGGCAUCGUCGCGCUGGCACAACGGUAGGCAUCACGCAGCCGCAACACGUGCGUGGAAACUUGGUUCACCAAGUGGCUGAGGCGAUCCUGGACUUCGUCACAAUCGGCCCGCUCGCGCUCCAGCCGGCUCCCCUGACGGCCUAUCGUAUCUCCCGCUUUCUGCAGCAACGCCACCGACGCCUCAAGCAUCUUUGUGGUGGACGCCUGCCUCUUUUGAAGCUCCGUGAACUCCCGCACAUAAUGGAGGAUCAUGGCACUCCUCUCCUCCUUGAGCUCAUGGAGCUCCACGUCCUUGGCCCUGAGCUCCGCAUCCUUGGCAUGGAGCUCCUGUGUCAGGUGCCUCACCUCGGACUCCGUGAUCUGCUGCGCCGCCAUGGCACCAAGUAGAAGCAAUGGGGAGAGGAAGCAAAGGGGGCGAAACGGCUGAAAGUCAAUGCAAUCUACGGGAAGGCGAAGAGAGCCAGCCGAGGAGCGGGGAAUCUUUUGGUUUUCACCACGGUAAAACACCAGUCGACGACUUCCCACAUCAGGGAGCAGUGGGUUUUUAUAGGCGGAGUCAUUGUGACUAAUUGCUGCCGCGCCUGCUCCCGUCAAUCAAAAAAUUAAAAAUCCUGCCGCGCCUGCUCCCGUCAAUCAAAAAAUUAAAAAUCCUGUCGCACCCAAACACUAGAGCAACGUUGCGGUGGAUAUUUAAAUUUACCUGCCAGCAAGUAGAUAAAAAAGGGGUGAAAAAACAAAUGUGGCGGCGGCCUAGCUAAUCGGUCAAACUAGCCCAACUAGCUAGCCACCGUGCUUCACUGAUGUACUCGGCGGGAAAGGUGGUCUUUCGUCAUUUGACGACUCAUUUACUUGCUUCGGCGCUACAACCGAGGAGGACCCAGAAAACACGCAGUAGGGCGUCCCACGUCAGGAAGAAUAUAUGCGUGCACCACCCGGGAGGACCCCGAAACCACGCGGUAUGGUGUGCCACGUCUUGGCACGGGGGGAAAAUGUGCGUGUGAAAAUAUACUGUAUCAGAUGUAGUACCUAUGGUUCGACCUCGGGACCCAGCCAGUCGGUCGAAAACACCCCACUAGCCACACAGCUUCAUCAUGCAAACAUGGCACGGUUAGCUCCAUCUCGACCAGCCACAACGUCUCUUGUUCUAGGCGAUUCUUCUAUUUUCCAAGCUUUUUUUUAGUUGUAAUAACACCACGGCAAGCUAGCGCCGCUCUUCGUGUGUGCCCGUGCAAAGGUUAGAUGAUGGAGAGAAGAGAAAUUGAGAUCGCUGACCUGGGACCCACCAGUAAGUGAGACAACGGUCAUGCACGUGUUGACGAGGCACUCCCUCUACUCUACUCAACGCAAGUAAUGUAUAAAAUCAAGUUAUGGGACAAAGCCAACAACCGUUUGUUUUUCCAGGCUAUCGACUUACGCUUUGUAGUCCAGGUUGCCAGUUCGAAUCUCGUCUUUCAGAUUUGUUAGUUUUAGGUCCAAAUUUGAUUAAUGACAAGUGGGACCCCCGUGUGUUGUUCCGAUAUUUCAGUGUAGGAUGGUUUUUUUGAACAAACACUUUGCGCGGUUAGACAAGUAAUGGCACGAGUUACAUGUAUUUUGCAAGUUUACGAACAAGAAUGAUAGCGGCAUAGAAUAUCACAUCCACCCCGCAGAUUAGAUACUAUGGUGAUACGAGUUUUUACACCGUUGGAAGUGAGAUCCAAUGGCUUGGGAGUAGUCUUUGUGAUUACGCGCAAUUUCCAAACUCUUCAAAGGUUUUUUUUUGCAAAUAAAACAUUCAGGCCUCGUGUGUGCCGCUGCAUCUUCGAUCCAACGGCUCCCCGGUGCUCAUAUUAGGUGCUCCCCGUAGCUUAAUUACCCGCUAUGGUGAUAUGAGCAUCUAGGUCGUAUGAUCAGUGAUCAGAUGGCACAUGCAUAGUACUUGUACUUUCUGCGCAUUUCCCAAACUCUAUCAGCCGUAUAUUGCAAAAACAUUCAAACCUCCUACUGUGGGCCGUUAGAUCACAGUGAACUCGUAUCACCAUAGAAUCUACGGUGUGGGAGCACCUCAUACUCUCCCGUGCGACAAAACAUAAGGUGCUAUCGCGGCUUGGAUGCUACGGUGAUACGAGCUUGGAGGUCGUUUGAUCUGAGAUCCAAUGGCAUCUGAGUAGUCUUUGUGCUUGUAAGCAGUGGCCGAACUCUUUUGGGGCUUUUCUGCAAAAAACCAUUCGAACCACCGAGGAGGUGUUGGGUCACAAAUCCAACGCCUCCGAAGAGCUUGUAUCACCAAAGCAUCUAAGGUGUGGUAGCACAUGAUAUUCUUACAUACAGGAGAAUAUGAUGUCCUCCUUCAUCUUAGAUGCUACGAUGAUACGAGCUUCGAGGUCGUUGGAUAUGGGAUCAAAGGGCAUCUAAGUAGUUUUUGUACAAAUUGUGUGCAAUUCUCAAACUCAUCAAGGUUUCCUGCAAAAAAAAUUAAGACACAUCAUGUGAGCUAUUAUAUCUCAGAUCUACAAGCUCCAAGCAACUCGUAUCGGCAUAUAGCAUCUAAGGUAUGGGGGCACAUGAUAUUCUCCCGGGGAGGAGGGGUGGGGCGUGUUCAACCAAUCGGUGGUUGGGAGGGUGGGGACAAAUAUAAUCUAAACAACCCUAAACAUAGCUCCACAAUUUUAUCUAAGGUCGAGGGGUUGACCCCCGACAAUCAUAGCUCCGCCUAAACACAACAUUUGCAUGUACUGUAGUACUAGACUUAAUAUUCAUGUUUCAGUUUCAUGAUCAUUUUAAAUAUUGAACUGAGGACCAUGGAUGUCUUACAUUUUACUCCCUUUCUUCCUAAAUAUUAGUCUUUUUAGAGGCUUCAAAUGGACUGGCACAUAUGGAUGUAUAUAGACAUAUUUUAGAGUCUAGAUUCACUCAUUUUGCUCCGUAUGUAGUCACUUGUUAAACUCUCUAAAAGACUAAUAUUUAGGAAUAGAAGGAGUAUUUUUGAAUUCGUGUCAUACAUGCAUGGGUUGGAAAAAUAGAUGCACUAUACUUAUUGGAUUGUUGUUGUGUUCGUGCGUGUGUGUCUCUCUGUGUGUGUGGGGGGGGUCAUAUGCUUGAUACAUAUAAAGUUUUCUCACCUCCAUAUUGUUCAUCUUUUAUAUUUGAAUUUGCAUUGGAAAACUUACUAGGGAUACCAUGAAAUGUGAAAUCCACGUUGAGAUCACUAUAUCACAAACUCACUCUAAUUCAACAACUCGUCAUAAAUCAAUUACCACGUUGAGAUUAGUAUUUGCAAGGAAAAUACGGGUAUUGUAAUACACAUAGAUUCAUUCGGCAAUUUAAAAGUUCCUUUCAUAUUCUCGAAUGGUAGGACCCAAUGGCGUACCAGCCAGACCUUGGCUUGUGUUGAUCCUAAAAAAACGGGCUCGUGUCCUUCGGUGGCGUGUGUGGUACGCACAUUAGGCAACCCCAACAAGUCGAGCCUCAGCGUUUCAAGUCGAAAUAUCUGGCGGCCAAAAUUCCAGCCCUAGGAAAUUCCCCUCAUGUCCCCGGUCCAUAAUGACUACCGAUGAACAACGGAGGGAUGCUUUAGUAACUAGACAACGUUACCUACCGUGUCGAGCACGGUUCAAUUCCCUCGGUCGCCGCUUGUCAAGGUCACCCAUCAACUGCAUUGCCUAGUAGUACUACUACUACACCAGGAUGAGCAUAGAAUUGAGCCCGUUUGUUUGUGCCUAGUACUUGAGUUAAUAUAUCAGGUAAUGCACUAGUACACAGGUAUUAUCCUUUUACUCCCUCCUUUCCGGUUUAUAGGGCUUAUCUCAAAAUUUUAGUUUUCCCAUUUUAUAAGUCUCAAUUUGGUUGUUCCCCAUCACAUGUUCAGAUUUCAAGGUGCAAUAAAUCAUUACAUGCAAGAAUUAAGAGAAAAUUGACCAAUGCAUGUACUUUAUGCAUGCAUGCAUUGCAAUUAAUGCAUUCAUAAACACAAUUUUUGAGGAAAACAAGCGCAUUAAUUGAGUGGUUUUGCAAACUACAACAAUUGUUCCACCACUCACCAUCUACCUUGGUUGGUGAGAUUUUUGAAUUGAGCCCUAUAAACCGGAAAGGAGGUUUAACUAAGCAAAAUGUUUCACCAAAUCAAUUCUUAAGAAAUACAACAGGACAGAUGUACGGCUUGAAAAUUUAUUGCAUGAUGCAGGUUAUGAUAUUGUUUCGAAUCCUGGAUCUUAAAUUUCAGAAAAUCCAAAAGUGAGCAUAAAUUCUUGAAACUGAGCAUGGUCACGUGAUAUGGCACAAAUAUUACUUCGUAAGUUUUUUUUUCAAUUCGAGACAAGCUGCUUAUGACAAGUUGCACAAAUGAAGAGCCAAGGUAUUUUGGAACAAAGACCUGUCACGUUAAGGCGAACACUUUCACUGUUGAAACUGUGGGCGUUUACGUGCCGCCACGAGUCCUCUCUUCUCAUCGACAGGUGCCGUCCCAGCAAGCGUGUGAGUCGACGGGACGUGUGCGAGCAGACCGCUGCGCCGGCUGUCAGGGAGGCGUGCGAGCACACCGCUGUGCAGACUCACCGGGAGGCGAGCCCUUUGACCAGGCUCCGCCGCCCACCGUUGUCCCAACUGCUCCCACUUUUAAUGUCGCCGGCGCCGCAGUUUAAAAUCAACCCCGCACUACCCGGUAUCGUUACAAUCCUCUCUAUUCCUCUCCGAUUCUCCUGUCAUCUACCUCCAACUAGCCUGACCUAAACGUACGCCAUGCCGCAUCACGAUGGUUUGCCCUUAGUGUUCCAGUUUCAUGAGGAAGACACCCAGCCGGAGUCUCAAGAACAAAAGGUGCUUUGGGACGAGCUUGAACUGGCCUUGCGGAAAGACGUCGCGCCUGUCCCCGCUCCCGUUCCGGCUCCCGUCACCCCAACUGUGCCAGCGCCCAUCCCCAUGGCAUUGAUGGGUUGGGAGCCGCACAUUGUCGCCGAGCUUGAUGCCACGGGGUUCCACGAGGUCCCCGCCGACUUUCACGUGCCCGUGCACCUGCCAGCGCAUGCUCCUGCGCGUGCACUGACGCGCACGACGGUGCCCGUGCACCUGCCAGCGCAUGCGCAUGCGCGUGCACUGACGUGCGCGCCCGUGCCGGUGCCCGUGCACAUGAAUGUCUCCGCCGCGCUGUUGACAGUGCAUGUCCCCGCGCGGGUGCCAGUGCCCCCCUCAGCGGCAUGGAUGGCCGCCGUCGACCGCUUCCUUGCACCAACGCCAGUCGCCUCCUCCCGCCAGUUGACUCGCUCCGAAGUCCAGAACAUUUUGGCCUUCCUUGAAGCUAGGCCAACGUCCAGGAGUACGCCAACAACGGCGCAAGAGGCCGCCGUCGCUGUCGGUCAGUGGCCCGAUGACACAUAGAGCACGGUAGAGGAGCCACUUCCCACCGCGAGACGUUGCCGCCGCCGCCACAUAAUCUAAAUUUGCCAUGAAAAAAGUUCGGAUUGCCAUGCUUAAAAUCCGAACGUUUAUCAUUUCCGUUUAUUUUAUAUCGAUCGUCGUAUAAUUUAAAGUCGAAGUCAGACUGAACGAAAUGUAUGGUUUGAUUGAUUGAAUGUUCUGCCAGAGCCGUAUCAAAUUAAAUAUAAAACGUCAUCAAGCCACAUGUAUUCCUUGUCAUCCAACGACCUAGACUGCUUCAAUGUCGAGCGCUCAACACAUUUAGCGUGCAGUUAAUUUCAUGCCAAAAAUAGUGCUAAUCACAUGACAACAUGCAAAUAAUAUCCUAGUAGUUAAUAUCCGCAUGCACUUAAUAUACUUCCAAAUUAACAUCCAUUGCAUGUACACACUGACUAGUGCUGCUAGUACGUGAAACUGGUGCCGUGACUUGUGAAUGCAUCCAGAUAUGGUCAACGGCAACAUCGCCCGCGAGUUCUUCCUGUUUGCCCGUGCGUCUAAACGCGGAAGGGGAGGAGAGAGAGAGCACACAUGGAACCCACCAGUAAGUGAAGGCGAUUAGUACUAAAAAUAAUAUUACAUGUUAUCCAUUAAUUAGGCUGUGGUAAUAUAAAACAUUAUGUGAACAAAGGGGGUACAACAAACAUUGUUAUUCUACGUAUGUUGCCUAUUGACGUGCGGCUUGAAGGCCCGGUCGCAUGUUCGAUCCUCGUCCUUUAUUUUUUAAUUUGUAUAUGGGUCCAAAUUUGUUUUGUGACAUGUGGGCCCCUCGGUGUGUAGUUUGUAGCACUUUAAUUUGUGGGUCGAAAUUUGUUCCAUUCCAAGUGGACUAUCGGUGUGUAGUUUUGUAGCUUAUUUAUAAUAAUUAAAGAGAACAACAUAGUUUUUUCAAUAAUACCAUGGUGCGACGUUGAAGGGGGGAAAGGACGUGCGAGAGAGCGAUGACCGAGCCAGAGGGAAAUCAACUAGGGGAGUUGCGUGGUUUGCAACGGUGUUUGGAGUAGUUGUGGGCCGAAUGCUACGAAAAUAUAAUUUAAACCGAACGAAAUAAAUGCCUACACAAAUUAAUCCAAGGUUGGAGUGCCCCUCGCAAUGUAAAUAGCUCCGGCUUUGCGAGGGAUGGAGAGGUAGUAGCUUCAACGCGUGGAAGAUACGGUGUGAGAAAGCGAGGUCAAUCGAGAGACAUAUAGAUAGAGAGACAAAGUGAGUGUGAUCCGACAUUUAUUGAACAAAUAUAUAUGCUUCGGAGAGAUAUUGUCCGAUUGAGCUUUUGGUAAGGGUGAGGGCUGUAAGAUAGAGCUUGAAAGAUGAUCCAGUCACAGACGUAUAGAUAUAUUUUGUGCGUGGGAGGAAGCAAGGUCAACCGAUCACAUAGGGGUCGUGCGAUCGAAAGAGUGAGACGGGUUGGAGAGAGUGACCUAGAUAGACGAUGUGUGUGAGAGAGUAUACAAUGUGAAUAGGUCGAAUUGGGCUCAAACAUGGUGAUAUAUCGUUUUUGUCCGAGAAAGAGCGAGGUCAAUCGAUACAUANNNNNNNNNNNNNNNNNNNNNNNNNNNNNNNNNNNNNNNNNNNNNNNNNNNNNNNNNNNNNNNNNNNNNNNNNNNNNNNNNNNNNNNNNNNNNNNNNNNNNNNNNNNNNNNNNNNNNNNNNNNNNNNNNNNNNNNNNNNNNNNNNNNNNNNNNNNNNNNNNNNNNNNNNNNNNNNNNNNNNNNNNNNNNNNNNNNNNNNNNNNNNNNNNNNNNNNNNNNNNNNNNNNNNNNNNNNNNNNNNNNNNNNNNNNNNNNNNNNNNNNNNNNNNNNNNNNNNNNNNNNNNNNNNNNNNNNNNNNNNNNNNNNNNNNNNNNNNNNNNNNNNNNNNNNNNNNNNNNNNNNNNNNNNNNNNNNNNNNNNNNNNNNNNNNNNNNNNNNNNNNNNNNNNNNNNNNNNNNNNNNNNNNNNNNNNNNNNNNNNNNNNNNNNNNNNNNNNNNNNNNNNNNNAGAGAAUAUUAUUCUAUUACCCUUUUUGAACUGACGGUUUCAGGUGGUUGUACUGAUGUUUUCGAAGCGGUUGAACUGAUGCUUUCACUUGUGUUUAAUAGAUUGUCUGCUUUAGUUCAAAAACUUUUUAUAAUUUUUUUGUCGGAACGGGGCGUGUAAUAUAUCUUUGGAAAGCUCUUGACAACCAUAUUUCAAGUAUAUUGAACGUUUUUGCAAAAUCAUUAUGGUUUAAGAGCAGUUUUGAAAAAAAACGUUUUUUUUCAAAACCGAAAACGUGAAUCAUAUUUUAGACUCAAUUUUCAAAUGGUUUGUUGGAAUUGAGCAAAUAAGAUGGCGUCGAAAGCUGGUGAAAAUCCGCAUCUUCCAUAUAUGUAUUAUUUUUUCUAAUUCUAUAUGAUUUUAAAGUAAUUUGAAAAAUGGUGAAAUUCUGGGUGAAAUGUAUUUUCGCGAUUUUUUGCAAACGGUUUGUCGGAUUGACACAAAUGAUACGGCGUUGGAAAGCUAUGGAAAAUGCGCAACUUUUGCGUAUAGAAAAGUUUUUCUAAUUACCUACGGUUUAAAAAUGAAUUCGAAUACGGUCAAAUUUGAUUUUGAACGCGAUUUUUUUUAAAGUUUGUCGAAAUAUGGCAAAUAAUAUACCGUUGGAUAGCUAUCAAAAAUGCAAAACUUAGUCAUGUUGAACGUUUUCUCAAGCUCGCAACCGUUGAAGAGUAAUUUGGAUUACGGUGAGACUCGUCGUGUUGUUUUCUGUCAAAAAAAACAGAGUACUUGUACUGAUCUACAUGUGCGUUUGUACUGAUGCAUUUUUUGGAAAGUAAUUUUGAGAGGUUUUGAAAAAAGAGUACGUGAACUCAUGUGUGUAUUGGUUUGUACUAAGUGUGUUUUCACUAAUUAGACUUUGCGUAUUUUGGAUAAUAUUUUUGCUCGGGAGUUUUCAACGGUUUAUUGUAUCAUCGCCCCUGUACUUACAUGGUUUAUAUCAUCAAACUGAAUGAUAUUUUUUUCUAAAAGAAAAUGUUUUCUUAUUCUUUUUUUGAACUAAACUUUUUUUUACAACAAUGUUUUUGACUUCUCUUAUUUUACGACUUGUACUUUUCUCUUUUGAAUUGCAUGCUUUUUGCUUGAACUUUUACAAGUUGAACUUCUGUCAUUUCUUUUAUUCCGAACAGACCACCAUUUUUUACUUGUACUGAUCAAUAUUUUUAAUUCAACCAUUUUUUCUUUUAUAGAACGGAUGAAUAUAUGUUUGGGGAAAAGAGUACUUGAACGGAUGUAUGUAUGGUUUUGUACUGAGCGUGUUUUCACAUAAUAGACUUACUCUGUAUUUUUGGUAUAAAUUUCCAAUUUUCUUUUGAAGUCAACAUUGUUUUGCGACGAUAUUCUGGACUUCUCUCAUUUUACCACUUGAACUUUUACCAUUUUUUGAAUUUGGAUGGUUUUUUUGUUUCAGCUUUUUUUCAAACUUAUCUGGGACAUCAUGUUGAACUUUUUUUCUGUACUUAUAUGCUAGUAAUAGUAGAACAUUUCCCAUACAUUUUUUGUCAAUUCGUGAACAUCAACCAAAAUAGGUUGGAGAGAGCAGUCGGUACAAAACCAUACAUAUAUCGAAGAAGCAACAUAGUAUAUCCUGCUACAAAGUUGGGCGGAUGCUCUAGGAUUUUUAGAACUGGUGAGGAAAACACAUUUAGAAUCAACUCGGAUUUUUAAAGAAUUAUAAACUGUAAUAAGAAAUUUUAUGUUAUCAUCGUCCUUGAACUUGUAUGGUUUAUAUCGUUGAACUGAAUGAUAUUUUUUCAAAAAUAUGUUUUGUGUGUUUAUUUUUUAACUCUUCUUUUGCAUUGGUGUCUUGUACUUCUCUCGUUUUGCAACUUGAACUUUUAACAUAUGAGUGGGUUUUUUGAAUUUCCUGGAUUUUUGCCUUCAAUCGUUGUUGAAACAUUGGACAUGUCAUUAUUUGCACUUCACACUUCUGCAUUUCUAUUUAUUAGAAAUGGUUUUCUCUUUCUUGUUUUAAAUUCAAGCUGAGAAUUGUUUCUUGUUCGAACUGAUCAUUUAUUUUUUAAUUCAAAUUGAUCAUUGUUUUUAAUUCAGAAUUUUUUAAUUCGAACUGAUCAUUGUUUUUAAUUUGAUCUGAUCAUUGUUUUUAAUGCAAAAACCAAUUUUUUAAUUCAAACUGAUCAUUAUCUUUAAGAUUGCAAAUUAUAAGGUAGACUUCUCUAACCUUUUGGCUAGUGAACUUAUACAAAAAAAGGGCUACUCUUGCUGAUACAACAGAUUCAACAGAACUUAUACAAAAAAGGGCUUCUCUUUCUUGUUUUAUCUUCUAUCUAUCAUAAGAACUGAUACAACAGAUUCGUUUGAAUUGUUGCUCACAAAAAAAAGGGCUACUCUUGCUUUACUUAGUGUUACGAAAAGUACUACAAAGAUGAAUAUAAGAUUUGUGAACUCAAGGCCGUACAUAAGUUGUACUGAUCCACAUGGGAAGAUUUCCACAAUUUGCACCGGCGAUGUAGCAACACAGAAAAAAAUCUGAAGGAGUCGUCACUGUCGUCCUCCUCGCCUGGAAGAUGUGCUGAAAAUGCACGCUAAAGUGACCUGAAGAACCACCAAUUGUUGAACUGAAAUACACAAGAGAAGGAGCAUUUACAUCUAGGGUAACUCUAUGUUACACAACAAUAACUGAGCAUAUAUGUCUAUAACUUGAAGGAUAACGGACCUCAAGAUGCCAUUUCCUCUCAGCCUUAUACAUCUUCCUUCCAACAUUCAUCUAUUUCUGAGUUGCUGCCUUCGACUUUUUUUACGCAUCCUGCCAACCGAAAAUGGACCGAAAUUUCAAAGAUGAACUGAAAAAGAUGAACAUAAUUUGAGUAGAGAUGGAUGAUGGCAAAUGAUGAGCAGCACGUUUGCUUCUCUUCUUGGCCUAAACUGUACAGACACAAAGGAUCUGCCCCGGCAUAGCUAAUUGAGAUCUCUAGCUAAUUAACCCAGCCACGGGCCACAUCCCAUCACACAACACUUUGCAUACACACAUUUAUCUAUUCCUGGAAAUUCUUUUACUGAAGUUAAGAGGAACAAGUUUGAGAUUAUCAGUAGUACACCCACCAUACCAAGUUUCGAACUGAACCUCUUGGCGUUCAAAAGUUCAGAAACUGAACCUCUUUUGUAGUUCUCCACGUGCGCUGGGUUGUCGGGGCGGCAUUGAACCGGCACUCGUGGCGGACGUGAAUGGCCUGGGGUGUCGGAGUUGAACGGCCUAUGCGCUGAAGUGCGGGGCGCAUAGCUGGCAGGAGGCUCGGGCAGCGGCGGGGCGCGGGGUGGUCGGGCGGCGGCGGGACGCGGGCGGUGCGCGGGAUGGGAGGCGGCAGCGGGGCACGGAAUAAAAUAAGUGCACAAGAGAUAUUUUCUUCUUAUGAUAUAUAAAACAAAACUAUCUCUCCAACACACAUCGAACUAUUCGCACAUUUCUCUAUGGAUUGAGGAAAGAAUACAUAGUGAAAUAACAUUUACUACUACUAGUCUUGAGAAAACAAGAGCUCAAAUGCCAAGCAAGGAGUUUUUGUGUUAGGUUUGAACUGAUGGCCUACCUGUAAGUAAACCAAGGAUCACAUAAUACUGCCCUGGAAGAUCAAAUCCAGUAAGUUACCAAGGAUGAGGAUUCGUUUUGGUGCUGUUAUGGUACUGUUACGCAUACAUUUCUUUAUUACAGAACUGGCAAUAGAAUUACGAUUGUCUAUUUGAGAAUCGGAUUCAAAACUGGCAAUCUAUAUAUCUGGAAAGAAAGGCAACACAGCAAGAAUGCUUGAUUAUGUAAUUUUUUUGCAACGGAAGCUACUAUUGGAACUCAUGUACCCUGUACAAGUUCGGUUCUGAAAAUAAAAUUAACAGUACAAGAAAUAAAUAAUGAGAGUGCAGCUCUUGAAAAUGUUGUGCUACUUCAAUGCUAGGGUAGCAAAAAAUAAAACAUUACACAUCAUACUAAUGGUAGUACAAAAUGGUUCUUUUUUGCACAUUUUUGUGGGUUAAGUUCCUAUGGCCAGUAGCUAUCAAGGAUUCAAGUGAACUCUCAGUAAAAGUAAUUUUGUACUCCUCAUGUAGAAAUACCUGGACUUACUGUCACAUGUGUUCUUUGUCAUCCAGAACACAACAACGUUUCUCUAUGCUACUCUCUCUGAUCACUUAAGAAUAACAAAAGGCUUGCAAACUACUCCCUCCGUCCGAAAUUACUUGUCGCAUAAAUGGAUGAAAACGGAUGUAUCUAGAAUUAAAAUACAUCUAGAUACAUUCAUUUCUCUAACAAGUAUUUCCGGACGGAGGGAGUAUGAGCUUGUACUCUCACUAAUAAUCAAUAGGACUCUCAUGUUUCUUGAGCACAGAUCAACGGAAAACACCCAAAAACAAAAUCCCUACUGUUUGCAAAUGUCCCAUAGAAUAUCUUAUCAUGAACGGACUAGUGAACUAACAGAGGAUUUGUUUCCAGCAACCUUCCCGGUGGUUCAGGUUUUUUUAUUUCUUGAGCUCUAAUUUUUUAGCUUGCCCGACAUCUAAACAUGAACUAACAUGAUACUUCUGCUGAUUUUUUUUGUCAAUGAACUUCUACAAUUUAGGUACUAGAACUCACUGAUGCUAUUUACUCUUCGUUUUCAAGGCAUUUUCAGUACAUGCCAAACAUUAGUUUUUUAAACACAUCCAGAGGUUAAACUGAUCAGUACAUGAUGAAGAAUGUCAGUUUUCAGAAGCAAAACUUGCACUAAAUAUGUUCAGAGAACAUGAGGCUCUCAUGUACUCUAGGCUACACACCAAACCUAGCUUUUACCAUGAUGCACCUUCUACUAUGCAAUGUAGACACAGAAACAAAACAAUUUCUUAUAAAGCUUCCUAGCCCAUUCACUUCAACCUUUAGAAUACAAACUUAUUUUCUGGGAGAAUAGAAGAUGAUUUCCAAACUGCAGUACUUACCCCAGCGCUAGAGCUCAUGGGGAAGAGGAGUGGACAAAGGAAAAAACAUUUAUGUAGGGUGUCUGCCAUGUGAAUUGGCCAAGGUAUUUUUUGGGCAAACCUUUCAACCUAGUUGUUCGUACUUCAUAUGAACUUCCCAGCAUUUUUUGUGCAAUGAACUUGCUAUCCCGGACUACUCUCUUCCCCUAUCAUCCUAAUAAAACACUAUUUUUUGGUGCAGUGCUCUAGUACCUGAACUACUCUCUUCCCACUUUGUCAAAACUAUGUUCCCCCUUUGUCAAAAUUAUGUACUUUUCUGGACUCUUGUAUUUGAACUACUCAGAAUAUUUUAGUUGAACUCUUUCUAAAAGCAGUAAAACCAAGCGAUGCCGUGGUAGCUAGGAACGAAAAAGAAAACAAAGAGAGCUAGCAAAAACGCACUGCACCGUUUCGCUUUGCCAUGAGAUGGCCAUGGAGCUAGGCGAUUUUUGAUGGCCCUACAAAGGCACUAUGUAACUGAAUGUGCAAGAAACAGGAGAAAAAAGUUCAGUAGCUACACUGGCUCACCAGCAAAAAAAGACAUAUACUACAGAAUGUGCCAAAAACAAGAGAACCAACAUUUUUGGCACUAAACUAUCACCACUCACUGACGUAAAAUGUGGAAGAAACAGAAGAACCACCGUCAAUAAAAUUGUAUGUGCAGUGGAGUGUUAGUUGGAAAGAUUAAAUUUAGUAUAACAUGCAUUUUAUUAUUUCAAUAUUCUAAUUCAGAAUUAAAAUGUCCCAGGAGAGACAAUUACCAGCUCAUGGCAAGACCUAAAUCUGCUUGAUCAGACAUUAUACAAUUGUGCACUGAAAUUCAGCUACUUAAUUUUGGCUAAGAAUCACAAUGUUGGAUUUGAAUGAAGAUACAAAUCGUAUUAGACAAACCUGAGGAUAUAGCUCAGAGCUUCAUUCUGCUAGGUAUCAUCAGUAUACCCUCCAUGUCAAGUUCUGAACUGAACAUGUUUUGAAGUUGAGACAAACAAAGUCGCAUUGGAGUUGACAGAGGGUGUUGAUGCGCCGGGUUGUCGAGGCCGCGUUGAACGGCCAGUGGUGGCAGAGGUGAACGGUCUGGGGUGGCGGAGGUGAACGGCCUGCACUUUGAGGCGGCGAGGCGCAUUGCCGGGAGGAGUUGGGGCGUCGCCGGCAGGAGGCGUGGGGGGCGACCGCGUCCUUGGGAGGAGGCGCGUCGCGCGUGGCGGCGGUGGAGGUGCUGGGGUGGCUCCGAUGGCGGCUGGUGGAAGCAAGUAUGCCACGAGGGCGGGUGGAAGGCGAGGAGCCUGCGAUGGCGGGUGGAAGAGGGAGGCGACGGCGGCGCGUGGAAGGGGGAGGCUGGCGGUGGCGCGUGGAAGGAGGAGGCCGGUGACGACGCGUGGAAGCCGGAGGCCGGCGGCGGCGCGUGGAAGGAGGAGGCCGGCGACGAUGUCUGGAAGCGGGACACCGGCGGCAAUGGGAGUUGUGGGUGGGUGGAUCGGAUCUGCGAGAUACUGGAGGUCAGGAGGCAGGGUGGGCUUUUUUGCGGGGAUUUUGGUCAUCGGCUAGCUGCAUCACAUCUAUAUAGGGACUGAAGGUAACAGAAUAUUAUUCUGUUAUUAGUAACAGAAUAGCCCUGUCCUCUCUCUCUAUAUAUAUAUAUAGAGAGAGAGAGAGAUUGAGUGAGCGUGGCCCACCAUGAGAUCGAAAGAGUGGCGGCGGCUUGGAUGGACUGACCUAGAUAGACAAUCUGCGUGAGAGAGUAUAGAGUGUGUCGAUCGAGGCCCGAACAGGGAGAUAUAUCAUUUGUGUGUGAAAGAAAACGACCUUAAACGAGACUCAGUUAAAGAGAGUGAGAUUGAGCGAGUGUGGCCCGCCAUGCGUAAGAAAGAGUGAGACAGUCUCGAGGGAGUGACCUAGAUAUACAACGUGUGUGCGUGCGCACGAGAGGUUGGGGGGCUAGAUAGGCAAUGCAUGUAUUUAGCGCGAGAGGGUGAGAGGGAGAGGGGGGAGAGAGAGAGAGAGCUCGGCAUGGGGUGCAAUGGCGGGUAUGUGAGGUAAAUACAUUUGGUAACAGGAGUGGAAACAGGGGUUGUGUAGUUGAGAGACUUAGAGAUCGAAACAUGGAGAGAAAGAAUGAACGUGUGUUGGAAAUCAAUAGCUUGCUAAGGUGGUUAGGAGAGGAAGAUUGACCGAUACAGGAAGUAUGUAGCGUUUGUGCGCCGGGGGGGGCUAAAAACAACAUUUGAAUGUACAUAGUACAAGACUUAAUAUCGAUGUUUCAAUUCAAUGUACAUUGUAAGAUUUGAACCGAGGACCAGGCAUACGGGUAAUUAUUUCGAAUUCGUGCCAUACUAAGUUUCGAAAAGUUGACAUUGACUCAAUUUGUUGUGCUAUUUUGUAGGUCAUAUGUUUGAAUCCAUCCAAAAGUUUUCUCACUACCAUGGUGUUCAUCAUAUACAUAUGAAUUUGUAUUAAAAAAGUAGCAUGGAUACAGUGAAAUGCAAAAUCCACGUUAGAAUUGGAAAUCGCUACGUGACACACACUCUAAUUCAAAUAACUAACAAUGUGACACACACUCUAAUUCAAAUAACUAAUUAUGUGACACACUCUAAUCCACGUUAGAGUGGGUACCGUUUCGAUUUUUUUUAAAUAACUCCUCAUUAUUUAAUUUAUAGUACUCCCUCUAUUCACUUUUAUAAGACCUUGAAGACAUUUCAGACAAUGUGCAAAACAGUUCAUUUUAAGUUGUCUGAAACGACUUACAAAAGUGAACGGAUGGAGUAUCUCGUUUCGUGUGACUAAUUAUUGCAAGGAAAACACGGGCAUGGUAAUACAUACAGAUUCGUUUGCAAAUGAAAGAAGAUUCGUUUCGUUUGCAUUCUCAAAUGUAGGUGCACCAGGCAGACCAGGGUCGUGUCGGGGUGGACGCUGCUUCGCUGCCCUUGGGUGACUGACAUGUGGGCCAGCCACCUGUUGGGCCCACAUGUCAUGGACACAAAGGCAGGUGCCUUAAGGCACCGAAGCAUAGUCAUGUCGGGGUGGUCGCGUGUGUCGGACGGACGCGUAGCACCCAGCCACCCACCCCACCCCCCUCCCCCCAAAAAAAGGACGACGACAAUAUAAGAUCGCGCUUCCACGUUUCGGAUUGAAAUAUCUGGCGGCCCCAAUUCCAGCCCUGCAAAAUCUCUCUUCUCCACCGUCCCUUUCCACGCCCAGAUUGCUCAAAUCCCUAAUUCGCCGCCAUCCCUCGAAUCGCCCCUCGUCUCGUCUCUUUCACCACCGUUCCCCACCUCUGUGCCGGACGACAACGACGAAGACGACGGUCGUGCUUCACCACCGCACUGGAGCUACCUCAUCUACGCCCUCGUCCACCGCACCGAGUGGUCCACCAACAACGGCGGCCGCCACAACCGACGUGCCUCACAGACACCGAGUUCCACCGCAUCAGGUGCGCUUCACCGACGCCGUCUCCCAGCUCACCGGGGCUACUCCACCGAGCACAUCGUCGCACCUCCACCCCCCGAGGCCAUUGGGGCUUCACCAACGGUCUCGUCCACCGCAUCGUAGCGCUCCGCUGCCACUCAAGAUCUGCAUCCGUGCGCGGCCAGCCAACGCCAGCGCAUCACCCUCAACGGCUCUAAAGUGACCCGCACUCUAGCUAGGCGAGCAUGCCCAAACGCCGGCCCGAACUAGGUAUCCACACAUCACUCCCUUGUGCACUGUUCCGACGAUGUUUGGAUAUCCUUUCACUGCUCUCUUAGCUUACACGCCUAUGCAACUCUGACUUUAACUCUUAUUUCUUAUGGAGAUGUCAUCUGAAACAAGCAAAUCCAUUUUUUAGCGAAGCAUGAUGGUGCUACGGGAUCUGGUACACAUCCUGCACACCUGUAUAACCUUGCAAGUAUCUGUCCUCCGGUACAACAUCACGGUCGAUUCCUCUUAUUUGAUCAACCAUUCGCCGUGUCAAAAAUGCAGAGGGGGAUGCAAGGAGCACAAGGCCUGCACAUCCAAGAAAGUGGUAACAUGGACUUGUACAUGGAACAUCCCAAGCGCAAGCAGAGCUGCAGUGAGCCUGUACAACGAGCUAGCGUAAGUCCCUGCAUUUCAUUUAAUUCGUACUGGCAUUCGUGUAUGAUUUGUGUGCAGUGGCUGAUCCACGAAUUCAAGUUACCAGGGGCGAACAUUUAACUUAAAAAAUACGAAGGCACUUGCACUCCGGAAAUCAACAUAACUUGAGAAAUGUGAAGCUACAUGCACUUUGAAAACCAGUUAAUGAUCCAAAGUAGUUCAGAUUAUAAACACUAAAUGAUGGAAGCACCAAAAAACAAAAAAUGCAACAUGGUGUACAAGGACUACAAACAUGGUCUGUACCUGCUUGAAUUAUUCGUUCUCUGGCUGAAAAUAUCAAAGUGUAAUUGCAUGUAUAACCAGUGCGCAAACUGCAUAUCAAUAUAUCUAUCCUGCACAAGUAUGCCAAUAGUUUCAAACAACAGAUUAGAAAAGUAUUUAUGCUAUGUUGUCAUGAUAUGGGGACUUUCUGGUAGAUGGCCUCGACGUUUCCUCAAGCUAUGAAAAUGCACUAUAAUUUGCUUGUCAUCAAUGCCUGCAAAUCUUUGUCUCUCUCAACAUAGUAGAUCAUCAUUAGACACUAAAUCCUUCAAUGAGCUUGCAAAAUGCUUGCAUUAGAUCCCUCAUUAGACACUAUAUGUUCAUCACCAGGAGCAUGUAAAAUGUUUGCAUCAAAUCCUUCAUUAGCAGUCUGUUCAUUAGACACUUCAGGCUCAAGGACAACAUGAGCUUGUAUGUUUGCACCGGAAACUUGAUUAGAUACAUCAGAUUCAGUCAGUUCAGCAUUGAUUGGGAGAGUUAUAAAAUAAGUAGAAAUUGGUUUCAUUUUCUCAUAGAUUCCCUACAUACAAGCAGUUUUACAACACCGUCAGGUUUAACUAUUGGCCAGAAAUUGAAGAGUUGAAUUAGAUAUAAUCAGGGAUGUGAUGUACCUGCCCAUUGCGCAUGCUACUCUUGCAAGCUAUGACUGUCUGUUUGCGCAAGCUCGAUGCCAUGCCCGUGCUGCCGCUGCUGCCUCCCACGCAGGCUACACCCAGGGUUGGAUCUUCAUCUUCUUGUCCUUCCGUUCGCUUGAAGCCCGGCGACCGCCCUCCAACGAGGGCGUGAGGAAGUGUUGUGUCGGUCUGUCCAACGGCGGCUAGGUUAGGAGCGAACCAGACUGGAGGCUGGAGCGAAUGAAUUGGGAUUUUUCCUGCUGUCGAUCGAUAUGGGAGGCGCUCGUAUGGGUCGCGAGCCUGCUAUAGGGCCUGCCUUGCACUUAUGUUAUUGGCCCAUCCAAAUUGAAACAUUUUUCUUCAUUUUUUACAUUGCCUUCUUGUGCGUUGGGACGAACAAAACUAGCGUGGGCCAACCUGGACGACUCAAACUAGGUGCACACUUUUCAGCCACCUGAGGCGGCCGCCCAUACCAGCCCCUAUGGUGGCGUCGCCCUUUUUGCGUGUAUGAUUGGAUGGUGAAAAAUAUUCCAGUGGCACUUUUGAUUUACCCACAGAAUGGUUGAAUUGCUUGUUUCUAUGAAGUGAGUUCGCCAAUAAUGUGAAGGAUGCCAGUCUUUUCAUCCUAUUGUAGAUUGCUUAGAUCUCGAUAUGCCAAAAGUAAUCGCAUGAAAUAUACAGUAAAAGCCAGUGUGAUGUGUUUGGCUACAACUAGUCUGACUACACGUCCUCAUAUAACAUAUCAAGGACGCACCAUCUUACCAGAUUAACCAUUCGACUUACCCAUGCAGUGUGGGAAGAAAGAAGUAUUGGGACUGCGUAUCCAAGCAAUUGAUGCCAUGGACUCCUUUGUACAACCUUGUAAGCGAAAAAGAAGUUGUAGUGUGCCUAUACAAAGAACUAGCGUAAGUUCAGUUACCUGCUUCUCGGAAUUUUAUUUAGCCACUUAUUGCAAAAUUGUUCAAUUACGUUGCUACUGAUUACAUAAUGGCACAGCCUGUUAAUCAUAUUGUAGACUGCGCCUAUCUAUGUGUUUGAUACUUACUGUUAAGAAUUACAUGUUUGCCUUAACUUAAAUAUCUACUUGUUUGUUUAACUGCUUUGCUGCUGCAACAGCGGGUUACAAUGAUGUUAAUAACUACUAUACUUUUUAGCAUCCAAUUGAAACUCUUUAAUUCCUUGUUUGUUUAACUGGUUUGCUGUUAUAACUCCCAGUUGAGAUGUUUUGCUAACUUCAACUUUUCUGAAUCCAAUUGGAAUUUUAUGGGCAAAACAGGUUAGCCCAAGAUCAAAGAGCAAGGUCCCCAUGGACGUUGCAUCAUCCCACAGUAGUGGCACCGGCCCAAUCGUGCAUUAUGAAUUGCCAACUGCUGAUUCUCUAGAGGCUAAACUAGUGGUAGAAAGAGAUUCUGCUUCUGCACUUAGAGAUGAAGUUGACAUGUUGAGGAAGCAAACAGCACAAUCACAAGCAAUACUCAAGACAACCAUUAAAUAUUUGGUGGAUUUCAAAACGAAGCAAGCUCAGACUAACCAGAUUGUUAAGGUCCUGAAGGAAAAAAGGAAAUUAAAUUUCUACUUGGUAAAUCAUAGGUGAAAUGUUCUUUCCAUAGUUGAAUAACCUUUGUGUUGUCUGUUCAUGUAAUCAAUCAAACCAUUUGUUUUAGAGAUCAUGUAAUAGUUGUUUUUUUGUUUUUUGGUUUGUAAUUUUAUUUGAGCACAAGUCUGUAUUAAUUGAUAAGACUCGGAGACAUUUCAUUUGGAUUGUUGUGCCAGACCUACAAAUAUGCCAAUCGGGCUAAAUGUGCAUUCAGCAAUAGUAGUAGUAUAGAUGGACCAUAAGUGGCACGCAUCGGAAAGGGCCAAGAUGCUGGCUAAAAAAGGAUGAUGUUGUAGCCAAAAAAAAGUACAACGGCCUGGCUUAUGUAUGUUAGUUGAUAUUAUUGAUCCAUAUACUCUAUAAGUGUUUAUAUGUCUGUUAGUUCUGUACAUUCUUGGUUGAUUGACUCGGUAUUUGAAUCUUGAUACAUCGCUUGUGUACAUAUCUAAAUGGGAGUACACAUUAUGCUGCGUGUGACAUUUGAGUUGGACAUGAAGUGUUCCAAAUAUUCGAAUUCACCUUAAACUGGAUUCUAGUUUUUGAAUUUGAGUAUUGGCAUUUGUAAACCAUAUUCAUAUAUGACAGUGGAAUACAUCUUUGUCGUCCUUUUGAAGAUAUAUAAAAACACAUAGAAUGAUUUAUAAAGAUUCAUAUAGGAAUACAAAGUGGAUUCGAAUUUAGUUGCCAGGGUAAACGUGGAUGCUUAUUGUCCCAAAAUUCGAAAGAAGUAGCAAAAUGUCCACUCCCACGUCGGCUGCCCGAAGCCAAGUGUUUGGGAGAUGGAAAUUACUGUCUACCCAUUACACGGACAAUCCAUCGGCCCAAUUUCCACUGCUCUAAAUAGGGGUAGGUUAGUAACUUCAAUUAGACGUGACACGACCGCCUCUGAGCCCAUUCCGACACGGUGGGCGUCAAACAUGGGCGGCAAAACACAUUUGAUUCAAGCUCAUCUGAAAGACCUCUGUUUCUCCCUCCAUUCCCCAUUCAUACACGGUGGGCGGCAAAACAAACUCAACUCAGCCGAAAUUGAUGUAGGCAAAUAUUUUCAAUAGGGGCAGGUUUGUAACUUCACUCUGACGUGACACAACUGCCCUACCUGUCAGCCCCGUUCAUACACCGUGGGUGCCAACCACCCUCUCCUCGCCCGAAAUCGCUCUGGGCAAAUAUUGGUGAGAUGUGAGAUUACCAUCCUAUCCCCAACCGACGAGACGUCCAAAAUUUAAACGGGGGCUAAGUUCGUAACUUCCCAUAUUUCAGACAAGUGCGUCCCGAAAACAUGGUUCCCCGUACCUCUCCCUCCAUUUUCCCAUUCAUACACUGUUCGUGCUAGAACACCCCAUCCCCACAGCAGCCUCCGUCCGCCACCCCAUCCAUCGCCGCCGUCCUCCACCACAUCCAUCGCCACCGUCCUCCACCAUGUCGGAGCGCCUACCAAGACCGCGUCGUCCACUGCUAGAGAUGGACGUUUCUCAUCCACGGCGACGGACCAAUAGCCUUGCAUCGUGUCCUCUCGCUUCAUCGGCACCGUCGUCCUCUUUGUCAGGGCCGCUCACACGACCUUCUCUUCCACCACAACGGGACUUAUCCCCCGAUGCACCCGUCUACCAUCGCAGAUCUGCUUCAACGCCACCGACAGCCAUCGCACCCCCGAUGCCUACACGGCACCGCAAGAGAGGUGGUACUUCAUAUCUCCUCAACUUUUUGAUCUCAACCAGAAAAUAGAUCUUCACUUGGUUACUCUACUUUCUUUUCAGCUCUUAGAAUUUAGUUCUUAGUUGGAGCAAACAAUGGGUGCUAAAUAUCAUUUCUCCGGUUUGCAGCUUCAAAUCUGCCAUGGCACAGCCAUAAUACGGUUUAAUUGAUCAUGCUUAGGGUUUAAUUGAUCAUGUUGGUUCCGUGGUGGUUUCUUUAAUAGAAAUCGGAGUGGAAACCCUCUUUUGCUAAAAAAAAUAUGCUUAGAGUUUCCCCCUUUUAUGAUCACUAUACGAUCAGAAUACGUGCUUCAUGUCAUAAUAACACUGCUUCACCCAUCAAGCUAAACAAGCUUAGAUGUUCAAAUAUGAAUCUAAUAUUAUUAAAAACAAGUUGUUUAAUUGGUCAGGUAAAUGUUCCUAAAUUAGUUUCAAAAAUGCAUGUUCGUUGCUCGGGUGUGUAUCUCUACAGGGUGCCCACAGUGGGCCGGCCCACCCUGGGAUUUUGGGUCGUCCCAGGCCCCGAUUCCCCUCUGUUCUGCUGCGCGCUUCCGAUCUCUACUCGCCCCCAGCCACCUGCCUCGCCGGCAACUUGCCGUCCUCGGACGGCAUGACUCUAGGAGGAGACGCCGGACUAACAAGAGGCCAGGAGCCGCUCGCCCAACAGCGUCACCGCUGCCCGGGCGCGCCGCCGUGCCUACCUUCCCAGUCCGUUCAGGGCUCAAGCGUGCAGCACCCACCAAGCCAACCCGAUUUAUCCUGAGAUACGUCCUCAACACUCAACAACCACUCCUCAUCACCCAUUUUCUAAUUGAUUCCUUACUCAUUAGGCAGGACUGUCAUUAGGGUUUGUUGUGUGCUCAGUGCUACCUACACUUAAUGGUUCAGAUGUAUUACGGUAAUCUUUACUACCUCUAAAGUUCAGAGGGUUUUCAAAAUUCCGGCCCUCGGAACAGAAACUAGUCAUUUUGGAUUGUUGGUCGUAGUGACAUUGACCCAGAUUACUACUGCAAGCCAGGUUUGUUGACAAUUUUACUUGUCUUUCUUACUCAUUCGAUAUAAUAUCAAAUUAUUCACGUCGAUUAGUUGCAAACAAUAAGUGCUAGACAAACUUCUUCAUUCAGAUUUUGGACGGUCUCUUACUGCAGUUACAAUUCUGCAUACUUGUCCUAAUAAGCUCACAAGUAAAUGAUUGAUUCACUACAUCUAUGCUUGCCUUGUCAUAUUUGCUGUCAAUAUUCUUUUAGGGUGGACCACCCUGCUUCUAAAUAAUGGAACCGUAGACAUGAGUGAAUAGUAUUUCUCUAUGUGAUCUCUUCCAUCAUGUGUGGGUAAUGAACACUGCAUUGUAUAGAAAUAAAGUGUCAUUUCCAGCUUUUACAUAGGUUUCAAUCUUUUACAUGGAAUACAAUCUGCCUACUUGCUUUGUGUCGCACUACCAACACUCCACCCUUGAAGCUAAACAUUACGCCACUCAUAAUUGCUUAGUUUAUUUGUUCAAAUACGAAUUUCAUAUGAUUCUAAUGUUCCUACUUCAGUUUUGAAAUGUGUGCCUGCCUGUUAUAGAGACAUAAGGGGUUUGUAUUUAUGUGUGUGGUCUGGUUAGCACGGUUGGGGAGGUGAACUUUGCAUAUGCAGGGGUUUAUAGGGAGACACUCUCCGAGUUGAAUCUGCAAUGCAUUCCAUAGAUAAUCUGACUACUUUUUAUGUUUUCAUGAAUCUCAGAUUCUGAACAGCAUCAUAAUGAUUAUGAGCUCGCGCGCAUGAAAAGAAUAAAGCAGAACAAUGCCAUGGCUAUCAAACUUGGCAUUAAGGGACUGAAAUCAAGUCUGGAUGCAAUGCAAUGCAAAUGCUCUCCACCUACAGAUUCAUGCUCAGAAUAUGAUCCUAACAGUGAUUCUGAGCUAGAGGGAGACCUAAGUCAAUGUAGCUCCCUAGUGGAGGAUUCAGAGGAAGAUGCCCUAUCUUAUUCACACAUCAAGGUACUUGCUCUAACUUUCCAAGGUUACAUUGCUCGCACAUAUCUUGCAACUGAUGAUUUGCAUUGCUUCUACUUUGUUGAACUGCCAUUAGCUUAGUUUACACAUCGUAUAUGUGAAUACGCCCUGCCUAUCCAUUUUCAGUACAUAUCCAUCUGUCAUCAUAGCAUAUUUAUCCAUUCAAAUGUUGUUCUUGUGUAUCAGCCGUUCAAAAGGAAGAGGGUGGUUGCUGAUCGUGGAGGAGCACAAGCAAAGUAUUUGGAAAAGGUAGUGGCACCUGAUAAAUCAAAUAGCCCAUUAGGUGUAGUUGCAAUAUCACCUGACCCACAAAAUACCCCAACUCUAGCAGACUCUAGCCCUACUACACUAGUCAUUUCUGAUGCCCCAACUCAGCAGACCCCAACUGCAGCAAAUAGUAUGAUUAUGCCAGUUGACAUAGCACCAGCUGUACGACGCAAAACCCCCAUUUCAGCAAAGAGUACACCAAAUCCAGUUGCCAAAUCCCUUUUUGAACCAGAGAGAGCCCCAAUUGCAGCAAAUAGGACCCCUGUUCCAUUUCUUCCCAGUUUAGAAGACGAAGCUUAUGUUGUUGUUAGGAACUUUGUGCGCAUCUUUCCUUCAUGGAAAGAUUAUACCGCAGACACAGAACAAUUUCCAGUCUUCCUCCACAACUUACGCGUAAGUAAUGUACUAAUGUUAUUCAUGGUCAUUACUGCAUAUGUUUCUGCUGACAGAAGACACAAGAUUUCAUUCUUUUAAAUAGGUGAGGAGCAAACUGGAUUGUGAUAACGAGCAAGAGUUGGUUGCGCUUUUCAAGCACUCGUUGAUGAAGUAUCGUUCCUACCUGAGGCAAGCGCCCUUCGAUGGCAAGCCUCUAAACGAAAUUUCUGUAAAGUCUCCGGUGCUACAUUUAUCCGACGGUGACUGGAAUAAUCUUGUUACACAUUGGUCUCGGCUACAGCGUAAGGUACUAUCUAUGAUAUCACAUCACAAUUUGAACUACAUUUCUGCAUUUGCCUUAAUGUCUCACUUGUACGAAAACUGUUAGCAGAAGAACAUUCGUUCUCAAGGGACCACAGGAUCUCGCAACUAUACUGCACACUGCAUUGCUCUUGUGAGUUCCUCUUGCCCUGUAUGACCAUACUUACUUUCAUAGUUGUUUGAUUAUGUAGCAUCACUGCACAUGUUAGCCUCGUAAUCGUCCAUUUGGUGGACAUUAUAAGAUCCGUAUGGACUCUUACACAAAAUUAGAAUCAACCCAAUGCUUUUGAAGAGGUUUAGCUCUGCAGUCCUCUUGUAAGGACUAAACGUGGUCUAUCACUAUACUUACAUUAACAGCUACUCCCUCCAUCCCAUAAUAUAAGAAUGUUUUGUAUAGUACACUAGUGUUCAAAACACUCUUGUAUUAUGGGAAGAGGGAUUGGUUCAUUUUGUAGCAUUCUGCAUCUUAUCUCCCCCGCCCACCAUUUACUAAAAAAGAUCAGAUCUAUAUUUAAUCUUACCAACAAGUAGAAUACAGACAAUGCCAGUGCGGAACUGUAUCCCAUUGCUCUUGUCAGUACAUUUUGUCAUGUAACGCUUGUACUUCCAUGGAUUAGUAGUUGAUUAUGUAGCAUCAAUCUGCAUCUUAUCUUCAUUAUCCUCUAUCACUUCGAGUAUUAUCAUAUCUAUAAUUACUCUCUACAAAAUGUAGAGUACAGGCAAUGCUUAUGAAGAAGAUUUUGUGCUGAAAUUCUUGAGUUAUCCUUCCCUUGACAUGGAGAAGGGCAUUAUAAAGCCAGUGUUAACUGUUAAUGUAAGUCAGUCCUUCUAAAGCCUUUAUCCUCAACUGCUGUUUAAUUUGCUCAUAGUCCCUAUUGUUUACUGUUUAGUUUGUUGUUUCUACCAAAAUGCAUGUUAGUAAGAACUGUAAGUUCUAAGUUUUACUUGUAAAACCAAAUUUCUUAUUCAUACCAUGCACAUUACUCAAUACUCCCUAUAUGUAUGCUUGGUUUUGUGGAUCUAUAAUCCAGUGUGUGGUGAAGCAGCCCAUGUUUGCACCUUGUCAUCUCCUGUUUUAUCUUACUGAUGUGGCUGAUGAUAUGAACAACAUGCCAUGCACAUUAUCCAAAAUAGAUACAAUGAUUUUCUUUGCCCUUCAUCUAUGCUUGUUAUGUUGACAUGGUAAUCCAGUAGUGUGGUGAAGCUCCCCGCAUUAUGAACAAUGCCAAAUUAUGCUAUUGAUAUUUUGAACUUACUCUUUAUUUUCUAAUUUGAAAUUGGAUAGAAUUGACAGAACAGUUAUCAUCUUUGUUUAUACAUGUGCAAAACAUGUCAUCUCUCUGCUUUGUUUCAGGGUGAUAUGCCUGAUGGCAUGCACAAGUCUGCUGAAGGCUGUGAGAUAAACCCAACAUAUAUUGCAGCAAAGAAGGCAAAACAUCUUGAAGAUAGCGAGACAACCCCAAAGUCUUGUCUUGAUGCAGUGUUCAAGUUACUUGAGACUAACAGUCAGACAAGCUCACAGAAUUCGUUGUCUGAAUCAGUUCGACUUCUUCAGUCCCAAGUUCUAGCAGAAAGGAAUUUUGCAACUCAACUUCGACUUGAAGUCCUAUCUCUAAGAAAGAUUGCGGAGAACACCAAUGAGAACCUCAUCGCUAAACAGCUACACCUGGAAGCUAUGACCGACAUGCUAGGUCGGUCUCACAGCCUUGCUCAUCAGCUUGCGCAGCUGUUCCCCCGCAAGGCUAACCUUUCUUGAACUGUCUUGGAAGUGGUCUCGGUUCAGUAUUAUUUUGUUACGCUGCAAUGGUGCCCAGUUUUUCUAAUCUUCUUCUUCCUUGCGCUUUAUGAUCACUGGUGGCGAACUUCGAUGCCCAGUGGAUGUAAUAUACCUUAAAUCCUUUAUUGUAUAGUGUAGGUUUAUUCUUAGUUACUAUGUCGUAAUUUCUUUAUUAUAUAGAAUAGGUUUGUUCUUAAUUCCUACUAGUUACUGCCAUCAUUCGCUAUCUGAAAAAAAAAUCAGAUGUAGUCGACCGGGCCGAAACAUUCGACUCUAACGGGCCACAAUUGGGCCGGCCUGCGUCUUUCUUGGGCCCGAAUGAUUGAGGCCUUCACACAUUGCGCCAGGCCCAAACUUACACCGGCCUAUAUUUUAGUUGGGCCUUUUGUCGACCCACUGCUUAGUUUGACCCAGGUAGCGUUGGGCCAUUAACAGGCCGAAUAUUGUACUGGCCUAUUAUGACCGAGAUGAAACCACGGGCCUUUAGCAGGCCAAAAUGCAUGUUGGGCCUCAAUUUUCACUAGUCGUCGACGGGCCUUCAGUAGGCCGAAAUGUAGACCGGGCCGUUAUGGGCCCAGUUAGCUCAUGGGCCGUUACUAGGCCGAAACAUAUCUCGGGCCUUAGUUGGCCCACUAAUAUCAUGGGCCUUUAAGAGGCCGAAAGCUUAGUAUAGGCAUCAACGGGACGAAUUACGCGACAGGCCUUUAACAGGCCCAAAGUCACGUUGGGCUUAACUGUUGCCACCAUUAGCACGGGCCGUUAGUGGGCCCGAUGUCCCGUCGGACCAUAUAUGGCCCAUGGGCAGCACGGGCCAUUCUCAGGCCGAAAGUCACACCAGGCUAAAAUGGGCCCAUGUCUACAUCAGGCCUCUAACAGGCCGAAAGUCACUGGGCUGUAGUUGGGCCUGAAUAUUCGGCGAACAAUUAACGGGCCAGAUCUGGCUUUGGGCGCAAAUGGGCCCAAAUAUUGGGCAAACAAUUAACGGGCCAGAUCUGGCUUCAAGCCGUAAAUGGGCCCAAAUAUUGGGCGGACAAUUAACGGGCCAGAUCUGGUUUCGAGCCGUAAAUGGGCCUUUAUUAAGCAGGCCGUUAUUGGGCUGGCCCACUAGUACCUGAUUAAGUUUUGCGGGCCUUUGACUGGGCCGGCCUUUUUAACCUAUAUGGGCCUCUGUUGGUCCCAGUCACGUGUUGACGUACCAUAGGCAUGUCUCCUCCAAUGGACGGGCGACAUCUGGCCCACUGACGAGCUGACAGGUGUUCCCUUCGGCCAAUCAGAAUUUUACACGUGGAAAUUUCCCAUUGGUCGGGGCUGUUAACGGGUUAUCAGAUCCAAAAUCCGACCCGAUAGCUUAACGGUGUUCUAUUACGGUGGAUGCCACGUGUUGGUCACCCUUGACGAAAGCACUUCUAUGACGCGCGAUUUAUCGUCAUGGAAGUGGACACUUCUGUGAUGAUAAUUUUGGUAAUGUCAUGGAACACUUCUACGACAGCACAUGUAUGACUAUCUUGAUUCUGUCAUAAAUUUGUCAUGGAUGUACAUGCAUGACAAAAAACACGACCUACUGUGACAAACACGUAUCAUCACGGAAGUGUAUUUUUUUUGUAGUGCACACAAAGAACAAAUACUUGCAACCCGACGUGUUAAAGGGGUUGUCAAUCCCUUUCGGAUAACGGUGCCAAAAGUUGGCGAGUUGACGGGAGAAAGUUGUAAUAAAUUGAUAGAUGCAAAUAAAAGCAAAUAAAAUUCAGCGAGGUAUUUUUGGGUUUUUGGAUUAAUAGAUCUAAAAAUAAAAGCGAAUAAAAACAUAUCUCGAAGGCAAAUAUGAUCAAGAAACCCGAGGGUCGUAGAUUUCACUAGUGGCUUCUCUCGAGAAAAAUAGCAUACAGUGGGUAAACAAAUUACUGUUGGGCAAUUGAUAGAACUUCAAAUAAUCAUGACGAUAUCUAGGCAAUGAUCAUUAUAUAGGCAUCACGUCCAAGAUUAGUAGACCGACUCCUGCUUGCAUCUACUACUAUUACUCCACACAUCGACCGCUAUCCAGCAUGCAUCUAGUGUAUUAAGUUCAUGGAGAAACGGAGGAAUGCAAUAAGAACGAUGACAUGAUGUAGACAAGAUCUAUUUAUGUAUAAAUAUACCCCAUCUUAUUAUCCUUAAUAGCAACGAUACAUACGUGUCGGUUCCCCUUCUGUCACUGGGAUCAAGCACCGUAAGAUCAAACCCAUCACAAAACACCUCUUCCCAUGGCAAGAAAAAUCGAUCUAGUCGGCCUAACUAAACCAAAGAUUCGAAGAAGAAAUACGAGGCUAUAAGUAAUCAUGCAUAUAAGAGAUCAAAAGACUCAAAUAACUUUCAUGGAUAAAAACAUAGAUCUGAUCAUAAACUCAAAGUUCAUCAGAUCCCAACAAACACACCACAAAAAGAGUUACACCAAAUAGAUCUCCAAGAGGCCAUUGUAUUAAGAAUCAAAAGAGAGAGAGGAAGCCAUCUAGCUACUAACUACGGGCCCGAAGGUCUACAAUGAACUGCUCACAGAUCAUCAGAGAGGCACCAAUGAGGAUGAUGAACCCCUCUGUGAUGGUGUCUAGAUUGGAUCUGGUGGUUCUAGAACUUGCGGCGGCUAGAAUUGAUUUUCGUUGACUCCCUUAGGGUUUCUGGAAUAUUGGGGUAUUUAUAGAGCAAAGAGGCGGUGCGGGAGGCGGCCGAGAUGGGCACAACCCACCUCGGCGCGCCUGAGCCCCCAGGCACGCCCUGGUGGGUUGUGCUCCCCUUGGAGCUCCACUCAGGUACUUUCUUGGCCCAACCGGUGUCUUCUGGUCCAGAAAAAAUACAAAAAAAGUUUCGCUGCAUUUGGACUCCGUUUGAUAUUGAUUUCCUGCAAUGUAAAAAAUAAGCAAAAAACAGCAACUGGCACUUGGCACUAUGUCAAUAGGUUAGUCCCAAAAAAUGAUAUAAAGUUGCUACAAAAUGAUGGUAGAACAUCUAAGAAUGAUAGGAGAACAUCAUGGAACAAUCAAAAAUUAUAGAUACAUUGGAGACGUAUCAGUCGUCUCGCCAACUAUUGCUUCUAGAACUAUUGCUAACGCAUAAGCAUAAAGUAAAGCAAUUACAUGGCGCUUGCAUUUCAUACAAUAAAGAGACAACCCUAAGGCUCCUGCUAGUUGUCGAUAUUACAAAACAUGAUCAUUUCAUACAUCAACAUAUAUCAUAUCAUAUCUUGACCAUAUCACAUCACAACAUGCCCUGCAAAAACAAGUUAGACGUCCUCUACUUUGUUGUUGCAAGUUUUACAUGGCUGCUACGGGAUUGUAGCAAGAACCGUUCUUACCUACGCAAAAACCACAAUGGUGAUUCAUCAAGUUUGUUGUUUUAACCUUCUUCAAGGACCGGACGUAGUCAAAUUUGAUUCAACUAAAGUAGGAGAAACAGACACCCGCCAGCCACCUGUAUGCAAAAUAAGUUGCAUGUCUGUCGGUGGAACCGGUCUCAUGUGCAUGGACAUGUAAGGUUGGUUCGGGCCGCUUCAUCCCACAAUACCACUGAAUCAAAAUAAGACAUUGGUGGUAAGAAGUAUGGCUUUCACCACCCACAAUUGUUUUGUGUUCUACUCGUGCAUAUCAUCUAUGCAUAGACCUAGCUCAGGAUGCCACUAUAGGGGAACGUUGCAUGGAAAACAAAAAAAAUUAUACGCUCAUGCAAGAUCUAUCCAUGUAGAUGCAUAACAACGAGAGGAGAUAGAGUGUCUACGUACCCUCGUAGACCGUAAGUGGAAGCAUUUAGUAAUGCGGUUGAUGUAGUCGAACUUCUUCGUGAUCCAACCGAUCAAGUACCGAAUGUACGACACCUCCGCGUUCAGCACACGUUCAGCUCGGUGAUGUCCUUGCCUUCUUGAUCUAGCCAGAUGGGUGAAGUAGUAGAUGAGUUCCAGCAGCACGAUAGCAUGGUGAUGGUGGUGAUGCAACUAUCUCCGUAGGGCUUUGCCGAGCACUACAAAAAUAUGACCGAGGACGAACUAGAUGGAGAGGGGCGCUGCACACCGCUAGGGAAUCAUGGUGUGCUUGCCCCUCUCCCUCCUCUCAUAUAUAUAGGUGGAGGGGCAAGGGAGGCAGCCCCUAGGGUGCACCAAGUGGCCGGCGGCUGUCCUAGGGUGCCUACCCUAGCCGACCCCCCCCCCUUCCAUAUUUGUGCAUGGGGGGAGGAAAAGGGGGGAUGGCUGCCUUUGGGGCGCCACCCCCUUCCUUCCCUCCUUUGGUGCACGGGCAAGGGGUGGAGGGGCACACCAGCCCCCUUGUGGGCUGGUGUGCUUCCCCCCUUUUGGCCCAUAAGGCCCAUCACUUGCAUGUGGCCUCCUGGAACCCCUUACGGCACUCUGAUAAUAUACUCGGUACUUCCAAAACCUUUCCGUUGACCAAAUACUAUCGUCCUAUAUAUCAAUCUUCACCUCCGGACCAUUUCGGAGCUCCUUUUCAUGUCUGUGAUCUCAUGCAAGACUCCGAACAACAUUCGUUCAUCAACUCACAUAACUCAUACAAUACUAUAUCGUCAACGAACGUUAAGCGUGUAGACCCUACGGGUUCGAGAACUAUGUAGACAUGACCGAGACACCUCUCCGGUCAAUAACCAAUAGCAGAACCUGGAUGCCCAUAUUGGUUCCUACAUAUUCUAUGAAGAUCUUUAUCGGUCGAACAGUUAUGACAACAUACGUAAUUCCCUUUGUCGUCGGUAUGUUACUUCCCGAGAUUCGAUUGUCGGUAUCUUCAUACCUAGUUUAAUCUCGUUACCAGCAAGUCUCUUUACUCGUUCUGUAAUACAUCAUCUCGUAACUAACUCCUUAGUCAGUUUUCUGCGAGCCUCUUGUGAUUUGUAUUACCGAGAGGGCCCAGAGAUACCUCUCUGAUACAUGGAGUGACAAAUUUGAAUCUCGAUCCAUGCCAACUCAACAGACACCUUUAGAGAUACCUAUAGAGCACCUUUAUGAUCACCUAUUUAUGUUGUGAUGUUUGAUAGCACACAAGGUAUUCCUCCGGUAUCCGGGAGUUGCAUGAUCUCAUAGUCGAAGGAAUAUGUAUUUGACAUUAAGAAAGCAAUAACAAUAAACUGAACGAUCAUGUGCUAAGCUAACGGAUGGGUCUUGUCCAUCACAUCAUUCUCCUAAUGAUGUGAUCCUCUUAUCAAAUGACAACUCAUGUCUAUGGUUAGGAAAGCUUAACCAUCUUUUGAUCAACGAGGUAGUCUAGUAGAGGCUCACUUGGGACACAGUAUUUGUUUAUGUAUCCACACAUGUAUUUAAGUUUCCGGUCAAUACAAUUCUAGCAUGAAUAAUAAACCUUUAUCAUGAUUAAGGAAAUAUAAUAAUAACAAUUUUAUUAUUGCCUCUAGGGCAUAUUUCCAUGAGUCCCCGAUUUCAGGGCGCCCCUUCACCGAUCGAGUGAUACGUCUCCAACGUAUCUAUAAUUGUUGAUUGUUCCAUGCUGUUAUAUUACCCCUUUUGGAUGUUUAUGGGCUUUAUUUUACACAUCUAUAUCAUUUUCAGGACUAACCUACUAACUGGAGGCCCAGCCCGUAUUGCUGUUUUUUUUCCUAUUUUAGUAUUUCAAAGAAAAGGAAUAUCAAACGGAGUUCAAACGGUAUGAAACCUUCGGGAGCGUGAUUUUUGGAACGAACGUGAUCUGGAGAACUUGGAGUGCAAGUCAAGCAACAAACGAGGCGGCCAGGAGAUAGGAGGGCGCGCCCACCCCUCCUGGGUGCACCCCCUGUCUCCUGGGCCCCUCGAGCGGCCACCGACGUACUUCUUCCUCCUAUAUAUACCUACGUACCCCGAAAACAUCCAGGGAGCAACCGAAACACAAUUUCCAUCGCCGUAACCUUCUGUAUCCGCGAGAUCCCAUCUUGGAGCCUUCGCCGGCGCUCCGUCGGAGGGGAAUCGACCAUAGAGGGCUUCUACAUCAACACCAUAGCCCCUCCGAUGAGUUGUGAGUAGUUUACCACAUACCUUUGGGUCCAUAGUUAUUAGCUAGAUGGCUUAUUCUCUCUUUUUGGAUCUCAAUACAAUUUUCUCCCCCUCUCUUAUGGAGAUCUAUUCGGUGUAAACUCUUUUUGCGGUGUGUUUGUAGAGAUCCGAUGAAUUGUGGGUUUAUGAUCAAGUUUAUCUAUGAGAAAUAUUUGAAUCUCCUCUGAAUUCUUUUAUGUAUGAUUGAGUUAUCUUUGCAAGUCUCUUCGAAUUAUUAGUUUGGUUUGGCCUACUAGAUUGAUCUUUCUUGCCAUGGAAGAAGUGCUUAGCUUUGGGUUCAAUCUUGCGGUGUCCUUACCCAGUGACAGAAAGGGUUGCAAGACAUGUAUUAUAUUGUUGCCAUCAAGGAUAAAAAUAUGGGGUUUAUAUCAUAUUGCAUGAUUUUAUCCCUCUACAUCAUGUCAUCUUUCUUAAUGCAUUACUCUGUUCUUAUGAACUUAAUACUCUAGAUGCAUGCUGGAUAGCGGUCGAUGUGUGGAGUAAUAGUAGUACAUGCAAGCAUGAGUCGGUCUACUUGUCACGGACGUGAUGCCUAUAUACAUGAUCAUGCCUAGAUAAUCUCAUAAUUAUUCGCUUUUCUAUCAAUUGCUCGACAGUAAUUUGUUCACCCACCGUAAUACUUAUGCUAUCUUGAGAGAAGCCUCUAGUGAAACCUAUGGCCCCCAGGUCUAUCUUUUAUCAUAUAAGCUUUCAAUCUACUUUUAUUUGCAUCUUUACUUUUUUCAUCUAUAUUAUAAAAUACCAAAAAUAUAUUUAUCUUAUCAUACUAUCUCUAUCAUAUAUCACUUCCGCAAGUGAGCGUGAAGGGAUUGACAACCCCUUUAUUGCGUUGGUUGCGAGUUCUUUGUUUGUUUGUGUAGGUGCGUGGGACUUUUGAGGAGCCUCCUACUGGAUUGAUACCUUGGUUCUCAAAAACUGAGGGAAAUACUUACGCUACUAUUGCUGCACCACCCUUUCCUCUUCAAGGAAAACCAACACAGGCUCAAGACGUAGCAAGAAGGAUUUCUGGCACCGUUGCCGGGGAGGUCUUCACUCAAGUCAAGACAUACCAAAUACUCAUCACAAACUCAUCUCCCUCGCAUUUACAUUAUUUGCCAUUUGCCUCCCGUUUUCCUAUCCCCCACUUCACCCUUGCCGUUUUAUUUGCCCUCUCUUUCCCAAUCUCUCUCUCUCUCUCUUUCGCUUGCCUUUUUCUGUCUGCUCGUGUGCUAUAUCGUUUACCUUGUCAUUAUGGCUAGUUCCUUAUCCGCUCAUAUGUCUCCCGAGUUUGAAGUUCUUCACUUCAAGCAAAGUCAAGGAGAAAACUUAAAAGAUGCUUGGUAUAUGAUGAUGGAAUAUUAUCGCAAGUGCACCCUAGAGGUGAACUUUAGAAUUCUUCUUCGCAAUUUUUAUGUUGGGCUAAAUAUGACGCAUAGACAACUCUUGGAUUGCAUUGCCAAGGGAAAUUUUAUUGAAAUUGAUCCUAGUAUUGCUCACAAAAUUAUAGAUGGAAUAGUGGGAACACUACCUCAAAAGGGAGGAUCGCAUCCUACCCAAGAAGAAACACAAGUGUUUGGAAAGAUUCGCGAAGUAACAAUUUUUUUACAAAAGUCUCUUGAGCCUCUUAAAAGUGUUAGCGGAAAUCUUCACCGCAUGAAUAUGUUGAUUACUCUUUGCAAUAAGCGGUUGGAUUCUUUAGAUAAAAAAAAUUCCGAGUACGAAGGGAAACGUAAAGAACCUCCUGGAUUCGAGCAUGACUCUGCUAAAAAACUGAAAAUUAAAGAUGACACUACUUAGAUCUAUCUUCGCUUUUAUGCCUAGCUAGGGGCGUUAAACGAAAGCGCUAGUUGGGAGGCAACCCAAUUUUCUUUGUGUUUUUUGUUUUUGUUCCUGUUUUGUAAUAAAUUUUGCAUCUACAUUCUGUUUAGAUGUGUUUUCAUGUUUUAAUUAGUGUUUGUGCCAAGUAGAACCUAUAGGAUAACCUAUGAUGAUAGUUGAUUCGAUUCUGCUGAAAAACAGAAACUUUGCGAUCACGAGAAAAAAUUCUAUAAAUCACAGAAACGUGAUUUUGCAUUGAUUCUUUUUUAUGCUGAUCGAUAAACAAUUUGUCCAGUACUUCCUAUUUUGGUAGGAUUUUUAGAGUUCCAGAAGUUUGCGUUAGUUACAGAUUGCUACAGACUGUUCUAUUUUUAACAGAUUCUGUUUUUCGUGUAUUGUUUGCUUUUUUUGAUGCAUCUAUGGCUAGUAUUAAGUGGUAUGAACCAUAGGGAACUUGGAAUACAGUAGGUUUAACACCAAAAUAAAUAAAGAAUGAUUUCAUUAUAGUACCUGAUGUGGUGGUUUUUUUUCACUAAUAGAGCUUAUAAGAUUUCCUGUUGAGUUUUGUGUUGUGAAGUUUUCAAGUUUUGGGUAAAGCUUUGAUGGACUAUCGAAUAAAGGGUGGCAAGAGCCUAAGAUUGGGGAUGCGCAAGGCACUGCAAGAUAUUCAAGAAUAGCCAAAAGACUAAGCUUGGGGAUGCCCCGGGAAGGCAUCCCCUCUUUUGUCUUCGUUCAUUGGUAACUUUACUUGGAGCUAUAUUUUUAUUUGCCACAUGAUAUGUGUUUUGCUUGGAGCGUCGUGUAUUAUAUUAGUAUUUGCUUUUUAGUUUACCACAAUCAUCCUUGUUGUACACACCUUUUGGGAGAGGCCUACUUGAUUUGAAUUUAUUAGAAUAUGCUAUGUGCUUCACUUAUAUCUUUUGAGCUUGUUGGUUUUUGCUCUAGUGCUUCACUUAUAUCUUUUGAGCUUGUUAGUUUUUGCUCUAGUGCUUCACUUAUAUCUUUUUGAGCAUGGCGGUGACUUGAUUUUAUAGAAAUUGUGAGUCUCUCAUGCUUCACUUAUAUUAUUUUGAGAGUCUUUUAGAACAGCAUGGUAUUUGCUAUGGUCAUAAAUUGGUCCUAGAAUGGUAGGCAUCCAAGUUGGGUCUAAUAAAAACUAUCAUAGGAAGUGAAUUGGAUGCUAUGAUCAAUUUGAUACUUGAUAAUUGUUUUGAACUAUGGAGGUAGUGAUAUUAAAGUAAUGCUAGUUGGGUGAUUAUGAAUUUAAAGAAUUCUUGUGUUGAAGUUAGCAAGUCCCGUAGCAUGCACGUAUGGUUAAAGUUGUGUAACAAAUUUGAAACAUGGAGUGUACCUGGCUUGUGCAUCCUUAUGAGUGGCGGUCGGGGACGAGCGAUGGUCUUUUCCUACCAAUCUAUCCCUCUAGGAGCAUGCGCGUAGCGCUUGAUUCUUAAUGACUUCUAAAUUUUUGCAAUAAGUAUAUGAGUUCUUUUGACUAAUGUUGAGUCCAUGGAUUAUACGCACUUUUACCUUUCCACCAUUGCUAGCCUCUUCGGUACCGUGCAUUGCCCUUUCUCACCUUGAGAGUUGGUCCAAACUUCACCGGUGCAUCCAAACCCCGUGAUACGAUACGUUCUAUCACACAUAAACCUCCUUAUAUCUUCCUCAAAACAGCCACCAUACCUACCUAUUAUGGCAUUUCCAUAGCCAUUCCGAGAUAUAUUGCCAUGCAACUUUCCACCAUUUCGUUCAUCAUUAUCAUGACAUACUUUACUUUUGUCAUAUUGCCAUUGCAUGAUCAUGUAGUUGACAUCGUAUUUGUGGCAAAGCCACCAUGCGUAAUUUUUCAUACAUGUCACUCUUGAUUCAUUGUACCAUCCCGGUACACCGCCGAAGGCAUUCAUAUAGAGUCAUAUCUUGUUCUAGUUUCGAGUUGUAAUUCAUAUGUUGUAAUCAAUGAAAGUGUGAUGAUCAUCAUUAUUAGAGCAUUUCCCAAAAAGAAAAAAGAAAAAAAAGGCCAAAAAAAAGUCCAAAGAAAAAAAAGAACAAAAAAGGAAAAGAAAUAAAAGGAAAAAGAAAAUAAGAAAAAUAAGAAAAAUAAGAAAAAUAAAGAAAAUAAAUAAAAAGGGGCAAUGUUACUAUCUCUUUUUCCACACUUGUGCUUCAAAGUAGCACCAUGUUCAUCAUGUAGUGAGUCUCAUAUCUUGUGCUUCAAAGUAGCACCAUGUUUUUCAUAUAGUGAGUCUCAUAUGUUUUCACUAUCAUAUACUAGUGGGAAUUUUUCAUUAUAGAACUUGGCUUGUAUAUUCCUACGAUGGGUUUCCUCAAAUGCCCUAGGUCUUCGUGAGCAAGCAAGUUGGAUGCACACCCACUAGUUUUCUUUUGUUGAGCAUUCACUUAUAGCUCUAGUGCAUCCUUUGCAUGGCAAUCCCUACUCCUCAUGUUGACAUCAAUUGAUGGGCAUCUCCAUAGCCCGUUGAUUAUCCUCGUCAAUGUGAGAAUUCCUCCUUUUUUGUCUUCUCCAUACAAUCCCCAUCAUUAUAUUCUAUUCCACCCAUAGUGCUAUAUCCAUGGCUCACGCUCAUGUAUUGCGUGAAGGUUGAAAAAGCUUGAGAUUAUUUAAGUACGAAACAAUUGCUUGGCUUGUCAUCGGGAGUGUAGAAUUUGGGAACAUCUUUGUGUGACGAAAAUGAAGCAUAGCCUAACUAUAUGAUUUUGUAGGGAUGAACUUUCUUUAGCCAUGUUAUUUUGAGAAGACAUGAUUGCUUGAUUAGUAUGCCUGAAGUGUUACUAUUUCUUUUAUACAUAUGAACUUUAAUUUUGAAUCAUUCCGAUCUGAACAUUCAUGCCACAAUAAAGAAAAUUACAUUGAGAAUUAUGCUAGGUAGCAUUCCACAUCAAAAAUUCUGUUUUUAUCAUUUACCUACACGAGGACGAGCAGGAAUUAAGCUUGGGGAUGCUUGAUACAUCUCCAACGUAUCUACAAUUUUUGAUUGAUCCAUGCUGUUAUAUUACCCCUUUUGGAUGUUUAUGGGCUUUAUUUUACACAUUUAUAUCAUUUUUGGGACUAACCUACUAACCGGAUGCCCAACCCGUAUUGUUGUUUUUUUGCCUAUUUCAGUAUUUUGAAGAAAAGGAAUAUCAAACGGAGUCCAAACGGUAUGAAACCUUCGGGAGCGUGAUUUUUGGAACGAACGUGAUCCGGAGAACUUGGAGUGCAAGUCAAGCAACAAACGAGGCAGCCAUGAGAUAGGAGGGCGCGCUCACCCCUCCUGGGCGCGCCCCCUGUCUCCUGGGCCCCUCGAGCGGCCACCGACGUACUUCUUCCUCCUAUAUAUACCUACGUACCCCGAAAACAUCCAGGGAGCAACCGAAACACAAUUUCCACCGCCGUAACCUUCUGUAUCCGCGAGAUCCCAUCUUGGAGCCUUCGCCGGCGCUCCGCCGGAGGGGAAUCGACCGUGGAGGGCUUCUACAUCAACACCAUAGACCCUCCGAUGAGUUGUGAGUAGUUUACCACAGACCUUCAGGUCCAUAGUUAUUAGCUAGAUGGCUUCUUCUCUCUUUUUGGAUCUCAAUACAAUGUUCUCCCCCUCUCUUGUGGAGAUCUAUUCGAUGUAAACUCUUUUUGCGGUGUGUUUGUCGAGAUCCGAUGAAUUGUGGGUUUAUGAUCAAGUUUAUCUAUGAGAAAUAUUUGAAUCUCCUCUGAAUUCUUUUAUGUAUGAUUGAGUUAUCUUUGCAAGUCUCUUCGAAUUAUCGGUUUGGUUUGGCCUACUAGAUUGAUCUUUCUUGCCAUGGGAGAAGUGCUUAGCUUUGGGUUCAAUCUUGCAGUGUCCUUACCCAGUGACAGAAAGGGUUGCAAGGCACGUAUUGUAUUGUUGCCAUCGAGGAUAAAAAGAUGGGGUUUAUAUCAUAUUGCAUGAGUUUAUCCCUCUACAUCAUGUCAUCUUUCUUAAUGCGUUACUCUGUUCUUAUGAACUUAAUACUCUAGAUGCAUGUUGGAAGCGAUCAAUGUGUGGAGUAAUAGUAGUAGAUGCAGGCAAGAGUCGGUCUACUUGUCACGGACGUGAUGCCUAUAUACAUGAUCAUGCCUAGAUAAUCUCAUAAUUAUUCGCUUUUGUAUCAAUUGCUCGAUAGUAAUUUGUUCACCCACCGUAAUACUUAUGCUAUCUUGAGAGAAGCCUCUAGUGAAACCUAUGGCCACUGGGUCUAUCUUUUAUCAUAUAAGCUUUCAAACUACUUUUAUUUGCAUCUUUACUUUUUGCAUCUAUAUUAUAAAAUACGAAAAAUAUAUUUAUCUUAUCAUACUAUCUCUAUCUUCGAGCAAUGGGCUGCCGCUGUGUCACGCAGCGCCGCCGCCCUGUGGUUCUCCCCGCAACUGCAUCGACUCGUGCAUCGCCGUUGCAACGCCCCUUCAGGCCGUAGUGUCGCGAUACACAGUCCCCGCCAUGGCCCCGAGGCCGUCCCUGCGGUUGCACCGACCCGCGCUCCGCUUCUGCGCCGCCCCUUUGGGCCGUAGCACCGCGGCCCGUGGUCCCCGCUGCCGCCACAAGGUCUUCCCGGCGUUGCCCUGACCCGCUUGUUGCUGCUGCGUCCCCCCUUUGGGUCGUGGUGCCAUGGCCGCGGUCCAUUGUUGUCCCCGCGUGACGACUUCCCGUGGUAUGUGUCGCGCCGCCUCUCUUAGCGCGGGAACGCCAUCGUAUGCGCCGGUCUUCGUCACGAUAUCAAGUUCCUCGCCUACUUCGAGCAUCGCCGUCAUGCUCCUAACCGCCACCGACAUCAGGCCGCAACUCUUCUUCGGUCGUCGCCGCCGCUAGCCCCGUAACCGCCGCCCAUCCAUCUCCUUCAUCUUCGUCCAGUACCAGCCCGUCGCUAGUGUCGUCGUCAUCUACCCCCACCACUUCGUCUACUCCGACCACCUUGGUGACAUCGGCACCACCCUGAUGGACACCGCAAUCGUCAUCGAGUUCUUCUCUGCUGGCCCUCCGACUUCUCCGACAUGGCGUACAGCUCGGGCAGGUCCCUUGUCUACGCAUGCUCGGUGCUGGCAACACCGAUGUGUGCUGCCACUUCUUGACCUUGCGUUGGGUUUUCCCUUGAAGAGGAAAGGGGGAUGCAGCAAAGUAGAGAUAAGUAUUUCCCUUAGUUAAGAACCAAGGUAUCAAUCCAGUAGGAGAUACAAGCAAGUCUCCAAUUUAUGCACCUGCACAAACAAUCAAACACUUGCACCCAACGCGAUAAAGGGGUUGUCAAUCCCUUCGCGGUCACUUGCAAAGGUGAGAUCUGGUAGAGAUAGAUAUAAAGACUUCUAAAACUUAAAACAAAAUAAAAGUAAAUAAAACUCAGCGAUGUAUUUUUGGUUUUUUUGGUUUAUCGAUCUAAAAAUAUAUCCGGGGGCCAUAGGUUUCACUAGAGGCUUCUCUCUUGAAAGAAAUAAUACGGUGGGUGAACAAACUAUUGUCGAGCAAUUGAUAGAAAAGCACAAAGUUCUGACGAUAUCCAAGGCAAUGAUUAUGAAUAUAGGCAUCAUGUCUAUGUCAAGUAGACUAAAUCAUGCCUGCAUAUACUACUAUUACUCCACACAUCGACCGACUCCUGCCUGCAUCUAGAGUAUUAAGUUCAAGAAAACAUAGUAAUGCUUUAAGUAAGAUGACAUGAUGUACAGGGAUAAACUCAAGCAAUAAGAUGAAACCCCCAUCUAUUUACCCUUGAUGGCAACAAUACAAUACGUGCCUCACUAGCCCUACUGUCAUUGGGUGAGGACACCACAAGAUUGAACCCAAAACUAAGCACCUAUCCCAUUGCAAGAAAUACCAAUCUAGUUGGCCAAACCAAACCGAUAAUUCGAAGAGAAAUACAAAGAUAUCAAAUCAUGCAUAUAAGAAUUCAGAGAAGAUUCAAAUAAUAUUCAUAGAUAAUCUGAUCAUAAAUCCACAAUUCAUCGAAUCUCGACAAACACACUGCAAAAAAUAUAUUACAUCGGAUAGAACUCCAAGAAAAUCGAGGAGAACAUUGUAUUGAAGAUCAAAGAGAGAGAAGAAGCCAUCUAGCUACUAGCUAUGGACCCGUAGGUCUGUGGUAAACUACUCACGUUUCAUCGAAAGGGCAAUAGGGUUGAUGUAGAAGCCCUCCGUGAUCGAAUCCCCCUUCAGCAGAGUACCAGAAAAGGCCUCCAGAUGGGAUCUCACAAGGCUAGAGACCUGCGACGGUGGAAAAGUAUUUUGGUGGAUGCUUUUGAUAGUUUGGGUAUAUUUCUGAAUUUAUAGGUCAUGAAUUAGGGUUGGAGGAGCUCAGAGGGGCCCACAAGCCCUCAGGACGCCCCCUCCCCUGGGGCGCGCCCCUGAGGCUUGUGGCCGCCUCGGGACUCCUCUGACUUCAUCUCCAAGUCAUACGUGUGUCUUCUGGUCCAAGAAAAACCAUCGUAAAGUUUUAUUCCAUGUGGACUCUGUUUGAUAUUCCUUUUCUAUAGAACUCAAAAACAAGGAGAAAAACAGAAAUUGGCACUUGGAUCUAGGUUAAUUGGUUAGUCCCAAAAAUAAUAUAAAAUAGCAUAUUAAUGCAUAUAAACAUCCAAAAUAGUUAAUAUAAUAGCAUGGAAUAAUAAAAAACUAUAGAUACAUUGGAGACGUAUCAAGCAUCCCCAAGCUUAAUUCAUGCUCGUCCUCGAGUAGGUAAAUAAUAAAAACAAAAUUUUUGAUGUGGAAUGCUACCCAACAUAUUUAGCAAUGUAAUCUCUUUUAUUUAGCAUGAAUAUUCAGAUCCGUAUGAUUCAAAACAAAAGUUCAUUGACACAAAAACAAUAAUAAUUCAAGCAUACUAAAAAGAAAAAUCAUUAAGCUUCAAAAAUAACAUGGCUAGAGAAAGUUAUCCCUACAAAAUCAUAUAGUCUUGUUAUGCUCCCUCUUCUCAACACAAAGUAUAAAUCAUGCCCACCCCGAUGUCAACCAAGCAAUUGUUUCAUACUUUUUAACGCGCUUCAGCUUUUUCAACUCUUCACGCAAUACAUGAGCGUGAGCCAUGGAUAUAGCACUAUGGGUGGAAUAGAAAGUGGUAGUAGACAAAAUAGGAGAAAGUCUCGCAUCAACUAGGCAAAUCAAUGGACUAUGGAGAUGUCCAUCAAUUGAUCUCAAUGUGAGUGAGUAGGGAUUGCCAUGUAACGGAUGCACUAGAGCUAUAAGUGUAUGAAAUCUCAAAAUGAAACUAGUGGGUGUGCAUCAACUUGCUUGCUCAUGAAGACCUAGGGCAUUUAAGGAAGCCCAUCGUUGGAAUAUACAAGUCAAGUUCUAUAACAAAAAAUUCCCACUAGUAGUAUAUGAAAGCGAAAAAUAGGAGACUCUCUAUCAUGAAGAACAUGGUGCUACUUUGAAGCACAAGUUUGGAAAAGGAUAGUAGCAUUGUCCCUUCUCUCUUCUUCUCUCACUUUUUUUGUUUUGGGCUCUUUGGCCUCUUUUUUCUCUUUUUUUAUGUUGGGCUCUUUGGUCUCUUUUAUUUGGGCUCUUUGGCCUCUUUUAUUUAUAACCUCACAUGGGGCAAUGUUCUAAUAGUGAUGAUCAUCACACUUUUAUUUACUUACAACUCAAGAAUUACAACUCGAUACUAGAACAAAGAUAUGACUAUAUGAAUGUCUUCGGCGGUGUACCAAGAUGUGCAAUGAUCAACAGUGACAUAUAUAAAAAAUAUGAAUGGCGGCCAAGCCACAAAUACUAUGCCAACUACAUGAUCAUGUAAAGCAAUAUGACAAUGAUGGUAUGUGUCAUAAUAAACAGAGCGGUGGAAGUUGCAUGGCAAUAUAUCUCGGAAUGGCUAUGAAAAUGCCAUAAUAGGUAGGUAUGGUGGCUGUUUUGAGGAAGGGUAUAAGGUGGGUUUAAUGCACCGGCGAAAUUUGUGCGGUACUAGAGUGGCUAGCAAAGGUGGAAGGGUGAGAGUGCGUAUAAUCCAUGGACUCAACAUUAGUCACAGAGAACUCACAUACUUAUUGCAAAAAAAUCAAUUAGCCCUCGAAGCAAAGUACUACUAUGCAUGCUACUAGGGGAGAGGUUGGUAGGAGUUAACCAUUGUGCACUCCUGACUUUCACAUAAAGGAAGACAAUCAAGAAUAAAUUGCGCUCCAACUUCAUCACAUAACUAGAAGACCAUACGUGCAUGCUACGGGAAUCACAAACCUUAACGCAAUUAUUUAUUUGACUACAUGAUUUACUACUAGCAUGAAUCUAAUAUCACCAUCCUCAUAUCUCAAAACAAAUGCAAGGAAUCAAACUUUUCAUAUAUUCAAUGCUCUUUAUGAAAGUUUUUAUUAUAUCUCCUUUUGGAUGCCUAUCAUAUUAGGACUAAAUUCAGAACCUAAGCAAAUUACGAUGCUAUUUAAGAGACUCCCAAAAUAAUAUAAGUGAAUCAUGAGAGUUCAGCAAUUUCAAUAAAAUAAAGCCACCGUCGUGCUCUAAGAAGAUAUAGGUGAAGCACUAGAGCAAAAACUGUCCAACUCAAAAGAUAUAAGUGAAGCACAUAGAGUAUUCUAAUAAAUUCACAAUCCAUGUGUGUCCCUCUCAAAAGGUGUAUACAACAAGGAUUAUUGUGGCAAACUAAAAAGCAAAGACUCAUAUCAUACAAGAUGUUCCAAUCUAAACACAUAUCAUGUGGUGAAUAAAAAUAUAGCCUCAAGUGAAUUUACCGAUGGAUUGAAGACGAAAGAGGGGAUGUCAUCCGGGCAUCCCCAAGCUUAGAUGCUUGGUUGUCCUUGAAUAUUACCUUGGGGUGCCUUGGGAAUCCCCAAGCUUAGGCUCUUGCCACUCCUUAUUCCAUAGUCCAUCAAAUGUUUACCCAGAACUUGAAAACUUCCCAACACAAAACUCAAUAGAAAACUCAUGAGAUCCGUUAGUAUAAGAAAAUAAAUCACCACUUUUUGGUACUGUUUUCAACUAAUUCUUUAUUUAUAUUAGUGUAAUAUAUACUGUAUUCCAACUUAUCCAUGGUUCAUACCCCCGAUACUACCCAUAGAUUCAUCAAAAUAAGCAAACAACACAAUGAAAACAGAAUCUGUCUAAAACAGAGCAGUCUGUAGUAAUAAGAAAACUUCAUAUACUUAUGUAACUCCAAAAAUUCUUAAAAAUUAGGACAACCUGGGUAAUUUUUAUAUAAAUCUUUUGUAAAAAAUUUAGAUCAAAAGCACGCUUCUGUGAUGUUUGAAAAUUGUUUUACUGGGCGCAAAAGUUUCUGUUUUUCAGCAAGAUCAAAUCAACUAUCACUGUAAGCCAUCCCAAAGGUCUUACUUGGCUCAAACAAUAAUUAACACAUGAAAACACAUCUAACCAGAGGCUAGAUGAUAUAUUUAUUCAAAAAUAGGAACAAAAAAGCAAGAACAGAAAUAAAAUUGGGUUGCCUCCCAACAAGCGCUAUUGUUUGAUGCCCCUAGCUAGGCAUAAAGAAUAGAUCUAGGUAUUGUCAUCUUUGGCCUUUACCCUUUUAGUGGGGUUAUGCUCAAAUCCGGGAGGUUCUUUGUGCUCCCCCUUAUCUUCAGUAAUAUUUAUAUCUAGAUCAUCCAACCUCUUGAUGCAAAGAGUGAUCAACAUGUUCAUGCGGUGGAUGUUUCCACUAACAUUUUUGAAAGGUUCAAAAGUUUUUUGUAAAUCAACCAUACUUUUUUGUACUUCACACAACUUUUCCAAAACUUGUGUUCCUUCUUAGGUAUGAUUGAAUCCCUUUUAUGGGGGCGGUAUACCUACCACACACUCUAUUAUCUCAUAAGCAAUGUUGGCAUCAGUCUCAAUAAAAUUUCCUUUAGCAGCGAAAUCCAAAAGUUUCCUAUGGGGCAUGGUUAAUCCAACAUAAAAAUUAUGAAGUAAAAUCUUAGUACCCCCCUUUAUAGUACAGAUGCGAUAAUACUCUAUCAUUCUAUACCAAGCAUCCUUUAAAUUUUCUCCUUGUUUCUGUUUGAAGUGAAGAACUUCAAAGUCUGGAGAAAAAGGAGGGGUAGCAGCGCUAGUCAUAGCGAGAAAAUAAAGGAAACAACAAGGCAAACGAUCUAGAACACAAGCAAACAAAAAGCAAAUGAAAAUACGAACUAAAGAAGGGCAAAUAAAAAGGCAAAUCUUUUUGUAUUUUUCUAAAAAUCAUUUUAGAAGUGGGGGAGAGGAAAACGAGAGGCAAAUGGAAAAUAAUGUAAUGCAAGAGAUGAGAGUUUUUGAUAGGUACUUGGCAGGCUUGAUGUAGAUCUCCCUGGCAAUGGCGCCAGAAAUUCUUCCUGCUACUUCUCGAGCUUGCGUUAUUUUUCCCUUGAAGAGGAAAGGGUGAUGCAGCAAAGUAGAGAUAAGUAUUUCCCUUAAUUAAGAACCAGGGUAUCAAUCAGUAGGAGAUACAAGCAAGUUGAUAUGUCUCCAACGUAUCUAUAAUUUUUGAUUGUUCCAUGCUAUUAUAUUACCCGUUUUGGAUGUUUAUGGGCUUUACUUUACACAUUUGUAUCAUUUUUUGGACUAACCUACUAACCAGAGGCCUAGCCCGUAUUGCUGUUUUUUUUGCCUAUUUCAGUGUUUCGAAGAAAAGGAAUAUCAAAAGGAGUCCAAACGGAAUGAAACCUUCGGGAGCAUGAUUUUUGGAACGAACAUGAUCCAGAGGACUUGGAGUGGAAGUCAAGAAAUAAACGAGGCGGCCACGAGGGUGGAGGGCGCCCCCCCCCCCCCCUACUGGGCACGCCCCCCUAUCUCGUGGGCCCCUCGGGCGUCCACCGACCUACUUCUUCCUCCUAUAUAUACCCAUGUACCCCUAAAACAUCAGAAGCGACCACGAAAAACUAUAUCCACCAUCGUAACCUUCUGUAUCCGCGAGAUCCCAUCUUGGAGCCUUCACCAGCGCUCCGCCGGAGGGGGAAUCGACCAUGGAGGGCUUCUACAUCAACACCAUAGCCUCUCCGAUGAGUUGUGAGUAGUUUACUACAGACCUUCGGGUCCAUAGUUAUUAGCUAGAUGGCUUCUUUUCUCUCUUUGAAUCUCAAUACCAUGUUCUCCUCGAUCUUCUUGGAGAUCUAUUCGAUGUAACUCUUUUUGCGGUGUGUUUGUCGAGAUCCAAUGAAUUGUGGGUUUAUGAUCAAGUUUAUCUAUGGGAAAUGUUUGAAUCUUCUCUGAAUUAUUUUAUGUGUGAUUAAGUUAUCUUUGCAAGUCUCUUUGAAUUAUCAGUUUGGCUUGGCCUACUAGAUUGAUCUUUCUUGCAAUGGGAAAAGUGCUUAGCUUUGGGUUCAAUAUUGUGGUGUCCUUUCCCAGUGACAGCAGGGGCAGCAAGGCACGUAUUGUAAUGUUGCCAUCGAGGAUAAAAGAUGGGGUUUAUAUCAUAUUGCAUGAGUUUAUCCCUCUACAUCAUGUCAUCUUUCUUAAUGCGUUACUCUGUUCUUUAUGAACUUAAUACUCUAGAUGCAUGCUGGAUAGCGGUUGAUGUGUGGAGUAAUAGUAGUAGAUGCAGGCAGGAGUCGGUCUACUUGUCACGGACGUGAUGCCUAUAUACAUGAUCAUGCCUAGAUAAUCUCAUAAUUAUUCGCUUUUCUAUCAAUUGCUCGACAGUAAUUUGUUCACCCAUCGUAACACUUAUGCUAUCUUGAGAGAAGCCACUAGUGAAACCUAUGGCCCCCGGGUCUAUCUCUUAUCAUAUAAGCUUUCAGUCUACUUUUAUUUGCAUCUUUACUUUUCCAAUCUAUAUUAUAAAAUACCAAAAAUAAAUUUACCUUAUCAUAUUAUCUCUAUCAGAUCUCACUUUCGCAAGUGGUCGUGAAGGGAUUGACAACCCCUUUAUUGCAUUGGUUGCGAGUUCUUGUUUGUUUGUGUAGGUGCGUGGGACUUUUGAGGAGCCUCCUACUGGAUUGAUACCAUGGUUCUCAAAAACUGACGGAAAUACUUACACUACUAUUGUUGCAUCACCCUUUCCUCUUCAAGGAAAACCAACGCAAGCUCAAGAAGUAGCAAGAAGGAUUUCUGGCGCCGUUGCCAGGGAGGUCUUAGCUCAAGUCAAGACAUACCAAGUACCCAUCACAAACUCAUCUCCCUCGCAUUUACAUUAUUUGCCAUUUGCCUCUCAUUUUCCUCUCCCCCACUUCACCCUUGCUGUUUUAUUCGCCCUCUCUUUCCCAACCUCCUCUCUCUUUCGCUUGUCUUUUUGUGUGCAUGUUUGCCCUUAUGGCUUUGCCUAAGAACACCGACCUUCAUCUUAGAAGGUUGGAAGAGAUUGAAUCAAACGUUAGAAGUUUUAUGACUUUACAAUUUGAGCAUAAUAAUUUCUUCAGAAAAGAGCUUAAAGAACAAAAAAGUUUUAUGGGGUUUAUGAACAAAGAGCUUGAUGAUAUGUCUAAAGAAUUUUAUGGUUUUAACUCUCAAAUUACUCGGCUUCAAAAUUCUAUAGCCCAAAUUUCUGAUAAGCAAGCUACCUUAGUCAAUAAGAUGGCUGCCAAACCAGAAAAGUUAGAUGAAAAUAAUGAUGAAGAUCUUAAAUUUAUUGAUGUGUCCCCUAUUAGAUCUUUAUUUUGCAAUAUGAAUCUUAAUAAUAAUGGGACUGGAGAUAAGCCAACUUUAGUUAAAAGGCGUCCCAACGAUUCGGAGUUUUUAGAUCUUGAUGCUAAAUUUGGUAAAAGUGGGAUUGGAGAGGUCAAGACUUUAAAUAGCAUUGAACCCACUAUCUUGGGUUUUAAGGAAUUUAAUUAUGAUAAUUGUUCUUUAGAAGAUUGUAUUUCCUUGUUGCAAUCUAUUGUGAAUUCUCCUCAUGCUUAUAGUCAAAAUAAAGCUUUUACCAAACAUAUUGUUGAUGCCUUUAUGCAAUCUUAUGAUGAAAAACUUAAUUUGGAAGUUUCUAUACCUAGAAAAAUUUAUGAUGAGUGGGAACCUACUAUAAAGAUUAAAAUUAAAGAUCAUGAGUGUUAUGCCUUGUGUGAUUUGGGUGCUAGUGUUUCCACGAUUCCGAAAACUUUAUGUGAUAUUCUAGGUUUCCAUGAUCUUGAUGAUUGCUCUUUAAAUUUGCACAUUGCGGAUUCCACCAUUAAAAAGCCAAUGGGAAGGAUCAAUUAUGUUCUCAUUGUUGCAAAUAGGAAUUUGGUGCCCGUAGAUUUUAUCGUUCUUGAUAUAGGUUGCAAUCUUUCUUGUCCUAUUAUUCUUAGUAGGCCUUUCCUUAGAACAAUUCGUGCGAUUAUUAAUAUUAAGGAAGGGAAUAUUAGAUUCCAAUUCCCAUUAAGGAAAGGCAUGGAGCACUUUCCAAGAAACAAAGUCAAAUUAUCUUAUGAAUCUAUCAUGCAAGCUACUUAUGAAUUGAGUGCCAAAGAUGGCACUACUUAGAUCUAUCCUCGCUUUUAUGCCUAGCUAGGGGCGUUAAACGAUAGCGCUAGUUGGGAGGCAACCCAAUUUUAUUUUUGUAUUUUUUUACUUCUGUUUAGUAGUAAAUUUUGCUUCUACCUUCUAUUUAUAUGUGUUUUUAUGUUUGAAUUAGUGUUUGUGCCAAGUAGAACCUAUAGGAUAACCUAUGGUGAUAGUUAAUUUGAUUCUGCUGAAAAACAGAAACUUUGCGCACACGAAAAUAAUUUUAGUAAUUCACAGAAACGAGCUUUUGUGUUGAUUCUAUUUGUUGUAGAUCAAUAGACAAAUUUCCCAGGACUUCCUAUUUUCGUAGAAUUUUUAGAGUUAUAAGUAUCCAAGAGUUACAGAUUGCUACAGACUGUUCUGUUUUUGAGAAAUUCUGCAUUUCGUGUGUUGUUUGCUUAUUUUGGUGCAUCUAUGGCUAGUAUGUAAGGGUAUGAACCAUAGAGAACUUGGAAUACAGUAGGUUUAACACCGAUAUAAAUAAAUAAUGAGUUCAUUAUAGUACCUUAUGUGGUGGUUUUGCUUUCUUGCACUAACGGAGCUUAUGAGAUUUCCUAUUGAGUUUUGUGUUGUGAAGUUUUCAAGUUUUGGGUAAAGAUUUGAUGGACUAUGGAAUAAGGAGUGGCAAGAGCCUAAGCUUUGGGAUGCCCAUGGCACCCCAAGAUAUUCAAUAAUAGCCAAAAGCCUAAGCUUGGGGAUGCCCCAGAAGGCAUCCCCUCUUUCGUCUUCCUUUAUCGGUAACUUUACUUGGAGCUAUAUUUUUAUUCGCCACAUGAUAUGUGUUUUGCUUGGAGCGUCUUGUAUGAUAUUAGUCUUUGCUUUUUAGUUUACCACAAUCAUCCUUCAUGUACACACCUUUUGGGAGAAACCCAUUUUAUUGGAAUUUAUUAGAAUACUCUAUGUGCUUCACUUAUAUCUUUUGAGCUAGAUAGUUUUUGCUCUAGUGCUUCACUUAUAUCUUUUAGAGCACGGUGGUGGCUUAAUUUUGAAGAAAUUGUUAGUCUCUCAUGCUUCAAUUAUAUUAUUUUGAGAGUCUCUUAGAACAGCAUGGUAUUUUCUAUGGUUAUAAAAUUGGUCCUAGAAUGGUGGGCAUCCAAGUUGUGUAUAAUAAAAAUUAUCAUAGGAAGUGAAUUGGAUGCUAUGAUCAAUUUGAUACUUGAUAAUUGUUUUGAGAUAUGGAGGUAGUGAUAUUAGAUUCAUGCUAGUUGGGUGAUUAUGAAUUUAAAGAAUUCUUGUGUUGAAGUUAGCAAGUCCCGUAGCAUGCACGUAUGGUGAAAGUUGUGUAACAAAUUUGAAACAUGAGGUGUUCUCAGAUUGUGCAUCCUUAUGAGUGGCGGUCGGGGACGAGCGAUGGUAUUUUCCUACCAAUCUAUCCCCCUGGGAGCAUUCACGUAGUUCUUGCUUUUUGAUGACUUGUAGAUUUUUGCAAUAAGUAUAUGAGUUCUUUAUGACUAAUGUUGAGUCCAAGGAUUAUACGCACUCUCACCCUUCCAUCAUUGCUAGCCUCUUCGGUACCGUGCAUUGCCUUUUCUCACCUUGAGAGUUGGUGCAAACUUAGCCGGUGCAUCCAAACCCCGUGAUACGAUAUGCUAUAUCACACAUAAACCUCCUUAUAUCUUCCUCAAAACAGCCACCAUACCUACCUAUUAUGGCAUUUCCAUAGCCAUUCCGAGAUAUAUUGCCAUGCAACUUUCCACCGUUCCGUUCAUCAUCAUGACACGCAUCAUCAUUGUCAUAUUGCCUUGCAUGAUCAUGUAGUUGACACCGUAUUUGUGGCAAAGCCACCAUGCAUAAUUUUUUAUACAUGUCACUCUUGAUUCAUUGCCCAUCCCGGUACACCGCCGGAGGCAUUCAUAUAGAGUCAUAUCUUGUUCUAGUUUUGGGUUGUAAUUCAUGAGUUGUAAAUAAAUAGAAGUGUGAUGAUCAUCAUUAUUAGAGCAUUAUCCCCAAAUAAAAAAAGGAAAGGCCAAAAAAAGGCCAAAUAAAAAAAGGCCCAAAAAAAUAAAAAAAUAAAGAAGGGGCAAUAUUACUAUCCUUUUCCACACUUGUGCUUCAAAGUAGCACCAUGUUCUUCAUAUAGAGAGUCUCAUAUGUUAUCACUUUCAUAUACUAGUGGGCAUUUUUCAUUAUAGAACUUGGCUUGUAUAUUCCUACGAUGGGCUUCCUCAAAAUGCCCUAGGUCUUCGUGAGCAAGCAAGUUGGAUGCACACCCACUAGUUUCUUUUGUUGACCUUUUAUACAUUUAUAGCUCUAGUGCAUCCGUUGCAUGGCAAUCCCUACUCCUCAUGUUGACAUCAAUUGAUGGGCAUCUCCAUAGCCCGUUGAUUAUCCUCGUCAAUGUGAGACUUUCUCCUUUUUUGUCUUCUCCACACAGUCCCCAUCAUCAUAUUCUAUUCCACCCAUAGUGUUAUAUCCAUGGCUCACUCUCAUGUAUUGCGUGAAAGUUGAAAAAGUUUGAGAUUAUUUAAGUACAAAAUAAUUACUUGGCUUGUCAUCGGGGGUGUACAAGAUGGGAGCAUUUUUGUGUGACAAAAAUGAAGCAUGACCUAACUAUAUGAUUUUGUAGGGAUGAACUUUCUUUAGCCAUGUUAUUUUGAGAAGACAUGAUUGCUUUGAUUAGUAUGCUUGAAGUAUUACUAUUUCUUAUGUCAAUAUUAACUUUUAUUUUGAAUCAUUUGGGUCUGAACAUUCAUGCCACAAUGAAGAAAAUUACAUUGAGAAUUAUGCUAGGUAGCAUUCCACAUCAAAAAUUCUGUUUUUAUCAUUUAUCUACUCGAGGACGAGUAGGAAUUAAGCUUGGGGGUGCUUGAUACGUCUCCAACUUAUCUAUAAUUUUUUUAUUGGUCCAUGCUAUUAUAUUACCCGUUUUGGAUGUUUAUGGGCUUUACUUUACACAUUUAUAUCAUUUUUGGUACUAACCUACUAACCGGAGGCCCAGCCCAUAUUUCUGUUUUUUUGCCUAUUUUAGUGUUUCAAAGAAAAGGAAUAUCAAACGCAGUCCAAACGGAAUGAAACCUUCGGGAGCGUGAUUUUUGGAACGAACGUGAUCCAGAGGACUUGGAGUGGAAGCCAAGAAAUAAAUGAGGCGGCCAUGAGGGAGGAGGGCGCCCCACUACUGGGCGCGCCCCCUGUCUCAUGGGCCCUUCGGGCGUCCACCAACCUACUUGUUCCUCCUAUAUAUACCCAUGUACCUCGAAAACAUCAGAAGCGACCAUGAAAAACUAUUUCCACCACCGUAACCUUCUGUAUCCGCGAGAUCCCGUCUUGGAGCCUUCGUCGGUGCUCCGCCGGAGGGGGAAUCGACCAUGGAGGGCUUCUACAUCAACACCCUAGCCUCUCUGAUGAGUUGUGAGUAGUUUACCACAGACCUUUGGGUCCAGAGUUAUUAGCUAGAUGGCUUAUUUUCUCUCUUUGAAUCUCAAUACCAUGUUCUCCUCGAUCUUCUUGGAGAUCUAUUUGAUGUAACUCUUUUUGCGGUGUGUUUGUCGAGAUCUGAUGAAUUGUGGGUUUAUGAUCAAGUUUAUCUAUGUGAAAUAUUUGAAUCUCCUCUGAAUUCUUUUAUGUGUGAUUAAGUUAUCUUUGCAAGUCUCUUCGAAUUAUCAGUUUUGUUUGGCCUACUAGAUUGAUCUUUCUUGCAAUGGGAGAAGUGCUUAGCUUUGGGUUCAAUCUUGCAGUGUCCUUUCCCAGUGACAGCAGGGGCAGCAAGGCACGUAUUGUAUUGUUGCCAUCGAGGAUAAAAAGAUGGGGUUUAUAUCAUAUUGCAUGAGUUUAUCCCUCUACAUCAUGUCAUCUUUCUUAAUGCAUUACUCUGUUCUUUAUGAACUUAAUACUCUAGAUGCAUGCUGGAUAGCGGUCGAUGUGUGGAGUAAUAGUAGUAGAUGCAGGCAGGAGUCGGUCUUCUUGUCACGGACGUGAUGCCUAUAUACAUGAUCAUGCCUAGAUAAUCUCAUAAUUAUUCGCUUUUCUAUCAAUUGCUCGACAGUAAUUUGUUCACCCACCGUAAUACUUAUGCUAUCUUGAGAGAAGCCACUAGUGAAACCUCUGGCCCCCGGGUCUAUCUCUUAUCAUAUAAGCUUUCAAUCUACUUUUAUUUGCAUCUUUACUUUUCCAAUCUAUAUUGUAAAAUACCAAAAAUAUAUUUACCUUAUUAUAUUAUCUCUACCAGAUCUCACUUUCGCAAGUGGCCGUGAAGGGAUUGACAAGCCCUUUAUUGCGUUGGUUGCAAGUUCUUGUUUGUUUGUGGAGGUGCGUGGGACUUUUGAGGAGCCUCCUACUCGAUUGAUACCUUGGUUCUCAAAAACUAAGGGAAAUACUUACGCUACUAUUGCUGCAUCACCCUUUUCUCUUCAAGGAAAACCAACGCAAGCUCAAGAAGUAGCACAAGUCUCCAAUCUAUGCACCUGCACAAACAAUCAAACACUUGCACCCAACGCGAUAAAGGGGUUGUCAAUCCCUUCAAGGUCACUUGCAAAGGUGAGAUCUUAUAGAGAUAGAUAUAAAAGAUUUCUAAAACAUAAAACAAAAUAAAAGUAAAUAAAACUCACUGAGGUAUUUUUGUCUUUUUAGUUUAUAGAUCUGAAAAUAUAUGAUUGAAAACAGACCCGGGGGCCAUAGACUUCUCGCUUGAAAGAAAUUAAUAUGGUGGGUGAACAAAUUACAGUCGAGCAAUUGAUAGCAAAGCGCAAAGUUAUGAAGAUAUCCAAGGCAAUGAUUGUGAAUAUAGUCAUCACGUCCGUGUCAAGUAGACUGACUCCUACCUGCAUCUACUACUAUUACUCCACACAUCGACCGACUCCUGCCUGCAUCUAGAGUAUUAAGUUCAAGAGAACAGAGUAAUGCUUUAAGUAAGAUGACAUGACGUAGAGGGAUAAAGUCAAGCAAUAUGAUGAAAACCCCAUCCUUUUACCCUUGAUGGCAACAAUACAAUAUGUGCCUCGCUACCCCUACUGUCAUUGGGUGAGGACACUGCAAGAUUGAACCCAAAACUAAGCACCUCUCCCAUUGCAAGAAAUACCAAUCUAGUUGGCCAAACCAAGCUGGUAAUUCGAAGAGAAAUACAAAGAUAUAAAAUCAUGCAUAUAAGAAUUCAGAGAAGAUUCAAAUAAUAUUCAUAGAUAAUAUGAUCAUAAAUCCACAAUUCAUCGGAUAUCGACAAACACAUCGCAAAAAAAAUACAUCAGAUAGAACUCCAAGAACAUCGAGGAGAACAUUGUAUUGAAGAUCAAAGAGAGAGAAGAAGGCAUCUAGCUACUAGAUAUGGACCCAUAGGUCUGUGGUAAACUACUCACGCUUCAUCGGAAGGGCAAUAGGGUUUGUGUAGAAGCCCUCCGUGAUCGAAUCCCCCUCCGGCAGAGUACCGGAAAAGGCCUCCAGAUGGGAUCUCAUGAGGCUAGAGACCUACGGCGGUGGAAAAGUAUUUUGGUGGACGCUUCUGGUCGUUCGGGAAUAUUUCUGAAUUCAUAGGCCAAGAAUUUGGGUUGGAGGAGCUCCAAGGGGCCCACAAGCCCUCAGGGCGCGCCCCUGAGGCUUGUGGCCGCCUCGGGCCUCCUCGGAAUUCAUCUCCAAGUCCUACAUGUGUCUUCUGGUCCAAGAGAAAUCAUCGUAAAGUUUUAUUCCGUUUGGACUCCGUUUAAUAUUGCUUUUCUGUAAAACUAAAAAACAAGGAAGAAAUAUAAACUGGCACUAGGCUCUAGGUUAAUAGGUUAGUCCUAAAAAUAAUAUAAAAUAGCAUAUUAAUGCAUAUAAAACAUCCAAAACAGAUAAUAUAAUAGCAUGGAACAAUAAAAAUUGUAGAUACGUUGGAGACGUAUCAUAUGCUUUCGUCCAUGAUGUGUCCCCGGGCCAGGCAAGCCUGGCACGACGCUUCGUCGACUUCGUCUUCAUCCAUCUUCGCAUGUCCGGUGCUAGCAACACCGAUGCGUGUCUUCAUCCAUGAUGUGUCCCUGAUCUUGGCAAACCCGCCGAGACGUGCCGUCAACAACGUCUUCUUCCUGGUGCACCACUACUUGGACACCACUGCGCCCAUGACUAUCUCGGCACCUCCUUGUGCCCGCGGCUCCACGGUGACUUCCUCGACACCGGCCAUCCCAACUCGACAUCGACCACGGCGUUCUUCGCACGGCUACCUCGACCACGGCUACAUCACCCUAUGCUCUCGGCUACUUCGACAACGGCACAAACGGCUACCGCCUUUGCUUGAGCAACCUCGUCGGUUUCCACUCCAGCCACGUCUUCCGUGAUGCAUCGACCGUUACGACUUGGGGGUGUCUCCGUCGGCUUACCUUUGAAUUCUUCUCUAGUCUCGUUGUCUGCAUCGCUACUAUUGUGACUGCGGGGGAAUGUUGAGUAUAAAGGUUAUUUAGGAAACAUAUGAUAGCGUAGAAUUUCUUCUACCUUGACUUGUACUCCAAGAUGACCAUGUACUCCUAUAUAUAUGCCACGAGGCUCAAGCAAUACAAUCAAUGAUUCCACCAAUCCCUCUAUAUCCCUUCAAACACCGGAUGUUGGCGCCUUGGCAGGGUACAGGUCGUCGCGGGAGCCCCUAAUUGGCGCUUUAGGCGCCAGUUCACCCAUUGGCGCUCAUGUGCACUGGGCUGGCCCAUUAAACAUGAAGGCCUGCUCAAACGCUUGAUCAUAGUCAGAUCGCUCUUCUUGAUUUCUUUCCUACUCGGUCGUUCCUUCAUCUGUUGACCAGUGGUCAGUGAGACCAUUGACUAAUAAAAAAAAGUAAACAAUUUUGAGAAUUUUAAAAAAGUUCAAGAAUUUGAAAAAUAAGUGAAUGAGUUUGGGAAAUUUCAUGAAAAAAGGUUCACCAAUUUGAAAAAAGUUCAUCGAUUUUUGAAGAAAAAAUCACCAAAUUUGGAAAAAGUUCAUCAAAAUUUAAAAAGUUAAUUGAAUUUGGAAAAUUUUAAUCGAAAUUAAAAAAAUCUGAAAUUUGGAAAAAAGUUCAUCUAAUUUUUAAAAAAGUUCAUUGAUUUUUUUAAAUAUAUAGUUCACGAAUUGAAGAAAAAAUGCAUUUAAGAAAACAAAAAAAGUAAAAGAAUGAUAACAAGAAAGAAAAGAAAAAAGAGAACAAGCUGAACUGAAGAAUGAAAUAAAAGGAAGAAACGAACUAACUAUGCACAAGCGGGUGACAUAACCCGGUGGUACGCUUCCAUCGAAUGAUGAGGUCUCGUGUUUGAUCCCGUUACCCGCCUAGUCUCUUGCGGGUUAAAAUCAGUAGAAGAAAAAAAUACAUAUGGGUUGGCCCACUUCGCAAGAUCUGUUAGCGCCCAUUUGCUAAAUGCACUAUAUCAGGCACCUCAAGCACCAAAUAGGGUCUGUCGAUCGUGGCCCAUGAGGGGAAGGCCGCGACGCUUUUGGGCUUCUAUGUGAGCUGCUAGGCCGACCUAGCCAGCCGGAGUGGCAUUUUUAUUUGGCCUCCCUCUACCUACAGGGCGCUUGGGUAGAUGGGUCGUCUCAGGUGAAAAAAUUCAAGCAGGCAAGGAUUAAUGCCGUCGUGAACAAGCUCCACAAGACAAGGCCCAUCCUUCUACCAAGUGGCAUGGGUGGCGGUUGAGGGCGAUAUCCAGUGUCUCUUAGACGAGGUGCAUGCAGACACAAUGCAAUUCGAUGGGAUCAACCAUGAUCGGAUCCUCCUCCUCCCCAAAGACGAUGGCAUCCCCACUCCUAGCGCCUUCCAUUCUGUCUCCCUUCAAAGUAGGAAUGCAAAGAUUUUUGUAGGGGACUAACGACGAGGCUUUAGAAGCAAAACCCAUAUUGUUGAUGAAGAUCAAUCUUGGUUCAUUGGGCGCAACAUCUCUGAAAAUCCGUCUACAUAGAGAAGAUGGUAAAAUCCUAUCACCAACGCACUACCCCCACCCAUGUGCUCAAGCUCGACUUCGCCGAGGCUUUUGACUCCAUCGCCUGGUCGAGCCUCCGGAGGAUCAUGGAAGUGCAUGGUUUCUUACCCCUGGUGCGACUGGAUGGACCUUAUCUUCCACUCUUACCACUUGGUGAUCCUCCUUAAUCGUGUGCUAGGGAAGUGGUUUCGCGUCAAACACGGGCUCCGACAGUAGGACCCUCAAUCCCCUACCUCUUCCUCCUUGUUGCGGACGGUCUUCAAUAGAUGAUCUGAUAGGAUACCUUGCUGCAGCACCCCAUCAUUGAUAAUGCUCUGCCUGUGAUGCUAUAGUACACAGAAGAUAUGUUGAUCAUCCUUUAGGCAUGUCUUAAUGGCACACUCUAGAUGCGCCAUAUCCUGGACCAGUUCGCGACAGCCACCGGCCUCAUGAUCAACUUCCAAAAGUGCACACUCAUGCCCAUGCAUGUCGGCAUAGUCAUGCUUGAGGGGGUUGAGGGGCGUUCGAUUGCGUGGUCGAGGGUCCCCCUGCCGUACCUCAGAUUACCACUCCCCUGGGACACUAGUGCAUAUGACCGCUAUUCCCAUGGUUUUUGCCCAGUCGUUGGAAGUUUGCAGAAUGUGUCCGGCUGCGCGGUCGAGAGUUUGUUUUGCCUUUUUUGUACAUUAAUUGACUUUCUAGGCAUUUAAUAUGCAUAAUUCAAAACUGAACUACGGACACAUGCAACAGUGGAUCAAAAUGGUUUGGAAAAUAAUCAGACAUCUAGGCAUCAUGACUCAACCGCAAACAUUGAGAAUCUUGGUUUUUAAAUUCCAAAAUAAUAAUAAUGAAAUCUCAUCUAAAAUUCAUAAAACUUGACAUGGUGUCAUGAUAUGGCAUACAUACGCCAUGGUAAUUCUCCAUUUUGAAACAAGUUAUGAAAUAAGCUUCUUAUAAAUCAGAGCUCCGAAAGCACACAUUUGCUCCCGUGGUGGUUUUGGUAAUUCAUGACAACAUACAUGUUGUUGGACUAACAUUUUCACCUAGUAUAUUUUAGGUAAACUUCAAGGUUGGCAUGGCAAGGAUAUGUGGACGCGGACCCUUCAAAAUGCUAAGGAAACAUAUUGGCAAAAUCUCCAGGGCUCUUCAUUUUUGGUUAAGUGAUCCAAGAUAAAAGAUCGUGGAUGUCGCCUAGAGGGGGUGAAUAGGCGGUUUAAAGUAAUUAUGGUUUAGGCUUGAAACAAUGCGGGAUAAAACUAGCGGUUAAUUUGUCAAGCACAAAACCUAAAUCGACUAGGCGCACUUAUGUGCACCAACAACUUAUGCUAAGCAAGAUAAACAACAAAGUGAUAGCAAGAUAUAUAUCAUGAAACUCUAUGGCUAUCACAAAGUAAAGUGCACAAGUAAAGGGCUCGGGUAAGAGAUAACCGAGACACGCGAAGACGGUGAUGUAUCCCGAAGUUCAGAGUGAACGGAUGCUAAUCUCCGUUUGGACCGGUGUGAAGGCACAAUGCUCCCCAAGAAGCCACUAGGGCCACCGUAAUCUCCUCAUGCCAUCGCACAAUGCAAGAUGUCGUGAUUCCACUAAGAAACCCUUAAGGGCGGUCACUGAACCCGUACAAAUGGCAACCUUUGGGGGCGGUCACCGAACACAUACACUUUGGCAACCCUUGGGGGCGGUCACCGAACCCGUACACUUUGGCAACCCUUGGGACGGUCACCGGUACCCGUCAAAUUGCUCGGGCGAUCUCCACAACCUAAUUGCAGACCCCGACGCUUGCCCGGAGCUUUACACCACAAUGAUUGAGAUCUGACAACACCAACCGUCUAGGGCACCAAGGCACCCAAGAGGAACAAGCUCUAGGGUGCCCAAACACCCAAGAGUAACAAGCUUCUCAACUUCACUUCCAUGUAUCACCUUGGAGAACUCAAACCGAUGCACCAAAUGUAAUGGAAAGGGCACACGAAGUGCCCAAGUCCUUCUCUCCCAAAUCCCACAAAAGCAACUAAUGUAGGGAACAAAAUUAGGGGAAGAACAAAGAAGAGAACAUGAAGAACUCCAAGAUAUAGAUCAAAGGGGUUCCCCUCACAUAGAGGAGAAAGUGAUUGGUGGAAACGUAGAUCUAGAUCUCCUCUCUCUUUUCCCUUGAGAACUAGCAAGAAUCAUUGGAGGGAUUGAGAGAUAGCAAGCUCGAAGAAGGUCAACAAUGGGGGAAGAACACCAUCUAAAGAGAUAAGGUUCAAUGUGGAAGAAGACCCCCUUUUAUAGGGCCUCCCGAAUCCAACCAUUAUGUGCUCAACCUGCACACAAGCGUUACUACCACUCAUAGGAGCGGUACUACUACCCGGGCGGUAGUGCACAUAGUGUAGUGCAAUGGUGCAAGACCACGAGCCGGUAGUGUCGCCGGAGUGGUACUACCGCUUGGGUCGCAGCACAAGGCACUAAAGAGGCAAAGCAAAACAGGGGGCGAGGCAUAGCCGCAUCAGCGGCACUACCGCUGGAGCCAGCGGUACUACCGCCUAUAGGCGGUAGUGCUGCCCACCACAGUCGUUGUACUACCACUGAGACAUGCAGUGAUAAGAAAGGAAAGCGGAAGUGGAGCAGUACUGCAGAUGCGACACUACCUCUUGAAAGAGGUACUACCGCUCGUGCUACUAUCCCACUGCUGCGAAAGCCGACACAAAAAAUUGCAUCCCCGAAAAUAGCGGUACUGCCCACAACAUUGCUGCCCAUAAGCGGUACUACCGCUUGGGGUGCUACAAUGAAGCCCAGGAAAACAGAUGGAACCAAUAAAAUCUGAACUGCCAUAACUUCUACAUAAGAGCUCUGAGUUGAGCAAACUCAAGCUUGUUGGAUAGAUGGCUUGAGAAGAGGCAGGGGGAUUAUGCCUAAGAUAUAAAGGAGUGAAACCUCUAUCGGUGAAGAACUGGCAAAAACUCCAACAUCUAAAACAUCAUAGAAGAUGCAUAAGUGAACUCCGUUUUCGAUGAACUCGAGCUUGUCAUGAAGAUGACCAAAAGCUCUAAGGCUCACAAAGAGAAACACCAAACAAGAACCAAGAAAGAUUAUGCAAGGAUGCAAUGGUUUGAGCUCUCUACAAACGAUAAGAGCAAGCUACUAACUUGAGAGCCCCCCUUAAUAGUACAAUAAUCGAUCCUAUAACCCGGUCUCCCAACUACCACCAUGCGACCGUAAAAUAGAAAACCUAUUAAUGGCAAACCUUUGCCUUGCACAUAGUCCACUUGAGCUAGAUGAUCACGAUCUUGACUCCCUCAAGUUGGGCCACCUUUCUUGAUUGCGUUGGCUCGGUUAAGACUAGUAGAUUGCUCCCCAUACUCCACUAUGGGUGAGCCACUCUUUGGAACAUUUUCACAAGUCCAUUGUCACCAAAUGGACGACAAGCUUCAAGCAUGAUCUCUUCGUGAUGCUCCACUUGAACUUGCACACCGCAGUCUUGAUGACGAUCACCACUUGAUGUCAUCCUUCAUGGGUUGUAUGAGAUCUUCCUCUUGAUGCAAGCCCAUGGAAACAUACCUAACCCCACAUAGAACUCUCAGGUACACCAUGAGUUAGUACACAAAGCAUAAUGGACAAUUCUUACCAUACCAUGGGAUCAUUUGAUACCUCUCGGCACAUCUGAUACGCUUUGUGUGCUGAUCAACUUGAUUCACUCUUUGACUUAGUCUCGAUCAACCUUGUAUCAUGACUUCUACAUGCCCAAUCUUUGGGUAAUUCCUUGAAUAACACCUUGGUCAUCUCACAAACUCCUUGAAACCAACACAUGGACUUCAAGAAAACCUAUGAACAAACCCUUCAAAUAUAACUCAAGGCAACCAUUAGUCCAUAGAGAUUAUCAUCAAUUACCAAAACCAAACAUGGGGGCACCGCAUGUUCUUUCACAAGACCACAUUGAGUCCAUAGGAAAGCCAAUACUAUUAAAAGGGGAUGAGGUUUUGAUCAUGAUUUAGUUGCUCAAGUGCUUUGAAGAUAUUGCUCCAAAAACCCUCAACCACUUUCCCACAUUCAAAUAUGUCCAAACCCUAAAUGUCAAACUCGGACCCACCGAUACAUAUACACCCGGACCCACCAAGUUUAACUUAGUCUGGGCCACAACCAAACCAUAUAAACUCGGUUCCACCAAGAUGACAUUAGUAUAAGAGUUUUGGUCUGAUUUGCCUUGGUUUAAUCACCAUUGGAGGAAGAUGGAUGUGUCUACUUUGGGGAGUCUUAGAUGUAGAGUGCCUAUUCUUGAAGGAGAGUACUAUAAUUCAUGGAGAGAUAAAAUGCUUGAUAUCUUUCAUGAAUUUAACUUGAGCAAACAUAUUCUUAGUCCUUAUGUGCCUCCUAUUGAUCCCUUGCACCCCACUGAUGAAGAGGAAAUUGACAUGAUUCGUAAUCUUAGAACCGUCAAUCUUUCAUUCGUGGAUUACCUAAAAUUGUGCUUGUUCGUAUACAAAUCUUUGAGUGCGCCUAUACUUUGUGGAAGGACUUAGAUAUGUGCUAUCCCAAUUACUCAUUAAAGAACCUUCAUGAGAUCCUUGAUAAAACUAUUGCUUUUCAUAAGAUGAAGCCUAGUGAUCCUAAAUUUGUAUUAUUGUCUCUUUGAGAUUCGUGAUCUCAUGUGUGCUAAAGGCGAUGUUAGAACCAUUAGUAACAUCAUAAUAGAAGCCACUAGAAUUCACACUCUUGAGCAUUGUCUUGAUCAUGGAACUAAUGAAUCUAUUGCCCUAUGUGAUGAUCAUACACCAAUUGAUGAUGACAACGUUGAACAUGGGUAUUGUGAUGAGGAUGAAGAGUUUGAUAUCAAAUAUGAGAAGACUAUGAGAAAUCUUACCUCAUGGCAAAUUUUCGAGAUUACAUGGCCGUCGGAAAGGAAUGGAUUCUUGAUAGUGUAUACACUGAUCACAUGAACGGAGAUAGAGACAUGUUUUGUGAGCUUGCUAAAAAUGGUAGUCAGUUUAAGCAAAAACAAUAGUUGAUUCCGACCAUAAUUAACAAUGGUUCCAGCAAAAAAAAUCACAUCAGCAAACUCCAAAAAUUCCAUUGUAGCAAACGAACUGCCCGAUUCUAGCAAAACAUUGUCCUGGUUCCAGCAAAAAUUAUUGCCAGUCCCAGCAAAACACGUUGUUGUCGCCGGUCACAGCGAAAACUCUCACGUGUCCUCGCAACAAAAAUCUUCCUAGCUCCAGCAAAAAAAUGCCAGUUCCGGCAAAAUUGAUCUCGACGCCGUCCGAUUCCAACACCGGCCAAAGUGGUUGCGGCUUUCCUAAACCUGGUUCCAGCAAAAAAAAAGUGGUCGCAGCACCAGAGCCGGGUUGCCGCCGACAAUUGCUGGUUGCAGCAAGCAUGGCCUCUGGUUCCAGCAUCUUUGAACUCGGUUCCAGCAAAAAGAAAAACAAUUGCAGCAUCGGAGCCCUCUCAUCUCCACAAUCGCCGGUGUUGGUUGCGAUCAACCAUGGCCGCCGGUUCUAGCAUCGCUGGACUCCGCAUGGCACAAAAGAUGGAGAGGAGCACGGAAGGGGGAGCAACACCACAAGGACAGGGAGGUUGGGGGGGGGCAACACCGCACAUGCAGGAAGGGGAGGGGGUGGGUGUCAUCGGUGGUGGCUGCCAUGGCGGAUAAAAGAGGAGAGCUUGGUGGGGAAAGAAACAAAGGAAGCAGAGAUAGAUCGAUGCGUGGACGAAUAAGAAAAUGUAAACGCUUGAAUGGAUAAGGAAAGAGAAAGCACCUAACAUCGUGACGUGGAGAUAGCACCGAGCGUUACACAGCACGCGACCGGCCUAAGCUUCGGCCGGCGCGCCGGUCCAAAACGUUUUUCAAAAUAUAUCCAAUCCAAUAUUAUAAAGGAGGAAACGCAGAACCCGGCGACCAGCCACCCAACACCCGAAAAAAAAAACCUAAAUUUUUUGAGCUGGCGCCUCAAUUUCAGGCCCGCCCCGCCACUCCAGCAGCCGGGGCCUCCCGCCAGAUUAUCGAUCCGCGGCAUCUCUCUCGCGGGUCGCGAUCUCAACCGUGCGCUCCAUCUGCAUCGAACGGCAGGAACACGCCUCCUCCCACCUCUCGCCCCCGUUAAAAUCCCCACCCCCCCUUAGGGCAUGUACAAUGGUUCUAUCUUAAGAAUGCCACGUAGGAUAAAUGAUGAGGUGUAGGAGAGAGAAAUCGUAAGAUAAGGCUUGUCUUCUCUUAUUUAAGAGAAGACAAGAGAUGAUAUCUUAGCACAAUUUGUCUCAUCAUGUUUUUAGGAACAACUAAUUAUUGAAGAUAAGGCUAAGAAAUGACCCAUUGUAGACAUGCUUUUUUAUCAUCUCUAAUUUACAUGCAAGACUUAAGAUAAGACUAUCUUAUCAACCAUUGUACAUGACCUUACGGCAAAUCACCACAGCAAUCACCACCGCUCCUCAACCUCCAUCCGCUCGCAGCUCGAACCAAGGCGAGUUCGUCAGCGACCAUGUCCGGGCGCGGCAAGGGAGGCAAGGGUCUCGGCAAGGGCGGCGCCAAGCGCCACAGGAAGGUGCUGCGCGACAACAUCCAGGGCAUCACCAAGCCGGCGAUCCGGCGCCUCGCCAGGCGGGGCGGCGUGAAGCGCAUCUCCGGCCUCAUCUACGAGGAGACCCGCGGCGUGCUCAAGAUCUUCCUCGAGAACGUCAUCCGCGACGCCGUCACCUACACCGAGCACGCCCGCCGCAAGACCGUCACCGCCAUGGACGUCGUUUACGCCCUCAAGCGCCAGGGACGCACCCUCUACGGCUUCGGCGGCUAGGCUCGUCCUCGCCCCCGUGCAAAUUCCGAUGUGCUUAUCCGCCUGUGCGCAGGAGUCUUGCUGUCGAGAAAACUUAGCUGAAAUGAAAUCCCCAUGUUUAUCUCCGCUGUUUCUUUCGUAGGAUUAGCUGUAUUGUCAAACAAAGCUGUUCGCAUCUGAUCUGAUGCUUGAGUCCAAUCUUGUGUCUACGCAAAUAUUGUGGUUCUGUUGUGAUUUUUACCGCCAGGCUGUUGCAAUUGUGGUGUGUCGUCGGUUGUUCCUUCUGUCGUGCAAGAUUUGGUUGCUUGUACUGAAGUACAGAACGAAAUUUCCAGAGUUCAGUCUGCAUUUCAGACAGAGAAUGCUCCGAUUAAAGGUGGAUUUAUGGGCCUAGAGUGGAAUACUAAUAAACAGAUUCGCCAUUCUUGCGCUGGA
This 388877-nucleotide long non-coding RNA is filed under the name Triticum aestivum (bread wheat). Its description in RNAcentral is "long non-coding RNA (TAES_LNC008134)". The stretch from base 325621 to 325755 matches the Rfam family "MIR1120/MIR1122 microRNA precursor family". Lineage: Eukaryota; Viridiplantae; Streptophyta; Magnoliopsida; Poales; Poaceae. The record is from RNAcentral.